Molecule: long non-coding RNA, 412431 nt
Filed under: Citrus maxima (pomelo)
Lineage: Eukaryota; Viridiplantae; Streptophyta; Magnoliopsida; Sapindales; Rutaceae
Description: long non-coding RNA (CMAX_LNC001474)
Source: RNAcentral
UUGCAACAUAGCUGGAGCCUAUUAGUUAUUUCAAAGGGAUAAAUAAGAUUGGUUACAACAAACCUACUAAUUUUAUAAAAUUCAAGUAACAUAGAAUAAAAUAAAAAAAUAAAUACAAAAUUGACUUUUAUUUUUUAUGGUUGACUAUAUUUUGUGUUCUCUUCGGGCACUGCUACAAUUGUUCCCUAUAUAUCAAUUACACCACAUACUAUCGACACAAGAAAUGAAAUCUAAUAUCACCUGUUUAGUUAAAAAAUCACUCAUGAAAAAAUUUUACCAUUUUGAUUUGAGGAUCCAUAUUUUAAACUACAAGCUAAUGUUCAUCAAGAAUUACUGAUGGACAAAUUAUUUUUUUUGAUAGAAGAAUUUCUUUAGGAACUACUAAAUUAUUAAUAAAAAUAUCGAACACACCCACAUAUCAUCGACACAAUUGAUUUUGAGGAUCCAUGCUUUGAACUACAGCCUAAUGUUCAUCAAGAAUAGAGUAUGGCUUAUGAGUAGAAAAUUUUCUUAUUUUGGCCCAAAAUAAAAAGAAAUUAAAUUGGAUGAGAAUCUGCCACUUUCUCAUGAAGAAAGGCAUACGGAGCAUACCAUGGUACCAUACAAUAUAAGAAGCCUCCGUUCUUUGGUUUUUCAAACUCUGAAGGGGCUAAUAUUGCCAAAUUCCCCCUUGAAAAUUCUGAUUACGACAUUAUUCAUCGCUUGAUGCAAUCAAAGUAGUGACAAAGUUAGGAAAAAUAUGAGUCCUAAGUAAUUGCUAGGCAGGGCUCCUGAGAGCAAAAUUGUCCUAAGCAUUAUAUGCAUACAUAGUGCAGUACAUAGAGCACGUUGAAUUCCCCACUAUAACACAAACCCAGAAAGACAAGUAAUAACUCAACUGAUAUAAAGACAAAAAGAAGAUAAAAUGAUAUAGAAAAAAGAAUUUCAAAGAGACAGCAACAUACAAUAGACUGAAGCCACUUGAUCUGCUCAUUGAUUGCAGCCUUAAACUUGCAAAUAGUUACUGUACGCUAGUGCUCUAAGAAGUGAAAAUGAUGCGAGCCCUGAUUCCCUUUUGACUUCCAUUUACUGUCAAACAUUCUAGUAAUACAAAAAAUUGUUUAGAUAUCUUGCUAUAAAUAUAGCCGUUUGACUGUCAUAAUAAAGUCACAAAUAACCAUUCAUAUUGAUCUACUGUCACACAGCAUGCUUUAUGCAUACAACAGCUGUAUGCAUACCAACUCCUAACCUUAUCAAUACAUUUGGCAAAAACUUAAGAAGAAAGCUAUUUCUCCAUCUCUUUUUUGAAAUUUCACAAUAACCAGCACAAUGUGAAAGCUAUGUUCUAACCUUAUGAUAAAUGCUCCAGACUCCAAAAGGGUUUUAUAUAUGAGAGUUUGUUGCAGCAGAUAUAUUGACUUAUCAAGUAUGAAUCAUUGUCUGGAUGAACUAUCUUUAGAUAAAAGAAUAUUAGAACCACUGUAGAAUAUCUUUACCCUGCUGGUUCUAACAGGAAUCUGCAUGUGGCAACAAUUGCUAGACCCACAAUUCCCCAACUUGAAAUACAUAGUUGCACACCAUGAGAUAGUGCUACAAUCUACUGAGAUCUAACUUAUAUGGUACUUUAAGCUACUAAUGUUUGCAUAUUUCUACAUGUUAAAUUAACACUAUCAUCUAUAAUCACUCCAAAACAACAAAUGAUAAGCAGCUUUUGGCCACUUAUUACUAGCAUACACAAUUAUAAAUAAGAGAUCAUGGGUUUACUUGUUGCACCUACUUAAUUAUCUGCAGUUGACAUCCUGACACAAGGUUUAAAUAGUGACUGCUUAGAACCCUUGUAGUUGGAUCUUGACCUCUCCCAUUGUAGCCAAGAUUGGUUACUCUGGUAAUGAAUCAACACUCUCCUGCUCAGGGCCAUGAAGAUCUGAAAGCUCAGCACUAGUGGAGAACUUCAUCAAUCUCUUCUUCUCAGCAUACUUGAGACAAGGCUGCAUUACGAGACCAAUCACCACAGCACCAACGCUUAAAACUGCAACUUUUAAAGAAGAAAGAGCCAACACAACACAACACAAAUCAAUAUGGUUGGAGGAAUACACAUGAUAAUGGCUCCAACAGUGCCAGUGGGUAUCUUGUAGGGAUGAGAUGCAGCAGGAUAUUGUAUCCUUAACCAUACAAAUGCUAUGAACUCCAUAAUCAUUCCAAAACAGUACAGGAAGUUCUCUGCAGCUACAAUAUCUCGAAAGCUCAGCCAUGAUAGCAAAACCACACCAGAAGCUGAGAAUAUGAUUCCAAUCAAAGGAGUCCCAUAACAAGACCUCUUAGCAAAAAACUGAGGUAGCAUUCCACGCUCAGCCAUCCCCAAAAGUUGGAAAGAGUCGCUGCUCAUCUCAGCCACAAACAUGCCCAUAUUGGACAUUGCUGCAGCCCCCUGGAUGCACCAUCUCAACCAAACUCCUCCAAGCACUUUAGCAAUAUCUGAAAAGUAACCAUCGGUCCACAAGUCGCGAUCUAAUGGAAUAGCUCCAGUUCAAACUAGAAGGGGAAAGAAAUACCCAAAAAUGACCAAGAUCAAAGCAUAAAACAAAGCCUUUGGAAGAGUCUUCUUUGGGUUAUCCACCUCUCCAGCUAGUGUACUUAUUGAGUCCCAGUAGUUGAGAUUCCAAAACAGGGUGUUCAAAUACAAAUUCCAAUCCACUUCACCUAAAUUUACUACAAGCCAUCUUGAAGGCUCUAACUUGGGAAGGGACACAAGUCCCAUAACCCCAAAAGGAAGGAGUGAGAAAAUCCCUAAAAGAACAGCAGCCCAUCCCACAAUGGUUAGACCCCUAUAGUUCAUGAAAGUGAGAACAAAAGUCAAAGCUAACGCCGCAAAGGCUCUAGGUAACCCAUUGCCCAACGCAGGGAUACCAGACUUCAAGUAGUCAAGAAACAGAACUGGGUAUAAAGCAUUAUCAAUAACCCCACUUAGCCAUCCAACCUUGCUGAAAACCCCAAUAUGGGCCUAAGGCAGAUGAAACCCAAACCACAUAACCACAAUUUUCAGGAAACACAGUACCCAUUUCGGCAGUAAUUAAAGCUUCAGGGACACUCCAUAUAAUCGGAAACACCAAGAAACCAAGAAGUGCUAAAAGAGGACCAGCUGCCUUUACACUAUCCUCAACACCAAACGGCCCCCCAGAAACCUCAUAGAAUAUAAGGAAAAUAAGUGGCAAGAUUGAUACUUUUUUAGUGCCAUGGACUCGAGGAGAAGAUGGUUGGUCAUUGAUAUUAACAUAUUCAACAGCAUCAGACUGCCCUAUUUCUACUGAAACUUGCCUAUUUACAGUGUUCCUCAAUUUCUGCAUCAAGUUUAAGCAUAACUAUCAAAAGGGUAUCCGCAUCUAAAUUAUGAAACAAAAUGAGCAUUUACUUAUUAAAAAAAAUCAAAAAACAGAAAUGGAUUUCGCAGAGCACAUGAAUUUAAGUUCAACAUUAAACAGGCGCUUAAGAAAACAAAAGGGUCUGUUCGUAAAGCCAUCAGAUUGCAAGAUUGAACAACAUUAACGGAAUCAAUAGAAUAGAUGUAAAGAGAUCUGAAAAGAAAAUAAAAUAAAAGAUAAAGAGAGAUAAAACGAACCAUCAAAUAAGUGCAUGCAGAGCAGAGAGGCAGAUACUAGAGAAGCUCCGUCAUGUUAGAGAGAGCCUAAUUCAAUCAGAGCUCACUGAGUUUCUUUUCAACCGACCGGCAAAUUUGGAGUGGCACAACAUAAUAUUUUUACUUUUAAUUUUUGGAACACUUUUGAAUAGAAUUUUUUGUUUUUAAAAAAGGUAAGGGAGAUUAGUAUUUAUUUAACGGAUCAGGCUACGGUGCAACUGUGGCACCGUGCCACAGUUGCAUCUAGCCGUUGGAUGCAAUUGGAAUGGUGGAGUCCACUGACAUCCAACGGUUAGAUACAACUAUGACACGGUACCACAGUUGCACCUAAGGUUCCCUUAUUUAACUUUAUAUUUUUUAAAAUACCUUAAAAAUAUUUUUAUGUUAAAAUAUUAAUAUUUUUAUUAAUAAUUUUUAUAUUUUUAAUUUAUUUUUAUAAUAUUAUUUUUUAUAAUAAUUUUUUAUUUAAAUAUUAAUAAAAAAAUAAUUAAAUUAACAAUUUAAUCCUAAAAUAAAUAAACACGUGUUUGGUUUUGGGCUUUUUCUUUUGUUCGUUUAAUAUCAUCUGGCUCCCUGAUUUGUGACUAAUUAUCAACAGAAUCCCGUUGGUUUCUAAAUUGAAAUAAUAGAAGGUCAUGAGACUAUUUACUCCAUUUAGCACUGCAGACUUAGAGUAUAUUGAAAAAGCUUUGUCAAAUAGUAGUAAUAGGGGCAUAAGAAAUAAAUUAUAGCUAUCACAAAUUCGUUAGGAGAAUUUCAAUUUUUUCCAUCAAUAAUGGCUAUGAAGCAAAAUUACCUUAGGUUAUAUUGCAAUACUAAUACUUCAAAUCCUGAUAAUAAAUUUGAUGACAGUCGUUUUUAUCAUGGUUUUAACAGAUAUAAGAAGAGAAAAUUAACUGUUCAAACAAAUUAGAAGCAAAUUCUUUCAUAUCUUUCUUUUAUUUUUCCGCUUACUUUCUUAGCAUCCAAACAAGUUAAAGUUAAAACGCUGUUAGAGCCAACAAUAUGCAGGCAUCAAUAAGCAUAGUAGUUUUGUAUAUGUAUUCUAUACGAUAUUCUAGGGAUGUCAAUUGUAGAACAUUUUGUGGUAACUUUUUUACAUUAAUUAAUGUUUGAAGAACUUGUUAAAAAGAAAAUGGUAAUUUUAUCAUUUUGAAAGACAAAAAAAAAAAAAAAAAGAGUGAAAGUGGCGUUACCUCAUGGUCAUUAGAGACUUGUUGCAAUGAUAGCUCAAAAUUAAAAAUUUGUGAAGAAUUAGUAGACAACGACGAUACUAUAUUUAUACAGUCACCAACGUGUUGAUUUUUGUUUAAUGUUUGAUCGAUAGAAACUUUCGUCGUCGUCGCCGUUGUUGAAUUUGUGCUAAGAAUAUCACAAGAGAAGAAAAAAGGAUGAAAGGGAAGAGAAGAAGAGAGAAGUGGUGGACAGCAAAUAUGAUAUGCUAGCUACACACAGGCCUUAGAGAGUUUUUUUUUAAUAUUUAUUGUAUUUUUGUUUUUGUUAUUGGUUUUUCAUAUGCUUCCAAGGCAGCAAUGCGUUACAUCAUAAAUUGCACCUUUUAGGGGAGGUGGUAAAAAACAUGAGAGCAAUGCAUUCUAGCGCAUACAUGCAGAAAGAGUUUCCAAAUUUUCAAAAGUUUCUUUAUUUCUUCCACCUUUUUUUGCUUAAAAUAAAUUUUAAUUGUAUUUUGCAUUAACUUAGAGAAAAAAAAAUCCAGUUCUAUACAUAAACGCAUACAUUGAUUAGAAAAUGAGUUUUAUGGACACAAAGGGACAAUAUAAGAGAUUCUUUUUGUUUAUUAGAAGUAACAUAACUAGUUAGUGUAACAUGUAAUUAUAAGCUACCAAUAAUUUGCACUAAUGAUAAUUAACGGUAUAGAUUUUGAGCUAUGAAUGUCUUGUGGCUAGUUUAAUUAGAUUUUCGAGUUUUCAGCAGAUCUAUUUUAAUGAUUAUUAAAUUAUUUUCACUUCUUAUGCCUUAAUAAAAAAAAUCAAUAUUUUUUGCUGUAUUCUAUAUUUUAAAACUUAAUUUUUAGUUCUUUAUAUUGCAAACCAAACUGAGUCAAAUAGAGUAUGCUCUUCAAAUAAUUUUUCCAUUGCCUUCAAGAAGAAUUCAUUUUAUUUUUAUAUAUUAAUUUAACACUUGUAAACCGGGCCGUCAGAUUGCACAUAAAGCAAAUGAUCAAACCGUUACAAGACCGGCCCAGGCCCACCGACUCUAUUUUCUUUCAUUUGACCAUUAAAAAGCUUUUGGCCACCCCCACCAAAUAAAUAAGCUCUUGUUCUCUUUUGUUCCCUCUCAAAGGAAAAUAUCUGAUCACCGGAUAAUGAUUCCGGCGACACAAAAGAUCGAAACACCCCCCUAAAUUCCCUAAAUUUACGAUAAUACCCCACCAUGGAUGAUUCCGUUGAAAUGCCGCCUUACGAUGAAAGGCCUAAAAAGGGUUUUAACUUCACCUCCAUGCGCUUGAUCUUAACCCUCGUUUUCCCAAUUUUAACUUGCUUUUUGUUGGCAUUUUUUAUUGGAAUCGUAGCUGUUUUAUUCGGUGAAUCAUCAGUUUCCAGUUCCAUUUUUGUCCCUUCCCAGUGCAAGAUAGUGUCCAGCAGUAAGCUUUUUUUAACAUUUUCAAUUUUUUUUCCAUUUAUGAAGUCCAAAAAUUUUAUUAAUUUUGACUUUUUUGAAUGAUUUUGCAGGUGUUGAUAUAAGGUCAUCAAAAGUUUGUGAACUUGGGGUGUUGAAUUAUAAGGCGAAGCGUGUGUUUUAUCCAUUUGAAGCAAGUAAAUUUCGCUGUCGGUAUGAUUACUAUUAGGCUUCUAUCUUCAAGGUAUUCAUACAUUUUCCCCUGUACUAUAAGCUUCUCAGUGGCGGUCUUGUGAGCGGAAGUGAGCGGUGUGGUUGACAGCUUCUUGAAAAUUAUAAGUUUGAACCAAGCAUGUUAGAGCACCACCAAAAGCCUCUUUAAAUAAGAUUUUAUUAUUUAUUUAAAGAGCCACAUCAAUAUUGAAAGCUCCAAAAGACACUUCAAUUAAAAUUCUUUAAAUAAGAAUUGAUUCUCUUCAAAUUUGGAGAGUUAAUUUCUCCCUCUUCAAUUUAUAUUUUAUUACUUUUCAUUGAAGAAAUAGAGAAAUGCUUUAAUUGCUAUUAACUUUUCCUUUAAAAAACUAAUUAUAUGAUUAAAAUAAUAUUAACUUAUUUAUAUUUGAAGAGUCUUUUGAAGAAUAUCAUAUUUUUUUCACCAUUCUAUUUGCCACAUAGGUAAACAAAUAGAUAUUUAAAGAGUAAAAUUUAUAGAAACUUUUGGAGAUGCUCUUAGACUUUUGUUGACCAAAUUCGAAAGCCAAAUGGCACAGCUCAGAAGCUUUUGAAUUGAAUAACUUACUAGGAAGCUCCAAUUUUUUGUUGGCUACAGUAAAAGGAUGUUGUUUUAUUCUUCUUAUACUUUACGCUUGCAUCAGCUUAAAUCACUUCUUAAACGCUUUGCUUUAACUCCACUGCUUUGCUGGGGCGGAUUUACCUUGGAACAAGUGGGGACUUAAGUCCCCACUGAAAAAAAAAUUGUUUUAAUAAUUAAUUUGAUUUGCCAAAACUUCUCAAUAAAUUUUUCUUAAGCCCCCAUAAUUUCUUUCAACAAGCAAUUGAUCUAAAUGAGUUAAUUUCUGUCAGUUGUAUCCAAAUGAGUUCUCUGCAAUUGAUAUCAUGGCACUUGAAAUUCAACUUGAUACAUAUAUUUUGGAUAUGCGCACUAGUGCGAGACUAAAAGACAUAAGGUAUAUCCAUUGGUUUACUUGUUAAUAAUAUUAGCAUUGACUUUACCCGUUGCCAUUGCUAGUGUAGAGAGUAUUUUCAGCCAUGAACAUUUUGAAGAAUUGGUUAUAAAGCUGUGAGUAAUAGAUGAAUGAUAGUUUAAUUAUUUACAUAGAAAAAUACUUAUUUAAUAAUAUUGAUAAUGAACUUGUAAUGCAACAUUUUUAAUGUAUGAAAACUUGAAAGGACAAUUGUAAACAUAUAUUGAAGUAUGAUAAAUCUUUCAAAUUUAUAUAUUUAUUACUUUUUAAAUUUUUUUAUAUUGCCGUUGAAUGAGCCCCCAGUCAAUCAAUAUGUUGUCUUCACCCUGCUUCGUACUCUUCUAUAUAUGUAUCGGGUAUGCAGUUGUAGUUAAUGGUUGAGACUACGUGUUUGUUUGACGUGGUAGUUACGUUACGAGUCUGUUAAACAUUCGAUGAUUAAAGUAUUAUCUGUUAUUUCAAAGGGACAAAUAAGAUUAGCUACAACACACCCACUAGUUUUAUAAAAUUCGAAUGAGAUGGAAUAAAAUAAAAAAUAAAUAAGUAAAUUGACUUUUAAUUUUAGUGGUUGAAUAUAUUUUCUAUUCUCUUAGGGCACUGCUGUAAUUAUUCCUUAAACGUCAGUCAUACCCACAUAUAAUAGACACAAGAAAUGAAAUCUAAAAUCACCUGUUUAGUUAAAGAAUCAUCAUGAAAAAAUUUUGCCAUUUUGAUUUGAAGAUCCACUUUUUGAACAACCAACUUAUGUUCAUCAAGAACGGAUCAUGGCUUGUGAGUAGAAAAAUUAUUUUUGGACAAAUUAUUUUUUUUAAUAGAAGAAUUUCUCAAGGGACUAAUAAAAUUACUAAUAAAAAUGUCAGACACACCCACGUACCAUCGACACAAUUGACUAUGAGGAUCCAUGUUUUGAACUUCCACCUAAUGUUCAUCAAGAACAGAAUAUGGCUUGUGAAAAGAAAAUUUUCUGAUUUUGGCCUGGAACAAAAAGAAAUUAAAUUGAAGGAGAAUCUGCUACUUUCUCAUUAAGAAAGGCAGACAUGGUAUACCAUGGUACCAUACAAUAUAAAAAGUCUCCAUUCUCUGGCUUUUCAAACUCUGAAGGGGGCAAUAUUCCCCAAUUCUCCCGUGAAAAUUCUAAUUACGACAUUAUUCAUCGGUUGAUACAUAAGUACAAGUAGUGACAAAAUUAGGAAAAAUAUGACUCAUAAGUAAUUACUAGGCAGGGCUCUUGAGAGCAACAUUGUACUAGGCUUUAUAUGCAAACAUGGUGUGGUACAUAGAGCACGUUGAAUUCCACACUAUAACACAAACCCAGAAAGACAAGUAAUAUCUCAACUGAUAUAAAGACAAAAAGAAGAUAAAAUGAUACAGAACAAAGAAUUUCUAAGAGACAGCAACAUACAAUAGACUAAAGCCAGUUGAUCUGCUCAUUGAUUGCAGCCUUAAACUUGCAAAUGUUUACUGUAGCCUGGUGCUCUAAGAAGUGAAAAUGAUGCAAACCUUGAUUCCCUGUUUACUUCCAUUUACCAUCAACACAUUCUAUUCAUAAGAAAAAAAAUGUUUAGAUAUCUUGCCGUAAAUAUAGCCAUUUGAUUGUCUUAAUAAAGCCACACACAACCAUUCAUAUUGAUCCACAUUGCCACAUAGCCUGAUUUAAGCAUACAACAGCUGAAUGUAUACCUAACUCCUAACCUUAUCAAUACAUUGGCGACAACUUAAGAAGAAAACUAUUUCUCCAUCUCUUUUUUGAAAUUUCACAAUAAAACAGCACAAUGUAAGAGCUGCAAUGAAAAUGGACCGUCUGAAACUAUGGCGGAAGCUUCAACUAGUGUAGUGAUUUGACCUUCUUAUUAACCUAGCGAGAUCAAACACUGCCCUUGAUCUUGAACAGAUCAAUACGAUACGCACAACUUAUGAUUGAAUCCAGAAACAAUCAAAUCUUUAGCAAGAAUAAUUAAUCAGAAUCAAGAAACAAGUUUAAUGAAUAUAAACCUAUAAUUGGAACAAACACAGCCAAAGAACCCAAGAAUGACACAACGAACACCAAGGGAGAAGCUUUCCAGUGAGAUUAUAUUGAUGAUCAAAGAAGAAUCUUUUUACAAAGCUAACAAAAGAGAUUUCAGAGAAUAAGCUAUGACCCUCUCUCUCUUCAAUCUCUGUCUAGUUUGUUAACAGUGAUGACCCAAUCUGCUUCGUUAGCCAGCUUCAUAACUGCGUCAGUGACAAACCAGCAAACCCAGAUUGAGCAGACUAACGACACGUGCAUAACGGCUUUAACGAACUUGGUUAAAGAACUGCUCACAUGUUCGUCACGCGUGUUGCUUAAAUGAUAGCCAAAACGACUUCAACCAGAUGCCGUUUUGAAGCUUAUGAAUUAUAAGUGAAAACACGUGCUUGUCUCGUGACAUUUAAAUGCAACAACAAGCCCAAAACACUGCCGUUUCACUAUGUUGAGUUUGCCAUCUCUAAGCUUCACAACUAGCAGCGGACAAGAUGAUAAUUUAAUUGACAUGGACAACUUUUAUAUCACUUUUACAACAUUCUAUAUAAUUGUGAUAUUGGGAAUCGUCGGUGUUGUAUAUGUGAACCCUCGUUGGCGACACUGGUGGUUUUAUCUUUGUUGAAAUAUGGAUGACUUUUUGUUACUAUUUUGUUGUACAUAGUACAUAACCUUAUUCCCAGGAGAUUUAAUCAUUGAAAUUAACAUGUUAGUUUCAUUAGAAGGCUGAGUGGUUAGGGCUGCUACCCUCCAACUUGGAGGGCAAUAGUUUAAACCCACAAGCGCAAUGUGGGGGUAUUUCAUUCUUUAAUUACAUUGUAUAAUUGAAUAAAUGUAAUCUUCUCUCUUACACAAGUGUGAGUGGAGUAGACAUCUCUCGAAUAUUAGCGAGGGUUAAAACUUGGACAGAGCUCAAUAAGUAUUUAUGUAAGUUGGUCCUAGUAAUAAUCUGAUUUGUAAAUAUCAGUUAUAGUCUCAUGUUUCCUUCCUUAAUUAUAUUGUAUAAUUAAGUAAAUGUACUCUUCUCUCUUACCCAAGUGUGAGUGGAGUAAACAUCCCUAGAAUAUUAGUGAGGGUUAAAAUCUGGACAGAGCUCCAUAAGUAUUGAUGUAAGUUGAUCCCAGUAAUAGUAUGAUUUGUAAAUAUCAGUUAUAAUCUCAUGUAAUAUGAGUUGUAAUUUGAGCAACAGUUUCAUGUAAUUACAAAAAAAAUGCUACUUUCAUUACAUUUUUCUUCGUUAAAAUUCUCAAGUAUCAAUUAUGUUUGCUUAAGAAAUAAAAUUUCGUUAUGAAAAUUGUAGUAGUAUUUCCGAGCAUCUCACAUUUUCAAUGAUUUUUCAUAAAUCAAUUAAUCUGUCGUACCAAUAUCAUGUUUAGUUUUUCAGACUAAAUAAUCAAGAAAGCAAACAAAUUCACAGUUUAGAGGGGUAAACUAGCUUUUAGAUUUUAGAACUAGGCUAGAUACCUCACCAAAUUCCAAUUUGUACAGUGAACUACAAGAUUGAGAAAAUAAUGUAUUUAUAGUUUAAUUGAAUCAUGAGAAAACAAUGUAGUCAUAGCUCAAUCGGACAUGAUCACGGAGAGGCAUAUUCUUUUCAAGUUAAUUUGAUCCAUUUAUAAGAAAUGAAGUGGAUCGAAGUUAAAAGUUAAAAUAAAAAAUCCUUAUUCUUGAGUUUUACGACGUCGUUACUCCUUCAAGAGGCUGAUUGUGCAAGUGAAUGGAGAAACAGAAUGCUUUUAUAAUUUUUUUAAUAAUUGUAAAAAUAAUUAACCAUAACAAAUCCCUUGCGUAAAUACUAAUCAUUAUUUAAAAGGUAGAAAGAUAGUUAGUGCACAAUCAAAUUUUAAGCCCCUACCUCCUCGGCCCAAGAUUCAAACUUAGAUGAUCAGCCAAAUAAAAUUAUUUGAAAAUCAUUCAAUCAGGUUCCCGGAGUAAAAAUACAAGAUCCUUAUUAUAAAAGUUGUCCCACCUGCUGGUGUAUAACAACCACUUCAAUUCAAACUAGAUUCUUUUUGUUUUUUUUAAUGUAAUCCUGAUAAUAUUUAUGUUAUCUUAAGAAUAGGUCAGCUUGAUUAUUGCUGAAAUAUAGGAGGAAGUUAGCUUUGAUUCAUUGUAUUAUUUAUACGCUCUGAUACCAUAAAGAGAUUGAUAAUUGAAAAUGAACUCACUUCGUUACUGGUAUGUCUGGUUCGGUGGUUGGCGGGGAAGGUGGAAGAGAUGGUUGGCGGGCAGGUAGAGCUUCCUGUGGGGUUGGGUCAGCUGGUUGUGAAGUAGCCUCAGGCAGAGAUAAUUCUUGAGAGCUAGCUGCAGAUGGAGUGUUGGCUGCCUGCUGGAGUGAUGUGGGAAUGGACACAGUAAGUACAGGAGGAAUCCAAGUGGAUAUGGUAGUGGAAGUAGGACGUGGAAGAGUGGUGUGUAGUGAGGUGUAUGGAAAGACUGAUUCAACAAAUUGAACAUGGCGAGAAACAUGUUGCUGUUGAUUAUCAUUUUAUCAGAGAUCAAGUUCAAUCUGGUCUACUUCGAGUAGCUCAUGUCUCCUCUGCUGAUCAGCUUGCCGAUCUUCUCACCAAGCCACUGCCCACUUCUCAGUUCUUGCUUUUACGGGACAAGAUUGGCCUCUCUACUCGUGGCCUAUCUUGAGGGGGCAUAUAAAAGUUGUCCCACCUGCUGGUGUAUAACAACCACUUCAAUUCAAACUAGAUUCUUUUUGUUUUUUUGAAUGUAAUCCUGAUAAUAUUUCUGUUAUCUUAAGAAUAGGUCAGCUUGAUUAUUGCUGAAAUAUAGGAGGAAGUUAGGUUUGAUUCGUUGUAUUAUUUAUACGCUUUGAUUCUAAUGGAACGAAGUGAGUUCAUUUUCAAUUAUCAAUCUCUUUACUUAUUUGCAUGAUAUAUAUGAAUUAAUGUAAUUUAUUUGAAUUAUCCAAAUUCAUUAGAGAUAAAACUAUAAAAUAUACCAAAAACGUUAGAAGGAAGGGUGUGUUGGGAUGUUUUACAAACUAUAGGAAUCUGGUGAGAUUUUGAGCCAAACUGUAGGGAGUUGAAGGCAUUUGCCCAAUAUGUUUAGUCGUACACUAACCGUUAUUUGAUCUUGUUGUUGGUCCCGGAUGAGCUGUAGUCUUAUUUUAAUUUUAUUUAAACUCACCAUAAGAUUCGCGGAGCUCCUAACUAACUUAAAUGACUCUGCAGAGCAUGUCAACACAUAGCAUGUUUAACCGUUUUAUUUGUAGAAGAAUUUAUGAUUUCCCAUUAGCAUUAUUAUUGAAGUGGGGCGGGGGCGGGUCAAAUCUCAAUUGCUUGAAAAUUUUAUUUAUUAUUAUUAGUCUUGAAGUGAGGUGGGUAACGGUUCGCUCCAAUUCGAGGGAAUCAAAUAUAUCAUCCAAGGUAGAAUUGUGGAAAAUUAAAGCAAAAUAAGAAAUAUGGAAAGAAAAGAAGAAAGUUAAGGCAUGAAAGACAUAUACAGUUGAAAUUAUAAUCAUGUUUCUAUUUUGUUAACUAAUCAAAUGGAAAGCUGAACUGUAAACAAACAUUAAAACGUGUGGACCAAGCUAGCUGCCCUACAAGUCCACAAUAAUAAUUGAGUACUUUGAUUCAUCCUUCUAUAAAUUUCUACCCAUAUUGACUCCACCGAAAUUUCCACAAAAUUAAAAAAAAAAAACUGAAUUUCCACAAAAUACAAAACCCGUUGAACUUAUUUUUUGGUCAUGUGAACUAAGAUGUAAAUUAAAAAAAAAGUAUAAAAUUAAAAAAGAUAAGAUUUCUAAAAUGUGUGGAAGGUGAUUCAUGAUUCACUGAAAUUACUUACCCCAGAUAUAAAAGUAAACCUAUCUAAUUUCAUUAAAAAUAGUUAGAAAAAAUUAACUAAUAAAAAGCUACGGAAAUUAACCCCCCACAAAAAUGACUUUUUAUAGAAGAAUUUAUGUUUUUUAAAAUAUGUUAUCAAAGUGUAUUUGAUCAAAUCUCAAUUGCUUAGUAUGGUUAGGAUUUUGUGAACAUCACUAAAAAGUGAAAAACUAUGAAUGAUAGGGGUGAUGCUUGCAAUAUGAAUAAAUAAUGGACUGAUUCAAUUGAUGAUUACAUUUAUAUAUUAUUGAUUAUUUAUGAAUUUUCAGACUUGUUAUGAUGUAUAACUAUGUGAUUUUGAAACUUGAAACCGUGGCAAACAUUGAAAGGAAUUAUAACUUGAAAGCAUGACUCACGGGGUAUGUCAUGAUUCACGUGCACAAAAAAGGUAGAAUUGUGGAAAUUUACAACCCAACGACAAAUACGGAAAGAAAGGAAGAAAAUUAAAAGACUUCGGGCCUAGCCUGCGUGUAUUAAUUAUUAGAUUACUUUUUUUUUUAUAAGGGUAAUCAUCAAUUUACUCCAUAACAAUCUUUAAUUCAUUUUUAAAAAAUAUGAAAACUUUAAUUUAUCUUUUAAACAUCGUUACCUCUUCAUUGGUUUUAAUAGUUCAAAGGGUAAAAUUAUAUUUGCAUAUUUUCUUGACCGCCAACUAAAUGAUAAAACUCAAAAUUCAAUCUUGUUAUCUUGUUUCAAUCCUCUAUCAAUCAAAUAAGAUUUCUAAAAUAUGUGAAAGAUAUUGCAUGAUUUCCUCAACCUACCUGGCCCCGAACAUCAAGGUAAAUCUCUCUAAAAUAGUUGAUUAAAUCUCAGUUGCUAAGUAUAGUUAGGAUUGUGUGAACAUCACUGAAAACUAUGAUUGAUAGAAGUGAUCUUUGCAAUAUGAAUAAAUAAUUAACUGAAUCAAUUGAUUUAUAUAUUAAAGUUUAUGAAUUUUCGGACUUGUUGCGAUAUAAUAAUAGCAUAUGAUUUGAAACUUGAAACAGUGGUAAAUAUUGAAAGGAAUUAAUUUGAAAGCAUGAUCCGUGGGGAAUGUGAUGAAUCGUGUUUACAAAAAAGGUAGAAUUGUGGAAAUUUAUAACAGAACGAUAAAUAUGGUAAAAAGGAAGAAAAUUGAAAGACUUGGGGCCUGGCCUGGGUGUAUUUUCUAACUGUCCAAUGGACAAAAUUAUAUUUGUAUACUUUCUCUUCCCUAGCUAGGUUUCAUAGAAUAGCUCAUUUCAUUUUUAUUUUUUAAAUAAUAGCCCAAAACAUCCUUAUGUUAAUUCACUGUUAGUUGAAUAUCAUUUGUUAGUAAUUCAUUAAGGGUAAAAAAUGAUUUUCUAUCAAAGAGAAAAUUAGAAAAAUAAAUAAAAGUUGACAUAUAACUAAAAAUGAUCUUAUCUAAUCCCACUAAAUAAGAAAUGCCAAAAAAGAUGAAAAAUUUAUAUUUCAAGCAAUUCUUUUUUCACUUAUUUCUAUUUUGGCGGCAUGAAAGCCCUAUAAACCCUAGAUCUAAAUACCAAAAAUAUCACAAUUUUCUUAUUCAUAUAAGUAUACUCUCUAAUUGCAUUGUAAAAUGGCUUGAAUUGAAUUGAAGAUAAAGAAAAUAUUCAGCACAUGCAAGCACAUAAAAAUUGGUGGCAUUUUUGAGUUUUUCUUCCAAUGAUUUAAAGAUAUUGUUUUAAUUACAGUUUGUUCCUUAUGACAAUUAUUCAAUGGCUAUAUCAAACUAUAUCAUCGUUGAUUUCAUUUAAGAAAAAGUUAAUGAAUUUUGCAUACUUUGUAGUGUUAUUUAAUUGUGUAAAAAAAUUAUUUUAAUAUAGUUUGUAUCACUUUAAUGAAAAAUCUUAUUUUGCUCUCAAUGAAUUACUGGUUAAUAGUUUUACACUCACGGUGAGUUAACGGAAGGAUAUUUUAGGCUAUUGAUUGAAAAGGAGGGAUAAAAUGGGCUAUUGCAUUAAACUUUAGGGAUGAAAAAUGCUUUUUCUCCUUUCUUAUCAAUCAACUAACUGAUAAAAGUCAAAACUCAUAUUUUUUUUUUCCUUGUUUCAAUCCCCUCUCAAUCAAAAAAGUUUCCUUGUCUAAGCAAUGAGGAAUAUGGCUAGAAAGAUUGUUAUUAGAAAGAUUUAUCAAUAGUAAUUGGUUCACAACUGAACAAUUUUAGAUUAUUGUGAGUCAAUAUAGGUCUUGUUUGGAAUUGAAGUGUUGUAGCUUUUAAGCUACAGCUGCUUUAGAAAAAAAACUAUAAUUAUGAAAUAAGAGUUAAUAAUAUAUAAUAAAUAUAAAUUUUAAAUAAUAAAUUUGACAAAAUUAUUAAAAAUAUAAUAGAUUUUUGAUAAUACAAGUAAAAAAAUCAUAUCAACAUAGCUUGCAAGUUACAACAGUUAGUGUUUACCUAAUACUUUAAUACUGUAGCUUUUAAGUUACAGUUGUCCAAUACCUCAAUUCCAAACGCACCUAUAAAAUGGCUUGCUUCAAAAGUCUAUCAACCCAACUUGGAAUGCUCUCAUUGUUGCGGAAACGUGGGUUGAGCAAUUACUAAUACUGCAACUUCUGGAGAAAUAUAAAUGUGGUGAUAAACAAAUGCAAAGAAAAUAGAACACAAUAUUUUACGUGGUUCGGCGUAAUGCCUACGUCCACGGGCAAAAACUGGAAGAUAAUUUUACUAACAAUGAAAUUUACAAAAGUGGGAAAAACUCACAAAACCCACAACCCCAAUACACCCAAAUGGAACCUCACUAGAACACUCAAGUGGAAGCUCUCUCAAAUUCUCUCAAAGAACUCACUUGCAAUUGCUCUCUACUUCUCUCAAAUUGGGAUGGUUACAAUAGCAAAAUGCUUCUCUAUUUAUAGAUUGCAUUCUGCUCCAAGUUGGGUUCAAUUUGUCAAAAUGUUGAGCUGGAUCUUGUAUUGCAUGCACGAGCUUUUCAACACCUAACUUUGUCUUUUGAAAUUGCUUAGCCGACCAUCUUUGCUUUUUUGAAUUUGGCAAGCAAUUCUUUGACUUUUCAACAAUUCUCCACCUCGGCGAAGAUUUAGUAAAUCUGAGCCGAUUAUCAAUAAAUUAUCCUCCAGCCUUUGCCUUCUCCGACUGCUUUUAAACUUGCAGGAUAUUAAUCAAGUUUAGACAAUGCUCAAACUUGAUCGCUGUCACCACCUUGGUCAACAUAUCUGCGGGAUUAUCUAUAGUUUUAAUUUUCUGAAGAAGAAUCUUCCCCUCAUCAAUAAUUUCCCGCACAAAGUGAAAGCGUACAUCGAUGUGCUUCGUACGCACAUGAUAAACUUGGUUCUUCGUUAAAUGAAUAGCACUCUGACUAUCGCAAUACACAUUAAUGUGCUCCUGCGCCAAUCCCAAGUUUUCAAGCAAACCUUAUAACCAAAUAGCCUCUUUAAUAGCCUCUGUAAUUGCCAUGUACUCGGCCUCUGUGGUCGAUAGUGCAACUGUAGACUGUAGUGUAGACUUCCAACUAAUUGGCCCUCCAGCAAAAGUAAAUACAUAUCUGGUGGUUGACCGUCGUUUGUCCAAAUCACCAGCAUAAUCAGAAUCAAUGUACUCGAUCACACUUUGACCAAGUGUAUCGUCUCUUUCAAACAGUAAACCAACAUCCACGGUCUUCUAAAUGUACCGUAGAAUCCAUUUCACAGCUUGCCAAUGUCCUUUACCAGGAUUAUGCAUAUACCUGCUCACUAUACCAACUGCAUGUGAAAUGUCAGGCCUUGUACACACCAUUGCAUACAUCAAGCUACCCACUGCAUUUGAAUACGAAACUUGUAACAUGUAUUCUCGUUCUGCAUAUGUUGAAGGAGAUAAUUGUGCAGAAAGCUUGAAAUGAGAAGCCAACGGGGUACUCACAGGUUUUGUCUGCUCAGUCAUGCCAAACUGCUGUAGUACCUUCUUCAAAUAUUGCUUUUGAGACAAGCUUACUUUGCCACGAGCUCUAUCUCUGCAUAUCUCCAUGCCAAGAAUCUUCUUAGCUUCACCUAAAUCUUUCAUUUCAAAUUCUUGAUUGAGUUGAGUCUUCAACUUCUCAAUCUCAUUUUUGCUCUUCGAUGCUAUUAGCAUAUCAUCGACAUACAAUAGCAAAUAAAUGAAAGAGCCUUCUUGUAGCUUGCGAAAAUACACACAAUAAUCAAAUUUAUUUCUUGUGUACCUUUGUCUUUUCAUAAAUCGAUCAAAUCGCUUGUACCACUGCCUCGGAGAUUGUUUCAACCCAUAAAGCGACUUUGUCAAUUUGCAAACCCAAUUUUCUUUUCCAGCAACCUUAAAUCCAUCUGGCUGAGUCAUGUAGAUUUCCUCUUCCAAAUCACCAUGUAAGAAUGCAGUUUUUACAUCAAGUUGAACUAGUUCAAUAUCAAAUUGCGCAACCAUGGCUAGCAAAAUUCGAAUAGAUGAAUGUUUCACAACUGGAGAAAAUACCUCAUUGUAGUCUAUUCCUUCCUUCUGAGCGUAACCCUUCGCUACCAAUCUAGCCUUGUAUCGAAUUUCAUUUUUACAAGGAAAUCCUUCCUUUUUUGCAUAUACCCAUUUGCACCCAAUUGCCUUCUUUUCCUUGGGCAGUGUAACUAACUCCCAAGUUUCAUUUUUGUGAAGAGACUGCAUUUCUUCGUUCAUUGCUUUCUUCCACUGUAUACUUUCUGGAUUACUUACUGCUUCUCUGUAAGUGGAAGGAACAUCAUCAUCUACAAUUGGAAGUGCAUAGGCCACCAUAUCAACAAAGCGAGCAAGUCUGCGAAUCUCUCUAUGUGGCCUUCUAUAUGCAAUUGAAUCAUGUUGCUGUGAAGGUUCCUAGGUCAGAACCUCUUCAUCAUUUUCGGUCGAUGGAGAAUCAUUAUCCAUCUCAUCGACACCAGCUGGAUCAGCUUUAACUUUUUCAAACUCCACAUGCUGCAAACUGCUACUGGUCUUGUCAUUCUCUUGAGAAUCUUUUUGUUUCAACAUGGUUGAUUCAUCAAAAGUUACAUCUCUGCUGAAAAUAAUCUUCUUCGUUACAGGACACCAGAGACGGUAUCCUUUUACUCCACCAGUUAUACCCAUGAACAAUGCUUUCUUUGCUCUUGGGUCUAACUUAGAUUCUUUUACAUGAUAAUAAGUAGUGGAACCAAAAACAUGUAAAGAAUUAUAAUCAGUAGUAGGUUUACCAGUCCACAUCUCCAUGGGUGUUCUGCCCUCAAUUGCAGUUGAUGGCAAACGGUUGAUCAAAUGGCACGCAUAUACAACUGCCUCAGCCCAAAACUCUUUGCCCAAUCCAGCAUUGGAUAACAUACACCGAACUUUCUCCAGUAUAGUCCGGUUCAUGCGUUCUGCCACCCCAUUCUGUUGUGGUGUAUCUCGAACAGUGAAAUGUCGCACAAUACCCUCAUCUUGGCAUAUUUGAAGAAAUGGAUCAUUCUUGUACUCACCACCAUUAUCUGAGCGAAGUCUUUUGAUCUUUCGACCAUUCUGAGUCUCGACCAUUUUCUUCCAUUUCAUAAAUAUGCCCAAAACUUCAUUUUUGUUCUUCAUCAAAUACACCCACACUUUUCUUGAAUAAUCAUCAACAAAAGUAACAAAAUAGUGCAUACCUCCCAAAGAAGCUGUUUUGGUAUGUCCCCACACAUCACUGUGAACAUAGUCCAUAAUUCCUUUUGUAUCGUGAAUUGCUGAACCAAACUUUACCCUUGUCUAUUUGCCCAGAACACAAUGUUCACAAAAUUCUAAUUUGCAAGAAUUUGUACCUUUCAAUAAGCCUUGCUUCGCUAAAGUUUGCAAAGCUUUUUCACCAGCAUGUCCCAAACGCAUAUGCCACAAUUUGGUUGCUUCUAAAUCUGCAUCUUUUCCAGAAACUGUUGAUGCUGAUCCAAUAACUGUACUUCCUUGGAAAUAGUACAAGUUAUUUCUUCUUGUGCCUUUCAUUACCGUCAGUGCCCCAGCUACUACCUUCAACAAUCCAUCUCUUAAAGUGAUUGUGAGUCCUUUAGAUUCUAGGACUCCUAAUGAGAUGAGAUUUUUCUUCAAGCUUGGUACAUAGCGAACAUCUGUCAAAACUUGGAUUGAGCCAUCAUGAUUCUUUAAUUGGAUUGUACCUAUUCCCAUGGUUUUACAAGCAUUGUCAUUGCCCAUAAAAACAACUCCACCGUCUAGCUCCUUGAAGUUAGAAAACCAGCCCUUGUUAGGACACAUAUGAUAAGUACAACCCGAAUCCAAAAUCCACUCAUCUGAGUGACAUAUCAAUGUCAUGCCAACCAGACUAAAGUCUGACUCCUCAUCAUGCUCUGCUACACAUGCAUCAGAAGUAGCCUUGCCCUUUUGUAACUUAGGACAAUUCUUUUUCCAAUGCCCUUUCUCGCGACAAAAAGCACAUUCAUCUUUGGCAGGUCUCCCUUUAGACUUGUUCCUUUUUCCAGGUUUGUGGCUUUGCGAACGACCUCUCGCUGUCAGUGCUUCUGCAACUGUAUAUCUGUGAUCCUUUCUAUCUUUCUUUCUGGUCUCAGAGUUGUACAAUGCACUGCAUACAGCAUCGAAUGUGACACUGUCCUUCCCAUGAAGCAAAGUAGUGGUAAGAUGAUCAUAUUCAUCAGGAAGGGAAUUCAACAACAAUAAUGCCUUAUCUUCAUCUUCAAAUCUCUCAUCUAGAUUUAGCAAAUCCGCCAAUAUCUUGUUGAAUGAGUUCACGUGGUCAUUCAUUGACAUGCCAUGUGUAUAUGUAAAUCGAUAGAGUUUCUUUUUCAUAUAAAGCCUAUUUUCAAGACUUUUCUUCAUAUGCUUUUCUUCCAGUGUCUCCCACAAUUUCUUUGCCGAUGUCUCCCUCAUGACAGAGUAUUUCUGAUCUUUAGCCAGACAUAGGCGAAUAGUACCACAUGCCUGUCUAUUGAUUUUUAUCCACUCCUUGUCAUCCAUCACGUCAGGCUUUUCUUCAAGAGCAACGUCCAACUCUUGUUGACAUAAGACAUCCAACACCUCACAUUGCCACAUACCAAAAUUAUUGGUACCAUCAAAUUUCUCCACUUCAAACUUUGCAUUAGUCACAGUAGUUCUCGCUGAUGAAGACGACGACGGUGCCUCUGCCAUCCUUUUUAUCUCAAAUGAUCAGUUUCUUCAACAACUAUUUACACUUAAAAAACAGCCUCUAUGAUGUUUAUUUCGCGUGAAUAAAUGCACCAGGAAAGUUCCCAAGAGACUGGACGGGAACUCGGUCCCAAUUAAAAACCAGAAUCCUUAGACUCUUAUCGCCUUUGUUGACAGAACUUUCCUAGACAUGCAAAAAUACACACUACUUACAAUAGACUGCCUCCCAAGUAUAAAUGACCGUCUCCACCGUAUUUGUGAACAGUACCGUUUAUAGGAAUAGUACCGUAUACGUGAACAAUACCGUAUCCCCCCAAGUACGAGCCGUCGGCUCUGAUACCACUUGUUGCGGAAACGUGGGUUGAGCAAUUACUAAUACUGCAACUUCUGGAGAAAUAUAAAUGUGGUGAUAAACAAAUGCAAAGAAAAUAGAACACAAUGUUUUACGUGGUUCGGCGUAAUGCCUACGUCCACGGGCAAAAACUGGAAGAUAAUUUUACUAACAAUGAAAUUUACAAAAGUGGGAAAAACUCACAAAACCCACAACCCCAAUACACCCAAAUGGAACCUCACUAGAACACUCAAGUGGAAGCUCUCUCAAAUUCUCUCAAAGAACUCACUUGCAAUUGCUCUCUACUUCUCUCAAAUUGGGAUGGUUACAAUAGCAAAAUGCUUCUCUAUUUAUAGAUUGCAUUCUGCUCCAAGUUAGGUUCAAUUUGUCAAAACGUUGAGCUGGAUCUUGUAUUGCAUGCACGAGCUUUUCAACACCUAACUUUGUCUUUUGAAAUUGCUUAGCCGACCAUCUUUGCUUUUUUGAAUUUGGCAAGCAAUUCUUUGACUUUUCAACACUCAUUCAAGUGGCUAUAACUAAGAUAAAACGUCGCAAAGGAAGAGUAAUUAAAAAAUGUAACUUCUUUAACAUGUCCAUAUAGCAUUUUUGUUUACAAGUGAAUUUGUGUGAUAGAGAGAGGAUGUAAGCAAGAUAGUAAACUCCUAAAUAUAUUAUUGUUUGUAAUGUCUAAAAUUUGAAGAGAAUCAAGCUAAUAAAACUCCAUUGAAAUUAGACCUUCAAGAGUACGGUUCUUGGGCAUUAUAAAAUGUUGUAAUGUUGAGAGAUUACCCAACCAUUAUGGAAUCCUACCAAGAUGAUUGUUACCACUAAGAUACAAUCCUUCUAGUGAACAACAAUUAGACAAAUUUUUUGGAGAUCUCUCUUACAAAGUCAUUACCAUCCAAUCGCAAUUUUGAAUGAAAAUAAAUUUUUUUUAUUGGGAGUUUGACCUUAACAUUAAAUUUAGACAAUGAAUUUUAACUUUCUUCAAUUAUUAAGCAGAUUACGGACAUUUGAGGAAUUUGAAAACAUUUCAUCCAUCGAAAGUUAAAAUUAGAGAUGGAAGCUAGGUGCUACAGCUAAUGGGAACAUUAAUUCCUGUCCCUCAUCACACUUUAUUUUGGGUCUAAUAAUUUUACGGCAGCAUUGACCACUGCUCAAGGUAAGUAAAACUUACAAAUGUGUGGCAAAAUAAAUAAUUAAGUGGAUAAACUGUUAACUAAUUUUCUUGAUAUAUACAGCUAAUGUAGUUGUUCCUCUGUUAAAAAAACAAAUGCUAAGCAAUUUCGGCUGAGCCUGCUUGUGGUGUUGAUAAAAACGAGGGCUGGCUUCAAAUAUUUGAAUAGACACCUCCACCGUACCUCAAACAAAUCUGUCAUUAUUUGUGCCAUGAAACAUGUUUCGGCCGUCAAAGUCAUGAGAGGGUUGAUGACGCUACUACGUAUGAUGACACACCAGCCGACAGUGUAGUAACAGCUCAAAAACAAAAUCUACCAAAAUCAACGGAAGUUAAUAAAAAAUUAUUUUAUUAAUAAAAAUAAAUAAAUAACUUAUUAUUUUUGGAGACGUGUGUAGUUGAGUCUGUGGACUGAAAUGGAAAAUAUGAAGAAGUUCAGAGUCGUUGUGCAGAUUGACUUCAGUUAAAUGGGACUAGUAGAUAUUUUAUGCUGACGUGGCACGAAUUAGUUAUAAUCUGUUACAACGUUUCCAGAAACAUCAGUAUAAAUAGAAGCUGAUGAGCAGUGCCUGUUGUACUUGUACGAUCCUUUUUCUUCUUCAGUUGUUCGUCAAUUUGCAUAGAAUCUGUUUCAUUGUGAUCUGUGCAAAGUCUUCUAUAAAUCCACUUAUGUUUGAUUAGUUAUUGAUCAAUAUCGAGAACAUUAUCCACCUGGAACGACUUCAAGUCCAAAGUAAAAGAGAGAGUGGCUCCCCGCAAUUUUCUUGUUUUCAGUAUAUUUUCUUUUUUUUUUCUUUUUUAAAAUCUUUUGACGCAUGCAUAAUCUACCCUUGUUUAUUAUCUCUACUUUGCUCUGCUCAAGUCCAUUUUUUCAAAUCUUAUUUUAAAUAAUAAAUUGAAUAAAAGUACAUUUGUGUAAUUAAUUAGUAUCUGAGGGGGGCAGCAUAUUUGGUGGAGUGUUAUGCUAUGUAAGACUCAGCUAUUAUCAAACAGUCCCUUAACCAUUUAAUUUAAACCAACUUCUAUUUGGUUUAUUUGCUAUCUUUGUGGAUCUCAUAGGCGUGGCAGAGUUUAAUAAUUUUAUCGUCUGAAGAAUAGGAUAUUGGCUUCAAUAAAUUUAAUUUAAACCAACUUCUAUUUACUCCAUCAAUUAAUUAAUGACAUUUUGUUUUGAAAAAUUCAAUAAUUAAAUUCUCACGUUUCAUGUGUUUGAAGUCAAAUUAUUCAUUAACUAGAACUCUGUUCAAAAUUGACUGUCUUGUGGUUCCCAAAUGUAGUUGUAAUAUUGAAUGAAAGUAAAAACUUUCUAUGGCGAGUUUAAAUCUAAAUCUGGACAAUGAAUUUUGAGUUUCUCAAUGCUAUUCUAAUAACAAAAAUUAUGUUGAUUGAUUUAUUGUUACAGUUACUAUCCUUUGAAAAUGGAUGGAUUCAUUGUUUCCGUGACCAAAUUAUGCCUGCCUAACGCUGCAACUAUUAAAAAAUUUAAUAUUUAAUGCACAUGUUAAAAGAUUUAAAAUUUUAUGCAUUUAUUAAUUGUUAUAAUCUUAAAAAAAAUUAAUUAAUUCAGGUCAAUCUGAGUUGGUGCAUCUGCAGGAGCCUUUUUUUAAUUUUUUUUUCCCCUUAUUGACCAUAAUGACAUCUCCUUCAACAUGACUAUUGACAAAGAGCAUGUAAAAACAUGGAAACAGAACUUCCACAGGUGGAAUUUAAGUUUUGGCCAUGUGGCCAUGAAAGAAAAAGGAAAAGACGCCUCUAAGAUUUGUUUCAGUGGUUUACAUUGACUCUUUAAUUUAAUUUAUAGUAACACAAUUUUUUUUGUACAAAUAUAUAUUAUUCAUGUUUUGUAUUAUAUUUUAACAUCAUAUUUUUAUUUAUUAUAAAUAUUUAAAGCUAAUUUUUAGGUUGAUAUUUAAUAAAAGGGUAUAAUCGUUCCAUCCAUUUCUCAUCUCGCGAUCUCUCUCAAUUAUCCUUUAUUGAUAGCUCAAAGCGCGUUGCUGUGGAAAAUUGUAGCAAAAUGAAAAAUUGGAAAGAAAGGGAAGAAAAUUAAUGCUUGGAGAAAGCAAUCCAAUAAGUCAACUGGUCUUUAGUGGGAACAUAUUACAAAAAGGCCUCGAUCAUCAUAUCGUAGACUCGGGGAUAAGGAUUUGGAUCGAGUUUUUGUUUUGAUAUUGAAGGACCUACUUCUCUGCCGCGAUGUAGAAUAUAUGCAAGGAGUUGUCUACUGCUCUUUAGGUCAUAAUAAUGUGAUUGGUGCAUUCAACGUUGCCCCGAAACACUGGAAAGUACUUCCAUAUCCUCCGAAUGAGAACUGAUUUAUAUAUGAUUUCCUAAUUGACUCAGGAUCAGAUGACAACAACAACUUAUUAAUAGUUAUAUCAAAACGGCAGAAGACGUGUUUUGUUUACAGGUUUGAUCCAUUUGGAAUGAAGUGGUCUCAAGUCGAAAGUAAUUUAUCGAAUAACUUUCGACUAAUUAAUAGUUAUAUCAAAGGGUGUGGGUGUUUUACCUCAUCAUGUCUUCAAGUGGAAGAUGAAGACUAGCAAGUGAAUUCAGGAAUAUUGCAUGCCAUUAAAUUUGUAGUUUUUACAUGUUGAUCAGCAGGAUACAACAUUAAAUUUUGUCAUUGACAAUACUGCAUGCCUGUCGUCUAAAGCAUUACCUCACAAGGUUUUAUGAGAAACGAAAGAUGUGUUUGCUUUGAACAAUUAAAGUUACUGCUACGAACCUCCCCAAAGGUCAAGAAGACAGAACAGGAAGCUAAUGCCAUCAAUGUCUUGUUCAUUAUAGCUGCUGGGUAGUUAGGUGUAGUUUCCUCAUUUGAAGCUGUCUAUACAUGGGCAUUUCCCCUGCUUAUGUACAAAUAAAUGAACAACCUUGAAGCUUUAUUAUUCGCAACAAAAAGGGAUUACUAAUUGGAGAAGACUAUACAGAGUUUCUCUCACACUUUCACUCUGUCAAUUUCAUCUAGAAGUCCCUCUAAAAGCAUCUCCCAAAACAGUUAGUCAUCUUUUAUGCUCUGUUUGUAAAAAAUGUGGGCUUUAUUCUUUCUAGAAGAGAUGGAAUUCUAGAAGAGAUGGAUUUGCACGGUCAAAAAGAAAAGAAAAGCCGUAAAAUAAACAGUAGCCGCAAAAUGAACAGUAGCCGCAAAAUGAACAGUAACCGCAAGAUGAACAGUAGUCACUGGUGGCUAUAAAUAGAGGAGUGCUCCUCCUUAUUGUUUGUAUCCAAAAUCCCAGAGAAGGAAUCCAAGUUUUGGUGAGAAAUUGAGAAAGAAAAAUAUUCUUAAGCAUGUAGUUAUAUUGAAGGAGCAUUUGUCUCCUCAAUAUGGGUAUUACGAGUUUGCUUUGUUAAGAGGUAUUUCUCAAGAUUAUGUAUUUGGGGUUUGGGUGAGAGAAAAUUUAUGAGAGUGCGGUUGUAAUAAUUUUCCACAUAGUGAAUAUUUUUUCUCUGGUUGUCUUUUUGACAACGGCCGUGGUUUUUUCUCCGGAUUUGGAGUUUUCCACGUAAAUCUUGUGUUGUGGGAUUGAUAUUAUUUUUCAUUUAAUUUUUCUUGUUAAUUUGUUAAUUGACAAAUUGCUUGGAGAGAUCUUGGGAGGAAGCUCAAUUUCCUAACAGUGGUAUCAGAGCCAUUGAUUGAAGUUUUGGUGUCGGGGUACUAUUCACGUAUACGGUACUGUUCACGUGAAGCAGUUUGAGCCAAUCCGAAUAAUCUGUGGUGAAGAGAAUAUGAAGCAAAUAUGUCAGCAGCUGGUGUUUUUCAAACUUGGUUGAAGUUUGAUGUUGUUGAAAAAUUAAUGGGAGAAUGAUUUUAUUGGCUUGUGGAGAAUUCAAGUCAAAGGUGUAUUCAAUCUGGGUUACACAAGGCAUUGAAGGGGAAGCCAUCCCCUGCGUCCAGUGGUGGCUCUGGAAAAGCUAGUAUAAGUGAUGAAGAUUGGGAAGAAUUAGAUGAUCGAGCUGCAAGUGCCAUACGACUAUGUCUAGCAAAGAAUGUUCUUGCAAAUGUAGGAAAAAUUCUUACAGCGAAAGAACUUUGGGAGAAGCUAGAAAAGUUGUAUCAGACAAAGAGCAUCUCAAAUCGAUUGUACCUGAAGGAGCGAUUUCACACACUGCGAAUGGCUGAAGGUAUAAAAAUUUCCGAUCACCUCAGUGUUCUCAAUGGUAUUGUGUCAGAACUAGAAGCCAUUGGAGUUAAAAUUGAAGAUGAGGACAAGGCGCUUAGGUUACUAUGGUCACUUCCAACUUCCUACAAACACUUGUUACCUACUUUGAUGUACGGGAAGGAUACAGUAGAUCUUGAAGAAGUUACUAGUACUUUACUCUCAGAAGAAAGAAGACUGAAUGGUGAAAGUACUAAAACUACAGAUGUCUCGGCUUUGGCAGUUGUAGGGAAUUGGCAGAAAGAUAAAUCUAAGAAGAAAGGAGUCUGCUGGGGGUGUGGACAAUCGGGGCACUUAAAAAGAGAUUGUCAUAGUAGAAAUGGAGUAGGAUCGGCAAGUGGCUCCAGAUUAGAUACUGAUAGUAUUGCUAGUGGUAAGUCUCUCAUCAUCAUGGGAGACGAUGAUCCCUUGUAAAAUGGAUGAUGAUGACAUCCUCAUGGUAUACCGCUAGUACCAUGAAAGGGGAUAUGUUACUACUAGCGGGUCCACAAGAUUUACACACAAGGCAUGGUUGGCAUUGAUGCAGGGUGUGUGGUGGAAUUUAUGUCGAUGAUUGACAAACUUCCAGGAAGGCCAACAUGGAAGUUGCACCAUAAAUUUCAGCAGGAUAUUUCGACAUGUGCCGAUGUAAAAUUCUUAGAAUUGGUAAUUAAUUCUAAGUGGUAUAUUCUUUAUGGUGGAGUAUGAUAAUUCUCUAUGACGAGGAUUAUGACUUAGGUGAAAACAGUAAGGACAGUGUGGAGAUUGAUUGGUUCUUAAUCAAAUCUCCAAGUGAGAGAAUGUAAAAAAUGUGGGCUUUAUUCUUUCUAGAAGAGAUGGAAUUCUAGAAGAGAUGGAUUUGCACGGUCAAAAAGAAAAGAAAAGCCGUAAAAUAAACAGUAGCCGCAAAAUGAACAGUAACCGCAAGAUGAACAGUAGUCACUGGUGGCUAUAAAUAGAGGAGUGCUCCUCCUUAUUGUUUGUAUCCAAAAUCCCAGAGAAGGAAUCCAAGUUUUGGUGAGAAAUUGAGAAAGAAAAAUAUUCUUAAGCAUGUAGUUAUAUUGAAGGAGCAUUUGGCUCCUCAAUAUGGGUAUUACGAGUUUGCUUUGUUAAGGGGUAUUUCUCAAGAUUAUGUAUUUGGGGUUUGGGUGAGAGAAAAUUUAUGAGAGUGUGGUUGUAAUAAUUUUCCACAUAGUGAAUAUUUUUUCUCUGGUUGUCUUUUUGACAACGGCCGUGGUUUUUUCUCCGGAUUUGGAGUUUUCCACGUAAAUCUUGUGUUGUGGGAUUGAUAUUAUUUUUCAUUUAAUUUUUCUUGUUAAUUUGUUAAUUGACAAAUUGCUUGGAGAGAUCUUGGGAGGAAACUCAAUUUCCUAACACUGUUUUCUAGAAACAGAGUCCUAACUAAAUUGAUUGACUGAACAGUGCAUUUCAACAUAGCAUAUUUAACUGUUUAAACAGUUAUUUGAACCGUCUUCAGAGUUAUCAUCAACAAACUCAUUCAUACUGGUCCAAUCUUACGGACGAUAUCAUAUGCUUAAUAAUGAACGAAUAGUCUUGGAUCAGUGUUUUGCGGCAAGAGCAACUCGACACAAUCUGGAUUCAACCUCCUCCUAUCUAACAAGGGAUUUCGAUUUGAGUUACUUGGUGCUCAAGCAAAUUCACAUCAUAGUUUUGAUUCUUUAGAUAUGAAUUCAUCACAUUACAUAUAUCAGAUUAAGUGUAACAAAAUUCUUUAUCUACUGCGAAAAUAAUAUGCGCUAAAAAAUGAUUUCAAGACUAUUUGACUACAAAAAGCAGCUGCAUGGCUCAGCCUCAGGUAAGAAAGCCACAGAAAAGGAAAAUCUCACUGUCACGACUCACGUCACGCAUCAUUCAAGUGAUGGAUUUAACAAGACUGCUUAUGUUCUAUCAAAUUCCUCUGCCUCUCAGAAGAUAACUUUUCUGGGCCAAAUUUCUCAUCUAAAGCAUAUUAUGCCCCAAAGUCAGAGAUAACAAAAUGGGGCACUACCGAUUAUGAAAGAGAGCUAGUAGUUGUCAGAAGCCUAAGUCAAAUUCCGGUAGUAAGAAGAGGCCUUUCUUGAGUUUAGAUUAUGUGUUCGAGUUUUAAUAAAUGCCUAAGUUAAUAAUAAUAACAACAGUAAUAAUAAACUAAAAAGCAUAAUUACUAUUGAAUGGUAAAAAAAAAAAAUGAAAAUGUGUGAACUCCAAUAACCACCCCAGUGGCGAAUUUUGGAGAGGGCUAGGCCGGGCUUCUUAGAAAUUAUUUUUAUUUAAUUACAAAAUCACCUUUACUGAAACCUAUAUAAAAUUUUUUAUAUUAAUUAAUUAUGUUGCCUCUUCAAUUAUCAUUGAAUUCUUGUCCGUUCAUCAUUUGAUGGAUAAAUGUGUAUUUCAAUAAUUUCAAAUAAUGUCUAGAACAAAUAUUUUGAAUGAUAAAACUCAUUAUGUCCUGCAUUACUAGAUGUAUCUAUAAUUUAUUAUUUACAAAUUAUAUUGUAUGAUAAAAAUGUAUUGAAUUUUUUAAAAAAAAAAAAGUUCGGCUCACUCAGAAAAAAAUGUUAUUAGCUUCGCCACUGCACAAAUCUAGAAUAAUAAUUAUUCCUUAUUAUAUUGACUGCACCAAGCAAUAAACUAAUAAGUUCUCAUUAGUGGUUUUUAAUCUUUUUAAUUCUUUUUACCGCACACCUGAUCAAUAAUUCUAUUUUGUUAACUAAUCAAUUGCAAAUCAUAUAUUAGUGUUGAACGGUGAACAAAAUUGAAAAAAAAAAUUCUUAAAAAACGUGUGGACUCGGAUAGCCAGACCAGAAAUCUAUGACAAUAAUUAGCUUUGAUGCUGGGAAUCUUUUAGUUUCUGGCCGUAUUGACUCCACCAGUGAUGCUGGGAAUCUAAUGGAGCUCAUUCUUUGGUUUUACUUGCAGGUCUAGAAGCAGGUGUCAUCUUGUAAAGAAGGAAAAUAAUAUUUGCCUUUUUGAAUAAUUUUAUUGAACCAGGAGACGCAGCUAUAUACAAGAGAUUUCCUACAAUCAUGCUAAUCUAUUCUAGGUAGUCUAAGGGCCAGUUUGGUAAUGCUGCAGCUUUUAAAAUAAUUACUGUUAGCUGUGCUGUAGAAAUAAUCAGCUGUGAAGAGAAUCAGUUAAGUGUUUGGUAAAUUUUAUUUUUAAAAGUACUGUGAAUUUUGAAAGCAGUUAUGGGUGUUUGGUAAAUCUUAUUGUUAAACUGCUGUAAGAAAAUAAAUGACUAAAAUGUACAUAAUGUAGGAUGAAAUUUACUUAUACAUAUAAAAAUAUACACGUACAAUAUUAUAAUAAAAAUUGCAUAGGCAUAGAAUUGUUUAUAUAUAAACAAACCCAAAUAAGACAAACAACAAAUAUUAUAAUAAAAAAUACAUUGAAUAUGCAUGAAAAGGGUGAUGAAUCACUUACUGUUAUUGAAUAUGGUUAUGGAACACAUACUGGAUCUUGCUUUGUUGCACUAGAGAAGUUUUGAUAGAACACAAAAUAUGAAGAAAUAGGGUAAACGAAAGGUGUGUGUUAAUUAUAAUAAAAAAUUAUUAAAAUAUUGAUUUUAUUUCCAAUUUAAAUAAGGAUAAUUUCGGGUUUAAGUAAUAAUUGUAAGGAUAUUUAUGGAAUUAUAUUAAAGGAUAAAAUUGAUUCUCAAAAUCAAAAUCUAAAAGUUACUCCUUCCCUGCUUUUCAAAAUCAGCUGUAGGAGGAGCUGAUUCUGGCAAAAGUAAUUUUGAUUUUUUUUUUACCAAACACCAAAAUUAGCUUUUAGAUUUUUAAAAUCACUUUUAACCCUCUCAAAAGCAAUCCCAAACGGGGCCUAAAUAUAAAAGGCAACUAAACAAAUAUACAACUAAUACAAUAUAUUCGUCAAUGAAUGGUCAGAUAUCAUUGACCUUUCCUUCUCAACACUCCCCCUCAAGUUGGAGAGUGGAUGUCAAGAACUCCCAACUUGCGUAUCAUAGUUGAGAAAGCUUCCUUUCCCAAUGGCUUGGUGAACACAUCUGCAAGUUGAUCUGUUGAGGCAACAUGUUUGGUUACAACUGAACCAUCUUGUAUUUUGUCACGAAUAAAAUGGCAAUCCAUCUCUAUAUGUCUGGUUCUUUCGUGGAAAACGGGAUUGGCAGCUAUAUGUAAGGCUGCUCUGUGUUAUCACAAUAUAAUAAUGCUGGCUUCGGAUGCAAUAUUCUCAAAUCCUUCAAUAAUGAGCGUAGCCAGGAUAAUUCACAACAUGUACCUGUCAUGGCUCUAUAUUCAGCUUCUGCUGAGGAGAGAGAUACGGUUUUCUGCCUCUUUGUCCGCCAAGAAAUAAGAGAAGAUCCCAGAAAAACACAAUAACCCGUAGUGGAUCUACGAGAUAUUGGACAACCAGCCCAAUCCGAAUCAGAAAAAGCUCGCAAAGAUAAAUCAUUCUGAGAAAGGAAAAACAAACCUUGCCCUGGACUAUUUUUCAAAUAACGCUAUACACGCAAGACAGCUUCCAUGUGUGGUCUACGUGGUGCAUGCAUGAAUCUGCUUAACACAUGGACCGAAUAGGUGAUAUCCGGUCGGGUAAUAGUUAAAUAAAUUAGGCGUCCAACAAGUCGUCUAUACUGAGACGGAUCUUUAAGCAAUUCACCUAAAUCCGAGAGCUUUAUGUUUUGUUCCAUGGGAAAGUUCACAGGUUUAGCACCCAAAAAUCCACCAUCUUUUAAAAUUUCCAAAGUAUAUUUUCGUUGCGAGAUGGAAAUACCUUUCUUCGACCGAGAAACUUCGAUGCCCAGAAAAUACUUCAAAUCACCCAAAUCUUUAAUUCGAAAAUGACUAUGUAGAAACUGCUUGAGGGAUACUAUGGCAUUGACGUCAUUACCCGUAAUAAGAAUGUCAUCGACAUAUAUCAACAAAGCUGUAAACGAUUUGCCUUUCCGACAUGUGAAUAACGAGUAAUCAGCUUUGGAUUGAACAAAGCCAGCAGCUUGGAUAGCUGUAGAGAACUUGGCAAACCAUUGUCGGGAAGCUUGCUUUAAGCCAUAUAACGACUUGUGAAGGCGACACACUAGAUUCUCCCCCUGUCGCCGAAGACCAGGAGGUGGAGACAUAUAAAUUUCUUCAUGGAGAUCGCCAUGAAGAAAGGCAUUGUUGACAUCAAGUUGGUGAAGAGACCAAUUCUGGGCAGCUGCUAAAGCCAAUAAACAACGAACAGUAAUCAUUUUAGCAGUGGGAGAAAAAGUGUCAUGGUAAUCUAUACCUUCUAGCUGUGUGUAACCUUUUGCAACCAAACGAGCUUUGAAACGCUCAAUACUACCAUCCGAGUGUCGUUUGAUUUUAUAAACCCAACGACAACCAAUAGGCUUCUUACCAGGAGGAAGAGAAGUGAGGGACCAAGUGUGGUUGGCUUCUAAAGCAGCCAAUUCAGAUUGCAUUGCUUCUUGCCAAUGGGAAUGGGAAGCUGCUUUGGCAUAAGAUGUAGGCUCAAUAUCUUGACUGACAGCAGCAGUAAAAGAGCGAUGUUGUGGUGAGUAACGAUGAUAAGAGACAAAAUUGCAAAGGGGAUAUCGUGUACCUUUUUGUAGACUUGAUGACAAAGGCGGCAAAUGGUUGGGAGACGUUACUUGGUUACAGACAUAAUCACGUAAAGCCAUGGGAGGGUGAUGAGGUCUUUGGGAACGACGUAAAAUGGGUUCGGGAGGAGGACUAGCAGGUGAUAGCUGAGUAGAAACUAAAUUCGGUGGUAAUGGUUGUUGGAUGGGAGAAAUUGGUUCCGGUGGUAAGGGUUGUGGAACUGGUGGGGAAGGAGCGGAUAUAGAAAGAGGAAUCACAUGGUCUGAAUUUAAGGAAGGGGAUGGAAUAGACUCAUAAGGGAAAAUAGUUUCAUGAAAAACAACAUCACGGCUAGUGAACAUUUGGUGGGUGUCAAGGUCAUAGAGCUUGUAAGCUUUUUGACCAACUAGAUAGCCAAGAAAAAGACAUCGUUUAGCUCGAGGAGCAAAUUUAUGGGGGACGUGCACAUUAGUAGCAUAGGCAAGACACCCAAAAACUCGGAUAUGAGAAUAAGAAGGAAGCUUUCCAUAAAGUCGUUCAAAAGGAGUUUGGCGAGAAAGGAGUGGUGUGGGCAAACGAUUAAUUAUAUGAACAGCAGUAGAAACACAUUCUGCCCAAAAAUGUAAAUGAAGGUGGGUUUGAAAACGAAAAGCUCGAGCGGAAGCAAGAAUAUGGCGGUGCUUGCGCUCUACAACCCCAUUUUGUUGAGGGGUAUAGACACAAGAAUGUUGGUAAGUGGUCCCUUUUUGUUUAAAAAAUUCCCGCAUAGAGAAGAAUUCUCCACCAUUAUCAACCCAAAUGUUGGCUAUAGAUACAUGGAAUUGGGUUUGGACAAAUGAAAAAAAAUUGACAAGUAAAUGUUGUGUUUCACUUUUGUGAUGCAUAAAAAACACCCAUGUGAAUCUAGAAUAAUCAUCCACAAUAGUCAAAAAAUAUUUCGCACCAGAAAGAGAGGCAAUUUUAUAGGGACCCCAAAUGUCACAAUGAAUUAAUUCAAAAGGUCUAAUAGAUGAAAUUGAACUAAUAGAAAAUGGAAGUCGACUUUGUUUUGCAAGUGCACAAACAUCACAAGCAUUAUUAGACUGGGAAGGGAAAUUUAACAAAUGUUUUGCCAUAAAAUCUAAUCUAGAGGAAGACAAAUGCCCCAAACGGCGAUGCCACAAAAUGGUGGAGGAGGUGACCUGAGAACUGGGUGAACAGCAAGAAGUGGCUGCUGCGGAUGGAGUUUGAGGUUUUGGUUUUUCUGAUGCUAACGCAACCAAGUAAUAAAGUCCGUCUCGUUGUUCACCCAAACCAAUUGUCGUCCUCGUCGUCAAGUCCUGCAAAAUACACCAAUGAGGGAAAAAAGUUACUGAACAAUUGAGAUCUCUGGUAACUCGACUCACAGACAUUAAAUCCACCUUAAAAGAUGGCACACCAAGCACAUUUUGUAAAGUAAUAGCAGAAUUCAAAGGUAAAUUCCCAAUGGAUGUAAUCGAAGCCUGUUCUCCACUUGGCAUAGCAACUGGUGGCAAAAAAGUGUUCUUAUUGCUGUUGACAAGCAAAGUUGGUGAUGAAGUAAUGUGGUCUGUUGCACCACUGUCGAUAAUUAAUCGAUGGAGGCGCAACAAUCUUUGUAACAAACCUGAGGCAGCAGCAUUAGCUUUAGGAUUGGUGGAUUGUGUUGUCCCUUUACCCUGCAUGAUAGAUAAGAUUUGUUGGAUUUGCAAGUCAGAGAGCCCAUUUGUCACUGAUGGCACUUCCUGCAUUACUGGACUUUCCUUGACAUUGUUGGCUGAAGAUUGAUGGUUAUUGUUGCGCUUGAAAUGAGUGCUUCCUUGAUUAGAUUUGUUUGAUGCAUGUUUAGGGUGUUCUGGUGGGUACCCAUUCAGCUUCCAGCAUUUUUCUCGUACAUGAUGGUCACGAUCACAAUAAGAGCAAUGCAAAGGUUUUCGAUUAGAUGGGUUGGAACGAGAAGAAGAACCUUGUUCAUGUCGAACAGCUAGAGCUACCGGUUCAGCCCUUCGAACAAUCAUGGCUGAGUUCUCCAUCAUCUCACGUGCAACCCCCAGGCUGCGCUGCUUCUCCUCUUGUACAAUGGAAGAGUAAGCCUUAGCAACAUCAGGUAGCGGAUUCAUCAACAAAAUCUGCCCUCGGAUUGCACUGUAGGACUCAUUGAGUCCCAUGAGAAAUUGCAUCAAUCUGCGUCUCUUAUGGUCUGCCCCACAAGAGCAAACGGUGUCAUUAUAGGAUCCUAGUUCAUCCCAUAAUUUUUUUAGCCUUGUGUAAUAAGCUGCAACAGUCAUCUGAUCUUGAGCAAGACAAGCAAUGUCCCUCUCAAUCUGAAAAAUACGAGGGGCAUUGCUUUGAGAAAAACGAUCCCGAAGGUCUUCCCAUACCUCCUGGGCGGUGGUCGAAAAUAUGACACUGUCUGCAAGGUCUUGUGUGAGUGAAUUGAGAAUCCAAGACAGGAUCAUAUCGUUGCAUUUUUUCCACGAAGCACAUUCGUCUGGUUUGGCUGUGGCAGACGGCAUUGUGGUGGUCCCGUCUAUGAAACCUAACUUGGAUUUGGCAUUCAAAGAAAUCGUCAUGGCUCUACACCAUGUCGAAUAAUUAUCCCCAUUAAGGGGCUUGGAAACAAGCACCAUUCCUGGAUGAUCAGAAUGAUGAAGAAAAUAUGGAUUGGCAGCAUCAAGCUUGCCUCCAUUCGAAGGUUGCUGUUCCGUCAUGAUAAUGAGUAACAACGAAAAAAGAAAGAGGGCAGAGAGCUAGGGUAUCGUUCCCUGCUCUGAUACCAUGUAAAGAAGGAAAAUAAUAUUUGCCUUUUUGAAUAAUUUUAUUGAACCAGGAGACGCAGCUAUAUACAAGAGAUUUCCUACAAUCAUGCUAAUCUAUUCUAGGUAGUCUAAAUAUAAAAGGCAACUAAACAAAUAUACAACUAAUACAAUAUAUUCGUCAAUGAAUGGUCAGAUAUCAUUGACCUUUCCUUCUCAACACAUCUAACAGCUGCUUUGAUAAUUUCCCACACCUUCAUCUUUGAUGGAAAUAUGAAAUAAAAACAAAUUGGUGAAAAUGGUUUUGGUACCCGCGGCUCUGUAAUCUAUUUCAAAAACUACACCAUCAAAACGACUGCAUAAGAAUCUAACUUCUCCUCUUGAUUUUUAUGGGCAUGUUGUGUAGUCCAUGCAGACAAAAAUCAUAUUUUAGUUUACUCUUACUCAAUGCUUGGAUUAAAGGUUUUUUUUUUGGGGGGGGGGGGGGGGGGGGGGGAUUGAAGCAGACUAAAAUGACACAAAAAAUAGUUGAACGAGUGUGGGUUUUGUCUUCAUUUUAGGAGAUCUUUAUAAAUUUUAGGAUUUUUUUUCCCGAGAAAAUUUAUGCCAACUCAUUCUUUGCUUCUUUUAUGAAGGGACAGAUGCAACUGAAAGUAUAUUCUUGAAUUCUAUAAGAGACAGCAGUUUAGAUUCUCGAGCCUUCAAAAAAAUAUCAAAUUCUAGAUUGCUGAAAUUUUAUAUAUCCAAGUAUGAUGGUGCACCAAUUAUUAACUCCAGGGUGCAACUUCACCGCGGAUUAGAAUGUCUUCCUGCAGAAUUGAGAAAUCUCCAUUGGCAUAAAUAUUUUUUUGAAAAUACUGUCAUUAGAUAUUUUUAUUAUUCAUACUUCAUUGCACAAGGCACCACCUGGCUUCUAUUUCAAGCCCUAAUAAUGAUCCGCUGCUGGAAAAGAAUUUGUGCAGCAUGUACGCUCCUUGACCACAACAGCAAAGUUUAUUGAUGUUAUUUCAUAUUCUGCUGUGAGUCAAAUAAAAAUUUACUAUGCCCUUUCGGCAUGGCUUGCCUUUCAGCAAAAAAAGAAAAAAAAUCUUUCAAAUUGUGGAAGCAUGCUUACAUUAAUCAGCUCAGUAUGUUAUGUUUCAAGGGAUGCAAAAUUCGUUUUGUUUCUCAUGGAAGAAUUGACUUGUCUGGAUGUAUUAAUCUCAUAGAUUUUCCACAGAUUCGUGGGAAUAUAACAAAGCUAGACUUAAGUGAGAUCCCAAUAGAAGAAGUUCCGUCAUCAAUAAAAUGCCUAGCUGAUCUUAAAACGUUGCGUUUGAGUAAGUGCACGAGGCUGAAGAGGCUUUCCAUCAAGCAUUUGUAAAUUGAAAUCUCUUCUUGAGCUUUAUCUCUAUAACUGCUCAAACCUUGAAAGUUUUCCAGAAAUCAUGGAGAAAAUGGAACGUUUAAAGAUAUAAAUUUAGCAAGGACGGCCAAUUACAGAGCUGCAAUCUUGAUAGCCUUCGGGAUAACAUUAGCAAUUUAAAAUCUUUGAGGUACAUCUCUACUAAUGGAUCAGCCAUUAGUCCUCUGUCGCAGGUUCGGUUGUACUUAAAUAUCUAUCAUUUUCUCAAUACAGAGGUUUGGUAUCAUUGCCUCCAAUAUUAUUGUCAGGUUUAGGUUUAUCGAAUUUGUUACAGCUAAAUUUAAGAGACUCUGCUAUAAUGGAAAUUCCCCAAAAUAUUGUUCGUCAAUCCUCAUUGAAAAUUUUAAAUCUAAAGGCUUGUUUGUUAACUACUUGAAGUAUGUAGUUAAUGCUUUUUUUUUUUUUUUUGUAAUUUAUGUUUGAUUUGAGAUAUUUACAUUUGAAUAAAAAAAUUAAACUUUUGUUACAUUUAUCUAAAAAAAAAAAAGGCUGAAUGGGAAGUAAAUAAUUCCCUUUUUCGUUUUAACUUACAAAAACAUAAAUGUUAACUAUGUUUAAGAAAUUUUUUAUUUAUAAAAAGAAACCAAAUACUACUUAUAUUCGUAUAUCAAAAAAUGAAAAACAAACAUGUUAUUCAUACGUUCACAUACAAACUCAUUCAGACCUCAGCUAAAUACAAAUCCAUUUACAUUUCAAAAAAAUAAAUAAAUACUUCCUAAGCGGGAAUAACUUUGAGAGUUGACUUGCAAGGCUAGAAUAUCUUGACUUGAAGGGUUGCAAUGAUUUCUCAUCAUUGAGAGUUUAUCAUUGUGCUUCAUCAUCAUCAUCAUUAUUAAUAAAAAGGUAAGCAAUUAAGAGUCAAAUUAAACCAGAAAAUCACUCAUCCACGCUUUUGGGACAUCAUUCUGCUCAUUAUUUUUAUUCCGUAUCUUCAUUGUUUUAUUUGGUAAUUAUUACCAUUAGUAAAUAAAGGGAUUAGUUGAUUAUUAUGAACUAACUAAAUGGAGCUCACCCUUAAAUGUCGGCUUGUAUCAGGGAGGUGCCUUAGGGUUAAUAAAUCAACUAAUCCCAUAAUUUGUCGAUGUAGGUGAUGGUUGUUAAAGCCAACAAAAACAAAUACCUACUCUAAAUAAAUUGUGUAUAGUGAUUGAGCAGGGUCGUGUUUACAGAGAUCGGUAAUUAUUUAAAUCCUUUUAAAACGUAAAACAUAAAAUGGGGGUUUUGUUGACAAUAAUAAAAAUCAAAUUAAAAUAACAAGAAUGCAAAUUAAAGUUGUAAUUCAAAUUUGGAGAAAGCUCUGGUUGAAGGAAUUAACUCAGCUUAAUUCGACUACUGAUCAUUUAUUCAAAUAUAAAUUAUUACUACUUAUGAAUAGACCGGUUAUGGCUACUGAGAACCUCUAAUAGCCAAUAUCUCCUUAACUAGUCGAUAACCAAGGUACGACCAUUGAUUAUUUCCCUAAUCAAUAGACAACCCUAGAUACGAUCAUAUGAUUUAAUCAAUUGACAGCCUAAAAAACCAGAGAGACCCAAAUCCUAAUCAACAAACACAUACGAUGGUUCAUUUAAAUUAGAUUGUUUAUUCUCAUAACACAACUCUCUGCUAUGUUAUUUGUCACAAACAUUAAAAUCUUCAUACAAUGAAUCCUUUAAUUGACAAUAGAUUAAGUUGAUAAUUAAAUAGUGGCCAAUUACCUAAUUAACAAACAUAAUCAUGAAAAUAAUUCAGAGAAUAAACAAAUACCCAAAAAGCAAUAAAACAAUUAAAACAUAAGAAAGAUCUCACAGUAGUGAUGAAUCAAAGCUUCAUUAACCUUCAACUAGAAAAAUAGGUUUAGUUCUUCAUAGAGAGAAGAGAAAAGUUUAGAUCUAGCGUUUCUUUCUUUUUCUCCAAUCCCCCCUUUUUCACUAUAGAUUCCUCCCUUAAAUACUCUCUCUCUCUUCUCCUCUAGAGUUCUAUUUAAAAUAAAAUACUAAUAUAUGAAAUAUUAAAUUCGUAAUUACAAAAAUAGCCAAAAAUACAAAACAUGUUAAACUAAAAACUGCAGGUCCGUAGUUGACAGCACGCGCCCACGCCUUAUCAAUAAAGUUCUUCUGACGCUCUAAAUUUCUCCAAGAGAACAAUCAUCUUUAAACAUCAUCUUAUAGCUCAAUUUUAUCACAAAUCAAUAAAAUUGCACCUACAAAAGUAAAACACAAGUAAAUCAUUAUUAUUAAGUGCAAAACAUCGAUAUUAAGGGAAGUAAACAAUGCAAAACUAGUGCAUAAAUUGCACUCUAACAGUAGGGUAGCAAAUUAUUGCCAUAGAUCAGCACACAUCUCGAAAACAUAUUUGAUCCACACAGUGAAGAUGAUUCAAUAUUAAGCAUGUCAUAUAAUCUGGAGUUGGAUAUUGGAUCAAUUUGAUGAUAAUGAGUUUCUUUCAAUCUCAAUAUGUAUCUUCUUCGCAACAUGACUAGCCAUUGCAAACUCAAACUCUGACAAUGAUUUCUCAAUCGCUUUCUAAGACGAUGAGCAUGUAUGUAUAUAUAUGUGUGUGCACGUGCGCGUGUGUGUUUGUGUACGUAUAUAGAGAGAGAGAUAUAUAUAUAUCACACAUGUGCGCUUUCCUUUUGUCAAUAAGAUAUGCAGAGAGCUUAAUAAUCAUAGAUUAGCUUAUAUCCUUCAAACCAUGUGCUAUGAAGUAAUUUCACAAACACUUGUUGAACGUUAUUGAAUCAGUAGUUCACAGUUCAAUACAAUGUAGGUUUCCUAUUUGAAGUAAAUGAUUAUGGUGUGUGCAUUUUUCAUAAAGCUAACUACUGAAUUUACCAUUGAAACUUGCAAAAUGUAACAGAGAGAUGCAGAUAGCAGCCACGAAACACUAAGAUUGAAAAUCAGGACUACUGAAUUCUAUUACAAGCCCUUAAAAUAGACAACAAUCAUCCUCAAAUGUAUAUACUGAAAGUAAAAAAUAUUAAUCGUAAAGUUAUGCAUUAACAAAACUAUUGAAUACUUAUCUUUAGCUAUAUAUUUUUAAUUGUAGCUCCCUACUUUGUUCUAAGAACUAGGCAAAAGUAGCAUAUCUUCAAUCCAAUCAGCAUAUAUACCGCUCAUCUUCUCCAGUUCUUUCCACUUUGAUUUGCAUUUCAUACCCUGCACUUGCUGCUUAGAAAUAGUCAUAGUUUGCACAUUGACAGUAGAAAAAGUACUUGAAACAAUCAUUGGCAUAGCAUGGGAUUCCAUUGAGUCGCGGUCUCCAAGCUUUCAUGGUUCUGUAAAGAAAAUGACAAAAACAUCAUGCUAUUGGCAUUCUACUUUUAGCAAUUUUCCACAAGCUGAGCUUUUUCAUAUCUCUCUAUAAAUUAUGCUGGUUCAACCUUCAGAUAAGUUUGUGAUAAAGGCAUCUAUGAUUACAAUGGGAAAAUUACAUGAACUUAUGUUAUCAAUCAUUGUUUUGCCUUCUCGUGAUAGAAUUCUGCGCAAUAUAAAACAUGACAUAUCUGUUACUUACCAUGCCAUGUCGUGAACCUAGAAGCAAUGCAAAUUGCAAGGAACAUAUUAAGCUAUCUACUGUAUAUAACAAAUUCUUAUUAGCCCACAAUCUUGUGCCCCAACAUUGAUCAAGUAACACUAUUAUUUCAUUUCCAAAAUGGCAUAUAUAAUCUGAUGUUGAACAAACCAAAUUGGGAAUCAUCAUUCCUUACAUUGAGCUGACAUUCGUACCUGCUAGUCCAUGAGCAAAGUUGCUUAUAUUUCCACACAGGCAGCUCCCCUUAUCUCUCGGUUCCGACAGAGCUUUGUUUUCCCAUCACCAGCUUUGGAUUCAUUCGAUCACUGAUGCUCCGAGUUAGCAAGCCCCUUGUUGUGUUCCCAUUUAACAGACCCACUUCUGUUAUCCACAGAAGAUCCACCACUCAAAAUGCUUAUCACCGAACUAUUCCUAAACUGAGUAGAAACUUCCGCACAUCUCUCGGCAUUUACAUGAAGAAAUCGACACCCACCCUCAUAUUUGUAAGUUUUCUGAUAAUAGAAAUGUCUACAAAGCUGCAUUUCGUUAGGCAAUCUAGUCUCUCCAUUCCUAGCAAAGUGACAUUGAUUCCCGUAUUUGUAAUUGCCUAAUUGGGGUUUUGGCAAUAGCCUGGUCUUAAAAUUACCACCCAUUACUUUGUUCAAUGCCACUGGCAUCCUCUGAUUAGGAACAUUUUCACAAUUUUUAGCCCUGUUAGUCGAAUCACAUUCAAGGGGAUAGUGAGACAGUAUUUCACUAAAAGAUUCAAUUUGACUACACAUAUAAGAAUUUGAAAUCACUUUUUCUUGGAAUAUUUAAUGACCCACCCAGGGUGAAAGUUUUUGAAUGGAAAUUAUUUAAUUUGAUUUGUUUUCCAACAAAUUCAAGAAACCCCAGAUAGUAACAUAAAAAAAAAAAAUCAACCAAUAAUACGCAAUGGGUUUCUUUCUUUUUGCUUUUGGAGGGCCAUGAAGAUCUGGAGUGGGCUGUAAGUAAUAGCCUUUAUCACUGGAGUGACAAAUUUGCAGAAGAUGAUGCAUGGGGAAGGAUUGGGCGAGCAUAAAAAUGGCUUUACACUCUUUGGAUUAGCGCCUCAUUUAGGUUGUAGCGAGAUAAAGAUAUCAUUUAAAGUUUUAUAAUCCUUGUUAUGCUUAAGGCUUCACUUAGUAUAGCAUAGAGCUUUUCUAGUUUAGCAUUUUACAAGUAGAAUUUUUUUAAAUUAUUAUUUAUUUGGUUGUUUUGUUCAGAAGAGCUUUUAAAGCUCCAAAAUCUUUGAUAGUCAGGUUUUUUUUUGGUAAGUAAAACUUUUAACAAAAAUUUAUUAUUCACUUGAUCGUUUACAAGAGUUUUCAUUAGAAGUUAUGUAAAGUUCUUUAAUUUUUUUUAUCAGUGCAUCUUUUUACAAGUAUAAUUUUUAUUUUUUAACAAAAAUUAAUUCAAUAAUAUUAAUAAUCUCAAUAUUUGAGUUUUAAUAUCAUAUGUCACUCAUUUAUUGGAUGACAGAUUUCAUAACUUAUAAAAUUAUUUAACUAACAUCCACUAAGCUAAUGUCACUAUAGUGAAGAUUGAAGUUGAAAUUUAGAUGUUACGUUGGGUAAUAUUGCGCUUAUUUGGUUGUUUAUGAGAGUUUUUUUGUACAAAUUUAUUUUUAUACAAAUUGAUAUAGUCUAAAUUCAUUAAUUAGAUGAAAAUAGAAAAUAAUAAAAAUAAAUCUUGUGUACUAAAAGUUAUUUAAUCUAUUUAAUUGAAUUAUCCUACGUUUGUUUGUACUAAAUAAAUUUAUAUAAAAAUUAAUUCUAUUUUUUGAUGUGCAACUAAACUUUUAGUCUCUUAUUAUUCGUAAAAUUCAAAUUCAGUGGCUUAUCAAAUAAAAUUAAAACUAUUGGUUAAUCAAAUAAAAUUAUUUGAAAUCAUUGGGUGUGGUAGCUGGAGCUCUUGAAAGUUGAAACUAUGGAAGCCAUGAAAUAUACCAGCGAAAAGAGUUCUAAUUUUUAAAUGUCUAUUUUAUAAAAAUUUUAAUAAUAAAAGUGUCGCAUCGACAUUGAACAGUAUAAAAAUUUUUAAUAAUAAUUUUUUUACGUUUGGGGUAUUUUUGUAAUUAUACGAAGGUAAACUAAUCGCAAAAUUCAUUUGGCUUACACUUGCUCUGUGUAUGGUUAUGGCGGUAUCAUUAUCAUCUUCUCCAUUCGUACUGACACCAAACCUUAACCGUUCAGAUUCCCUUUCUCGACUGUCAUACCCUACGCCCCGUCUCCGUGUCUCCGAUAAACAGUGCUCAAUUAAGGCCAUCAGAUUAUCCCGGACCCACAUUGAUCCAACGGCUCACAAUGACCGACGACCUCUCCAUCUCCAUUACAAGCUUCCUCUUCAACUGGCUUCUGCCUCUAUCGUACUCUUUCUCGGAUUCGGAGCCCGUAUAUGCUCGGCUGGUCCUACGGAGCUACCUCUCACUCCAGCUGUCAACCAACAAGACCAAUUGCUUAAUCCAGACACAGAACAACAAGAGGGUGAGAAAUUGAAUCAAGAAUUUGAGAAUUGGAAAUCGAAAACGUACGCAUUGACCGUGCCUUUAAGGGUCGUUUCUCUUCAGAAUUCAGUGCCUCAAUCUUGGGUUAAGGAUUUUAUGCGAAGUCAAGGAAAGAGAUUGAAGUUUCAGAUGAAUUUUUGUGCUAGCACUGAUGGGAUCGUUAAAAAUUUAUCUAUGCCCUCUAACAAAGUUAAGGCUAACUCAGCUUCGUAUAUGGCUGCUGAUUUGGUUAGUGUUGGUGAUUCAUGGCUCAGUUUUGCGAUUAAAAAGAGAUUGAUUGAGCCAAUAGCUGAAGCUGAAGAUCAAGAUUGGUUCAAAUGCUUAAGUCACAAAUGGAAGGUAACAUCUUUGUCUUUGACCGGAUGAUUUUUAUUGUCUUACAUUGAAAUUUGGUAAUGUAAUUUGUUCUCUAUCUGUGUUACCUUUGUAGUGAUUUUUUUUUUUAUUUGCUUUUAUUUGCACUAACAAAGUCUUAGGUAUAUCUACGCAGGAAUGAUGCAGAAGAAAUUGAUCCUCGAGGUAAAAUAUGGGCGGCACCAUACAGGUGGGGCACAAUGGUGAUAGCCUACAAGAAAAGUAAAUUUCGAAAGCAUAAUUUGGCUCCGAUUGAGGUAAUAAUUGUCUUUAAACUCAUUUAGUUUUAUAUGAAACAAAAUCAAGACUGCCUUUCUCUUCAAUAUUUUUGAUGAUAAUAUCUUUAGAAGCAUCUCAUUGACAGGUAAUAAUGGUAUCCCUGAAAGAGUCUAUAAACUCAAUGAUAUUAUCUUCUACAAAUGGUUCAUUAAACUUCUUCGUUGCAGUCAAAUGUACACUAAGAACAAUGAGAAGCUAUGCCACUGUAGCAUGUAGUGAUGGCACUUAAUAAGUGAGUUGCUAGGAUGUGAACUAGAAAAAUUAAAUAUUGUCUCCUUGGGUAUGCUAGCUCGUAAGUCAGGGUUAAUAUUAGAACUUAUGAUACUAUAACCAUGAGAAGCUAUUGACUGCCAAUUAAAAUAUCCAUUAAAAUGUCUAGGGAGUUAUGAAGGUGGAGGUAACUUCCAAUUUCUAAGGCCACAUAGUAGACAUCAUGCAGGAUCCUAGGAAAGUGCAGUUAACCUCCUGGUCGAUGCCAUUAAUAAAUUUGAUCAAUGCCACUGAAACCUGCUAACUGAUGUCACAAUGCGACAUGAGCACUUCAAAAUGGGACAGACGGUCAGUAGCACUAAAUUUUUCUUGUCUAAGAUUGAGCAAUUGGUCUAACUACUAACCCCUAUUGUAGGUUGAUCAUUAUGUUUUUCAAUUAUGUUCAGUUUGACCCAAAACAUUACAGAAUCUUGAUCUGAAUAUUGUCACUGAACACUGUCAAUGUCGUUUGGCAUAGCCAACUAACUUGAGUUUGGUAAAACAAACACACAGUGUGUCUCAUGUCUCACAAUUCAAAUUAUCAUCUGUAAUGAUGGAGAAUUUUUCCAAUGUAUGAAGUAUGCUUUGAUACGUGGGUUACCUUGGGGAAGGUAUCUCAAAAUAAAGAAUAUGGGGAGAAAACAGUGCAGUAGUUUAUUAUUCCGUAGUCAAGUUUUGUCUCAAAAAUGGUCAAAAUUUAAAUGAAUAAGGACAGGGGAUCUUCAGUCUUUUUUCCCUUUUUUUAUACCAAGAUAUCUCUCAACCUUUAUAUAAUCCCACUGGAUAUCUGCUUCUAAUAAUUAAAAUAAAAUUUCACCCACACAAAUAAGUACUGACCAAGCUCUAACAAUAAAAAGUAACAUCUUUAGUCAAGUAAUUUACAGUUCCUCAUCAUCUUAGUGUGAGACUAUCAGUACGAUCCAAGAGCAAAAUAAAACUGGUUUGACCCUGUUUAUUGAUGUUUAAAUGUUGUUCAUUGUGACAUGUAGAAAUGAUGAGGUGAAGUUUCUUUGGUCAUCAAUUAGUAAGAUCUCGUUUGAAGUUGUUUUCUGAAAUGAACUGGCAAAUGGUAGUUUUUUUGGGGCAUUUGAUGGCUCUUUUUCUUUUUUCCUCAUUUUAAACAUGUGCCUGCUUGGAACGGGAUGGAUUAAGCUGCAGGUUAUAUAUUUUGACAUGCUCUGGUCAUUACACAAUUUGUUCACACUGGGAAUUAGGAUGAGAAAUUUGUUGAUGCUGUUUUGAGAGACCUGCAUUCUAUGCACAAUAACCUGAUUAAUGAAAAUGGAUUGUAGAACUGGAAAGAUCUGUGGCGGCCUGAGCUCGCAGGAAGAAUUUCAAUGGUUAAUUCUUCCCGAGAGGUUAUUAUUGGUUCAGUUUUUAAGUAUAUGGGAGCAUCAUACAAUUCAAACAAUAUUGAUUCGCAAGUUGCUGGUGGGAAGAUUGCUGUUCAGCAGAAUCUGGCAUUACUGGCAAACCAGGUACUCUUAAAGAAACGAUAUCUGGUCAUUGCAUGUUAUUGCCUGACAACUGAUUUUGUUUGUAAAAGUCUGCUUCUUCAUACAUAUGAAUGCAUAUGUUAGUGUUUUCUUCUCCUUUUCAUAAUAUAUGAAUGCAUAUGUUAGUGUUGUCUUUUCCUUUUCAAACAUAUUAUACAGAUGUUGGUGUUCUCUCCUGAGAUGGAUGCAAUAAAGGCAUUUGCUGCUUAAUUUAGCUGAAGAAAUGGCAAGGGAUGUGAGAUUCUGUCUCAUUAAAUUAACAAAAACCCAAAACAAUGAAAGCCCAUAAUAAUGUAGUGUGGGUAAAUUGGCGCCAUUUGGUUCGUUUCCUUAAUGUGAAUAUGCGAGCAAUAGAGACUAACAAAAUGAAGUGAGAACAGCAAGUCAGUGUCCUUUGAUGGAUGCUUUUUUAAGCAGAAAUAGGUUUGUAAUUGACCAAAUUUGUCUGGCAUGCCAAUUUCAAAAAAAUUAAAUUGUGUGGUUAUUAGCUGUAAUGAAGGGGCAUAGUAGGUGCAAUUAGGCGGAUCCAGGAAAGUUCAACAAAGUUCUGGUAUGGCCUAUUGAAAUUGGUUUUUGCAAUUCAAGAGUCUUUCAAGUGAACGAUGAGGGGUUUUGAUUUAUAAAUGUUAUAAAUCUACUGUGCAUAGUAUUCUAGUAGAAUCAUCUAUAAGUUCUAGUUAUUGAAAUUGUCUACCUUGUUCAGUUUGAGUUAAGGGCAUAUGUAAUAUGAAAAAUAGUUGUCGCAUCUUUUAGGUUACCUAACAUUUGAUCAAUCCUAUUAUGAGGGCUUCAAGAUGUCUAACAAUAUGCAGAAUGCCCAUGCUCCUCCCCAUUGUUUAUCUUAUACAAUAAUUUGUUUUAGAUGCUAAUAUCUUUGUUGAUACCGGUAACAAUAUUGCAAUAUCUGCGUUUAUUGGGUUUUACAUAGGUUCGACUGUUUGACAGUACACACUAUCUGAAGGCAUUUGGAAUUGGAGAUGUAUGGGUUGCUGUUGGGUGGAGUAGUGAUGUUCUUCCUGCUGUCAAACGUAUGUGAGUAUGUCUAAUGUUGCAUUGUUAUCUCCUUCAUAUUAGCGAUCAGUAAACACGAUAAUGUGACUAAUAAGUUUGUAUUCUCUUUUAUAGAUAAAAAAAUAUUAGAUGACUAGUAAUUAACAUUUAAUUAUAGUUGAAAUAUUGUUUAUUAAAUUAGUCUAUUGUCUAAGAACGGUUAUAAAAUUAAUUUCAACAUAUAAUAAGAACUAUUACAAUAAUUUAUUUAGAUUUAUAUAUAUAGCUUAACUAUGAAUUAUUAAAACCAAUAUAGCUUCAUAGUUUGUGUGUUAAUAUCUAUUUUAAUCUUUUGUUUAUCUUAUUAAUUUUUCAUUUAAAUUUAAAUCUAUGUUAAAGAUGUUCUAUCAAUCAAUUUGGACUAGAGAGUAAAUAAACAAUCUAGUAAUCACACAAUAGAUAUUGUAUAUAAUUGUUCAAUUAUAACAAACUUUAAAUUUGCAUUAAUAUGAUUAGAAGUAUUGUUUUGCAAUUAACCGAAUCAUAGGCUAAUAAUUUUCAAUAUGAAAUAACUAACUUAGGAUAAAUUAAUUAAUUGACUGAUUUUUUUUUUAAUUUGAAUAUCUUGUGUUAUCUCUAGUAAACAAUUAAAUUUGUCCUUCAAGACUUGAAACAAAACAAAUUGGAGGGCGAGUCAGAGGUCCCUCUCCCUUAAUCCAUCAAUGGAUAGAGUUCUGCUUGCAAACAGCAAGAGCAUUGCCUUUCAAGCAAGAGGUUAUGCCGGGCGCAUCUCCCUCUGCCCUUGAAAGACUCUGGUUAAGUUGCCUGAAGAACUUCUGAAGGGUAAACCAAGCCUGGAUACUAACUUAAUUGCUGGAGUACCCCCGGCUGAAAUUCUGGCCAGAUGUGAGUUUUUGGAGCCAUUAUCUGAAGCUACUUUGUCAGAUUAUGAGUAGCUGGUUGCUAAUCUGCAAAAACCUGCUCCUGUCUUGAUGAAAAGGGUGCAACAUUACUUGUCAUCAUUAAUCCAAAGCUUUCCAGCAAAAGCUACACUGAAAAGUUAAUGGCACUGCAUGCCAGUCAUUAUAAUGCUGUCAGGGCAAUUGGUUCAGGGCAACUGGGUCAGAGCAUAACUUCAUUGGGAAAAAAGGCUUCAGCUAGUUACCUAUUACAGUGCGCACUGAGAUGGCAGUUCUUGAGGUUUUAUAAGAAAUGAAAGAUGAGUGCUUGUUUGAACAAAGUUGUUGCCAAUCUCGCAGAGUUCAAGAAGAAAGAUCACAGAGCUAAUGCCACCAAUUUCUUCAUCAUUGUAGCCUGCAUAGUUGAAGUUUCCUCACUUGAAGCUGUUUAUGCAAACGCUUUUUCCCUGCUCAAGUACAGGAAAUUGAAGAAUUAACCAGAUAUGAUAUGCUGAAAGAGGGAAUUUCUUCCUUAGUGGCCUUUUGAUUUGUAGUGAAGGAGUAGGAUGAUCACUAGCAAGAACCCUAUCAAGGUAGAUUUUAUGAUGUUAACAUAUUAUUAAGCAUUUGUCACUUAGGAAUGAUACAUUCAUAGCAUGAAAUUAAUUAUAUGAUCCUGAUUAAUCAAUUAAUUUUCAUGAGUUUUAACCUAGGUAAAACUAAGUACAAUCGUCGUUAACAACUACUGAAAUUGGGUAAGUAUGAUCUUGACAUUGAAGAAUUUGAAAACACAACCCACAGAGGAAAUUACCUAUUGCAUGGGGAUGGAGAUGUUUACCGCAGCGAUACAGAGCAGUGUUGUCCACUGCUCUUUGGGCUAUGGUGUCACUAAUUCUGAUUACGUAAUUGACUCUGGAUCGGGUGGAAAUAAUAACACUUUAUUAACAUUGCAUAGUCCGAGUACUUUUCCAGGAUCAGAUACGACGUGGUCUAAUGUUGAUAAUAAUAGUUUAUUAAAUGACAAAUCGUUGUUCAAGUAGAAGAUGAAGGUUGUGCAGGUGAUUUCAGAAAUAAAAUACAUUCUAAGAGAUGCUGGUCUACUAUUGCAUGCCCCCAGAUUUAAGAAUCUUUUGAUUGGGGCAUUUGGCAACGAUUCGACAAAUUCUAGAUUCAAGCUCCUCCACCAAGGGAUACCAACUGAGUUAUCAAUUAUCGUAGCAGUUUCUAUGAACUAAAAUUUGCAAAAUAAUUUCUAGCCCCGUUGACUCCACCAACUAAAGUUUACAACUCUACAAUAAUAAUUUCUAGCCCCGUUGACUCCACCAACUAAAGUUUUUUAAAAUUUAAAAAAGUACAUAGAAUUCCACAACAAGCAAAACGUGUGGAAUUUAAUUUUUUGCCGAAAAAGGACAAGAAAAAUGAUAAGAUUUUUAAAAUGAGUGGAAGGUGAUCCAUAUUUUACUAAAACGACUUACCUCGAACAUUAAGAUAAUUGAUUUUUAUUUUUUAUUUUUUAAUAAUAUCAACUUCCAUAUCUUUCUAGCGGGUCCAGCUAUGUUGCAACAGUGAUACUGUACCAUUGUUGCUUUCAGCCAUUGGAUCUUACUAAUGUAACAGUACAACUAUAGAUCCAAUGACUGGUUGCAACUGUAAUACCAUACCACUGUUGCAACAUAAUUUUGCCCCUUUCUAACCCCCAGAAUAUGCUCACGUUCAAGUCUAUCUUGCUAAUUUAAAAAAAGAAAAUCAAAUCAACACCAAAACAAUGAAAAGUAAAGCUUUUGAAUUUCAACUCGAGCUAGCAAACGUAUUCAGCUUUUUCAAAUUCUUCCCAUUGCAUAUCUUCUUCCUCCAUCAAUGCAAUAUUUGAACGAUUAUGAAAGAGUUUAAGAACAUAAAAAAUCUCCAAGGUUUAUACGGUAUAACAAAUUUAAAUUCUCAAUUACAAUAGAUAAUAAUUAAACUAAUAAUUUUUUAUGUACUUAUUUUAGUAAUUUCACCUAAGAAUAAUAUUGUAAUUAGAAAAAAAAUCUAAUAAGUAGGGUGGUCUUAUAAAAAAUCAACUGGUCUCCCCCCCAUAUAAUUAUAAUCCUUCUAGAAAGCUAAUUUUUAUUAAAUAUUUGCUUUUUAAGUUAAUUUCAAUUAAAAAAUGUUUUAAGUUAUAUAUACUCUAAUGAGAUUCUGAAUUCCUUUAUUCCAAUAAUAAUGAAAACGUAUUAAAUUAGAAAUGAAAAAAUUGGUGUUGACGAUUCAACCUAUUUGGAUAGAUUACGUGAAUAAAAUUGAAAUUUUGAUUUAAUUUUUGUUUAUUGUUAAUUCUCAGGCUAUCUUAAUUUCAAGAAUUUAGAAUGUUAAUUUGGUCAUGGAUUUCAGCCCGUGAGUGUCAUAUUCUAGACUUAAUGGUAUCAUUCUUUGAUUGAGGGCAAUGACUCUCACUCCUCUUGUAAAAAAAUAUUUUCAACUAUUUUGAUGACUUAAAAAUUGAUAGAUUUAUUGUUGUCAUGACCAAAUUAUUCAUUUUAAUGAAAUAUAAUUAAUGCAUCAAAGUUACCAGGUUUAUGUUCUAUCUUAAUGCGCUUUUUUUUUUUUUUCAGUUAUCAGCUAUGCCCCUGAGGCAUUUUGUAGAGUAUAGCUUCUGCUUACCUCUGUUUCAUUUUUUUUUAAUAAAAAAACAAGGGAAGGUUUUUCCGAGUCAUCCAUUAUUUGAUUACCGUCAAUCAAGAAAACGACCAAAUUAAUUUCUCUCCAAAAUUUCCAAAAGCUAGAAAAUUUUGUUAUUUGAAAAUAACAUCAUUAAUUAUAGAGUGGAUCAAACCGCGUUAUUGUCUUUUAUAAAAUUGAUGUCUUUUUAAGAGUCAAUACAUUUUAUUUACGCAAACCAGUCGACAUCAACUUGAACUUCCAUAUUUUUAUUAUUAUGUUAUUUAUUUUAAUCCCCGAUUAUUUGAUUAGCCACUAUAUAUAUCAAGAAAGCGACAAAAUUUAUUUCUCAUGACUUCCAAAAACUAGAAAACAACAUCAUUUAUUAUUUUUUUGCAACCCUAAUUGACAUCAACUUUAACUUUAUUAUGUUAUUAUUUCAAUCCCCCAUUAUGACCUUUCUAAUCCUCCAUUAUGCAUCUUUUAUAGUGCAAAUUUAAUUGCACAUCUAAAUAAAUUGAUUAUUGUCACUCCACCACCAAUAUUUCAAAUAGUCACUAGACCAUUUCUGCCUUUAAUUUUCCCUUAAUUUUAACUGUUGACUGUUUUUAGCAUCUUAAAAUAUACAUUUAUUCCUUGAUUAUGUGAUAAAAUUAUGAAAAUAUCCAUUUUAGCUUAAAUUAAUUGGAAUAACCAUAAGCGUAACAUAAAUUAAUAGAACAAAAUUAUCAAGUGUAUGUUCUAUCUUACUUUUUGAAGAAUUUAACAUAUAUAAUGCUAUACUAUUAAUAAAUUUAUCAUUUACUAUAUAUGUUCAAAUAUUUUAUAUAUUUAUUAAUUGUUAUAUAGUCAAAGGAUGAAUGAUUUUUCAGGUCUACAUGAGUUGGUGCAUCUGCAAGACUCAAUUUUGACAACAAUGAUCUAAGGGGUAAUUUACCUUGGCGUUUGACAAAUAUAACCUCUCUUCAAGAUUUACUUCCAAUCUACUUACUGUAAAUAUCUCCUCAUCUCCUCUCAUUUAUAUGAUAACCCUUGAAGAUCUCACAUUUUCAAACGAUCAUAUUAGGGUUUUUAUUAUUAGCAUCAUUGUGUCAAUAAUAUAUGUUGCAGUAAGAUUUUUUCAGACCAAUUCCCUUCUUCAAAUAAUAAUGGAAAAGUAUUAAUUUAAAAAUAAAAUGAAUAUGCAUUGAUUAUAUCCUGAUUUUCAUCGAUUAUAGAGAGAGUUUCUCCAAAUCAACUCCCUUAUUCAAAUAAUACAGAAAAAAUAGUAAUUUAAUAGUAAAAUUAACAAGUGUUGAUUAUAUAUCCUAAGUUUCAUCGAUUAUGUGAUCAAAGUGGCAUUGUUGAUUUAUUUCUUCUUCAAUGUAAAUUUUUAGGUUAUCUAAAUUUCAAGGAUUUAAAAUCUUUGUUCAUGGAUUACACGCUUAUUAAUUUUUCUGCCAUUGACUGUCAUAUUCUAGACUUAAUGGUACCUUCCUUGAUCAAGGAUAAUUACUCUCUGCUCUCCUCUUAUAAAUUCUUCUUCCAUUAACAUCACUAGGAGUAUGUUGAUCUCUCAGACGUUAACUUCAGUGGAGAGUUUCCAAAUUGAUUGUCACAAAACAACACAAAAACUAGACACACUUGAUCUGUCUAUUAAUUCUCUUUCGGUAAAAUUAAUUAAUUUUAGGGGAAUAUUCGACCAACCUAUAUAAUUUUAGAUUGAUCAUUAAUUAAUUGGACGAAAAAAGUGCUUGUGCUUUUGUGGCGACAAUUGAACCAGAGAAGUGAAGCUGUAAAGAUUUGGCAGUAGUAAAUUGUUAGAAAGACAUAAAGACGAGUUCCCAUUAUUAUAAUUUUUUCAAAAAACUUUUUUACAACACAUGCACCUGGCCAAAAAUUUUAUUUUGCUAACUAACAAUAAUUGAGUAGCUGACCGUAUUGACUCCACCUACUUGCUAAAGUAAAAAAAUAGAAAUAGAAUUUCCACAAAAUGGCAAACAUGUAAAAUCUAAUAUUUGGCCGUGUGGAACAAAAUACAAAUAAAAAAAAAAGAAAAGAAAAAAGGCCUAAAGACUUUUAAAAUGUGUGGAAGUCUUUCGGCCCUUUUAUAAUGGUGUGUUUUUCAAAGGAACAAAUAAUAAUAAUGACACUUCUACGGUUUGUUUUGAUAAUCACACAUAUACUCUUUAAUUUGAUAAAUGGUUACACAAAUUUUGUUUACAAAAAUAUAUUAUUCAUGUUCUGUGUUAUUUUUUAACAUCAUAUUUUUAUUUAUUAUAAUUGUUUAAAGUUAAUUGUUAGGUUGAUAUAUAAUAAAAACGUAUAAUCGUUCUCUUACUAAACACACAUACUCAUAGUUUCUGUUCAUUUGUCAUCUCAAUCUCUCUCAUUUAUCCUUUAUUGAUAGCUCAAAACGCGUCACUGUGGAAAAUUAUAGCAAAACGACAAAUAUGGAAAAAAAUGGGAAGAAAAUUAAUGCAUGAAAGAGUUGCAGAAGACAACCAAAUAAGUCAACUAUACGCUAGCUGGGUGUAUAAAUUGUUAGAUGUGUUAUAAACAAAUAGCAUAGAGCCCUUUGGUUGGUUACAAAGAUAGAAAGAGUGUGUGUGUUUUUUAGAACUUAAAGAUACAGUUAGAAUGGGUGGUUCAAAAUAAAAAAUGGUGAUAAUGUUUGUUCUGUUAUUAAUAAUAUUAGAAGGUGGGGGGAGUGAGGGAUGUUUGGAUCAUGAGAGAUUUGCUCUUUUGCGACUUAAACUUUUCUUUGAUGAUCCUUUUAAUUAUCUUCACGAUUGGAUAGAUGAUGAGGGAGCAACUGAUUGUUGUCAGUGGGAAAGGGUUGAGUGCAGCAACACCACAGGCCGAGUGAUAGCGCUAUACCUUUUUCACACGUAUGGGGGAGAGGACAGCUGGUAUCUGAAUACUUCUUUUUUUACUCCCUUCCAACAACUUGAGUCACUUGCUUUACAUGGCAACAACAUAGCCGGUUUUGUUGAGAAUGAAGGUGCUUCGUCUAAUUCAAUUAAAUUACAUUUCGCUCUCGUAAUUUAAGACGAAUAUCAAGACUGAGCAGCUAUAUGCAUAUUCAUUCAAUUGACAAUUUUUGAAAUUACACCAAACAUCAUAUGUGAUCUUUGUUUUGAUUUUACUUGCAGGUCUAGAAAGAUUGAGCAACUUGAAGGGGCUUGAUUUAAGAGGAAACUUGUUCAACAAUAGCAUCUUAUCAUCUGUGGCUCAUCUUUCAUCACUAACAUCAUUAUAUUUAUCUGAAAAUAGAUUGGAAGGAAGUAUUAAUGUUAAAGGUACGUAAUUAAAACGUCAUCGCUUCUACCAACUCUUUCAUUAACAUGCUAAAAUAAGAUUCAAGGCUUUGAAUUCAAUUUUUUUUAUGAGUAAUAUUAGAAAAAUAGUUUUAAGCAAUUCAUAAAUACAAUUUUCAAUGUUUCUCAUAAUUUCAUCUUGUACUUUUGUAUGUCUUGACUUUAAGAUUAAAAAAAAAAUUACUCUAACUGUGAAGCAAAUACCCCAUGACUAAUUUACAAUUUUGUCCAGUUAAAAAUGAUAAAAUUUAUCAUUUGUUUAUAUUGAUUUAUUAACUCUAUUUUAAGUCUUAAGUCUUGGCGUCUUGGCAUGUUUGCAGAAUUUGAUUCCUUGAGCAACUUAGAGGAGUUGGACAUGAGCGGCAAUGAAAUAGACAAUUUCGAGGUUCCUCAAGGUACACAAUUAAAAUAUUAUUUAAUUAUAUUAAUUUAAUUCGUUUGAUUAGGGAAGGCCCAAAAUGUACAAAAACAUAAUUAAAAAAAAAAUAAAGAAAUAGAGAAUUCAUAUUAUUUCAAAAAACAAAAGGUAAUACUAUUAUUUCAAAAAAAGAAUGUAAUAAAGAUUUGAUUCCGGUUCUUUAAUCUUUAUAGCAAUUGAAAAACAAUGUUGCUCUUUUCCUAAAGCAUAAAAUAUGAAAUGAGUCAUAAUUGAAUUAGUCAUUUAUUUUGUUUAGAUCUAAAUUUAGACAAUAAAUUUUGAUUUUUUUUUUCAAUCCUAUCCUUAUUAUUAUUGUUAAACAGGUUACAGAGGUUUGAGGAAGUUGAAAAGCCUCUAUCUAUCGGAAGUUAAAAUUAGAGAUGGAAGCAAGUUGUUACAGUCAAUUGGAUCAUUCCCAUCCCUCAACACUCUUUACCUUUCAUCUAAUAAUUUUACCGAUAUAGCGACAACUACUACUCAAGGUAAGUAAAAGGUACAGAUGUGGCCAAAUUUAUAAAUAAAUUGUUAAUUAAUUAAUUUUUCCGUAUUAUUAAUAAAGCUAAAUUCGUCGCUCCUUCCUUCUAAUUCUAAACAGAGUUGGCAAUUUCACCAACUUGGAGUAUUUGACAUUGGACUUGUCCUCACUCCAUUUAAGCCUUCUGCAAUUGCUUGAAGAAUGAAUUUAUAUAUUUAUUUAUUAUUAUUAUUAUUGUUAUUGUUGUUGUUGAAGUGAGGUGGGCAAGCGUUCACUCAAUUAAUAUGUGGGGAAUUAAUAAUUACAAUCCAAGGUAGAAUUGUGGAAAAUUAAAGCAAAAUGAGAAAUAUGGAAAGAAAGGAAGAAAGUUAAGGGCAUGAAAGACUGGGAGAAGACUAAAGACCACCAAAUAAGUCAACUGAAAACUAGCUGGGGCCUGGCUGUACAAAUUGUUAGAUGUGUUUGUUAUAAAUAACAUAGAGCCCUCUUGUUGGUUGCAGAGGCAGAGAGACAGAGAGUGUGCAUUUUGUUAAUUAAAAAUAUAUAUAAAAUGGGUGGUUCAAAAUCCAAAAUGGUGAUAAUGUUAGUUUUGUUAGUAUUAAUAAUAUUAUAAGGGAGGUGGCGUGAGGGAUGUUUGGUGCAUGAGAGAUUUGGUCUUUCGAGACUUAAAACAUUUCUUUAAUUCUCCUUAUAAUUUUUGUCACGACUGACCAUUGUCAAUGGGAUGGGGCUGGGUGCAGGGUUGAUUUACGUUAGAACAAUAUAGCCGGUAGUGUUGAGAAUGAAGGUGUUUCAUUUAAUUUAAUUAAUUUACUUUCUCCCUCCUAAUUUAAGUGGAAUAUCAAGACUGAAUAAUUAUAUGCAUCUUCGUUCAGUUGACAAUUUUGACAUAUUUUUUUAAGUGAUUAAUUUUGAAAUUACACCAAACAUUAUUUGUGAUCUCUGCUUUGACUUUACUUGCAGCGCUAGAGACGUUACCAAGAUUGAGCAACUUGACGAUACUUGAUUUAAGAGGAAACUUGUUCAAUAAUAGCAUCUUGUCAUUUGUUGCUCGUCUUUCAUCAUUAACAUCAUUAGAUUUAUCUUACAAUGGAUUGGAAGGAAGUAUUAAUAUUAAAGGUACGUAAUUAAAACGUCAUCGCUUCUCCCAACUCUUCCAUUAACAUGCUAAAAUAAGGUUCAAGGCUUUGAAUUCAAUUUUUUUUAUGAGUAAUAUUAGAAAAAUAGUUUUAAGCAAUUCAUAAAUACAAUUUUCAAUGUUUCUCAUAAUUUCAUCUUGUACUUUUGUAUGUCUUGACUUUAAGAUUAAAAAAAAAUUACUCUAACUGUGAAGCAAAUACCCCAUGACUAAUUUACAAUUUUGUCCAGUUAAAAAUGAUAAAAUUUAUCAUUUGUUUAUAUUGAUUUAUUAACUCUAUUUUAAGUCUUAAGUCUUGGCGUCUUGGCAUGUUUGCAGAAUUUGAUUCCUUGAGCAACUUAGAGGAGUUGGACAUGAGCGGCAAUGAAAUAGACAAUUUCGAGGUUCCUCAAGGUACACAAUUAAAAUAUUAUUUAAUUAUAUUAAUUUAAUUCGUUUGAUUAGGGAAGGCCCAAAAUGUACAAAAACAUAAUUAAAAAAAAUAAAGAAAUAGAGAAUUCAUAUUAUUUCAAAAAACAAAAGGUAAUACUAUUAUUUCAAAAAAAGAAUGUAAUAAAGAUUUGAUUCCGGUUCUUUAAUCUUUAUAGCAAUUGAAAAACAAUGUUGCUCUUUUCCUAAAGCAUAAAAUAUGAAAUGAGUCAUAAUUGAAUUAGUCAUUUAUUUUGUUUAGAUCUAAAUUUAGACAAUAAAUUUUGAUUUUUUUUUCAAUCCUAUCCUUAUUAUUAUUGUUAAACAGGUUAUAGAGGUUUGAGGAAGUUGAAAAGCUUUGAUCUAUCGGAAGUUAAAAUUAGAGAUGGAAGCAAGUUGUUACAGUCAAUGGGAUCAUUCCCAUCCCUCAACGCUCUUUACCUUUCGUCUAAUAAUUUUACCGAUACAGCGACAGCUACUCAAGGUAAGUAAAAGGUACAAAUGUGGCCAAAUUUAUAAACAAACUGUUAAUUAAUUAAUUUUUCCGUAUUAUUAAUUAAGCUAAAUUUGUUGCUCCUUCCUUCUAAAUCUACACAGAGUUGCACAAUUUCACCAACUUGGAAUAUUUGGCAUUGGACUAUUCCUCUCUCCAUAUAAGCCUUCUGCAAAGCAUUGCAUCAAUAUUCCCUUCGUUAAAAAAUUUGUCGAUGUAUCACUGUGUAGUCAAUGGCGUCCUACGUGGUCAAGGUAAAAGAAAAGUGUUGAUUGUGAACUCGCUCAAUGGUGUCCUACGUGUUCAACAUUUUUAUUUAUUUAUUUUAUUGUUUAAUGUUUCUGCUAGGUUUUCCUCAUUUCAAGAGUUUGGAACAUUUGGACAUGGAUUUCGCGAGCAUUGCACUCAACACCAACUUUCUUCAAAUCAUCGGAGAAUCAAUGCCUUCUCUUAAGUACUUAUCACUAUCAUAUUCUAAUCUUAGCACUGACAGCAAGACUCUUGAUCGAGGUUAAUGAGAUGCUUCAACCCUCCCCUUUAAAUCUAUAAUAUUAAUUUUCGAUUAAAUAUAUAAUUAUAGAAACCAAUCACUUAUAAAAGAAUGCUAUGCAUUUGCCAAUUUUUUUAUAUUUUACUGAUUGAUGAAUUAAUAAAUUUUCAGGCCUCUGUUCGUUGGUGCAUCUACAAGAGUUGUACAUUGCAACUCUUGUAGUAAUUAAUUAAUUAAUUAAUUAAGUAUUAGUUAAUUAAUUAAUUAAUUAAUUUUUUGUAUUAUUAAUAAAGCUAAAUUUGUUGCUCCUUCCUUCUAAUUCUGAACAGAGUUGCACAAUUUCACAAACUUGUAAUAUUUGGCAUUAGACUCUUUCUCUCUCCAUAUAAGCCUUCUGCAAAGCAUUGCAUCAAUAUUCCCUACGUGGUCAAGGUAAAAGAAAAGGGUUGAAUGUGAACUCACUCAAUGGUGUCGUACGUGUUCAACAUUUUUAUUUAUUUAUUUAUUUUAUUGUUUAAUGUUUCUGCUAGGUUUUCCUCAUUUCAAGAGUUUGGAACAUUUGGAUAUGGAUUACACUCGCAUUGUACUCAACACCAGCUUUCUUCAAAUCAUCGGUGUAUCGAUGCCUUCUCUUAAGUACUUAUCACUGUCAAAUUCUGAUCGUAGCACUAACAGCAGCAGGAUUCUUGAUCAAGGUUAAUCAGAUGCUCCCACCCUCCCUUCUUAAUCUAUAAUAUUAAUUUUCGAUUAAACAUUUAAUUACACAAACAAAUCACUUAUUAUAAAAGAACAAUACGCAUUCAUUAAUUUUUAUAUUGUAUUAAUUGAUGAAUUUAAUAAAUUUUCAGGCCUCUGUUCGUUGGUGUAUCUGCAAGAGUUGUACAUUGAUAAUAAUGAUUUAAGAGGUAGUUUGCCUUGGUGCUUGGCAAAUAUGACAUCCCUCCGAAUAUUAGAUGUUUCUUCCAAUCAACUUACUGGAAGCAUCUCCUCAUCUCCCCUCAUUCAUUUGACAUCCAUUGAAGAGCUGAUGCUUUCAAACAAUCACUUCCAGAUCCCAAUUUCACUUGAACCACUUUUCAAUCACUCAAGACUCAAGAUUUUCAAUGCUUACAACAAUGAAAUAAAAGCUGAAAUAACUGAGUCACAUUCUUUGAUCGCCCCAAAAUUCCAAUUAAAUACACUCUUGUUGUCUUCCAGUUACGGAGACAGUUUCAUAUUCCCUAAAUUCCUUUACCAUCAACAUGACCUGGCGUAUGUUGAUCUCUCACACAUAAAAAUGAAUGGAGAAUUUCCAACUUGGUUGUUGGAAAACAACACAAAAUUGAGCCACCUUUCUCUCAUCAAUGAUUCUCUUGCAGGACCUUUUUGGUUGCCAAUUCAUUCACACACGCAGUUAAUACUGUUGGAUAUAUCCAACAACAACAUCCGAGGCCACAUUCCACUAGAAAUUGGAGAUGUUUUACCACGUUUAUACGUUUUCAACAAUUCCAUGAAUGCUCUAGACGGUAGCAUUCCCUCUUCAUUUGGUAAUAUGAAAUUCCUCCAAAUUCUGGACUUAUCCAACAAUCACUUGACUGGUGAAAUCCCCGAGCACUUGGCCGUGGGUUGCGUCAACUUGCAGGCUCUUGCAUUAUCAAAUAACAACCUACAAGGUCAUUUGUUCUCUAGAAAUUUUAACUUGACAAACUUGAAAUGGUUACAAUUGGAGGGCAAUCGCUUCGUAGGUGAGAUCCCACAAAGUUUGUCUAAAUGCUCCUCACUAGAAGGAUUGUCUCUUAACAAUAAUAGUCUUUCGGGUAAGAUUCCACGAUGGUUGGGUAAUCUCACACGGUUAGAAUAUAUUAUAAUGCCCAAUAAUAAUCUUGAAGGCCCUAUUCCAGUGGAGUUUUGUCAGCUUGAUUCGCUUCAGAUUUUGGACAUUUCAGACAACAACAUAUCUGGAAGUUUACCAUCUUGUUUCCAUCCUCUCUCUAUCAAACAAGUUCAUCUUUCAAAAAAUAUGUUACAUGGACAGCUAAAAAGAGGUACAUUCUUUAAUUGCUCUUCCCUUGUGACAUUAGAUCUUAGCUAUAACCGCUUGAAUGGCAGCAUUCCGGAUUGGGUUGAUGGGCUUUCUCAGUUAAGCCACCUUAUCUUAGGUCACAAUAAUCUUGAAGGUGAAGUGCCAGUUCAAUUGUGCGAAUUGAACCAACUACAAUUGUUAGAUCUUUCUAAUAAUAAUCUUCACGGUCCUAUUCCUCCUUGCUUUGAUAACACCACACUUCAUGAAAGUUACAGCAAUAGUUCUAGUCCUGAUGAGCAAUUUGAAAUAUCUUUUUUCAUCCAAGAAACUCAGGGAUAUGUAAAAGAGCAAAUCCAUGAAAUUUUUGAGUUCACAACAAAGAACAUUGCGUACAUUUACCAAGGAAAAGUGCUUAGCCUCCUAUCAGGACUUGAUCUUUCUUGCAACAAGUUAAUCGGUCAUAUUCCUCCUCAAAUUGGAAAUUUGACAAGGAUUCAAACAUUGAAUCUAUCACACAACAACUUGACAGGAUUGAUCCCAUCAACAUUUUCAAACUUGAAGCAUAUCGAAAGUUUGGAUCUUUCCUACAACAAAUUGAAUAGAAAAAUCCCUCAUCAACUAGUGGAGUUAAAGACAUUGGAGGUUUUCAGUGUGGCAUACAAUAACUUAUCAGGCGAAAUUCCAGAAUGGAAAGCACAAUUUGCAACCUUCAACGAGAGUAGCUAUGAGGGAAAUACUUUUCUUUGUGGAUUGCCAUUGCCCAUUUGCAGAUCACCAGCAACUACGCCAAAGGCUUCAAUUGGCAAUGAAAGAGAUGAAAAUUUAAUUGACAUGGACAAUUUCUUUAUCACAUUUACAACAUCGUACGUAAUUGUAAUAUUCGGAAUUGUUAUUGUUUUAUAUGUAAAUCCUUAUUGGCGACGUAGAUGGUUUUACUUUGUUGAAAUGUGGAUAAUUUCAUGUUACUAUUUUGUUGUAAACAAUCUUAUUGCAACAAGAUAUUGUCAGUGAAAUUAAUUAGCAGUUUAAUUACGAUUCUUUAAGUUCUAAUCAAGUUUGCUUAGGAAAUAAAUUUAUUUUUAUUUUUUAUUAAAAUUGUAGUAGUAUUUAGCGCUAUAUAGCUUCCAACUUCCAAGCACUUCACAUUUGUCUCUACACUUCCAAACCCAUAUCUAUCCAACAUAACUUAUACUUCCCUAUACUGUGCAGCAUACUUAAAUAAGAGAAUCAUCUCCAAUGUUAAAACCAACCACUCUAUAACAUUCAUUUAGAAACUAUAUUUAGAAUAGUUUUAUAAUCAUACACAAGAAAUGAAACACCUAGAUGCACUUGAUCGCCUAUUUUACUUUAAAAAAUAAUGAUUAUGGUGCUAUCAUCAUCUUCUUCACUAGCAACAUUAACACCAAAUCCAGCGAUGGACCCAGACAUUUAAUCAAGAAAGGUAUAUAUAUAAUAAAGUUGAAGCUUGACAAAAAAUUCAGGAAGAUUAAUGCAUCGCCACAACAAGAGGCACAACAGCAUCAAAGUAGAGAUGAAGCAAUAUUCUCAAAGCUAAAACUCUCAAAUCCACCCACCAGAAUUUCAUAUCUCCUCAACAAUUUUAAGAACUAAAGAUAAUUAGGAUCUAACAUUAGUUUUUUAUAUAUUAGUUUCAUAAUUUACAAAUCAAUGAAGAUGAAGAUUAUGCUAAUGAAUUCAAAUUAUACCAUACAUUCUCGAGAUGUUACCAAAAAUUUCUAAGUCAAUCCCACAUAUUUCAUAAUUUUAAGACUAGAAAAUUUCAUUAGUUAGAAGUUUCAUUACCUUCAAGUGGAAGAUGAAGAACAUUAUACAAUUGAUUCAGAUUAUAUCAUACAUACUCCAAAUGCAACUAGAAAUUAACAAGUUCAUGCACACAGAUUUCAUAACAUUAUGAUUGGAAAGUUUCGCAAAGAGAAAUUCUAAAUUCAAUCUCUUGCAUCAAGGUAGUUUGAUUGAUUUGAGUUACUUUCAAGUCAGGGAGAAAGUAAAUUAAAACAGGGAAAAAAUAACAGUAAAAAUUUGUUGCUAAACAUGAUGUGUAUUUUUUUUUUAAGGCAAUUUGGAAACACAGUUGUUACUACAGAUAUUCUCAACUUAGAGAUAACUACAAAUAUUAAAAUGCAUAUGAUCGCACAUAUUACUUGGAGCUUAGUAGGAUUUCAUUAAGAGAAGCAAUCAAACCACUUAUCAAUUGUUGCAAUCGUUCUAUAAGCUAAAAUAGCAAUAUAAUACAAGAAAAAGAACAUAUAGAUACUUGGCAAGAGUUCAUUAAGAAGUCGCAUCACAUUCGGGUGAGUUUGCUUCUGAUAUCUUGCUAGCUGGGGCUUUUUCUUGUCUUUCUGCGUAUGCCGAAGGAAACCAACCAGCUUGGCCCUUGCAUUCACCUUCUGACCAUCCAGUAGGAGCCACCUUGAGAAGUUAUAACUAAAACAGUGAAUUAAACAAAAGUUGACCGUUCAAAGACCUAAGGGGAAAACUAAUUCUUUUACGUAGGAGUGAAUUAGUUGUGAUCACUGAAAUAACAGCAUAACUAUGGAAGCAUAACAAGAUAUAAAUUCACACGUCUAUAAGGGUAAACUGGGUGGUUUAGAACUGAGCUAGCAACCCUACUAUAUUCUGAUUUGCACUUCAAUGUAAAAGGGAAUAUAUGGUAGGAAUAAAGAAAACCAACUAUCAUUUGUUAACUCAUUGCUUUUCAAUCAAAAUUUUAAGAACAAAAUGCCAUGUGCUUUGAACAUCAAAUAAGUAUAAGCAUUAGUUCUAAAUUCCACAUAUCAUAAGUUAGAAGGAUAAGUUAAUAGCAUAUUAGAAAAAUCUAUGUGUUGUUAUUUAGAGGGGAAAGUACCUGGCGAACCACAACAUAAUCAGCUAUUGAAAGACUUAGCUCUCCAUUUGCUUGAGCAACAAAUGGAUGUAUAACCUGCAAGAUAAUGGGAUAAAUAGAACUUAAUCUUAAAAAAAGCAUAACAAAAGCAGCAACAGUAGCAGCAACGUUCAUUGUAACCACUAUGAUCAUGGCCAACAAAGAUAUAUUAGAAACAAAAUUCCAUUUAUACUACGACAUUAAUAUGUACUAUAUGAUAUCAUGACGAUUGGGUUACCAAGAGCUAUCAAAGUCCAAUAAAUUCUGUAUAACUUUAUGUAGUUAUUCAAAUUAUGGAUCAGAUUUUAAAUCUGAAAUUUUGACUGCUCUCCACAAAACAUGGCCUAUGCGCAAGAAAGUCAUAGAUAAUGAGGAUUACAAGUGUCUGACAUCUUUUGAGUGAUGGAUUUAACAUGAGAGCUUAUGGUCAGUCAAUUUCCUCUGCCUAGUAAUAUAAGCUUUCUCGGCCAGAUUUAUCAUCAAAUACAUAGAUUGCCCCCAAGUCACAUCCAUAUAAACAUAGUUUUUCUAGGUAAACCAAGUAAGGAGAAUCAUAAUUCAGACAUAAUCAUAAAAAGGAACAUCUAACUUAAGAGAAAAUCUCAAAAAGAGGGAUGCUGAGCUAUCAGUCUUGUAUCUAUAAGCAAUAUCAAGACUUUACAUCACCUGCUACAUCGUGAAUGGCUACACAACUUUCAGUGGUUUGUCUUUCUUUGGCAUGCCUAACUCAGCUUUGAUGUUGCUGAGAUAUUGAUAGUAGAGACACAUGAUACUUCUAGCUCAUGCAUUCUAUCUAGCUCAUCCGACAGCUAUGUCUUUUUUAAUUCAUUAGUGUUUGCUAAACCUCAUGCUUAAAAGUCCUGUUGUUCUAAACAAAGUUUCCUAAGAAUGACUUCCUCAGCACCACAUUUGGACACUUUUAGAGCAAUUUAUUUGGGGGAAAAGAAUUUUCAAGGUGUUAACUAAUAAAUUUUAAAAAAUAAUUACUAUUUGUCCUACGAUUAUAUGACAAUUUAUCUGGGAUGAAAGGAUACAGACAGACAUCUUCCACUUUCAAGACUAAUCACUACUUCCGUAGAUGUUUUGCAAUAAUACAAAUACUUGACCAGAUGGUAGUGAUGGUAGAAAAAAAUUUUAUUGCUCCAAAAUUAAAAUAAGAAUGCAAUAUGUUAAGCAAAAGACUGUGCAACAUCAAAUUAAUUGAUAAGUUUGUAAUUCAGUAAAUUAACAACUUUCAUGGUAAAAUACAACAAAUUUCUUUAAAAAAAAAAAAAUCUUAAAAGACAGCAUUCAAUUUUGUGCGCAUCUUAUUUCUUAAGAUUUUCCAGGAGGGCAAUAGAGGGACUUUCACCUAUGCAAGAGAGCAGAAGCCUUACUUUCGCUAUAAAGUAGACGUCAUUCUGAUUAAUAUGCAUUUGCAAAUCAGCUCCAUUUGAAUCAGUAUUCUGAUAGACACAUGAGGCAUUUACAUCCAUUUCCAAAGUCACAUGUUGAGAGGAGGACUCAUUUGAUUGCUCCUCUAGGACCAUCUAAUUCAAGUAGCAAGGGAUGGAAGAGAAUAAAAAGUCACAAUUAUUCUUUUGCAUAAGUGAGACGAAAAUGAUAAAUGCAAUAUUAUCAGCAGUAAACAAGAAGAGAACACUCCAAGGAAUAGAUAGAUGCGGACAAGCAAGUUAAAAUGCACAGUUCCAAACCUCCGCAUACAACUUCUCUAAAAUAGCAAUAACGUGUUGAUGAUAUGUUUUCUCAGCAUCUACCUGCAAAGGCCCGAGACCAGGAAAACAACAAUAAAACCACUAGCUAAAGGAGAAAGUAAAGAAAGAAAUACACUUGACAUAAAUCUUGACAAGAAGCACAAUUUAAGACAUAACAAACCCCAAUCAUAUUGUUUAGAACUACCAUUCAUUAUUUCGUUAUUGUAGCAUUUCGAACAAGUGUUGACUUAAUUCAACAUUGUUGGAAAGAUAGGCUUUUAGAAGCGGAAGAAAGCCACUCAAACCAAAGUGAUUGUCCUUGUAUUGAUCAAGGGAUGUAAACAUAUUACAUUUGCAGGAUGAGUUUUAAUCACUUCCUGAUUUAUUUGGGUUGCAGUAAAACUAAGCGAGCAACUGUUUGACUUUCAAGCAACAUCUAAAUCAGCUAUUAAAAUUCAAAUAAAAUUAUAAUAGAAUAAUAACAGGCCAUCUUGCAUCAAAAUUAAGUUUAAUUUGUGAAUUUUUUUCUAUAGACAUGUUAGUUCCUGCUAUUGAAAUGUUAAAAGCUUUGAAAAAUUAUUCAAUAAAUUAUGCAAACAUUAAAAUAGAGGACAUAUUAAAAAGUUUCUAAUUACAAUGUUAAGAUUUCCUAUAUUUUAGCAUUUGCAUAUUUUAAUUUAUUUAAAAGCUACGUCGAUCAACUUUGGGCGUGAAGAUUUUAGCUUCUACGAGACUUGAUUGGAAUAUGCAUAAGGAAGAGUGUUAAAAUAUGAUGCAUCCAACGAAAGACAAACCAUGUGUAGUCUUUUAAUUAAGCCAAAGUAGCAGCUCAAACAAAUGACACUUGGACCAACAUGCAAUCAUGAAGUGGCCGGAAAAAGGACAAAUGCAACUUUGGCUUAAAUAAAAAAUAACAUGUGACUUGACUUUUCCUGGACAUGCAUCAUGUUAUUACAAGACAACAGAAAUCAGUAUGAUAGUACUAAAAGUUGACAAUAACAUGAAGAUAAGAGGCAGAAUGUCAACACAUGCAUAGGCACACACAAGAAAGUAUUAACAUAUAUACCAUAGCAAAAAGUCUUUGAUAUGUCAUCUGUUGCUGCUGUGAUUCAACUGACAGCAUGGCAGCUGUUGCUUCUCUACCAAGAGCCAUUAUUGUAGAUUUAAGCUCGGUCAAUCUUGCUUCUGCAUUUCGAAGCUUCACAGCACUCUCUGCUGAUAUAUCAGAUUCCCUUAUCUUUGAUCGGUGCCUAAAUACUUCAGCUGCCUGGUGAAAAUAUUCAAUAUAAAUCUAACAUAAUUCUCAUCUUGCCUUAUACAUGCAUAUGUUACCUCAAAGCUUGCCUGGGCUUCAACUUCAUGUCGAAGUUUGUCAUAACGAUGAGUCAGGUGUCGAGCAUCUUCCAAAGGUGCUCCGUUGAUUAACGCCCAUAGUGGCUUAGAUACCUACAUGUCCAAAAACCUGUAACAUAGUUAGAAAAAUGAAAAGAAAGAGCGAAACCUCAAUUAAAAAGUUCCUCCAACAUAAUCAUGGAAUUUGGGCCUACUUCAAGGAUAUAUAUAAGGAUAAUUUAUGCAAUUUUGGGUCUUAGGAUGAUUCAUAUUAGGUUAGUGUUCUUCUCUUCUGUAUUUAAGGUUAAAAUAGAAAUAAACCUAUGCAAAUAUCUAAAUUAGGGCUGUAAGACUUCCACAUGCAUCCUUCAGUCUCAUGGAUUUGAUUUUACUAUAGAUGCAAGUGUCUUUAUCGAAAAUGCUUGGAGUCAAUUGAGAGAACUCACAGCCAAUAACUUGUCACAUGCUAGUCUUUGCUAGUGAUGCAAGAAGUCACAAGGUCUCUUCAACAUUUGAACCAAUAAAAUUAUUAAGUCAUGGAUGUCACUAGCAAUGAUUUCAAUAUAAAACAUUAAAUAUUUCAAGUUGUAACUUUAAAAUGGAUUCUUUUAUUCAAUAUCUUAGAACUAAGUUUCCUUAUGAGAAGAUAAUAGUUUCAGUAGUAAUUUACAUGAAAUUUUCUAUAUUUGAAUUAUUUUCUAGUUAGGGAUGAACUAACCUGAUCAUGAAGAAUCCCAAGCAAAGUUUCCCUCUCAUUUUCCAUCAAAUCAUGUGAAGUGCCAAAUUGAAGAGCAGCUCUUGCAGCGCAAGAAUUGUCACUUUGAUUCUCCGCUCCAUACUUGCAACAAUCUUCAGCCAACUUUCUCGCUACAAUAUUUGAAUACAAAAAUAUUGUACACAAGAACCAGUCAAGAAAAUAAAAAAAAAUCAAAUAUUAUAACGAGAGCAAGAGCAAACAAACAACCUAUUUCCAUUUGUUUCAAGCUUACUGCAACAAACCCUUCAAUGCCACGGACAAUAUUCCUCUGAAAAUGCUGUGCUACAGAGCAUAUAUUCCAAAUUAUUGUUCAGAUAAAACCAUAGAAACCAUCAUAAUUAUCAACAUACAUUAAGCUCCGUUUGGUAAAUACUUGCAACUUCAGUCUAGAAAAUACAGUUGUUUGUACCAUAUUUGACAAAAUUAUUAUUUAAAAAUCAUAACUAAUUACCAAAAGCCACAAUAAAUCAAUAUCAAACAGAGUCUUAUUAUUAGCUAAAGGAGGAUGGUGCCUUAGCUGCCCUGGUGGAAUUGUAUAGAUUUUAAAGUUGUUGGUGACACUCAAUUUCAGCUUCAUGAACCGCAAUAUUUUCAAUACCAAGAUGGAGCAGAUGCUUCAAUACUGCCUGUACAAAUCAUAAAAAACUAAUAAAAAUAAAUAAAAUCGAGAAAUUUCACUAACUAAAAGUCUAAAUAUAAUUUUUGAAAAAAGAAAAGAAACGGACUUGCUGCUGCUUGGCGACUUGUUCUCGGAGCUUGAUUGCCUGUUUCUUGAUAGCUUCCAUACUGUUUCUUUCAAAAAGCAACGACGGCUCAGCUCAUGGAGGUGGAAAAAAAAAGUGUGAUCGAGAAAAAUAAAAAGGCAUGAAUAAUUUUUGACAAAAAGCGAAAAAUAAAAAGGCAUGAAUAAUGAAUAAUUUUUGACAAAAAGCUCUUUCCAGAAAAUAAAAAAAGAAAAAAGAAAAAAGAAAAUUAUAAGUUUGAAAGGAGUAGAUGAUAGUGGAAGUGUGGGGUAAUUUUUAAAAACCUCCCCUGAGGUUUGGGCUUGUUGCAAGUAGAUGACGAGAAUUGAUUUAUUUGUAAAAAACCCCCUACCGUCAGUUAAUUUUAACAUUGACAGUUAGUUGACCGUGCAAAGACAAUAUUACCCUUAACAAUAGUUUGUAAACGAAAAUAACUAAAAAAAAACCAAAAUUAUUAGCUAUUUUACCCUCUUUAAAUUAUUGAUAUUUUCUUAAAGUUCCUAUAAAAAAGAUAAAAUUAAAAACUUGAAAAAUCAUCUUUAAAUUAUUAAUAUUUUCUUAAAGUUCCUACAAGAAAGAUAAAAUUAAAAACUUAAAAAUGAAAUAGUCAUAAUCUUUACCUAUGAUAUUGUAAAUCUUUAGAAUUGACAAGGAUAAAAUUAUCAAAAAAUAGGGUUUGUGCUUUUCGCGCCAACAAUUUUAAUUUUUUUUUAUAGUUAUUUUCAUUUACAAACUAUUGUUAAGGGUAAUAUUGUCUUUGCACGGUCAACUAACAGUCAAUGUUAAAAUUAACUGACGGUAGGGGGUUUUUUACAAAUAAACCAAUUAUCGCCAUCUACUUGCAACAAGCCCAAACCUCAGAGGAGGUUUUUAAAAAUUACCCUGGAAGUGUGCGGUGUGGCUGCCAGCUACUUGGAUUGUAUUGUCGGGUAAGGUAAUAGUAGAGAAUUUUGUUUUUGAAGAAAAAUGGGUAAUUUUUAAAAACCUCCCCUGAGGUUUGGGCUUGUUGUAAGUAGAUGGCGAGAAUCCAUUUAUUUGUAAAAAACCCCCUACGUUUUUGCUCCGCUUGGUUGCCGUUUGUGCAAUUAUGGGCAUUGUUGACAUUUCUCAAUAAAACAAAUCUUUUGCAACUUUCGUUGCCUUGAGAACAAUAGCUAGAUUUCUCAAUCUGUUUCAUCCAACACUUCAAAAAUUUCAACUUUUAUGAGUUAUUGCAUUCUCUGGCAAAGUAGACUUCUUCUAAUUUUAUCACAGUGCUUUCAGGAACAAGAAUGGGAUCCAUUAACAUCCCCUCAAAUUUUACAGCUUCCUUACAGCUAUACACUGCUGUAACACGAAGUUUAAUGAUUCCAUCGCCAAAUAGUCCCCAAAAUCUAUUCUUCCCCAUAUUGAACAACUUAAGUUCACAACACUUGCAUUCUAAAGGCUUCCCACUAACAUCUAAUAUCUCAAGACUCAACGUUGCUUUACAAUAAUUGUUAUUACUACCAAACAAACAUGAAGAAACCCCGAUUAUCGGAUAAAUCAACCCAAAAUGAACAAGAGAAGAACCCAAAACAAGUGAAUCGCUAGAGCAAAACCCCCAACCCAUAUCCCUAAUCCCACACUCAAAAAAACCCAAUUUCUCUCCAAAGUCAUUGACACUAGCAUCACUACUAGACUCUAAUUCCAAUCCUAGAUUACAUUUAAUGUUAACCCAACUAAAAUGAAUGUUCUUACUACAAUACGCAUCGUUUACACUCUCAAACAACGCGCUGAACUUACUCUUAAACGAUCCCACAUUGGUCAAACACUCAUCACUCACAUCGACAUCCAAGAAUUCACUCAAAAACUUCAUAGACUCGACAAUUGGAGAAAACAAAACCACUAAACUCAACUUUAUACAAGCAUACCCAUCGAGAAUCUUACCGUCAUUAACCGAAUCACAACAAAUCACCGGGUCCCACGCGCAGUCGUGAACGAGCUUACGCAUGGACGGGGCAACAUUUAACCCCCGCGGCAAAAACGACGAAGCUUUGGAAAAAUUGUGUUUUAGAGCUGGGUUGAGGAGUAGAGAUUGGAGAGAUUGGAAGGUGGAAUCGGGACGGUCAAAGGAUAGAGAGAGAGAAGGGAAGGGGAUCUUUAAAAGAGAAGUGGGGAGAGGGAGGAGAAGAAGGAUUUGAAAGAGAAAAGAGAGGAACGGAGAGGCGGGAAUGAGAUUAAGGUUUUCACUGCAACUAAAAGAGUAAUCAUGUAUGGCUCUUGGUCUUGGAGAUGAAGGAGAGGAUUCAGGUCGAUUAAGAGGACUAUACGCUGCAUUUUGGUGUAGUCUGCCGCCAUUGGUAGAAGUUUCGAAGUGGGUUUCUGUUUAGAUCCGAGUUUGACGAAGAAACGUGGUGGUUGCGCUUGGGACAAUAUUGUUUUUGCACUGGUCAAUGUAAAAAUUAAACGACGGUAGGGAGUUUUUUUAUAAAUAAAUGAAUUCUCGCCAUUUAUAACAAGCCGAAACCUCAAAAGAAGAUUUUAAAAAUUACCCGAAGAUUCGAAAAAUAGUAGAGAAUUUUUUAAAAAGCUAGAACAGAGCAUGUUAGGCUUUUGUGGACCAAAUUCAAAAGCCAAAGGGCACGGCCCAAAAGCUUUUGAAUACAAUAACUUACUAGAAAGCUCCAUUUUUUGUUGGCUACAGUAAAAGUAUGUUGUUUUAUGCUUCUUAUAUGUUACGCUUAAUCGCUUGCUUUAACUGCAUCGCUCUCUGUGUACUCUUCUACACAUGUAACGGUUAUGCGGUUGUAGUUCACGGCUGAGGCUACGUGUUGGUUUGACGCGGCAGUUACGUUACGACAUUACGAGUCCGUUAAACAUUCGGUGAUAGAGCAUUAUUAGUUAUUUUAAGGAGACAAAUAAGAUUGGUUGCAAUAAACCCACUAAUUUUAUAAAAUUCGAGUAAUAUAGAAUAAAAUAAAAAAAUAAAUACAAAAUUGGCUUUUAUUUUUUAUGGUUGACUGUAUUUUGUGUUCUCUUCCGGCACUACUACAAUUGUUCCCUAUAUAUCAGUCACACCCAUAUAUCAUCAAUACAAGAAAUGAAAUCUAAUGUCACCUAUUUAGUUAAAGAAUUACUCAUGAAAAAAUUUUACCAUUUUACUUUGAGGAUCCAUAUUUUGAACUGCAAGCUAAUGUUCAUCAAGAAUCACUAAUGUUCAUAAAAAACAGAGCAUGGCCGUUGAGUAGAAAAACUAUUUUUGGACAAAUUAUUUUUGUUGAUAGAAGAAUUUCUUAAGGGACUACUAAUAUUAUGAAUAACAAUGUAGAACACACCCACAUAUCAUCGACACAAUUGACUUUAAGGAUCCAUGCUUUGAAUUGCCACCUAAUGUUCAUCAAGAACAGAGUAUGCCUUGUGAGUAGAAAAUUUUAUGAUUUUGGUCCGAAAUAAAAAGAAAUUAAAUUAGAUGAGAAUCUGCCACUUUCUCAUAAAGAAAGGCAUACGGAGCAUACCAUGGUACCAUACAAUACAAAGAGUCUCUAUUCUCUGGUUUUUCAAACUCUGAAGGGGCCAAUAUUCCCGAAUUCUCCCUUGAAAAUUCUGAUUACAACAUUAUUCAAUUCUUGACACAAUCAAAGUAGCGACAAAGUUAAGAAAAAUAUGAGUCCUAAGUAAUGGCUAGGUAGGGUUCUUGAGAGCAAAAUUGUCCUAAGCAUUAUAUGCAUACAUGGUGUGGUACAUAGAGCACGUUGAAUUCCACACUAUAACACAAACCCAGAAAGACAAGUAAUAACUCAACUGAUAUAAAGACAAAAAGAAGAUAAAAUGAUAUAGAAAAAAGAAUUUCAAAGCGACAGCAACAUACGAUAGACUGAAGCCACUUGAUCUGCUCACUGAUUGCAGCCUUAAACUUACAAAUAGUUACUGUACGCUAGUGCUCUAAGAAGUGAAAAUGAUAAGAGACCUGAUUCCCUUUUGACUUCCAUUUACUGUCAAACAUUCUAGUAAUACAAAAAAUUGUUUAGAUAUCUUGCUAUAAAUAUAGUCGUUUGACUGUCAUAAUAAAGUCACAAAUAACCAUUCAUAUUGAUCCACUGUCACACAGCAUGCUUUAUGCAUACAACAUCUGCAUGUAUACCAACUCCUAACCUUAUCAAUACAUUUGGCAAAAAAUUAAGAAGAAAACUAUUUCUCCAUCUCUUUUUUGAAAUUUCACAAUAAACCAGCACAUUGUGAAAGCUAUGUUCUAAUCUUAUGAUAAAUGCUCUAGACUCCAAAAGGAUUUUAUUUAUGAGAGUUUGUUGCAGCAGAUAUAUUGACUUAUCAAGUAUGAAUCAUUGUCUGGAUGAACUAUCUUUAAAUAAAAGAAUAUUAGAACCACUGUAGAAUAUCUUUACGCUGCUGGUUCUAACAGGAAUCUGCAUGUGGCAACAAUUGCUAGAUCCACAAUUCCCCAACUUGAAAUACAUAGUUGCACACCGUGAGAUAGUGCUGCAAUCUACUGAGAUCUAACUUAUUUGAUACUUUAAGCUACUAAUGUUUGCAUAUUUCUACAUGUUAAAUUGACACUACCAUCUAUAAUCACCCCAAAACGACAAAUGAUAAGCAGCUUUUGGCCACUUAUUACUAGCAUCCACAACACAAUUAUAAAUAAGAGAUCAUGGGUUUACUUGUUGCAACUACUUAAUGAUCUGCAUUUGAGACCCUGACGCAAGGUUUAAAUAGUGACUGCUUAGAACCCUUGUAGUUGGAUCUUGACCUCUCCCAUUGUAGCCAAGAUUGGCUACUCUGGUAAUGAAUCAACACUCUCCUGCUUAUUUUUUUGUUUUUAAAAAAUAACGAAAUCAUAAAAUAAAUAAACACGUGUUUGGUUUUGGGCAUUUUCUUUUGUUCAUUUAAUAUCAUCUGGCUCCCUGAUUUUUUACUAAUUAACAACGGAAUCCUGUUAGUUUCUAAAUUGAAAUAAUAAAAGGUCACGAGAUUAUUUACUCCAUUUAGCACUGUAGACUUAGAGUAUAUUGAAAAAGCUUUGUCAAAUAGUAGUAAUAGGGGCAUAAUAAAUAAGUUUUUCAGAAUUUACAUAAUGUACUUGGCUCUAGGAAGAUUGCCCUCUUAUCACUCAAGUUAGGUUUUGCCUUAGAGUUGAGGUAAAUCAUUAAAAUAAAUUAUAGCUAUUACAAAUUCGUUAGGAGAAUUUCAAUUUUUUUUCCAUUAAAUGGCUAUGAUGCAAAAUUACCUCAGCUUAUAUUGCAACACUAAUACUUCAAAUCCUAACAAUAAAAUUGAUGACAAUGGUUUUUAUGUAUAGUAAUUUUCACUCUUUUGUUUGAUCUAAAAGUAGUUCUUAAAAUGACAAUGAUGACUUAUUUAGAAGAAAUGGCAAACUUAUAGUUUGUAAUAUUGUUUGCACAAACAAUAAAGACUAAUUUGAUAAUAAUGAAGUGUUAAUUACUAUUUAACAUUUUUAAUUAAUUUUUAAAUUUAAAAAAAAAUGAAGGCCGAAACUUGUGCAUUAAAUUUUAAUUAAAAGUUGAUUGCUUCGAAGGUUUGAUCGUGACAAAUUGACAAUUGAAAAAAGAAGUAGGGAAUAUAUAUUCUGAUGAAAGGGACAAGAUUAAGCAAGGGGACAAUAUUGUCUAUUGGACCUACAAAUGGGGGCAAAGAUAUAUAUAUUCCAAAAUUUCUUAUUUGUGGAUUGGCCACCACGUGUAACUAAUAUAAAAAGAGAAAAUUUGGCAUGGUUUUAACCGAUAUAAGGGUCCGUUUGGGAUUGAGGUGUUGUAGCUUUUAAGCUAUAGCUGUUGUGGAAAAAAAACUGUAAGUAUUAAAUAAAAGUUAAUAAUAUAUAGUAAAUAUAAAUUUUAAAUAAUAAUUUUGAUGAAAUUAUUAAAGAUAUAAUAGAUUUUCUAUUAUACAAAUGAAAAUUCAUAUCAACAUAGCUUAAAAGUUACAGCAGUUAGUGUUUACCAAACACUUUAGUGCUGUAGCUUUUAAACUACAGCUGCCCAACCUCAAUCCCAAACGCACCCUAAGAAGAGAAAAUUUUGAGUGUAUAAGAAGAGAAAAUUUUGAGUGCACAACAAGAACAAAGCAAAACCCAUGAAAAUUCACCUUUCAUGUGGGUUGGAUUGGAUAAAAUCAAUAUCUUGAAUCAAACAAAAUGUUUGGUACUUGAAGGUUUUUUUAACAUUUUCAUUUUUUUUUUCCAUUUAUGAAGUCCAAUUUUUUUUUUAAUUUUGAUUUUUUUGAAUGAUUUUGAAGGUGUUGAUAUAAGGUCAUCGAAGGUUUGUGAACUUGGGGUGUUGAAUUAUAAGGCGAAGCGUGUGUUUUAUCCAUUUGAAGCAAGUAAAUUUCGCUGUCGGUAUGAUUACUAUUGGGCUUCUAUCUUCAAGGUAUUCAUACAUUUUCCCCUGUACUAUAAGCUUCUUAGUGGCGGUCUUGUGAGCGGAAGUGAGCGGUGUGGCUGACAGCUUCUUGAAAAUUAUAAGUUUGAACAGAGCAUGUUAGACUUUUGUUAACCAAAUUCGAAAGCCAAAUGGCACAGCUCAGAAGCUUUUGAAUUGAAUAACUUACUAGAAAGCUCCAAUUUUUUGUUGGCUACAGUAAAAAGAGGUUGUUUUAUUCUUCUUAUACUUUACGCUUGCAUCAGCUUAAAUCACUUCUUAAACGCUUUGCUUUAACUCCACCGCUUCGUACUGUUCUAUAUAUGUAUCGGGUAUGCGGUUGUAGUUCACUACUGAGACUACGUGUUUGUUUAACGUGGAAGUUACGUUACGAGUCUGUUAAAACAUUCGGUGAUUAAAGUAUUAUCAGUUAUUUCAAAGGGACAAAUAAGAUUAGCUACAACACACACUAGUUUUAUAAAAUUCGAAUGAGAUGGAAUAAAAUAAAUAAGUAAAUUGACUUUUAAUUUAGUGCUUGAAUAUAUUUUGUAUUCUCUUUGGGCACUGCUGUAAUUGUUCCUUAUCACACCCAUAUGUUAUAGACACAAGAAAUGAAAUUUAAGAUCACCAGUUUAAUUAAAGAAUCACUCAUGAAAAAUUUUUGCCAUUUUGAUUUGAGGAUCCACAUUUUGAACAACCAACUUAUGUUCAUUAAGAACAAAGCAUUGCCUGUGAGUAGAAAAAUGAUUUUUGAACAAAUUAUUUUUUGUUUAUAGAAGAAUUUCUCAAGGGACUAUUAAAAUUACUAAUAAAAAUGUCAGACACACCCAUGUACCAUCGACAAAAUUAACUAUGAGGAUCCAUGUUUUGAACUGCCACCGAAUGUUCAUCAAGAACAUAGUAUAACUUGUGACAAGAAAAUUUUUUGAUUUUGGCCUAGAACAAAAUGAAAUUAAAUUGAAGGAGAAUCUACUACUUUCUCAUUAAGAAAGGCAAACGGGGCAUACCAUGGUACCAUACAAUACAAAAAGUUUCUGUUCUCUAGCUUUUCAAACUCUGAAGGGGGCAAUAUUCCCCAAUUGCCUUGUGAAAAUUCUGAUUACGACAUUAUUCAUCGCUUGAUACAUAAGUAAAAGUAGUGAUAAAAUUAGAAAAAAUAUGACUUAUAAGUAAUUACUAGGCAGGGCUCUUGAGAGCAACAUUGUGCUAGGCUUUAUAUGCAUACAUUGUGUGGUACAUUCUACACUAUAACACAAACCCAGAAAGACAAGUAAUAUCUCAACUUAUAUAAAGACAAAAAGAAGAUAAAACGAUACAGAACAAAGAAUUUCAAAGAGACAGCAACAUACAAUAGACUGAAGCCAGUUGAUCUGCUCGUUGAUUGCAGCCUUAAACUUGCAAAUGUUUACUGUAGCCUGGUGCUCUAAGAAGUGAAAGUGAUGCAAACCUUGAUUCCCUGUUUACUUCCAUUUACUGUCAAACAUUCUAUUCAUACGAAAAAAAUUGUUUAGAUAUCUUGCCGUAAAUAUAGCCAUUUGAUUGUCUUAAUAAAGCCACACACAACCAUUCAUAUUGAUCCACAUUGCCAUAUAGCCUGAUUUAAGCAUACAACAGCUGAAUGCAUACUGACUCCUAACCUUAUCAAUACAUUGGAGACAACUUAAGAAUAAAACGAUUUCUCCAUCUCUUUUUUUGAAAUUUCACAAGAAAACAGCACAACGUAAGAGCUGCAAUGAAAAUGGACCGUCAAGAACUAUGGCGGAAGCUUCAACUAGUGUAGUGAUUUGACCUUCUUAUUAACUUUGCGAUAUCAAGCACUGCCCUUCAUCUUGAACAGAUCAAUACAAUACGCACAACUUAUGAUUGAAUCCAGAAACAAUCAAAUCUUUAGCAAGAAAAAUUAAUCAGAAUCAAGAAACAAGUUCAAUGAAUAUAAACCUAUAAUUGGAACAAACACAGCCAAAGAACCCAAGAAUGACACAACCUACACCACGGGAGAAGCUUUCCAGUGAGAUUUUAUUGAUGAUCAAAGAAGAAUCUUUUUACAAAGCUAACAAAAGAGAUUUCAGAGAAUAAGCUAUGACUCUCUCUCUUCAAUCUCUCUCUAGUUUGUUCACAGUGAUGACCCCAAUCUGCUUCGUUAGCCAGCUUCAUAACUGCGUCAGUGACAAACUAAAAAACCCAGAUUGAGCAGAUUACCGACACGUGGAUAACGGCUAUUAAGAACUUGGUUAAAGAACUGCUCACAUAUUCGUCACGCGUGUUACUUAAAUGAUGGCCAAAACGACUUCAACAAGAUGCCGUUUUGAAGCUUGUGAAUUAUAAUUGAAAACACGUGCUUGUCUCGUGACACUUAAAUACAACAACAAGCCCAAAACACUGCCGUUUCACUUUGUUGAGUUUGCCAUCUCUAAGCUUCACAACUAGCAACGGAGAAGAUGAUAAUUAAAUUGACAUGGAGAGUUUUUAUAUCACUUUUACAACAUUCUAUAUAAUUGUGAUAUUGGGAAUCGUCGAUGUUGUAUAUGUGAACUCUCAUUGGUGACACUGGUGGUUUUAUUUUUGUUGAAAUAUGGAUGACAUUUCGUUACUAUUUUAUUGUACACAACAUUUUGUUACUAUUAACAUGUUAGUUUCAUUAGCCACUAGGCCUUUGGCUGAGUCAUUCGGGUGUCUGCCCUCCAACUUGGAGGGCAGCAAUUUGAACCCCCACAAGCGCAAUGUUGGGUAUUUUUUUCUUUAAUCCCUCGAAUAUUAGUGAAGGUUAAAAUCUAGGCAGAACUCCAUAAGUAUUGAUGUAAGUUGGUUUCAGUAAUAGUCUAAUUUGUAAAUAUCAGUUAUAAUCUCAUAUAAGAUGAGUUGUAAUUUGAGCAAUAGUCUCAUAGAAUAAUAAUAAUAAUAAACAUGUUAGCUUCAUUACAUUUUUCUUCGUUAAAAUUCUCAAGUAUUAGUCAGGUUUGCUAAAGUAAUAAAAUUUUGCCAUUAAAAUUGUAGUAGUAUUUCUGAGCACCUCACAUUUUCAAUGAUUUUUCAUAAAUCAAUUAAUCUGUCGUACCGAUAUCAGGUUUAGUUUUUCAUACUAAACAAUCAAGAAAGCAAACAUACGAAUUCACAGUUUAGAGGGGUAAACUAGGUAGGUGGUUUAGAUUUUAGAACUAGGCUAGCUACCCCACUAAAUUCCAAUUUGUACAGUGAACUACAAGAAAUUGAGAAAACAGUGUAUUUAUAGUUUAAUUGAAUCGUGAGAAAGCAAUGUAGUCAUAGCUCAAUCUGAGAUGAUCACGGAGAGGCAUAUUCUUUUCAAGUUAAUUUGAUCAAUUUAUAAGAGAUGAAGUGGAUUGAAGUUAAAAGUUUAAAUAACAAAUCCUUGUUCUUGAGUUUUACGACGUCGUUACUCCUUCAAGAGGCAGAUUAUUUAUGCAAGUGAAUGCAGAAACGCAAUGCAUCAUCCACGGGGAUGGUACAUCAAAAGGCGGGAUCAUAGUCUAUGCCCGCAGAUUAACAAUUUCGCUCAUAUAGAAAAUUAAUUUUUUAUAUAUACUAAUCAACACUAAAUUGAUUGUGUUUUGUAUGUUUAUAUGCGAAUCAACACUAAAUUAUAUUAAAUGAAGAAAUAAUUCAAUUUUUUCUAAUUUAAUUUAGAAAAUAAAAUUAUUAACAUUAAUAUUCCCAAAAAAAAUUAUUUUCCAUUAGUAUUCAAAGUCUUCACUUAUGGAAAAUGUGUUUUACCUGAAUAUUAGUUACCGUGUAAAUUUGAUUGAUAGUGAAAAAUAAUUUUUUAAUUAUUGUAAAAAUAAUUAACCAUAUCAAAUCCCUUACGUAAAUAAUUUUUAUUUUUCAAAAAGGUAGAAAGAUGGUUAAUGCACAAGCAAAUUUUAAGCCCCUCUCUUCUUGGCCUAAGAUUCAAACUCAGAUGACUAGUUAAAUAAACCUAUGUGAAAUCAUUUGGCCAGGUCCGCGGGGAAAAAAUACAAGAUCCUUAAUUUCAUAAUAUAUAUGAAUUAAUGUCAUUUACUUGAAUUAUCCAAAUUCAUCAGAGGUUAACGAAUUUUCCUGACAUGUAGUAGAUGAAGUUGUUGCUUCCUUCUUGGCAUUAUUUCAGCUCUGGUUGUUGGUCCCGAUGAGCUUUAGUCUUAUUUUAAUUUUAUUUAAACUCAUCAUAAGAUUCGUGGAGCAGCUAACUGACUUAACUGACUGUGCAGAAAUGUCACAUAGCAUAUUUAACCGUUUUAACAGUAAUUUUGAACGGUCUUCGCAAUUAUCAUCUACAAACUCGUUCGUAUUGGUCCAAUCUUCCGGACGAUAUCAUAUGCCUAAUAAUGAAUGAAUGGUCUUGGAUCGGUGUUUCGCAGCAAGAGCAACUCGACAAAAUCUGGAGUCAAGCUCCUCCGAUCGAACAAGGGAUUUCGAUUGAUGAUUGAGUUCCUUUGUGCUCAAGCAACUUCAAAUCAUAGUUUUGAUUCUUUAGAUAUGAAUUCAUCACAUUACAUAUAACAGAUUGAGUUAAACAAAAUUUUAAUUUACUGAGAAAAGAAUUCUAUUUUGUGAACUAAUCAAUUGCAAAGCAUUAGUGUUGAACGAUACAAAAAAUUGGGAAAAGAAUUCUAGCCGUAUUGACUCCACCGAAAUUUCCACAAAAGCAAAAAAAAAAAAAAUAUAUUCCACAAAAUGCAAAACGUAUGGAACUUAAUUUUUGGCCCUGUGAUCACUAAGAUACAAGGCAAAUUUUUUUAGAUCUCUCCGACAAAGUGAUUACCAUCUAAUCGCAAUAUUGAAUAAAAAUAAAAAUUUUAAUGGGAGUUUGACCUUAAAUUUAGAAAAUGAAUUUUCACUUUCUUCAAUUAUUAAACAGAUUACAGACAUUUGAGGAAUUUGAAAACACUUUAUCCAUCGAAAGUUAAAAUUAGAGAUGGAAGCUAGGUGCUACAGCUAAUGGGAUCAUUAAUUCCCCUCCCUCAAAUGUGUAGUUGUUCCUCUUUCCACAGCAUAAGCCUUAUAGUUAGAGUUUCUUUUUAAAAAAAAUGUUAAACAAUUUCGGUUGAGCAUGGUUUUGGUAGUUGAAUAGACACCUCCGCCGUACCUCAAACAAAACUGUCAUUAUUCGAGUCAUGAAACAUGUUUCGGCCGUCAAAGUCAUGAGUAGGAGUGGGCAUGGGUUGGUUUGGGUUAGGUUUUAAGUCAAUUCAAACCAAACUAUAAAAAUUUGGGUUCAACCCAAACCAACCCAAAUAUUUUUAACCCAACCCAAACCAACCUAUUUGGAUUUGGUUUGUGUUUGGGUUUGAUUUGAAUUUUAUAAUUAAAAUAUUUUUUAUUUUAAUAAAUUUAACUAUAUCAAAUUAUAAUAAUUAUUAAUUAAUAUUAAUUAUUAAAUUAAUAUUAAAAUAUGAAAAAAUGUAGUGGAUAAAAAUUAUGAAUAAUGGAUUUUACAAUAACUUUGUUCUUAAAUAUUAACCAUAUUACAACAUAAAUUCUAACAAUGUCAAUACAAAUUAAAGUAAGAUAAGAUAUCUCAACUCAAGUAUCAAAGCAAUCCAUCAAAAUUAAAUUAUUUAAUUUUAUAAAUUUAAAUCUUCCGAGAAAUAAAUCUAAAAUUUAUUGUAAUUAGAAAACGCGUCAAAAUUUUAAACGCAGUAAGAAAAAUUAGACAUAAAAUCUAAUUAGGUUUAAAUUUAAUUAAAAAAUAACAAUAGAAUCAUAUUUUAUUUGAUAAAAUCUUAAAAUCAAUUUCAUUUAUUUUAGUAAGUUACAAUACAAAUAGGAUUAUAAAAUUAUAUUACAGGAUUUCAUAAAAAUGUUGUUUGAGUAAUUUAUUAAAGGACUCACCUACGUUGCCACAGUUGUAGCUUACCACGCUUUUUGUCUUUUUCCAGUAAAAUCGUAGGAUGCUUUCAAAUUUAAUCUAACGGAUGCAAUUAAUUAUUAGAUAAUUUAAUCAGCCAUUGGCAACCUUUACAACCGGUUAUAUUCUCUCGUUACAUUUCUCGGCUACCAAACAAUCCCCAAGAAAAUGACGAAGUGAGUAACUAAUACACACACCGCAGAGAAAGAUGACAGGAGAUGAGAUGACGGUAGGCCCACCGGCACAAAGGUUCUUCGAUUGCUCUAUUUCUUCGGCGCCGGAUUUAUCUACACAACUACAAUCGACAAGUGGCGGGAACUCGAGCGGAAGUCAUUGAAGAAGAAACAUCAAGAGAGCAAUCUAUGGACUGAUGAUAACUCAGCAACUACGGUAAAGAAAGCCGUCAAAUGAUCUUUUUAUUUGACUUUUGAUGGAUUUUCAAGAGUUUUGGUAAUAAAAUGUCUCUUAAUUUUUCAUGUCAAUGGCCUAUUGUUUGAGUUAUUAUUAUGCAUAAUUGUUGGAAGAGUUAGGAUUUUACUAUUGGAUUUUGGAAUUUGUAUUUUGGCUUUGAUAUGUUAUUGUUGUGAUGUCGGUCAAGAAAUUUUUGACAACACUCUCCUCGAGUUUGAUACUAUAGCUAAUGAAUUUUUAUGGCAGAUAUAGCUAAUGAAACAAAAAACACUUUAUAACUGGUUAUGCAUUCAUUUAGGAGCUAUUAACUGAGCGUGAGUUCCAUAAUUUUCCAACCAGUGGUUAGGGUUUCACAGAAAAAUGUCGACAUUGAUCUUUAGGCAGCACUUAAGACUGAAAUUGGUUGUAGAGGAUCGAAUUUGGGGAACUAGAAAUUUCUGAUCAUUAAUAAUUGAAAAUGGCCUCUCACUUGUAGGCAGUUGUUGGAUGUAAUGUAUCCAGUUUUUGAAAUCGAAAGCAGAGUGAGUUCUUAGGUUAGAUGUACCUACAUGCAUUAAGGUUCGAAGAUGUAGAAUAGGCCAAUUGUUUGAUGUCAGCUUUGUUGCACAUGUUCUGAAAUUGAUCAUUUAAGAUGGCUUGGAAGCACUCCGUGAUGUGACUAAGAAGAUUCGAGGAAGUAUUAAAUAUGUUGAAAGUUCACAAUUAAUACAAGGAAAGUUCAAUGAGAUCACCCAGCAAGUUGAAAUCAACAGUCAAAAGAGCCUACAGUGUGAUAUUUUUCUCUUGGAUUGUUUUUUUAUUUUCCAUUUCAAAGCUGAUAGUGUAAAUUUUUUGUUUGCAAAAGUUUCUAAAAAGUACUUGAGUCAAGAUGGUUAGGUAUUUCAUAACUUCCUUUUUACUCUUAACUAGAUUCAUACAGAGUUAUAACAUUAACAUAAUUUUUUCUUUUAAAAGUGAUCAAUUAGACACUGAUGAGAUAUCUCACUUUUGAAUCAUUUAGCUUUAUGUAAUUUCAUUACUAUUAUAUGCCCCCAGGAAUUGUUGAAGUAUAUAUAUCUUGGCAUUUCUUCACCGACUGAAUUAUCUUUCAUAAUAUUCCAGCUUCAAAUGGGUACACUGCAGAGCCGAUUGGAUGCAGAAUUCCUUCUAGCUCAUAUGUGCUCUGUAAAAUUCAAAGACUUAAUAGUGGUUAUGGCAACUCUUUUUAGAUGAUCUAAGGUAUAAUGCCCAAUUAUUGCUUUUGCUUUAUCUGUUUUACCUUGCAACAUUUUGAAAUUUAUGAGAAGCAUAAAAUUACUGAGCCAAAAUUGAGGAUCUGAACUUUCGUAAAAAUAUUCAUAUUUUUAAAUUAUAAAAUAUUGCAUUUGAUGUUUUAGGUGGAACUUAGUUCACUACAGAAAGGAAAAUUAUGUUGGGCAUAACCAGAUGCUUUUCAAGAGAAAGUUUCACUGAUAUUUUUCUGAGGAUUUUACUUGGCCAUCUUAUUUCAAGCUGCUUGAAUUUUUUCUUUAUAUCAUCUUGGUUGUAUACUAUAACUCGUUGAAUUUGCUAGCACUUUUGCUAGUUGUUUAUUCUAUAUGUGAUUGUGGUGGUAAAGUUUGGAAGCUCAAAAAGUAAUGGAACUUAGGAAGAGUAUGACAUAGAAUGCUGGAUAAAAUCAAAAUAAUCAUUCUUCAGGCAUCCAAAGAUGAUGUAUUCAAAAUAGCUAGUUUUGACUUUUGAGGCCGUAUAAAUAACUAUUAUCUCACAUGGUUACAUUAUGAUAGGUAGGCACUAGCUUAAUAACUCCAAUUAACUUAAAGUUGUUACCUGAUUUAUUAUGACAGUGUGCAUUACGAUAAGUAUCCUUGCAUAUUAAGAUUUUCCUUCCAGAUCUCUGCGGUACUUUUUGAUCUUUUCCGACAUGAUAUGCGAUUAUGGGAAGCAUAUGCCAUCACCUUACAGGUAUUCUCUUAAUUUUUAGAUAGUGCUCCAGAUGACAUUCAAGUUGGCUAUUAUUGGGUGCAAGAUUUACCAUGCUCUUAUUUUGCUUUUUUAGUCUAACCCGACAUUUGCUUAAUACCAUGAUCUGCUUCAAGCCUUGGAUGAAAAACUUUCAUUUUUUGUAUAUUCUGCAAUGAGAUGAGGGUAGUUUUUCUGAUGAUAUUUGGCAGUAAAUUGGGACUAACUAAAGUAAUUUUCUUAAUGGCAUGUCUACUUCUCAGAUGAAUGACCGUCUGUUCAGACUCCCAGGUGAUGAAUUAACAACCACCGAUCUAUUCUGGGUAAAGAUGAUGACGUUGACACCAAGCCAGUGGAAUGACUAGGACUUCCCUUUUGUUACAAUAAAUUGCGUUCAUUAGACACACGCAGUUAAUUAGUGUAGAUAAAGGAGGUCUAUGCACAAUAGACUGUUUUGUAUUUCGAGAGUCCUUUUUUUGUUUCUUUCAUUCUCCAUUCUUUUGAAAUUAUGUACAAUGGUUAUAUUGUCUGUAUUAUUACGGAUUUAUGAUGGGAGUAUCCUAAGUUUAUGGAAUAAUUAUAAAUAAGGACUUUAAAUUUUUGUUGAAAGAAGUUGAGUGAGAGAAAAGAAGCUAAAGCAGUAAGCAUUUGUUAUACUUCAUUCGAUUGUAUCUAAAUUACAAAGGUUGGUGGCCUUAUUUAUAGUGAAGUUCCCACAGGCCACUUGCACUCAAAACAUUCGAAAUAUGCAAACAUAUUGAUAUAUAAACAUACAGAAUUAAUAUUCUGGAUCCUUGUAAGUAAUGCAAAUAAAAGUGAGGUUGGGGCAGACAAUAUUUACAUCAUGUAUUAAUAGAAAUAAAAUCAAUUAUUUCCAAAUAAAGUCACUUAGUUCAAAGCACGGGCUUCGGUUAAGUUGAACAAGCAAGCCAAUUUUUGUUGUUACUUCAUGAUUGUCGUAAGCUGUGGGUAGUGGAUCGUGUUCCCUAUAAAAGACAAACAGAAGCAUAAGUUUCUCUCAAUUAAGGCACCUGAAAUGUAUUUCCAUGUCUACUAACCUGGUCAUUCGUCCAUGAACUAAACCCUUCUGAGGAUCUUGAAUAGAUUUAUAGAGAUCUCAGAUAAUUUCCUCACGGUGUGCCUGAGUAAAGACAAGUCUUAUGUACUUGAUUACUUCUGGCCAAUCCAUCGAGGCCACCACCUGUCUCAGUCAAUUCAAUCUUUUAAUAGAGUGAAUUACUAGAAUAAAAUUGAUUAAAGUUGAUAUAAAAUCUAAAUUAAAAAAAUCAGAUAAGAGAAUGAUCCAAAAUCCAAAAAAUGAAAUAUUUAAGGAGUGGACUUGUGACCCUCUAUAGAAUCCAUGGAAGAGUAACUAAGGGAAAAACAUUAGAGGUACUUUUGGCGAUACUAUUAGUAUUCUUGUGUUGAUCAUAAUCUUGGGGGUAGAUCUAGACUAAUUAGCUAUUCAUUGAACAUUCCAUUUCUCCGCAAUUACAUGCAAAAGUGCACCUUGCAGUUGCAGCCUAGACCAUAGAAAUAUAGAAUUCCAAUUAUUAACAUCUAAAGCUACUGUAGUGACUUUGCAACCAUGAGAUGAUAUAUACAUAUGCUGAGAUUCAAAUAUUUGAGAAGUUUAAACAUCCUGAUGAAAAAUAGACUAGUUCACAGCUACUUUGGGGAAGUUGAUUUCUACUAGCAGUAGAAAAUACAAGUUUUUUUAAACAUACCUACUCCAGUAAACUCAAUUAACCAAAACAAAACUCAAAGCAUGAAAAAGAGGGAUUUUAACUAACCUAAUCAUUAUCAUUGAUAUUUUAACAUAUUGAUCUUCACAUGGAGUUAACAAACACAAGACUUAGUGCCUAGUACAUAUGUCUGGGGUUGCACAGUCUGUUCGACAAAUUUAUUGAAACUAUAUCCAUGCUCCUUCUCCAAUAAAUAAAUAUCCUCUUGCUUCUUCCAUCCUACUCUAAUUCUUCCUGGAAAGCAUUCUCCCCUUCUCUAAUUCUUCCGAAAAAACAUAACCGACAAUCCUAAACUAAUUACCACCGUUAAAUCUUUCAAACAAAAUUUACAAUUUCUUAUCAGUAGUUUCCUGCCGCAUCCGAUCGAACGGCUCAUCAACGAAUCAAACAGACUUCUUUCCAUCCUUUUUCCAUAUAAUUACAUUUGCCUAAUUCCUAAAGUUUCGGCUCCGCCCAAUGUCGGCCGCAAUUGGCUGCCACAGCGAUAUGUUCAUCUUCAACUUCUCUGCUGCGAUUUCAAAUUUACUUCAGCCUCGUACCACCACACUUCCACUGGCAAUUAAUUUCAUUAUCCGAUUUUACUAUGUGUGGAAUAGAUUUGAGCAAUUUAUGAGUUUUCGCUACGAUUUCGACGAUGUCCUCUCAACACUAAUUUGAUCACCUAAUUUUAACUGUUUUGGGUUAUUUAUUUUUUAUUAUAUUUAUAUACAGUCUCUGCAGACAACCGACUACUUUACUUAUAUGUGGAACUCAUCUGAGCCAUUAGAUGGAGGCCCUCCAGAUCCUACGGCGAUUAUAUAUGAGGACAAAAAGUGUUGUAUGUUGGAACUGUUGCAACGUAGGAGGAUCCUUUAUUAAAAUGUUAAUUUAGUUUUUUAACUCAAGUUGAGACCGUAAAAAGUUGUUAUAUAAUAGUGUAUUGUAUAACCAAUUACAUAUGUAUUUGACUUGUGCAACACUUCUAUUAUUAUUAUAUAAUAAUAAUUAGUAGUAGUAUAAUUACUAUAUAAUAAUAAUUAUUAGUAGUAUAAUUAUUAUAUAAUAAUAAUUUUAAUAAAAAAUUAUUAUUAAAAUAUUGAUUUAGCCUUUCUUAGUUCCAUAUUUGUUGUUUUGCUAUAAUUUUCCACAAUGACGCAUUAUCAGACUUUCUUAGUUCCGUCAUCUUCUAUUACUCAACUUAACGUCUUAUCAUCUCUAGCUCGUCUUCCAUAGCAUGAAAGUGAAUAAAUUUAACUGAAUGGUUAAUUAAUCAAUUAAGUUUCAUGAGCUUUAAUCGAGUUAUAACCAAGUACAAACAUCGUUAACAAAUACUGAAAUUUAGUAAAUUAAAAAAAUAAAAAACUAAUUCAAGUAAUAUGUAGUUUUUACAUGUUGAUCAUCAGGAUACAACAUUAAAUUUUGUCAUUGACAAUAUUGCAUGCCUGUCAUCUAAAGCAUUACCUCACAAGGUUUUAUGAGAAACGAAAGACUAGUGCUUGCUUUGAACAAUUAAAGUUGCUGCUACCAACCUCCCCAAAGAUCAAGAAGACAGAACAGGAAGCUAAUGCCAUCAAUGUCUUGUUCAUUAUAGCUGUUGGGUAGUUAGGUGUAGUUUCCUCACUUGAAGCUGUCUAUACACAGGCUUUUCCCCUGCAAAUGGACAAAUAAAUGAACAGCCUUGAAGCUUUACUAUUCGCAACACAAAGGGAUUACUAAUUGGAGAAGACUUUACAGAGUUCCUCUCACACUUUCUCUCUCUCAAUUUCAUCUAGAAGUCCCUCCGAAAGCAUCACCCAAAACAGUUAGUCAUCCUUUAUACUCUGUUUUCUGGAAACAGAGUCCUAACUAACUUAACUGACUGUACAGAGCACGUCAACAUAGCAUAUUUAACCAUUUUAACGGUAAUUUGAACCGUCUUCAGAGUUAUCAUCAACAAGCUCAUUCAUAUUUGUCCAAUCUUACGGACGAUAUCAUAUGCUUAACUCGACACAAUCUGGAUUCAACCUCCUCCUAUCCAACAAGGGAUUUCGAUUUGAGUUAAUAAUAAUAAUAACGACAAUAAUAAUAAACUAAAAAACAGAAUUAAUUACUAUUGAAUGGUCGGAAAAAAAAAAAAUUGAAAACGUGUGAACUCCAAUAAUCACCCCACAAAUUCAGUGGCGAAUUUUGGAGAGGGCAAGGCCGGGCUUCUCAGAAAAAAAUUUAUUUAGUUACAAAAUUAUCUUUAUUGAAACCUAUAUAAAUUUUUUUAUAUUAAUUAGUUAUGUUACCUCUUCAAUUAUCAUCAAAUUCUUGUCUGUUCAUCAUUUGGUGAAUAAAUGUGUGUCUAAAUAAUUUCAAAUAACAUUUAGAACAAAUAUUUUGAGAGGUAAAGCUUAUUUUGUCUCGCAUUAUUAGGUGCAUCUAUAAUUUCUUAUUUACAAAAUUAUAUUGUACGAUAAAAAUUUAUUGAAUUAGGGGAAAAAAAAAAGUUCAGCUCACUCAAAAACAAAAAAUGGUAUUAACUUCGCCACCGCACAAAUCUAGAAUAAUAAUUAUUCCUUAUCAUGCUGGGGAUCCUUUAUACUUUCUAGCCGUAUUGACAGCACCAGGUAAAGCUUUGUAAAAUAAUAAGUUACUCAUUAGUGGUUUUUAAUCUUUUUAAUUCUUUUUACCGCACACCUGAUCAAGAAUUUUAUUUUGUUAACUAAUCAAUUGCAAAGCAUAAAUAAGUGUUGAACGGUACACAAGAUUGGAAAAAAAAAUCUUAAAAAACGCGCGGAUUCGGUAGCCACACCAGAAAUCUAUUACAAUAAUUUCUGGCCGUAUUGAAGUUUUUAAAAUAACAAGUUCCCCUUCUCGUUUUUUUUUUUUAAAUAUAUAAGCUUAUAACAAUUUUAGAAUAAUGACUCAUUUGUAGAAGAAUUUAUGAUUUCCCAUUAAUAUUAAUAUUGAAGUGGGGUGGGUGUCAAAUCUCAAUUGCUUGAAGAAUUUAUUUAUUAUUAUUAAUAUUAUUAAUAUUAUUAAUAUUGAAGUGGGGUGGGUAACGGACCAGCGGUUCACUCAGUUCGUGGCGAAUUAAAUAUUACCAUCCAAGGUAGAAUUGUGGAAAAUUAAAGCAAAAUGACUAGUAUGGAAAGGAAGGCUGAAAGUAAGGCAUGACGAAAGGCUUUGAGAAGGCUGAAGACUACCAAAGAAGUCAACUGAAAGCUAGCUGGGGCCUGAGUGUAUAAAUUGUUAGAUGCGUUUGUUAUAAAUAACAUAGAGCCCUUUUGUUAUUUAUAGUUAUAGAGAAAGAGAGAAUGUGUGUUUUUUAAUAGUUAGAGAUAUAGCUAGAAUGGGUGGCUCAAAAUCCAAAAUGGUGACAAUGUUAGUUCUCAUAUUAAUAAUAUUAGGAGGGGGGGGGGGGGACUCAGGGGAGGUCGAGUGAGGGAUGUUUGGAGCAUGAGAAAUUUGAUCUUUUGCGGCUUAAACAUUUCUUCAAUUCCCCUUAUACACUUCAAAACUGGGUAGGUGAACAAAGGGAAAGGGUUGAAUGCGGCAACUCCACAUGCCAAGUGGUACAACUACACCUUGGCCUUACUAGGAAUAUCGAUCUGGGAGAGUGGUAUCUGAAUGCUUCUCUAUUUACUUCCUUUCAAUAACUUGGUAACAAAAUAGCCGGCUGCAUGCGUUGAGAAUGAAGGUCCUUCAUUUAAUUUAAUUUACUUAAUUUCUCCCUCCUAAUUAAUGUCUAUAACCAUUAGGAGGAACAAAGGAUUUUAUUAACUCAAAUAUAUCUAAUGGAGCUCAUUCUUUGGUGUCUAAACAUUCACUCACCACUUAUUUCAUGUCUGAUUAUAUGUUGAAAAGAUAUUAAAGUAAUUUAACGCAAUUAAGGCUUAGUAUAUUUUUUAUUAGUAGAGUGUAGAACUUUUAAGAAAUAUAUUAUUAAAUUAUUAUAACUAACAUAUUAUUUUAAAGUUGUGUUAUGAAAAAAAUAAAAUAAAAGGACAAAUAUGUAUUUAUACGAAGCUUGUAAAUUUUUUUGUACUGAUAUUUGAAUAUUAUCAAUUAAAAAAAAUUAGGGUAAUGGUCAUGCUGCAUUAUUUUUGUAGCACACAAAAGGACAACACCGUUUAUGUUAUAAUACUAUCGCUCUGUUAUGAUAAUAUUUUCUUUUGUGGCCAAAUAUCAUUUUUUAAGUAAAAAAAAGUGGACAAAAUGCAAAUCAGUUUUUAAUCCUCAGUCUCUCCCAAAAUUUAAAUUCGUAGUUAACAAAACAAAAUUGUUGGAAAACCAUUAAGCUAGGUCCAUGGGUUGUUAAAACUAUAGCUGACAAAAAGUUACUAACAAAAACAGAAUGUCCAUUUUAUAACUUUCUUAAAAAACAUUCCUUAACUUUUUUAAAAAGUUACCAACAAAAAGUUAUUUCCAAUUUUUAUUUUGUUAUAAUUUUUAUAAUAAAAUUCGUAGUUAACUAAACUCUUCUUAUACCCUUUCUCAACUGCCAUACCCUAACCCUGUUCCCCAUUUCCCCACUAAACCACGCUCAAUUAAGGCCAUCAGAUUCUCCCGGGCCCACAUUAAUCCAACUGCUCACAGAGACCGACAGCCUCUCUAUCUCCAUUUCAAGCUCCCUCUUCAACUGGCUUCUGCUACCGUCCUACUCUUUCUCGGCUUCGGAGUCCGUAUUUUCUCGGCCGGUCCCACGAAGCUCCCUCUCACUCCAAUUGUCGCCCCACAAGACCAAUUGCUUAAUCAAGACACCGAACAAGAAGAGGAUGAGAAGUUGAAACAAGAAUUUGAGAAUUGGAAAUAAAAAACGUACGCAUUGACCGUGCCUUUGAGAGUCGUUUCUCUUCAGAACUCAGUGCCUCAAUCUUGGGUUAAGGAUUUUAUGCGAAGUCAAGGAAAGAGAUUGAAGUUUCAGAUGAAUUUGUGCGCUAGCAUUGAUGGGAUCUUUAACAAUUUAUCUGUGCCCUUUAACAAAGUUAAGGCUAAGUCAGCUUCGUAUAUGGCUGCUGAUUUGGUUAGUGUUGGUGAUUCAUGGCUCAGUUUUGCAAUUAAAAAGAGAUUGAUUGAGCCAAUAGCUGGAGCUGAAGAUCAAGAUUGGUUCAAAUGCUUAUGUCACAAAUGGAAGGUAACAUCUUUAUCUUUGACCCGAUCAUUUUUAUUGUCUUUUUAAUUGCAAUGAGAAGAAAUGCCACUGUAGCAUGCAGUGAUGGCACUUAAUAAGUGAGUUGCUAGGAUGUGAACUAGAAAAAUUAAAUAUUGUCUCCUUGGGUAUGCUAGCUCGUAAGUUAGGGUUAAUAUCAGAGCUUAAGGUACUAUAACCGUGAGAAGCUAUUGACUGCCAAUUAAAAUAUCCAUUAAAAUGUCUAGGGAGUUAUGAAGGUGGAGGUAACUACUAAUAAAAAAUAUCCAGUUAACCUCCUGCUCGAUGCAAUUAAUAAAUUUGGUCAAUGCCACUGAAACCUGCUAACUGACAUCACAAUGCGACAUGAGCACUUCAAAAUGGGACAGACGGUCAGUAGCACUAAAUUUUUCUUGCCUAAGAUUGAGCAAUUGGUCUAACUACUAAUCCCUAUUGUAGGUUGAUCAUUAUUUUUUCAAUUAUGUUCAGUUUGACCCAAAAAGUUGCAGAAUCUUGAGCUGAAUAUUGUCACUGAACACUGUCAAUGUCGUUUAGCAUGGCCAACUAACUUGAGUUUGGUAAAACAAACACACAGUGUGUCUCAUGUCUCACAAAUCAAAUUAUCAUCUGUAAUGAUGGAGAAUUUUUCCAAUGUAUGAAGUAUGCUUUGAUACGUGGGUUACCUUGGAGAAGAUAUCUUAAAAUAAAGAAUAUGGGGAGAAAACAGUUCAGUAGUUUAUUAUUCUGUAGUCAAGUUUUGUCUCGAAAAUGGUCAAAAUUUAAAUGAACAAGGACAGGGGAUCUUCAUUCUUUUUUCCCUUUUUUAUACCAAGAUAUCUCUCAACCUUUAUAUAAUCCCCACUGGAUAUCUGCUUCUAAUAAUUAAAAUAAAAAUUUCACCGCUCUAACAAUAAAAAGUAACAUCUUUAGUCAAAUAAUUUACAGUUCCUCAUCAUCUUAGUGUGAGACUAUCAGUACAUUCCAAAAACAUAAUAAAACUGGUUUGAUCCUGUUUAUUGAUGUUUAAAUGUUGUUCAUUGUGACAUGUAGAAAUGAUGAGGCGAAGUUUAUUUGGACAUCAAUUAGUAAGAUCUUGUUUGAAGUUGUUUUCUGAAAUGAACUGCCGAAUGGUAGUUUUUUGGGGGCAUUUGAUGGCUCUUUUUUUUUCCUCAUUUUCAACAUGUGCCUGCUUGGAACAGGAAGGAUUAGACUGCAGAGUUGUUAUAUAUUUUGAGAUGCUCUGGUCAUUGCACAAUUUGUUCACACUGGAAAUUAGAAUGAGAAAUUUGUUGAUGCUGUUUUGAGAGAUCUGCAUUCUAUGCACAAUAACAUGAUUAAUGAAAAUGCAUUGUAGGACUGGAAAGAUCUGUGGCAGCCUGAGCUCGCAGGAAGAAUUUCAAUGGUUAAUUCUCCCCGACAGGUUAUUGGUUCAGUUUUGAAGUAUAGGGGAGCAUCAUACAAUUCAAACGAUAUUGAUUCGCAAGUUGCUGGUGGGAAGAUUGCUGUUCAGCAGAAUCUAGCAUUACUGGCAAACCAGGUACUCUUACAGAAAUGAUAUCUGGUCAUUGCAUGUUAUUGCCUGACAACUGAUUUUGUUUGUACAAGUCUGCUUCUUCAUACAUAUGAAUGCAUAUGUUAGUGUUUUCUUCUCCUUUUCAUACAUAUAAAUGCAUAUGUUAGUGUUGUCUUUUCCUUUUCAUACAUAUUAAUACAUAUGUUGGUGUUCUCUCCUGAGAUGGAUGCAAUAAAGGCUUUUGCUCCUAAAUUUAGCUGAAGAAAUGGCAAGGGAUGUGAGAUUCUGUUUCAUUAAAUUAACAAAAACCCAAAACAAUGAAAAUCCAUAAUAAUGUGGUGUGGGUAAAUUGGCUCCAUUUGGUUCGUUUCCUUAAUGUGAACGCGCGAGCAAUAGAGACUAACAAAAUGAAGUGACAACAAGAAGUCAGUGUCCUUUGAUGGAUGCAUUUUUAGGCAGAAAUAGGUUUGUAAUUGACCAAAUUUGUCUGGCAUGCCAAUUUAAAAAUAAAUAAAUUAUGUGGUUAUUAGCUGUAAUGAAGGGGGAUAGUAGGUGCAAUCAGGUGGAUCCUGGAAAGUUCAACAAAGUUUUGGUAUGGCGUAGUGAAAUUGGUUUGUGCAACUCAGGAGUCUUUCAGGUGAACGAUGAUAGGUUUUGAUUUAUGAAUAUUAUAAAUCUACUGUGCAUAGUAGAAUCAUCUAUAAGUUCUAGUUAUUGAAAUUGUAUACUUUGCCCGGUUUGAGUUAAGGGCACAUGUAAUAUGAAAGAUAGUUGUCGCAUCUUUUAGGUUACCUAACAUUUGAUCAAUCCUAUUAUGGGGGCUUCAAGAUGUCUAACAAUAUGUAGAAUGCCCGUGCUCCUCCCCAUUGUUUAUCUUAUACAAUAAUUUGUUUUAGAUGCUAAUAUCUUUGUCGAUACCGGUAACAAUAUUACAAUAUCUGCGUUUAUUGGGUUUUACAUAGGUUCGACUGUUUGACAGUACACACUAUCUGAAGGCAUUUGCAAUUGGAGAUGUAUGGGUUGCUGUUGGGUGGAGUAGUGAUGUUCUUCCUGCUGUCAAACGUAUGUCUAAUGUUGCUGUUGUUGUUCCCAAGUCUGGUGCUAGCUGCCUGCCAUUCUACUUCGAUAUUCACAUUGUUAUCUCCUUCAUAUUAGCGAUCAGUAAACACGAUAAUGUGACUAAUAAGUUUGUAUUCUCUUUAUAGGCAAUCCCUGCUGCCUCAAGACUUGAAACAAAACAAAUUGGAGGGCGAGUCAGAGGUCCAUCUCCAUUAAUCCAUCAAUGGAUAGAAUUCUGCUUGCAAACAGCGAGAGCAUUGCCUUUCAAGCAAGAGGUUAUCCCGGGUGCAUCUCCCUCUGCCCUUGAAAGUACUCUGGUUAAGUUGCCUGAAGAACUUCUGAAGGGUAAACCAAGUCUGGAUACUAACUUAAUUGCUGGAGUACUCCCGGCUGAAAUUCUGGCCAGAUGUGAGUUUUUGGAGCCAUUAUCUGAAGCUACUUGGUCAUAUUAUGAGUGGCUGGUUGUUAAUCUGCAAAAAGCUGCUCCUGUCUUGAUGAAAAGGGUGCAACAUUACUUGUCAUCAUUAAUCCAAAGCUUUCUAGCAAGAGCUACAUUGAAAAGUUAAUGGCGCUGCAUGCCAAUCAUUAUAAUGCUGUCAGGGCAAUUGGGUCAGGGCAAUUAGGUCAGAGCAUAACUUCAUUAGGAAAAGAGGCUUCAGCUACGUUAAAUAUUACAGGAUGUACUGAGAUGGCUGAAGUCGUUGAGGUUUUACGAGAAACGAAAGAUGAGUGUUUGUUUGAACAAAGUUGUUACUGCAGCGAUUUUGAAUAUGUGCAAGAUGUUGUCCACUGCUCUUUGGGUUAUGGUGUGACUUUCGAUUUCAAGGUUGCCCUGAAACAACGGAAAAGAUUUACAUACCCUCCAAGGAAUGACAACGGCUGGACUAAUUCUGAUCACCUAAUUGACUCAGGAUCGGCUGGCAAUAAUAACAGUUUGUUAACAAUGCACAGUCCCGAGUACUUUUCCAGGAUCAGAUACGACGUGGUCUAAUGUUGAUAAUAAUAGUUUAUUAAAUGACAAAUCGUUGUCCUUGGGUGUUGAUUUCAGAAAUAAAAUACAUUCUGAGGGAUGCUGGUCUACUAUUGCAAGCCCCCAGAGUUAAGAAUCUUUUGAUUGGGGCAUUUGGCAACGAUUCGACAAAUUCUAUUUUCAGCCUCGUCCACCAAGGGAUUCCAACUGAGUUAUCAAUUAUCGUAGCAGUUCUAUUAACUAAAAUUAGCAAAUAUAGCACCAGAAAAAGAACAACAAAUACGCAGUGAAGUUGAAUUGAAAAUGAAGUUGCCGUUGCCGCCCAUAGCGGCUGACUAAUAAUAAAACGAGACAAAUUAAUUAAACUAUUUAUGGUAUGCAAAAACAAACAAAAACCCGUAAAAAAUUUCAAAAAAUUAUUAAUCACACUCUAAACUUACCACUCAACUCUUAAUAAUAGUCAUAAUUUAAAACAAUUUACAACUUUUGAAAACAUUUUCAAAGUUGCCUUUGCCCAAGAGUGGAUUGCCAUGAGGAAAAUCAUUUUCUCAGUGGAUUGCCAUUGCCCAGGAGUUGCAAUGAAAACAGACCACCAACUGUGCCGGAAGAUUCAACUAGCACUGAAAAAGAUGAUAAUGGAUAGUGUCCAUAUAAUUUUUAAAUCAUCUUAUGUAAUUGUGAUGUCAGGAAGCAUUAAUGUUCUAUAUGUGAACUCUUAUUGGCAACAUUGGUGGUUUUAUCCUGUUAAAAUGUGGAUGACUUCCGGUUACUAUUUUGUCGUACACAAUUUUAUUCAAUUAACAUAUAGUUUAAAACCAUUAUGCAUGUAUGUGCUUUAUUAAGAUUCUCAAGUACCAAUCACGUUUGCUUAAGAAAUAAAAUUUUGCCAUUAAAAGUGUAGUAAUAUUUCCAAGCGCCUCGCAUUUAUCUCAAUAUUUUGAAGGAAUUUCGAGAAAUACACGUGUCCAAAAGUCUAGUCAUCAUCCUUACUAUUGGGGUAUUGGUAUUGAAAAGCCCUACGCUAAAUGCAGUUUGUAAGAGGAUGGAGAUAUUUACUGUCGCAAUAUUAUGGAAUAUGCACAAGGAGUUUUUCUAUUGUUCUUUUGAUGUUGCAGCUGUUGGUGCUUUCAAUGUUUCCCUGAAACAUAGCGAAAGAACGCACAUAUUCUUCGUAUGAGUUGAUUUUUAGUGAUUAUCUAAUUGACUGAGGUGACAACAACAGAACGCACAACGUGGAAUUCAAUAAUAAAAUUCUUCCGUUCAAUUUGUUUUUAAGUUAAAUUAUUAAUUACUUAAAACUCUGUUUUUUUAAGUCUUUAAUUUUAUGUGUUGGCGUAUAUGCAAAGUUGGAUUCUUAAGUGAGUUGGACAUGACCUACAAUGAGAGUGACAGUAAACAAACAUUAAAACGUGUGGACUCCGGUAGCUGCCCUACAAGUCUACAAUAAUAAUUUCUAGCCCCGUUGACUCCACCAACUAAAGUUUUUUAAAAUUUAGAAAAGUACAUCGAAUUACACAACAAGCAAAACGCGUGGAAUUUAAUUUUUUGCGAAUAAAAUAUAAUUUAACGAAAAACAACAAGAAAAAUGGUAAGAUUUCUAAAAUGAAUGGAAGUUGAUCCAUAUUUUAGUCAGGGUGCGUUUGAGAUUAAGGUUCUGUAGCUAUAAUUUAAAAGUUGUAGUAUUAAAAUGUUUGGUAAACACUAAUUAUUGUAACUUAAAAGUUAAGUUAAUAUAAUUUUUUAUUUAUAUGAUGAAAAAUUUAUUAUAUCUUUAUUAAUUUUGUCAAAAUUAUUAUUUAAAAUUUACUCAUUUUUGUUUCAUAGUUACAACAUUUUUCCCACAACAACUGUAGCUUAAAAACUAUAGCAUCUCAAUCCCAAACGCACCCUCAAACAACUUGCCUCCAACAUUAAGAUGAUUGAUUUUUUUUAUUUUUUUAAUAAUAUCAACUUCCAUAUCUUUCCAGAAUAUGCUCACGUUCAAGUCUAUCUUGCUAAUUUGAAAAAGAAAAUCAAAUCAAAUCAACACCAAAACAAUGAAAAGUAAAGCUUUUGAAUUUCAAUCCAGCUAGCUAACAUAUUCAGCGUUUUCAAUUUCUUCCCAUUGCAUAUCUUCUUCCUCCAUCAAUGCAAUAUUUGAACGAUAGGAAAGAGUUUAAGAACAUAAAAAAUCUCCUAGGUUUAUAAGGCAUAACAAAUUUAAAUUCUCAAUUUUAAUAGAUAAUAAUUAAACUAAUAAUUAUUUAUAUACUUAUUUUAGUAAUUUCACCUAAGAAUAAUAUUGUAAUUAGAAAAAAUCUAAUAAGUGGGGCGGUUUUAUACAAAAUCAACUGCAUACAUAUAUGCAGAUGCAAAUAAUAAUUUUUUUUUUUUAAUAAGCAAAUUGUAUAUUGAGAGGAAUAAGAUGUUUAAUUUAAUUAAUUUCCUUACUUUCAAGUUUCAUAUACAUUGCCUUUCUAUCUAAAGAAAGGUUGGUGUUCAGAAUGACAUGAAGUUGCGAGUUGCUGCCCAUGGCUACAGAUUAAUAAUAAAACGAGACAAAUUAAUUAAACUCAGGCCUUUAUGUAUAUGUUAUCCUAACUUUAAUCGCUCUUGUUUGUUAAUAUUCAUUCUUAGGGAGGUGAAAAAAUUACAAGUCUUGAAUAACAAGGAGGAGUUUAAUUGCCUCUAACUUUACUUGGCUUUCUUUAAUCUCAUUAAUAAUCAAUCUCCCUGCAAUUUCGUAAGCCAAGCGCAAAAUCAUACAGAGAAUUAAUUAUCUUUUUAUUAUUAAACCAUCUUCAAGAAGAUUUUCGUCAAUUUGCCCCAGAGUGGUUGGAGCUGUGUUUCUGAUAAGCCAAAGAAUUAGUAGCAAUUAGUAUUAAUAUUGUCCACCCAAGAAAUAUGAGUGAAUUAAAGUAUUAGCAAGACUUCAUUGAGAGGAGCCAUCUAUUAACUAAAAUGCGAAUUUAAUACAAGAAGAAAUAGUAUGUACAUACUUGGCAAUUGAGUUCGUUAAGAAGUGGCAUCGCAUUCUGGUGAUGAGUUUACUUUUGUUAAUAAUUUUAGUCUAAUUACAAUCGUACUUUGACCACUACUCAAGCUAAGUGAAAGUUACGGAUGUGGCAAAAUAAAUAAUUAAAUUAACAAAAUGCUAACUAAUUUUCCUGACUAAAUAGAGUUGCACAAUUUCACUAAUUUGGAACAAUUGACAUUAAUGGACUAGUUUUCACCCCAUAUAAUUAAAAUCCUUCUGGAAAGCUAAUUUUUAUUAAGUAUUUGCUUUUAAGUUAAUUUCAAUUAAAAAAAAGGUUUUAAGCUAUAUGUAGUCUAAUGAGAUUUUCUUCGGAACUUUUUUUUUUUGUUUAUUUUUAAUUUCAAGUUACCUUAAUUUUAAGAAUUUGGAACAUUGAUUUGGUCAUGGAUUAAUUUCAACUAGUAACUGUCAUAUUCUAAACUUAAUGGUAUCAUUCUUGAUCAAGGGCAAUGACUCUUAACUCCUCUUAUAAAAAAAAAUAUUUUCGACUAUUUUGAUGACAAACCUCUCUAACAGAUAGUAGUCUUUAAAACUGAUAGAUUUGGCCAAAUUAUUCAUUUUAACGAAAUAUAAUUUAUGCAUCAAAAUUAUCAGGCAUAUGUCCAAUGCAGCACUUUUUUUUCCCUUAAAAAAAAUGAAAUUAUCGGUUAUGCCCCUGAGGCAUUUUCUAGAGUAUAGGUUCUGCUUACCUCUAUUUCUCUUGUAACUUUCUUUUUCAUUUUUUUAAUGAAGUUAAUUAAUAAAAGAACAAGGGAAGGUUUUUCAAUCAUGAUUUUCCAAGUCAUGCAUUAUUUGACUACCGAUCAAUCAAGAAACCGACCAAAUUAAUUUCUCUCCAUGAUUUCCAAAAGCUAGAAAAUUUUAUUAUUUGAAAACAACAUCGUUAAUUAUAGAGUGAAUCAAACCGCAUUAUCGUCUCUCAUGAAACUGAUGUGAGUCAUACUUUUUAAUUACGCAAACCAGUCAACUUGAACUUUCUUAUUUUUAUUAUUAUUAUACCAUUCAUUUCAAUCCCCGAUUAUUUGACCAGCAACUAUCAAGACACCGACCAAAUUUAUUUCUCCAUGACUUCCAAAAACUACAAAAUAACAUCAUUAAUUGGAGUUGAUCAAACCACAGUAUUAUUGUCAUGUAUUAUUGUGUAAAAAGUAACUCAUGAACAAUGAUGCAGAAUCGCAUGAAUAGAUCUCUGCGAACAGAGAUUUCAGAGUUAGUUAAUUAGGUUAAUUAAUUUUCAAAGGUUUUAGUUUUCCUAUACUUACUAAAAUAGAUAUAAAUUUUUAACAAAUCACUUCCAAAUCUCAACAUCACUUGAACGAUUCUUAAAGUAAAUUGUUAAUUAAUUUCCCUGACGUAUACAGCUAAAGUUGUUGCUCCUCCUAAUUAAAUAAAGUCGCAUAAUUUCACCAACUUGGAAGAAUUGACAUUAAUGGACUGGUCCCCUCUCUAGAUGUAAAGUCUUCUUAAAAGAUAAUUUUAUUGCCUGUUUGCUUUUAAGUUAAUUUAUAUUUCGAAAAAAAUGUUUAAGUUACAUAUAUGACGGAGGGAGUCUUUUAAGGACAAUUCCCUUCUUCAAAUAAUAAUGAAAAAGGGGUAAUUUAAAAAUAAAAUAAAUAAGUGUUGAUUAUAUCUUGAAUUUCAUCGAUUAUGUGAUCAAAGUGAUAAUUUUGAUUUAUUUUUUGUUCAAUUUUAAUUUUUAGGUUAUCUUAAUUUGAAGAAUUUAGAAUAUUCGGUCAUAAAUUACGCACAUGUAAAUUUUUCUGCCAUUGACUAUAAUAUUUUAGACUUAAUGGUACCUUUCUUGAUGAAGGGUAAUGAGUCUAUAUUCUCCUCUUAUAAAAACUAUAUUAGUUGAUUCUUGUUAUGGUUAAUAGUCUUUAAGAAUGGAUAGAUUUAUUGACUUCAUAACCAAAUUAUGCCUGCCUAGGGCUGCGACUAUUAAUAAAAUUAAUAUUUAAUGUUUAUGUUAACAGAUUUAAGAUUUUAUGCGUUCAUUAAUUGUUAUUAGCUAAAGGAUGAAUUAUAUUUUCAAGCCAAUCAGUUGAUGCAGCUGCAAGAGUUUUUUUUGUUUUACUGACCAUAAUUUUCUCCCAGGUAAAUCUUCUCAUCAGCCCUCAUUUAUCUUUUAUAAAUUGAAGAUCUCACAUUUUCAAACUAUCACUUCCAAACUUCAGUAUCACUUGAGCCAUUCUUGAACCAUUCAAAACUGAACAAGCUUGGAAAUAACCAAAUAUAUGCAAAAAUCGAAUCACAUUCUUUGGCCCCUCAAAAUUCUAAUUAUAUAACUUCUAUAUAUCUCAUUGUCUGGUCACGAAGAUGGUGGCACAUUAAACUUCUCUUCCAUCAACAUCAUUAGGAAUAUGUUCAUCUCUCACACAUUAACUUGAGUGGAGAGUUUCCAAAUUGAUUGUUAGAAAACAAUGCAAAAGCUAGGCACACUUGAUCUGUCUAAUAAUUCUCUUUCGGUAAAAUUAAUUAAUUUUAGGGGUAUAUUCGGCCAAUCUAUAUAAUUUCAGAUUGAUCAUUAAUUAAUUAGACGAUACAAAUUGCUAAAGUGAUUUGAUUUUUGCUGACAAUACAACUAUACAAGUUCAUGACUUGAAAUUUGAUCUCUAUCGAUUGGUUUACAAAUGGACGUACCUGUGCCUUGUGAUGAUAAUUGAACCAGAGAUGUAAAGCUAUAAGGAUUUGACAGCACUAAAUUGUUACAAAGACAUAAAAACAAGUUCCCAUUAUUAUUACUUUUGGCAAAUGUGUGUAAUUUAAUUUUUGACUAUGUGGACCAAAAUGCAAAUGAAAGAAAAAAAAAAACCAAAGAUGUGGAAGUCUUUGGGCUUUUCUUAUAAUUGUGGGUUUUUCAAAGGGAAAAAAUGAGGACACUUCUAAUGUUUGUUUUGAUAAUUACACAUAUACUGUUUAAUUUUAUAUAUGGGCAUAUAAAUCUUUUUUACAAAUAUAUAUUAUUCAUUUUCUGUAUUAUUUUUUAACAUCAUAUUUUUAUUUAUUAUAAAUAUUUAAAGCUAGUUUUUAGGUUGAUAUUUAAUAAAAGGGUAUAAUCGUUCUUUUACUAAACACACACGCUCCUAGUUCCUAUCCAUUUGUCAUCUCAAUCUCUCUCAAUUAUCCUUUAUUGAUAGCUCAAAACGCGUCAUUGUGGAAAAUUAUAGCAAAACAACAAAUAUGGAAAGAAUGGGAAGAAAAUUAACGCGUGAAAGACUUGGAGAAGACAACCAAAUAAGUCAACUAUAAGCAAGCUGGGUGUAUAAAUUGUUAGAUGUGUUAUAAACAAAUAGCGUAGAGCCCUCUAGUUGGUUACAGAGACAGAAAGAGUAUGUGUAUUUUUUAGAACUUAAAGAUAUAGUUAGAAUGGGUGAUUCAAAAUCAAAAACGGUGAUAAUGUUUGUUCUGUUAUUAAUAAUAUUUGGAGGUGGGUGGAGUGAGGGAUGUUUGGAUCAUGAGAGAUUUGCUCUUUUACGACUAAAACAUUUCUUCACUGAUCCUUAUGAUAAGGGAGCUACUGAUUGUUGUCAGUGGGAAGGGGUUGAGUGCAGCAACACCACAGGGCGAGUGAUAGGACUAUACCUUUCUGAAACGUAUUCGGGAGAGUACUGGUAUCUGAAUGCUUCUUUAUUUACUCCCUUUCAACAACUUGAGUCACUUGAUUUAAGUUGGAACAAUAUAGCCGGUUGUGCUGAGAAUGAAGGUGCUUCGUUUAAUUUAAUUAAUUUACUUCCUCCCUCCUAAUUUAAGUUGAAUAUCAAGAUCGAGCAAUUAUAUGCAUAUUCAUUCAGUUGACAAUUUUGACAAUUUUUUUUAAAUGAUUAAUUUUGAAAUUAGACCAACAACCAUGAUCUGUUUUCAUUUUACUUGCAGGUCUAGAGGGGCUGUCAAGAUUGAACAACCUAAAGAUGCUUGAUUUAAGUGGGAACGCAUUCAACAAUAACGUCUUAUCAUCUCUAGCUCGUCUUUCAUCAUUAAGAUCAUUAUAUUUAUCUGACAAUAGAUUGGAAGGAAGUAUUGAUGUUAAAGGUACAAAAUUAAAACUUCAUCUCUUCUCCGAACACUUCCAUUAACUUGCUAAAUUAAGAUUUAAGGCUUUGAAUUCAAUUUUUUUACGAGUAGUAUUGAAAAAAAAUGGUUAUAAACAAUUCAAAAAUAAAUGUCCACUGUUUCUCAUAAUUUUAUGUUGAACUUUCGUAUGUCUUAACUUUAGGGUUAAAACAAAAUUACUCUAAUUGCCAACCAAACACUCAUAGCUAAUUUAUCUUUUUUUUUAAUUAUUUAAAAGUGAUGAAAUUUAUCUUAUUUUUCGUGAGGUUUGAAACAUUCAACUCAAUUUGUACUCUUUACAGAAUUAGAUUCUUUGAGAGAUUUAGAGGAGCUAGACAUCGGCGGGAACAAGAUUGACAAAUUUAUGGUCUCAAAAGGUACUACAAAUACCAUAAAAAAUGUAAACUUUUACAAAUUAGCUAAAUUGUUUGCCAUUUGGUUAUUAUUUUGCAGGUUUAAGUAAGUUGAAGUCUCUCGGUUUAAGUGGUACGGGAUUCAAAGGGACAUUCGAUGUUCGAGGUAAGACUAAGCCACUUUCUCAUUUUAUAUAUGCCAGCUAGACUUGUGUAUCAUCGACAUAAUUUAAUAUUUAAUUUGAUUAGUCUGAAGGAAUUACAUACUAAUUAAACAUACUUUUAUAUACUCUGUCGAUCAAUUAAUUAAAUGCUAUUUGGUUUGGUUUAGACGAAAUUCUUAUGACAUUUUAAUUUCUUUCAAUUUAUUAAUUAAUUUACUCUGUUUUAAGUCUUAAGUCUGGGUAUGUUUGCAGAAUUCGAUUCCUUCAACAACUUAGAAGUGUUGGACAUGAGCGGCAAUGAAAUCGACAAUCUUGUGGUUCCUCAAGGUAAACAAUUAAAAUAUUAUUCAAUUACAUUAAUUUAAUUCAUUGAUUAGGCAGGCCCAAAAGCUACAAAAAUAAUAGUAAUAAUAAUAAAGAAACAAAGAGUUUAUAAUAAUAAUAAUAAUAAUAAGCUGUUAAUUAAUUAAUUUCGCUGCUACUUCCUUCUAAACAGAGUUGCACAAUUUCACCAUCUUGAAUAUUUGAGAUUGGACUCUUCCUCUCUCCAUAUAAGCCUUCGGCGAUUGCUUGAAGAAUUUGUUUAUUUAUUAUUAAAAUGUUUAAUUUUGAAAUUACCCCAAACACAUGUGAUCUCUGUUUUGAUUUUACUUACAGGUCUAGAGAGGCUAUCAAGAUUGAGCAAGUUGAAGAAGCUUGACUUAAGAGGAAACUUGUGCAAUAAUAGCAUCUUAUCAUCUGUAGCUCGUCUUUCAUCAUUAACGUCAUUACAUUUGUCUCAUAAUAUAUUGCAAGGAAGUAUUGAUGCUAAAGGUACAUAAUUAAAACUUCAUCUCUUCUCCCAACUCUUUCAUUAACAUGCUAAUAUAAGAUUGAAGGCUUUGAAUUCAAUUUUUUUAUGAGCAAUAUUAGAAAAAUAGUUUAAGCAAUUCAUAAAUACAAUUUUCAAUGUUUCUCAUAAUUCCAUCUUGUACUUUCGUAUGUCUCGACUUUAAAAAAAAAAUUACUCUGACUGUGAAGCAAAUACCCCAUGACUAAUUCAUCAUUUUUUCCAGUUAAAAUUGAUAAAAUUUAUCACUCGUUUUUAUUGAUUAAUUAACUCUGUUUUGAGUCUUAAGUCUUGGCGUCUUGGCAUGUUUGCAGAAUUUGAUUCCCUGAGCAAUUUAGAAGAGUUGGACAUCAACGACAACGAAAUAGACAAUGUUGAGGUUUCUCGAGGUAAACAAUUGAAAUAUUAAUUCAAUUACAUUAAUUUAAUUCAUUUGAUUAGGAAAGGCCCAAAAAGUACAAAAACAUUUAAAAAAAUAGAGAAACAGAGAAUUUAUAUUAUUUAAAAAACAGAACGUAACACUAUUAUUUCAAAAAUAGAGUGUAACAAAGAUUCGAUUCCAGUUCUUUUGAUAUUUACAUCAAUUGAAAAACGAUGUUGCUCUUUUUCCAAAGCAUAAAAUACGAAUUGACUCCCAAUUAAACUAAUCAUUUAUUUCGUUUAUCUCUAAAUUUAAACAAUGAAUUUUGAUCUUCAAUCCUAUCCUAAUUACUGUUAAAAAACAGGUUACAGAGGCUUGAGGAAGUUGAAAAGCCUUGAUCUAUCGGGAGUUGGAAUUAGAGAUGGAAACAAGUUGUUACAAUCAAUGGGAUCAUUCCCAUCCCUCAACACUCUUCACUUGGAGUCUAAUAAUUUUACCGCUACACUGACAACUACUCAAGGUAAGUAAAAGGUACAUAUGUAGCCAAUUUUAUAAAUAAAUUGUUAAUUAAUUAAGUAAUUUUCCAUAUUAUUAAUAAAGCUAAAUUCGUUUUUCUUCCUUAUAAUUCUAAACAGAGUUGCACAAUUUCACCAACUUGGAAUAUUUGACAUUGGACGAUUCCUCUCUCCAUAUAAGCCUUCUGCAAAGCAUUGCAUCAUUAUUCCCUUCGUUAAAAAAUCUGUCGAUGUCUGGUUGUGAAGUCAAUGGCGUCCUAAGCGGUCAAGGUAAAAGAAAAGUGUUGAUUGUGAACUCACUCAAUGGUGUCCUACGUGUUCAAAAUUUUUAUUUAUUAAUUUAUUUAUUGUUUAAUGUUUCUGCUAGGUUUUCCUCAUUUCAAGAGUUUGGAACAUUUGGACAUGAGGUUCGCGCGCAUUGCACUCAACACUAGCUUUCUUCAAAUCAUCGGUGAAUCGAUGCCUUCUCUUAAGUACUUAUCACUGUCAGGUUCUACUCUUGGCACUAACAGCAGCAGGAUUCUUGAUCAAGGUUAAUCAGAUGCUCCCACCCUCCCUUCUUAAUCUAUAAUAUUAAUUUUCAAUUAAAUAUUUAAUUACACAAACCAAUCACUUCUAUAUGAAAGAAUACUCUGCAUUUGUUAAUUUUUAUGUUGUAGUGAUGGAUGCAUUAAUAAAUUUUCAGGCCUCUGCCCAUUGGCGCAUCUGCAAGAGUUGUACAUUGAUAAUAAUGAUUUAAGAGGUAGCUUGCCUUGGUGCUUGGCAAAUACGACAUCCCUCCGAAUAUUAGAUGUUUCUUUUAACCAACUUACUGGAAGCAUCUCUUCAUCCCCCCUCGUUCAUUUGACAUCCAUUGAAGAGCUGAGGCUUUCAAACAAUCAUUUCCGGAUCCCAGUUUCACUUGAACCACUUUUCAAUCACUCAAAACUCAAGAUUUUCGAUGCGAAAAAUAACGAAAUAAAUGGAGAAAUAAAUGAGUCACAUUCUUUGACCCCAAAAUUCCAGUUAAAAUCUCUCUCAUUGUCCUCCAAUUACGGGGAUAGUGUCACAUUCCCCAAAUUCCUUUACCAUCAACAUGAACUGAAGGAAGCUGAACUCUCACACAUUAAGAUGAUUGGAGAAUUUCCAAAUUGGUUGUUGGAAAACAACACAAAAUUAGAAUUUCUUUACCUCGUGAAUGAUUCUCUUGCAGGACCUUUCCGCUUGCCAAUUCAUUCACAUAAGCGGUUAAGAUUCUUAGAUGUCUCCAACAACAACUUCCAAGGCCACAUUCCAGUAGAAAUUGGAGAUAUUUUACCAAGUUUAGUUUAUUUCAACAUUUCCAUGAAUGCUUUGGAUGGUAGCAUUCCCUCCUCAUUUGGCAACGUAAUCUUCCUCCAAUUUCUGGACUUAUCCAAUAAUAAAUUGACUGGUGAAAUCCCUGAUCACUUGGCCAUGUGUUGCGUCAACUUGGAGUUUCUUUCGCUAUCAAACAACAGCCUAAAAGGUCACAUCUUCUCCAGAAUUUUUAGCUUGAGAAACUUGAGAUGGUUACUAUUGGAGGGCAAUCACUUCGUAGGAGAGAUCCCACAAAGUUUGUCUAAAUGCUCCUCAUUAAAAGGAUUGUAUCUUAAUAAUAACAAUCUCUCGGGCAAGAUUCCACGAUGGUUGGGUAAUCUCAAAGGGUUACAACAUAUUGUAAUGCCCAAGAAUCAUCUUGAAGGUCCUAUUCCAGUGGAGUUUUGUCGGCUUGAUUCGCUUCAGAUUUUGGACAUUUCAGACAACAACAUAUCUGGAAGUUUACCAUCUUGUUUCUAUCCUCUUUCUAUCAAACAAGUUCACCUAUCGAAAAAUAUGUUACAUGGACAACUAAAAGAAGGUACAUUUUUUAAUUGCUCUUCCCUUGUGACGUUAGAUCUUAGCUAUAACUACUUGAACGGGAGCAUUCCAGAUUGGAUUGAUGGGCUUUCUCAGUUAAGCCACCUUAACUUGGCUCACAAUAACCUUGAAGGUGAAGUGCCAAUUCAAUUGUGCAGAUUAAACCAACUGCAAUUGUUAGAUCUUUCUGAUAAUAAUCUUCACGGUCUUAUUCCUUCUUGCUUUGAUAACACCACACUUCAUGAAAGUUACAACAAUAAUUCUAGUCCUGACAAGCCAUUUAAAACAUCUUUUUCCAUCAGUGGUCCUCAGGGAAGUGUAGAAAAGAAAAUCCUUGAAAUUUUUGAAUUCACAACAAAGAACAUUGCCUACGCUUACCAAGGAAGAGUGCUUAGCCUCCUAUCAGGACUUGAUCUUUCUUGUAAUAAGCUAGUUGGUCAUAUUCCUCCUCAAAUUGGAAAUUUGACCAGGAUUCAAACAUUGAAUCUAUCACACAACAACUUGACAGGAACAAUCCCUUUAACUUUUUCAAACUUGAGGCAUAUCGAAAGUUUGGAUCUUUCCUAUAACAAAUUGAGUGGGAAAAUCCCUCGUCAACUUGUGGAUUUAAAUACAUUAGCUAUUUUUAUUGUGGCAUACAAUAACUUAUCAGGCAAGAUCCCAGAAUGGACUGCACAAUUUGCAACCUUCAACAAGAGUAGCUAUGAUGGAAAUCCUUUUCUUUGUGGACUACCAUUGCCUAUCUGCAGAUCACUAGCAACUAUGUCGGAGGCUUCAACUAGCAAUGAAGGGGAUGAUAAUUUAAUUGACAUGGACAGUUUCUUUAUCACAUUUACAAUAUCAUACGUAAUUGUGAUAUUCGGAAUCGUUGUUGUUCUAUAUGUGAAUCCUUAUUGGCGACGUAGGUGGCUUUAUCUUGUUGAAAUGUGGAUAACGUCUUGUUACUAUUUUGUCAUAGACAAUCUUAUUCCAACAAGAUUUUGUCAUUGAAAUUAAUAUGUAGUUUAAUUAAGAUCCUUUAAGUUCUAAACAAGUUUGCUUAAGAAAUAAUUUAUUUUUUAAGUACUAAUCAAGUUUGGUUAAGAAAUAAUUUUUUUUUUAUAUUGAAAUUGUAGUAGUAUUGAGCACUAUAUAGCUUCCAACUUCCAAGAACCUAGCAUGUCUCCACACUUAGAAAGCUGGGUGAUUAUGCUUUGCAGAUCUAGAUUUGAAGUAGGAUGGUCCCAAACCCAUAUCUAUGUAUUGUAGCUUACCUAUGAUGUCCAACAUACUUAAACGAGAGCACCAUCUCUAAUGUUAAUAAUAGCCGCUAUAUAGGAUCCUUUUGGAAACUAUAUUCAGAAUCGUUUUAUAAUCAUACAUAGGAAAUGAAAAAUCUUACUGCAAUUGGUUGCCUAUUUUACUCUGAACAAGAACGAUUAUGGCGUUAACAUCAUCUUCUUCACUAGUAGCAUUAACAUCAAACCACGGGAUAGACCCAGACAUUUCAUCAAGAAAGGCAUACAUCUAAUAAAGUUGAAGCUUUGACAAAAAAUUCAAUGGAAGGUCAAUGUCUCGCCACAACAAAGGGCACAACAACAUCAUUCUAGAAGAGAUGAAGCAAUAUUCUCAAAGCUAAAGCUCUCAAAUACACCACACAAUAAUUUCAUAUCUCCUCAUCGAUUUCAAAAACUAAAGAUAAUUAGGAUUUAACAUUGGUUUGUUAUAUAUUAGUUUCAUAAUUUAAAAGCCAAUGAAGAUGAAGAUUAUGCCAAUGAAUUCAAAUUAUACCAUACAUUCUCCGGAUAUCACAAAAAAUUUACAAGUCAAUCCCACAUAUUUCAUAACUUAAAGACUGGAAAGUUUCAUUAGUUAGAAGUUUCAUUACCUUUAAGUAGAAGAUGAAGAAGAACAUUAUGCAAGUGAUUAAGAUUAUAUUAUACAUUCUCCGAAUGCAACUAGAAAUUAACAAGUUCAUGCCACAUAUUCGAUAACAUUAUGAUUGAAAAGCUUGAUAAGGACUUGAGAAAUUCUGAAUUCAACCUUCUGCACUAAGGUUAUUUGAUUGAUUUGAGCUACUUUGUGAUUAAGCUACUAGUACAACAUUUAAUUCAGGGAGGAAAUAAAUUAAAAUUUGGUAGAAAUAGUAAUAAAAAUUUGUUGCUAAACAUGAUGUGCAGUUUUUUUUCUUAAGGCAAUUUGGAAACACAGUUGUUAGUAAAUAUAUUCUCCUCAACUUGGAGAUAAAUACAUAUAUGAAAAUGCCUACGAUCAGAUAAAUACAGAUAUGAAAAUGCAUAUUGUUUGGAAUUUAGAUCUAUUAGAAAUAGAUGUAGGUAAUUAAAAAUUAAAAAUUAAAAAUUAACAGCUUAAUUAUUUCCGGAAGUACUGUUCACUGUUACUGUUCAUGAAUACUGUUCAUCCGCAUAAAAAAUAUUAAUUUUCCAAAAACAUAAUAAAAUGCAGAAAAUAAAUGACACGGAGAUUUUUACGUGGUUCAGAUUAACCAAUCCUACAUCCAUGAGGCCACGCCUAGAUAAAAAGCAAUUCACUAAGUUGAGAUGUUACAACCUAUGGAUUUACCAAACUUAAUACUCUCACUUACAGUUUAUCACCAUACAGUUUACUCAACCUUAGACUAAAUCUGCUUCUCUUGAAUAAUCGCUACCCCUCUUGAUCCACGAUCCUUAAGGCACUUCGCAAAGUGAUCAAUAGCAAUUCUUCAAUUCUUCAAAGUCUAGUGAUCCAAGAUCCACAUAGACUCUCCGCAGAGAUGAACAGAAGAUAAGAAAACAAAUCAACAUAACAUGAUGCGCCAAAUCCAGAUUCUCUGGGGAGGACGCCGAAUUUUGCUUCUGUGCUUUAUGCUCUGUGUUGUGCCAUCUUCAAUUGUGAAAUACCUCUCUUUAUAUAGGCACUAGGAUUUCACCAAAAUAGCAAGUCUUAAAAGACUUGGAUUCUUUCCAAAUAAGAGUUUCUUUCCUCUUAUAAUUCCCAUGAAUUUGAAUAGGAAUAAAUCUGAUCUUCUUGCCUUGCUUGUCUCCCAAGAAAUAUCUAGAGCAUUUAAUGACUUCCUGUUUGAACCAACUUUUAGCUCUAAAUAAAUCUCAUGCGCCAAUUAUAGAAUCCCACCAUUAAUUGACUUGCUAAAAUAGACAUCUAAUUAAAUUAGGAAACAAAUAUUCCUAAUAAAUUGGAAUCUCACUAAAUUAGGGAAUUAAUAAAUUAAUCCCUAUUACAAGAUAUGCAAUAAAUAAACUUCUAAUUUAAUUAGACUUGCCAUAAAAUAUCAACUCUAUAAAUAAUGACCUUAACACAUAUGAUCACACAUAUUACUUGCAACUUAGCAAGAUUUAAUUAAGGGGAGCAAUCAAACCACUUAUCAGUUGUCGUAGUUGUUCUAUAAUCUAAAAUGGCAAUAUAACACAAGAAAAAGAUAACAUAUAGAUACUUGGCAAGGGUUCAUUAAGAAGUCGCAUCACAUUCGGGUGAUGAGUUUGCUUCUGAUAUCUUGCUAGCUGCGGCUUUCUCCUGUCUUUCUACUCAUGCUGAGGGAAACCAACAAGCCUUGCCUUUGCAUUCACCUUCCGACCAUCUAGGAGGAGCCACCUUGAGAAUUUAUAGCCAAAAAGGGUGAAUAAAACAGAAGUUGACCAUUCAAAGACUUGAGGUGAAAUAAUUGAAGCAAAAUAGGAUAAUUCUUUGACUUAGAAAGAGUGAAUUAGUUGUAAUUACUCAAAUAACUGCAUUAACCAUGGAAGUUUAACAAGAUAUAAAUUCACGUGAAAUUCUUAAAUGAAAAUAUAAGAUUAGGGCUCCUCAAUUUGCUUUUAAAUCAGCUAGACAGCUAAGAGUGUUUUGUAGGUGAAAGUAGUUUGUAUAAGCAUAUAUUUAAUUUUUUAGCAAUUCAGUAAGAGUUAAAUCCUUCUUAAUCAUCAAAAUAUGCAGAUUUAUUGCGCCCCUUUGAACAAAGAAUAUAGCAAUUUCAUUAGGAUUUAUUGUCAAAUUAGGCAAUGCACAACAAAGAUUUUUUUAAAAACAAAUCACCUAUUAAAAGAACACACAUAUAAAGUAUCCACAAAAUUACUCCAUUCUACAACGAAUUAUAAAUUGCUCUCUCACUUGUAUUUUCUCUCUCUUCCAUCAAUCCGUUUAUCUUAUCAAUACAAGAAAAAAAAGAAUACUUGACAUUUUUUAUUUGACAAUUUUUAAGAAAUAUCAAAUAUAUAUGACAUUUUGUGAAAAAUUGAGUAAUUGUGAAAUAUAAAUGACAAUUUAUUUAAACGUCAAAUACUAAUGAUGUUUUACCAAAUAAGUAGAAAAUAUAUUAUAUUUUUAUUGAAUAAUUACCAUUUACCUUUUCCUUUUAUUGACUUAAGAAAAAAACAAAAAACGCACUAUACUGCCUUUGUCUCGUUCUUAGAACAUAUUUGUUUCUUUUAAGAAAAUUCAAACUCGUUCCCCUUGCUUUCUUUUCAAUAAUCACCUCACAUUUUUAUCAAUCACUCAAUUUCGAAUUUCAUCUCAAUCCUCUCUCGAAGAAGAACGCACAAAGAAUUUCAGCUUGCUUUAGCCUCAUUUGCUUCUCGAAUUUCAGGUAUUGUUUCCUUUAAUUUUGAUAAUUUGUUUCUACUUCUCUCUUUCUGGUUUGAUAAUUUUAGGGUCAUAGUUGAAUUAUUUGUAUUUUUAAACAAUCUAGGGUUGAUUUAAUUGAUUCCAAGUGUCGUAUCUGUUCUGCUAUUUGAAUGCACAUUACUUGUUUGAUGAAAUGUCUCUUUAAAAGAUUAUUUUUUUUAACAAGCAUCUUAUUGAGAUGUUUCUCGUGAUAAUAUUAACGUAAUGCACUUAGCUUCAAUUUGGUAUGUUUAAUACAUUUUAACAAAGGAAAAUUACAGAACUGCAACAAUUCUCAAAUUGCUUGCAGAUUAGAAGUAAUGUUAUUGAUUUUUAUUAAUUAAUGAGAUUUUUAUUUAUUGAGUCUGUAAACUCACUAUAAGAAGUGAUUAUUGCUAUAAUUUGGUCUGUUUCAUACAUUUUCAUUCUCAUUAUAAAUGACGGUCAACUCUCAUUUUUUUCAUCAAUCACUCAAUUUUAAAUUUCAUCUCCAUUCUCUCUCGAAGAAGGACCCACGAAGAAGUUCAGCUUGCUUCAGCUUCAUUUGCUUCUUGAAUUUCAGGUAUUUUUCUUUUAAUUUUGAUAAUUUUUUUUAAUUCUCUCUUUCUAGUUUGAUAAUUUUAGUGUUAUACUUGAAUUAAUUGUAUUUUUAAUUGAUACUAAGUCUUAUAUCUGUUCUCAUUCAACAAAGAAAGAACGCACAAAUAAUUUUCACUUUCAUUCUCAAUUUUGAAAGAAUCAAUUUAUUUUAUAAACUAUAUUAGACACACUCUAGUUGCUUAAUUAGUAAAAUUGUAAGCUCAUUGCCUUAUUUUUUGGGGUUAAUUCUAUAAUUUUAUCAGUUGUUCUUGUGGUUGCAAACAAUAUCAUUUUUUAAUAUUAAUAAAACUAAAUGAAUAUUAUGUGAUACAUUUGCAGGAAAGUUAAUAGUUUAAAUAUGGAUAAAUCUUGGAUGUUGAUGGAUAGAAGGUUUAUAGAAUAUGAAAAUGGGGUAAAUGAGUUUCUCAAGUUUGCAAUACUUCAUGCUAGUAAUCCUGAACUUUUAAGAUGUCCAUGCCAAGCAUGUGGUAAUUUGGUCUUUCAUGUACCUGUUGAGAUAAGAAAUCAUCUUUAUUGGAAAUGUAUUGACCAAAGCUAUCAGACAUGGACUUGGCAUGGAGAAAGAGCUUCUAGUAGACGACCAUCAAAUGUAAAAGCUUCAUUUGAUGGCAGUCAACAAGAUGAUGAAGCUGCUGAUACAGUAGAAAUGGUUAAUGGUGCAUUUGACACUUGUAAUGGUGACCCCAAGUCUUUCGAAACUCUACUUAAAGAUGCUGAAAAACCUUUGUUUCCUGGCUGUGUGAAAUUCACUAAGUUAUCGGCCUUAAUAAGGCUUUACAACAUUAAAGGAAGAAAUGGAUGGUCAAACAAAAGUUUUUCAGAUUUACUAAGUUGUUUAUCAGAUAUGCUUCCUGAUAAAAAUGAAAUACCUUUAUCUGUAUAUGAAGCAAAGACGAUUAUGGUUGCAUUAGGCUUAGAAUAUGAAAAAAUACAUGCAUGUCCCAACGAUUGCAUCCUAUAUAGAAAAGAAUAUAAGGAUUUAUCUGCAAGUCCCACUUGUGGAAUGUCAAGAUGGAAGAGUCCCAAUAAAAGUAAGGGAAUUCCUGCUAAAAUCUUAUGGUAUUUUCCUCCUAUACCAAGGUUUAAGAGGAUGUUUCAAUCUCUUCGAAUCGCAAAAGACUUAACUUGGCAUGCCAAUGAAAGGGUGAUUGAUGGCAAACUACGUCACCCAGCUGACUCACUGUCAUGGAGGCUAAUGGGCCAAAAAUGGCUAGAUUUCGCUGCAGAAGAAAGAAAUCUUUGGCUGGCUAUUUCUACAGAUGGGAUAAAUCCCCAUAAAACUUUCGCAGUUCGUAUAGUUGUUGGCCAAUUGUUAUGAUUACUUAUAAUCUUCCUCCUUAGUUAUGCAUGAAGAGAAAAUUCAUGAUGUUGACUAUGCUAAUAUCUGGUCCACGACAGCCCGGUAACGAUAUUGAUGUCUAUUUGUCACAACUGAUUGAUGACUUGAAAACUUUGUGGGAAGUUGGUGUCCAAAUUUAUGAUGCAUAUAGACAAGAAUUAUUUACUCUACGGGCUGUCUUGUUGUGGACAAUUAGUGAUUUUCCUACUUAUGGGAACUUGUCUGGAUGCUCAAUUAAAGGAUAUUUUGCAUGUCCUAUAUGUGGGAAAGAUACACAGUCCUAUAGACUUAAGCAUGGGAAGAAAAAUGUGUACAUGCGCCAUAGGCGAUAUCUCCCAGAAUCUCACUUGUUUCGAGAUUUAACAAAGGCUUUUGAUGGUAAACCAGAAAGAGACUUUCCUUUUAAGCCGUUAAGUGGUGAAGAAACAUUAAGAAAGGUUGAAGGGAUUCAAAACUCAUGGGGGAAGAAAACUAGAAAGCGUAAAAAAUUAGAUUCUGAUGAAAAAAUUUGCUGGAAAAAGAAAUCAAUAUUUUUUUCUCUCCAGUAUUGGAAACAUUUGCAUGUUCGCCAUAUGUUAGAUGUAAUGCACAUUGAAAACAAUGUGUGCGAAAGUAUAUAUGGUACAUUAUUGAACAUUCCAGGAAAAGCAAAAGAUGGACUUAAUUCUUGGUUGGACCUUGUUGAUUUCAAUAUUAGGAAAGAAUUAGAAGGGAAUCACACUUAUUUACCUGCUGCAUGUUAUUCAUUGACUAGAGCGGAAAAAGUAAUGUUUUGCGAAACAUUAUUUAAUCUGAAGGUUCCUGAAGAAUACUGUUCAAACUUUAAAAAUCUUGUAUCAAUGAGUGAUUUAAAGCUUAUUAGGUUGAAAUCUCAUGAUUGUCAUGCUUUGAUGCAACAACUCCUACCAUUGGCUAUUCGAGGAAUUUUGCCAUAACAUGUUAGAUAUGCCAUCACUAGAUUUUGCUUUUUCUUCAAUGAUCUUUGUAGCAAAGUUGUGGAUGUAGAGAAGUUAAACCAAAUACAAAAGGAUCUUGUGGUCACAAUUAAUUUAUUUAAAAUGUAUUUCCUUCCUGAAUUUUUUGAUAUCAUGGUUCAUUUAAUUGUGCAUCUUGUUAGAGAAGUCAGAUUAUGUGGGCCUGUAUAUCUUAGAUGGAUGUAUCCCUUUGAAAGAUUUUUAAAAGAUCUAAAAGGGUAUGUGCGGAAUAAAAAUCAUCCCGAAGGUUGUAUUGCUGAAUGUUACAUUGUAGAGGAGGCAUUGCACAGAAUAUUUACCCAAUGUGGAUCCAAUUGGAAUUCCAAUUGCAAGGACGAAUAAUAUAGAAACUGAGGGUCCGCUUCUUGGUGGUCGUUUAAGUGAUAUUGAUCGCGACGAAUGGAAGCAAGCACACCAUUAUGUUUUGCGAAACACACAAGCAGUUCAACCUUACAUUGAGUAAGUUUUCUUAUCUUAACUUUAUUAAAACCAUGUAGAUUCAUCACUAAUAUAUUCGUUUUAUUAUGAAUCUUAAUCUUAGGAUGCAUAUGACAUGGUUGAAAUUGAAUUAUCCUCGCCAAUCUAAAAACAAGAAGUGGUUACGAGAUGAACAUGCUCGAAACUUCAUUUACUGGUUACAAGAAAAUGUUUAAUAAACUAUUUCCUUUUAUUUCUGAAAUUUCUAUAAAAUGUUAUGUAUAGGCAUAAUUUCAACUAUUUUCUUUUCUAAAUUUUAUAGGUUUCAAAUGGUAACGAUAAUCAGUCAUCCAAAUCAUCUUUAUUGAAAUGGCUAGUACAAGGACAUUGGCCUCAUGCAUUCUUAUAUCCUGGUUAUCUUAUUAAUAAUUACCGUUUUCACAUAAAAGAUCGUGAUAAUGAUAAAACCACUCAAAAUAGUGGAGUGACUCUUGUAGCUGAAACAGAGCAAAUUACAAGUGCCAAGGACAAGAAUCCUAUUUUUGGAGAAAUGCCUUACUAUGGAGUCAUUAAAGAGAUAUGGGUGCUCGAAUAUCACAUGAUCCAAAUUCCCAUAUUUAAGUGUGAUUGGGUUGAGAGUCAUAGUGGUGUUAAAGUUGAUGAGCUUAGGACAAUCUUAGUUGACCUUAAUCGUAUAGGUCAUAAAUCAGAUCGUUUUAUUCUAGCCUCACAAGCAAAGCAAGUCUUUAACUGACCAACUAGAUCCAAGGUGGUCAGUUGUACUCCAUUUCCCUAAAAUGAUGCCAAAUCCUGAAAAUUUUGAGAAAGGGGAGAAGGACAGUAAGAAUUACAAGCGUGAUGAUGGUGAGAAGAUCUGGAUUCAUAAUAAAACAAUUAGGAAAGCUUAAUUGUUUGUGUUGUAAAGUAAGAAUGUAGUUUAUUGUUUCUGAAUUUUAAUGAUUUCACUUCUUUGCUUAUUUAAAUUAAUUAUAGUUAAUGAUGUCCUAAUAGCUAAAUUAUCUAUUGAUAUGUGACAAAUGAGUACUUAAUAUUGGAUUGUGCUUUUGCAGGAUUAUGACCAUGGAGGAAUAUGAUGAUGAUAUUAUGUCCAUGGAUGAUAUAGAUGAUGUUGAUGCUGAUGUAGAAGAUCUUGAUUUAGAAGACUUUGAUACUAAUAAGAAGAUACAUAAGACUAGAGGAAUUGUCAAGAUGGAGAGUGUUACUAAGAAUCGUAGUGAUGGGAAGAGAGAGAGUUAGAUUUAAUAGCGAUGGACAAUUGGUGGGUGAAGAGAGACAUAAUGUUAUUAGUACAAUUGGUGCUGUCACUAAGACAUUAGUUUCCAUUCUUUCGAUGGAUUUGCGAAAAGUACCAAAGAAUUCAAAAGAAAAAAAAUAUGGGAAUACAUUCAGGUAUGCUUUAUAAACAUAUUAUGCAUUUUGCAAAGGCAUGAAAAUUUUUUUUAAACUGUCUUUAUAUUUCAUGUCUUACAGAGUUCGUUUGAUGUGGAUGAUCGAUUUAAAAGACAAUGUUUGCAAAUUGCUUGAAGUUCAUUUCGUUCUUUUAGAUAUAAUCUCACACAACAUGUAAAAAAAUACAAAGCCUAUCCAAAUCGUUUGCGUAACCCACCACUAUUGUACUCUUUCAUACAAAAAGGUCAUUGGGAUGCAUUUGUUAAUGAUCGAUUAUCUAAAGAAUUUAAGGUAAUCCUUUUUUAUUAUUGUGAACAUUAUUUUUUUAUAUUUUAUUUAUGUCAAUGCUAAUAAACAUAUGUAUUAUAUGCAUUAGACACUUAGUGGCCUUCAAAAAGAAAGACGAGCACUAAAUCUUUACAACCAUCACCUUGGUUGAAAAGGUUAUAAUGGAUUAGAAGAAGAAAUAGUAAGUAUUUUUUUCAUAAAAAAUUAUAAUUAUUUUUAGCAGUUGAUGUAUGUUUAACAUUGGUCACAUUGCUAUUGGAAUUAGAAAAAAGAAUGUGGAAAUCCCAAUUUGAAAGUGGAUAGAAGUGUAGCAUGGAAAAGGGCUCGUCAAAACCCAAAUGGUGGAUAUCAUCUGGUUGUGAUACCUGUUGUGGAUACAAUUGUAAGUAUAAUAUUCUUUGAGCAAUUUUCCAUCAAUUCCUUGUAUGUUGCAUGAAUAAUCACUACUAGAAAAACAGGCUACCAUGACAGAGAGUAUCUGUCAUCCGACCCCCCUUAUGAGUUAUGACAGAGUUUUCAUCUAUCAUUGUAGCCCUUGUGAUAAAUCCGAGACAAUAUUUUAUCUAUCACAUGUUCCCAUGACAGUGUAUAUCUAUCACGCAUACAUCACGAACCAAGCGAUGUCGUUUUGCAAGGCUUUUGAGAAUUAGUUGGAAAUUUUAGCAAGUAAUUUAAAUUAUAUUGAAUUUGGUGGGCUUUUUCAAAAUCUUUCAUAUAUUAAUGAUUCACAUUCUCUGUCAUGAGAUUUAAGGUUUUAAAAAAUAAAAUUAUUAUUUUUAAUUUUGAAAUUAUAAUAAUACUAAUUAAUAUUAUUUAAAUUCCAAAAUUUUGAAAUAGAAAUAACAAAAGCCACAUUUUAAAAUUUGAAUUAACUGAAAUAAAAAUUACAUUCAAAUUCAUAAAAACUAUCGAAUACCAAAUAUCACCAUAUACUAAAAAUUUCAAUUACUUGAAACUUCCAACAAAUAGCAUCAUCAAAAUACGUGGUGAAUCAAAUCCGUAACAAUAGCUCAUAAAUUCUCUACAAUAUUCAAUCACUACCCCAUCAUUAGAAAAACAAUUAAUCUGGAAAAAGAACACUGAUAGUAAAUUCACAAGAGCCACCAACAUCACCUGAAACACAUAUUACAUUUAGAUGAGUGCCAGAAGAAUAUAUAUUAGCGUAUUGGCCACUUACAAUUAAUCCAAUUCAUGAUGAAGUAUUUUUCCAAGAUUACAAAUUAAUUAAUGCACAACAUCUAACAACAUAAAACCUCUGUUACAUAAUUAAAUAAAAUUCAUCAAAAUUCUAUCCUCUAUCCUCUUCUCUUGAUUCCCCUGUUCUCCUAAAGUUUCACCAUCCUUUUCUUUAUUUCUACUCUUUUUUUUUUCAAUCUUCUCUUUAUUUUUCUUCCACUGUACUUGUUCAAAUUUGUAUAUCAAUCUAAGUUCUAAAACACAUAUAUUACACUGAGACUCCAAGCAACGCAAAUCCAUUUAACUUGUUCAUUAGGGCAAGACAAUCUUGGCUAAGAAGCAGCAUGUGGAAGUAUUUCAAAAUGACUAGAGAAAGACUUGCUCUAGAACUAUGGAAAUUAGCAUAUAAAAAGAAAUAGAAAAACACUAAAUAAACAAACCACCCAAAGAUUUCAUCACAUAAAGCAAGGGCAAAUUAUGUGAGAUUUCAUCACAUCAUCACAUGAAGCAAGGGCAAAAUUAUUAUCACAUCCCACUUCACACAACUCAUUACAUACCUUACCUCAUGGCAUUACCUCAAGAACAAAUACUCUGAAAAAUCACGGAUAUCAUUUGGCCUGGAAUGAUCAGCAGAAAACAAAAACGUUAACAAAGUGCUGCAGCAAUGAUAUCAGCACAAUUUCAAACUUAGAUAGAAUCUCACUUGGGGAGUCCAAUAUUCUCAUCAAACCUUUGACUUUUAUAAAAUUUCACCAGAUGGAGCAAACCAGCUCAAUCAAUUUCCUAUACAAUAGUGUGUAUUUAUCAUAUAUCAAUAUUGAGAACUGGUAAGUGCAACAUGGUCCACAAACCAAAACAUUUCCAAUUAAUAAAGCACAAUAUGUGACAAAUCAAAUAAAAAAAAAAAAUCUUCCAAAAAGUUCAACAUGUCAAUUAAGAGAAAAAUUAUAGGAUUCAUAUCAGUGCAUCCAUAAAUGGCCUAGUUUCUCUGUCAACAAGUUAGUUAUAAGCACAAGUCAAAAUAAAUCAUUUCACUGAAAUGCUAGAAGACCAAGCAAAUAAGCACAAUCACCACCACACAAAGCAUUUGCAUUUCCAAAAAUGUAGUUCACAAAGAUUUUACAGAAGAUAUCUUUCUAAUAGAAAAACACAAGCACCAAUCAAUUGUAAUGGGUUUGAGAACUACGAAAGUAAUUUUCACAGUUGAAGAAUAGUUUCUCACAAAAAUUCACUUUAUGCGAAUACCUCUGGUGAAUAGAUUUUGCAUACAUUUUGGUAACAUACAAUAUUGGACCUACCAUGUGCUCAAUAUAUUUAAUAAAUAAAGGUGAGAAUAAUAACAAUACCUUAGAUAUUGUAUUAGCUAAGGCAAACGUUGCUUCAAUCCGAACUCUUCAAAAGGCCUAGAAACAACAGAAAAAUUCCUUAAUUGUAUUUCAUUAAAAGUAAGUCAAAUCAAAACCACAUAUACCUCUAAAUUUGGUUAACUUGUCACUAAGGAAAUUAUUCAGUGUGCCAACAACAUUGAAAGAAAGACAGGGCAGAGAGUCUAGACUGCUGUAAUUGGUCGUACCUGAGCAACAACAUCUCCAUUCUUCUCUAAUUGAUUUAUCUAAUAAAUCAAAAUAGUCAUGCAAGAUUGUUAUCCAGUUAAUUAAGUAAACAUUGUUAAAAGUUUGUAUCGUCACCAUCUACUCAAUAAAGAACAAUAAAGAAGUAAAAACAGAGAAGCCAUCACUCCACACCCAAAAAGUUUCUCUCACUUUCUCGCCAGCCAAACACUCCUUUUCCUCCCUCAAAACCUCGUCUUACCACUCAAAACUCACUAAAUUUCAGCUCAAAUUCUGUUACAAUUUUACCCUAAGUCGAAGACGUAGCAGCUAACUCACCGUCUUUCUGACGUCGCCAACUCCUCGCAGUACAAUCUUCUCCGAUCCGACUCCACGUAAAUAGCACGCUGCCACUCACUUGUCACGGAAUCGUUCCACGAAGGCCGUAAAGCGGAGUCAUUGGCACGUUAGUCCACGAACUCGAAGUCAGUCCCUUAAGGCCAUGGAGCGGCUUUAUUUUUUUCCUUUUUUUGGCAUAAUUUUAGGGAUUUUGAUAAAUUUAUGUCGAUGGUUGUCUCUUUAAAAAAAAAGAACUCAUCACUUACCUCUCGCGAAAGAAGUCAAUAACAAUGGCUCGAACUUGAAGAAUAUCGGUUGUUCAAGCUAUAAAAUCUUAGUUAAAGAAAACAAACAAAGGGAAAUGGGAAUAGCUAGCAAGCAGUGGAGUGGGGAUGAAGAUGACGACAAAUAUGAACAACAGCAAUUUGUUGUCGGCAAGUGUGAUAGUGUAUUUUUGUGUGAUUCGGUUUGGAUGUAGAGAUUAGGGUUUUCUGUGUGAAGUUCAAAAGAGUGUCCAAUACUCUUAGAUUUUUUUUUAAAGGCUUCAAGACACGGUGUCGUUCAAUGCCCAAAUUGGCCAAUCUUAAACUCACCGUUUCAUUACUAUAUGAAUAUGCUAUCAUGUGCAAGUGACAGAUAAAGAAACUAUCACAAAUCUAUCAUGCAUUGCUGAUAUAUGAAAAUUCUAUGAAAAUUCUAUCAUGUGCGUGUCAUAUUUUUGUGAUAAAUGACUAAUUUUCUGAUAUCUAUCACAAAAAUUCUGUCAUAGUAGCCUAUUUUUCUUGUAGUGAAUGGUCUUAUAUUCUUGUAGGAUGAGUUGACCCAGCUAGCAAAAUUAGGGGUUAUAACCACAUCUAGUGAGAAUGAUAUUUUGGCCCAAGCAUUAAAGAAGCCUGAGCGUAAUGGGCGUGUUACAAGGAAGGGAAGAGGAGUCAACCCAUCUUCUUUCUUUCACAAUGUUAAUUUAGAAUCUGAUUGGCAAAGAGAGAAGAGGCUAUUGAAUGAAAAAAUAGUGAAGAUGCAAGCUAUUAUUCAUGAUCUCUCAAAAUCUUCACCAAAAGCAAGACACUCCAAUGUCUGUAGCAACAUAUUUGGAUCACAAGAUGUAUCUAAUGAGACAAAUAACAAAACAGAUCCAAUUUUUGAAAAGCAAAAAAAUUAGGUAUGCACACUCAAGUAAUUAAAUUAAUCUUUUGAAUUUAUACUUUAAGUGCAUAUUUAAUAAUCUUAUUACUUUUUUUUGUUAGGAUCAAACUUGUCAGUUGGCUGUAGGAUGUAAAGAAAACAUUGUUGCUAUUGGAACUAUUUUGGAGUAUAGGAAGCCAAAUGUUUUAGUUGUAAUUGAUAUGGUAUUAAGUCCAGAUGCCCAUCUUCCAAUCCGGACUAGUGAGCUUGUUCAGUGUUUACGUCAGUGAUGGGUUAGGACAACACAUAUUAUGGCCAGAAAAGUUUGUUUCCCAGCUGCUGUAGUAAACAAGGUAUUGAAUUUGGCAUAUAUUACUUGUUUUUUUUAAUUCCUUAAUUGAGAAUUUAAAUUGUAACCACAUGUGAAUGCUUAAAUUUCUAGAUGUCUAAGUCAGCUUUAAAGCCUUCCAAGGGGAAAUUAGAUGUGAAUGCUGAAGUAAACACCCCAUUGAUACCUGGCCUAUGUUACUAGCUUUAAUUCUUGUUUUAUUUCUUUAUUUAAAAUUUAAGUAAUAAUCAUAUUUGAAUGUUUGCAUUUCUAGGUGUCUAAAUCAGUCAUCAAGCCUUUUAAGGAAAAAUUAGAGGUGAAUGAGGAAGUAAACUCUCCCAUAGUUCAGCAAACAUUUAAAAAAACCUCCUGACAUACAAGUUUUUGAUAAAAUGGUAAAGAAAGUUAUGAAACCUGGUUCCCAAGUUAAGGUUGAUUUUGAGAACACAUUUAGUUACAAAUUGCAUACAUAUCUCACUUUGGAGGAAAUUCAAGAUCUUAUUGAUAUGCAAGAGCUUUCACAAAACAGCAUUGUUGUAUACAUGAGGUAUGAUACUUCAAUAAUGCUUUAUAUUUUGUCAAAUAUUUUUGUUUCACUUUAAUUGACCUAGCACUUUUUCUUAUAUACUAGAUAUCUUUGUGCUGAAACAAAGGCCAGGCUAAUUAAUGAAAAGUUUGAGUUCAUUCAUCCUACCACUCUUUCUUUUUUGGAUGAGAGUACUUUCAAACAGAAAGCAAAAACUCUUGCUAAUCGCUUCCAAGAAUUGAGUGCAAAACAAUUUAUCUUCUUACCAUAUAAUCCUAGGUUAGUUAUUUUGUUGCUUUAAAUAUCUUUGUUUAUCUACUUAGUUUUUACUUUUUAAUUAGUAUUUUUUUCUAACUCUUUAUUCAUUUGUUAAUAGUUGUCAUUGGAUCUUGCUUGUGAUCGACUUGCCCUCAAUGGUUGUUCAUUAUUUGAAUUCAGUGAGAAAUGAAAUCAGUGUUGAUAUAAAAAAAAAUUGUAACUGUGUAAGUAUAUUAAAGAUAUUUAGCAAUAAGUAUACUAGUGGUUUUUGCUAUAUAUAUAAUUAUUGAGUUUAAUAUUUCAUAUUUGAUUUGUAUUUUUUUGUAGUGGGAUUCGAAUGUUUCUUGCCAAAAAAGGACAGCAAAUGAAAAAGAUUAAUUUGAAAUGGAAUGAUGUUAAGGUGCCUAUGCAAAUUGGUAAUGUUGAAUGUGGCUACUAUGUCAUGCGAUUCAUGAAGGAGAUUAUUGCAUAUCAAAGUAUACUUUGUGCAAAGGUUAGAUCAUUAACAUAGCUUAAACUUAUUGCAGAUUUUACAGGGAAAUGUGGUUAAAAUGAAGUCUAUGAAUUAAAAGAGUGACAAAUAAAUAUAGUUUUUUGUCUAUUGAUGUUAGUUUAAUGAAAAAGAUACUUAUGAUGAAGAUGAGAUCAACGAAAUUCACUUUGAUUGGACAACUUAUGUUAGUGACUUGAUUUGAAAAAAAAAAUGCAAAAGAGACAAGUAAUGCAGGUAAAUAGCAUAUGAUUCAAUUGAAGUACAUUAGUUUAUUGUUAAUAUUUUUCAUGCAUAGAUUUUUCCUUCUCUUUGUGCAUAGAUAUCUUAUGCUUUCAUUGCAUAAGGCAACUAUAUCAUCUAGUUGGAUUCAUAAUAAAAGCUCUCAGUUAAUUCAAUCAAAAUUUGUCAAUGCCUUAUUGGUAACCAUGACUUACUUUUUUAGCCUCUUCCUUAGACAGUAACAAUAGUAUAUGGCAGUAAUUUUGGUUUCUUGAUGUGUAGGGCUAUGCCGUGGAGUUAUAUAGAUCUCAAGACCAAGACACAUUUACAAUCAAAGAGGAUAUAAGGGUUAUAAAAUAUCAGAUCUAUUGGGUUAAUGCAAAAUUUGUUUAAAAGCUUUUCCUUUUGUAUGUACAACGCUGCUAUGAAAAACUUUUGGACCGAUGGUGGAAUGCUAACUAUAGGCUCAAUGUAUAGUUUUAGAAACAACAUCUUAUUUUAGAUUUAUACUUAAGACAUUUGAUACAUUUAUACGUACAAUGCAAGUUCAAGUUAAUAUGAAUUCAGGUUUCCUAUGCUUUAUUAUGGUGUUUGAAGUUAGUUGAAAUUUUUUGAAUUUUAUCAUGUUUCAAUGUUAUAACAUAUAUAAUGUGCAGCCCAAGACAAGGAAUUUCACUAUUGUAAUUUUUUUUUUAAAUUAUAAUAUUUGAUAUUUUUAUCAAGUCAUUUGCAUUUGACCAUUUUGAAUAAUGUCACAUGCAUAUGACUAUUAUUAAGUGUCAUACACAUUUGACAAUCUUAUAUUGUGAAAAAUAUUUGAUUAUUAUUAAUUGACAAAAAUAAAUGACAAUUUUACUAAUUGUCAAAUAAGCAUAUUUGACACAGGAAUAUUUGGCACUUUUUAAUUGUCAAAUAUUCCUUUAUUUGACAGUUUUUAAAUAUUAAUUAUUCUCUUUUUUCUUAUAGUGUAUAGAAAUUGGUUUAGUCAGCAACAACCCCUAUAAUCCUUGAAAUAAAAUUUUUUAUGUAAUUUUCUAUAAAUUUCAACAAUACUUUAAACUGGAGCCAAGAUCAUGUUUGAUUUCUAGACAAAAUAAUCAAUCAAACAUAAAAAUUCAUAGUUUAGAGGGGUAAACUGGGUGGUUUAGAACUGAGCUAGCAACCUUAUUAUAUUUUGAUUUGCACUUCAUUGUAAAAGGGAAUAUAUUAUAGGAAAAAAGAAAACCAAUCAUCAUUUGUUAACUCAUUGCUUUUCAAUCAAAAUUUUAAGAAUAAAAUGCCAUGUGCUUUGAAUAUCAAAUAAGUAUAAACACUAGUUUUAAAUUCUACAUAUAAUAAGUUAUAGCAUAAUAGAAAAAUCUAUAUGCUGUUACUUGGACCAGUAAAGGGGAAAAUACCUGGCGAACCACAACAUAAUCAUCAACUGAUAGACUUAGCUCCCUAUCUGCUUGAGCAUCAAAUGGAUGUAUAACCUACAAGAUAAUGGGAUAAAUAAAACUUAAUCUUGAAAAGAAUAACAAAAGCAGCAGCAAUAGCAGUAGUGUUUAUUAUAAGCACUAUGAUUAUGGCCAACAAGGAUACAUUAGAAACACUAUUUUUAUUAGGAAAAUAAUAUGUAGUACAAGAUAUCAUGACUGUUGGGUUUCCAAGAGCUAUCAGAGCUCCACAAGUUCUAUAUGACUUUAUGUAAUUGUUUAAAUUAUGGAUGGGAUUUUAAUUCUGAAAUUUUGAUUGCUCUCCACAAAACAUGGCCUAUGCCACAAGAAAGUCAUAGAUAAUGAGGGUUACAAGUGUCCAACAUCUUUCGAGUGAUGGAUUUAAUAUGACAGCUUAUGGUCAGUCAAUUUCCUCUGCUUAAUAAGAUAAGCUUUCUAGGUCAGAUUUUUCAUCAAAUACAUAGAUGGCCCCCAAGUCACAUCCAUACAAACAUAGUUUUCUGAGUAAACCAAGUAAGGAGAAUUAUAAUUCAGCCACAAUCAUAGAAAGGACCCAUCUAACUUAAGAGAAAAUUUUAAGAAGAGGGAUCAUACUAUGAGCUAUCAAUCUUGUAUCUAUAAGCAAAUAUCAAGACUUUAGAUCACCUGCUACAUCGUGAGUGGCUACACAACUUUGCGGUGGUUUGUCUUUCUUUGGCAUGUCUAACUCAGCUUUGAUGUUGUUGAGAUAUUGGCAGCAGAGACACAUGAUACUUCUAGCUAUACAUUCUAUCUAGCUCAUCAUGCAACUAUCUCUUUUUAAUCCAUUAGGGUUGGCUAAAACUCUUGUUUAAAAGUCUUGUUCUCCUAAACAAAGUUUCCCUAAGAAUGACUUCUUCAGCACCACAUUUUGACACUUUUUAGAGCAAUUUUAUUUGGGGAAAAGAAUUUUCAAGGUGUUAACUAAUAAAUUUUAAAAGAUAGUCACGACUCUGUCCCGUAAUCAUAUGACAAUUUAUCUGGGAUGAAAGGACACAGACAAACAUCUUCCACUUUCAAGACUAAUCACUACUUUCAUAAAUGUUGUGCAAUAAUAAAAAUCCUUGACCAGAUGGUAGUGAUAGUAGAAAAGAAUUUUAUUGCUCUAGAAUUAAAAUAAGAAUGUAAUGUGUUAAGCGAAAGACUGUGCGAGAUAUCUACAUAAGGAGGAGUGUUAAAAUAUGAUGCAUCCAACAAAAGACAAGCCUUGUGUAGUCUUUUAAUUAAGCCAAAGUAGCAGCUCAAACAAAUGACACUUGGACCAACAUGCAAGCAUGAAGUAGUCGGAAAAAGGACGAAUGAUACUUUGGCCUAAAUUAAAAAGUUAUUACAAGACAACAGAAAUCACUAUCAUUGUAAAAUAAGUUGGCAAUAAGUAAGAUGAAGAUAAGAGGUAGAAUCUCAACACAUGCAUAGGCAUACACAAGAAAGUAUUAACUUAUAUACCAUAGCAAAGAGUCUUUGAUAGGUCAUCUGUUGCUGCUGUGAUUCAACUGACAACAUAUAUGGUAGUUGUCGCUUCUGUGCCAAGAGCCAUAACUGUAGAUUUAAGCUCGGUCAAUUUUGCUUCUGCAUUUCGAAGCUUCAUAGCACUCUCUGCUGAUAGAUCAGAUCCCUUAAUUUUUUAUCAGCGCCUCAAUACUUCAGCUACAUGGUGAAAAUAUUCAAUAUGAAUCUAAUAUAAUUCUCAUCUCCCCUUAUACAUAUGUUACCUUAAAGCUUACUUGGGCUUCAACUUCAUGUAGGAGUUUGUCAUAACAAUGAGUCAUGUUGCGUAAAUUAGCAAGGGCACUAGUCGGCACAAGUAAUAUAAUGAAAAAUAGAAUAUCGUCCCAUAGAGAUUAUAUAUCCUAUUAACUACCGAAAUUAUUCUAACAAUAAUAUAUUUGAAUAACCGAAUAAAUGAAUUUAGAUUAAUAAUUAAAUAAAAUAAAAUAACUAGAAAAAUUAAAUAAAGAUGUAUGCAGUAAUAGAAAUCACUAAGAUAUGAAGACACUAGCACAUCGAAUUUCACCAUAACCAAUCCAAUUUAAUCCUUCAUCUAUGUUAUUAAUGUUUAUUACCCAUGUUGACAGUGAAUUUUCCUAAUCUAUUUAAUAUCCUCUCUCGAGUAAUAUAAAAAAUACUUCACAUAUUAACCCACUAUAUCUCUAUGUGAAUUUAAAUAAGCAAAAAUUCAUUAAGCUCUACGGAAAUUCUUAGAAAAACUGCGUGAACCACAUUGGCACAUCUCUGUCUUUCCUUCAGUUCAUGGCAUCUAUUACGCAAACAAAAAAUAUAUAAAUCUCCUCUUGGUCUCAUUAUGUAUCCUCAAGUCAUUCAAAUAUUUGCCAGAUAUUUAAGGGUACGUUGGGCACACAAUACUGUAUUAUGUUGUAUUGCAUUAUUUUAAUGCUGAUGUAUUGUAUUAUGUUGUAUUGCAUUAGCACUGUAUUAUAACAAUGCUGUACAAUGUUUGGUGCUACACUGUACUUUAUUAAUUUUUUGAUUAAUUUAAAUUAUAUAUUAUAUUAUAUUAAUAUUUUAUAUUAUAUUCAUAUAUUUAAAUUGUAUUAAUAUUUAUAUUAUUAUUUAUAUUAUUAUUAAUUUUAAAUUAAUAUUAUUCAAAUUUAUUCAUAUUUAAAUAUUUAUUAUUAAUUAUAUUAAAUUAUAAAUUUACUAACAAAUUAUAAUGUAAAAAUAAAAAAUAUAAUAUAAUAUUAUUGAUUAAUAAAUUAUAAAUUUAUUAAUUUAUAUCAAUAAUUGUAACGUAAAAUAACAAAAUUAAAAUUAAUAUUACAUUAAAAAAAGGAAGAGGCAAGCUAAUGUGGCAGUUGCCGCAUUAGUUUGGGCCCAUUAAUGCAAUACUGCUGUAGCUUUUUAUAUGCCAAACAUGGGUCUGUAUAAAUUUAAUACAAUAAGGAGGUCUAAUACUUUAACAAACAUGCCCUAAAAGCAUUAAGCAUAAUAAUGAACACUCAACCAUGAAAUAAUAAACUAAAUAUAACACAGAUUUAUAUAAUUAAAUUUUCAUAAUUAGACUACAUUAUAUCCCUAAUAAAAUAUUUUGGAAGUUGCUCCGUUGAUUAACGCCCGUAUUGGCUCAGAUACCUCCAUGUCCAAAAACCUGUAACAUAAUUAAAAAGAUGAAAAAAAAAAGACUGAAACCUUAAUUGAAAAGUUCCUGUAGCAUAAUCAUGAAAUUUGGGCCUACGUUAAGAAUAUAUAUAUAAGGAUAAUUUAUGCAAUUUUGGGUGUUAGGAUGAUUAGUCUUAGGUUAGGGUUCAUCCUUCUGUAUUUAAGGUUAAAAUAGAAAUAAACCUGUGUAAAUAUUUAAAUUAGGGCUAUAAGACUUCCACAUGCAUCCUUCAGUGUCAUGGAUUUGAUUUUACUAUAGAAACAAGCGUCUUUAUCCAAAAUGCUUGGAGUUAAUUGAGAGAACUCACGGCCAAUAACUUGUCCCACGCUGAUCUUCGCUAGUGAUUUAACAAGUGACAAUGUUUCUUCAACAUUUGAACCAACAAAAUUAUUAAGUCAUGGAUGUCACUAGCAAUGGUUAAAACAUUAAAUAUUUCAGAGUUGUAACGUUUAAAUGGACUCUUUUAUUCAAUAUCUUAGAACUAAGUUUCCUUAUGAGAAGAUAAUAGUUUUGAAAGUAAUUUUACAUAUAAUUUUCCAUAUUUGAAUUAUUUUCUCGUUAGGGAUGAAUUUACCUGAUCACCAAGAAUCCCAAGCAAAGUUUCCCUCUUAUUUUCCAUCAAAUGAUAUGAAGUGCCAAAUUGAAAAGCAGCCCUUGCAACACAAGAAUUGUCACUUUGAAUCUCCGCUCCACAUUUGCAACAAUCUUCGGCCAACUUUCUCGAUACAAUAUUUGAAUACAAAAAUAUUAUACACAGAAACUAGUCAAGAAAAACAAAAUCAAAUAUUAUAAUGAAAGCAAGUGCAAACAAACAACCUAUCUCCAUUUGCUUCAAGCUUACUGCAACAAACCCUUCAACACCACGGACAAUAUUCCUCUGAAAAUGCUGUUCUACAUGGCAUAUAUUCCAAAUUAUUGUUCAGAUAAAACCAUAAAAACCAUCAUAAUUAUUCAACAUACAUUAAGCACUGUUUGGUAAAUACUUGUGACUCCAGUCUAGAAAAUAUAGUUGUUUGUACCAUAUUUGACAAAAUUAUUAUCUAAAAAUCAUAUUUAAUUAGCAAAAGCCACAAUAAAUCAAUACGAAAACAGAGAGGAUAGUACCUUAGCUGCCCCGGUGGAAUUGUACAGAUUUUGAAGUUGUUGGUGACACUCAAAGUUCAGCUUCAUCAACCGCAACAUUUUCAUUACCAAGACGCAGCAAAUGCUUCAAUACUGCCUGUACAAAUCAUAAAGAAAUAAUAAAAAAUAAAAUUGAGAAAUUUCACUAAUUAAACGUCUAAAUGGUUUUAAAAAAGAAAAGAAACGGACUUGCUGCUGCCUGGCGACUUGUUCGCGGACCUUGAUUGCCUGUUUCUUGAUAGCUUCCAUACUGUUUCUUUCAAAAAGCGACGACAGCUCAGCUCAGUUAAUUGAAAAAAGUGUGAUCUAGAAAAAUCAAAAGGGAUGAAUAAUUUUGGCAAAAGGCAAAGCCAAGUAAAGCCAGCUCUUUCCAGAAAACAAAAAAAUUAAAAAAAAAAAUUGUAAGUUUGAAAGGAGAAGAUGAUAGUGGAAGCGUGCAGUGUGGCUGCCAGCUAUUUGGAUUGUAUUGUCGGGUAAGGUAAUAGUAGAGAGAGAAUUUUUUAAGGAUCUAAAAUCGGGCACGUUGACUUUGUUGACCAAAUGGCACAGCCCAGAAAAUUUUUAAUACACUACAAGCAAGCUGUUUUAUUCCUCUCAUACUUUACGCUUGCAUCAGCUUAAAUCACUUCUUAAAUGCUUGCUUUAACCGAACCGCCUCGUACUAUUCUAUAUAUGUAACGGUUGCGCGGUUGUAGUUAACGGCUGAGGCUACGUGUUUGUUUGACGUGGUAGUUUUGUUACGACGUUACGAAUCUGUUGAACGUUCGGUGAUAGAGUAUUAUUUGUUAUUUUAAAGUGACAUAAAAUUAGUUACAAUACACCCGCUUGUUUUAUAAAAUAAAAAAUAAAUAAGUAAAUUGACUUAUAUUUUUAGUGGUUGAAUAUAUUUUGUGUUCUCUUGGGGCACUGUUGCAAUUGUUUCUUAAAUGUCAGUCACACCCACAUAUCAUUGACACAAGAAAUAGAAAUCUUAGAUCACUUGUUUAAUUAAAGAAUCACUCAUAAAAAAAUUUUGCCAUUUUGAUUUGAGGAUUCAUGUUUUGAACUACCAACUAAUGUUCAUCAAGGACAAAGUAUGGCUUGUAAGUAAAAAAAUUAUUUUUGGACAAAUUAUUUUUGUUGAUGGAAGAAUUUCUCAAGGGACUAUUUAAAUUAUUAAUAAAAAUGUCAGACACACCCACAUAUCAUCCCACAUAUCAUUGACACAAUUGAUUUUGAGAAUUCAUGUUUUGAACUACCACCUAAUGUUCAUCAAGAACAAAGUACGGCUUGCGAGUAGAAAAUUUUCUGAUUUUGGCCUAGAACAAAAAGAAAUUAAAUUGAAGGAGAAUCUACUACUUUCUCAUUAAGAAUGGCAUACGGGGCAUACGGGGCAUACCAUGGCACCAUACAACACCAGGAGUCUCCGUUCUCUGCUUUUUCAAACUCUGAAGGGGGCAAUAUUGUAAAAGUCAAACCAAGCUUUUGACAAAGAAAAGCUUUAUGAUAAAAGCUUGACAAAAUUGACCAAAACGUGUUAAAAUUUGGCACCAAACUUGGAAAUUUCAACAAACAUAUAGCUGGCAUGCAAGCUUUCUAUAGCUGGCAUGCAAGCUAGCACAAAUGGGCAAAUUGCCGUGUUGAAUUUUGGCCAUUCUUUAGGCUAUAAAUAGAGAAGUGAUGAGAGCUUGAAUUGCAUCCCGAAAACUUAAGAGCAUCCCAUUUAUUUAAGAGCUUAAGAGGAAUUGCAAGUGAAGCAAUUCUAGAGUUAUGAAAGUGUGAGCAAUUGGAGAGUGUGUGUGAGAGUGCUUUGGGUGUAUUUGGGUUUUGGGAAGUGAGGUUUUCAUUACUCAAAUAUUGUACUCCAAUAAUUGUUAGUAAUACAAUUAUUUUUCUCUUGCUCUCGUGGACGUAGGCAUAAUUGCCGAACCACGUAAUUAUUGUGUCCUUUAUUUUUCUGUGAUUAUUUGGUGCGCUUGAUUCCGCAUUCCGCGCACAAUAAGCGGUAUCAGAGCCGACGGUUCGUAUUUGGGGGGAUACGUACUGUUCACGUAUAUGAUACUAUUCACGUAUACGACACUAUUCCUAUAUACGGUACUGUUCACGAAUAUGGUAGAGACGGCCAUUUGUACUUGGGAGACAGUCUAUUGUAAGUAGUGUGUAUUUUUGCAUGUCUAGGAAAGUUCUGUGAACAAGGCGAUAAGAGUCUAAGGAUUCUGGUUUUUAAUUGGGACCGAGUUCCCGUCCAGUCUCCUGGGAACUUUCCCGGUGCAUUUAUUCACGCGAAAUUAACAUCAUAGAGAAUGUUUUUCAAGUGGAAUAGUUCGUUGAGAAAAUGGUAGAAUGUGAAACUUCCAGAAUUGGGGAGAGAUCUACCGAGACUAUUUCAAGAGAUACUUCAGGUGGGAAGCGAGAUUUGUCAAAUCGCUAUUCAACACCUGUUAUAGGAGACCAAAAGAUCGAUGUUGAAAAGUUUGAUGGGAAAAUCAACUUCGGCAUGUGGAGGCGCGAAGUUAUGGAUGCCCUUAUUCAAAUCGAUCUCGAUGUUAUUCUGAAAAAUAAAAAACACUUGUAUGAUGAAGAAAUUUGGGAUCGUAUGAACGAGAAAGCUUGUGGUCAGAUCAGAUCUUGUUUGACCAAGGAGGUGAAAUACUUGGUGAAAGAUGAGGAGUGUACGAUGACUUUGUGGCGUACAUUGGAGGAGAAGUACUUGCUGAAAAAUCCUGAAAAUCGUCUUCAUGCAAUUAGGGGUGGGCAAAAUAUCCGAUCCGACCCGACCCGAUCCGAUCCGAUCCAAAAAAUAUCGGGUUCGAAUCGGAUCAGAUUGUUGAUAUAACCCGAUCGGAUCAUGAUCGGAUCGAAUGAAACCCAAUCCGAUCCGAAAAACCGAUCGGGUUGCCAAAGAAAAAAAAAGAAAUUAAAGGUAAAAAAAGGAAACCUAAACCCAAAGACUAAAGAGCACAUGCACGUGAAGAACAUUCAACACUCUUUAAUAGCUAAAAGACAAAAUCACAUUUUAGCCAAGCUAAUAACAUUCUUCAGUUGCAUCAAAACGGAAAAAAAAAAGAAAAAAAACAGAGAAGACUCUUCCUCCCUUCCUCAACUUCUCAAUCUCAUCUCAAGAACACUCUUCACAAUUUCAUGCACACAACCACGCACACAUAUCGGAAAAGCAAAGGGCAGCCAGAUCGAUUUUUCCCGCAGUCACCGCUGACGCUAACUGCUCCGCGAGGACCGCAAAUGGAUCUGCUGCUACCGGAUUUGUUGCUACCAGAUCUGUUGCUACCGGAUCUGUUUCUACCGGAUCUGCUGCUACCGGAUCUGCUGCUCCACGCCGCCAUUCCUCCACCAUCACCUGAUCUGAUCCAAGAUCCAUUCAACCCGGUAAUUGCAAGGCUGCAACCCGAGUUUCCUUUUCCUCUUUUGAAGCUCUGUUGGUAUAAUAGUACUAUACCAGAUUGUUCGCCAUUUAGCAGUAAUAUAUCAUAUAUUAUUAUAUUACAUGUGAAAUUGUUAAUUUGUAAUUAUGUAUUGUUAAAUGUUAAUAAAAAAAUAAGAAAAUUGUAAAUCUGAACCCGAUCCGAACCGAAUUUAACCCUAUUUAUUGACCUGAUCCGAUCCAAUCCGAAUAUAUAUCGGAUCAGAUCGGAUCGGGUUAUAAGUUCGGGUUGUGUUCGGAUGAAUUUGUGUUCAACCCGAUCAAUCCGAAAUCCGAUCGGGUUGAUCCGAAUCCGACCCGAACCCGUAUUUGCCCACCCCUACAUGCAAUGAGCCAAGUAUAUGGCUUUCGAAUGAAGCCUGAGGUGUCAAUGCACGAUCAUGUCUCAAGAUUUGAAAAGUUACUUGUUGAUUUGAAGAAUCUUGAUGAAGAUAUUAAGGAUGAAGUCAAGGCUAUGAUUCUGUUACACUCACUACCAGAGGAAUAUAGUCAUUUUGUGACUACCUUGAUAUAUGGGAAGAGUGUGAUCGUCUUCAAAGAUGUUUGCACAGCAUUGACUAACUUGGAGAUUCGAAAUAAUGAUAAAAAUUCUGAACGAGCAUCGUCUGAAGCUUUGGUGAGCAGAGAUUGGGCGAUGGAGAAAAAGAAAAAGCGUGGUGGAAAGAAUUCUCGAUAAGCGUGGUGGAAAGAAUUCUCGAUCCAAAUCGAGAAGCAGAAAUAUAGCUCGAGACGACUGUGCCUUUUGUCAUGAAAAGGGUCAUUGGAGGAAAGAUUGUCCAAAGGCUCAAAAGAGAUAUGGGAAUAAACCAGCAGCAGCAAACAUGGCACAGAAAGAUGAGGACUCUGAUUAUUCACUAAGUAUUACUCCUGCAGCAUACAUGGCUAGUUCGAGCGAGUGGAUACUUGAUACUGGAGCAACAUACCAUUUGUGUCCUAUUAAGGAAUGGUUUACGGAUUUUCGUAAUCUGGAAUCCGGUGCAGUUGUGAUGGGGAAUGAUCAACCUUGUCGCACAAUGGGGAUAGGAACAAUUCGACUCAAAAUAUUUGAUGGAAUGAUCAGAGAACUCAAAGAGGUUAGAUUUAUUCCAACUUUAAAGAACAAUCUAAUUUAUAUGGGUGCUUUGGAAGCUAAAGGCUACAAGGUUACCAUUGAAGAUGGAACAAUGAAGUUUACACAUGGGGCUAUGGUGAUUAUGCAAGGGGUUCGACGUCACAAUUUGUACUAUUUGAAAGGAGGUACAACUGAUGAAGCAAAUGUUGUUGAGGUGCACAGUGACACCACCAAGCUAUGGCAUGUACGACUGGGACAUGCUGGAGAGAAGUCUUUGCAAACUCUGAUGAGGCACGGACUCUUAAAAGGUACUAAAACCUAUAAAUUAAAUUUUUGUGAGCAUUGUGUAGUAGGUAAGAAAACAAGGGUCAAGUUUGGUACGGCUAAUCACGAUACUCGUAAGAUCCUUGAAUAUAUUCACAGUGAUGUAUGGGGACCAACCAAGACUGCAUCAAUUGGUGGAAGCCAUUAUUUUGUUACAUUUGUUGAUGAUUUCUCUAGACAUAUGUGGGUGUACACUAUGCGAGCUAAGGAUGAGGUUCUAGAGAUUUUCGUGAAAUGGAAGAAAUUGGUGGAGACUCAAACUGGCAGAAGAUCAAAGUAUUACGAUAUGAUAAUGGUGGUGAAUAUACUUCUGAUCCAUUUUUGCAAGUAUGCUAGAACGAGGGUAUUAAAAGACAUUUCACGGUGAGACAUACUCCGCAACAGAACGGUGUGGCUGAGCGUAUGAAUCGUACUUUGCUAGAGAAAGUACGGUGUAUAUUAUCUCAUGCUGGUUUAGAUAAAACGUUUUGGGCUGAAGCCGUGAGCUACGCAAGUCACUUGAUAAACCGGUUGCCUUCUACUACAAUUGGAUGUAAAACUCCUAUGGAAAUGUGGUCUGGAAAGCAUGCACAAGACUAUGAUUCCCUUCGUAUAUUCGGGUGUCCAGCUUAUUAUCAUGUCAAAGAUGGUAAAUUGGAUCCUCGUGCUAGAAAAUCUAUCUUUGUGGGAUUCAAAGGUGGAGUAAAAGGCUUCAAGCUUUGGGAUCUCGAAGAUAAAAAGUUUGUGUGUAGCAGAGAUGUCACGUUUGAUGAAGCUUCAAUAAUGAAAGUUUCAAGUUCUCAGCAGGUGGAGAACAAGACCACAGAGGUAUUGCAACGGGUGGAGUUUGAUGCAACUCCAUAUGUACCAGUUAGUUCUACAUCAGAGAAUGAUUCAACUAUGGAGGUGACACCUAGGGUUGAAGAAGAUGUUGUUUUUUCUGAUGUCCCACAAAAUGCAGAAACAAUUGAAGAUGUAGAUAAUGAUGAUUUCAUUGCAACAAGGAGGCCAAGAAGAGAGAUAAAGAAACCCGGAUGGCUUACUAAAGACAUGGUGGUAGCAUAUGCACUUCCAGUUAUUGAUGAUGACAUCUCCAACACUUUCAGUGAAGCAUUACGCAGCAGUGAAAGUGAUCAAUGGAAGUUAGCCAUGGAGGAAGAGAUGAAAUCUCUCCAUCAAAACCAGACUUGGGAACUUGUAAAGUUACCAAAGGGGAAAAAGGCUAUUGGCAAUAAAUGGGUCUACACCAAGAAGCAAGGAUCUCCGAAUCAAUCAACUCCUCGAUAUAAGGCAAUGCUCGUUGCAAAAGGUUUUGCUCAGAAGGAAGGUAUUGACUACAAUGAAGUUUUAUCUCCAGUUGUAAAACAUACUUCCAUUCGUAUCCUACUUGCCUUAGUUGCAGAAUAUGAGUUAGCGUUGGCUCAAUUGGAUGUUAAGACGACGUUCUUACAUGGAGAUUUGGAGGAGGAAAUCUAUAUGAUUCAGCCUUGUGGUUUCAAAGUUGCUGGAAAGGAGAAUCAUGUGUGUAGAUUGAUUAAAUCUUUGUAUGGACUGAAGCAAUCGCCAAUGCAGUGGUACAAAAGAUUUGAUCAAUUUAUACAAGGGCAGAAAUUCACUAGAAGUGAACACGAUCAUUGUGUUUACUUUAGAAGACUACUAAAUGGAGCUUUCAUCUAUUUGUUACUCUAUGUCGACGAUAUACUUAUAGCUUCGAAGAAUAAAGAUGAGAUCGAGAGACUGAAGAAUCAGCUGGCUUCUGAGUUUGAGAUGAAAGACUUGGGUGAUGCACAGAGAAUACUUGGAAUAGAGAUUUGUAGAGACAAGAAGAAUGUGAGCGUAUAGUUGACUCAAAAGUCUUAUUUGAAGAAAGUGCUAGAAAAAUUCGGUACGGAUGACAAAACUAAACUGGUAUGUACACCUCUAGCUCCUCAUUUCAAAUUAAGCUCUUCUUCAUGUCCUACAUCUCAAGAAGAACGUGAUUAUAUGGCUCGUGUUCCAUAUGCUAGUGUUGUGGGUAGUCUUAUGUAUGUUAUGGUAUGCACAAGGCCCGAUAUAUCUCAAGCAGUGAGCAUGGUUAGUAGAUACAUGCACAAUCCGGGUAAAAAUCAUUGGCUUGCGGUGAAGUGGAUUCUCCGAUAUCUGUAUGGGACAGUUGAUGUUGGGUUAUUAUUUAAGAAGGAUUGUGGUCAACAAUGUGUUGGAUAUUGUGAUUCUGAUUUCGCCGGAGACCUAGAUAAGCGAAGAUCAACAACGGGCUACGUAUUCACAUUGGGUGGAGGUCCGGUUAGCUGGAGGUCGAUUCUACAAUCGACAAUUGCUCUGUCCACUACAGAAGCAGAGUACAUGGCAGCAACUGAAGCUGUAAAGGAAGCUAUCUGGUUGAAAGGCUUGUUAGGUGAUUUGGGAGUAAUCCAAGAGAACAUUGCGGUCUUUUAUGAUAACCAAAGUGUGAUAUUCCUCGCGAAGAAUCAAACAUAUCACUCUCGGACGAAGCACAUAGAUGUGAAAUAUCAUUAUGUGAGGGAGAUUAGCGAGGGUGGUGAUGUGUUGUUGAAAAAGAUCAAUACCAAGGAUAACCCAUCAGAAAUGUUGACAAAUGUGAUUUCUGGAGUUAAGUUUCAACAUUGCUUGAAACUAAUUCAAAUUCUUCGAAUGCAUUAAGUUUGGGAAAUUUUGAACUACGGUUGGCUUGAUCCCAAAUUUGUGGGUACGUAGGCAGUCACAGAGAUGCAGUCACUUUUGGGACGAUGGAUCGUUAGUAGUCGGCUCAGAUUUGGACAAAUUUUCGCCGAGGUGGAGAUUUGAGAUUUGUAAAAGUCAAACCAAGCUUUUGACAAAGAAAAGCUUUAUGAUAAAAGCUUGACAAAAUUGGCCAAAACGUGUUGAAAUUUGGCACCAAAACUUGGAAAUUUCAACAAACAUAUAGCUGGCAUGCAAGCUUUCUAUAGCUGGCAUGCAAGCUAGCACAAAUGGGCAAAUUGUCGUGUUGAAUUUUGGCCAUUCUUUAGGCUAUAAAUAGAGAAGUGAUGAGAGCUUGAAUUGCAUUCCGAAAACUUGAGAGCAUCCCAUUUAUUUGAGAGCUUAAGAGGAAUUGCAAGUGAAGCAAUUCUAGAGUUCUGAAAGUGUGAGCAAUUGGAGAGUGUGUGUGAGAGUGCUUUGGGUGUAUUUGAGUUUUGGGAAGUGAGGUUUUCAUUACUCAAAUAUUGUACUCCAAUAAUUGUUAAUAAUACAAUUAUUUUUCUCUUGCUCCCGUGGACGUAGGCAUAAUUGCCGAACCACGUAAUUCUUGUGUCUUUUAUUUUUCUGUGAUUAUUUGGUGCGCUUGAUUCCGCAUUCCGCGCACAACAAAUAUUCCCUAAUUUCCCCUUGAAAAGUAUUUCUCCAUCUCUUUUUCGAAAUUUCACAAUAAACCGGCACAUUGUAAAAGUUAUGUUCUAACCUUAUGAUAAAUGCUCUAGACUUCAAAUGGAUUUUAUAUAUGAGAGUUUGUUGCAGCAGAUAUAUUGACUUAUCAAAUAUGAAUCAUUGUCUCGAUGAACUAUCUUUAGAUAAAAGAAUAUUAGAACCACUGUAGAAUAUCUUUACCCUGCUGGUUCUAACAAAAAUCUGCAUGUGGCAGCAAUUACUAGAUCUACAAUUUCCCAAAUAAUAUUUUGUGUUUCUUAAAAAAUUUGAAAUACAUAGUUGCACACCGUGAGACAGUGCUACAAUCUACUGAGAUCUAAAUUAUAUGAGACCUUAAGCUACUAAUGUUUGCAUAUUUCUACACGUCAAAUUAACAUUACCAUCUAUAAUCCAAAACGACAGAUGAUAAACGGCUUUUGGCCACUUAUUACUAGCAUCCACAAAUAAUUAUUUUGCAGCAAUCAGCUUAUUUUAUAGAAAUUGAUUUAGUCAGCAACAAACACUAUAAUUCUUGAAAUUAAUUUUUGUUCUUUGUAAUUUUCUAUGGUUUUUCAUAAAUCAAUUAAUCUGCAGUGCCAAGAUGAGGUUUAGCUUUUCAAACUAAAUAAUCAAGCAAGCAAAAAUACAAAUUCAGAGAUUAGGGAGUGAACUAGCUAGGUGGUUUAGAACUGGGCUGGCUAGCUCACUAUAUUCCAAUUUGUACAGUGAAUUCAUUGAAUCAUGAGAAAACAAUGUGGUCAUAGCUCAAUAUGAGAUGAUUUCGGAAGGGCAUACUGUUUCCAAGUUAAGUUGAUCCAUUAAGAGAUGGAGUGGUAGGGGUGUCAAAAAAGCCCGCUCGGACCGGACCCGCCAAUCCGGUCCGGGCAAAACCCGAACCGCAUGCACAUAAAAACCGGACCCGGGUUUGAAAUUCUCAAACCCGGACAUUUCCGAGCCCGGGUCCGGGUUCAACACAAAAAAUCCGGAACCCGGACCGGACCCGGUUUUUUAAUAAAUUUUAAAAAAAAUAAAUAUAUUAUAUAUAAAUAUAUAAUUAUGAAUUUAUGAUAUGUUGGAUGUUAUUUAAAUUUAUUGUGUGAUUAUUGUGUUGUUGAAUUUAAUUUAUUUAUUUUAUAUAUAGAUUGAAUGAGUUUAAGUUAGAAAUUGGAUGAAUUUAGGUAUUAGAAAGUAGAUUGAAAUAAUUUUUAUUUAUCAUUUGUGAAAAAUUUGCAUUGUUAGUGUGUUAUAUAUUUGUAUUUGACUAUUUUCUUUUUUAAAGUUUGAGAUUGAAUGAGUUUAUUUGAUUAUUUUCUUUUUUAAAAUUUGUAUUGUUAGAGAAAUGAAAGAAAAAAUUGAAGAAAAAAAAUUGAAGUUAUCACAUGCGGGUUUAAAAAAUCCGGAUCAAAACCCGGACCCGGAAGGUGCCGGGCUCAAGCCCGGACCGCACCCGGAAAAACCGGAUUUUAACCCGGAUCCGGUCUUGCAUUUCUCUCAUCCGGUCCAGUCCCAGGCAACACCAAAACCUAUGGAGUGGAUUGUGUGGAAAGUCUAAAUAACAAAUCCUUGUUCUUGAGUUUUACGACGUCGUUACUCCUUCAAGCGGCAGAUUAUGCAAGUGAGUUAAAAAACACAAUGCAUCAAUCACGGGGAUGCUACAUCAAAAAGACGGGAUCAUAGUGUCUAUGCAUUGAACAGUUACAGUUGCUGCUACAUCAAAAACACAAUGCAUCAAGAACACUUUCGCUCUGUCUAUAUCCUUAUUGACCCCAAAAAGGAUUAAUAAUUGAAGACGACUAUACAGAGUUAAUCUCACACUUUCGUUCUCUCAAUUUCUUUCAGAUGUCCCUCUGAAAAUAGCUGCCAAAACAGUUGGUAAGCUUUUAUACUCUGUUUUCUGGAAACAGAGUCCUAACUAACUGAACUGACGGUGCAGAGUAUGUCAACAUGCAUAAUUAAUCGUUUUAACAGUAUUUUUGAGUUGUCUUCGCAGUGAUCAUCAACAAACUCAUCACAAGAUUUUUGGAGCACCCUAGGACUAUCACUAGAUUCUAAAAUGACUAGUUCACUAUUCUUUUACAGUCCUUUCACCAGUAAAAUUAUUCGACUUCUGGAACUGGGAAUGAAGUGCAAUGAUGGAGCAACAUUUACAAUGUCUCUGGUUUCUCCUGACUCUCAGAUUUUUGUAGUGAGAACAUAUAACAAAAAAAGGCCUCCAUCAACAUAUGUAGACUCCGGGAUAUGGAUUGGAUCGAGUUUUUGUUUGAUAUUGAAGAACCUCUUUACUAUCGCGAUUUAGAAUAUGUGCAAGGAGUUGUCUACCGUUUUUUGCCUUAUGCUAUGAUCGGUGCUUUUGACGUUGCCCUGAAACGGUGGAAAAUACUUCGAUAUCCUCCGUUUGAUGAUGCAAAGAACUGGUUAAUGUACGAUUACCUAAUUGACUCUGGAUCAAGUAACAACAACAAUUUAUUAAUAGUAAUAGCAUAAACUAAGAAGAUUUUGGAGAGGGAGAUGUAUGCGUAUACUGUUUACAGGUUUGAUCCAUUGGGGAUGAAGUGGUCUCAAGUUGAAAGUGAUUUAUUAAAUAACAAGUCAUUGCUCUUGGGUUAUACCUCAUUAUGUCUUCAAGUGGAAGAUAAGAUUAUGCAAGAUGAAGAUCGAGUUUUAGUUUGAUAUUGAAGAAUUUGAACAGAGAGCCCAUAGAAAGUACCUAAAUAAGCAUAUUCUUGAGGUAAAAUAUGGAGGAGGAGUUGUUUACUGUGUGCUGCGUAGUUAUGCUAUGAUCGGUGCUUUCGGCAUUGCGCAAACAGUGGAAAAUACUUCAUUUCCUCGACAUGAUAAUGAAAAGAAAUUGGUUGCCGAUUACCUAAUUGACUCAGGUGGCAACAAUCUAUUAAUAGCACAAUUUGAUGUGAUGCCAGUUAGGUAUAUGAUUUAGAGGUUUGAUUCAUCAGUGAUGAAGUGGACUGAAUUAAAAGUUUAAAUAAUAAGUAGUUGUUAUUGGGCAUAUCCUCAUUACUAUUUUAAGUGAUCAAAGAUGAAGAUGAAAAUUGUGCAAGUGAGUUCAAGAAUACCACACAUCAUUACUUCGGAUACUUCUUCAAACCUGGAUGGGGUUAUAAUUUACUCCCACGAAUUUCAACCCAAUUUUAUGAUUGGAGUGUCUCACCAUGACUCAGAAAAAAUUCUGAUUCAACCUCCUCCACCAAUGGAUUUUGAUAAAGUUACUUUGUGAUCAAGCAUAAAUUCACAGUUUGAUUUUGUUGCUACCACAUUUUUUUUAAAAUGUGGCCACGUGAGGAGAGCGGACCAGAGUGUCACUUCCUCAACAAGCACUUUAAAGAUGGACUUUAGAAGAAGAUAUAACUGCAAUUGUUUUCGUGUGUGUGUGUAUACAAAACUACAGAACAUUCAGUUCAUAAAAGAAAUUUUUGCUAACCAUGAUAUGUGGUAGUGUUUUUUAGGCAAUGUAGAAACAGAGUUGUUCAACUUACAACAGAUAUUCUCCUCAAGUUCGACUUAAUUAAUCUUACGAUGACACAUAUAACUUGCUUCAAAAUUAGAAAUUAUAAAUUGCCGAUUUACAAUGCAUAUAACUUGGAAGAAUUGGUGUUAAAAGAACAACUACACGCAUAACUUGGAGAGCAAUUGCGACAGUAGCAAAGGAUAUAUUAACUAAACUGGCCAUUGAGCAAUUAAGAGGAGCCAUCAAACAUCUUACUAGUUCUGGCAGCAGUUUAUUAACUAAAAUAGCAAUAUGAUGUGAGAAAAAGGAACAUACGUAGACAUACUUGGCAACAGUUCAUGAGAAGUAGCAUCGCAUUAAGGUAAUGACUUUACUGCCGUUAUCGUGCAAGGUAAUACUUCAUUUCUCCCUUUCUUUUUUUCACUUUAACAAAGUUGAAGUCAGUGAAAUUAUGACUCGACAUAAAAAAAAAGUCAGUGAAAGGCCAAUACCCUACUACAACAACAGGUACAAAUUAAAAGCUUCAUUCUAGAAAAGAUGACGCAUUAUUCUUUAUCCCUAAGGCUUAAGCCCACCACAGUGGAAUUUCAUAUUAAUUUCCGAAUGACUCGAGCAAUUCUUGAUUCAAACUCGUCCACCAAGCUGGGAUUUCGAUUGAGUGAGUUACCUUCUGCUCAAGCAACUUAAAGUCGUCGUUUGAUUUUGCUGCCACCCCAUUUUUUAAAAUUAAUUUCAAUUCCACCUCAAGGAAUUCUUAUCACUGAACAGUUGAAGUUAAUUUACUUUGAACUUUUGAAAAUUAUAUUUUUGAUGUUUUGCACUUUAUGGUUACUUAAAAUAAAAUUUGACGGUGUUUCUAUGAUUAAUUAUUUGUGAUAGUCUGUACUUAGCAAGAGUUCACGAGAAGUUUGUCUAAAUGCUCUUCACUAGAAGGACUAUAUCUUAUUAAUAAAAAUCUCUUGGGGAAGAUUCCACGCUGGUUGGAUAAUCUCUCAAUGUUAAAGCAUAUUAUAUUGUCCAAGACCUAUCUUGAAGGUCAACCUAUUCCAUUGGAGUUUUGUCAUCUUUAUUCUCUUCAAAUUUUGGACAUUUGAAAAAACAAUAUAUUUGGAAAUUUACUAUUUUUUUUCCACUCUCUCCCUAAUUAACAAGUUCACUUGUCGAAUAAUAUGUUACAUAGGCAUCUAAAAUGAAAGUACAUUUUCUAAAUGCUCUUCCUUAGUGACAUUAGAUCUUAGAUAUAACUGUUGUUGAUGCUGAAAUCUGCUCGCCUUUUACCCGACCAGAUCUUUUCACCAACGUUUAUGUGGUCAAUCGAGAAAAUGUCGCCUUCUUUCUGUUUCAACGAUUGCUUGAGUCCCUGGGACUAGAACCACCCUUUUUCUUCUUUCUGAUGCCUAUGUUCACAAAAACAGAUCAGAGACGCCGAUGGUUUUACCGACGUAAACCCUCCGAUGCUUAAGUUAGCACGAGAUGUUUACGGGAAAACUAUGUAAUUUAGAUUGUGUGAUUUCUUAAAAUACUCUCACAAAUUUGUAUGGAAUGUAAUCUGGUUUCAAUUUGGCAGAGUUUUCCCUUUGCUCUCAAUUUUUUCUGUCUCCUUUUUCAUCGGUUUCCUGGCUUCUUAUAGCCGUUGUCCCACGUUUCUGCGUACUCUUCAUGCCCCCCUUUUUCGAGUGAUGGCAGACCCUCAUGGGUCUCCAACCACUGGAUUGUGGGUAAACGUGGAAUGCCAUGUCUCUCCCAACAGUUCGGGAUAUAGUGAAACUGUCGCAAUUUCGUGAGAUCGUGUGCCCUUUCUUUGGGUGAUGGGUAUCUGGUCGGUAUAUGUCUCUGGUUGGUGCUCGUCUCUAGUUGGCACAUGUUUGUAUAAGAUGUUUUAUCAGGACUCUUCUUGUGCCAUUCAGUUGAGGAGAUUCGCCUCGGGGUGGGAGAUGAGGGCAUGGCCGAGCUGGUACUUUUUAUUACUUAACAACUGCUUGAAUGACAGCAUUUUGAGAUUUGGUUGUUAACUUUCUCAAUUAAGAAACCUUAUCUUGACUCCCAAUAAUCUUGAAGGUGAAAUGCAAUUUCAGUUGUGCUAAUUGUACCAAUUGCGAUUAAUAGAUCCUUCAAAUAACAAAUUUUAGAUAACGUUGCACUUCAUGAUAGAAUGUAAGAUAAAACUUGUUUUUUUUUUUCUUUUUUAUAGUAUUGACAUUUGAACGCUAUCAAAAUAGAAUGUAAGAUAUUGUUCAUACUACAAUAUUAUUGUAGCAAAACUAGCUGAUAGCAGUAUUCAUACUACAGUGCUAUUGUUUCUAUCAUAGUAAUAUUUUGUUGGUGGCUAAAUAUUAUUUUUUUUAUUAAAUAAAAAAGUGGGUAAUACUCAAAUUAAUUUUUAAUUUCCAAUCUCUCUCGAGUUCUCAAUUCAAGUAGCCAAUCAAAUAAAAAUAUUUAAAAUUAAUUAGAUCAUCCAUGGGCCUUUUUUUUUUUUUUUUUUUCAAAGGAGAUGGAUUCUUAAAACUACAGGUAAUGAAAUUAACUAACAAAAACAGGUUUAAAUGUCCAUUUUAAAUUUUUUUAAUAAUUUUUUGUUUACUAUUUUACCAGCUAUAUAAAGAGUGCCACGCCAAUACAUCAAUUGAUUUAGAAAUUACAUUUGGGGUUUUUUUAAUCAUAUAAAGGUGAUUAAAUAAUUUUGUAAAAUUCAUUUGGCUUGCACUUGGUCGCCUCUGUUCUCUGAAUGGUCAUGACGUUAUCAUCAUCUUCUUCUUCACUUGUACUAACAUUAAAUUCUUCUUGUUCACUUGUACUAACAUUUUAAUUUCCAAUCUUUCUCAGCUAUAUAAAGAGUACUCUUUCUCGGAUUCUAGGUAGUCCCACACAGCUCCAUCUCACUCCAAUUGUCACCCAACAAGACCAAUCGCUUAAUCAAGACACAGAACAAAAAGAGGAUGAGAAAUUGGAACAAGAACUUGAGAAUUGGAAAUCGAAAACGUACGCAUUGACCGUGCCUUUGAGAGUCGUUUCUCUUCAGAAUUCAAUACCUUAAUCUUGGGUUAAGGAUUUUAUGCGAAGUCAAGGAAAGAGAUUGAGUUCUCAGAUGAAUUUGUGUGCUAGCAUUGAUGGGAUCUUAACAAUUUAUCUGUGCCUUUUAACAAAGUUAAGGCUAAGUCAGCUCUUAUAUGGCUGCUGAUUUGGUUAGUGUUGGUGAUCCAUGGCUCAGUUUUGCGAUUAAAAAGAGAUUGAUUGAACCAAUAGUUGGAGCUGAAGAUCAAGAUUGGUUCAAAUGCUUAAGUCACAAAUGGAAGGUAACAUCUUUAUCAUUGUCCCGAUAUUUUUUAUUGUCUUACAUUGAAGUUUGGUAAUGGAAUUUGUUCUCUAUUUAUUUCCCUUUGUAGUCAUUUUAUUUAUUUUUUUGUUUGCAUUUAUUUGCACUUACGAAGUCUCAGGUAUAUCUACGCAGGAAUGAUGCAGGAGAAAUUGAUCCUCUAGGUAAAAUAUGCGCGGCACCAUAUCAGUGGGGCACAGCGGUGAUAGCUUACAAGGAAAGUAAAUUUCGAAAGCUUAAUUUGGCUCCGAUUGCGGUAAUAAUUGUCUUUAAACUCAUUUAGUUUUAUAUCAAACAAAACCAAGACUGCCUUUCUCUUCAAUAUUUUUUAUGAUAAUAUCUUUAGAAGCAUCUUAUUGAUGGGUAAUAAUGGUACCCCUUAAAGAGUUUAUAAACUCAAUGAUAUUAUCUUCUGCAAAUGGUUCAUUAAACUUUGUCGUUGUAGUCAAAUGUACACUCAGAGCAAUGAGAAGCUAUGCCACUGUAGCAUGUAGUGAUGGCACUUAAUAAGUGAGUUGCUAGGAUGUGAACUAGAAAAAUUAAAUAUUGUCUCCCUGGGUAUGCUAGCUCAUAAGUCAGGGUUAAUAUUAGAACUCAAGAUACUUUAACCAUGAGAAGCUAUUGACUGCCAAUUAAAAUAUCCUUUAAAAUGUCUAGGAAGUUAUGAAGGUGGAAGUAUCUUCCGAUUUCUAAGGCCACAUGGUAGAUAUCAUCCAGGAUCCUAGUACAGUGCAGUUAUCCUCCUGCUAGAUGCAAUUAAUAAAUUUGGUCAAUGCCACUGAAACAUGCUAACUGACGUCACAAUGCGACAUGAGCACUUCAAAAUGGGACAGACGGUCGGUAGCACUAAAUUUUUCUUGCCUAAGAUUGAGCAAUUGGUCUAACUACUAACCCCUUUUGUAGGUUGAUCAUUAUUUUUUCAAUUGUUUUCAGUCUGACCCAAAAUGUUACAGAAUCUUGAUCUGAAUAUUGUCACUGAACACUGUCAAUGUCGUUUAGCGUAGCCAACUAACUUGAGUUUGGUAAAACAAACACACAGUGUGUCUCAUGUCUCACAAUUCAAAUUAUCAUUUGUAAUGAUGGAGAAUUUUUCCAAUGUAUGAAGUAUGCUUUGAUACGUGGGUUACCUUGGAGAAGGUAUCUCAAAAUAAAGAAUAUGGGGAGAAAACAGUUCAGUAGUUUAUUAUUCUGUAGUCAAGUUUUGUCUCAAAAAUGGUCCAAAUUUAAAUGAAUAAGGACAGGGGAUCUUCAUUCUUUUUUCCCUUUUUUAUACCGAGAUAUCUCUCAACCUUUACAUAAUCCCCACUGGAUAUCUGCUUCUAAUAAUUAAAAUAAAAAUUUCACCCACACAAAUAAUGUAAUACCCCACACCCGAUUAUUUUUUUACUCUCCACCUAUAUAAAUUGAGCGCGAUUAAAAGUUCGAGUAGUCGGAUGUAUUUUCAUCACGGGACCGGUAUAAGUUUAAUUUGUAUCAAGUUUAAGUGGAAAAAAAAAGAGAAAGAAAAAGAAAUCGGGUUUUAUAUAUGGAAAUGGGGGAAACUGUUUUUGAUUUACAAAGAAAGAGGGAGAAGGCACGAGAGAGAGAGAGAGAGAGAGAGAGUGUUUGACCCGGUUUGACCCGCAACCCGACCCGGAACCCGCGACCGUGACCCGGAAUUUUCUCUCGAUUCCGGCCACCUCACCGGCCGUGCUUGGUACCGAUUUGAAGCUUGGAAGCCGCCCGACCUAUCCCCGCUGUCCUCGUUGCCGGAAACUGACCAGAACGCCGGCGAUUUGAGCUCGAAAACUCGCGGCCAAGGCUCGUUUUUGCCGCCGUCGAUUUCGCCGGAUUUUGGGCACACUUCCAGCUGGGUUCUACUCCUCACGUCACCAGCAUCAUUUUCCGACCAACCUCGUCACCUGAAACGGCCGGAUUGCCGGCGAUCAACCACUUGGGAAGCUCGUGGUUUUUGGAAGCUCGAUUUGCCGCCGCUGCCGCGCGUGGAAGGUCACCACCGCCACCAUUGGACUCAGCAUGGCUUGAACUUUCAGUUCUGAGCUUCUCGUCGCCGUCGGAUGAAUUCCGGUGACCGUUGACCGGCAAGGGUAUUUUGGUAAUUUCACAGUCUAAGGGCAAUUUUGUAAUUUCAGAUUUUGUGGGUAUUUUAGUAAUGGCUGUAAUUGAGGAUAAAGUUGGUAAUUUAUGAUUUUGAGGUUAAUUUGGUAAUUUUGAUAUGAGGGUAUUUUGGUAAUAUUGAAUUCAAGGGUAAUUCGGUAAAUUCAUAAAACUUGAGGGUGAAUCUGUAAUUUGUGGAAUCAUGGGAUAAAUUGGUAAUUUUAAGUUAGGGCAGUGUGGUAAUUUGAGAUUACGAGGGUAAUUCGGUAAUUUAAGACGUUAAGGACAUUUCGGUAAUUUUAUGCCCCAAGGGUAAUUUCGUACUUUCGGACAAUGUGAUUAAUUUAUGUAAUCUGAAUUGAGGACAAUAUGGUAAUUGACGAAUAUGAGGAUAAUUUGGUAAAAUAAUGAAGUUUGAGGAUAAGUUGGUAAAAUAUUGAUGUUGGGGGUAUUUUGAUAAUUUUGGCAUGUAGGGGUAUUUCGGUAAUUUUGUGCAUGCGGGAAUAGUUUAUUGUUGAUAAAUAUUCGUUUCGAGAUUUAUUAUAUAAAAUUGGUUGUAUUUCAAGUUUACGGAGAAUGUUUAUGUCGUUUCCCUGAUUAGGAGGAUCUGCGAACGAGAAUCAACCCGCGGACGUUGUUGAUACCGAGUCUAGACAUCAUCACUGUGAGUGGAAUAUACAAAACCUAUUUUCAUAGUAUAUGCUGAUUUUAUGAUAAGUAUUUAAUGCUUCGAUUAAAUGAUUUUCCGGCAAAUUAAUUUUUAUCUAUGUGUCGGUCUUUAUUGUUAUUGAGAAUGAGUUUGAUUAAUGAUUUUAUUAGCGUUUUUGAGUAAAGGCAUGAUAUUAGAAUUGAGCAGAUUUUGAGAUAUGUUGAAUAGAAAGAAAAUGAGAUUUCAGAUGAGAUUCUAUGUUUAUGUAUAUGUUAUUUUUGAAAUCAUUAGACAGUACCCUUCCCUCCAGAUACAGAGAAACAGAUAAUAUGAGAUGAGAAAAGAGAUACAGAUAAGAUGAGAUAGAGGCCUUUGGGGCCCGUCAGGACACACAUAGAGGCUUUGGGCCGUGUGUUCGGGCGCUUUUGCCUUUUGGGGGCUUAUGCAUGCGCAGUACAGAUAUAUCAGAUAUGAGAUGAGAUCGUCCCCAUCUAUCCGUUGUAGCUCCGGGGCGUGACGUUACCCAGAUAGUACGUCAUUGCCCGUCCGUCGAGGUCCGGAUAUGAUCAGAUUAUCCCCUGGGUACUUGCUUGAUGAUAGUUUUCAGUAUUCAGUAUUUUAUAUGAUAAGUAUUAUGAUUCCAUUGAAUUUAUGCAGAUUUUAAUGUGAUAUAGUAUUUCAAUGAACUAAUUUGAACUUAAUAAGUUUAUGUAAGUUCUUAUGAUAUUUUGAUGAAAUUGUCUGAGCAAAUUGAUUUAUGAAAUUGAUUUGAGGAAGUGAUUUGAGAAAGUGAUUUGAGAAAGAUUAAAUGAUUUUAAAUAAAUUUAUUAAAUUGUCAGCAACUACUAUCCACUCACUGAGCUCACUGAGUUUUAUACUCACCCCUCUUUUAUUAUAUUUCCCCCCCCCACAGGAGAUUUACAGGUACAUCAGUCAACCUAGUAGCGAACGUUAGUGUGAUAUUGUGGCCACGUGAUGGUGCUAGGAGUCGUGAAUUUAAUUAUUAUUAUAUUUGGGAUUUUUGCGAGUUGUGUUUAUUUAUUAUUUUAUGUUAUUAAGGAUAAUCGAUGUAUUUUAAUAUUAGGAUGAUUUGGAUGAUGUUUGAUAUAUUGAUUUGAGAAGUUGGUUAUGGAGGAUGGUUGGAUAUUAAAUUAUUUUGGGAGUGUUGCUUUAUAAUUUGCAGGAUUGGAUAUGUUUUAUUUAUAAGGGAGAUUCUGCCGAAAUUUUUAUAGAAUAGUUUCGAUUUUACGAGUUUAGAUAGACUCGCCCUGGGGAGUUGCGGGGCGGGUCGUUUCAAAUAAAUACUGACCAAGCUCUAACAAUAAAAAGUAACAUCUUUAGUCAAGUGAUUUACAGUUCCUCAUCAUCUUAGUGAGACUAUCAGUAUGUUCCAAAAACAUUAUAAAACUGGUUUGUUCCUGUUUAUUGAUGUUUAAAUGAUGUUCAUUGUGACAUGUAGAAAUGAUGAGGCGAAGUUUAUUUGGCCAUCAAUUUGUAAGAUCUUGUUUGAAGUUGUUUUCUGAAAUGAACUGCCAAAUGGUAGUUUUUUUGGGCAUUUGAUGGCUCUUUUUUCCUCAUUUUAAACAUGUGCCUGCUUGGAACAAGAAGGAUUAGGCUGCAGAGUUGUUAUAUAUUUUGACAUGCUCUGGUCAUUGCACAAUUUGUUCACACUGGAAACUAGAAUGAGAAAUUUGUUGCAUUCUAUGCACAAUAACAUGAUUCAUGAAAAUGGAUUGUAGGACUGGAAAGAUCUGUGGCAGCCUGAGCUCGCAGGACGAAUUUCAAUGGUUAAUUCUCCCCAAGAGGUUAUUGGUUUAGUUUUGAAGUAUAUGGGAGCGUCAUACAACUUGAUUCGCAAGUUGCUGGUGGGAAGAUUGCUGUUCAGCAGAAUCUGGCAUUACUGGCAAACCAGGUACUCUCAAAGAAAUGAUAUCUGGUCAUUGCAUGUUAUUGCCUGACAACUGAUUUUGUUUGUAAAAGUCUGCUUCUUCAUACAUAUGAAUGCAUAUGUUUGUGUUUUCUUCUCCUUUUCAUACAUAUGAAUGCAUAUGUUACUUCUUUUCCUUUCCAUACAUAUUAAUACAUAUGUUGGUGUUCUCUCCUGAGAUGGAUGCAAUAAAGGCUUUUCUGAAGAAAUGGCAAGGGAUGUGAGAUUCUGUCUCAUAAAAUUAACAAAAACCCAAAACAAUGAAAACCCAUAAUAAUGUGGUGUGGGUAAAUUGACACCAUUUGGUUCGUUUCCUUGAUUUGAAUACGCGGGCAAUAGAGACUAACAAAAUGAAGUGACAACAAGAAGUCAGUGUCCUUUGAUGGAUGCAUUUUUAGGCAGAAAUAGGUUUGUAAUUGACCAAAUUUGUCUGGCAUGCCAAUUUCAAAAAAAUUAAAUUAUGUGGUUAUUAGCUGUAAUGAAGGGGGAUAGUUGGUCCAAUCAGGUGGAUCCAGGAAAGUUCAACAAAGUUCUGGUAUGGCGUAGAAAUUGGUUUGUGCAACUCAAGAGUCUUUCUGGUGAACGAUGAUGGGUUUUGAUUUAUAAAUGUUAUAAAUCUACUGUGCAUAGUAUUCUAGUAGAAUCAUCUAUAAGUUCUAGUUAUUGAAAUUGUCUACCUUGUUCAGUUUGAGUUAAGGGCACAUGUAAUAUGAAAAAUAGUUGUCGCAUCUUUUAGGUUACCUAACAUUUGAUCAAUCCUAUUAUGAGGGCUUCAAGAUGUCUAACAAUAUGUGGAAUGCCCAUGCUCCUCCCCAUUGUUUAUCUUAUAUAAUAAUUUGUUUUCGAUGCUAAUAUCUUUGUCGAUACCGGUAACAAUAUUAUAAUAUCUGCGUUUAUUGGGUUUUACAUAGGUUCGACUGUUUGACAGUACACACUAUCUGAAGGCAUUUGGAAUUGGAGAUGUAUGGAUUGCUGUUGGGUGGAGUAGUGAUGUUCUUCCUGCUGUCAAACGUAUGUCUAAUGUUGCAGUUGUUGUUCCCAAGUCUGGUGCUAGCUUAUGGGCUGAUCUUUGGGUAUACCCAUGCCUGCCAUUCUACUUCAAUAUUCACAUUGUUAUCUCCUUCAUAUUAGCGAUCAGUAAACACGAUAAUGUGACUAAUAAGUUUGUAUUCUCUUUAUAGCCAAUCCCUGCUGCCUCAAGACUUGAAACAAAACAAAUUGGAGGGCGAGUCAGAGGUCCAUUUCCAUUAAUCCAUCAAUGGAUAGAAUUCUGCUUGCAAACAGCAUGAUCAUUGCCUUUCAAGCAAGAGGUUAUCCCGAGCGCAUCUCCCUCUGCUCUUGAGAGUACUCUGGUUAAGUUGCCUGAAGAACUUUUGAAGGGUAAACCAAGUCUGGAUACUAACUUAAUUGCGGGAGUACCCCCGGCUGAAAUUCUGGCCAGAUGUGAGUUUUUGGAGCCAUUAUCUGAAGCUACUUUGUCAGAUUAUGAGUGGCUGGUUGCUAAUCUGCAAAAACCUGCUCCUGUCUUGAUGAAAAGGGUGCAACGUUACUUGUCAUCAUUAAUCUUUAGCUAAAGGUACAUUGAAAAGUUAAUGGCACUGCAUACCAGUCAUUAUAAUUGGGUCAGGGCAAUUAGGUCAGAGCAUAACUUCAUUAGGAAAAGAGGCUUCAGCUACGUUAAAUAUUACAGGAUGUACAGAGAUGGCUGAAGUUGUUGAGGUUUUACGAGAAACGAAAGAUGAGUGUUUGUUUGAACAAAGUUGUUGCCAAUCUUGCAGAGUUCGAGAAGAAAGAUCACAGAGCGAAUGCCACCGAUUUCUUCAUCAUUGUAGCCUCCAUAGUUGAAGUUUCCUCAUUUGAAGCUGUUUAUGCAUUAAGCUUAUUCCCUGCUCAAGUACAGGAAACUGAAGAAUUAACCAGACAUGAUAUGCUGAAAGAGGGAAGUUUUCUUCCUUGAAUGUGGCCUUGUGAUUUGUAGUGAAGUAAUAGGAUGAUCACUAGCAAGAACCCUAUCAAGGUAGACUUUAUAAUGUCAACAUAUUAUUAAGCAUUUGUCAAUUUAGCACUUUCGCAAUGAUACAUUCAUAGCAUGAAAUUAAUUAUAUGAUCCUGAUUAAUCAAUUAAUCUUCAUGAGAUUUAACCUAGUUAAAACUAAGUACAAUCAUCGUUAACAAAUACUGAAAUUGGGUAAAUAUGAUCUCGACAUUGAAGAAUUUGAAAACACAACCCACAGAGGAAAUUACUUAUUGCAUGGGGAUGGAGAUGGUUACUGCAGGGAUAUAGAAUAUGUGCAAGGUGUUGUCCACUGCUCGUUGGGUUAUGGUGUGACUUGCGAUUUCAAGGUUGCCCUGAAACAAUGGAAAAGAUUAACAUAUCCUCCAAUGAAUAAAAACGGCUUGACUAAUUCAAAUUACUCAGGAUCAGGUGGCAAUAAAACAGUCCAUUUACUUUUCCAGGAUCAGAUGUUGAUAAUAAUAGUUUAUUAAAUGAAAAAUCAUUGUUCUUGGGGGUUGGUUGUAUACGUCAUUACUACUUCAAGUAGAAGAAAAAGGUUGUGUAGGUGAUUUCAGAAAUAAAAUACAUUCUGAGAGAUGAUGGUCCACUAUUGCAUGCCCCCCAGAUUUAAUAAUCAUCACUUUUCCUUAAAAAACUGCUACGCUUUGAUUUUAGUGCUGAAUAUUUAUUGAACUCUGAUAGAGGGAGUUUGAAGUCAAACUCGUAAUUACAGGUUAUCUAAUUGCGAGUUGCUGUCCAUAGCUGUUGAUUUGUAGUGAUUAUUUAAUUGACUGAGGUAACAACAAUUUUUUUUUUAAUUUUCAGUAAAAUAAAUUCUCCUAGUUAAUUUGUUUCAAGUUAAAUUAUUAAUUACUUAAACUCUGUUUUAAGUCUUUAAUUUUAUGUCUUGGCGUAUAUGCAAAAUUGGAUUCUUGAGCGUGCUGGACACGACCAACAAUGAAAUUGACAGUAAAUAAACAUUACAACGUGUGGACUCCGGUAGCUACAAGUCUACAACUUCACAAAUAAUAAUUGAGUAAGCGCCUUUGAUUCUCGGGACCCUUCAAUGAAUUUCUAGUCCCGUUGACUCCGCCGACUAAAGUUCUGUUAAAAAAAAAAAUACAUAGAAUUCCACCAAAUGCAAAACGCGUGGAAUUUAAUUUUCGGCCAUGUGGACCGAAACAUAAUUUAACAAAAAAAGAAAAAAAAUGAUAAGAUUUCUAAAACGUGUGGAAGGUGAUCCAUAUUUUACUGAAACGACUUGUUAAAAUUUUCAAAGAUUUAGAAUAUUUGGUUAUAAAUUACGCUCAUGUUAAUUUUUCUGCCAUUGACUAUCAUAUUCUAGACUUAAUGGUACCUUUCUUGAUGAAGGGUACUUAGUCUCUCUUCUCGUCUUAUAAAAAUUAUAUUAAUUGAUUUCUUGUUAUAAUUAAUAGUCUUUAGGAACGGAUAACUUUAUUGUUUUCAUGACCAAAUUAUGCCUCCUAAGCUUGCGACUAUUAAUAAAAUUAAUAUUUAAUAUUUAUGUUAAAAGAUAUAAGAUUUUAUGCAUUCAUUAAUUGUUAUUAGCUAAAUGAUGAAUUAUUUUUUAAACCCAAUCAGUUGAUGCAUCUGCAAGAGUUUUUUCUUUUAUUGACCAUAAUUAUAUUCCGGGUACAAUAAAUUGUCAUUGGUGCUUGGAAAAUAUGACUUCUUACUUCAAGUUUGAUAUGUCUCUCUCCAUAAGCUUACUGGAAAUAUAUCCUCAUCUACUGUCAUUUAUCUAAUAUCAAUUGAAAGAUCUCACUUUUUCAAACUAUCACUUCCAAGUCUCAUUGUCACUUAGCCAUUCUUGGACCAUUCAAAACCAAUCUGUUGAAAUAAUCAAAUAUAUGCAAAAUUAGAGUCACGAUUGUUGGUCCCCCAAAUUCUAAUUAUAUAUCUUCUAUAUAUCUCAUUGUCAGGUCACGAACUUGUUGGCAUAUUUUCCAAAUUCCUCUUCCAUCAGCUCUCACAUGUUAACUUGAGUGGAAAGUUUCCAAGUUGAUUGCUAGAAAGCAACGCAAAAUCAGACACACUUGAUCUAUCCCCUAAUUCUCGUUUCUACGUUGAAAAAGAAAGUAUAUAUAUAUAUCUAUGUAAAAAUAAAUAAUAAACUGAGUAAAAGUACAUUUGUUUAAUUAACAUCUGAUCGGGGCAUUUUUGGUGUAAUUUCGUGCCGUGUAAGCCACAACUAAAAUCAAACAGCCCCUUAGCAUACUUCUUCCAUAUUAUCUGCUACUUUUGUGGAUCUUAUAGGGUGGGCAUGUGGACAGAAUUUAAAAGUUUUAAUAGUCUCAAAGAAUAAGAUAUGUUAAAGCUAAAGUUGUUGCACCUUCUAAUUAAAUAAAGUUGCAUAAUUUCACCAACUUGAAAGAAUUGACAUUAAUGGACUGGUCCCCUCUCCAUAUAUGAAGCCUUCUUAAAAGUUAAUUUUUAUUUCAGAAAAAAAAAGUUUAAGUUACAUAUAUUACAGUAAGAUUUUUUGAGACCAAUUCCCUUCUUCAAAUGAUAAUGGAAAAGUAUUAAUUUAAAAAUAGCAUGAAUAUGUAUUGAUUAUAUCUUGAUUUUCAUCAAUUAUAGUCAGAGUUUCUCCAAAUCAAUUCCCUUAUUCAAAUAAUACAGAAAAUAAUUUAAUAGUAAAAUAAAUAGGUGUUGAUUAUAUAUCCUAAGUUUCAUCGAUUAUGUGAUCAAAGUGGCAUUGUUGAUUUAUUUCUUGUUCAAUGUUAAUUAAUUUUAGGGGAAUAUUCGGCCAACCUCUGUAAUUUCAGAGUGAUCAUUAAUUAAUUAAACGAUACAAAUAUCUAAAGUGAUUAGAUGUUUGCUGACAAUACAAGUUCAUGGCUUGAAAUUUGAUCUCUAUCGAUUGGUUUACAAAUGGACGCACUUGUGCCUUUGUGGCGAUAAUUGAACAGAGAUGUGAAGUUGUAAAGAUUUGGCAGUAGUAAAUUGUUAUAAAGACAUAAUGACAAGUUCCCAUGAUUAGUAUUUUUUUCCAAAAACUUUGUUACAACAAAUUCAUCUCGCCCAAAAAUUCUAUUUUGCUAACUAACAAUAAUUGAGCACUUGGCCGCAUUGACUCCACGUCUCCACCUACUUUGUAAGUAAAAACAUGGAAAUGUAAUCUCCACAAAAUGCCAAACGUGUGGAAUUUAAUUUUUGGCCUUGUGAAUCAAAAUGCAAAUGAAAGAAAAAGAGAGAAAAAAACAAGGCCCAAAGACUACGAAAAGAUAUAAAAGUCUUUGGGCCUUUUUAUAACGGCGAAUUUUUUAAAAGGCAAAAAUAACAACACUUCUAUGGUUUGUUUUGAUAAUCACAUUUACAUAUACUCUCUAAUUUUCAAAAUGGACACAUAAAUCUUUUUUUUUUCUACAAAUGUAUAUUAUUCGUAUUUUUUAUUAUUUUUAAUAUCAUAUUGUUAUUUAUUAUAAAUGUUUAAAGUAAAUUUUUAGGUUAAAAUAUAAUAAAAGGGUAUAAUCGUUCUCUUAUUAAACACCCAUACUUUUAGUUUCUAUCCAUUUGUCAUCUCAAUCUCUCUCAAUUAUUCUUUAUUGCUAGCUCAAAACGCGUUGCUGUUGCAAAUUAUAGCAAAAAGACAAAUAUGGAAAAGAAAAAAGGGAAGAAAAUUAGUGCAUGAAAGACUUGGAGAAAACAACGAAGUAAGUCAACUAUAAUCUAGCUGGGUGUAUAAAUUGUUUGAUGCUUUAUAAGCAAAUAACAAACAGAGACAGACAGUGUGUGUUCGUUUUUUCAUAGUUAAAGAUAUAGUUAGAAUGGGUGGUUCAAAAUCAAAAAUGGCGAUAAUGUUUGUUAUGUUAUUAAUAAUAUUUAAAAGUGGGUGGAGUGAGGGAUGUUUGGAUCACGAGAGAUUUGCUCUUUUGCGACUGCAACAUUUCUUCAAUGAUCCUCGUAAUUCUCUUUACAACUGGGUCGAUGAUGAGGGAGCUACUGAUUGUUGUCAGUGGGAAAGGGUUGAGUGCAGCAACACCACAGGCCGAGUGAUAGCGCUAGACCUUUUUGAAAUGUAUUCGGGAGAGUACAGCUGGUAUCUGAAUGCUUCUUUGUUUACUCCCUUCCAACAACUUGAGUCACUUGAUUUAACUGCCAACAAAAUAGCCGGUUGUGUUGAGAAUGAAGGUGCUUCGUUUAAUUUAAUUAAUUUACUUUCUCCCCCCUAAUUUAAGUUGAAUAUCAAGACCGAGCAACUAUACGCAUAUUCAUUUAGUCGACAAUUUUGACUUUUUUUUAAGUGAUUAAUUAAUUUUAAAAUUACACCAAUAUCUAUGAUCUUUUUUUUUUUUAAUUUUGCUUGCAGGUCUAGAGAGGCUAUCAAGAUUGAACAACUUGAAGAUGCUUAAUUUAAGUGAAAACUCUUUGAACAAUAGCAUUUUAUCAUCUCUAACUCAUCUUUCAUCAUUAAGCUCAUUAAAUUUAUUUUUAAAUAGAUUGGAAGGAAGUAUUGACUUUAAAGGUACAUAAUUAAAACUUCAUCCCUUCUCCAAGCUCUUUCAUUAACUUGCUAAAAUAAGACUCAAGGCUUUGAAUUCAAUUUUUUUUAUGAUUAGUAUUAAAAAAAACAGUUUUAAGCAAUUUAUAAAUACAAGUUUUAAUGGUUAUCGUAAUUUCAUCUUGUAAUUUCAUAUGUCUUGAAUUUAAGAUUAAAAAAAACUCUAAUAGCGAACCAAACACCUCCACAACUUAUUAUUAUUAUUAUUAUUAUUAUUAUUUGUGGUGAGGUUGGAAACAUUCAACUUAAUUUGUACUUAUUACAGAAUUUGAUUCUUUGAGAGAUUUAGAGGAGCUAGACAUUGGCGGGAACAAGAUUGACAAAUUUGUGGUCUCAAAAGGUACUACAAAUACCACAAAAAAUGUAAACUUUUACAAAUUAGCUGGAUUCUUUGCCAUUUGGUUUAUUAUUUUACAGGUUUGAGUAAGUUGAAGUCUCUUGAUUUAAGUGGUAUCAAACUCAACCGUAGUAUCUUAUCUUCUCUAACUGUCUUUUCUUCAUUAAGAGAAUUACAUCUACGUAAUAUCAUAUUCAAAGGAACAUUUGAUGUUCGAGGUAAGCCUAAGCCUUGCUUUCUCAUUUUCUAUAUGCCAACUAGAUUUGUGUAUCAUCGGCAUAAUUUAAUAUUUAAUUUGAUAAGUCUGAAGGAAUUACAUGCUAAUUUAAACAUACUUUUAUUUACUUUGUCAAUUAAUUAAUUAAUUAAUUACUAUUUGACAUUGGACGGUUCCUCUCUCCAUAUAAGCCUUCUGCAAAGCAUUGCAUCAUUCACUUCGUUAAAAAAUCUGUCGAUGUCUGAUUGUGAAGUCAAUGGUGUCCUACGUGGUCAAGGUAAAAGAAAAGUGUUGAUUGUGAAUAAGCUGUUAAUUAAUUAAUGUUGUUGCUCCUUGCUUCUAAACAGAGUUGCGCAAUUUCACCAACUUGGAAUAUUUGAAUUGGAUUCUUCCUCGCUCCAUAUAAGCCUUCUACAAUUGCUUGAACAAUUUAUUUAUUUAUUUAUUUAUUAUUAUUGUUGUUGUUGUUGUUGUUGAAGUGGGGUGGGCAAGCGUUCACUCAGUUAAUAUGUGGGGAAUUAAAUAUUACAAUCCAAGGUAGAAUUGUGGAAAAUUAAAGCUAAAUGAGAAAUAUGGAAAGAAAGGAAGAAAGUUAAGGGCAUGAAAGACUGGGAGAAUACUAAAAACCACCAAAUAAGUCAACUGAAAACUAGCUGAGGCCUGGGUGUACAAAUUGUUAGAUGUGUUUGUUAUAAAUAACAUAGAGCCAUCUUGUUGGUUGCAGAGGCAGAGAGACAGAGAGUGUGCAUUUUGUCCAGUUAAAAAUGAUAAAAUUUAUCAUUUGUUUAUAUUGAUUUAUUAACUCUAUUUUAAGUCUUAAGUCUUGGCGUCUUGGCAUGUUUGCAGAAUUUGAUUCCUUGAGCAACUUAGAGGAGUUGGACAUGAGCGGCAAUGAAAUAGACAAUUUCGAGGUUCCUCAAGGUACACAAUUAAAAUAUUAUUUAAUUACAUUAAUUUAAUUCGUUUGAUUAGGGAAGGCCCAAAAUGUACAAAAACAUAAUUAGAAAAAAUAAAGAAACAGAGAAUUCAUAUUAUUUCAAAUAACAAAAGGUAAUACUAUUAUUUCAAAAACAGAUUGUAAUAAAGAUUUGAUUCCAAUUCUUUAAUCUUUACAGUGAUUGAAAAACGAUACUACUUCCCAAAGCAUAAAAUACGAAUUGACUCUCAAUUAAAUUAAUCAUUUAUUUCGUUUAGGUCUAAAUUUAGAAAAAUGAAUUUUGAUUCUCUUGAAUCAUUUCCUAAUUAUUAUUAUUCAACAGGUUACAGAGGUUUGAGGAAGCUGAAAAGCCUGCAUCUAUCGGGAGUUGGAAUUAGAGAUGGAAGCAAGUUGUUACAGUCAAUGGGAUCAUUUCCAUCCCUCAACGCUCUUUACCUGAGCAAUAAUAAUUUUACCGGUACAACGUCAACUACUCAAGGUAAGUAAAAGGUACAGAUGUGGCCAAAUUUAUAAAUAAACUGUUAAUUAAUUAAUUUUCUGUAUUAUUAAUAAAGCUAAAUUUUUUGCUCAUUCCUUCUAAUUCUAAACAGAGUUGCACAAUUUCACCAACUUGGAAUAUUUGACAUUGGACGAUUCCUCUCUCCAUAUAAGCCUUCUGCAAAGCAUUGCAUCAAUAUUCCCUUCGUUGAAAAAACUGUCGAUGUCUUAUUGUGAAGUCAAUGGUGUCGUACAUGGUCAAGGUAAAAGAAAAGUGUUGGUUGUGCACUCACUCAGUGGUGUCCUACGUGUUCAAUAUUUUUAUUUAUUUAUUUUAUUGUUUAAUGAGAUGCUUCCACCCUCCCCUUUAAAUCUAUAAUAUUAAUUUUCGAUUAAUAUAUAAUUAUAGAAACCAAUCACUUAUAAAAGAAUGCUAUGCAUUUGCCAAUUUUUUUAUAUUUUACUGAUUGAUGAAUUAAUAAAUUUUCAGGCCUCUGUUCGUUGGUGCAUCUACAAGAGUUGUACAUUGCAACUCUUGUAGUAAUUAAUUAAUUAAGUAUUAGUUAAUUAAUUAAUUAAUUAAUUUUCUGUAUUAUUAAUAAAGCUAAUUUUUUUGCUCAUUCCUUCUAAUUCUGAACAGAGUUGCACAAUUUCACCAACUUGGAAUAUUUGGCAUUGGACUCUUCCUCUCUCCAUAUAAGCCUUCUGCAAAGCAUUGCAUCAUUAUUCCCUUCAUUAAAAAAUCUGUCGAUGUCUAGUUGUGAAGUCAAUGGUGUCGUACGCAGUCAAGGUAAAAGAAAAGGGUUGAAUGUGAACUCACUCAAUGGUGUCCUACGUGUUCAACAUUUUUAUUUAUUUAUUUUAUUGUUUAAUCUUUCUGCUAGGUUUUCCUCAUUUCAAGAGUUUGGAACAUUUUGACAUGGAUUUCACGCGCAUUGCACUCAACACUAGCUUUAUUGCACUCAACACUAGCUUUCUUCAAAUCAUCAGUGAAUCGAUGCCUUCUCUUAAGUACUUAUCACUAUCAUAUUAUACUCUUGGAACUAAUAGCAGCGGGACUCUUGAUCAAGGUUAACGAGAUGCUCCCACCCUCCCCUCCUAAUCUAUAAUAUUAAUUUUUUAUUUAAUAUAAUUACACAAACGAAUCACUUAUAAAAGAAUGAUAUGCAUUUGUUAAUUUUUUUAUUGUACUGAUGGAUGAAUUAAUAAAUUUUCAGGCCUCUGUUCGUUGGUGCAUCUACAAGAGUUGUACAUUGCAAGCAAUGAUUUAAGAGGUAGCUUGCCUUGGUGCAUGGCAAAUAUGACAUCCCUCAGAAUAUUAGAUGUUUCUUCUAAUCAACUUACUGGAAGCAUCUCCUCAUCUCCCCUCGUUCAUUUGACAUCCAUUGAAGAGCUGAUGCUUUCAAACAAUUACUUCCAGAUCCCAAUUUCACUUGAACCACUUUUCAAUUACUCAAGACUCAAGAUUUUCAAUGCUGAGAACAACGAAAUAAAAGCUGAAAUAACUGAGUCACAUUCUUUGAUCGCCCCAAAAUUCCAAUUAAAUACUCUCUCAUUGUCUUCCAAUUACGGAGACGGUUUCAUAUUCCCCAAAUUCCUUUACCAUCAACAUGACCUGGAGUAUGUUGAUCUCUCACACAUAAAGAUGAAUGGAGAAUUUCCAAAUUGGUUGUUGGAAAACAACACAAAAUUAGAAACUCUUUUUCUGGUUAAUGAUUCUCUUGCAGGACCUUUUCGGUUGCCAAUUCAUUCACACAAGCGGUUAAGACAGUUGGAUGUCUCCAACAACAACAUUCGAGGCCACAUUCCAGUAAAAAUUGGAGAUGUUUUACCAAGUUUAUACGUUUUCAACAAUUCCAUGAAUGCUUUAGACGGUAGCAUUCCCUCUUCAUUUGGUAAUAUGAAAUUCCUCCAAAUUCUGGACUUAUCCAACAAUCACUUGACUGGUGAAAUCCCCGAGCACUUGGCCGUGGGUUGCGUCAACUUGCAGUUUCUUGCAUUAUCAAAUAACAACCUACAAGGUCAUUUGUUCUCUAGAAAUUUUAACUUGACAAACUUGCAAUGGUUACAAUUGGAGGGCAAUCGCUUCGUAGGUGAGAUCCCACAAAGUUUGUCUAAAUGCUCCUCACUAGAAGGAUUGUACCUUAACAAUAAUAGUCUUUUAGGUAAGAUUCCACGAUGGUUGGGUAAUCUGACACGGUUACAAUAUAUUAUAAUGCCCAAUAAUCAUCUUGAAGGCCCUAUUCCAGUGGAGUUUUGCCAGCUUGAUUCGCUUCAGAUUUUGGACAUUUCAGACAACAACAUAUCUGGAAGUUUACCAUCUUGUUUCCAUCCUCUCUCUAUCAAACAAGUUCAUCUUUCAAAAAAUAUGUUACAUGGACAGCUAAAAAGAGGUACAUUCUUUAAUUGCUCUUCCCUUGUGACAUUAGAUCUUAGCUAUAACCGCUUGAAUGGCAGCAUUCCGGAUUGGGUUGAUGGGCUUUCUCAGUUAAGCCACCUUAUCUUAGGUCACAAUAAUCUUGAAGGUGAAGUGUCAGUUCAAUUGUGCGAAUUGAACCAACUACAAUUGUUAGAUCUUUCUAAUAAUAAUCUUCACGGUCCUAUUCCUCCUUGCUUUGAUAACACCACACUUCAUGAAAGUUACAGCAAUAGUUCUAGUCCUGAUGAGCAAUUUGAAAUAUUUUUUUCCAUCGAAGGCCAUCAGGGAUUUUUAGAAAAGCAAAACCAUGAAAUUUUUGAGUUCACAACAAAGAACAUUGCGUACAUUUACCAAGGAAAAGUGCUUAGCCUCCUAUCAGGACUUGAUCUUUCUUGCAACAAGCUAAUUGGUCAUAUUCCUCCUCAAAUUGGAAAUUUGACAAGGAUUCAAACAUUGAAUCUCUCGCACAAUAACUUGACAGGAUCGAUCCCAUCAACAUUUUCAAACUUGAAGCAUGUCGAAAGUUUGGAUCUUUCCAACAACAAAUUGAAUGGGAAAAUCCCUCAUCAACUAGUGGAGUUAAAGACAUUGGAGGUUUUCAAUGUGGCAUACAAUAACUUAUCAGGCGAAAUUCCAGAAUGGAAAGCACAAUUUGCAACCUUCAACGAGAGUAGCUAUGAGGGAAAUACUUUUCUUUGUGGACUGCCAUUGCCCAUUUGCAGAUCACCAGCAACUAUGCCGGAGGCUUCAAUUGGCAAUGAACAAGAUGAUAAUUUAAUUGAUAUGGACAGUUUCUUUAUCACAUUUACAACAUCGUACGUAAUUGUGAUAUUCGGAAUUGUUAUUGUUUUAUAUGUAAAUUCUUAUUGGCGACGUAGAUGGUUUUACUUUGUUGAAAUGUGGAUAACUUAAUGUUACUAUUUUGUUGUAAACAAUCUUAUUGCAACAAGAUAUUGUCAUUGAAAUUAAUUAGCAGUUUAAUUACGAUUCUUUAAGUUCUAAUCAAGUUUGCUUAGGAAAUAAUUUUUUUUUUAUUUUUUUAUUAAAAUUGUAGUAGUAUUUAGCGCUAUAUAGCUUCCAACUUGGUAGAAAGCUCCAUUUUUUGUUGGCUACAGUAAAAGCAUGUUGUUUUAUUCUUCUUAUACUUUACGCCUGCAUCAGCUUAAAUCACUUCUUAAACGCUUGCUUUAACUGCACCGCUUCGUACUGCUCUAUAUAUGUAACGGUUAUGCGGUUGUAGCUCACGGCUCAAGCUACGCGUUUGUUUGACGUGGUAGUUACGUUAUGAUGUUUCGAGUCUGUUAAACAUUCGGUGAUAAGAUUAGUUACAACAAACCUACUAGUUUUAUAAAAUUCAAGUGAGAUGGAAUAAAAUAAAAAAUAAAUAUAAAAUUGGCUUUUAUUUUUUAGGUUAACCAUAUUUUGUGUUCUCUUCGGGCACUACUACAAUUGUUCCCUAUACAUCAGUUACACUCACGUAUCAUCGACACGAAAAAUGAAAUCUAAUAUCACCUGUUUAGUUAAAGAAUCACUCAUGAAAAAAAAUUACCAUUUUGAUUUGAAGAUCCAUAUUUUGAACUACCAAUUAAUGUUCAUCAAGAACAGAGUGUGGCCGUUAAGUAGAAAAACUAUUUUUGGACAAAUUAUUAAAUUCCAAUAUUGUAUCCAUAUGCAAACGAUGCCUGAAGCAGAGCCUCCAAACAAUGACCAGGGCACAAAACAAGAGUGUAGUAAUCAAGUGUAUUGUCUCAUAAUCAAUUAAAAGCAGAUAUACAGGAUACCAUAUUCAAUUCCAAAAUAACAAAAGCAUAAUGAGGAUGAGAAGAACAAUGAUCACUCAAAUAUUUCUUCACUUUGGUUGUCAAUUAUCUAUUCAAAUUAAUCAGUGUCAUUAUGGACUUAUUUAUUUAGAAGAGCGGGUGAUAAAUAUAUUCAAUAAUGUGAACAAGAAGUUGAUUAACUUUUAUGAUCAUUUGGAAGGUCGGCGUGUCAUCACUCGUCAAACACAUUGCAUCGAUCCACCAGCAUGAACCGACCGGAUUAUGCCCAAAAGUUGAAAUAUCAAUAAAAAAAACAAUUAAUUAAAGGUCGAAGAUGGGUCCUUUACAUAUGUUUUUGUUUUCGUAUUAGGUAGGAGGUUAUUAUAUUAUAUCAUGUAAUUAAUUUAUUAUUACUCAACACUAAGUAAUAACUUAACUAUAUAAAGACAACAAGAAGAUAAAAUGAUAUAUAAAAAAAAAAAGAAUUUCAAAGAGAUAGCAACAUACAAUAGACUGAAGCCAUUUGAUCUGCUCAUUGAUUUCAGCCUUAAACUUGUAAAUAGUUACUGUCAAAUAUUCUAUUCAUACGAAAAAAAUGUUUAGAUAUCUUACUAUAAAUAUAGCCGUUUGACUGUCUUAAUAAAGUCACACACAACCAUUCUUAUUAAAUUAGCAAGAUCAAACACUGCCCUGGAUCUUGAACAGAUCAACACAAGAUGCACAACUUAUGAUUGAACCCAGAAACAAUCAAAUCUUUAGCAAGAACAAUUAAUCAGAGUCAAGAAACAAGUUUAAUGAAUAUAAACCUAUAAUUGAAACAAACAUAGCCAAGAAAAAAAUACAGAUUUUACACGGUUCAGUUGUACCUAGGAUGGCACAACCUACACCACGAGAGAAGCUUUCUGGUGAGAUUUUAUUGAUGAUCAAAGAAGAAUCUUUUGACAAAGCUAAUAAUAGAGAUUUCAGAGAAUAAGCUGUAACCCUCUCUCCCUCUUCAAUCUCUCUCUAUUUUGUUCCCAUUGAUGACCCCAAUCUGCUUAGUUAUCCAGCUUUAUAGCUGCAUCAGUAACAAACCAGCAAACCCAGAUUGAGCAGAUUGACGACACGUGGAUAACGGCUUUAACGAACCUGGUUAAGAACUGCUCACAUGUUCGUCACGCGUGCUGCUUAAAUGAUGGCCAAAACGACUUCAAACAAAUGUCGUUUUGAGGCUUAUGAAUUACAAGUGAUAACACGAGCUUGUCUCAUGACUUUUAAAUGCAACAACGUGCCCACAACGCCGUCGUUUUACUCUGUUGAGUUUGAUUCAUUACUAAGCUUUACGACUGGCAAUGGAGAAGAUGAUAAUUUAAUUGACACGGACAGUUUUUAUAUCACUUUUACAACAUCCUAUGCAAUUGUAAUAUUGGGAAUUAUUGAUGUUUUAUUCUGUGAAUCCUCAUUGGCAAAAACUAGUGGUUUUAUCUUUGUUGAAAUAUAGAUGACCUCUCGUUACUGUUUUAUUAUAAACAUAUAGUUUCGUAAGUGAAACUAUAUGUUUAUAAUAAAAUUAACAUAUAGUUUUGUUACAUUUCUGCCUCAUUAAGAUUCUCAAAUACCAGUCAGGUUUGCUUAAGAAAUAAAUUUUUUCCAUUAAAAUUGCAGUAGUAUUUCCAAGCAUAUCGCAUUUUCUAUGAGUUUUCAUAAAUUAAUUAAUCUGCGGUGCCAAUAUCAGAUUUAGUUUUUCAAACUAAAUAAUCAAGAAAGCAAACAUACAAAUAUACAGUUUAGAGGGGUAAACUAGGUAGGUGGUUUAGAUUUUAGAACUAAGCCAGCUACCUCGCUAAAUUCCGAUUCGUACAGUGAACUGCAAGAAACUGAGAAAACAAUGUAUUUAUAAUUUAAUAGAAUCAUAAGAAAACAAUGCAGUCAUUGCUCAAUAUAAGAUGAUGAUUUCGGAGAGGCACAUUGUUUUCAAGUUAAUUUGAUCCGUUUAUAAGAGAUGAAGUGGAAUGAAGUUGAAAGUUUAAAUAACAAAUCCUUGUUCUUGAGUUUUACGACGUCGUUACUCCUUCAAGUGGCAGAUUAUGCAAGUGAAUGCAGAAACACAAUGCAUCAUCCGCGGGGAUGAUACAUCAAAAGGCGGGAUUUGUUUAUGCCUGCAGAUUAGCAAUUUCACUCAUAUAGAAAAUUAAUUUUUUAUAUAUACUAAUCAACACUAAAUUGAUUAUGUGUUGUAUGUUUAUAUGCUAAUCAACACGAAAUUAUAUUGAAUUAUUAACAUUCAUAUUCCUAAUAAAAAUUAUUUUCCAUCAGUAUUCAAAAUUUUCACUUAUAGAAAAUGCGUUUUACGUGAAUACUAGUUAUUGUGUAAAUUUGAAUGAUAGCGAAAAAUAAACCUAUUUGAAAACUGUAAGGGUGUGUUGGGAUAUUUUACAACUGUCGGAAUCUGGUAGGAUAUUGCACCAUUUGCCCAAUAUUUUUAGACGUACUCCAACCGGUAUUCAAGAUAAGUAAAAUUUACAAGCGUGGCAAAAUAAAAAAAAAUUAAAUUCGUAACUUGUAAACGAAUUUUCCUGACAUGUAUAGUAAAUGAAGUUGUUGAUCCUUUCUUUGGAUUAUUUCAGCUCUGGUUGUUGGUCACCGAUGAGCCGAAGUCUUAUUUUAAUUUUAUUUAAACUCAUCAUAAGAUUCGUGGAGCACCUAACUAACUUAACUGACUGCGCAGAUCAUCUCAACAUGGCAUAUUUAACCAUCAUUCAAGUGAUGGGUUUAAUAAGACUGCUUUUGUUCUAUCAACUAUCAAGUUCCUCUGCCUCUAAGCAGAAUUACUAUUGAAGGGCCAAAAGGAAAAUGAAAACGUGUGAGCUCCAACAACCACCCCACAAAUUCAAUGACGAUGCUCGGAGAGGGUUAGGUUGGGCCUCUGAGAAAAAAAAAAAUUAUUUUGUUAAAAAGUUACCCUUAUUGAAACCUGUAUAAACAUUUUAUAUUAAUUAGUUAUGUCGCCUCUUCAACGAUGAUCAAAUUCUUAUCUGAGCUCAUCAUUUAAUGAGUAAACAUGUAUUUUAAUGAUCUCAAUUAAUAUUUAGAACAAAUAUUUUAAGAAGUAAAGCUCAUUAUAUCUUCCAUUAUUAUGUAUUUCUUUAAUUUCUUAUUUACAUAAUUAUAUUGUACAUUAAAAAUGUAUUGAAUUUGAAGAAAAAAAAAUUCAACUCAAAAAAAAAAAAUGCUGGUAGCUUCGUAAUAAUUACUGUAUUGACUGCACCAGAUAAAGUUUUGUAAAAUAAUAAGUUCUCAUAAGUGGUUUUUCAUUUUUAAUUUUCUUUUCCGGCACACCUGAUCAAGAAUUCUAUUUUGUUAACUAAUCAAUUGCAAAGCAUAAGUGUUGAACGGUACAAAAAAUUUAAAAAAAAUACACUUAAAACGUGGGGUGGGUAACGGCUCACUCAAAUCGUUAGGUAGAAUUGUGGAAAACUAAAGCGAAAUGAGAAAUAUAGAAAGAAAGGAAGAGGUGAUGUUUUUCUAUGAAUUUCUAUGGGUAACGGCUCACUCAUCCUUCUAUGAAUUUCUAGCUGUAUUGACCCCAACUGCUAAAGUUUUGUAAAAUAAAAAUAAAAAUAAAAAACUGGAAUUUCAACAAAAUUCAAAACGUUUGAAAUUUAAUUUUUGGCCAUGUGGAACAAAAUGUAAAUUAAGUAAAAAAUAUAAAUCUCAAUUGCUUAGUAUGGUUAGGAUUUUGUGAGCAUCACUAAAAAGUGAAAACUAUGAAUGAUAGAGGUGAUGUUUGCAACAUGAAUAAAUGAUGAACUGAAUCAAUUGAUGAUCGUAAUUACAUAAUGAACAAAAUUUACAAAAUCAACAAAAGUUAAUAAAAAAUUAUUUUAAUAAUAAAAAAUCAAUAAAACUUAUUAUUUAAGGGCGCUCUAACCAUGGAAUACCAUAAUCAUAAUCUUCUUUUAAGAAAAUUAUAACUUAUUAUUUUACAGGAUUGAUCCAUUUGGAAUGAAGUGGUCUCAAGUUGAAAGUAAUUAAUUUAUUGAAUAACUUUCGACUUAUUAAUAGUUAUAUCAAAGGGUGUUUUACCUCAUCAUGUCUUCAAGUGGAAGAUGAAGACUAUGCAAGUGAAUUCAGGAAUAUUGCAUGCCUGUUGUCUAAAGCAUUACCUCACAAGGUUUCAUGAGAAACGAAAGAUGUGUUUGCUUUGAACAAUUAAAGUUACUGCUACGAACCUCCCCAAAGGUCAAGAAGACAGAACAGGAAGCUAAUGCCAUCAAUGUCUUGUUCAUUAUAGCUGCUGGGUAGUUAGGUGUAGUUUCCUCAUUUGAAGCUGUCUAUACAUAGGCAUUUCCCCUGCUUAUGUACAAAUAAAUGAACAACCUUGAAGCUUUAUUAUUCGCAACAAAAAGGGAUUACUAAUUGGAGAAGACAAUACAGAGUUUUCUCUCACACUUUCUCUCUGUCAAUUUCAUCCAGAAGUCCCUCUGAAAGCUUCUCCCAAAACAGUUAGUCAUCUUUUAUGCUCUGUUUUCUGAAAACAGAGUCCUAACUAAAUUAAUUGACUGUACAGUGCAUUUCAACAUAGCAUAUUUAACCGUUUUAACAGUUAUUUGGACCGUCUUCAGAGGUAACAUCAACAAACUCAUUCAUAUGCUUAAUAAUGAACGAAUAGUCUUGGAUCGAUGUUUUGCAGCAAGAGCAACACGACACAAUCUGGAUUCAACCUCCUCCUUUCUAACAGGGGAUUUCGAUUUGAGUUACUUUGUGCUCAAGCAAAUUCACAUCAUAGUUUUGAUUCUUUAGAUAUGAAUUCAUCUCAUUACAUAUAUCAGAUUAAGUGUAACAAAAUUUGUAAUUUACUGCGAAAAGAAUAUGCACUAAAAAAUGAUUUCAAGACUAUUUGACUACAAAAAGCAGCUGUCAGAGUGCACUAAAAAUUUCUGUAGGAUAUUUUGUAGCUGUUUAAUAUGUUAUGAUGGGCAUAUAAUUCUCAAAUUUUGAUGCCUCUCAGCGAAAAAUAUAUCAAAGUUACGGAUGAUAUCACGUAAAACAUGCAUGGCUCAGGCUCAGGCUCAGGUAAGAAAGCCACAGAAAAGGAAAAUCUCACUGUCACGACUCACGUCACGCAUCAUUCAAGUGAUGGAUUUAACAAGACUGCUUAUGUUCUAUCAAAUUCCUCUGCCUCUCAGAAGAUAACUUUUCUGGGCCAAAUUUCUCAUCUAAAGCAUAUUAUGCCCCAAAGUCACAGAUAACAAAAUGGGGCACUACCGAUUAUGAAAGAGAACUAGUAGUUGUCAGAAGCCUAAGCCAAAUUCCGGUAGUAAGAAGAGGCCUUUCUUGAGUUUAGAUUAUGUGUUCGAGUUUUAAUAAAUGCCUAAGUUAAUAAUAAUAACAACAGUAAUAAUAAACUAAAAAGCAUAAUUACUAUUGAAUGGUAAAAAAAAAAAUGAAAAUGUGUGAACUCCAAUAACCACCCCAGUGGCGAAUUUUGGAGAGGGCUAGGCCGGGCUUCUUAGAAAUUAUUUUUAUUUAAUUACAAAAUCACCUUUACUGAAACCUAUAUAAAAUUUUUUAUAUUAAUUAAUUAUGUUGCCUCUUCAAUUAUCAUUAAAUUCUUGUCCGUUCAUAAUUUGAUGGACAAAUGUGUAUUUCAAUAAUUUCAAAUAAUGUCUAGAACAAAUAUUUUGAAUUAUAAAACUCAUUAUGUCCUGCAUUACUAGAUGUAUCUAUAAUUUAUUAUUUACAAAUUAUAUUGUAUGAUAAAAAUGUAUUGAAUUUUUUUUUAAAAAAAAAGUUCGGCUCACUCAGAAAAAAAUGUUAUUAGCUUCGCCACUGCACAAAUCUAGAAUAAUAAUUAUUCCUUAUUAUAUUGACUGCACCAAGCAAUAAACUAAUAAGUUCUCAUCAGUGGUUUUUAAUCUUUUUAAUUCUUUUUACCGCACACCUGAUCAAGAAUUUUAUUUUGUUAACUAAUCAAUUGCAAAGCAUAUAUAAGUGUUGAACGGUACACAAGAUUGGAAAAAAAAAUCUUAAAAAACGUGCGGAUUCGGGUGGCCACACCAGAAAUCUAUUACAAUAAUUAGCUUUGAUGCUGGGAAUCUUUUAAUUUCUGGCCGUAUUGAAGUUUUUAAAAUAACAAGUUCCCCUUCUCGUUUUUUUUUUUUUUAAAUAUAUAUGCUUAUAACAAUUUUAGAAUAAUGAUUCAUUUGUAGAAGAACUUAUGAUUUCCCAUUAAUAUUAAUAUUGAAGUGGGGUGGGUCAAAUCUCAAUUGCUUGAAGAAUUUAUGUAUUAUUAAAUAUUACCAUCCAAGGUAGAAUUGUGGAAAAUUAAAGCAAAAUGACAAGUAUGGAAAGGAAGGCUGAAAGUAAGGCAUGACGAAAGGCUUUGAGAAGGCUGAAGACUACCAAAGAAGUCAACUGAAAACUAGCUGGGGCCUGAGUGUAUAAAUUGUUAGAUGCGUUUGUUAUAAAUAACAUAGAGCCCUUUUGUUAUUUAUAGUUAUAGAGAAAGAGAGAAUGUGUGUUUUUUAAUAGUUAGAGAUAUAGCUAGAAUGGGUUGCUCAAAAUCCAAAAUAGUGACAAUGUUAGUUCUCGUAUUGAUAAUAUUGGGGGGGGGGGGGGGGGGGGGGGGGGGGGGGUGUUGGGAGGUCGAGUGAGGGAUGUUUGGAGCAUGAGCAAUUUGAUCUUUUGCGGCUUAAACAUUUCUUCAAUUAAUAUCGAUCUGGGAGAGUGGUAUCUGAAUGCUUCUCUAUUUACUUCCUUUCAACAACUUUGGUAACAAAAUAGCCGGCUGCAUGCGUUGAGAAUGAAGGUGCUUCAUUUAAUUUAAUUUACUUAAUUUCUCCCUCCUAAUUAAUGUCUAUAAUCAUUAGGAGGAACAAGGGAUUUUAUUAACUCAAAUAUAUCUAAUGGAGCUCAUUCUUUGGUUUUACUUGCAGGGCUAGAAGCAGGUGUCAUCUAACAGCUGCUUUGAUAAUUUCCCUCCCCUUCAUCUUUGAUGGAAAGAUGAAAUAAAAACAAAUUGGUGAAAAUGGUAUUGGUACCUGAGGCUAUGUAAUCUAAUUCAAAAACUGCACCAUCAAAACGAUUACAUAAGUCUCAGAAGAAUCAAAUAUCAGUUUGCAAAAUAUCAAUUGCUGGAGGUUUGAUUCUAACUUCCGCUCUUCAUUUUUAUGGGCAUAUUGUGUUGUACUUGGCAUCCGAAAAUCAUAUUUUAGUUUACUUGCACUCAAUGCUUGGAUUAAAGUUUUUUUUUGGGGGGGGGGGAUUGAAGAAGACUAAAAUUACACCAAAAAAGAGUUGAGCGAGAGCGGGUUUUGUCUUCAUUUAAGGAGCUCUUUAUAAAUUUUGGGAUUUUUUUCCUGAGAAAAUUUAUGCCAACUCAUUCUUUGCUUCUUUUCUGAAGGGACACAUGCAACCGAAAGUAUAUUCUUGAAUUCUCCAGGAUAAGAGACAUACGUUUAGAUUCUGGAGCAUUUAAAACAAUGUCAAAUUUUAGAUUGCUGAAAUUUUAUAUAUCCGAGUAUGAUGGUGUUCCAAUUAUAAGCUCCAGGGUGCAACUUCACUGAGGUUUAGAAUGCCUUCCUAUAGAAUUGAGAAAUCUCCAUUGGCAUAAAUAUCUUUUUGAAAAUACUGACAUCAGAUUUUGAAUUGGAGAACCUGAUUGGACUCAGCUUGCCCUGUAGUAAGGUUAAGCAAAUUUGGAAAAGAGAAAAGGUAUAAUGUAUUACUAUUACCAAAGUAUCUAUUUUUCUUUCUUUAAGUAUUUAUAAUGAAUAACUUUGAAAUUCAAUGAUGCUCAUUUAGUAUAGUUAUGUAUCUUUGGUUAUAGGAAGCUGUCAAGUUAAAAUCUAUAGACCUUCACCACCCCUUUAUCUCAAUAGGAUCCCAGAAAUACUAAAUCUUAAAAAAAUAAAUCUUUCAAAUUGUGAAAGCAUGCUUACGUUACCCCCGUAUAUCCACAAUUUCAACUAGCUGAGUAUGUUGUGUUUCAGGGAUGCAAAAUUCAUUUUGUUUCUCAUUGAAAGGAUUGACUUGUCCGGAUGUAUUAGGGUUAGUAAACCAACUAAUCCCAUAAUUUGUUGAUGUAGGGUCCUAACAAAUUAUUGCAGUAGAUUGUAGAUCAGUACACUAUUCGAAAACGUAUUUGAUCCACACAGUGAAGUGGAUAUUGGACCAAUUUGAUGAUAAUGAAUUUCUUUCAAUCUCAAUCUUUUUUCUUUUUAGCAACAUGACUAGUCAUUGUGCAAAUUCAAACUCUGACAAUAAUUUCUCAAUCGGUUUCUAAGAUGAUGACCAUGCAUGUAUAUGUAUAUUGCGUGUGUAUAUGUGUGUGUGUGUAGAGAGAGAGAGAGAGAUCACACGUGUGUGAUUUCCUUUUGCCAAUAGGAUAUGCAAGAGAGCUUGAUCUUACCCAAUAGCGAAACAAACUUCCUAAUAAGUGAAGGUAUAGUAUAAAUACUUAUACUUUCAUGUUAUUUUGUUCAUCAGUAGCUUGAUUAUUUUAUAUGCGUCUUCGAUUUUAAUUUUCUUUCCCUAUAAUCGCUAUUAUCUUUGAACUGGUCAUAAUUUGCCCAUAAGAUUUCUCAUGUUGUUUUGAGGUGCAACGGAUUUUGAAUUAGUGACAAGCAGUGGAAGCCAGAAGGCAAAUUAUGAAAAUGGAUAAAGAUCUAUAAUUAGCUGUUAUGGGAUGUCACAUAUCAUAUUGAUGGUAACGUUAUAUAUAUGUACAUAUAAUUAAUGGGGUUGGCUCACGAGCCCAUUAAUUAAUGGUUAUAUUAGCUUAUAUACUUCAAACAAUGUACUAUGAAGCAAUUUCACAAAUACUUGUUAGCUUAUGUUGAGCUUUAUUGAAUCAGUAGUUCACAGUUCAAUAAAAUGCAGGUUUGCUAUUUGAAGUACAUGGUUAUGGUGCGUACAUUCUUCAUAAGGCUAACUACUAAUUUAUCAUUGAAACUUGAAAAAUGUGAUAGAGAGAUGUAGAUAACAGCCGCAAAACACUGAAUUGAAAAUCAGGGCUACUAAAUUCUAUUAAAAGUCCUUAAAAUAGACAGCGAUCACCCUGAAAUGUAUAUACUGAAACUAAGAAAAUAUUAAUCGCAAAGUUAUGCAUUAAUAGAACUAUUGACUACUUAUCUUUAGCAUAAAGUAUAUUUUUAACUACAGCUUUCUGCUUUGUUCUAAGAACUAGGCAAAAGUGGUGUAUCUUCAAUCCAAUCAACAUAUAUACCACUUAUCUUCCUCUUCACUUCUGUCUAUUUUGAUUUGCACUUCAUAUCCUGCACUUGCUGCUUAGAAAUAGUCUUUAUUCUGGACAUUUGAAAGUAGAAAAAGUACUUGAAACAAUCAUUGGCACAGCCCGAGAUUCCAUUGAAUCGUGGACUCCAAGCUUUCAUAGUUCUAUAAAGAAGAUGACAAAACUUCAUACAACUGGCAUUCUGCUUUUAACAUUUGCACAACCUGAGCGAGUUAGCAAGCCCCUUGUUGCGUUCCCAUUGAAUAGACCUACUUCUGUUAUCCGCAGAAGAUCCACCACUCAAAAUGUUUAUCACCAGGCUAUUCCUUAAAACUGAGCCUAAACUGAGUAGAACUUCCGCACAUCUCUCAGCAUUUACAUGAAGAAAUCGGACAACUAUCCUCAUCUCUCAGCACAUCUCUUCAGCAUUCUACAAAGUUGCAUUUCACUAAGCAAUCUAUCCUCUCCAUUCCUAGCAAAGUGACAUUGAUUCCCGUAUUUGUAAUCGCCUAACUUGGGUUUUGGGCAUAGCGUGGUCUUAAAAUUACCACCCCAAUACUUUGUUCAGUGCCACUGGCAUCCACAAGCUCUAGCCCUGUUAGUUGAAUCAUAUUCAAUGGGACAGUGAGGCAGCAUUUCACUAACAUUAUUCAAUUUGACUACUUAUAUUGACGCAAAUAUUAGAAUUUGAAAUCACUUCUUUUAUUGGAAUAUUAUAUUAAUAUGACCCCAAAUGAAAGUUCUUGAAUGGAAAUGAUUUUUAUUUACUUUUCGAACAGAUUCAAGAAAAACCCAGGAGAACACAAAAUUUACACAGUAAUAUGAUUAAGAGCUGAGAACGUAUAUGUAGUAAAUGUCUAUCAAAAACACCCAAGGGUUUCUUUAAAAAUUAGUAACUAGUAAACAAAAAGAAAGAAUCAUUUUACAUUUUUAGCAACUUUGGGGUGAGUGAGUGAGUGAGAAAUUGAAACCCUCAAGUGAUGACAACAGUAAGAUUCCAGUAUGAAGUGAAACCCCAAUUUGAAAUGUAGGCAUGAGUUGCUGAGUCAGUAGAUGAAGCUAUAAAUAGGCAUUCGGUUUCCUUCUUUUCGGUUUGGAGGGCCAUGGAAUAGUGUAUUGGAGUGGGCUCCAAGUAAUAGCCUCUAUCACUGGAACGACACAUCUAUAAAAUGUGAUACAUGGGGAAGGAUUGGGCAUUUUAUUCUUAGAUUAGCCCCUUAUUUAGGGUGUAUAUUAAGCAGAUUAUAUAUUACAUGGAGAUGGAGUUUAUGAAAUAGAUUAAAAAGAAAAGGAAAUUUUUGGUGCCCUAAAGUUUGCCACUUGGAAUAUUUCGGUGUCUAAAAAUUCACUCACCACUUAUUUCAUGUUUGAUUAUAUGUUGAAAAGAUAUUAAAAUAGUAUAAUGCUAUUAAGGCUUAACGUAUAUUUUUUAUUAGUAGAGUGGUAGAAUUUUUAAGAAAUAAAUUAUUAAAUUAUUAUAACUAACAUAUUAUUUUAAAGUUGUGUUAUGAAAAAAAUGAAAUAAAAAUGUACAGUAAAUAAGAAUAUUUUAAAACUUUUAUCUUUUUAAAAUUAGUUUUUAACAUAAGGUGAACUAUUUUUUUUUUUUAAAAUCACAUAUUCUAGUUAAAAUCAAAUAUGUAUUUAUACGAAGCUUGUAAAUUUUUUUUUUUAGUACUGAUAUUUUGAAUAUUAUCAAUAAAAAAAAGGUAAUGUUCAUGCUGCAUUAUUUUUGUAGCACACAAAAGGACAACACCGUUUAUGUUAUAAUACUAUCGCUUCUGUUAUGAUAAUUUUUUUUGUGGCCAAAUAUCUUUUUUUUUUUUAAGUAAAAAAAGUGGACAAAAUGCAAAUCAGUUUUUAAUCCUCAAUCUCUCCCAAAAUAUAUAUUUCGGUGUCUAAAAAUUCACUCACAAAACUAUAGCUGACAAAAAGUUACUAACAAAAAGUUAGGUCCAUGGGUUGUUAAAACUAUAGCUGACAAAAAGUUACUAACAAAAACAGAAUGUCCAUUUUAUAACUUUCUUAAAAAACUUUCCUUAACUUUUUUAAACAAAAAGUUAUUUCCAAUUUUUAUUUUGUUAUAAUGUUUAUAACAAAAUUCGUAGUUAACUAAACUCUUCUUAUACCCUUUCUCAACUGCCAUACCCUAACCCACUAAACCACGCUCAAUUAAGGCCAUCAGAUUCUCCGGGCCCACAUUAAUCCAACUGCUCACAGAGACCGACAGCCUCUCUAUCUCCAUUUCAAGCUCCCUCUUCAACUGGCUUCUGCUACCGUCCUACUCUUUCUCGGCUUCGGAGUCCGUAUUUGCUCGGCCUGUCCCACGAAGCUCCCUCUCACUCCAAUUGUCGCCCCACAAGACCAAUUGCUUAAUCAAGACACCGAACAAGAAAAGGAUGAGAAGUUGAAACAAGAAUUUGAGAAUUGGAAAUAAAAACGUACGCAUUGACCGUGCCUUUGAGAGUCGUUUCUCUUCAGAACUCAGUGCCUCAAUCUUGGGUUAAGGAUUUUAUGCGAAGUCAGGGAAAGAGAUUGAAGUUUCAGAUGAAUUUGUGUGCUAGCAUUGAUGGGAUCUUUAACAAUUUAUCUGUGCCCUUUAACAAAGUUAAGGCUAAGUCAGCUUCUUAUAUGGCUGCUGAUUUGGUUAGUGUUGGUGAUUCAUGGCUUAGUUUUGCCAUUAAAAAGAGAUUGAUUGAGCCAAUGGCUGGAGCUGAAGACCAAGAUUGGUUCAAAUGCUUAAGUCACAAAUGGAAGGUAACAUCUUUGUCUUUGAUCCUCGAGGUAAAAUAUGGGCGGCACCGUACAGGUGGGGCACAACGGUGAUAGCCUACAAGAAAAGUAAAUUUCGAAAGCAUAAUUUGGCUCCGAUUGAGGUAAUAAUUUUCUUUAAACUCAUUUAGUUUUAUAUCAAACAAAAUCAAGACUGCCUUUCUCUUCAAUAUUUUUUAUGAUAAUAUCUUUAGAAGCAUCUCAUUGACGGGUAACAAUGGCAUCCCUGAAAGAGUCUAUAAACUCAAUGAUAUUAUCUUCUACAAAUGGUUCAUUAAACUUUGUCGUUGUACUCAAAUGUACACUCAGAUCAAUGAGAAGNNNNNNNNNNNNNNNNNNNNNNNNNNNNNNNNNNNNNNNNNNNNNNNNNNNNNNNNNNNNNNNNNNNNNNNNNNNNNNNNNNNNNNNNNNNNNNNNNNNNNNNNNNNNNNNNNNNNNNNNNNNNNNNNNNNNNNNNNNNNNNNNNNNNNNNNNNNNNNNNNNNNNNNNNNNNNNNNNNNNNNNNNNNNNNNNNNNNNNNNNNNNNNNNNNNNNNNNNNNNNNNNNNNNNNNNNNNNNNNNNNNNNNNNNNNNNNNNNNNNNNNNNNNNNNNNNNNNNNNNNNNNNNNNNNNNNNNNNNNNNNNNNNNNNNNNNNNNNNNNNNNNNNNNNNNNNNNNNNNNNNNNNNNNNNNNNNNNNNNNNNNNNNNNNNNNNNNNNNNNNNNNNNNNNNNNNNNNNNNNNNNNNNNNNNNNNNNNNNNNNNNNNNNNNNNNNNNNNNNNNNNNNNNNNNNNNNNNNNNNNNNNNNNNNNNNNNNNNNNNNNNNNNNNNNNNNNNNNNNNNNNNNNNNNNNNNNNNNNNNNNNNNNNNNNNNNNNNNNNNNNNNNNNNNNNNNNNNNNNNNNNNNNNNNNNNNNNNNNNNNNNNNNNNNNNNNNNNNNNNNNNNNNNNNNNNNNNNNNNNNNNNNNNNNNNNNNNNNNNNNNNNNNNNNNNNNNNNNNNNNNNNNNNNNNNNNNNNNNNNNNNNNNNNNNNNNNNNNNNNNNNNNNNNNNNNNNNNNNNNNNNNNNNNNNNNNNNNNNNNNNNNNNNNNNNNNNNNNNNNNNNNNNNNNNNNNNNNNNNNNNNNNNNNNNNNNNNNNNNNNNNNNNNNNNNNNNNNNNNNNNNNNNNNNNNNNNNNNNNNNNNNNNNNNNNNNNNNNNNNNNNNNNNNNNNNNNNNNNNNNNNNNNNNNNNNNNNNNNNNNNNNNNNNNNNNNNNNNNNNNNNNNNNNNNNNNNNNNNNNNNNNNNNNNNNNNNNNNNNNNNNNNNNNNNNNNNNNNNNNNNNNNNNNNNNNNNNNNNNNNNNNNNNNNNNNNNNNNNNNNNNNNNNNNNNNNNNNNNNNNNNNNNNNNNNNNNNNNNNNNNNNNNNNNNNNNNNNNNNNNNNNNNNNNNNNNNNNNNNNNNNNNNNNNNNNNNNNNNNNNNNNNNNNNNNNNNNNNNNNNNNNNNNNNNNNNNNNNNNNNNNNNNNNNNNNNNNNNNNNNNNNNNNNNNNNNNNNNNNNNNNNNNNNNNNNNNNNNNNNNNNNNNNNNNNNNNNNNNNNNNNNNNNNNNNNNNNNNNNNNNNNNNNNNNNNNNNNNNNNNNNNNNNNNNNNNNNNNNNNNNNNNNNNNNNNNNNNNNNNNNNNNNNNNNNNNNNNNNNNNNNNNNNNNNNNNNNNNNNNNNNNNNNNNNNNNNNNNNNNNNNNNNNNNNNNNNNNNNNNNNNNNNNNNNNNNNNNNNNNNNNNNNNNNNNNNNNNNNNNNNNNNNNNNNNNNNNNNNNNNNNNNNNNNNNNNNNNNNNNNNNNNNNNNNNNNNNNNNNNNNNNNNNNNNNNNNNNNNNNNNNNNNNNNNNNNNNNNNNNNNNNNNNNNNNNNNNNNNNNNNNNNNNNNNNNNNNNNNNNNNNNNNNNNNNNNNNNNNNNNNNNNNNNNNNNNNNNNNNNNNNNNNNNNNNNNNNNNNNNNNNNNNNNNNNNNNNNNNNNNNNNNNNNNNNNNNNNNNNNNNNNNNNNNNNNNNNNNNNNNNNNNNNNNNNNNNNNNNNNNNNNNNNNNNNNNNNNNNNNNNNNNNNNNNNNNNNNNNNNNNNNNNNNNNNNNNNNNNNNNNNNNNNNNNNNNNNNNNNNNNNNNNNNNNNNNNNNNNNNNNNNNNNNNNNNNNNNNNNNNNNNNNNNNNNNNNNNNNNNNNNNNNNNNNNNNNNNNNNNNNNNNNNNNNNNNNNNNNNNNNNNNNNNNNNNNNNNNNNNNNNNNNNNNNNNNNNNNNNNNNNNNNNNNNNNNNNNNNNNNNNNNNNNNNNNNNNNNNNNNNNNNNNNNNNNNNNNNNNNNNNNNNNNNNNNNNNNNNNNNNNNNNNNNNNNNNNNNNNNNNNNNNNNNNNNNNNNNNNNNNNNNAGAGAGAGAGAGAGAGAUCACACGUGUGUGAUUUCCUUUUGCCAAUAGGAUAUGCAGAGAGCUUGAUCUUACCCAAUAGCGAAACAAACUUCCUAAUAAGUGAAGGUAUAGUAUAAAUACUUAUACUUUCAUGUUAUUUUGUUCAUCAGUAGCUUGAUUAUUUUAUAUGCGUCUUCGAUUUUAAUUUUCUUUCCCUAUAAUCGCUAUUAUCUUUGAACUGGUCAUAAUUUGCCUAUAAGAUUUCUCAUGUUGUUUUGAGGUGCAACGGAUUUUGAAUUUAGUGACAAGCAGUGGAAGCCAGAAGGCAAAUUAUGAAAAUGGAUAAAGAUCUAUAAUUAGCUGUUAUGGGAUGUCACAUAUCAUAUUGAUGGUAACGUUAUAUAUAUGUACAUAUAAUUAAUGGGGUUGGCUCACGAGCCCAUUAAUAAUGGUAUAUUAGCUUAUAUACUUCAAACAAUGUACUAUGAAGCAAUUUCACAAAUACUUGUUAGCUUAUGUUGAGCUUUAUUGAAUCAGUAGUUCACAGUUCAAUAAAAUGCAGGUUUGCUAUUUGAAGUACAUGGUUAUGGUGCGUACAUUCUUCAUAAGGCUAACUACUAAUUUUCAUUGAAACUUGAAAAAUGUGAUAGAGAGUAGAUAACAGCCGCAAAACACUGAGAUUGAAAAUCAGGGCUACUAAAUUCUAUUAAAAGUCCUUAAAAAUAGACAGCGAUCACCCUGAAAUGUAUAUACUGAAACUAAGAAAUAUUAAUCGCAAAGUUAUGCAUUAAUAGAACUAUUGACUACUUAUCUUUAGCAUAAAGUAUAUUUUUAACUACAGCUUUCUGCUUUGUUCUAAGAACUAGGCAAAAGUGGUGUAUCUUCAAUCCAAUCAACAUAUAUACCACUUAUCUUCCUCUUCACUUCUGUCUAUUUUGAUUUGCACUUCAUAUCCUGCACUUGCUGCUUAGAAAUAGUCUUUAUUCUGGACAUUGAAAGUAGAAAAAGUACUUGAAACAAUCAUUGGCACAGCCCGAGAUUCCAUUGAAUCGUGGACUCCAAGCUUUCAUAGUUCUAUAAAGAAGAUGACAAAACUUCAUACAACUGGCAUUCUGCUUUUAACAUUUGCACAACCUGAGCGAGUUAGCAAGCCCCUUGUUGCGUUCCCAUUGAAUAGACCUACUUCUGUUAUCCGCAGAAGAUCCACCACUCAAAAUGUUUAUCCAGGCUAUUCUUAAACUGAGCCUAAACUGAGUAGAAACUUCCGCACAUCUCUCAGCAUUUACAUGAAGAAAUCGACAACUAUCCUCAUCUCUCAUCUCUCAGCAUUCUACAAAGUUGCAUUUCACUAAGCAAUCUAUCCUCUCCAUUCCUAGCAAAGUGACAUUGAUUCCCGUAUUUGUAAUCGCCUAACUUGGGUUUUGGGCAUAGCGUGGUCUUAAAAUUACCACCCAAUACUUUGUUCAGUGCCACUGGCAUCCACAAGCUCUAGCCCUGUUAGUUGAAUCAUAUUCAAUGGACAGUGAGGCAGCAUUUCACUAACAUAUUCAAUUUGACUACUUAUAUUGACGCAAAUAUUAGAAUUUGAAAUCACUUCUUUUAUUGGAAUAUUAUAUUAAUAUGACCCCAAAUGAAAGUUCUUGAAUGGAAAUGAUUUUUAUUUACUUUUCGACAGAUUCAAGAAAACCCAGAGAACACAAAAUUUACACAGUAAUAUGAUUAAGAGCUGAGAACGUAUAUGUAGUAAAUGUCUAUCAAAAAACACCAAGGGUUUCUUUAAAAUUAGUAACUAGUAAACAAAAAGAAAGAAUCAUUUUACAUUUUUAGCAACUUUGGGUGAGUGAGUGAGUGAGAAAUUGAAACCCUCAAGUGAUGACAACAGUAAGAUUCAGUAUGAAGUGAAACCCCCAAUUUGAAAUGUAGGCAUGAGUUGCUGAGUCAGUAGAUGAAGCUAUAAAUAGGCAUUCGGUUUCCUUCUUUUCGGUUUGGAGGGCCAUGGAAUAGUGUAUUGGAGUGGGCUCCAAGUAAUAGCCUCUAUCACUGGAACGACACAUCUAUAAAAUGUGAUACAUGGGGAAGGAUUGGGCAUUUUAUUCUUAGAUUAGCCCCUUAUUUAGGGUGUAUAUUAAGCAGAUUAUAUAUUACAUGGAGAUGGAGUUUAUGAAAUAGAUUAAAAAGAAAAGGAAAUUUUGGUGCCUAAAGUUUGCCACUUGGAAUAUUUCGUGUCUAAAAAUUCACUCACCACUUAUUUCAUGUUUGAUUAUAUGUUGAAAAGAUAUUAAAAUAGUAUAAUGCUAUUAAGGCUUAACGUAUAUUUUUUAUUAGUAGAGUGUAGAAUUUUUAAGAAAUAAAUUAUUAAAUUAUUAUAACUAACAUAUUAUUUUAAAGUUGUGUUAUGAAAAAAAUGAAAUAAAAAUGUACAGUAAAUAAGAAUAUUUUAAAACUUUUAUCUUUUUAAAAUUAGUUUUUAACAUAAGGUGAACUAUUUUUUUUUUUAAAAUCACAUAUUCUAGUUAAAAUCAAAUAUGUAUUUAUACGAAGCUUGUAAAUUUUUUUUUUAGUACUGAUAUUUGAAUAUUAUCAAUAAAAAAAAGGGUAAUGUUCAUGCUGCAUUAUUUUUGUAGCACACAAAAGGACAACACCGUUUAUGUUAUAAUACUAUCGCUUCUGUUAUGAUAAUUUUUUUUGUGGCCAAAUAUCUUUUUUUUUUUUAAGUAAAAAAAAGUGGACAAAAUGCAAAUCAGUUUUUAAUCCUCAAUCUCUCCCAAAAUAUAUAUUUCGGUGUCUAAAAAUUCACUCACAAAACUAUAGCUGACAAAAAGUUACUAACAAAAAGUUAGGUCCAUGGGUUGUUAAAACUAUAGCUGACAAAAAUUACUAACAAAAACAGAAUGUCCAUUUUAUAACUUUCUUAAAAAACUUUCCUUAACUUUUUUAAACAAAAAGUUAUUUUCCAAUUUUAUUUUGUUAUAAUUUUAUAACAAAAAUUCGUAGUUAACUAAACUCUUCUUAUACCCUUUCUCAACUGCCAUACCCUAACCCACUAAAACCACGCUCAAUAAGGCCAUCAGAUUCUCCCGGCCCACAUUAAUCCAACUGCUUCACAGAGACCGACAGCCUCUCUAUCUCCAUUUCAAGCUCCCUCUUCAACUGGCUUCUGCUACCGUCCUACUCUUUCUCGGCUUCGGAGUCCGUAUUUGCUCGGCCUGUCCCACGAAGCUCCCUCUCACUCCAAUUGUCGCCCCACAAGGACCAAUUGCUUAAUCAAGACACCGAACAAGAAAAGGAUGAGAAGUUGAAACAAAAGAAUUUGAGAAUUGGAAAUAAAAAACGUACGCAUUGACCGUGCCUUUGAGAGUCGUUUCUCUUCAGAACUCAGUGCCUCAAUCUUGGGUUAAGGAUUUUAUGCGAAGUCAGGGAAAGAGAUUGAAGUUUCAGAUGAAUUUGUGUGCUAGCAUUGAUGGGAUCUUUAACAAUUUAUCUGUGCCCUUUACAAAGUUAAGGCUAAGUCAGCUUCUUAUAUGGCUGCUGAUUUGGUUAGUGUUGGUGAUUCAUGGCUUAGUUUUGCCAUUAAAAAAGAGAUGAUUGAGCCAAUGGCUGGAGCUGAAGACCAAGAUUGGUUCAAAUGCUUAAGUCACAAAUGGAAGGUAACAUCUUUGUCUUUGAUCCUCGAGGUAAAAUAUGGGCGGCACCGUACAGGUGGGGCACAACGGUGAUAGCCUACAAGAAAAGUAAAUUUCGAAAGCAUAAUUUGGCUCCGAUUGAGGUAAUAAUUUUCUUUAAACUCAUUUAGUUUUAUAUCAAACAAAAUCAAGACUGCCUUUCUCUUCAAUAUUUUUAUGAUAAUAUCUUUAGAAGCAUCUCAUUGACGGGUAACAAUGGCAUCCCUGAAAGAGUCUAUAAACUCAAUGAUAUUAUCUUCUACAAAUGGUUCAUUAAACUUGUCGUUGUACUCAAAUGUACACUCAGAUCAAUGAGAAGCUAUGCUACGUUAGCAUGUAGUGAUGCACUUAAUAAGUGAGUUGCCUAGGAUGUGAACUAGAAAAAUUAAAUAUGUCUCCUUGGGUAUGCUAGCUGGUAAGUCAGGGUUAAUAUCAGAGCUUAAGAUAGUAUAACCGUGAGAACCUAUUGACUGCCAAUUAAAAUAUCCAUUGAAAUGUCUAGGGAGUUAUGAAGGUGGAGGUAACUUCCAAUUUCUAAGGCCACAGAGUAGACAUCAUCCAGGAUCCUAGGAAAGUCCAGUUAACCUCCUGCUCGAUGCAAUUAAUAAAUUUGGUCAAUGCCACUGAAACCUGCUAACUGACGUCACAAUGCGACAUGAGCACUUCAAAAUGGGACAGACGGUCAGUAGCACUAAAUUUUUCUUGCCAAAUGAGCAAUUGGUCUAACUACUAAUCCCUAUUGUAGGUUGAUCAUUAUUUUUUCAAUUAUGUUCAGUUUGACCCAAAAAGUUGCAGAAUCUUGAGCUAAAUAUUGUCACUGAACACUGUCAAUGUCAUUUAGCAUAGCCAACUAACUUGAUGUUAAAACAAACACACAGUGUGUCUCAUGUCUCACAAUUCAAAUUAUCAUCUGUAAUGUUGGAGAAUUUUUCCAAUGUAUGAAGUAUGCUUUGAUACGUGGGUUACCUUGGAGAAGAUAUCUCAAAAUAAAGAAUAUGGGGAGAAAACAGUUCAGUAGUUUAUUAUUCUGUAGUCAAGUUUUGUCUCGAAAAUGGUCAAAAUUUAAAUGAAUAAAGGACAGGGGAUCUUCAUUCUUUUUUCCCUUUUUUAUACCAAGAUAUCUCUCAACCUUUAUAUAAUCCCCACUGGAUAUCUGCUUCUAAUAAUUAAAAUAAAAAUUUCACCGCUCUAACAAUAAAAAGUAAACAUCUUUCCUCAAAUAAUUUACAGUUCCUCAUCAUCUUAGUGUGAGAAUAUCAGUACAUUCCAAAAACAUAAUAAAACUGGUUUGAUCCUGUUUAUUGAUGUUUAAAUGUUGUUCAUUGUGACAGGUAGAAAUGAUGAGGCGAAGUUUAUUUGGACAUCAAUUAGUAAGAUCUUGUUGAAGUUGUUUUCUGAAAUGAACUGCCAAAUGGUAGUUUUUUGGGGCAUUUGAUGGCUCUUUUUUUUUCCUCAUUUUCAACAUGUGCCUGCUUGGAACAUGAAGGAUUAGGCUGCCAGAGUUGUUAUAUAUUUUGAGAUGCUCUGGUCAUUGCACAAUUUGUCACACUGGAAAUUAGAAUGAGAAAUUUGUUGAUGCUGUUUUGAGAGAUCUGCAUUCUAUGCACAAUAACAUGAUUAAUGAAAUGCAUUGUAGGACUGGAAAGAUCUGUGGCAGCCUGAGCUCGCAGGAAGAAUUUCAAUGGUUAAUUCUCCCCGAGAGGUUAUUGGUUCAGUUUUGAAGUAUAGGGGAACAUCAUACAAUUCAAACUAUAUUGAUUCGCAAGUUGCUGGUGGGAAAGAUUGCUGUUCAGCAGAAUCUGGCAUUACUGGCAAACCAGGUACUCUUACAGAAAUCAUAUCUGGUCAUUGCAUGUUAUUGCCUGACAACUGAUUUGUUUGUAAAAGUCUGCUUCUUCAUACAUAUGAAUGCAUAUGUUAGUGUUUUCUUCUCCUUUUCAUACAUAUAAAUGCAUAUGUUAGUGUUGUCUUUUCCUUUUCACACAUAUUAAUACAUAUGUUGGUGUUCUCUCCUGAGAUGGAUGCAAUAAAGCUUUUGCUCCUAAAUUUAGCUGAAGAAAUGCAAGGGAUGUGAGAUUCUGUCUCAUUAAAUUAACAAAAACCCAAAACAAUGAAAAUCCAUAAUAAUGUGUGUGGGUAAAUGGCUCCAUUUGGUUCGUUUCCUUAAUGUGAAUGCGCGAGCAAUAGAGACUAACAAAAUGAAGUGACAACAAGAAGUCAGUGUCCUUUGAUGGAUGCAUUUUUAGGCAGAAAUAUGUUUGUAAUUGACCAAAUUUGUCUGGCAUGCCAAUUUCAAAAAAAUUAAAUUAUGUGGUUAUUAGCUGUAAUGAAGGGGAUAGUAGGUGCAAUCAGGUGUAUCCAGGAAAGUUCAACAAAGUUUUGGUAUGGCGUAGUGAAAUUGGUUUGUGCAACUCAGGAGUCUUUCAGGUGAACGAUGAUAGGUUUUGAUUUAUGAAUAUUAUAAAUCUACUGUGCAUAGUAUUCUAGUAGAAUCAUCUAUAAGUUCUAGUUAUUGUAUACUUUGCCUGGUUUGAGUUAAGGGCACAUGUAAUAUGAAAGAUAGUUGUCGCAUCUUUUAGGUUACCUAACAUUUGAUCAAUCCUAUUAUGGGGCUUCAAGAUGUCUAACAAUAUGUAGAAUGCCCAUGCUCCUCCCCAUUGUUUAUCUUCUACAAUAAUUUGUUUUAGAUGCUAAUAUCUUUGUCGAUACGUAACAAUAUUACAAUAUCUGCGUUUAUUGGGUUUUACAUAGGUUCGACUGUUUGACAGUACACACUAUCUGAAGGCAUUUGCAAUUGGAGAUGUAUGGGUUGCUGUUGGGUGGAUUAGUGAUGUUCUUCCUGCUGUCAAACAUAUGUCUAAUGUUGCUGUUGUUGUUCCCAAGUCUGGUGCUAGCUUAUGGGCUGAUCUUUGGGUAUACCCAUGCCUGCCAUUCUACUUCAAUAUUCACAUUGUUAUCUCCUUCAUAUUAGUGAUCAGUAAACACGAUAAUGUGACUAAUAAGUUCGUAUUCUCUUUAUAGGCAAUCCCUGCUGCCUCAAGACUUGAAACAAAACAAAUUGGAGGCGAGUCAGAGGUGCAUUUCCAUUAAUCCAUCAAUGGAUAGAAUUCUGCUUGCAAACAGCGAGAGCAUUGCCUUUCAAGCAAGAGGUUAUCCCGAGCGCAUCUCCCUCUGCCCUUGAGAGUACUCUGGUUAAGUUGCCUGAAGAACUUUUCAAGGGUAAACCAAGUCUGGAUACUAACUUAAUUGCUGGAGUACCCCCGACUGAAAUUCUGGCCAGAUGUGAGUUUUUGGAGCCUUUAUUUGAAGCUACAUUGUCGGAUUAUGAGUGGCUGGUUACUAAUCUGCAAAAAUCCACUCCUGUACUGAUCAACAAGAUGCAACAUUACAUGUCAUCAUUGAUCUUUAGCUAAAGGUACAUUGAAAAGUUAAUGGCACUGCAUACCAGUCAUUAUAAUUGGGUCAGGGCAAUUAGGUCAGAGCAUAACUUCAUUAGGAAAAGAUGCUUCAGCUACGUUAAAUAUUACAGGAUGUACUGAGAUGGCUGAAGCUGUUGAGGUUUUACGAGAAUCGAAAGAUAGUGUUUGUUUGAACAAAGUUGUUGCCAAUCUUGCAGAGUUCGAGAAGAAAGAUCACGAAGUGAAUGCCACCGAUUUCUUCAUCAUUGUAGCCUCCAUAGUUGAAGUUUCCUCAUUUGAAGCUGUUUAUGCAUACGAUUUUCCCCUGCUCAAGUACAGGAAAUUGAAGAAUUAACCAGAUGUGAUAUGCUGAAAGAGGGAAGUUUUCUUCCUUGAAUGUGGUCUUUGUGAUUUGUCUUGAAGGAAUAGGGUGAUCACUGGCAAGAACCCUAUCAAGGUAGAUUUUAUGAUGUUAACAUAUCAUUAAGCAUUUUGUUACAUCAGCAAUGAUGCUUUCAUAGCAGCAUGAAAGUGUUUAAAUUUAACUGAAUGAUCUUGAUUGAUCAAUUAUGAGUUUUAAUCGAGUAAAAACUAAAUACAAUAAUCGUUAACAAAUAUUGAAAUUGGGUAAAUAUGAUCUUGAUAUUGAAGAAUUUGAAAUCACAACCCACACAGGAAAUCACCCUUCGCGUGGGGAUGGAGAUGUUUACUGCAGCGAUAUUGAAUAUGUCCACCGCUCUUUGGGUUAUGGUGCGACUUGCCCUGAAACAAUGGAAAAGAAUAAUUAAUAAUUUAACGCCAAGACAUAAAAUUAAAACGUGUGGACUCCGGUAGCUGCCCUACAAGUCUACAACUCUACAAACAUUAACUCUACAAACAUUAAAACGUGUGGACUCCGGUAGCUGCCCUACAAGUCUACAACUCUACAAGAAUAAUUUCUAGCCCUGUUGACUCCACUAACUAAAGAAAUUUCAAAACGUACAUAGAAUUCCACAACAAGCAAAACGUAUGGAAUUUAAUUUUUUGCCGUGUGGAACAAAAUACAAUUUAACAAAAAAGGAUAAGAAAAAUGGUAAGAUUUCUAAAAUGAGUGGAAGGUGAUUCAUAUUUUACUGAAAUGACUUGUCCUGAACAUUAAGACGAUUGAUUUUUUUUUUUUAAUAACAUCAACUUCCAUAUCUUUCUAACCCCUAGAAUAUGCUCACGUUCAAGUCUAUCUUGGUAAUUUGAAAAAGAAAAUCAAAUCAAAUCAACACCAAAACAAUGAAAAGUAAAACUUUUGAAUUUCAACUUUAAACUUUUGUUAACCCCUAGAAUAUUCAGCGUUUUCAAAUUCUUCCGAUUGCAUAUCUUCUUCCUCCAUCAAUGCAAUAUUUGAACGAUUAUGAAAGAGUUUAAGAACAUAAAAAAUCUCCAAGGUUUAUACGGUAUAACAAAUUUAAAUUCUCAAUUACAAUAGAUAAUAAUUAAACUAAUAAUUUUUUAUGUACUUAUUUUAGUAAUUUCACCUAAGAAUAAUAUUGUAAUUAGAAAAAAAAAUCUAAUAAGUAGGGUGGUCUUAUACAAAAUCAACUGUACUGUGAUGAGUUUCCUUUUGUUAAUAAUUUUAGUCUAAUUUCAAUUGUACUGUGAUCGCUUCUCAAGGUAAGUGAAAGUUACAGAUGUGGCAAAAUAAAUAAUUAAGUUAACAAAAUGCUAACUAAUUUUCCUCAAUACCUAGGGUUGUACAAUUUCACCAACCUGGAAGAAUUGACAUUAAUGGACUGGUCUCCUCCCCAUAUAAUUAUAAUCCUUCUAGAAAGCUAUUUUUUAUUAAAUAUUUGCUUUUAAGUUAAUUUCAAUUAAAAAAUGUUUUAAGUUAUAUAUACUCUAAUGAGAUUCUGAAUUCCUUUAUUCCAAUAAUAAUGAAAACGUAUUAAAUUAGAAAUGAAAAAAUUGGUGUUGAUGAUUCAACCUAUUUGGAUAGAUUACGUGAAUAAAAUUAAAAUUUUGAUUUAAUUUUUGUUUAUUGUUAAUUCUCAGGCUAUCUUAAUUUCAAGAAUUUAGAAUGUUAAUUUGGUCAUGGAUUUCAACCCGUGAGUGUCAUAUUCUAGACUUAAUGGUACCAUUCUUUGAUUGAGGGCAAUGACUCUCACUCCUCUUGUAAAAAAAUAUUUUCAACUAUUUUGAUGACUUAAAAAUUGAUAGAUUUAUUGUUGUCAUGACCAAAUUAUUCAUUUUAAUGAAAUAUAAUUAAUGCAUCAAAGUUACCAGGUUUAUGUUCUAUCUUAAUGCGCUUUUUUUUUUUUUCAGUUAUAGCUUCUGCUUACGUCUGUUUCAUUUUUUUUUAAUAAAAAAACAAGGGAAGGUUUUUCCGAGUCAUCCAUUAUUUGAUUUCCGUCAAUCAAGAAAACGACCAAAUUAAUUUCUCUCCAAAAUUUCCAAAAGCUAGAAAAUUUUGUUAUUUGAAAAUAACAUGAUUAAUUAUAGAGUGGAUCAAACCGCGUUAUUGUCUUUCAUAAAAUUGAUGUCUUUUUAAGAGUCAAUACUUUUUAUUUACGCAAACCAGUCGACAUCAAUUUAAACUUCCAUAUUUUUAUUAUUAUUAUGUUAUUUAUUUUAAUCGCCGAUUAUUUGAUUAGCCACUAUAUAUAUCAAGAAAGCGACAAAAUUUAUUUCUCAUGACUUCCAAAAACUAGAAAAACAACAUCAUUUAUUAUUUUUUUGCAACCCUAAUUGACAUCAACUUUAACUUUAUUAUGUUAUUAUUUCAAUCCCCCAUUAUGACCUUUCUAAUCCUCCAUUAUGCAUCUUUUAUAGUGCAAAUUUAAUUGCACAUCUAAAUAAAUUGAUUAUUGUUACUCCACCACCAAUAUUUCAAAUAGUCACUAGACCAUUUCUGCCUUUAAUUUUCCCUUAACUAUUGACUGUUUUUAGCAUCUUAAAAUAUACAUUUAUUCCUUGAUUAUGUGAUAAAAUUAUGAAAAUAUCCAUUUUAGCUUAAAUUAAUUGGAAUAACCAUAAGCGUAACAUAAAUUAAUAGAACAAAAUUAUCAAGUGUAUGUUCUAUCUUACUUUUUGAAGAAUUUAACAUAUAUAAUGCUAUACUAUUAAUAAAUUUUUCAUUUACUAUAUAUGUUCACAUAUUUUAUAUAUUUAUUAAUUGUUAUAUAGUCACAGGAUGAAUGAUUUUUCAGGUCUACAUGAGUUGGUGCACAUGCAAGACUCAAUUUUGACAACAAUGAUCUAAGGGGUAAUUUACCUUGGUGUUUGACAAACAUAACCUCUCUUCAUGAUUUACUUCCAAUCUACUUACUGUAAAUAUCUCCUCAUCUCCUCUCAUUUAUAUGAUAAGUGAUAACCCUUGAAGAUCUCACAUUUUCAAACGAUCAUAUUAGGGUUUUUAUUAUUAGCAUCAUUGUGUCAACAAAAUAUAUGUUGCAGUAAGAUUUUUUCAGACCAAUUCCCUUCUUCAAAUAAUAAUGGAAAAGUAUUAAUUUAAAAAUAAAAUGAAUAUGCAUUGAUUAUAUCCUGAUUUCCAUCGAUUAUAGCGAGAGUUUCUCCGAAUCAACUCCCUUAUUCAAAUAAUACAGAAAAAAUAGUAAUUUAAUAGUAAAAUUAGCAAGUGUUGAUUAUAUAUCCUAAGUUUCAUCGAUUAUGUGAUCAAAGUGGCAUUGUUGAUUUAUUUCUUGUUCAAUGUUAAUUUUUAGGUUAUCUAAAUUUCAAGGAUUUAAAAUCUUUGUUCAUGGAUUACACGCUUAUUAAUUUUUCUGCCAUUGACUGUCAUAUUCUAGACUUAAUGGUACCUUCCUUGAUCAAGGAUAAUUACUCUAUGUUCUCCUCUUAUAAAUUCCUCUUCCAUUAACAUCACUAGGAGUAUGUUGAUCUCUCAGACGUUAACUUUAGUGGAGAGUUUCCAAAUUGAUUGUUACAAAACAACACAAAAACUAGACACACUUGAUCUGUCUAAUAAUUCUCUUUCGAUAAAAUUAAUUAAUUUUAGGGGAAUAUUCGACCAACCUCUAUAAUUUCAUAUUGAUCAUUAAUUAAUUAGACGAAAAAAGUACUUGUGCUUUUGUGGCGACAAUUGAACUAGAGAAGUGAAGCUGUAAAGAUUUGGCAGUAGUAAAUUGUUAGAAAGACAUAAAGACAAUUUCCCAUUUUAUAAUUUUUUCAAAAAACUUUUUUACAACACAUGCACCUGGCCAAAAAUUUUAUUUUGCUAACUAACAAUAAUUGAGUAGCUGACCGUAUUGACUCCGCCUACUUGCUAAAGUAAAAAAAUAGAAAUAGAAUUUCCACAAAAUGUCAAACAUGUAAAAUCUAAUAUUUGGCCAUGUGGAACAAAAUACAAAUGAAAAAAAAAAUAGAAAAAAGGCCUAAAGACUUUUAAAAUGUGUGGAAAUCUUUCGGCCCUUUUAUAAUGGUGUGUUUUUCAAAGGAACAACUAAUAAUAAUGACACUUCUACGGUUUGUUUUGAUAAUUACACAUAUACUCUUUAAUUUGAUAAAUGGUUACACAAAUUUUGUUUACAAAAAUAUAUUAUUCAUGUUCUGUAUUAUUUUUUAACAUCAUAUUUUUAUUUAUUAUAAUUGUUUAAAGUUAAUUGUUAGGUUGAUAUAUAAUAAAAACGUAUAAUCGUUCUCUUACUAAACACACAUACUCGUAGUUUCUAUCCAUUUGUCAUCUCAAUCUCUCUCAUUUAUCCUUUCUUGAUAGCUCAAAACGCGUCACUGUGGAAAAUAAUAGCAAAACGACAAAUAUGGAAAGAAUGGGAAGAAAAUUAAUGCAUGAAAGAGUUGCAGAAGACAACCAAAUAAGUCAACUAUACGCUAGUUGGGUGUAUAAAUUGUUAGAUGUGUUAUAAACAAAUAGCAUAGAGCCUUGGUUGGUUACAGAGAUAGAAAAACUGUGUGUGUUUUUUAGAACUUAAAGAUACAGUUAGAAUGGGUGGUUCAAAAUCAAAAAUGGUGAUAAUGUUUGUUCUGUUAUUAAUAAUAUUAGAAGGUGGGUGGAGUGAAGGAUGUUUGGAUCAUGAGAGAUUUGCUCUUUUGCGACUCAAACAUUUCUUCGAUGAUACUGGUAGUUAUUUUUACUACUGGGCAGAUGGUGAGGGAGCUACUGAUUGUUGUCAGUGGGAAAGGGUUGAGUGCAGCAACACCACAGGCCAAGUGAUAGUGCUAGACCUUUUUGAAACGUAUUUGGGAGAGUACAGCUGGUAUCUGAAUGCUUCUUUGUUUACUCCCUUUCAACAACUUGAGUCACUUGAUUUAUAUGGCAACAAAAUAGUCGGUUUUGUUGAGAAUGAAGGUACUUCGUCUAAUUCAAUUAAUUUACAUUUCGCUCUCCUAAUUUAAGUCGAAUAUCAAGACUGAGCAGCUAUAUGCAUAUUCAUUCAAUUGACAAUUUUUACAUAUUUUUUAAAAUGUUUAAUUUUGAAAUUACACCAAACAUCAUAUGUGGUUUUGAUUUUACUUGCAGGUCUAGAAAGAUUGAACAACUUGAAGAGGCUUGAUUUAAGUUAUAACUUGUUCAACAAUAGCAUCUUAUCAUCUGUGGCUCAUCUUUCUUCACUAACAUCAUUAGAUUUAUCUGGAAAUAGAUUGGAAGGAAGUAUUAAUGUUAAAGGUACGUAAUUAAAACGUCAUCGCUUCUCUCAACUCUUUCAUUAACAUGCUAAAAUAAGAUUCAAGGCUUUGAAUUCAUUUUUUUUUAUGAGUAAAUAUUAGAAAAAUAGUUUUAAGCAAUUCAUAAAUACAAUUUUCAAUGUUUCUCAUAAUUUCAUCUUGUACUUUCGUAUGUCUUGACUUUAAGAUUAAAAAAAAAAAAUUACUCUAACUGUGAAGCAAAUACCCCAUGACUAAUUUAUCAUUUCGUCCAGUUAAAAAUGAUAAAAUUUAUCAUUUGUUUAUAUUGAUUAAUUAACUCUAUUUUAAGUCUUAAGUCUUGGCGUCUUGGCAUAUUUGCAGAAUUUGAUUCCUUGAGCAACUUAGAGGAGUUGGACAUGAGCGACAAUGAAAUAGACAAUUUAGAGGUUCCUCAAGGUAAACAAUUAAAAUAUUAUUCAAUUACAUUAAUUUAAUUCGUUUGAUUAGGGAAGACCCAAAAGGUACAAAAUAUAAUAAUAAUAAUAAAAGAAACAGAGAAUCUAUAUUAUUUCAAAAAAUAAAACGUAAUACUAUUAUUUCAAAAAUAGAUUGUAAUAAAGAUUUGAUUCCGGUUCUUUAAUCUUUACAGCAAUUGAAAAACGAUGUUGCUCUUUUCCUGAAGCAUAAAAUAUGAAAUGACUCCAAUACAAUUAAUCAUUUAUUUCGUUUACUCUAAAAUUAGACAAUGAAUCUUUAUUUUCUUCAGUCUUAUCCUAAUUAUUAUUAAUAAACAGGUUACAAAGGUUUGAGGAAGUUGAAUUAUCUUGAUCUAUCGAAUGUUGGAGUUAGAGAUGGAAGCAAGUUGUUACAGUCAAUGGGAUCAUUCCCAUCCCUCAACACUCUUUACCUGAAGGAUAAUAAUUUUACCGAUAUAGCGACAACUACUACUCAAGGUAAGUAAAAGAUACAGAUGUGGCCAAAUUUACAAAUAAAUUGUUAAUUAAUUAAUUUUUCCGUAUUAUUAAUAAAGCUAAAUUCGUCGCUCCUUCCUUCUAAUUCUAAACAGAGUUGGCAAUUUCACCAACUUGGAGUAUUUGACAUUGGACUUGUCCUCGCUCCAUUUAAGCCUUCUACAAUUACUUGAAGAAUGAAUUUAUUUAUUAUUAUUAUUGUUGUUGUUGUUGUUGUUGAAGUGAGGUGGGCAAGCGUUCACUCAAUUAAUAUGUGAGGAAUUAAUAAUUACAAUCCAAGGUAGAAUUGUGGAAAAUUAAAGCAAAAUGAGAAAUAUGGAAAGAAAGGAAGAAAGUUAAGGGCAUGAAAGACUAGGAGAAGACUAAAGACCACCAAAUAAGUCAACUGAAAACUAGCUGGGGCCUGGGUGUACAAAUUGUUAGAUGUGUUUGUUAUAAAUAACAUAGAGCCAUCUUGUUGGUUGCAGAGGCAGAGAGACACAGAGUGUGCAUUUUGUUAAUUAAAAAUAUAUAUAAAAUGGGUGGUUCAAAAUCCAAAAUGGUGAUAAUGUUAGUUUUGUUAGUAUUAAUAAUAUUAGAAGGGAGGUGGCGUGAGGGAUGUUUGGUGCAUGAGAGAUUUGGUCUUUCGAGACUUAAAACAUUUCUUCAAUUCUCCUUAUAAUUUUUGUCACGACUGACCGUUGUCAAUGGGAUGGGGCUGGGUGCAGGGUUGAUUUACGUUAGAACAAUAUAGCCGGUAGUGUUGAGAAUGAAGGUGUUUCAUUUAAUUUAAUUAAUUUACUUUCUCCCUCCUAAUUUAAGUGGAAUAUCAAGACUGAACAAUUAUAUGCAUCUUCGUUCAGUUGACAAUUUUGACAUUUUUUUUAAGUGAUUAAUUUUGAAAUUACACCAAACAUUAUUUGUGAUCUCUGUUUUGACUUUACUUGCAGCGCUAGAGACGUUAUCAAGAUUGAGCAACUUGACGAUACUUGAUUUAAGUUAUAACUUGUUCAAUAAUAGCAUCUUGUCAUUUGUUGCCCGUCUUUCAUCAUUAACAUCAUUAGAUUUAUCUUACAAUGGAUUGGAAGGAAGUAUUAAUGUUAAAGGUACGUAAUUAAAACGUCAUCGCUUCUCCCAACUCUUCCAUUAACAUGCUAAAAUAAGAUUCAAGGCUUUGAAUUCAAUUUUUUUUAUGAGUAAUAUUAGAAAAAUAGUUUUAAGCAAUUCAUAAAUACAAUUUUCAAUGUUUCUCAUAAUUUCAUCUUGUACUUUUGUAUGUCUUGACUUUAAGAUUAAAAAAAAAUUACUCUAACUGUGAAGCAAAUACCCCAUGACUAAUUUACAAUUUUGUCCAGUUAAAAAUGAUAAAAUUUAGGGAAAUUAUCAUUUGUAUACCCUUAGUUUACUCUAUUAUCAAAAAUACUACAACACUUUGAGGGUGUAUCAAUCGUCCACCCUAAGUUGACAAAAUGUAUUAGCCAACCACCAAACCGUUAGUUGCCGUUUAAAUAUGAUAACAUCAUAAGGGUAAUCUGGUCUUUUCAUAUGAUACAAGUGAUAAUUUAAGGGUAUACAAGUGAUAAAAAGAGAGUUUAAGGGGAUACAAGUGAUAAUUUUCAAGGGUAAAAUCGUCAAUUUACUGUAAUUCCGUUAACUUUCAAACGGCAAUUAACAGUUUGGUGGUCGGUUGAUACAUUUCAUCAACUUAGGGUGGACGAUUGAUACACCCUUAAAGUGUUGUAGUAUUUUUGAUAAUAAAGCAAAUAUAGGGUAUACGAAUGAUAAUUUCCCUAAAAUUUAUCAUUUGUUUAUAUUGAUUUAUUAACUCUAUUUUAAGUCUUAAGUCUUAAGUCUUGGCAUGUUUGCAGAAUUUGAUUCCUUGAGCAACUUAGAGGAGUUGGACAUGAGCGGCAAUGAAAUAGACAAUUUCAAGGUUCCUCAAGGUACACAAUUAAAAUAUUAUUUAAUUACAUUAAUUUAAUUCGUUUGAUUAGGGAAGACCCAAAAUGUACAAAAACAUAAUUAAAAAAAAAUAAAGAAACAGAGAAUUCAUAUUAUUUCAAAAAACAAAAGGUAAUACUAUUAUUUCAAAAAAAGAAUGUAAUAAAGAUUUGAUUCCGGUUCUUUAAUCUUUAUAGCAAUUGAAAAACAAUGUUGCUCUUUUCCUAAAGCAUAAAAUAUGAAAUGAGUCAUAAUUGAAUUAGUCAUUUAUUUUGUUUAGAUCUAAAUUUAGACAAUAAAUUUUGAUUUUUUUUUCAAUUCUAUCCUUAUUAUUAUUGUUAAACAGGUUACAGAGGUUUGAGGAAGUUGAAAAGCCUCUAUCUAUCGAAUGUUGGAGUUAGAGAUGGAAGCAAGUUGUUACAGUCUAUGGGAUCAUUCCCAUCCCUCAACACUCUUUACCUGAAGGAUAAUAAUUUUACCGAUAUAGCGACAACUACUACUCAAGGUAAGUAAAAGGUACAGAUGUGGCCAAAUUUAUAAAUAAACUGUUAAUUAAUUAAUUUUCUGUAUUAUUAAUAAAGCUAAAUUUUUGCUCAUUCCCUCUAAUUCUAAACAGAGUUGCACAAUUUCACCAACUUGGAAUAUUUGACAUUGCACGGUUCCUCUCUCCAUAUAAGCCUUCUGCAAAGCAUUGCAUCAAUAUUCCCUUCGUUAAAAAAUCUGUCGAUAUCUUAUUGUGAAGUCAAUGGUGUCGUACAUGGUCAAGGUAAAAGAAAAGUGUUGGUUGUGCACUCACUGAGUGUUGUCCUACGUAUUCAAUAUUUUUAUUUAUUUAUUUUAUUGUUUAAUGUUUCUGCUAGGUUUUCCUCAUUUCAAGAGUUUGGAACAUUUGGGCAUGAUGUCCACGCGCAUUGCACUCAACACCAACUUUCUUCAAGUCAUCAGUGAAUCGAUGCCUUCUCUUAAGUACUUAUCACUGUCAUAUUCUACUCUUGGCACUAACAGCAGCAGGAUUCUUGAUCGAGGUUAAUCAGAUGCUCCCACCCUCCAUUCUUAAUCUAUAAUAUUAAUUUUCAGUUAAAUAUUUAAUUACACAAACCAAUCACUUAUUAUAAAAGAACAAUACGCAUUCAUUAAUUUUUAUAUUAUAUUAAUUGAUGAAUUUAAUAAAUUCCAGGCCUCUGUUCGCCGGUGCAUCUGCAAGAGUUAUACAUUGGUUCUAACGAUUUAAGAGGUAGCUUGCCUUGGUGCAUGACAAAUUUGACAUCCCUCCGAAUAUUAGAUGUUUCUUCCAAUCAACUUACUGGAAGCAUCUCCUCGUCUCCCCUCAUUCAUUUGACAUCCAUUGAAAAGCUGUAUCUUUCAAACAAUCACUUCCAGAUCCCAAUUUCACUUGAACCACUUUUCAAUCAUUCAAGACUCAAGACUUUUUAUGCUGACAACAACGAACUAAAUGCAGAAAUAACUCAGUCACAUUCUUUGACCGCCCCAAACUUCCAAUUAUCACGUCUCUCAUUGUCUUCCGGUUAUGAAGAUGGCGUCACAUUCCCCAAAUUCCUUUACCAUCAACAUGAUCUGGAGACUGUUGAGCUCUCACAUAUAAAGAUGAAUGGAGAAUUUCCAACUUGGUUGUUGGAAAACAACACAAAAUUGAGACAACUUUCUCUCGUCAAUGAUUCUCUUGGAGGACCUUUCCGGUUGCCAAUUCAUUCACACAAGCGGUUAGGAAUGUUGGAUAUAUCCAACAACAACUUCCGAGGCCACAUUCCAAUAGAAAUUGGAGAUGUUUUACCAAGUCUAUACCUUUUCAACAAUUCCAUGAAUGCUUUAGACGGUAGCAUUCCCUCUUCAUUUGGUAAUAUGAAAUUCCUCCAAAUUCUGGACUUAUCCAACAAUCACUUGACUGGUGAAAUCCCCGAGCACUUGGCCGUUGGUUGCGUCAACUUGCAGUCUCUUGCAUUAUCAAAUAACAACCUACAAGGUCACAUGUUCUCUAGAAAUUUUAACUUGAUAAACUUGAAAUGGUUACAAUUGGAGGGCAAUCGCUUCAUAGGUGAGAUCCCACAAAGUUUGUCUAAAUGCUCCUCACUAGAAGGAUUGUAUCUUAACAAUAAUAGUCUUUCGGGUAAGAUUCCACGAUGGUUGGGUAAUCUCACAUGGUUACAAUAUAUUAUAAUGCCCAAUAAUCAUCUUGAAGGCCCUAUUCCAGUGGAGUUUUGUCAGCUUGAUUUGCUUCAGAUUUUGGACAUUUCAGACAACAACAUAUCUGGAAGUUUACCAUCUUGUUUCCAUCCUCUCUCUAUCAAACAAGUUCAUCUUUCAAAAAUAUGUUACAUGGACAGCUAAAAAGAGGUACAUUCUUUAAUUGCUCUUCCCUUGUGACAUUAGAUCUUAGCUAUAAUCGCUUGAAUGGCAGCAUUCCGGAUUGGGUUGAUGGGCUUUCUCAGUUAAGCCACCUUAUCUUAGGUCAUAAUAAUCUUGAAGGUGAAGUGCUAGUUCAAUUGUGCGAAUUGAACCAACUACAAUUGUUAGAUCUUUCUAAUAAUAAUCUUCACGGUCCUAUUCCUCCUUGCUUUGAUAACACCACACUUUAUGAAAGUUACAGCAAUAGUUCUAGUCUUGAUGAGCAAUUUGAAAUAUUUUUUUCCAUCGAAAGCCCUCAGGGAAAUGUAGAAAAGCAAAUCCAUGAAAUUUUUGAGUUCACAACAAAGAACAUUGUGUACAUUUACCAAGGAAAAGUGCUUAGCCUCCUAUCAGGACUUGAUCUUUCUUGCAACAAGCUAAUUGGUCCUAUUCUCCUCAAAUUGGAAAUUUUGACAAGGAUUCAAACAUUGAAUCUAUCACACAACGACUUGAUAGGAUUGAUCCCAUCAACAUUUUCAAACUUGAAGCAUGUCGAAAGUUUGGAUCUUUCCAACAACAAAUUGAAUGGGAAAAUCCCUCAUCAACUAGUGAGUUAAAGACAUUGGAGGUUUUCAGUGUGGCAUACAAUAACUUAUCAGGCGAAAUUCCAGAAUGGACUGCACAAUUUGCAACCUUCAAUGAGAGUAGCUAUGAGGGAAAUACUUUCUUUGUGGAUUGCCAUUGCCCAUUUGCAGAUCACCAGCAACUAUGUCGGAGGCUUCAAUUGGCAAUGAACGAGAUGAUAAUUUAAUUGACAUGGACAGUUUCUUUAUCACAUUUACAACAUCGUACGUAAUUGUGAUAUUUGCAAUUGUUAUUAUUUUAUAUGUAAAUUCUUAUUGGCGACGUAGAUGGUUUUACUUUGUUGAAAUGUGGAUAACUUCAUCUUACUAUUUUGUUGUAGACAAUCUUAUUCCAACAAGAUUUAUCAUUGAAAUUAAUUAGUAGUUUAAUUACGAUUCUUUAAGUACUAAUCAAGUUUGUUUAGGAAAUAUUUUUUUAUUAAAAUUGUAGUAGUAUUUAGCAUUAUAUAGCUUCCAACUUCCAAGCACUUCACAUUUGUCUCUACACUUAAAAAACUGAGUGAUCAUGUUUUGCAGAUCUGGAUUUGGAGCAGGAUGGAUCCAAACCCAUAUCUGUCCACCGUAACUUAUAGCUUCCCUAUACUGUGCAGCAUACUUAAAAUAAGAGAACCAUCUCCAAUGUUAAAAGCAUUCACUCUAUAACAUUCAUUUAGAAAACUAUAUUCAGAAUAUUUUAUAAUUAAACACAAGAAAUGAAAACACACAGAUACACUUGAUCGCCUAUUUUACUCUAAAAAAGAACGAUUAUUGUGCUAUCAUCAUCUUCUUCACUAGCAACAUUAACACCAAAUCGAUGGACCCAUACAUUUCAUCAAGAAAGGUCUAUAUCCAAUAAAGUUGAAGCCUAACAAAAAAUUCAAGAAGAUUCAUGCCUCGCCACAACAAGGGCACAACAACAUCAAAGUAGAGAUUAAGCAGUAAUUCUCAAAGCUAAAACUCUCAAAUCCACCCACCAGAAUUUCAUAUCUCCUCAACAAUUUAAGAACUAAAGAUAAUUAGGAUUUAACAUUAGUUUUUUAUAUAUUAGUCAUAAUUUACAAAUCAAUGAAGAUGAAGAUUAUGCUAAUAAAAUUCAAAUUAUACCAUACAUUCUCUAGAUGUUACCAAAAAUUUCUAAGUCAAUCCCACAUAUUUCAUAAUUUUAAGACUAGAAAAUUUCACUAGUUAGAAGUUUCAUUACCUUCAAGUGGAAGAUGAAGAACAUUAUACAAGUGAUUCAGAUUAUAUCAUACAUACUCCAAAUGCAACUAGAAAUUAACAAGUUCAUGCACACAUAUUUCAUAACAUUAUGAUUGAAAAGUUUCACAGAGAAAAUUCUAAAUUCAAUCUCUUGCAUGAAGGCAAUUUGAUUGAUUGAGUUACUUCUUAUCAAGCUACUAAUAUAACAUUCAAGUCAGGAGAAAAUAAAUUAAAACUGGGAAGAAAUAACAGUAAAAAAUUUGUUGCUCAACAUGAUGUGUAUUUUUUUUCAAGGCAAUUUGGAAACACAAUUGUUACCACAGAUAUUCUUCUCAAACUUGGAGAUAAAUACAAAUAUUAAAAUGCAUAUGAUCGCACAUAUUACUUCGAGUUUAGUAAGAUUUCAUUAAAAGAAGCAAUCAAACCACUUAUCAAUUGUCGCAGUCGUUCUAUAAACUAAAAUAGCAAUAUAAUACAAGAAAAAGAACAUAUAGAUACUUGGCAAGAGUUCAUUAAGAAGUCACAUCACAUUCAGGUGAGGAGUUUGCUUCUGAUAUCUUGCUAGCUGGGGCUUUUUCUUGUCUUUCUACGUAUGCCGAGGGAAACCAACCAGCUUGGCCCUUGCAUUCACCUUCCGACCAUCCAAUAGGAGCCACCUUGAGAAGUUAUAACUAAAAUGGUGAAUUAAACAAAAGUUGACCGUUCAAAGACCUAAGGGGAAAACUAAUUCUUUUACGUAGGAGGAGUGAAUUAGUUGUGAUCACUGAAAUAACAGCAUAACUAUGGAAGCAUAACAAGAUAUAAAUUCACACGUCUAUAAGGGUAAACUGGGUGGUUGAGAACUGAGCUAGCAACCCUACUAUAUUCUGAUUUGCACUUCAAUGUAAAAGGGAAUAUAUGGUAGGAAGAAAGAAAACCAACCAUCAUUUGUUAACUCAUUGCUUUUCAAUCAAAAUUUUAAGAACAAAAUGCCAUGUGCUUUGAACAUCAAAUAAGUAUAAGCAUUAGUUCUAAAUUCCACAUAUCAUAAGUUGUUAGAAGGAUAAGUUAAUAGCAGAGUAGAAAAAUCUAUGUGUUGGUAUUUAGAGGGGAAAGUACCUGGCGAACCACAACAUAAUCAUCAAUUGAAAGACUUAGCUCUCCAUUUGCUUGAGCAUCAAAUGGAUGUAUAACCUGCAAGAUAAUGGGAUAAAUAGAACUUAAAAAAAGCAUAACAAAAGCGGCAACAGUAGCAGCAACGUUCAUUGUAACCACUAUGAUCAUGGCCAACAAGAUAUAUUAGAAACAAAAUUCCAUUUUUACUACGACAUUAAUAUGUACUAUACGAUAUCAUGACGAUUGGGUUACUAAGAGCUAUCAAAGUCUAAUAAGUUCUGUAUAACUUUAUGUAGUUAUUUAAAUUAUGGAUCAGAUUUUAAAUUUGAAAUUUUGACUGCUCUCCACAAAACAUGGCCUAUGCACAAGAAAGUCAUAGAUAAUGAGGAUUACAAGUGUCCGACAUCUUUUGAGUGAUGGAUUUAACAUGAGAGCUUAUGGUCAGUCAAUUUCCUCUGCCUAGCAAUAUAAGCUUUCUCGGCCAGAUUUAUCAUCAAAUACAUAGAUUGCCCCCAAGUCACAUCCAUAUAAACAUAGUUUUUCUAGGUAAACCAAGUAAGGAGUAUCAUAAUUCAGACAUAAUCAUAAAAAGGCCCAUCUAACUUAAGAGAAAAUCUCAAAAAGAGGGAUGCUGAGCUAUCAGUCUUGUAUCUAUAAGCAAUAUCAAGACUUUACGUCACCUGCUACAUCGUGAGUGGCUACACAACUUUCAGUGGUUUGUCUUUCUUUGGCACGCCUAACUCAGCUUUCAUGUUGCUGAGAUAUUGAUAGUAGAGACACAUGAUACUUCUAGCUCAUGCAUUCUAUCUAACUCAUCCAACAACUAUCUCUUUUUUAAUUCAUUAGUGUUUGCUAAACCUCAUGCUUAAAAGUCCUGUUCUCCUAAACAAAGUUUCCUAAGAAUGACUUCCUUAGCACCACAGUUGGACACUUUAGAGCAAUUUUAUUUGGGGGAAAAGAAUUUUCAAGGUGUUAACUAAUAAAUUUUAAAAAAUAAUUACAAUUUGUCCUACGAUCAUAUGACAAUUUAUCUGGGAUGAAAGGAUACAGAUAGACAUCUUCCACUUUCAAGACUAAUCACUACUUCCGUAGAUGUUGUGCAAUAAUACAAAUACUUGACCAGAUGGUAGUGAUGGUAGAAAAAAAUUUUAUUGCUCCAAAAUUAAAAUAAGAAUGCAAUAUGUUAAGCAAAAGGCUGUGCAACAUCAAAUUAAUUGAUAAGUUUGUAAUUCAGUAAAUUAACAACUUUCAUGGUAAAAUACAACAAAUUUCUUUUGAAAAAAAAUAAAUAAAUCUUAAAAGACAACAUUCAAUUUUGUGCACAUCUUAUUUCUUAAGAUUUUUCAGGAGGAGGGCAAUAGAGGGACUUUCACCUAUGCAAGAGAGCAGAAGCCUUACUUUCCCUAUAAAGUAGACGUCAUUCUGAUUAAUAUGCGUUUGCAAAUCAGCUCCGUUUGAAUCAGUAUUCUGAUAGACACACGAGGAAUUUACAUCCAUUUCCAAAGUCACAUGUUGCGAGGAGGACUCAUUUGAUUGCUCCUAUACGAUCAUCUAAUUCAAGUAGCAAGGGUUGGAAGAGAAUAAAAAGUCACAAUUAUUCUUUUGCAUAAGUGAGACGAAAAUGAUAAAUGCAAUAUUAUCAGCAGUAAACAAGAAGAGAACGCUCCAAGAAAUAGAUAGAUGCAGACAAGCAAGUUAAAAUGCAUAGUCCCAAACCUCCGCAUACAACUUCUCUAAAAUAGCAAUAACGUGUUGAUGCUAUGUUUUCUCAGCAUCUACCUGCAAAGGCCCGAGACCAGGAAAACAACAAUAAAACCACUAGCUGAAGGAGAAAGCAAAGAAAGAAAUACACUUGACAUAAAUCUUGACAAGAAGCACAAAUUAAGACAUAACAAACCCCAAUCAUAUUGUUUAGAACUACCAUUCGUUAUUUCGUUAUUGUAACAUUUCGAACAAGUGUUGACUUAAUUCAACAUUGUUGGAAAGAUAGGCUUUUAGAAGCAGAAGAAAGCCUCUCAAACCAAAGUGCUGGUCCUUGUAUUGAUCAAGGGAUGUAAACAUAUUACAUUUGCAGGAUGAGAUUUAAUCACUCCCCUGAUUUAUUCGGGUUGCAGUAAAACUAAGCGAGCAACUGUUUGACUUUCAAGCAACAGCUAAAUCAGCUAUUAAAAUUCAAAUAAAAUCAUAAUAGAAUAAUAACAGGCCAUCUUGCAUCAAAAAUUAAGUUUAAUUUGUGAAUUGUUUUCUAUAGACAUGUCAGUUUCUGCUAUUGAAAUGUUAAAAGCAUUGAAAAAUUAUUCAAUAAAUUAUGCAAGCAUUAAAAUAGAGGACAUAUUAAAAAGUUUCUAAUUACAAUGUUAAUAUUUCCUAUAUUUUAGCAUUUGCAUAUUUUAAUUUAUUUAAAAGCUACGUUGAUCAACUUUGGGCAUGAAGAUUUUAGCUUAUACGAGACUUGAUUGGAAUAUGCAUAAGAGUGUUAAAAUAUGAUGCAUCCAAUGAAAGACAAACCACGUGUAGUCUUUUAAUUAAGCCAAAGUAGCAGCUCAAACAAAUGACACUUGGACCAACAUGCAAUCAUGAAGUGGCCGGAAAAAGGACAAAUGCAACUUUGGCUUAAAUAAAAAAUAACAUGUGACUCGACUUUUGCUGGACAUGCAUCAUGUUAUCACAAGACAACAGAAAUCAGUAUGAUAGUACUAAAAGUUGACAAUAACAUGAAGAUAAGAGGCAGAAUGUCAACACAUGCAUAGGCACACACAAGAAAGUAUUAACUUAUAUACCAUAGCAAAAAGUCUUUGAUAUGUCAUCUGUUGCUGCUGUGAUUCAACUGACAGCAUGGCAGCUGUUGCUUCUCUACCAAGAGCCAUUAUUGUAGAUUUAAGCUCGGUCAAUCUUGCUUCUGCAUUUCGAAGCUUCACAGCACUCUCUGCUGAUAUAUCAGAUUCCUAAUCUUUGAUCGGCGCCUAAAUACUUCAGCUGCCUGGUGAAAAUAUUCAAUAUAAAUCUAACAUAAUUCUNNNNNNNNNNNNNNNNNNNNNNNNNNNNNNNNNNNNNNNNNNNNNNNNNNNNNNNNNNNNNNNNNNNNNNNNNNNNNNNNNNNNNNNNNNNNNNNNNNNNNNNNNNNNNNNNNNNNNNNNNNNNNNNNNNNNNNNNNNNNNNNNNNNNNNNNNNNNNNNNNNNNNNNNNNNNNNNNNNNNNNNNNNNNNNNNNNNNNNNNNNNNNNNNNNNNNNNNNNNNNNNNNNNNNNNNNNNNNNNNNNNNNNNNNNNNNNNNNNNNNNNNNNNNNNNNNNNNNNNNNNNNNNNNNNNNNNNNNNNNNNNNNNNNNNNNNNNNNNNNNNNNNNNNNNNNNNNNNNNNNNNNNNNNNNNNNNNNNNNNNNNNNNNNNNNNNNNNNNNNNNNNNNNNNNNNNNNNNNNNNNNNNNNNNNNNNNNNNNNNNNNNNNNNNNNNNNNNNNNNNNNNNNNNNNNNNNNNNNNNNNNNNNNNNNNNNNNNNNNNNNNNNNNNNNNNNNNNNNNNNNNNNNNNNNNNNNNNNNNNNNNNNNNNNNNNNNNNNNNNNNNNNNNNNNNNNNNNNNNNNNNNNNNNNNNNNNNNNNNNNNNNNNNNNNNNNNNNNNNNNNNNNNNNNNNNNNNNNNNNNNNNNNNNNNNNNNNNNNNNNNNNNNNNNNNNNNNNNNNNNNNNNNNNNNNNNNNNNNNNNNNNNNNNNNNNNNNNNNNNNNNNNNNNNNNNNNNNNNNNUAACCCUCUCUCCCUCUUCAAUCUCUCUCUAUUUUGUUCCCAUUGAUGACCCCAAUCUGCUUAGUUAUCCAGCUUUAUAGCUGCAUCAGUAACAAACCAGCAAACCCAGAUUGAGCAGAUUGACGACACGUGGAUAACGGCUUUAACGAACCUGGUUAAGAACUGCUCACAUGUUCGUCACGCGUGCUGCUUAAAUGAUGGCCAAAACGACUUCAAACAAAUGUCGUUUUGAGGCUUAUGAAUUACAAGUGAUAACACGAGCUUGUCUCAUGACUUUUAAAUGCAACAACGUGCCCACAACGCCGUCGUUUUACUCUGUUGAGUUUGAUUCAUUACUAAGCUUUUACGACUGGCAAUGGAGAAGAUGAUAAUUUAAUUGACACGGACAGUUUUUAUAUCACUUUUACAACAUCCUAUGCAAUUGUAAUAUUGGGAAUUAUUGAUGUUUUAUUCUGUGAAUCCUCAUUGGCAAAAACUAGUGUUUUAUCUUUGUUGAAAUAUAGAUGACCUCUCGUUACUGUUUUAUUAUAAACAUAUAGUUUCGUAAGUGAAUAUUUUAUUAUAAAAUUAACAUAUAGUUUUGUUACAUUUCUGCCUCAUUAAGAUUCUCAAAUACCAGUCAGGUUUGCUUAAGAAAUAAAUUUUUUCCAUUAAAAUUGCAGUAGUAUUUCCAAGCAUAUCGCAUUUUCUAUGAGUUUUCAUAAAUUAAUUAAUCUGCGGUGCCAAUAUCAGAUUUAGUUUUUCAAACUAAAUAAUCAAGAAAGCAAACAUACAAAUAUACAGUUUAGAGGGUAAACUAGGUAGGUGGUUUAGAUUUUAGAACUAAGCCAGCUACCUCGCUAAAUUCCGAUUCGUACAGUGAACUGCAAGAAACUGAGAAAACAAUGUAUUUAUAAUUUAAUAGAAUCAUAAGAAAACAAUGCAGUCAUUGCUCAAUAUAAGAUGAUGAUUUCGGAGAGGCACAUUGUUUUCAAGUUAAUUUGAUCCGUUUAUAAGAGAUGAAGUGGAAUGAAGUUGAAAGUUUAAAUAACAAAUCCUUGUUCUUGAGUUUUACGACGUCGUUACUCCUUCAAGUGGCAGAUUAUGCAAGUGAAUGCAGAAACACAAUGCAUCAUCCGCGGGGAUGAUACAUCAAAAGGCGGGAUUUGUUUAUGCCUGCAGAUUAGCAAUUUCACUCAUAUAGAAAAUUAAUUUUUUAUAUAUACUAAUCAACACUAAAUUGAUUAUGUGUUGUAUGUUUAUAUAUGCUAAUCAACACGAAAUUAUAUUGAAUUAUUAACAUUCAUAUUCCUAAUAAAAAUUAUUUUCCAUCAGUAUUCAAAAUUUUCACUUAUAGAAAAUGCGUUUUACGUGAAUACUAGUUAUUGUGUAAAUUUGAAUGAUAGCGAAAAAUAAACCUAUUUGAAAACUGUAAGGGUGUGUUGGGAUAUUUUACAACUGUCGGAAUCUGGUAGGAUAUUUGCACCAUUUGCCCAAUAUUUUUAGACGUACUCCAACCGGUAUUCAAGAUAAGUAAAAUUUACAAGCGUGGCAAAAAAAAAAAAUUAAAUUCGUAACUUGUAAACGAAUUUUCCUGACAUGUAUAGUAAAUGAAGUUGUUGAUCCUUUCUUUGGAUUAUUUCAGCUCUGGUUGUUGGUCACCGAUGAGCCGAAGUCUUAUUUUAAUUUUAUUUAAACUCAUCAUAAGAUUCGUGGAGCACCUAACUAACUUAACUGACUGCGCAGAUCAUCUCAACAUGGCAUAUUUAACCAUCAUUCAAGUGAUGGGUUUAAUAAGACUGCUUUUGUUCUAUCAACUAUCAAGUUCCUCUGCCUCUAAGCAGAAUUACUAUUGAAGGGCCAAAAGGAAAAUGAAAACGUGUGAGCUCCAACAACCACCCCACAAUGAAUGACGAUGCUCGGAGAGGGUUAGGUUGGGCCUCUGAGAAAAAAAAAUUAUUUUGUUAAAAAGUUACCCUUAUUGAAACCUGUAUAAAAAUUUUAUAUUAAUUAGUUAUGUCGCCUCUUCAACGAUGAUCAAAUUCUUAUCUGAGCUCAUCAUUUAAUGAGUAAACAUGUAUUUUAAUGAUCUCAAUUAAUAUUUAGAACAAAUAUUUUAAGAAGUAAAGCUCAUUAUAUCUUCCAUUAUUAUGUAUUUCUUUAAUUUCUUAUUUACAUAAUUAUAUUGUACAUUAAAAAUGUAUUGAAUUUGAAGAAAAAAAAAUUCAACUCAAAAAAAAAAAAAUGCUGGUAGCUUCGUAAUAAUUACUGUAUUGACUGCACCAGAUAAAGUUUUGUAAAAUAAUAAGUUCUCAUAAGUGGUUUUUCAUUUUUAAUUUUCUUUUCCGGCACACCUGAUCAAGAAUUCUAUUUUGUUAACUAAUCAAUUGCAAAGCAUAAGUGUUUGAACGGUACAAAAAUUUAAAAAAAAUACACUUAAAAACGUGGGGUGGGUAACGGCUCACUCAAAUCGUUAGGUAGAAUUGUGGAAAACUAAAGCGAAAUGAGAAAUAUAGAAAGAAAGGAAGAGGUGAUGUUUUUCUAUGAAUUUCUAUGGGUAACGGCUCACUCAUCCUUCUAUGAAUUUCUAGCUGUAUUGACCCCAACUGCUAAAGUUUUGUAAAAUAAAAAUAAAAUAAAAACUGGAAUUUCAACAAAAAUUCAAAAACGUUUGAAAUUUAAUUUUUGGCCAUGUGGAACAAAAUGUAAAUUAAGUAAAAAAUAUAAAUCUCAAUUGCUUAGUAUGGUUAGGAUUUUGUGAGCAUCACUAAAAAGUGAAAACUAUGAAUGAUAGAGGUGAUGUUUGCAACAUGAAUAAAUGAUGAACUGAAUCAAUUGAUGAUCGUAAUUACAUAAUGAACAAAAUUUACAAAAUCAACAAAAGUUAAUAAAAAAUUAUUUUAAUAAUAAAAAAUCAAUAAAACUUAUUAUUUAAGGGCGCUCUAACCAUGGAAUACCAUAAUCAUAAUCUUCUUUUAAGAAAAUUAUAAACUUAUUAUUUUACAGGAUUGAUCCAUUUGGAAUGAAGUGGUCUCAAGUUGAAAGUAAUUAAUUUAUUGAAUAACUUUCGACUUAUUAAUAGUUAUAUCAAAGGGUGUUUUACCUCAUCAUGUCUUCAAGUGGAAGAUGAAGACUAUGCAAGUGAAUUCAGGAAUAUUGCAUGCCUGUUGUCUAAAGCAUUACCUCACAAGGUUUCAUGAGAAACGAAAGAUGUGUUUGCUUUGAACAAUUAAAGUUACUGCUACGAACCUCCCCAAAGGUCAAGAAGACAGAACAGGAAGCUAAUGCCAUCAAUGUCUUGUUCAUUAUAGCUGCUGGGUAGUUAGGUGUAGUUUCCUCAUUUGAAGCUGUCUAUACAUAGGCAUUUCCCCUGCUUAUGUACAAAUAAAUGAACAACCUUGAAGCUUUAUUAUUCGCAACAAAAAGGGAUUACUAAUUGGAGAAGACAAUACAGAGUUUUCUCUCACACUUUCUCUCUGUCAAUUUCAUCCAGAAGUCCCUCUGAAAGCUUCUCCCAAAACAGUUAGUCAUCUUUUAUGCUCUGUUUUCUGAAAACAGAGUCCUAACUAAAUUAAUUGACUGUACAGUGCAUUUCAACAUAGCAUAUUUAACCGUUUUAACAGUUAUUUGGACCGUCUUCAGAGGUAACAUCAACAAACUCAUUCAUAUGCUUAAUAAUGAACGAAUAGUCUUGGAUCGAUGUUUUGCAGCAAGAGCAACACGACACAAUCUGGAUUCAACCUCCUCCUUUCUAACAGGGGAUUUCGAUUUGAGUUACUUUGUGCUCAAGCAAAUUCACAUCAUAGUUUUGAUUCUUUAGAUAUGAAUUCAUCUCAUUACAUAUAUCAGAUUAAGUGUAACAAAAUUUGUAAUUUACUGCGAAAAGAAUAUGCACUAAAAAAUGAUUUCAAGACUAUUUGACUACAAAAAGCAGCUGUCAGAGUGCACUAAAAAUUUCUGUAGGAUAUUUUGUAGCUGUUUAAUAUGUUAUGAUGGGCAUAUAAUUCUCAAAUUUUGAUGCCUCUCAGCGAAAAAUAUAUCAAAGUUACGGAUGAUAUCACGUAAAACAUGCAUGGCUCAGGCUCAGGCUCAGGUAAGAAAGCCACAGAAAAGGAAAAUCUCACUGUCACGACUCACGUCACGCAUCAUUCAAGUGAUGGAUUUAACAAGACUGCUUAUGUUCUAUCAAAUUCCUCUGCCUCUCAGAAGAUAACUUUUCUGGGCCAAAUUUCUCAUCUAAAGCAUAUUAUGCCCCAAAGUCACAGAUAACAAAAUGGGGCACUACCGAUUAUGAAAGAGAACUAGUAGUUGUCAGAAGCCUAAGCCAAAUUCCGGUAGUAAGAAGAGGCCUUUCUUGAGUUUAGAUUAUGUGUUCGAGUUUUAAUAAAUGCCUAAGUUAAUAAUAAUAACAACAGUAAUAAUAAACUAAAAAGCAUAAUUACUAUUGAAUGGUAAAAAAAAAAAAUGAAAAUGUGUGAACUCCAAUAACCACCCCAGUGGCGAAUUUUGGAGAGGGCUAGGCCGGGCUUCUUAGAAAUUAUUUUUAUUUAAUUACAAAAUCACCUUUACUGAAACCUAUAUAAAAUUUUUUAUAUUAAUUAAUUAUGUUGCCUCUUCAAUUAUCAUUAAAUUCUUGUCCGUUCAUAAUUUGAUGGACAAAUGUGUAUUUCAAUAAUUUCAAAUAAUGUCUAGAACAAAUAUUUUGAAUUAUAAAACUCAUUAUGUCCUGCAUUACUAGAUGUAUCUAUAAUUUAUUAUUUACAAAUUAUAUUGUAUGAUAAAAAUGUAUUGAAUUUUUUUUAAAAAAAAAGUUCGGCUCACUCAGAAAAAAAUGUUAUUAGCUUCGCCACUGCACAAAUCUAGAAUAAUAAUUAUUCCUUAUUAUAUUGACUGCACCAAGCAAUAAACUAAUAAGUUCUCAUCAGUGGUUUUUAAUCUUUUUAAUUCUUUUUACCGCACACCUGAUCAAGAAUUUUAUUUUGUUAACUAAUCAAUUGCAAAGCAUAUAUAAGUGUUGAACGGUACACAAGAUUGGAAAAAAAAAUCUUAAAAAACGUGCGGAUUCGGGUGGCCACACCAGAAAUCUAUUACAAUAAUUAGCUUUGAUGCUGGGAAUCUUUUAAUUUCUGGCCGUAUUGAAGUUUUUAAAAUAACAAGUUCCCCUUCUCGUUUUUUUUUUUUUUUAAAAUAUAUAUGCUUAUAACAAUUUUAGAAUAAUGAUUCAUUUGUAGAAGAACUUAUGAUUUCCCAUUAAUAUUAAUAUUGAAGUGGGGUGGGUCAAAUCUCAAUUGCUUGAAGAAUUUAUGUAUUAUUAAAUAUUACCAUCCAAGGUAGAAUUGUGGAAAAUUAAAGCAAAAUGACAAGUAUGGAAAGGAAGGCUGAAAGUAAGGCAUGACGAAAGGCUUUGAGAAGGCUGAAGACUACCAAAGAAGUCAACUGAAAACUAGCUGGGGCCUGAGUGUAUAAAUUGUUAGAUGCGUUUGUUAUAAAUAACAUAGAGCCCUUUUGUUAUUUAUAGUUAUAGAGAAAGAGAGAAUGUGUGUUUUUUAAUAGUUAGAGAUAUAGCUAGAAUGGGUUGCUCAAAAUCCAAAAUAGUGACAAUGUUAGUUCUCGUAUUGAUAAUAUUGGGGGGGGGGGGGGGGGGGGGGGGGGGGGGGGGGGGGGGGGGGGGGGGGGGGGUGUUGGGAGGUCGAGUGAGGGAUGUUUGGAGCAUGAGCAAUUUGAUCUUUUGCGGCUUAAACAUUUCUUCAAUUAAUAUCGAUCUGGAGAGUGGUAUCUGAAUGCUUCUCUAUUUACUUCCUUUCAACAACUUGGUAACAAAAUAGCCGGCUGCAUGCGUUGAGAAUGAAGGUGCUUCAUUUAAUUUAAUUUACUUAAUUUCUCCCUCCUAAUUAAUGUCUAUAAUCAUUAGGAGGAACAAGGGAUUUUAUUAACUCAAAUAUAUCUAAUGGAGCUCAUUCUUUGGUUUUACUUGCAGGGCUAGAAGCAGGUGUCAUCUAACAGCUGCUUUGAUAAUUUCCCUCCCCUUCAUCUUUGAUGGAAAGAUGAAAUAAAAACAAAUUGGUGAAAAUGGUAUUGGUACCUGAGGCUAUGUAAUCUAAUUCAAAAACUGCACCAUCAAAACGAUUACAUAAGUCUCAGAAGAAUCAAAUAUCAGUUUGCAAAAUAUCAAUUGCUGGAGGUUUGAUUCUAACUUCCGCUCUUCAUUUUUAUGGGCAUAUUGUGUUGUACUUGCAUCCGAAAAUCAUAUUUUAGUUUACUUGCACUCAAUGCUUGGAUUAAAGUUUUUUUUUGGGGGGGGGGGAUUGAAGAAGACUAAAAUUACACCAAAAAAGAGUUGAGCGAGAGCGGGUUUUGUCUUCAUUUAAGGAGCUCUUUAUAAAUUUUGGGAUUUUUUUCCUGAGAAAAUUUAUGCCAACUCAUUCUUUGCUUCUUUUCUGAAGGGACACAUGCAACCGAAAGUAUAUUCUUGAAUUCUCCAGGAUAAGAGACAUACGUUUAGAUUCUGGAGCAUUUAAAAACAAUGUCAAAUUUUAGAUUGCUGAAAUUUUAUAUAUCCGAGUAUGAUGGUGUUCCAAUUAUAAGCUCCAGGGUGCAACUUCACUGAGGUUUAGAAUGCCUUCCUAUAGAAUUGAGAAAUCUCCAUUGGCAUAAAUAUCUUUUGAAAAUACUGACAUCAGAUUUUGAAUUGGAGAACCUGAUUGGACUCAGCUUGCCCUGUAGUAAGGUUAAGCAAAUUUGGAAAAGAGAAAAGGUAUAAUGUAUUACUAUUACCAAAGUAUCUAUUUUUCUUUCUUUAAGUAUUUAUAAUGAAUAACUUUGAAAUUCAAUGAUGCUCAUUUAGUAUAGUUAUGUAUCUUUGGUUAUAGGAAGCUGUCAAGUUAAAAUCUAUAGACCUUCACCACCCCUUUAUCUCAAUAGGAUCCCAGAAAUACUAAAUCUUAAAAAAAUAAAUCUUUCAAAUUGUGAAAGCAUGCUUACGUUACCCCCGUAUAUCCACAAUUUCAACUAGCUGAGUAUGUUGUGUUUCAGGGAUGCAAAAUUCAUUUUGUUUCUCAUGAAAGGAUUGACUUGUCCGGAUGUAUUAGGGUUAGUAAACCAACUAAUCCCAUAAUUUGUUGAUGUAGGGUCCUAACAAAUUAUUGCAGUAGAUUGUAGAUCAGUACACUAUUCGAAAACGUAUUUGAUCCACACAGUGAAGUGGAUAUUGGACCAAUUUGAUGAUAAUGAAUUUCUUUCAAUCUCAAUCUUUUUUCUUUUUAGCAACAUGACUAGUCAUUGUGCAAAUUCAAACUCUGACAAUAAUUUCUCAAUCGGUUUCUAAGAUGAUGACCAUGCAUGUAUAUGUAUAUGCGUGUGUAUAUGUGUGUGUGUGUAGAGAGAGAGAGAGAGAUCACACGUGUGUGAUUUCCUUUUGCCAAUAGGAUAUGCAGAGAGCUUGAUCUUACCCAAUAGCGAAACAAACUUCCUAAUAAGUGAAGGUAUAGUAUAAAUACUUAUACUUUCAUGUUAUUUUGUUCAUCAGUAGCUUGAUUAUUUUAUAUGCGUCUUCGAUUUUAAUUUUCUUUCCCUAUAAUCGCUAUUAUCUUUGAACUGGUCAUAAUUUGCCCAUAAGAUUUCUCAUGUUGUUUUGAGGUGCAACGGAUUUUGAAUUUAGUGACAAGCAGUGGAAGCCAGAAGGCAAAUUAUGAAAAUGGAUAAAGAUCUAUAAUUAGCUGUUAUGGGAUGUCACAUAUCAUAUUGAUGGUAACGUUAUAUAUAUGUACAUAUAAUUAAUGGGGUUGGCUCACGAGCCCAUUAAUAAUGGUAUAUUAGCUUAUAUACUUCAAACAAUGUACUAUGAAGCAAUUUCACAAAUACUUGUUAGCUUAUGUUGAGCUUUAUUGAAUCAGUAGUUCACAGUUCAAUAAAAUGCAGGUUUGCUAUUUGAAGUACAUGGUUAUGGUGCGUACAUUCUUCAUAAGGCUAACUACUAAUUUAUCAUUGAAACUUGAAAAAUGUGAUAGAGAGAUGUAGAUAACAGCCGCAAAACACUGAGAUUGAAAAUCAGGGCUACUAAAUUCUAUUAAAAGUCCUUAAAAUAGACAGCGAUCACCCUGAAAUGUAUAUACUGAAACUAAGAAAUAUUAAUCGCAAAGUUAUGCAUUAAUAGAACUAUUGACUACUUAUCUUUAGCAUAAAGUAUAUUUUUAACUACAGCUUUCUGCUUUGUUCUAAGAACUAGGCAAAAGUGGUGUAUCUUCAAUCCAAUCAACAUAUAUACCACUUAUCUUCCUCUUCACUUCUGUCUAUUUUGAUUUGCACUUCAUAUCCUGCACUUGCUGCUUAGAAAUAGUCUUUAUUCUGGACAUUGAAAGUAGAAAAAGUACUUGAAACAAUCAUUGGCACAGCCCGAGAUUCCAUUGAAUCGUGGACUCCAAGCUUUCAUAGUUCUAUAAAGAAGAUGACAAAACUUCAUACAACUGGCAUUCUGCUUUUAACAUUUGCACAACCUGAGCGAGUUAGCAAGCCCCUUGUUGCGUUCCCAUUGAAUAGACCUACUUCUGUUAUCCGCAGAAGAUCCACCACUCAAAAUGUUUAUCACCAGGCUAUUCUUAAACUGAGCCUAAACUGAGUAGAAACUUCCGCACAUCUCUCAGCAUUUACAUGAAGAAAUCGACAACUAUCCUCAUCUCUCAGCACAUCUCUCAGCAUUCUACAAAGUUGCAUUUCACUAAGCAAUCUAUCCUCUCCAUUCCUAGCAAAGUGACAUUGAUUCCCGUAUUUGUAAUCGCCUAACUUGGGUUUUGGGCAUAGCGUGGUCUUAAAAUUACCACCCAAUACUUUGUUCAGUGCCACUGGCAUCCACAAGCUCUAGCCCUGUUAGUUGAAUCAUAUUCAAUGGGACAGUGAGGCAGCAUUUCACUAACAUAUUCAAUUUGACUACUUAUAUUGACGCAAAUAUUAGAAUUUGAAAUCACUUCUUUUAUUGGAAUAUUAUAUUAAUAUGACCCCAAAUGAAAGUUCUUGAAUGGAAAUGAUUUUUAUUUACUUUUCGAACAGAUUCAAGAAAACCCAGAGAACACAAAAUUUACACAGUAAUAUGAUUAAGAGCUGAGAACGUAUAUGUAGUAAAUGUCUAUCAAAAAACACCCAAGGGUUUCUUUAAAAUUAGUAACUAGUAAACAAAAAGAAAGAAUCAUUUUACAUUUUUAGCAACUUUGGGGUGAGUGAGUGAGUGAGAAAUUGAAACCCUCAAGUGAUGACAACAGUAAGAUUCAGUAUGAAGUGAAACCCCAAUUUGAAAUGUAGGCAUGAGUUGCUGAGUCAGUAGAUGAAGCUAUAAAUAGGCAUUCGGUUUCCUUCUUUUCGGUUUGGAGGGCCAUGGAAUAGUGUAUUGGAGUGGGCUCCAAGUAAUAGCCUCUAUCACUGGAACGACACAUCUAUAAAAUGUGAUACAUGGGGAAGGAUUGGGCAUUUUAUUCUUAGAUUAGCCCCUUAUUUAGGGUGUAUAUUAAGCAGAUUAUAUAUUACAUGGAGAUGGAGUUUAUGAAAUAGAUUAAAAAGAAAAGGAAAUUUUGGUGCCUAAAGUUUGCCACUUGGAAUAUUUCGGUGUCUAAAAAUUCACUCACCACUUAUUUCAUGUUUGAUUAUAUGUUGAAAAGAUAUUAAAAUAGUAUAAUGCUAUUAAGGCUUAACGUAUAUUUUUUAUUAGUAGAGUGUAGAAUUUUUAAGAAAUAAAUUAUUAAAUUAUUAUAACUAACAUAUUAUUUUAAAGUUGUGUUAUGAAAAAAAUGAAAUAAAAAUGUACAGUAAAUAAGAAUAUUUUAAAACUUUUAUCUUUUUAAAAUUAGUUUUUAACAUAAGGUGAACUAUUUUUUUUUUUAAAAUCACAUAUUCUAGUUAAAAUCAAAUAUGUAUUUAUACGAAGCUUGUAAAUUUUUUUUUUAGUACUGAUAUUUGAAUAUUAUCAAUAAAAAAAAGGGUAAUGUUCAUGCUGCAUUAUUUUUGUAGCACACAAAAGGACAACACCGUUUAUGUUAUAAUACUAUCGCUUCUGUUAUGAUAAUUUUUUUUGUGGCCAAAUAUCUUUUUUUUUUUUAAGUAAAAAAAAGUGGACAAAAUGCAAAUCAGUUUUUAAUCCUCAAUCUCUCCCAAAAUAUAUAUUUCGGUGUCUAAAAAUUCACUCACAAAACUAUAGCUGACAAAAAGUUACUAACAAAAAGUUAGGUCCAUGGGUUGUUAAAACUAUAGCUGACAAAAAGUUACUAACAAAAACAGAAUGUCCAUUUUAUAACUUUCUUAAAAAACUUUCCUUAACUUUUUUAAACAAAAAGUUAUUUCCAAUUUUUAUUUUGUUAUAAUGUUUAUAACAAAAUUCGUAGUUAACUAAACUCUUCUUAUACCCUUUCUCAACUGCCAUACCCUAACCCACUAAACCACGCUCAAUUAAGGCCAUCAGAUUCUCCCGGGCCCACAUUAAUCCAACUGCUCACAGAGACCGACAGCCUCUCUAUCUCCAUUUCAAGCUCCCUCUUCAACUGGCUUCUGCUACCGUCCUACUCUUUCUCGGCUUCGGAGUCCGUAUUUGCUCGGCCUGUCCCACGAAGCUCCCUCUCACUCCAAUUGUCGCCCCACAAGACCAAUUGCUUAAUCAAGACACCGAACAAGAAAAGGAUGAGAAGUUGAAACAAGAAUUUGAGAAUUGGAAAUAAAAAACGUACGCAUUGACCGUGCCUUUGAGAGUCGUUUCUCUUCAGAACUCAGUGCCUCAAUCUUGGGUUAAGGAUUUUAUGCGAAGUCAGGGAAAGAGAUUGAAGUUUCAGAUGAAUUUGUGUGCUAGCAUUGAUGGGAUCUUUAACAAUUUAUCUGUGCCCUUUAACAAAGUUAAGGCUAAGUCAGCUUCUUAUAUGGCUGCUGAUUUGGUUAGUGUUGGUGAUUCAUGGCUUAGUUUUGCCAUUAAAAAGAGAUUGAUUGAGCCAAUGGCUGGAGCUGAAGACCAAGAUUGGUUCAAAUGCUUAAGUCACAAAUGGAAGGUAACAUCUUUGUCUUUGAUCCUCGAGGUAAAAUAUGGGCGGCACCGUACAGGUGGGGCACAACGGUGAUAGCCUACAAGAAAAGUAAAUUUCGAAAGCAUAAUUUGGCUCCGAUUGAGGUAAUAAUUUUCUUUAAACUCAUUUAGUUUUAUAUCAAACAAAAUCAAGACUGCCUUUCUCUUCAAUAUUUUUUAUGAUAAUAUCUUUAGAAGCAUCUCAUUGACGGGUAACAAUGGCAUCCCUGAAAGAGUCUAUAAACUCAAUGAUAUUAUCUUCUACAAAUGGUUCAUUAAACUUUGUCGUUGUACUCAAAUGUACACUCAGAUCAAUGAGAAGCUAUGCUACGUUAGCAUGUAGUGAUGGCACUUAAUAAGUGAGUUGCUAGGAUGUGAACUAGAAAAAUUAAAUAUUGUCUCCUUGGGUAUGCUAGCUGGUAAGUCAGGGUUAAUAUCAGAGCUUAAGAUAGUAUAACCGUGAGAACCUAUUGACUGCCAAUUAAAAUAUCCAUUGAAAUGUCUAGGGAGUUAUGAAGGUGGAGGUAACUUCCAAUUUCUAAGGCCACAGAGUAGACAUCAUCCAGGAUCCUAGGAAAGUCCAGUUAACCUCCUGCUCGAUGCAAUUAAUAAAUUUGGUCAAUGCCACUGAAACCUGCUAACUGACGUCACAAUGCGACAUGAGCACUUCAAAAUGGGACAGACGGUCAGUAGCACUAAAUUUUUCUUGCCCAAGAUUGAGCAAUUGGUCUAACUACUAAUCCCUAUUGUAGGUUGAUCAUUAUUUUUUCAAUUAUGUUCAGUUUGACCCAAAAAGUUGCAGAAUCUUGAGCUAAAUAUUGUCACUGAACACUGUCAAUGUCAUUUAGCAUAGCCAACUAACUUGAUGUUAAAACAAACACACAGUGUGUCUCAUGUCUCACAAUUCAAAUUAUCAUCUGUAAUGUUGGAGAAUUUUUCCAAUGUAUGAAGUAUGCUUUGAUACGUGGGUUACCUUGGAGAAGAUAUCUCAAAAUAAAGAAUAUGGGGAGAAAACAGUUCAGUAGUUUAUUAUUCUGUAGUCAAGUUUUGUCUCGAAAAUGGUCAAAAUUUAAAUGAAUAAGGACAGGGGAUCUUCAUUCUUUUUUCCCUUUUUUAUACCAAGAUAUCUCUCAACCUUUAUAUAAUCCCCACUGGAUAUCUGCUUCUAAUAAUUAAAAUAAAAAUUUCACCGCUCUAACAAUAAAAAGUAACAUCUUUCCUCAAAUAAUUUACAGUUCCUCAUCAUCUUAGUGUGAGAAUAUCAGUACAUUCCAAAAACAUAAUAAAACUGGUUUGAUCCUGUUUAUUGAUGUUUAAAUGUUGUUCAUUGUGACAGGUAGAAAUGAUGAGGCGAAGUUUAUUUGGACAUCAAUUAGUAAGAUCUUGUUUGAAGUUGUUUUCUGAAAUGAACUGCCAAAUGGUAGUUUUUUGGGGGCAUUUGAUGGCUCUUUUUUUUUCCUCAUUUUCAACAUGUGCCUGCUUGGAACAUGAAGGAUUAGGCUGCAGAGUUGUUAUAUAUUUUGAGAUGCUCUGGUCAUUGCACAAUUUGUUCACACUGGAAAUUAGAAUGAGAAAUUUGUUGAUGCUGUUUUGAGAGAUCUGCAUUCUAUGCACAAUAACAUGAUUAAUGAAAAUGCAUUGUAGGACUGGAAAGAUCUGUGGCAGCCUGAGCUCGCAGGAAGAAUUUCAAUGGUUAAUUCUCCCCGAGAGGUUAUUGGUUCAGUUUUGAAGUAUAGGGGAACAUCAUACAAUUCAAACUAUAUUGAUUCGCAAGUUGCUGGUGGGAAGAUUGCUGUUCAGCAGAAUCUGGCAUUACUGGCAAACCAGGUACUCUUACAGAAAUCAUAUCUGGUCAUUGCAUGUUAUUGCCUGACAACUGAUUUUGUUUGUAAAAGUCUGCUUCUUCAUACAUAUGAAUGCAUAUGUUAGUGUUUUCUUCUCCUUUUCAUACAUAUAAAUGCAUAUGUUAGUGUUGUCUUUUCCUUUUCACACAUAUUAAUACAUAUGUUGGUGUUCUCUCCUGAGAUGGAUGCAAUAAAGGCUUUUGCUCCUAAAUUUAGCUGAAGAAAUGGCAAGGGAUGUGAGAUUCUGUCUCAUUAAAUUAACAAAAACCCAAAACAAUGAAAAUCCAUAAUAAUGUGGUGUGGGUAAAUUGGCUCCAUUUGGUUCGUUUCCUUAAUGUGAAUGCGCGAGCAAUAGAGACUAACAAAAUGAAGUGACAACAAGAAGUCAGUGUCCUUUGAUGGAUGCAUUUUUAGGCAGAAAUAUGUUUGUAAUUGACCAAAUUUGUCUGGCAUGCCAAUUUCAAAAAAAUUAAAUUAUGUGGUUAUUAGCUGUAAUGAAGGGGGAUAGUAGGUGCAAUCAGGUGUAUCCAGGAAAGUUCAACAAAGUUUUGGUAUGGCGUAGUGAAAUUGGUUUGUGCAACUCAGGAGUCUUUCAGGUGAACGAUGAUAGGUUUUGAUUUAUGAAUAUUAUAAAUCUACUGUGCAUAGUAUUCUAGUAGAAUCAUCUAUAAGUUCUAGUUAUUGUAUACUUUGCCUGGUUUGAGUUAAGGGCACAUGUAAUAUGAAAGAUAGUUGUCGCAUCUUUUAGGUUACCUAACAUUUGAUCAAUCCUAUUAUGGGGGCUUCAAGAUGUCUAACAAUAUGUAGAAUGCCCAUGCUCCUCCCCAUUGUUUAUCUUCUACAAUAAUUUGUUUUAGAUGCUAAUAUCUUUGUCGAUACCGGUAACAAUAUUACAAUAUCUGCGUUUAUUGGGUUUUACAUAGGUUCGACUGUUUGACAGUACACACUAUCUGAAGGCAUUUGCAAUUGGAGAUGUAUGGGUUGCUGUUGGGUGGAUUAGUGAUGUUCUUCCUGCUGUCAAACAUAUGUCUAAUGUUGCUGUUGUUGUUCCCAAGUCUGGUGCUAGCUUAUGGGCUGAUCUUUGGGUAUACCCAUGCCUGCCAUUCUACUUCAAUAUUCACAUUGUUAUCUCCUUCAUAUUAGUGAUCAGUAAACACGAUAAUGUGACUAAUAAGUUCGUAUUCUCUUUAUAGGCAAUCCCUGCUGCCUCAAGACUUGAAACAAAACAAAUUGGAGGGCGAGUCAGAGGUGCAUUUCCAUUAAUCCAUCAAUGGAUAGAAUUCUGCUUGCAAACAGCGAGAGCAUUGCCUUUCAAGCAAGAGGUUAUCCCGAGCGCAUCUCCCUCUGCCCUUGAGAGUACUCUGGUUAAGUUGCCUGAAGAACUUUUCAAGGGUAAACCAAGUCUGGAUACUAACUUAAUUGCUGGAGUACCCCCGACUGAAAUUCUGGCCAGAUGUGAGUUUUUGGAGCCUUUAUUUGAAGCUACAUUGUCGGAUUAUGAGUGGCUGGUUACUAAUCUGCAAAAAUCCACUCCUGUACUGAUCAACAAGAUGCAACAUUACAUGUCAUCAUUGAUCUUUAGCUAAAGGUACAUUGAAAAGUUAAUGGCACUGCAUACCAGUCAUUAUAAUUGGGUCAGGGCAAUUAGGUCAGAGCAUAACUUCAUUAGGAAAAGAUGCUUCAGCUACGUUAAAUAUUACAGGAUGUACUGAGAUGGCUGAAGCUGUUGAGGUUUUACGAGAAUCGAAAGAUAGUGUUUGUUUGAACAAAGUUGUUGCCAAUCUUGCAGAGUUCGAGAAGAAAGAUCACGAAGUGAAUGCCACCGAUUUCUUCAUCAUUGUAGCCUCCAUAGUUGAAGUUUCCUCAUUUGAAGCUGUUUAUGCAUACGAUUUUCCCCUGCUCAAGUACAGGAAAUUGAAGAAUUAACCAGAUGUGAUAUGCUGAAAGAGGGAAGUUUUCUUCCUUGAAUGUGGUCUUUGUGAUUUGUCUUGAAGGAAUAGGGUGAUCACUGGCAAGAACCCUAUCAAGGUAGAUUUUAUGAUGUUAACAUAUCAUUAAGCAUUUUGUUACAUCAGCAAUGAUGCUUUCAUAGCAGCAUGAAAGUGUUUAAAUUUAACUGAAUGAUCUUGAUUGAUCAAUUAUGAGUUUUAAUCGAGUAAAAACUAAAUACAAUAAUCGUUAACAAAUAUUGAAAUUGGGUAAAUAUGAUCUUGAUAUUGAAGAAUUUGAAAUCACAACCCACACAGGAAAUCACCCUUCGCGUGGGGAUGGAGAUGUUUACUGCAGCGAUAUUGAAUAUGUCCACCGCUCUUUGGGUUAUGGUGCGACUUGCCCUGAAACAAUGGAAAAGAAUAAUUAAUAAUUUAACGCCAAGACAUAAAAUUAAAACGUGUGGACUCCGGUAGCUGCCCUACAAGUCUACAACUCUACAAACAUUAACUCUACAAACAUUAAAACGUGUGGACUCCGGUAGCUGCCCUACAAGUCUACAACUCUACAAGAAUAAUUUCUAGCCCUGUUGACUCCACUAACUAAAGAAAUUUCAAAACGUACAUAGAAUUCCACAACAAGCAAAACGUAUGGAAUUUAAUUUUUUGCCGUGUGGAACAAAAUACAAUUUAACAAAAAAGGAUAAGAAAAAUGGUAAGAUUUCUAAAAUGAGUGGAAGGUGAUUCAUAUUUUACUGAAAUGACUUGUCCUGAACAUUAAGACGAUUGAUUUUUUUUUUUUUUUAAUAACAUCAACUUCCAUAUCUUUCUAACCCCUAGAAUAUGCUCACGUUCAAGUCUAUCUUGGUAAUUUGAAAAAGAAAAUCAAAUCAAAUCAACACCAAAACAAUGAAAAGUAAAACUUUUGAAUUUCAACUUUAAACUUUUGUUAACCCCUAGAAUAUUCAGCGUUUUCAAAUUCUUCCGAUUGCAUAUCUUCUUCCUCCAUCAAUGCAAUAUUUGAACGAUUAUGAAAGAGUUUAAGAACAUAAAAAAUCUCCAAGGUUUAUACGGUAUAACAAAUUUAAAUUCUCAAUUACAAUAGAUAAUAAUUAAACUAAUAAUUUUUUAUGUACUUAUUUUAGUAAUUUCACCUAAGAAUAAUAUUGUAAUUAGAAAAAAAAAUCUAAUAAGUAGGGUGGUCUUAUACAAAAUCAACUGUACUGUGAUGAGUUUCCUUUUGUUAAUAAUUUUAGUCUAAUUUCAAUUGUACUGUGAUCGCUUCUCAAGGUAAGUGAAAGUUACAGAUGUGGCAAAAUAAAUAAUUAAGUUAACAAAAUGCUAACUAAUUUUCCUCAAUACCUAGGGUUGUACAAUUUCACCAACCUGGAAGAAUUGACAUUAAUGGACUGGUCUCCUCCCCAUAUAAUUAUAAUCCUUCUAGAAAGCUAUUUUUUAUUAAAUAUUUGCUUUUAAGUUAAUUUCAAUUAAAAAAUGUUUUAAGUUAUAUAUACUCUAAUGAGAUUCUGAAUUCCUUUAUUCCAAUAAUAAUGAAAACGUAUUAAAUUAGAAAUGAAAAAAUUGGUGUUGAUGAUUCAACCUAUUUGGAUAGAUUACGUGAAUAAAAUUAAAAUUUUGAUUUAAUUUUUGUUUAUUGUUAAUUCUCAGGCUAUCUUAAUUUCAAGAAUUUAGAAUGUUAAUUUGGUCAUGGAUUUCAACCCGUGAGUGUCAUAUUCUAGACUUAAUGGUACCAUUCUUUGAUUGAGGGCAAUGACUCUCACUCCUCUUGUAAAAAAAUAUUUUCAACUAUUUUGAUGACUUAAAAAUUGAUAGAUUUAUUGUUGUCAUGACCAAAUUAUUCAUUUUAAUGAAAUAUAAUUAAUGCAUCAAAGUUACCAGGUUUAUGUUCUAUCUUAAUGCGCUUUUUUUUUUUUCAGUUAUAGCUUCUGCUUACGUCUGUUUCAUUUUUUUUAAUAAAAAAACAAGGGAAGGUUUUUCCGAGUCAUCCAUUAUUUGAUUUCCGUCAAUCAAGAAAACGACCAAAUUAAUUUCUCUCCAAAAUUUCCAAAAGCUAGAAAAUUUUGUUAUUUGAAAAUAACAUGAUUAAUUAUAGAGUGGAUCAAACCGCGUUAUUGUCUUUCAUAAAAUUGAUGUCUUUUUAAGAGUCAAUACUUUUUAUUUACGCAAACCAGUCGACAUCAAUUUAAACUUCCAUAUUUUUAUUAUUAUUAUGUUAUUUAUUUUAAUCGCCGAUUAUUUGAUUAGCCACUAUAUAUAUCAAGAAAGCGACAAAAUUUAUUUCUCAUGACUUCCAAAAACUAGAAAAACAACAUCAUUUAUUAUUUUUUUGCAACCCUAAUUGACAUCAACUUUAACUUUAUUAUGUUAUUAUUUCAAUCCCCAUUAUGACCUUUCUAAUCCUCCAUUAUGCAUCUUUUAUAGUGCAAAUUUAAUUGCACAUCUAAAUAAAUUGAUUAUUGUUACUCCACCACCAAUAUUUCAAAUAGUCACUAGACCAUUUCUGCCUUUAAUUUUCCCUUAACUAUUGACUGUUUUUAGCAUCUUAAAAUAUACAUUUAUUCCUUGAUUAUGUGAUAAAAUUAUGAAAAUAUCCAUUUUAGCUUAAAUUAAUUGGAAUAACCAUAAGCGUAACAUAAAUUAAUAGAACAAAAUUAUCAAGUGUAUGUUCUAUCUUACUUUUUGAAGAAUUUAACAUAUAUAAUGCUAUACUAUUAAUAAAUUUUUCAUUUACUAUAUAUGUUCACAUAUUUUAUAUAUUUAUUAAUUGUUAUAUAGUCACAGGAUGAAUGAUUUUUCAGGUCUACAUGAGUUGGUGCACAUGCAAGACUCAAUUUUGACAACAAUGAUCUAAGGGGUAAUUUACCUUGGUGUUUGACAAACAUAACCUCUCUUCAUGAUUUACUUCCAAUCUACUUACUGUAAAUAUCUCCUCAUCUCCUCUCAUUUAUAUGAUAAGUGAUAACCCUUGAAGAUCUCACAUUUUCAAACGAUCAUAUUAGGGUUUUUAUUAUUAGCAUCAUUGUGUCAACAAAAUAUAUGUUGCAGUAAGAUUUUUUCAGACCAAUUCCCUUCUUCAAAUAAUAAUGGAAAAGUAUUAAUUUAAAAAUAAAAUGAAUAUGCAUUGAUUAUAUCCUGAUUUCCAUCGAUUAUAGCGAGAGUUUCUCCGAAUCAACUCCCUUAUUCAAAUAAUACAGAAAAAAUAGUAAUUUAAUAGUAAAAUUAGCAAGUGUUGAUUAUAUAUCCUAAGUUUCAUCGAUUAUGUGAUCAAAGUGGCAUUGUUGAUUUAUUUCUUGUUCAAUGUUAAUUUUUAGGUUAUCUAAAUUUCAAGGAUUUAAAAUCUUUGUUCAUGGAUUACACGCUUAUUAAUUUUUCUGCCAUUGACUGUCAUAUUCUAGACUUAAUGGUACCUUCCUUGAUCAAGGAUAAUUACUCUAUGUUCUCCUCUUAUAAAUUCCUCUUCCAUUAACAUCACUAGGAGUAUGUUGAUCUCUCAGACGUUAACUUUAGUGGAGAGUUUCCAAAUUGAUUGUUACAAAACAACACAAAAACUAGACACACUUGAUCUGUCUAAUAAUUCUCUUUCGAUAAAAUUAAUUAAUUUUAGGGGAAUAUUCGACCAACCUCUAUAAUUUCAUAUUGAUCAUUAAUUAAUUAGACGAAAAAAGUACUUGUGCUUUUGUGGCGACAAUUGAACUAGAGAAGUGAAGCUGUAAAGAUUUGGCAGUAGUAAAUUGUUAGAAAGACAUAAAGACAAUUUCCCAUUUUAUAAUUUUUUCAAAAAACUUUUUUACAACACAUGCACCUGGCCAAAAAUUUUAUUUUGCUAACUAACAAUAAUUGAGUAGCUGACCGUAUUGACUCCGCCUACUUGCUAAAGUAAAAAAAUAGAAAUAGAAUUUCCACAAAAUGUCAAACAUGUAAAAUCUAAUAUUUGCAUGUGGAACAAAAUACAAAUGAAAAAAAAAAUAGAAAAAAGGCCUAAGACUUUUAAAAUGUGUGGAAAUCUUUCGGCCCUUUUAUAAUGGUGUGUUUUUCAAAGGAACAACUAAUAAUAAUGACACUUCUACGGUUUGUUUUGAUAAUUACACAUAUACUCUUUAAUUUGAUAAAUGGUUACACAAAUUUUGUUUACAAAAAUAUAUUAUUCAUGUUCUGUAUAUUUUUUAACAUCAUAUUUUUAUUUAUUAUAAUUGUUUAAAGUUAAUUGUUAGGUUGAUAUAUAAUAAAAACGUAUAAUCGUUCUCUUACUAAACACACAUACUCGUAGUUUCUAUCCAUUUGUCAUCUCAAUCUCUCUCAUUUAUCCUUUCUUGAUAGCUCAAAACGCGUCACUGUGGAAAAUAAUAGCAAAACGACAAUAUGGAAAGAAUGGGAAGAAAAUUAAUGCAUGAAAGAGUUGCAGAAGACAACCAAAUAAGUCAACUAUACGCUAGUUGGGUGUAUAAAUUGUUAGAUGUGUUAUAAACAAAUAGCAUAGAGCCUUGGUUGGUUACAGAGAUAGAAAAACUGUGUGUGUUUUUUAGAACUUAAAGAUACAGUUAGAAUGGGUGGUUCAAAAUCAAAAAUGGUGAUAAUGUUUGUUCUGUUAUUAAUAAUAUUAGAAGGUGGGUGGAGUGAAGGAUGUUUGGAUCAUGAGAGAUUUGCUCUUUUGCGACUCAAACAUUUCUUCGAUGAUACUGGUAGUUAUUUUUACUACUGGGCAGAUGGUGAGGGAGCUACUGAUUGUUGUCAGUGGGAAAGGGUUGAGUGCAGCAACACCACAGGCCAAGUGAUAGUGCUAGACCUUUUUGAAACGUAUUUGGGAGAGUACAGCUGGUAUCUGAAUGCUUCUUUGUUUACUCCCUUUCAACAACUUGAGUCACUUGAUUUAUAUGGCAACAAAAUAGUCGGUUUUGUUGAGAAUGAAGGUACUUCGUCUAAUUCAAUUAAUUUACAUUUCGCUCUCCUAAUUUAAGUCGAAUAUCAAGACUGAGCAGCUAUAUGCAUAUUCAUUCAAUUGACAAUUUUUACAUAUUUUUUAAAAUGUUUAAUUUUGAAAUUACACCAAACAUCAUAUGUGGUUUUGAUUUUACUUGCAGGUCUAGAAAGAUUGAACAACUUGAAGAGGCUUGAUUUAAGUUAUAACUUGUUCAACAAUAGCAUCUUAUCAUCUGUGGCUCAUCUUUCUUCACUAACAUCAUUAGAUUUAUCUGGAAAUAGAUUGGAAGGAAGUAUUAAUGUUAAAGGUACGUAAUUAAAACGUCAUCGCUUCUCUCAACUCUUUCAUUAACAUGCUAAAAUAAGAUUCAAGGCUUUGAAUUCAUUUUUUUUUAUGAGUAAAUAUUAGAAAAAUAGUUUUAAGCAAUUCAUAAAUACAAUUUUCAAUGUUUCUCAUAAUUUCAUCUUGUACUUUCGUAUGUCUUGACUUUAAGAUUAAAAAAAAAAAUUACUCUAACUGUGAAGCAAAUACCCCAUGACUAAUUUAUCAUUUCGUCCAGUUAAAAAUGAUAAAAUUUAUCAUUUGUUUAUAUUGAUUAAUUAACUCUAUUUUAAGUCUUAAGUCUUGGCGUCUUGGCAUAUUUGCAGAAUUUGAUUCCUUGAGCAACUUAGAGGAGUUGGACAUGAGCGACAAUGAAAUAGACAAUUUAGAGGUUCCUCAAGGUAAACAAUUAAAAUAUUAUUCAAUUACAUUAAUUUAAUUCGUUUGAUUAGGGAAGACCCAAAAGGUACAAAAUAUAAUAAUAAUAAUAAAGAAACAGAGAAUCUAUAUUAUUUCAAAAAAUAAAACGUAAUACUAUUAUUUCAAAAAUAGAUUGUAAUAAAGAUUUGAUUCCGGUUCUUUAAUCUUUACAGCAAUUGAAAAACGAUGUUGCUCUUUUCCUGAAGCAUAAAAUAUGAAAUGACUCCCAAUACAAUUAAUCAUUUAUUUCGUUUACUCUAAAAUUAGACAAUGAAUCUUUAUUUUCUUCAGUCUUAUCCUAAUUAUUAUUAAUAACAGGUUACAAAGGUUUGAGGAAGUUGAAUUAUCUUGAUCUAUCGAAUGUUGGAGUUAGAGAUGGAAGCAAGUUGUUACAGUCAAUGGGAUCAUUCCCAUCCCUCAACACUCUUUACCUGAAGGAUAAUAAUUUUACCGAUAUAGCGACAACUACUACUCAAGGUAAGUAAAAGAUACAGAUGUGGCCAAAUUUACAAAUAAAUUGUUAAUUAAUUAAUUUUUCCGUAUUAUUAAUAAAGCUAAAUUCGUCGCUCCUUCCUUCUAAUUCUAAACAGAGUUGGCAAUUUCACCAACUUGGAGUAUUUGACAUUGGACUUGUCCUCGCUCCAUUUAAGCCUUCUACAAUUACUUGAAGAAUGAAUUUAUUUAUUAUUAUUAUUGUUGUUGUUGUUGUUGUUGAAGUGAGGUGGGCAAGCGUUCACUCAAUUAAUAUGUGAGGAAUUAAUAAUUACAAUCCAAGGUAGAAUUGUGGAAAAUUAAAGCAAAAUGAGAAAUAUGGAAAGAAAGGAAGAAAGUUAAGGGCAUGAAAGACUAGGAGAAGACUAAAGACCACCAAAUAAGUCAACUGAAAACUAGCUGGGGCCUGGGUGUACAAAUUGUUAGAUGUGUUUGUUAUAAAUAACAUAGAGCCAUCUUGUUGGUUGCAGAGGCAGAGAGACACAGAGUGUGCAUUUUGUUAAUUAAAAAUAUAUAUAAAAUGGGUGGUUCAAAAUCCAAAAUGGUGAUAAUGUUAGUUUUGUUAGUAUUAAUAAUAUUAGAAGGGAGGUGGCGUGAGGGAUGUUUGGUGCAUGAGAGAUUUGGUCUUUCGAGACUUAAAACAUUUCUUCAAUUCUCCUUAUAAUUUUUGUCACGACUGACCGUUGUCAAUGGGAUGGGGCUGGGUGCAGGGUUGAUUUACGUUAGAACAAUAUAGCCGGUAGUGUUGAGAAUGAAGGUGUUUCAUUUAAUUUAAUUAAUUUACUUUCUCCCUCCUAAUUUAAGUGGAAUAUCAAGACUGAACAAUUAUAUGCAUCUUCGUUCAGUUGACAAUUUUGACAUUUUUUUUAAGUGAUUAAUUUUGAAAUUACACCAAACAUUAUUUGUGAUCUCUGUUUUGACUUUACUUGCAGCGCUAGAGACGUUAUCAAGAUUGAGCAACUUGACGAUACUUGAUUUAAGUUAUAACUUGUUCAAUAAUAGCAUCUUGUCAUUUGUUGCCCGUCUUUCAUCAUUAACAUCAUUAGAUUUAUCUUACAAUGGAUUGGAAGGAAGUAUUAAUGUUAAAGGUACGUAAUUAAAACGUCAUCGCUUCUCCCAACUCUUCCAUUAACAUGCUAAAAUAAGAUUCAAGGCUUUGAAUUCAAUUUUUUUUUAUGAGUAAUAUUAGAAAAAUAGUUUUAAGCAAUUCAUAAAUACAAUUUUCAAUGUUUCUCAUAAUUUCAUCUUGUACUUUUGUAUGUCUUGACUUUAAGAUUAAAAAAAAAUUACUCUAACUGUGAAGCAAAUACCCCAUGACUAAUUUACAAUUUUGUCCAGUUAAAAUGAUAAAAUUUAGGGAAAUUAUCAUUUGUAUACCCUUAGUUUACUCUAUUAUCAAAAAUACUACAACACUUUGAGGGUGUAUCAAUCGUCCACCCUAAGUUGACAAAAUGUAUUAGCCAACCACCAAACCGUUAGUUGCCGUUUAAAUAUGAUAACAUCAUAAGGGUAAUCUGGUCUUUUCAUAUGAUACAAGUGAUAAUUUAAGGGUAUACAAGUGAUAAAAAGAGAGUUUAAGGGGAUACAAGUGAUAAUUUUCAAGGGUAAAAUCGUCAAUUUACUGUAAUUCCGUUAACUUUCAAACGGCAAUUAACAGUUUGGUGGUCGGUUGAUACAUUUCAUCAACUUAGGGUGGACGAUUGAUACACCCUUAAAGUGUUGUAGUAUUUUUGAUAAUAAAGCAAAUAUAGGGUAUACGAAUGAUAAUUUCCCUAAAAUUUAUCAUUUGUUUAUAUUGAUUUAUUAACUCUAUUUUAAGUCUUAAGUCUUAAGUCUUGGCAUGUUUGCAGAAUUUGAUUCCUUGAGCAACUUAGAGGAGUUGGACAUGAGCGGCAAUGAAAUAGACAAUUUCAAGGUUCCUCAAGGUACACAAUUAAAAUAUUAUUUAAUUACAUUAAUUUAAUUCGUUUGAUUAGGGAAGACCCAAAAUGUACAAAAACAUAAUUAAAAAAAAUAAAGAAACAGAGAAUUCAUAUUAUUUCAAAAAACAAAAGGUAAUACUAUUAUUUCAAAAAAGAAUGUAAUAAAGAUUUGAUUCCGGUUCUUUAAUCUUUAUAGCAAUUGAAAAACAAUGUUGCUCUUUUCCUAAAGCAUAAAAUAUGAAAUGAGUCAUAAUUGAAUUAGUCAUUUAUUUUGUUUAGAUCUAAAUUUAGACAAUAAAUUUUGAUUUUUUUUUCAAUUCUAUCCUUAUUAUUAUUGUUAAACAGGUUACAGAGGUUUGAGGAAGUUGAAAAGCCUCUAUCUAUCGAAUGUUGGAGUUAGAGAUGGAAGCAAGUUGUUACAGUCUAUGGGAUCAUUCCCAUCCCUCAACACUCUUUACCUGAAGGAUAAUAAUUUACCGAUAUAGCGACAACUACUACUCAAGGUAAGUAAAAGGUACAGAUGUGGCCAAAUUUAUAAAUAAACUGUUAAUUAAUUAAUUUUCUGUAUUAUUAAUAAAGCUAAAUUUUUGCUCAUUCCCUCUAAUUCUAAACAGAGUUGCACAAUUUCACCAACUUGGAAUAUUUGACAUUGCACGGUUCCUCUCUCCAUAUAAGCCUUCUGCAAAGCAUUGCAUCAAUAUUCCCUUCGUUAAAAAAUCUGUCGAUAUCUUUGUGAAGUCAAUGGUGUCGUACAUGGUCAAGGUAAAAGAAAAGUGUUGGUUGUGCACUCACUGAGUGUUGUCCUACGUAUUCAAUAUUUUUAUUUAUUUAUUUUAUUGUUUAAUGUUUCUGCUAGGUUUUCCUCAUUUCAAGAGUUUGGAACAUUUGGGCAUGAUGUCCACGCGCAUUGCACUCAACACCAACUUUCUUCAAGUCAUCAGAAUCGAUGCCUUCUCUUAAGUACUUAUCACUGUCAUAUUCUACUCUUGCACUAACAGCAGCAGGAUUCUUGAUCGAGGUUAAUCAGAUGCUCCCACCCUCCAUUCUUAAUCUAUAAUAUUAAUUUUCAGUUAAAUAUUUAAUUACACAAACCAAUCACUUAUUAUAAAAGAACAAUACGCAUUCAUUAAUUUUUAUAUUAUAUUAAUUGAUGAAUUUAAUAAAUUCCAGGCCUCUGUUCGCCGGUGCAUCUGCAAGAGUUAUACAUUGGUUCUAACGAUUUAAGAGGUAGCUUGCCUUGGUGCAUGACAAAUUUGACAUCCCUCCGAAUAUUAGAUGUUUCUUCCAAUCAACUUACUGGAAGCAUCUCCUCGUCUCCCCUCAUUCAUUUGACAUCCAUUGAAAAGCUGUAUCUUUCAAACAAUCACUUCCAGAUCCCAAUUUCACUUGAACCACUUUUCAAUCAUUCAAGACUCAAGACUUUUUAUGCUGACAACAACGAACUAAAUGCAGAAAUAACUCAGUCACAUUCUUUGACCGCCCCAAACUUCCAAUUAUCACGUCUCUCAUUGUGCAUCCAACGAAAGACAAACCACGUGUAGUCUUUUAAUUAAGCCAAAGUAGCAGCUCAAACAAAUGACACUUGGACCAACAUGCAAUCAUGAAGUGGCCGGAAAAAGGACAAAUGCAACUUUGGCUUAAAUAAAAAAUAACAUGUGACUCGACUUUUGCUGGACAUGCAUCAUGUUAUUACAGACAACAAAAAUCAGUAUGAUAGUACUAAAAGUUGACAAUAACAUGAAGAUAAGAGGCAGAAUGUCAACACAUGCAUAGGCACACAAAGAAAGUAUUAACGUAUAUACCAUAGCAAAAAAGUAUUUGAUAUGUCAUCUGUUGCUGCUGUGAUUCAACUGACAGCAUGGCAGCUGUUGCUUCUCUACCAAGAGCCAUUAUUGUAGAUUAAGCUCGGUCAAUCUUGCUUCUGCAUUUCGAAGCUUCACAGCACUCUCUGCUGAUAUAUCAGAUUCCCUAAUCUUUGAUCGGUGCCUAAAUACUUCAGCUGCCUGGUGAAAAUAUUCAAUAUAAAUCUAAUAUAAAUUCUCAUCUUGCCUUAUGCAUGCAUAUGUUACCUCAAAGCUUACCUGGGCUUCAACUUCAUGUCGAAGUUUGUCAUAACGAUGAGUCAGGUGUCGAGCAUCUUCCAAAGGUGCUCCGUUGAUUAACGCCCGUAGUGGCUCAGAUACCUACAUGUCCAAAAACCUGUAACAUAGUUAGAAAAAUGAAAAGAAAGAGCGAAACCUCAAUUAAAAAGUCCUCCAACAUAAUCAUGGAAUUUGGCCUACUUCAAGGAUAUAUAUAUAGGAUAAUUUAUGCAAUUUUGGGUCUUAGGAUGAUUCAUAUUAGGUUAGUGUUCUUCUCUUCUGUAUUUAAGGUUAAAAUAGAAAUAAACCUAUGCAAAUAUAUAAAUUAGGGCUGUAAGAACACAUGCAACAUGGAUUUGAUUUUACUAUAGAUGCAAGUGUCUUUAUCGAAAAUGCUUGGAGUCAAUUGAGAGAACUCACGGCCAAUAACUUGUCACACGCUAGUCUUUGCUAGUGAUGUAAGAAGUCACAAGGUCUCUUCAGCAUUUGAACCAAUAAAAUUAUUAAGUCAUGGAUGUCACUAGCAAUGAUUUUAAUAUAAAAUAUUAAAUAUUUCAAGUUGUAACUUUAAAAUGGAUUCUUUUAUUCAAUAUCUUAGAACUAAGUUUCCUUAUGAGAAGAUAAUAGUUUCAGUAGUAAUGUACAUAUAAUUUUCUAUAUUGAAUUAUUUUCUAGUAGGGAUGAACUAACCUGAUCACGAAGAAUCCCAAGCAAAGUUUCCCUCUCAUUUUCCAUCAAAUCAUGUGAAGUGCCAAAUUGAAGAGCAGCUCUUGCAACGCAAGAAUUGUCACUUUGAUUCUCCACUCCAUACUUGCAACAAUCUUCGGCCAACUUUCUCGCUACAAUAUUUGAAUACAAAAAUAUUGUACACAAGAACUAGUCAAGAAAAUUAAAAAAAAAAUCAAAUAUUUAACGAGAGCAAGAGCAAACGAACAACCUAUUUCCAUUUGUUUCAAGCUUACUGCAACAAACACUUCAACGCCACGGACAACAUUCCUCUGACAAUAUUCCAAAUUAUUGUUCAGAUAAAACCAUAGAAACCAUCAUAAUUGUUCAACAUACAUUAAGCUAAAGGAGGAUGGUGCCUUAGCUGCCCUGGUGGAAUUGUAUAGAUUUUGAAGUUGUUGGUGACACUCAAUUUCAGAUUCAUCAACCGCAACAUUUUCAAUACCAAGAUGGAGCAGAUGCUUCAAUACUGCCUGUACAAAUCAUAAAAAAAUGAAAAAUAAAAUAAAAUCGAGAAAUUUCACUAACUAAAAGUCUAAAUUAAUUUUUUAAAAAGAAAAGAAACGGACUUGCUGCUGCUUGGCGACUUGUUCUCGGGCUUGAUUGCUGUUCUUGAUAGCUUCCAUACUGUUUCUUUCAAAAGCGACGACGGCUCGCUCAUGGGAGUGGAAAAAAAAGUGUGAUCGGGAAAAUAAAAAGGCAUGAAUAAUUUUUGAAAAAAAGCGAAAAUCAAGGAAGCCAGCUCUUUCCAGAAAUAAAAAAGAAAAAAAAAAGAAAUUAUAGUUUGAAGGAGAAGAUGAUGUGGAAGUGCGGUGUGGCUGACAGCUACUUGGAUUGUAUUGUCGGGUAGGUAAUAGUAGAGAAUUUUUUUUUAAGAAAAUAGUAGAGAAUUUUUUAGAAGCUAGAACAGAGCAUGACAUUAGACUUUUGUUGACCAAGGAUGUUGUUUUAUUCUUCUAUACUUUACGUUUGGUUUGGUUUUUCAAACUAAAUAAUCAGUAGCAAAAUACAAUUUAGAGAUUAGGGGGUGAACUAGCUAGGUGGUUUACAAAUAUUCUAUUUGUAAGGUGAAUUAAUUGAAUCAUGAGAAAACAAUGUGACCAUAGCUCAAUAUGAGAUGAUUUCGGAGAGGCAUAUUGUUUUCAAGUGAAUUUGAUCCAUUAAGAGAUGAAGUGGAUUGAAGUGGAAAGUUUAAAUAACAAAUCCUUGUUCUUGAGUUUUACGACGUUGUUACUCCUUCAGGUGGCAGAUUAUGCAAGUGAAUUCAAAAACACAAUGCAUCAAUCACGGGGAUGCUACAUCAAAGACGGGAUCAUAGUCUAUGCAUUGAACAGUUACAGUUGCUGCUACCAAUUGCCUCGGCAAAGAUCAAGAAGACUGAACGGGAAGUUAAUGCCAUCAAGGAGUUGUCUAGUGUUCUUUUCCUUAUGCUAUGAUCGGUGCUCUUGAGGCUGCCCUGAAACACAGGAAAAUACUUCGAUAUCCUCCAUUCGAUGAUGCAAAGAACGGUUAAUGUAUGAUUACCUAAUUGACUCAGGAUCAGGUAACAACAACAACAAUUUUUAAUAGUAAUAUCACAAACGAAGAAGAUUUCGGAGAGGAGAUGUAAGCGUAUACUGUUUACAGGUUUGAUCCACUGGGGAUGAAGUGGUCUCAAGUGGAAAGUGAUUUAUUAAACAACAAAUCAUUGUUCUUGGUUAUACCUCAUGAUGUCAUCAAGUGGAAGAUGAAGAUCGUUUGAUAUUGAAGAAUUUGAACAGAAAGCCCAUAGAAAGUACUUAAAUAAGCAUAUUUUGUUGGGGUAGAAUAUUAAGAAAGGAGUUGUCUACUGUGUGUUGCGUAAUUAUGCUAUGAUCGGUGCUUUCAACAUUGCCCUGAAAACAGUGGGAAAUACUUCAUACCCUCGACAUGAUGAUGAAAAAUUGGUUACCGAUUACCUAAUUGACUCAGGUGACAACAAUCCAUUAAUAGCACAAUUUGACGUGAUGCCGUUUAGGUAUAUGGUUUUCAAGUUUGAUUCAUCAGUGAUGAAGCGGACUAAAAUUAAAAGUUUAAAUGAUAAGUCAUUGUUCUUGGGCAUAUCGUCAUUACUACUUCCAGUGAUCAACGAUGAAGAUGAAGAUGAAAAUUGUGCGAGUUCAAGAUUACCAUUUAUCAUUACUUGGGAUAUUACUUCAACAUAGAUGGGGUUAUAAUUUACUCCCACGAACAUCAACUCAACUUUAUGAUUGGAGUGUCUCACCGUGACUCAGACAAAUUCUGAUUCAACCUCCUUCACCAAUGGAUUUUGAUUAGUUAUUUUGUGAUCAAGCAACUUAAUUAAACUCACAGUUUGUUAGUCUAAUUUUAGUUUUACUGUGACCACUAUUCAAGGUAAGCGAAAGUUACAGAUGUGGCAAAAUCAAUAAUUAAAUUCAUAAAAUGUUAAAAAUAAAACUUAUAAAUGUUGCAUGACUACUUACUAAUAAAUAAAUAAGUUAGAAUGUAGUUAGUUAAUUUUACACCAUAUUAUAUAUUAUUCGAUAAUAAUAUAAAAUAAAAAUAAUUAAAAAAUAAAUAAUUGAAUAAAUAAAUAUGGCUUUCUAAACAGUAAAAAUUCUAGAGUUAAAAUUUAUAUUAUUAUUUUAUUUUUUAAAAUUGACAUUUUUCUAUUGUCUUACAUGUACAAAGAUUUUGAGAGUUGAGAAGAAUAUAUUUAAUGAAGCUUGAUAACAUUUGAUGGGAUAGCAAGUAAGGGUAAAUAAGAUAUUUUUAUUUGUUAUUUAUUUGAAUUAUAUCUAUUUGUUCAAGUUAAAAUACUAAAUAUAAAUUGGAGGUAGACAUUUUAACAGAUCAUCUAAGCUCUCAAAUCUGAAAUUUUGUGUAGAUUUAAAUUCAUAAUCCCCAAUUAUUUGAUCAGCAACUAUCAAGAACUAACCAAAUUUAUUUCUUCAUGACUUCCAAACACUAGAAAAUUUUGUUAUUUGAUAAUAAUAUCAUUAAUUAGAGUUUAUCAAACCGCAUUAUUUUCUUUCAUAAAAUUGAUGCCUAUUAGUGUCACACUUUAUUUGUAUUACCUAGCGGACAUCAACUUUUUUUUUAAUUUUUUAAAUUAAAAAGACCAUUUGAUUUUAACCCAUGUUCUUGGCCUUAGGGAAGCUGACUUCUUUUAUAGUCAGGCGAUGAGUUAAGAAGUGACAUAGCAUUCAGGCGAUGAGUUUAUUUUUGUUAUCUUGCUAACAGUUUUAGUCUAAUUUUAGUUUUACUGUGACCACUAUUCAAGGUAAGCGAAAGUUACAGAUGUGGCAAAAUCAAUAAUUAAAUUCACAAAAUGUUAACUAAUUAAAUUCAUAGAGUUGCACAAUUUCAUCAACUUGGAAGAAUUGACUUUAAUGGACUGGCCUUCUCCCCUAUAAUUCUAAUGCUUCUAGGAAGCAAAUUUUUAUAAAUUAUUUAUUUUUGAGUUAAUUUCAAUUUCAAAAAACAAAUUUUUUAAGUUAUUGAUACUCUAAUGAGAGUAUCUUCAUAACAAUUCCCUUGCUCCAAUAAUAACAAAAAGGUGGUUACUUAGAAAUAAUUAAAAUAAAUAAGUGUUGAUUAUAUAUCCUAAUUUGCAUCGAUUUUUUUUUACCUUAAUUUCAGGAAUUUGGAAUAUAAGUUUGUGAAUGGAGGAUGAUCACGCGUGUGUUAAUUUUUCAGUCAUUGACUGUCGUAUUCUCGACUUAACGAUAGUGUUCUUGAUCAAGGGCAAUGACUCCCACCCCUCUUUUAAAAAUAUUGUCAAGUAUAUUGAUGACAAAAUCUCUUAUAGUUAAUAGUCUUUAAAAAUUUAUAGAUUUACUAUUGUCAUGACCAAAUUAUUCAUGUUUAAUGAAAUAUUAAUGCAUCAAAAUAGAUAUCUUCGGAAUCUAAUCCGAUCGGCUCAAUCCGUUUCAUUCGCAAAAGUGCAAUCCGCAAAAAUUUGAUCUGUGGAUUAGUGGAUUGGAUUGGAUUGAAAGUUUAAAAAUCCAUAGUCGAUAAAUUGGAUAUCGAUUUACUUCUCUAAAUAUGCAAAAAUUCAUGAAUUCGCAAAAAAAAAAUGUAUUUACUAAUAAAUAAAUAAGUUAAAAUGUAGUUAGUUAAUUUAACACCAUAUUAUAUCUUAUUCGAUAAUAAUAUAAAAUAAAAAUAAUUAAAAAAUGAAUAAUUGGAUAAAUAAAUAUGACUUUCUAAACAGUAAAACUUCUAGAGUUAAAAUUUAUAUUGUUAUUCUAUUUUUUUAAAUUGACAUUUUUCUAUUGUCUUACAUGUACAGAGAUUUUGAGAGUUGAAAAGAAUAUAUUUAAAUAAAAUAUUUUUAUUUGUUAUUUAUUUCAAUUAUAUCUAUUUUGUUCAAGUUAAAAUACUAAAUAUAAAUUGGAGGUAGGCAUUUUAACAGAUCAUCUAAGCUCUCAAAUCUGAAAUUUGUGUAGAUUUAAAUUCAUAAUUUUAGUUAAUUUUCAUAUAUUCAUAUAAACAAAUUUAUGAGAUUUUUUUCUUUUCAACAUGUUAUAUUUUUAAACUUUCAAUGUAUUAUUUUAGCUAUAUUUAAACAAUUAAUUUAUUUAAUUUUAAAUUUGAUCAGUAUAAAAUGUUUUUAUAUCAAAUUUUUUUAUUUAAAUAGUUCGUGGAUUGGACAAAAUUAAACAUUUUUAAUUCUUAAAUGAUGGAUUGGAUAUGAAUUGGAUCAAAUCCACAUUCGAUCCGCAGUUAUAUGGAUUGAAUUUGAAUUGAAUUUCAUCAAUCUAUGGAUUAUAUUGGAUUAAAAAUUUAUAAUCCACAAAAUCGUUGAUUAGAUAUGGAUUGAUGUCCAAUUCGCAAAAUCUAAUUGCCGAACACUCCACUAUCAAAAUUUUCAAAAUAUGUUUUAUCCUAUAAUUUUUUUUUAAAGUCAUAGUCUAAUGGCAGCUCAAUUUCUACUGCAUUCAUAUAAGCGGAGUUCAAAUCUCAUACCUCUUAUCUCCACACGAGAUUUAACCAGUUGAAAUAGCUAGCACCCACAAAUAUACUAGUACAGCAUCUCUUAACGUUUAACAUACGUAUAAUUAACGCCAUAGCUAUUGAUAAACACAUUGUUCAAUAUAUAUGAUCAAGAAUCUGAUCCUGCGAGCAACAGCAGUAAGAAGAACCAUUAUAAUGCCUAGCUCUUAUCCCGGUUAAUCCUCUGGCCCGAUGCUUCAUCAUAGUGAUUUAAAAAACAAACAACAGCUCUCUAAAAGAGAUGAAGAUAUCAUCUACGUAAAGAACAUGAAACGGAGAUUCACAACCCAUAAGAACUGAGAUAAAUUGGACCAGACCGGUAAUCUUGAGAUAAGUUAAACUGUGACCUAAGUUGAAAUCAGAGGACCAGAAUUUUAAAAUCUUUCGGCUAAGCCCCUGAGCAAUUUUCUAGAGUACGGCUUCUGCUUACCUCUGUUUAAUUUCUCUUUAUAUUUUUCUUUCAUUUCAUUAAUAAAGUCAAAUAAUAAAUCAAAGAACGAGGGAAGAUUUUUCCAAGUCAUGCAUUAUUUGAUUACCAUCAAUCAAGAAACCGACCAAAUUAAUUUCUCUCCGUGAUUUUUAAAAAUUAAAAAAAAAAUUAUUUGAACAUAACAUCAUUAAUUAUAGAGUGGAUCAAACUGCGUUAAUCAUGAAACUGAUACCUAUUAAGAGUCAAACUUUUUACUUAUGCAUACUAAAAGACAUCAAAUUGUUCCGAUCCCCAAUUAUUUGAUCAGCAACUAUCAAGAACUGACCAAAUUUAUUUCUUCAUGACUUCCAAACACUAGAAAAUUUUGUUAUUUGAUAAUAAUAUCAUUAAUUAGAGUUUAUCAAACCGCAUUAUUUUCUUUCAUAAAAUUGAUGCCUAUUAGUGUCACACUUUAUUUGUAUUACCUAGCGGACAUCAACUUUUUUUUUAAUUUUUUUAAAUUAAAAAGACCAUUUGAUUUUAACCCAUGUUCUUGGCCUUAGGGAAGCUGACUUCUUUUAUAGGUGAUAUCUGCUUGAACUUUGGUGUGUUAAUUAUUUCAAUCCCCAAUUAUGUAAUUUUUAAAUUAUAGCCUAACGGCGGUCUCAUCACCACGUGUGUGAUUUUCUUUUGCCAAUAGGAUCUGCAGAGAGCUUGAUCUCAUCCAAUAGCAAAAUAAACUUCCUAAUAAGUGAAGGUAUAGUAUAAAUAUUUCACCCCCAUAUUAUUUAUUAGCAGCUUGAUUAUUUUAUAUGCAUCUUUGAUUUUAAUUUUUUUUCCCAUAAUUGCUACUAUGUUCGAACUGGUCAUGAAUUAUCUAUAAGAUUUUUCAUGUUGCUUUUAGGUGCAUUGGAUUUUUUGAGUUUAGUGCAAGAGUAGAGGAAGGCAAAUUAAGAAAAAGGAUAAAGAUCUAUGAUUAGCUAUUUUGGGAUGUCUCAUAACAUAUUGAUGCUAACAUUAUACAUAUGUAUAUCUAAAUAAUGGGCUUGGAUCAAGAGCCCAUUAAUAAUCAUAGAUUAGCUUAUAUAGUUCAAAAAAUGUACCAUAAAGCAAUUUUACAAGCACUUGUUAGCCUAUGUUGAGCUUUAUUAUCAAUAGUUCAUAGUUCAUCAGUGCACUGCAAGUUUACUAUUUGAAGUAAAUGUUGUGGUGCGUGCAUUCUUCAUAAGGCCAACUAUUGAAUUUAGCAUUGAAACUUACAAAAUGUAAUAGAAAGAGGUAGAUAACAGCCAUAAAACACUAAGAUUGGAAAUCAGGGCAACUAAAUACUAUUACAAGCCCUUAGAAAAGACAGCGAUCAUCCUGAAAUAUAUAUACUGAAAGUAAGAAAUGUUAAUCGCAAAGUUAUGUGCCAACAGAACUAUUGACUACUUGUCUCUAGUAGAAAGUAAAUAUUUUUAACUUCAGCCCUCUACUUUGUUCUAAGAACAAGGCAAUAUAAGGAAACAUCGGUGUCUAAAAUUUGCCGCUUGGAAUAUUUCACUGUCUAAACAUUCACUCACCACUUAUUUCAUUAAUGAAUUUUGUCUAAUUAUAUGUUGAUAAAGAUAUUAGAGUAAUAUAAUACAUUUAAGGCUUAACUUAUAUUUUUUAUUAGUAGAGUGUAGAACUUUUAAGAAAUAAAUUAUUAAAUUACUAUAACUAACAUAUUAUUUUAAAGUUAUGUUAAGGAAAAGAAUGAAACAAAAAUAAAUAAAUAAAUAAGGGUAUUCUAAAACUUUGAUCUUUUUAAAAGUAGAUUUUGACAUAGAUAAAAUAAUUUUUAUAUUUUUUAAAUCACAUACUCUAGUUAAAAUCAAAUUUGUAUUUAUAAAGUUUGUAAAUUUUUUUUUUUUUUUAGCACUGAUAUUUGAACACUAUCAAGAUAAGAAAUAGGGCACUGGUCAUGCUACAACAUUAUUAUAGCACAUAAAAAGACAAUACCAUUUAUUUUAUUGUACUAUCAUUGUUGUUAUAAUAGUAUUUUGUUAGUGGUCAAAUAUUAUUUUUUUAAGUAAAAAAAGUGAACAAUGUAAAUUAACUUUUAAUCUCUCCUAAAAUUCUAAUUCCUAGUUACGAAACAAAAUUGUUUAAAACCAUAGGUGAUAGGUGAUAGAAGUUACUAACACAAGCAAAUUUGACGGUCCAUUUUAUAAAAUUUGUUAUUUACCAUUUUACCACCUAUAUAAGGAGUGCCGCAUCGACAUAUCAACUCAUUUGCAGAUUAUUUUAAUUUUGUAAAAUUCAUUUAACCUGCACUUGGUCGCCCCUAUUCUCUGAAUGGUUAUGGCGAUAUCAUCAUUAUCGUUACUUGUACCAACGCUAAACCCUUCUUAUUCCCUUUCUCGCCUGUCAUACCCUAACAUUAUAUCCCGUGUCCACACUAAAGACAAGUAGUCAAUUCAAGCCAUCAGAUUAUAGUGGACCCACAUCAAUCCAACUACUUACAAUGACCGACAGCCUCUCCAUCUCCAUUUCAGGUUUCCUCUUCAACUGGCUUCUGCUUCCGCUGUAUUUGCUCCAUUUCUUGGAUUCGGAGUCCGUAUUUGGUCGGUCGGUCCCGCACAGCUCCCUCUCACUCCAAUUGUCACCCAACAAGACCAAUUGCUUAAUCAAGGCACAGAACAAGAAGAGGAUGAGAAAUUGAAACAAGAAUUUGAGAAUUGGAAAUCGAAAACGUACGCAUUGACCGUGCCUUUGAGGGCAAUUACUUUUCUUGAGAAUUGAAGUUUGGUAAUGUAAUUUGUUCUCCAUCUGUGUUCCCUUUGUAGUCAUUUCAUUUAUUUGUUUGUUUGCUUUUAUUUGCACUUACGAAGUCUCAGGUAUACCUACGCAGGAAUGAUGCAGGAGAAAUUGAUCCUCGAGGUAACAUAUGGGCGGCGCCAUAUCGGUGGGGCACAGUGGUGAUAGCUUACAAGAAAAGUAAAUUUCGAAAGCAUAAUUUGGUUCCGAUUGAGGUAAUAAUUGUCUUUAAGCUCAUUUAGUUUUAUAUCAAACAAAAUCAAGACUGCCUUUCUCUUCAAUAGUUUUGAUGAUAAUAUCUUUAGAAGCAUCUCAUUGACAGGUAAUCGUGGUACCCCUUAAAGAGUCUAUAAACUCAAGGAUAUUAUCUUCUGCAAAUGGUUCAUUAAACUUCUUAGAUGUAGUUAAAUGUACACUGAGAACAACGAGAAGCUAUGCCACUGUAGCAUGUAGUGAUGGCACUUAAUGAGUGAGUUGCUAGGAUAUGAACUAGAAAAAUUAAAUAUUGUCUCCCUCUCCCUGGGUAUGCUAGCUCAUAAGUCAGGGUUAAUAUUAGAGCUUGAGAUACUAUAACCAUGAGAAGCUAUUGACCACCAGUUAAAAUAUCCAUUAAAAUGUCUAGGGAGUUAUGAAGGUGGAGGUAUCUCCCAAUUUCUAAGGCCAUAUAAUAGACAUCAUCCAGGAUCCUAUAGAGUGCAGUUAGCCUCCUGCUUGAUGCUAAUGUCAAACAAUUAAUAAAUUUGGUCAAUGUAACUGAAACUUGCUAAUUGACGUCAGAUUGCGACUUGAGCACCUUAAAAUGGGAUAGACGAUUAGUGGCACUGAAUUCUUCUUGCCUAAGAUUGAGCAAUUGUUUUAACUACUAUCUCCUAUUGUAGGUUGAUUAUUAUGUUUUAAUUAUGUCCAUUUUGACCCAAAAAAUUACACAAUCUUGAUCUGCAUUUUGUCACUGAGCAGUGUCAAUAUCGUCUAACAACUAACUUGAUUUUGAUAUGACAAACACACGGUGUGUCUCUCAUGUCUCACCCAUGUCUCACCAUGAUGGAGAAUUUUUCUAAUGCAUGAAGUAAGCUUUGAUAUGUGGGUUAGCUUGGAGAACAUAUCUCAAAAUGAAGAAGAUGGGGAGUUAAUGGGAAGAAACAGUCCAGUAGUUUAUAAUUCUGUCGACGAGCUGUAUCUCUAACAUGGUCAAAAUUUAUGUGAAUAAGGACAGGGAAUCGUCAUUCCUCUUUUCCUUUUUAUACCGGGAUAUCUCUCAACCUUUAUAUGUUGCCCGCUGGAGAUCUCCUUCUAAUAACUAAAAUAAAAAUUUCAUCCACUCAAAUAAAUGUUGACCAAGCUUUCACAAGAAAAAGUAACGUCUUUAGUGAAGUAAUUUACAGUUCCUUAUCAUCUUCGUGUGAGUCUAUCAGUAUGAUCCAAAAACAUAAUAAAUCUUGUUAGAUCCUGUUUAUUGAUGUUUAAAUGUUGUUCAUUGUGCAAUGUAGAAAUGAUGACGUGAAGUUUCUUUGGUCAUCAAUUAGUGAGAUCUUGUUUGAAGUUGUUUUCUGAAAUGAACUGCAAAAUGGUAGUUUUUUUUUUUUUCUUGGGUGCAUUUGAUGGCUCUUUUCUCCUCAUUUUAAGCAUGUGUCUGCUUGAAAUGGGAAGGAAUAGGCUUCAGAGUUGUUAUAUAUGUUGAUAUGCUCUGGUCAUUACACAAUAUGUUCAAAUUGGAAAUUAGAAUGAGAUAUUUGUUGAUGCUUUUUGAGAGAUCUGCAUUCUAUGCACCAUAACAUGAUUAAUGAAAACGGGUUUAAGGACUGGAAAGAUCUGUGGCAGCCCAAGCUUGCAGGAAGGAUUUCAAUGGUUAAUUCUCCUAGAGAGGUUAUUGGUACAGUUUUGAAGUAUAUGGGAGUAUCAUACAAUUCAAACGACAUUGGGAGGAUUGCUGUUCAGCAGAAUCUGGCAUUACUGGGAAACCAGGUACUCUUAAAGAAACGAUAUCUGGUCAAUGCAUAUUAUUGGGUGACGGCUGAUUUUGUUUGUAAAGUGUGCCUUUUCAUACCUAUGAAUGCAUAUGUUAGUGUUGUGUUCUCCUUUCCAUAAAUAUGAAUGCAUAUGUUGGUGUUCUUUUCUGAGAUGGAUGCAAUAAAGGCUUUUUCUUCUAAAUUUAGUUGAAGAAAUGGCAAGGAAUGUGAGAUUCUAUCUCAUUAAAUUAACAAAAACCCAAAACAGUGAAAACCCAUAUUAUGUGGAUGAAUUGGCGACAUUUGGCUUGUUUCCUGAACGUGAAUUAGCAAGCAAUAGAGACUAAAAAAAUGGAGUGAUAAUAACAAGUCAUUGUCAUUUGAUGAAUGCAUUUUUAAGCAAAAAUAGGUUUGUAACUGAAUAAAUUUGUCUGGCAUGCCAAUAUCAAAAAAUUAAAUUAUGUGGUUAUGAGCUGUAAUGAAGGGGGAUUGUAGGUGCAAUCAGAUCGAUCCAAGAAAGUUCAACAAAGUUCUGGUUUGGUGUAGUGAAAUUGGUUUGUGCAACUUGAGUCUUUCAGAUGAACAAUGACGAGUUUUCAUUUAAAAAUGUUAUAAAUCUGCCAUGCAUAGUAUUCUAGUAGAAUCAUCUAUAAAUUCAAGUUAUUGAAAUUGUCUAUUUGUCCAGUUUGAGUUAAGGACGCAUGUAAUAUGAAAAAUUGUUGUCGAAUAUUGUAGGUUAGCUAAUAUUUGAUCAAUCCUAUAGGGAGGGCUUUAAGAUGUCUAACAACAUGUAGAAUGCCCCUGCUUCCCCCACAAUUUUUAUCUUAUACAAUUUUUAUCUAUAAACAGUAUUUGCCAGACCUUAACCGUUCAGAUUCCCCUUCUCGACUAUCAUACCCUACGCCCCAUCUCCGUGUCUCCGAUAAACAGUGCUCAAUUAAGGCCAUCAGAUUAUCCCGGUCCCGCAUUGAUCAACGGCUCACAAUGGCCGACAACCUCUCUGUCUCCAUUACAAGCUCCCUCUUCAACUCGCUUCUGCUUCCACCUACUCUUUCUCGGAUUCGGAGCCCGUAUAUGCUCAGCUGGUCCCACAAAGCUCCCUCUCACUCCAGCUGUCAACCGACAAGACCAAUUGCCUUAUCAAGACACAGAACAAAAAGAGGAUGAGAAAUUGAAACAAGAAUUUGAGAAUUGGAAAUCGAAAACGUACGCAUUGACUGUACCUUUGAGAGUUGUUUCUCUUCAGAAUUCAGUGCCUCAAUCUUGGGUUAAGGAUUUUAUGCGAAGUCAAGGAAAGUGAUUGAAGUUUCAGAUGAAUUUGUGUGCUAGCAUUGGUGGGAUCUUUAACAAUUUAUCUCUGCCCUUUAACAAAGUCAAGGCUAAUUCAGCUACUUAUAUGGCUGCUGAUUUGGUUAGUGUUGGUGAUUCAUGGCUUAGUUUUGCCAUUAAAGAGAGAUUGAUUGAGCCAACGGCUGGAGCUGAAGACCAAGAUUGGUUCAAAUGCUUAAGUCACAAAUGGAAGGUAACAUCUUUAUCUUUGACCCGAUAAUUUUUAUUGUCUUACAUUGAAAUUUGGUAAUGUAAUUUGUUCUCUAUCUGUAUUACCCUUUUUAGUCGUUUUAUUUAUUUGUUUAUUUGCUUUUAUUUGCACUAACGAAGUCUCAGGUAUAUCUACGCAGGAAUGAUGCAGGAGAAAUUGAUCCUCGAUGUGAAAUAUGGGCGGCACCAUACAGGUGGGGCACAAUGGUGAUAGCCUACCAGAAAAGUAAAUUUCGAAAGCAUAAUUUGGCUCUGAUUGAGGUAAUAAUUGUCUUUAAAAUCAUUUAGUUUUAGAUCAAACAAAAUCAAGACUGCCUUUCUCUUCAAUAUUUUUAUGAUAAUAUCUUUAGAAGCAUCUUAUUGAUGGGUAAUAAUUGUAUCCCUGAGACAGUCUAUAAACUCAAUGAUAUUAUCUUCUACAAAUGGCUCAUUAAACUUUGUCGUUGUAGUCAAAUGUACACUCAGAGCAAUGACAAGCUAUGCCACUGUAGCAUGUAGUGAUGGCACUUAAUAAGUGAGUUGCUAGGAUGUGAACUAGAAAAAUUAAAUAUUGUCUCCCUGGGUAUGCUAGCUCAUAAGUCAGGGUUAAUAUUAGAACUCAAGAUACUAUAACCAUGAGAAGCUACUGACUGCCAAUUAAAAUAUUCUUUAAAAUGUCUAGGAAGUUAUGAAGGUGGAAGUAUCUUCCGAUUUCUAAGGCCACAUGGUAGAUAUCAUCCAGGAUCCUAGUACAGUGCAGUUAACCUCCUGCUUGAUGCAAUUAAUAAGUUUGGUCAAUGCCACUGAAACAUGCUAACUGACGUCACAAUGCGACAUGAGCACUUCAAAAUGGGACAGACGGUCGGUAGCACUAAAUUUUUCUUGCCUAAGAUUGAGCAAUUGGUCUAACUACUAACCCCUUUUGUAGGUUGAUCAUUAUUUUUUCAUAUUUUCAGUUUGACGGAAAACGUUACAGAAUCUUGAUCUGAAUAUUGUCACUGAACAUUGUCAAUGUCGUUUAGCGUAGCCAAUUAACUUGAGUUUGGUAAAACAAAUACACAGUGUGUCUCAUGUCUCACAAUUCAAAUUAUCAUUUGUAAUGAUGGAGAAUUUUUCCAAUGUAUGAAGUAUGCUUUGAUACGUGGGUUACCUUGGAGAAGGUAUCUCAAAAUAAAGAAUAUGGGGAGAAAACAGUUCAGUAGUUUAUUAUUAUGUAGUCAAGUUUUGUCUCAAAAAUGGUCCAAAUUUAAAUGAAUAAGGACAGGGGAUCUUCAUUCUUUUUUCCCUUUUUUAUACCGAGAUAUCUCUCAACCUUUAUUUAAUCCCCACUGGAUAUCUGCUUCUAAUAAUUAAAAUAAAAAUUUCACCCACACAAAUAAAUACUGACCAAGCUCUAACAAUAAAAAGUAACAUCUUUAGUCAAGUGAUUUACAGUUCCUCAUCAUCUUAGUGAGACUAUCAGUAUGUUCCAAAAACAUAAUAAAACUGGUUUGUUCCUGUUUAUUGAUGUUUAAAUGUUGUUCAUUGUGACAUGUAGAAAUGAUGAGGCGAAGUUUAUUUGGUCAUCAAUUUGUAAGAUCUUGUUUGAAGUUGUUUUCUGAAAUGAACUGCCAAAUGGUGGUUUUUUUGGGGCAUUUGAUGGCUCUUUUUUCCUCAUUUUAAACAUGUGCCUGCUUGGAACAGGAAGGAUUAGGCUGCAGAGUUGUUAUAUAUUUUGACAUGCUCUGGUCAUUGCACAAUUUGUUCACACUGGAAAAUAUAAUGAGAAAUUUGUUUCAUUCUAUGCACAAUAACAUGAUUAAUGAAAAUGGAUUGUAGGACUGGAAAGAUCUGUGGCAGCCUGAGCUCGCAGGACGAAUUUCAAUGGUUAAUUCUCCCUGAGAGGUUAUUGGUUUAGUUUUGAAGUAUAUGGGAGCAUCAUUCAAUUCAAACGAUAUUGAUUCGCAAGUUGCUGGUGGGAAGAUAGCUGUUCAGCAGAAUCUGGCAUUACUGGCAAACCAGGUACUCUCAAAGAAAUGAUAUCUGGUCAUCGCAUGUUAUUGCCUGACAACUGAUUUUGUUUGUAAAAGUCUGCUACUUCAUACAUAUGAAUGCAUAUGUUAUUGUUUUCUUCUCCUUUUCAUACAUAUGAAUGCAUAUGUUGCUUCUUUUCCUUUCCAUACAUAUUAAUACAUAUGUUGGUGUUCUCUCCUGAGAUGGAUGCAAUAAAGGCUUUUCUGAAGAAAUGGCAAGGGAUGUGAGAUUCUGUCUCAUAAAAUUAACAAAAACCCAAAAACAAUGAAAACCCAUAAUAAUGUGGUGUGGGUAAAUUGACGCCAUUUGGUUCGUUUCCUUGAUGUGAAUACGCGGGCAAUAGAGACUAACAAAAUGAAGUGACAACAAGAAGUCAGUGUCCUUUGAUGGAUGCAUUUUUAGGCAGAAAUAGGUUUGUAAUUGACCAAAUUUGUCUAGCAUGCCAAUUUCAAAAAAAUUAAAUUAUGUGGUUAUUAGCUGUAAUGAAGGGGGAUAGUAGGUCCAAUCAGGUGGAUCCAGGAAAGUUCAACAAAGUUCUGGUAUGGCGUAGAAAUUGGUUUGUGCAACUCAAGAGUCUUUCUGGUGAACGAUGAUGGGUUUUGAUUUAUAAAUGUUAUAAAUCUACUGUGCAUAGUAUUCUAGUAGAAUCAUCUAUAAGUUCUAGUUAUUGAAAUUGUCUACCUUGUUCAGUUUUAGUUAAGGGCACAUGUAAUAUGAAAAAUAGUUGUUGCAUCUUUUAGGUUUACCUAACAUUUGAUCAAUCCUAUUAUGAGGGCUUCAAGAUGUCUAACAAUAUGUGGAAUGCCCAUGCUCCUCCCCAUUGUUUAUCUUUAUAUAAUAAUUUGUUUUAGAUGCUAAUAUCUUUGUCGAUACCGGUAACAAUAUUAGAAUAUCUGCGUUUAUUGGGUUUUACAUAGGUUCGACUGUUUGACAGUACACACUAUCUGAAGGCAUUUGGAAUUGGAGAUGUAUGGAUUGCUGUUGGGUGGAGUAGUGAUGUUCUUCCUGCUGUCAAACGUAUGUCUAAUGUUGCAGUUGUUGUUCCCAAGUCUGGUGCUAGCUUAUGGGCUGAUCUUUGGGUAUACCCAUGCCUGCCAUUCUACUUCAAUAUUCACAUUGUUAUCUCCUUCAUAUUAGUGAUCAGUAAACAUGAUAAUGUGACUAAUAAGUUCGUAUUCUCUUUAUAGGCAAUCCCUGCUGCCUCAAGACUUGAAACAAAACAAAUUGGACGGUGAGUCAGAGGUGCAUUUCCAUUAAUCCAUCAAUGGAUAGAAUUCUGCUUGCAAACAGCGAGAGCAUUGCCUUUCAAGCAAGAGGUUAUCCCGAGCGCAUCUCCCUCUGCCCUUGAGAGUACUCUGGUUAAGUUGCCUGAAGAACUUUUUAAGGGUAAACCAAGUCUGGAUACUAACUUAAUUGCUGGAGUACCCGACUGAAAUUAUGGCCAGAUGUGAGUUUUUGGAGCCAUUAUCUGAAGCUACAUUGUCGGAUUAUGAGUGGCUGGUUGCUAAUCUGCAAAAAUCCACUCCUGUACUGAUCAACAAGAUGCAACAUUACAUGUCAUCAUUGAUCUUUAGCUAAAGGUACAUUGAAUAUUGAAGUAGGUCAGAGCAUAACUUCAUUAGGAAAAGAGGCUUCAGCUACGUUAAAUAUUACAGGAUGUACUGAGAUGGCUGAAGUUGUUGAGGUUUUACGAGAAACGAAAGAUAGUGUUUGUUUGAACAAAGUUGUUGCCAAUCUUGCAGAGUUCGAGAAGAAAGAUCACGAAGCGAAUGCCACCGAUUUAUUCAUCAUUGUAGCCUCCAUAGUUGAAGUUUCCUCAUUUGAAGCUGUUUAUGCAUAUGCUUUUUCCCUUCUCAAGUACAGGAAAUUGAAGAAUUAACCAGAUGUGAUGUGCUGAAAGAGGGAAGUUUUCUUCCUUGAAUGUGGCGAAGAACCCUAUCAAGGUAGAUGGCGAAGAACCCUAUCAAGGUAGAUUUUAUGAUGUUAACAUAUUAUUAAGCAUUUUGUUACAUCAGCAAUGAUGCUUUCAUAGCAGCAUGAAAGUGUUUAAAUUUAACUGAAUGAUCUUGACUGAUCAAUUAUGAGUUUUAAUCGAGUAAAAACUAAAUACAAUAAUCGUUAACAAAUAUUGAAAUUGGGUAAAUAAGAUCUUGAUAGUGAAGAAUUUGAAAUCACAACCCACACAGGAAAUCACCCUUCGCGUGGGGAUGGAGAUGUUUACUGCAGCGAUAUUGAAUAUGUCCACUGCUCUUUGGGUUAUGAUGCGACUUGCCCUGAAACAAUGGAAAAGAUUAACAUACCCUCCAAUGAAUGAAAACGGGUGGACUAAUUCUGAUUACCUAAUUGACUCAGGAUCGGCUGGUAAUAAUAACAGUUUAUUAACAAUGCACAGUCCGAGUACUUUUCCAGGAUCAGAUACGACGUGGUCUAAUGUUGAUAAUAAUAGAUUAUCAAAUGACAAAUCGUUGUUCUACUAUUGCAAGCCCCCAAAUUUAAGAAUCUUUUUCAGAAAUUAAAUACGUUCUGAGAGAUGCUGGUCUACUAUUGCAACUUGCCAGCCCCCAGAUUUAAGAAUCUUUUGAUGGUAAUUUAUCACCUGUAACUGUGCCGGAAGAUUCAACUAGCACUGAAAAAGAUGAUAAAUUAAUUGAUAUGGAGAGUUUCCAUAUCACUUUUAAAUCAUCUUAUGUAAUUGUGAUGUUAGGAAGCAUUAUUGAUCUGUAUGUGAAUUAUUAUUGGCGCCAUUGGUGGUUUUAUCUUGUUAAAAUAUGGAUGAAUUCCAGUUACUAUUUUGUUGCAGACAAUCUUCUUCAAUUAACAUAUAGUUUAAAAUCAUUAUGUAAAUCAAUCUAUUAAUUUUUAUGAUAUUUAACUGAGUUAAAACUAAGUGCACUCAAUAAAUCUCUUUUCCUUUAAAAAACGGUUACGCUUUGAUUUUAGUGCUUAAUAUUUAUUGAACUCCAAUACAGGGAAUUUGAAAUCAAACUCGUAACUACAUAUUAUCUAAUUGCAAGUUUCUGUCCAUAGCUGCUGAUUUGUAGUGAUUAUCUAAUUGACUGAGGUGACGACAAUUUUUUUUUUUAAUUUUCAAUAGCACAUUGUGGAAUUCAAUAAUUAAAUUCUCCUUUUUAAUUUGUUUCCAGUUAAAUUAUUAAUUACUUAAACUCUGUUUUAAGUCUUUAUGUUUAUGUGUUUAUGCAGAAUUGGAUUCUUGAGCGUGUUGGACACGACCAACAAUGAAAUUGACAGUAAAGAAACAUUACAACGUGUGGACUCCGGUAGAUGCCAUACAAGUCUACAACUUUACAAAUAAUAAUUGAGUAAGCAACUUUGAUUCUCGGGGCCCUUCAAUGAAUUUCUAGCCCCGUUGACUCCGCCAACUAAAGUUUUGUAAAAUAAAAAAAUACAUAGAAUUCCACCAAAUGCAAAACGCGUGGAAUUUAAUUUUCGGCCAUGUGGACCAAAACAUAAUUUAAUGAAAAAGGAAAAAAAUGAUAAGAUUUCUAAAAUAUGUGAAAGAUGAUCCAUAUGUUACUGAAACGACUUAUUAAAUUUUUCAAAAAUUUAGAAUAUUUAGUCAUAAAUUACGUGCAUGUUAAUUUUUCCGCCAUUGACUAUCAUAUUCUAAACUUAAUAGUACCUUUCUUGUUGAAGGGUACUUAGUCUCUCUUCUCCUCUUAUAAAAAUUAUAUUGAUGAAUUUCUUAUUAUAGUUAAUAGUCUUUAAGAACGGAUAACUUUAUUGUUUUCGUGACCAAAUUAUGUCUGCCUAAGGUUGUGACUAUUAAUAAAAUUAAUAUUUAAUGUUUAUGUUAAAAGAUAUAAGAUUUUAUGCGUUCAUUAAUUGUUAUUAGCUAAAGGAUGAAUUAUUUUUUCAACCCAAUCAGUUGAUGCAUCUGCAAGAAUUUUUUCUUUUAUUGACCCUAAUUAUGUUCCGGGUACAAUAAAUUGUCUUUGGUGCUUGGAAAAUAUGACUUCUUACUUCAAGUUUGAUAUGUCUCUCUCCAUAAACUUACUGGAAAUAUAUCCUCAUCUAUUAUCAUUUAUCUAAUAUCAAUUGAAGAUCGCACUUUUUCAAACUAUCACUUCCAAGUCUCAUUGUCACUUGGCCAUUCUUGGACCAUUCAGAACCAAUCAAGUGUUGAAAUAAUCAAAUAUAUGCAAAAUUAGAGUCACAAUUUUUGGUCCCCCAAAUUCUAAUUAUAUAACUUCUAUAUAUUUCAUUGCCAGGUCACGAACUUGUUGGCACAUUUUCCAAAUUCCUCUUCCAUCAGCUCUCACACGUUAACUUAAGUGGAAAGUUUCCAAGUUGAUUGCUAGAAAGCAACGCAAAAUCAGACACACUUGAUCUGUCCCCUAAUUCUCUUUUCUACGUUGAAAAAGAAAAAAAAAAAAUAUAUAUAUAUAUAUAUAUGUAAAAAUAAAUAAUAAACUGAGUAAAAAUACAUUUAUUUAAUUAACAUCUGAUCGGGGCAUUUUUGGUGUAAGCCACAACUAAAAUCAAACAGCCCCUUAGCAUACUUCUUCCAUUUUAUCUGCUACUUUUGUGGAUCUUAUAGGGUGGGCAUGUGGACAGAAUUUAAAAGUUUUAAUAGUCUCAAAGAAUAAGAUGUGUUAAAUCUAAAGUUGUUGCACCUUCUGAUUACCUUCUGAUUAAAUAAAGUUGCACAAUUUUACCAACUUGAAAGAAUUGACAUUAAUGAACUGGUCGCCUCUCCAUAUAUGAAGCCUUCUUAAAAGUUCAUUUUUAUUUCAGAAAAAAAAAGUUUAAGUUACAUAUAUUAUAGUAAGAUUUUUUUUCUUGAAAUAAUAAUGGAAAAGUAUUAAUUUAAAAAUAAAUUGAAUAUGUAUUGAUUAUAUCUUGAUUUUCAUCGAUUAUAGUGAGAGUUUCUCCAAAUCAAUUCCCUUAUUCAAAUAAUACCGAAAAAAUAGUAUUUUAAUAGUAAAAUAAACAGGUGUUGAUUAUAUAUUCUAAGGUUCAUCGAUUAUGUGAUCAAAGUGGCAUUGUUGAUUUAUUUCUUGUUCAAUGUUAAUUUUUAGGUUAUCUAAAUUUCAAGAAUUUAAAAUCUUUGAUCAUGGAUUACACGCUUAUUAAUUUUUCUGCCAUUGACUAUCAUAUUCUAGACUUAAUGAUACUUUUCUUGAUCAAGGGUAAUUACUCUCUCUUCUCCUCUUAUAAAUUCCUCUUCCAUUAACAUCACUAAGAGUAUGUUGAUCUCUCAUACGUUAACUUGAGUGGAGAGUUUCCAAAUUGAUUGUUACAAAACAACAAAAGAACUAGCCACACUUGAUCUGUCUAAUAAUUCUCUUUCGGUAAAAUUAAUUAAUUUUAGGAAAAUAUUCUGCCAACCUCUGUAAAUUCAGAGUGAUCAUUAAUUAAUUAAACGAUACAAAUAUCUAAAGUGAUUAGAUGUUUGCCGACAAUACAACCUUUGUGGCGAUAAUCGAACAAGUUCCCAUGAUUAUUAUUUUUCCAAAAACUUUUUUACAACAAAUUCAUCUCGCCAAAAAUUCUAUGUUGCUAACUAACAAUAAUUGAGCACUUGGCCGCAUUGACUCCACGUCUCCACCUCUUUCUAAAAACAUGGAAAUGUAAUUUCCACAAAAUGUCAAACGUGUGGAAUUUAAUUUUUUGCCUUGUGGAUCAAAAUACAAAUGAAAGAAACAGGAGAAAAAAAAGGCCCAAAGACUUCUAAAAGAUGAAGAAGUCUUUGGGCCUUCUUAUAAUGGUGAAUUUUUUAAAAGAAAAAAAUAACAACAUUUUUAUGGUUUGUUUUGAUAAUCAUAUUUACAAAUACUCUAAUUCUCAAAAUGGACACAUAAAUCUUUUUUUUUUUACAAAUAUAUAUUAUUCAUAUUUUUAUUUUUUAUUAUCAUAUUUUUAUUUAUUAUAAAUGUUUAGAGUAAAUUUUUAGGUUGAAAUAUAAUAAAAAGGUAUAAUCGUUCUCUUAUUAAACACACAUACUUUUAUUAGUUUCUAUCCAUUUGUCAUCUCAAUCUCUCUCAAUUAUUCUUUAUUGCGAGCUCAAAACGCGUUGUUGUUGCAAAUUAUAGCAAAAUGACAAAUAUGGAAAAAAAUGGAAGAAAAUUAAUGCAUGAAAGACUUGGAGAAAACAACAAAAUAAGCCAACUAUGAGCUAGUUGGGUGUAUAAAUUGUUAGAUGUGUUAUAUACAAAUAGCGUAGAGCCCUCUAGUUGGUUCCAGAGACAGAAAGAGCGUGUGUGUUUUUUCACAGUUAGAGAUAUAGUUAGAAUGGGUGGUUCAAAAUCAAAAAUGAUGAUAAUGUUUAUUAUGUUAUUAAUAAUAUUUAAAAGUAGGUGGAGUGAGGGAUGUUUGGAUCACGAGAGAUUUGCUCUUUUGCGAUUCAAACAUUUCUUCAAUGAUCGUCUUAAUUAUCUUUACGACUGGGUAGAUGGUGAGGGAGCUACUGAUUGUUGUCAGUGGGAAAGGGUUGAGUGCAGCAACACCACAGGCCGAGUGAUAGCGCUAGACCUUAUUGAUACGUAUGGGGGAGAGCACAGCUGGUAUCUGAAUGCUUCUUUGUUUACUCCUUUCCAACAACUUGAGUCACUUGAUUUACAUGGCAACAACAUAGCCGGUUUUGUUGAGAAUGAAGGUGCUUCAUUUAAUUUAAUUAAUUUACUUUCUCCCCCCUAAUUUAAGUUGAAUAUCAAGACCGAGCAAUGAUACGCAUAUUCAUUUAGUCGACAAUUUUGACUUUUUUUAAAUGAUUAAUUUUGAAAUUACACCAGUAUCUAUGAUUAUUUUUUUUAUUUUAUUUGCAGGCAUAGAGAGGCUAUCAAGAUUAAACAACUUGAAGGUGCUUGAUUUAAGUGAAAACUCGUUCAACAAUAGCAUCUUAUCAUCUCUAACUCGUCUUUCAUCAUUAAGAUCAUUAAAUUUAUAUGGGAAUAGAUUGGAAGGAAGUAUUGACGUUAAAGGUACAUAAUUAAAACUUCAUCCCUUCUCCAAGCUCUUUCAUUAACUUGCUAAAAUAAGAUUCAAGGCUUUGAAUUCAAUUUUUUUUAUGAUUAGUAUUAAAAAAAAAAACAGUUUUAAGCAAUUUAUAAAUACAAGUUUUAAUGUUUCUCAUAAUUUCAUCUUGUACUUUCAUGUGUCUUGAAUUUAAGAUUAAAAAAAAAUCUAAUAGCAAACCAAACACCUCCACAACUUAUUGUUAUUAUUAUUAUUAUUUGUGGUGAGGUUUGAAACAUUCAACUCAAUUUGUACUUAUUACAGAAUUUGAUUCUUUGAGAGAUUUAGAGGAGCUAGACAUUGGCAGGAACAAGAUUGACAAAUUUGUGGUCUCAAAAGGUACUACAAAUACCAUAAAAAAAAUGCUAACUUUUACAAAUUAGCUGGAUUCUUUGCCAUUUGGUUUAUUAUUUUACAGAUUUGAGUAAGUUGAAGUCUCUUGGUUUAAGUGGUGUCAAACUCAACCGUAGCAUCUUAUCUUCUCUGACUGUCUUUUAUUCGUUAAGAGAAUUAGAUAUAAGUGAAACCGGAUUCAAAGGAACAUUCGAUGUUCGAGGUAAGCCUAAACCCUGCUUUCUCAUUUUAUAUAUGCCAACUAGAUUUGUGUAUCAUCGACAUAAUUUAAUAUUUAAUUUGAUUAGUCUGAAGGAAUUACAUGCUAAUUUAAACAUACUUUUAUUUACUCUGUCAAUCAAUUAAUUAAUUAAUUACUAUUUGGCUUGGUUUGGACGAAAUUCUCAUGAUGUUUUAAUUUCUUUAAAUUGAUUAAUUAAUUAACUCUGUUUUUAAGUCUUAAGUCUGGGCAUGUUUACAGAUUUUGAUUCCUUCAAUAACUUAGAAGUGUUGGACAUGAGUGGCAAUGAAAUCGACAAUCUUGUGGUUCCUCAAGGUAAACAAUUAAAAUAUUAUUCAAUUACAUUAUUUUAAUUCAUUUGAUUAGGGAAGGCCAAACAGGUCCCAAAAAAUAAUAAUAAUAAAGAAACAGAUAAUUUGUAUUAAUUAAAAAACAAAAUGUAAUAAAGAUUUGAUUCCAGUUCUUUAAUCUUUAAAGCGAUUGAAAAACAAUGUUGCUCUUUUCCCAAAGCAUAAAAUACAAAUUGAAUGGCAAUUAACUUAAUCAUUCAUUUCGUUUAGCUCUAAAUUUAGACAAUGAAUUUUUAUAUUAUUUCAAAAACAGGACGUAAUAGAAUUUUUUAAAAAACAGAAUGUAAUAAAGAUUUGAUUCCAAUUCUUUAAUCUUUACAGUGAUUGAAAAACGAUACCAAUUAAAUUAAUCAUUUAUUUCGUUUAGGUCUAAAUUUAGAAAAAUGAAUUUUGAUUAUCUUCAAUCUUUUCUUAAUUAUUAUUAAUAAACAGGUUACAGAGGUUUGAGGGCUGAAAAGCCUUGAUCAUUCCCAUCCCUCAACACUCUUUACCUUUGGGAUAAUAAUUUUACAGAAACAGUGACUAGGCUAGCUAAGUGAAAAGGUACAGAUGUGGCCAAAUUUAUAAAUAAAUUGUUAAUUAAUUAAUUUUUCCGUAUUAUUAAUAAAGCGAAAUUCGUUGCUCCUUCCUUCUAAAUCUAAACAGAGUUGCACAAUUUCACCAACUUGGAAUAUUUGUCAUUGGACGAUUCCUCUCUCAAUUUAAGCCUUCUGCGAAGCAUUGCAUCAUUAUUCCCUUCAUCAUUAUUCCCUUCAUUAAAAAAUCUUUUUCUUCAUUAAAAAGAAAAGCGUUGAUUGUGAACUCACUCAAUGGUUUCCUACGUGUUCAACAUGUUUGUUUAUUUAUUUUAUUGUUUAAUGUUUCUGCUAGGUUUUCCUCAUUUCAAGAGUUUGGAACAUUUGGACAUGAUGUCCACGCGCAUUGCACUCAACACCAGCUUUCUUCAAAUCAUCGGUGAAUCGAUGCCUUCUCUUAAGUACUUAUCGCUGUCAGAUUCUAACAGCAGCAGGAUUCUUGAUCGAGGUUAAUCAGAUGCUCCCACCCUCCCUUCUUAAUCUAUAAUAUUAAUUUUCAAUUCAAUAUUCAAUUACACAAACCAAUCACUUAUUAUAAAUGAAUAAUACGCAUUCAUUAAUUUUUAUAUUGUAUUAAUAAUUGAUGAAUUUAAUAAAUUUUCAGGCCUCUGUUCGUUGGUGCAUCUACAAGAGUUGUACAUUGAUAAUAAUGAUUUAAGAGGUAGCUUGCCUUGGUGCUUGGCAAAUAUGACAUCCCUCCGAAUAUUAGAUGUUUCUUCCAAUCAACUUACGGGAAGCAUCUCCUCAUCUCCCCUCGUUCAUUUGACAUCCAUUGAAGAGUUGAUGCUUUCAAACAAUCACUUCCAGAUCCCAAUUUCACUUGAACCAUUUUUCAAUCACUCAAGACUUAAGUUUUUCUAUGCUGAAAAUAACCAAAUAAAUGCAGAAAUAACUCAGUCACAUUCUUUGAUCCCCCCAAAAUUCCAAUUAUCACGUCUCUCAUUGUCUUCCGGUUAUGAAGAUGGCGUCACAUUCCCCAAAUUCCUUUACCAUCAACAUGACCUGGAGUAUGUUGAUCUCUCACACAUAAAGAUGAAUGGAGAAUUUCCAACUUGGUUGUUGGAAAACAACACAAAGUUGAUACAACUUUCUGUCGUCAAUGAUUCUCUUGCAGGACCUUUUCGGUUGCCAAUUCAUUCACACAAGCAGUUAAGACUGUUGGAUAUAUCCACCAACAACUUCCGAGGCCACAUUCCAGUAGAAAUUGGAGAUGUUUUACCAAGUUUAUACGUUUUCAACAAUUCCAUGAAUGCUUUAGAUGGUAGCAUUCCCUCUUCAUUUGGUAAUAUGAAAUUCCUCCAAAUUCUAGACUUAUCCAACAAUCACUUGACUGGUGAAAUCCCCGAGCACUUGGCCGUCGGUUGCGUCAACUUGGAGUCUCUUGCAUUAUCAAACAACAACUUAGAAGGUCAUAUGUUCUCCAGAAACUUCAACCUGGCAAACUUGAAAUUGUUACAAUUGGAAGGCAAUCGCUUCGUAGGAGAGAUCCCACAAAGUUUGUCUAAAUGCUCUUCACUAGAAGGAUUGCAUCUUAAUAAUAAUAGUCUCUCGGGUAAGAUUCCACGAUGGUUGGGUAAUCUCACAUGGUUACAAUAUAUUAUAAUGCCCAAUAAUCAUCUUGAAGGCCUUAUUCCAGUGGAGUUUUGUCAGCUUGAUUCGCUUCAGAUUUUGGACAUUUCAGACAACAACAUAUCUGGAAGUUUACCAGCUUGUUUCCAUCCUCUCUCUAUCAAACAAGUUCAUCUUUCAAAAAAUAUGUUACAUGGACAGCUAAAAAGAGGUACAUUCUUUAAUUGCUCUUCCCUUGUGACAUUAGAUCUUAGCUAUAACCGCUUGAAUGGCAGCAUUCCGGAUUGGGUUGAUGGACUUUCUCAGUUAAGCCACCUUAUCUUAGGUCACAAUAAUCUUGAAGGUGAAGUGCCAGUUCAAUUGUGCGAAUUGAACCAACUACAAUUGUUAGAUCUUUCUAAUAAUAAUCUUCACGGUCCUAUUCCUCCUUGCUUUGAUAACACCACACUUCAUGAAAGUUACAGCAAUAGUUCUAGUCCUGAUGAGCAAUUUGAAAUAUUUUUUUUCAUCGAAGGCCCUCUGGGAGAUUUAAAAGAGCAAAUCCAUGAAAUUUUUGAGUUCACAACAAAGAACAUUGCGUACAUUUACCAAGGAAAAGUGCUUAGCCUCCUAUCAGGACUUGAUCUUUCUUGCAACAAGCUAAUCGGUGAUAUUCCUCCUCAAAUUGGAAAUUUGACAAGGAUUCAAACAUUGAAUCUAUCACACAACAACUUGACAGGAUUGAUCCCAUCAACAUUUUCAAACUUGAAGCAUAUCGAAAGUUUGGAUCUUUCCUACAAUAAAUUGAAUGGGAAAAUCCCUCAUCAACUUGUGGAGUUAAAGGCAUUGGAGGUUUUCAGUGUGGCAUACAAUAACUUAUCAGGCGAAAUUCCAGAAUGGGAAGCACAAUUUGCAACCUUCAACGAGAAUAGCUAUGAGGGAAAUACUUUUCUUUGUGGACUGCCAUUGCCCAUUUGCAGAUCACCAGCAACUACGCCGGAGGGUUCAAUCGGCAAUGAACGAGAUGAUAAUUUAAUUGACAUGGACAGUUUCUUUAUCACAUUUACAACAUCGUACGUAAUUGUGAUAUUCGGAAUUGUUAUUGUUUUAUAUGUAAAUUCUUAUUGGCGACGUAAAUGGUUUUACUUUGUUGAAAUGUGGAUAACUUCAUGUUAUUAUUUUAUUGUAGACAAUCUUAUUACAACAAGAUAUUGUCAUUGAAAUUAAUUAGCAGUUUAAUUACGAUUCUUUAAGUUCUAAUCAAGUUUGCACUUGAUCGCCUAUUUUACUUUAAAAAAUAAUGAUUAUGGUGCUAUCAUCAUCUUCUUCACUAGCAACAUUAACACCAAAUCCAGCGAUGGACCCAGACAUUUUAUCAAGAUAUAUAUAAUAAAGUUGAAGCUUGACAAAAAAUUUAGGAAGAUUAAUGCCUCGCCACAACAAGGGGCACAACAACAUCAAAGCAGAGAUGAAGCAAUAUUCUCAAAGCUAAAACUCUCCAAUCCACCCACCAGAAUUUCAUAUCUCCUCAACAAUUUUAAGAACUAAAGAUAAUUAGGAUAUAACAUUAGUUUUUUAUAUAUUAGUUUCAUAAUUUACAAAUCAAUGAAGAUGAAGAUUAUGUUAAUGAAUUCAAAUUAUACCAUACAUUCUCGAGAUGCUACCAAAAAUUUCUAAGUCAAUCCCACAUAUUUCAUAAUUUUAAGACUAGAAAAUUUCAUUAGGUAGAAGUUUCAUUACCUUCAAGUGGAAGAUGAAGAACAUUAUACAAUUGAUUCAGAUUAUAUCAUACAUACUCCAAAUGCAACUAGAAAUUAACAAGUUCAUGCGCACAGAUUUCAUAACAUUAUGAAUGGAAAGUUUCACAAAGAGAAAUUAUAAAUUCAAUCUCUUGCAUCAAGGUAGUUUGAUUGAUUUGAGUUACUUUCUGAUCAAGCUAUUAAUAUAACAUUCAAGUCAGGGAGAAAGUAAAUUAAAACUGGGAAGAAAUAACAGUAAAAAUUUGUUGCUAAACAUGAUGUGUAUUUUUUUUUUAAGGCAAUUUGGAAACACAGUUGUUACUACAGAUAUUCUCCUCAACUUAGAGAUAAUACAAAUAUUAAAAUGCAUAUGAUCGCACAUAUUACUUGGAGCUUAGUAAGAUUUCAUUAAGAGAAGCAAUCAAACCACUUAUCGUUGCAAUCGUUCUAUAAGCUAAAAUAGCAAUAUAAUACAAGAAAAAGAACAUAUAGAUACUUGGCAAGAGUUCAUUAAGAAGUCGCAUCACAUUCGGGUGAGGAGUUUGCUUCUGAUAUCUUGCUAGCUGCGGCUUUUUCUUGUCUUUCUACGUAUGCCGAGGGAAACCAACCAGCUUGGCCCUUGCAUUCACCUUCCGACCAUCCAGUAGGAGCCACCUUGAGAAGUUAUAACUAAAACAGUGAAUUAAACAACAGUUGACUGUUCAAAGACCUAAGGGGAAAUUCUUUUACGUAGGAGGAGUGAAUUAGUUGUGAUCACUGAAAUAACAGCAUAACUAUGGAAGCAUAACAAGAUAUAAAUUCACACGUCUAUAAGGGUAAACUGGGUGGUUUAGAACUGAGCUAGCAACCCUACUAUAUUCUGAUUUGCACUUCAAUGUAAAAGGGAAUAUAUGGUAGGAAGAAAGAAAACCAACCAUCAUUUGUUAACUCAUUGCUUUUCAAUCAAAAUUUUAAGAACAAAAUGCCAUGUGCUUUGAACAUCAAAUAAGUAUAAGCAUUAGUUCUAAAUUCCACAUAUCAUAAUUUAGAAGGAUAAGUUAAUAGCAUAGUAGAAAAAUCUAUGUGUUGUUAUUUAGAGGGGAAAGUACCCGGCGAACCACAACAUAAUCAUCAAUUGAAAGACUUAGCUCUCCAUUUGCUUGAGCAUCAAAUGGAUGUAUAACCUGCAAGAUAAUGGGAUAAAUAGAACUUAAUCUUAAAAAAAGCAUAACAAAAGCAGCAACAGUAGCAGCAGCGUUCAUUGUAACCACUAUGAUCAUGGCCAACAAAGAUAUAUUAGAAACAAAAUUCCAUUUUUACUACGACAUUAAUAUGUACUAUAUGAUAUCAUGACGAUUGGGUUACCAAGAGCUAUCAAAGUCCAAUAAGUUCUGUAGAACUUUAUGUAGUUAUUCAAAUUAUGGAUCAGAUUUUAAAUCUGAAAUUUUGACUGCUCUCCACAAAACAUGGCCUACGCACAAGAAAGUCAUAGAUAAUGAGGAUUACAAGUGGCUGACAUCUUUUGAGGGAUGGAUUUAACAUGAGAGCUUAUGGUCAGUCAAUUUCCUCCGCCUAGCAAUAUAAGCUUUCUCGGCCAGAUUUAUCAUCAAAUACAUAGAUUGCCCCAAGUCACAUCCAUAUAAACAUAGUUUUUCUAGGUAAACCAAGCAAGGAGAAUCAUAAUUCAGACAUAAUCAUAAAAAGGCCCAUCUAACUUAAGAGAAAAUCUCAAAAAGAGGGAUGUUGAGCUAUCAGUCUUGUAUCCAUAAGGAAUGUCAAGACUUUACAUCACCUGCUACAUCGUGAGUGGCUACACAACUUUCAGUGGUUUGUCUUUCUUUGGCAUGCCUAACUCAGCUUUGAUGUUGCUGAGAUAUUGAUAGUAGAGACACAUGAUACUUCUAGCUCAUGCAUUCUAUCUAGCUCAUCCGACAACUAUCUCUUUUUUAAUUCAUUAGUGUUUGCUAAACCUCAUGCUUAAAAGUCCUGUUGUUCUAAACAAAGUUUCCUAAGAAUGACUUCCUCAGCACCACAUUUGGACACUUUUAGAGCAAUUUUAUUUGGGGGAAAAGAAUUUUCAAGGUGUUAACUAAUAAAUUUUAAAAAAUAAUUACAAUUUGUCCUACAAUUAUAUGACAAUUUAUUUGGGAUGAAAGGAUACAGACAGACAUCUUCCACUUUCAAGACUAAUCACUACUUCCGUAGAUGUUUUGCAAUAAUAAAAAUACUUGACCAGAUGGUAGAAAAAAAUUUUAUUGCUCCAAAAUUAAAAUAGGAAUGCAAUAUGUUAAGCAAAAGACUGUGCAACAUCAAAUUAAUUGAUAAGUUUGUAAUUCAGUAAAUUAACAACUUUCAUGGUCAAAUAUAACAAAUUUCUUUUAAAAAAAAAUUAAAAAUAAAUAAAUCUUAAAAGACAACAUUCAAUUUUGUGCGCAUCUUAUUUCUUAAGAUUUUCCAGGAGGGCAAUAGAGGGACUUUCACCUAUGCAAUAGAGAGCAGAAGCCUUACUUUCGCUAUAAAGUAGACGUCAUUCUGAUUAAUAUGCGUUUGCAAAUCAGCUCCAUUUGAAUCAGUAUUCUGAUAGACACACGAGGCAUUUACAUCCAUUUCCAAAGUCACAUGUUGCGAGGAGGACUCAUUUGAUUGCUCCUCUAGGAUCAUCUAAUUCAAGUAGCAAGGGUUGGAAGAGAAUAAAAAGUCACAAUUAUUCUUUUGCAUAAGUGAGACGAAGAUGAUAAAUGCAAUAUUAUCAGCAGUAAUAACGUGUUGAUGAUAUGCUUUCUCAGCAUCUACCUGCAAAGGCCCGAGACCAGGAAAACAACAAUAAAACCACUAGCUAAAGGAGAAAGUAAAGAAAGAAAUACACUUGACAUAAAUCUUGACAAGAAGCACAAUUUAAGACAUAACAAACCCCAAUCAUAUUGUUUAGAACUACCAUUCGUUAUUUCGUUAUUGUUGCAUUUCGAACAAGUGUUGACUUAAUUCAACAUUGUUGGAAAGAUAGGCUUUUAGAAGCGGAAGAAAGCCACUCAAACCAAAGUGAUUGUCCUUGUAUUGAUCAAGGGAUGUAAACAUAUUACAUUUGCAGGAUGAGUUUUAAUCACUCCCCUGAUUUAUUUGGGUUGCAGUAAAACUAAGCGAGCAACUGUUUGACCUUCAAGCAACAUCUGAAUCAGCUAUUAAAAUUCAAAUAAAAUCAUAAUAGAAUAAUAACAGGCCAUCUUGCAUCAAAAAUUAAGUUUAAUUUGUGAAUUUUUUUCCAUAGACAUGUUAGCUCCUGCUAUUGAAAUGUUAAAAGCAUUGAAAAAUUAUUCAAUAAAUUAUGCAAACAUUAAAAUAGAGGACACAUUAAAAUGUUUCUAAUUACAAUGUUAAUAUUUCCUAUAUUUUAGCAUUUGAAUAUUUUAAUUUAUUUAAAAGCUACGUCGAUCAACUUUGGGCGUGAAGAUUUUAGCUUCUACGAGACUUGAUUGGAAUAUGCAUAAGGAAGAGUGUUAAAAUAUGAUGCAUCCAACGAAAGACAAACCACGUGUAGUCUUUUAAUUAAGCCAAAGUAGCAGCUCAAACAAAUGACACUUGGACCAACAUGCAAUCAUGAAGUGGCCGGAAAAAGGACAAAUGCAACUUUGGCUUAAAUAAAAAAUAACAUGUGACUUGACUUUUGCUGGACAUGCAUCAUGUUAUUACAAGACAACAGAAAUCAGUAUGAUAGUACUAAAAGUUGACAAUAACAUGAAGAUAAGAGGCAGAAUGUCAACACAUGCAUAGGCACACACAAGAAAGUAUUAACUUAUAUACCAUAGCAAAAAGUCUUUGAUAUGUCAUCUGUUGCUGCUGUGAUUCAACUGACAGCAUGGCAGCUGUUGCUUCUCUACCAAGAGCCAUUAUUGUAGAUUUAAGCUCGGUCAAUCUUGCUUCUGCAUUUCGAAGCUUCACAGCACUCUCUGCUGAUAUAUCAGAUUCCCUAAUCUUUGAUCGGCGCCUAAAUACUUCAGCUGCCUGGUGAAAAUAUUCAAUAUAAAUCUAACAUAAUUCUAAUCUUACCUGGGCUUCAACUUCAUGUCGAAGUUUGUCAUAACGAUGAGUCAGGUGUCGAGCAUCUUCCAAAGGUGCUCCGUUGAUUAACGCCCGUAGUGGCUCAGAUACCUACAUGUCCAAAAACCUGUAACAUAGUUAGAAAAAUGAAAAGAAAGAGCGAAACCUCAAUUAAAAAGUUCCUCCAACAUAAUCAUGGAAUUUGGGCCUACUUCAAGGAUAUAUAUAAGGAUAAUUUAUGCAAUUUUGGGUCUUAGGAUGAUUCAUAUUAGGUUAGUGUUCUUCUCUUCUGUAUUUAAGGUUAAAAUAGAAAUAAACCUAUGCAAAUAUAUAAAUUAGGGCUGUAAGACUUCCACAUGCAUCCUUCAGUCUCAUGGAUUUGAUUUUACUAUAGAUGCAAGUGUCGUUAUCGAAAAUGCUUGGAGUCAAUUGAGAGAACUCACGGCCAAAAACUUGUCACACGCUAGUCUUUGCUAGUGAUGUAAGAAGUCACAAGGUCUCUUCAACAUUUGAACCAAUAAAAUUAUUAAGUCAUGGAUGUCACUAGCAAUGAUUUUAAUAUAAAACAUUAAAUAUUUCAGAGUUGUAACUUUAAAAUGGAUUCUUUUAUUCAAUAUCUUAGAACUAAGUUUCCUUAUGAGAAGAUAAUAGUUUCAGUAGUAAUUUACAUAUAAUUUUCUAUAUUUGAAUUAUUUUCUAGUUAGGGAUGAACUAACCUGAUCACGAAGAAUCCCAAGCAAAGUUUCCCUCUCAUUUUCCAUCAAAUCAUGUGAAGUGCCAAAUUGAACAGCAGCUCUUGCAACGCAAGAAUUGUCACUCUGAUUCUCCGCUCCAUACUUGCAACAAUCUUCGGCCAACUUUCUCGCUACAAUAUUUGAAUACAAAAAUAUUGUACACAAGAACUAGUCAAGAAAAAAAAAAAAAUCAAAUAUUAUAACGAGAGCAAGAGCAAACGAACAACCUAUUUCCAUUUGUUUCAAGCUUACUGCAACAAACACUUCAACGCCACGGACAACAUUCCUCUGAAAAUGCUGCGCUACAGAGCAUAUAUUCCAAAUUAUUGUUCAGAUAAAACCAUAGAAACCAUCAUAAUUAUUCAACAUACAUUAAGCUCCGUUUGGUAAAUACUUGCAACUUCAGUCUAGAAAAUACAGUUAAUUUUUAUUUAAAAAAACAUCAUAAUUAUCAACAUACAUAUUUGACAAAAUUAUUAUUUAAAAAUCAUAACUAAUUACCAAAAGCCACAAUAAAUCAAUAUCAAACAGAGUCUUAUUAUUAGCUAAAGGAGGAUGGUGCCUUAGCUGCCCUGGUGGAAUUGUAUAGAUUUUGAAGUUGUUGGUGACACUCAAUUUCAGCUUCAUCAACCGCAACAUUUUCAAUGCCAAGAUGGAGCAGAUGCUUCAAUACUGCCUGUACAAACCAUAAAAAACUAAUGAAAAAUAAAUAAAAUCGAGAAAUUUCACUAAUUAAAAGUCUAAAUAAUUCAAAAACAAAAAAAGAAAAGAAACGGACUUGCUGCUGCUUGGCGACUUGUUCUCGGAGCUUGAUUGCCUGUUUCUUGAUAGCUUCCAUACUGUUUCUUUCAAAAAGCGACGACGGCUCAGCUCAUGGAAGUGGAAAAAAAAAAGUGUGAUCGAGAAAAAUGAAAAGGCGUGAAUAAUUUUUGACAAAAAGCGAAAAUCAAGGAAAGCCGGCUCUUUCCAGAAAAUAAAAAAGAAAAAAGAAAAUUAUAAGUUUGAAAGGAGAAGAUGAUAGUGGAAGUGUGCGGUGUGGCUGCCAGCUACUUGAAUUAUAAGAAAUUUUUUUUUUUUUUGGAGAAAAAUAGUAGAGAAUUUUUUAAGAAUCUAGAAUAACUGCAUCACUUCUUAAUCGCUUGCUUUAACUGCAUCGCUCUCUUUGUGCUCUUCUAUAUAUGUAACGGUUAUGCGGUUGUAGUUCACCACUGAGGCUACAUGUUGGUUUGACGUGGCAGUUACGUUACAAGGGGAUAAAUAAGAUUGGUUUCAACAAACCCACUAAUUUUAUAAAAUUCGAGUAAUAUAGAAUAAAAUAAAAAAAUAAAUACAAAAUGGGCUUUUACUUUUUAUGGUUGACUGUAUUUUGUGUUCUCUUCUGGCACUACUACAAUUGUUCCCUAUAUAUCAGUCACAGCCAUAUAUCAUUAACACAAGAAAUGAAAUCUAAUGUCACCUAUUUAGUUAAAGAAUCACUCAUGAAAAAAAUUUACCAUUUUGAUUUGAGGAUCCAUAUUUUGAACUGCAAGCUAAUGUUCAUUAAGAAUCCCUAAUGUUCAUAAAAAUCAGAGUAUGGCCAUUGAGUAGAAAAACUAUUUUUGGACAAAUUAUUUUUGUUGAUAGAAGAAUUUCUUAAGGGACUACUAAAAUUAUUAAUAAAAAUGUAGAACACACCCACAUAUCAUCGACACAAUUGACUUUGAGGAUCCAUGCUUUGAAUUGCUGCCUAAUGUUCAUCAAGAACAGAGUAUGACUUGUGAGUAGAAAAUUUUAUGAUUUUGGCCCGAAAUAAAAGGAAAUUAAAUUAGAUGAGAAUCUGCCACUUUCUCAUGAAGAAAGGCAUACGGAGCAUACCAUGGUACCAUACAAUACAAAGAGUCUCUGUUCUCUGGUUUUUCAAACUCUGAAGGGGCCAAUAUUCCCGAAUUCCCCCUUGAAAAUUCUGAUUACGACAUUAUCCAUCGCUUGACGCAAUCAAAGUAGCGACAAAGUUAUGAAAAAUAUGAGUCCUAAGUAAUUGCUAGGUAGGGUUCCUGAGAGUAAAAUUGUCCUAAGCAUUAUAUGCAUACAUGGUGUGGUACAUAGAGCACGUUGAAUUCCCCACUAUAACACAAACCCAGAAAGACAAGUAAUAACUCAACUGAUAUAAAGACAAAAAGAAGAUAAAAUGAUAUAGAAAAAAGAAUUUCAAAGAGACAGCAACAUACGAUAGACUGAAGCCACUUGAUCUGCUCAUUGAUUGCAGCCUUAAACUCGCAAAUAGUUACUGUACGCUAGUGCUCUAAGAAGUGAAAAUGAUGCGAGCCCUGAUUCCCUUUUGACUUCCAUUUAUUGUCAAACAUUCUAGUAAUACAAAAAAUUGUUUAGAUAUCUCGCUAUAAAUAUAGCCGUUUGACUGUCAUAAUAAAGUCACAAAUAACCAUUCAUAUUGAUCCACUGUCACACAACAUGCUUUAUGCAUACAACAACUGUAUGUAUACCAACUCCUAACCUUAUCAAUACAUUUGGCAAAAACUUAAGAAGAAAACUAUUUCUCCAUCUCUUUUUUGAAAUUUCACAAUAAACCAGCACAUUGUAAACGUUAUGUUGUAACCUUAUGAUAAAUGCUCUAGACUCCAAAUGAAUUUUAUAUAUGAGGGUUUGUUGCAGCAGAUAUAUUGACUUAUCAAGUAUGAAUCAUUGUCUAGAAGAACUAUCUUUAGAUAAAAGAACAUUAGAACCACUAUAGAAUAUCUUUAGGCUGCUGGUUCUAACAGGAAUCUGCGUGUGGCAACAAUUGCUAGAUCCACAAUUCCCCAACUUGAAAUACAUAGUUGCACACCGUGAGAUAGUGCUGCAAUCUACUGAGAUCUAACUUAUAUGAUAUUUUAAGCUACUAAUGUUUGCAUAUUUCUACAUGUUAAAUUAAGCAGCUUUUGGCCACUUAUUACUAGCAUCCACAAUUAAUUUUUGUUCAGUAAUCAGCUUAUUUUAAAGAAAUUGAUUUAGUCAACAAGAAACACUAUAAUCCUUGAAAUUAGUUCUUGUUCUUUGUAAUUAUGUAUGAUCUUUCAUACAUCAAUUAAUCUGCAGUACCAAGAUGAGGUUUUCAGAGAAUUGGGGGUGAACUAGCUAGGUGGUUUACUGUUAAAGAUAUAGUUGCAGCUGAGCUAAACAGAGUAGCUGGAGGUUGCUGAACAGUUACAUCAAAAGACGGGAUCAUAGUCUAUGCAUUGAACAGUUACAGUUGCUGCUACCAAUUGCUUCGGCAAAGAUCAAGAAGACUGAACGGGAAGUUAAUGCCAUCAAUGUCGUCUUCACUAUAGCUGCUGGGAAUGUAGGUGAACUUUCCUCAUUUGCAGCUGUCUAUACAUAGGCUUUUCCCCAGCUUAAGUACAAAUAAAUGAACCUGCCUUGAAGGCUUUAUUAUUGACCCCAAUAAGGAUUACUAAUUGAAGAAGACUAUACGGAGUUAAUCCCACACUCUCGUUCUCUCAAUUUCUUUCAGAAGUGCCUCUGAAAAUAGCUGCCAAACCGUUAGUCAGCUUGUAUACUCUGUUUUCUGGAAACAGAGCCCUCACUAACUGACUGUACAGAGUAAGUCAACAUAGCAUAUUUAAUCGUUUUAAUUGAAUUAUCUUCGCAGCGAUCAUCAACAAACUCAUCAUAAGAUAUUUGAAGCACCCAAGGACUAUCACUGGGUUUCUCUUCUGGUUGAUUUAUUAAUUAAUCAUAGAACGGUUGGAUACCCAGCGACAAUUAAAAUUAUUCGACUUCUGGAACUAGGAAUGAAGUGCAAUGAUGGAGCAAAAUUUACAAUGUCUCCGGUUUCUCCUGACCAUCGGACUUUUGCAGUGAGAACAUAUAACAAAAAGGCCUUCAUCAAAAUUUGUAGACUCCGGGUAUGGAUUGGAUUGAGUUUUUUGUUUGAUAUUGAAGAACCUCUUUACUAUCGCGAUAUAGAUUAUGUGCAAGGAGUUGUCUACUGUUCUUUGCCUUGUGCUAUGAUCGGUGCUCUUGAGACUGCCCUGAAACACAGGAAAAUACUUCGAUAUCCUCCGUUCGAUGAUGCAAAGAACCGGUUAAUGUAUGAUUAUCUAAUUGACUCAGGAUCAGGUAACAACAACAACAAUUUAUUAAUAGUAAUAUCACAAACGAAGAAGAUUUCGGAGAGGGAGAUGUAUGCGUAUACUGUUUACAGGUUUGAUCCACUGGGGAUGAAGUGGUCUCAAGUGGAAAGUGAUUUAUUAAACAACAAAUCGUUGUUCUUGGGUUAUACCUCAUGAUGUCAUCAAGUGGAAGAUGAAGAUUAUGCAAGACGAAGAUCGUUUGAUAUUGAAGAAUUUGAACAGAAAGCCCAUAGAAAGUACUUAAAUAAGCAUAUUCUUGUUGGGGUAGAAUAUUGAGAAAGGAGUUGUCUACUGUGUGUUGCGUAAUUAUGCUAUGAUCGGUGCUUUCAACAUUGCCCUGAAAACAGUGGGAAAUACUUCAUAUCCUCGACAUGAUGAUGAAAAAUUGGUUACCGAUUACCUAAUUGACUCAGGUGACAACAAUCCAUUAAUAGCACAAUUUGACGUGAUGCCGUUUAGGUAUAUGGUUUUCAAGUUUGAUUCAUCAGUGAUGAAGCGGACUAAAAUUAAAAGUUUAAAUGAUAAGUCAUUGUUCUUGGGCAUAUCGUCAUUACUACUUCCAGUGAUCAACGAUGAAGAUGAAGAUGAAAAUUGUGCGAGUUCAAGAUUACCAUUUAUCAUUACUUGGGAUAUUACUUCAACAUAGAUGGGGUUAUAAUUUACUCCCACGAACAUCAACUCAACUUUAUGAUUGGAGUGUCUCACCGUGACUCAGACAAAUUCUGAUUCAACCUCCUUCACCAAUGGAUUUUGAUUAGUUAUUUUGUGAUCAAGCAACUUAAUUAAACUCAGUUUGUUAGUCUAAUUUUAGUUUUACUGUGACCACUAUUCAAGGUAAGCGAAAGUUACAGAUGUGGCAAAAUCAAUAAUUAAAUUCAUAAAAUGUUAAAAAAUAAAACUUAUAAAUGUUGCAUGACUACUUACUAAUAAAUAAAUAAGUUAGAAUGUAGUUAUUUAAUUUUACACCAUAUUAUAUAUUAUUCGAUAAUAAUAUAAAAUAAAAAUAAUUAAAAAAUAAAUAAUUGAAUAAACAAAUAUGGCUUUCUAAACAGUAAAAAUUCUAGAGUUAAAAUUUAUAUUAUUAUUUUAUUUUUUAAAAUUGACAUUUUUCUAUUGUCUUACAUGUAUAAAGAUUUUGAGAGUUGAGAAGAAUAUAUUUAAUGAAGCUUGAUAACAUUUGAUGGGAUAGCAAGUAAGGGUAAAUAAGAUAUUUUUAUUUGUUAUUUAUUUGAAUUAUAUCUAUUUUGUUCAAGUUAAAAUACUAAAUAUAAAUUGGAGGUAGACAUUUUAACAGAUCAUCUAAGCUCUCAAAUCUGAAAUUUUGUGUAGAUUUAAAUUCAUAAUUUUAGUUAAUUUUCAUACAUUCAUAUAAACAAAUUUAUGAGAUUUUUCUUUUCAGCAUGUUAUAUUUUGAAACUUUCAAUGUAUUAUUCUAGCUUUAUUUAAACAAUUAAUUUAUUUAAAAUUUAUUUAAUUUUGAAUUUGAUCAGUAGUAAAAUUAUUUUUAUAUCAAAUUUUUUUAUUUAAAUAGUUCGUGGAUUGGACAAAAUUAAAAAUUUUUAAUCCACAAAAUGGUGGAUUAGAUAUGAAUUAGGUUAAAUCCACAUUCGAUCUGCAGUGGUAUGAAUUUGAUUUGGAUUGAAUUUCAUCAAUUCAUGGAUUAGAUUGGAUUGAAAAUUUAUUAUCCGUAAAAUCAUGGAUCGAAUAUGGACUAAUGUCCAAUCAGCAAAAUCCGAUCCCCGAACACGCCUCUAUCAAAAUUUUCAAGAAUAUGUUUUAUCUUACAAAUUUUUUUUAAAGUCAUAGUCUAAUGGCAGCCCAAUUUUAUAAAGUCACACACAACCAUUCUUAUUAAAUUAGCAAGAUCAAACACUGCACUGGAUCUUGAACAGAUCAACACAAGUUGCACAACUUGCGAUUGAAUUCGGCCAGAAACAAUCAACUCUUUAGCAAGAACAAUUAAUCAGAGUCAAGAAACAAGUUUAAUGAAUAUAAACCUAUAAUUGAAACAAACAUAGCCAAGAAAAAAAUACAGAUUUUACACGGUUCAGUUGUACCCAGGAUGGCACAACCUACACCACGAGAGAAGCUUUCUGGUGAGAUUUUAUUGAUGAUCAAAGAAGAAUCUUUUGACAAAGCUAAUAAUAGAGAUUUCAGAGAAUAAGCUAUGACCCUCUCUCCCUCUUCAAUCUCUCUUUAUUUUGUUCCCAUUGAUGACCCCAAUCUGCUUAGUUAGCCAGCUUUAUAGCUGCAUCAGUAACAAACCAGCAAACCCAGAUUGAGCAGAUUGACGACACGUGGAUAACGGCUUUAACGAACCUGGUUAAGAACUGCUCACAUGUUCGUCACGCGUAGGGAUGGCAAAUAUCCAAUUAUGGAUGGAUAAUAUCCAUCCAAACACAAAUCCAUAAUUAUCCAUAAUAGAUAUAUCCAUAUCCAUAUCUAGUAUUUAAUAUUGGACAUGGAUAUGGAUUUUAUCCAUAUAACUAUGGAGAUCCAUGGAUAUCCAUGGAUAUUUUAUUUUUAUUAUAUAAAAAUAAUAAUAUAAAAUAGUUAAAAUAUCCAUAUCCAUAUAACUAAUAAUAUAUAUAUAUAUAUAAUAAAAUGGCGGUCCGGUAGUCGGUGGCGGCGGUCCGGCAACUUUCCGGCAAAUUCCGGCGAAAUUCCGGCGACGGUCCGCGCGAUGUCCGACGGUGGUCCGGCAACUUUCCAGUGAAUUUCGGCGGAGGUCCGGCGACAUUCCGGCGUGGUCCGGUGGUGGUCCGGCGACUUUCCGGUGGAUGUCCAUUUAUAAUAUUAAAUUAAUAAAAUAAAAUAAUAAUUAUUAAUAGUAUUAAAUAAGUUAAAAAAUUAAAGGAUAAUUUUGAAAACUUUAGUUUUUAAUAUAAGAGGAAUUUAAAAUUUUCACUAGUUAAUAUAAUAUUUUUAUAAUUGUUUGUUUAUUAUAUUUUUUAUUUUUUAUUUUAUAAAAUUAAAAAUUUUUUAAACUUGUGUUGGGUUAAACGGAUAUUCAUUGGGUAAAAAUAAUUAUCUAUAUCCAUCCAUAUCCAUCUGGAUAUAAUUUUAAAAUAUCCAUUUCAAAAUCCAAAAAUUUUUGGAUGGAUAUUAUCCGAUCUAAUUGGAUAGAUAUUGUGGAUAUCCAUUAUGGAGCGAUCCAAUUGCCAUCCCUAGUCACGCGUGCUGCUUAAAUGAUGGCCAAAACGACUUCAAACAAAUGUCGUUUUGAGGCUUAUGAAUUACAAGUGAUAACACGAGCUUGUCUCAUGACUUUUAAAUGCAACAGCGUGCCCAAAACGCCGUCGUUUUACUCUGUUGAGUUUGAUUCAUUACUAAGCUUUACGACUGGCACUGGAGAAGAUGAUAAUUUAAUUUACAUGGACAGUUUUUAUAUCACUUUUACAACAUCCUAUGCAAUUGUAAUAUUGGGAAUUAUUGAUGUUUUAUUCUGUGAAUCCUCAUUGGCAAAAACUAGUGGUUUUAUCUUUGUUGAAAUGUAAAUGACCUCUCGUUACUAUUUUAUUAUAAACAUAUAGUUUCGUAAGUGAAACUACAUGUUUAUAAUAAAAUUAACAUAUAGUUUCGUUACAUUUCUGCCUCAUUAAGAUUCUCAAAUACCAGUCAGGUUUGCUUAAGAAAUAAAAUUUUUCCAUUAAAAUUGCAGUAGUAUUUCCAAGCAUAUCGCAUUUUCUAUGAUUUUUCAUAAAUUAAUUAAUCUGCGGUGCCAAUAUCAGAUUUAGUUUUUCAAACUAAAUAAUCAAGAAAGCAAACAUACAAAUAUACAGUUUAGAGGGGUAAACUAGGUAGGUGGUUUAGAUUUUAGAACUAAGCCAGCUACCUCACUAAAUUCCGAUUCGUACAGUGAACUGCAAGAAAUUGAGAAAACAAUGAAUUUAUAAUUUAAUAGAAUCAUAAGAAAACAAUGUAGUCAUUGCUCCAUAUAAGAUGAUGAUUUCGGAGAGGCACAUUGUUUUCAAGUUAAUUUGAUCCGUUUAUAAGAGAUGAAGUGGAAUCAAGUUGAAAGUUUAAAUAACAAAUCCUUGUUCUUGAGUUUUACGACGUCGUUACUCCUUCAAGUGGCAGAUUAUGCAAGUGAAUGCAGAAACACAAUGCAUCAUCCGCGGGGAUGAUACAUCAAAAGGCGGGAUUUGUUUAUGCCUGCAGAUUAGCAAUUUCACUCAUAUAGAAAAUUAAUUUUUUAUAUAUACUAAUCAACACUAAAUUGAUUAUGUGUUGUAUGUUUAUAUGCUAAUCAACACGAAAUUAUAUUGAAUUAUUAACAUUCAUAUUCCUAAUAAAAAUUAUUUUCCAUCAGUAUUCAAAAUUUUCACUUAUGGAAAAUGCGUUUUAUGUGAAUACUAGUUAUUGUGUAAAUUUGAAUGAUAGCGAAAAAUAAACCUAUUUGAAAACUGUAAGGGUGUGUUGGGAUAUUUUACAACUGUCGGAAUCUGGUAGGAUAUUGCACCAUUUGCCCAAUAUUUUUAGACGUACUCUAACCGGUAUUCAAGAUAAGUAAAAGUUACAAGCGUGGCAAAAUAAAAAAAUAAAAUUUGUAAUUUGUAAACGAAUUUUCCUGACAUGUAUAGUAGAUGAAGUUGUUGAUCCUUUCUUUGGAUUAUUUCAGCUCUGGUUGUUGGUCACCGAUGAGCCGAAGUCUUAUUUUAAUUUUAUUUAAACUCAUCAUAAGAUUCGUGGAGCACCUAACUAACUUAACUGACUGUGCAGAGCAUCUCAACAUGGCAUAUUUAACCAUCAUUCAAGUGAUGGGUUUAAUAAGACUGCUUUUGUUCUAUCAACUAUCAAGUUCCUCUGCCUCUAAGCAGAAUUACUAUUGAAGGGCCAAAAGGAAAAUGAAAACGUGUGAGCUCCAACAACCACCCCACAAAUUCAAUGACGAUGCUCGGAGAGGGUUAGGUUGGGCCUCUGAGAAAAAAAAAUUAUUUAGUUAAAAAGUUACCCUUAUUGAAACCUGUAUAAAAAUUUUAUAUUAAUUAGUUAUGUUGCCUCUUCAACUAUGAUCAAAUUUUUAUCCGAGCUCAUCAUUUAAUGAGUAAACAUGUAUUUUAAUGAUCUCAAUUAAUAUUUAGAACAAAUAUUUUAAGAAGUAAAGCUCAUUAUAUCUUCCAUUAUUAUGUAUUUCUUUAAUUUCUUAUUUACAUAAUUAUAUUGUACAUUAAAAAUGUAUUGAAUUUGAAGAAAAAAAAAUUCAACUCACUCAAAAAAAAAAAAAAAUGCUGGUAGCUUCGUAAUAAUUACUGUAUUGACUGCACCAGAUAAAGUUUUGUAAAAUAAUAAGUUCUCAUUAGUGGUUUUUAAUUUUUUUAAUUUUUUUUUCCGGCACACCUGAUCAAGAAUUCUAUUUUGUUAACUAAUCAAUUGCAAAGCAUAAGUGUUGAACGGCAAAAAAAUUUAAAAAAACACUUAAAACGUGGGGAAAUGAGAAAUAUAGAAAGAAAGGAAGAAAGUUGAGACAUGAAACUGAUCUGCAGUGAAAUUGAUAAUCAUGUUUCUAUUUCGUUAACUAAUCAAACGGAAAACUGAAACUGUAAACAAACAUUAACACGUGUGGACUCUGCUAGCUGCCCUACAAGUCUACAAUAGUAAUUGAGUACCUUUGAUUCAUCCUUCUAUGAAUUUCUAGCUGUAUUGACCCCAACUGCUAAAGUUUUGUAAAAAAUAAAAAUAAAAAUAAAAAAACUGGAAUUUCAACAAAAUUCAAAACGUGUGAAAUUCAAAAAUGGACUUUGGCCAUGUGGAACAAAAUGUAAAUUAAGGAAAAAGUAUAAAUCUCAAUUGCUUAGUAUGGUUAGGAUUUUGUGAGCAUCACUAAAAAGUGAAAACUAUGAAUGAUAGAGGUGAUGUUUGCAACAUGAAUAAAUGAUGAACUGAAUCAAUUGAUGAUCGUAAUUACAUAAUGAACAAAAUUUACAAAAUCAACAAAAGUUAAUAAAAAUUUAUUUAAAUAAUAAAAAAUCAAUAAAAACUUAUUAUUUAACGACGCUCUAACCAAGGAGUAUCAUAAUCAUAAUCUUCUUUUAAGAAUUAUAACCUAUUUCAAAUAGCACCGCAAUAUAAUUCUAGAUAUUUAAAAGAAAAACAUUAUCCACCUGGAAUGACUUGAAGUCUAAAGAAAAAGAGAGAAUGGCUCCCCGCAAUUUUCUUGUCUUCGGUAUAUUUUCUUUUUUAAAAUCUUUUGCCGCAUACAUAAUCUACCCUUGUUUAUUAUCUCCACUUUGAUCUGUUCAAGUCCAUUUUUUUCAAAUCUUAUUUUAAAUAAUAAAUUGAAUAAAAGUAUAUUUUUGUAAUUAAUUAGUAUUUGAGAGAGGGGAGGGGGGGGGGGGGCAUAUUUUUUGCACUCAGCUAUUAUCAAACAGUUCCUUAACCUAUUUCUCAGUUUAUUUGCUAUCUUUGUGGAUCUCAUGGGCGUGGCAGAAUUUAAUAAUUUUAUUCGUCUGAAGAAUAAGAUAUUGGCUUCAAUAAAUUUAAACCAACUUUUAUUUACUCUAUCAAUUAAUUAAUGCCAUUUUGUUUUAGAUUAGAUUCUUUUAAUGGCUUAGGUACAUACACAGUACCAGAUCCGGAUCCCGGAAAUGGUGCUCUGAAGGAAUGGAGGGAGAAGAAAAGAUUUACAACUGAGGAUUGAGAUCUGGUCUCGUUGCCUCAGAGGAAUGUACAGAUUUUAUGGCAGAUCUGAUAAAAACCAGUCUGCAAACAUGCUUUGAAGAAAGAAUUAGGCGGUUUCUGUAAACAAUUCAAUUAUGACCCCUUUAAAACUUCUACUUCCAAAGAUUGUAAUGGUGAGUGUUCUAAACCUCGCAAAAACAUUACAAAUCUAGAAAUUUUAGGAAACCCUUUCGUAAUUUUAGAGAACUUCCUUAUAAGAAACCUUCGAGGCCUUAUAAGAAACCCAAGUUCCCUAAAAAAGAGUUCAAAGCCAAACCAAAAAACUCCUUUCACUCCUUUCAAUUACAAAGAAGCUAUAUGUCACAGAUGUGGCAUGAAAGGUCAUACUGCAAAGUACUGCAGAAUGAACAAAAAGCUUCAUGAGCAGUUCGUCAUAAGGGAUUCGGUUAUCAUACAGGGUUUUAAUGGAAUUUCUAACCUUCUCUCCAAGGAGAGUUGGUAAUCCUGCAAGGAAUUUUUCUUUCCAAGUUGUAUGAUUAGCAUCAUCCCUAAGGAAAAGACGAGUGAAGAAAGUGGUUUUAUAGCUUUGGAAUUCACUAAGUUUCCUACAUCUUAAAUUAUGUAGUAACUCAGCGUUUUUAUCACGAAGAUGAGAAGGAUCACCAAUUAAAUGGAGGGAAAUUGUCAAAAUUAGAGUAGCAACGGCAUCCUGGAUUGGAUUGUUGAACUCAUCAAGAAUAGGGGCUCCAUUUUCAUCGACUUGUAUAGAAUUUAGAAUGUCUAGUUGUUGCCGAUUAGUGAGAAGAUGAUCCCACCAACCUUUCAAUUGACCAGUAAAACCGGCAAUGAGGAUUUCUGAUAUGGCACGAUCAGAAGUUCCUGCUUGGGUUUUAUAGGCAUUGGCUGCCAUUGUCAUUUGUUGCAACAAUCCUAGAAUAUUAUACUCGGACAUACCAUCAAUAUUCCACUCAUAGACUGAGGAUGCAUUAUAUCGAGAUUGAUUUAAUGCACUUGGUCUAUUAUCUAUUGCUAGAUCUGGUGGAGUCUUGACAGUGGGAAGGGCUAUUUACAAAAGGAUUUAAAUUUUCAAAGAAUUGAAAGUCAAUUACAAAGUGAUUUUGUUCAAAGAAAAAUCUCUGAUUUCAAAAACCUUAUUGAAAACGAAAUCUGUGCUGAUUUACCAUCUGCUUUUUGGAAUCGAAAACAGCAUUUAGUGGAUUUGCCAUAUGAAAGUUCUUUUGAUGAAAAACAGUAAGAUUCCACUCAGGGAUUUUCUUUCUAACAGUAAUAGGGUUUGACUCUUUGAAUGGAUAAGAGAUGUUGUUCUCCGAAGAAUAUAUUUCGAACCAAUCAAAAAACAAUAUAUGAAUUUUAUGAAAAUUCACAAAUUCAUAAUAAGUUUGUUGGAUUUCUUUUCUUUGAUUUAAAAAAUGUUUGAAGAACCAAAUUCUUUUUUCUUUGUUCAAAUCUGAAUAAAAAUCAUUAUGAAGAAAUGCUUUAUCCAAUUCAAAAUCUUUUUCGAUGACAUUAAUGACAUUUUCUGUAACAGCAGAAAAUGUAGGAGAUGUUGGAGGAGAAGGUUCCUUCUCUUCCUGACUUUGUACCUGUUGACUACUAGUGUAGAUCGGAUGAGGAACACUAGUGGUGUAAUCAACUGAAUGAAUGGAGGUGCUAGGUAAAUCUGAAGUAGAAAACCUAGGCUGACACUUUGUAUUUUGGAAUGGAUGAUUUAUAACAGAAGGUACUUUUGUAAAUUUCCUUUCUAGUGAAGGAAUGCUUGAGCACGACUCUUUAUCAGAAAAUCUGUGAGAGGUAGACCUUCUGAAUGAUAGUUUGACUUUACCAUCGGAAUACUGAGUCACAUUUUGCAACUCUGUAUUGGGCUCAAGUUGUUUCGGAGUCACCUGUGGGGCAGCUCCUUUAAGGAUCCAUUCUUCUGGAAGAUUAACAUCUUUCCAUUGGAUCGGUUUUGGAAUGACAGUGUUUGCUUUGGACAAGUCAGUCUGCAAGAGAAGAGUUUCAUCUCUUUUUGACUGGAAUUUAUGUUGCGUACAAAACGCAGAGACCAUAGCUUUAUAUGAAAUCUUGAAAAUCAAAGCAACUGGGAUGGACCCUUUAACCAUUUGGUAAUUAUGGGUUUUGAUUUGUAAAAUCAUGCUUUUUAAAAUGUUUUUGUCUUUAAGAGAAGAAAUUCUUUUCUUUUAAUUUCUUUAAAGAUUUUUCUGAAAAUAAAUAAAUUGUUUCAAAAGGCUCUGAAAGAGUGGUAUCACGUUCUUCAGUUUUUAUAAUAUAAUCACUUUUUAAAAGAUCAAGCAUUUUUGUUUUGUAAAUCUUUUCUUUGGAAAUUUUUGGAAGUUCCCAACAAUCAAUUGCUUUAUCAAAGUUCUCAAUAAUGAAUUCUUCUGAACUCACAACAUGCUUUGAAUCACUAGUCUUCCCGGAAGAAGAGCUAGAAAAGGACGAUGUUCUACCGAGUAGAGGAUCCAUGUCCAAGACCUUAUGGUCUAUUUUUGGUUUGGUCAGAAUGGCUACAGGUAUGGAUUUACAGCCCUCAGCGGAUAGCUAGAUUGUGGGGUAUCAGGGGCUAUUUGAACUUUGCUAGAUGAGGAAGAAGCAGCUUCUAUCCGAUCUAGUUGUUCUCUAAUGGCUUUAGCAAAAUCUGAUUUUGACUCUUGGACAAGCUUUUGGCUAGUUUUCGAAACCUGAAAAGGUUUGAAAAUAGGUUCCUUAAGCUUUUUAUCAGAAUCCGAUUUUGUUUGAACAGUAGUUGAUGAAACAGUAAUGGUUGACUUUUGGAAUUGGUUUUCUAUCCUAGUCAACUGCUUUCCGAUUGUAUUUAAGUUAGUAUUACAGAAAUUGUUCUGUUGGAUAAUACUACUUAAAUUUGCCUCGGAAUCAUUUGGUUUUGGAAUUUUGUAAGGUGAUGCUCUAAUUUCGACAGGAGGUUCACCAUGAUCUAUGGUUAUACUCCUAAGAGGUGGAUGCUCAGACUCGAUGGAUCAUUCAUUUUUAAAGAAAAUCAAUGUUUUGACUAAAGACUAAGAGACUUUUCUUGAACUUGUAAAACAUAUUUCUGAUCCAAAUCUUCAAAAAGAAUAUCUUGAUAAACUUUUGAAAACUUUGGAUUUUAAUAAAGCCGAGACUUCUAAAGUCCCAAUUGUUAAAAAGAAUUCUUAUGAUCUUACCCAGAUUUUAGAUAAAAAGAAAACAAAGAAGUCAAUGCCCACGAUUCAAGAUCUUCAAAAAGAAAUCAAAGAGAUUAAACUUGAGAUUAAGGAUUUGAAAGAAAAACAGAAAACUGAUUCUGAAACUAUCCAACUCCUUUUACAAAAGCAUUUGGAUAAUGAUUCUGAUAAAGAUGCCGAUUCUGAUGGUGAUCAUAAUGACCAAAAUGUUGAUAAUAUUGAAUCUAUACCAAAUGAUUUUUUGUUUGUUUUAAAACAAAUCACCACCAGGAAGUAUUUAAUUAAAAUCUCUUUAAUUUUUUCCAAAGAUUUUGCUAUCGACGCCAUUGCCCUUUUUGACACUGGUGCUGAUUUAAAUUGUAUAAGAGAGGACAUUGUCCCCAAAAGAUUUCAUGAAAAGACAAAAGAAAGCCUUCUGUUCAAACACCAGUCACUAUCAAUAAAAUGAGCUGUGAUCACCAUGUAGCUCAUGUUUUGAACAGAAGUCCAUAAAUCAGUGGUAAGAGACACUCGCUGUUUGUUGUUGCAAAUCAAACUCUUCAACAUUAUCUUUUCUUCCAAAAAUAAAUCCAUAACAUCCCUACCAACAGUUCUCCGAGAUGGCAUAACAAACUGUGGAAUGGCUACACUACAGAAAUGCCUGAACCCUUUGUUAUCCACAAAACUAAGUGGCAACUCACCCAUAAUGAUCAUUUUGGUGACUGCCCUUCUACAAGCGUCUUGACUCCACCCUUUAGCCAAAACCAUAUUACUUGCAUUUCCUUCCCCACCCUCAGUUGUCAAGUUUUGUUGACUUCCCUCUUGUUGUUCCCGGAAUGUCUUGUAUGCAAGGCAAGCCAGUAUAUGAUUUCUCAUAUUUGUAAUCCCAUCACGCCUUGAAUGACAUUGAUAUUGUCUACCACAAUAGUUGCACUUGCAUUUGUUUGGAUUGUCCUCGAGCAAAGUAAAAUGAUUCCACGUCGCAGAUCUUUUCUUCAUCGCUGGUCUUUUCCGCUUUGCCUUUUGAGUUCCUUCCAUUUGAACACUUUGAUUGUCAUCAUCACUUAUUGAAUUCGAUCUUGAGUGUCCAGACAUCUAAACAUACAAAUAAAUAAUUAUUAAUCAUUAAUUCAUAAAUUAAAACACAAAAAGACUAUUAAAAAAAUCUACUUAAUAGUUAGUAUUACAAAUUGAUUCAAAUAAUUGUUAAUUUAAUUUUAUGAAACUUUUUGAAAUCGAUAUUUCCAAUUUUCCACCAUAAUGUUUAUAUAUGAUCAAGAAUUCAAGAUGCAUAUGCCCACAUUAUAUGUAGUUAACCACUUAAUAUUUACUUAUUGGUUAAUGGUUAUCAUGCAAUUAAUUAAAUUGAUUAAUUAUUUAUUGAAGUUGAAACUUAAAACUACUGCAAUUAAAUUGGUUAAUGGUUAAUUUUUUGUUGAAGUUGAAACUAUUCUACAAAUACACAUAUCAUAUGACAUAUACAAUUAUAAUUUAUAUUGUAACAUAAUAUUUAAUUUUAAUUUUUAAUCUAACAUUAUACUAUUCAUACAAAAAAUCAAUUAUUAAUUAAUAACAGAAAAUUAAUGCCAGAUUAUUUUCAUUUUAUUGAUAAAAUUUAACAAUAUAUAAUUAAAAAUUUAACAUACAAAAUUACAAUUAACAUUUCUCAUAUAACAUAUAACAAAUAAAAAUUAUAAUUAAUCAUUAAUGCAUAUAUAAUUAUAUAAUAUAUACCAUCUCUUAAAUAACUUUAAAAGCCGGAUUUGCUGUCUUGCACUCUUGCUUUGCUUCUUAUUCGGGCUUCAGCCUUCAAGCCUUCAAGUUCCAAUUCCAAACUUCCAAAUUUCCAAUUCCAAAACAGAGAGUGAAGAGAGUCAGAGAGACAGAGACCUUUUGAGACUGGAGGCUGGAUCCGUGACCCGUGAGGCGUGACCGUGAAUGGGUGUGGUGGCCGGAUGUCAACACUCAACAGCCGUGACCCGUGGAUGCCAAUGGUGGAGACUCGAGUAGAUCGGAGGUAGCUUGCUGGGUGGAUCUUCAAUCGGACUGAGUUAUGGUGGAGUGGAGGAUUCAAGGCGUGGAUCCGGCGCUUGGUUGCAGCAGAUCUGUAGAUCGGGUCACGAUCUUCGCGAAUCAGCUUCGGCUUCGGUUGGGGUCGUUCUCGGAAGUGGUUGCUGGCUGCGUGUGGUGGCCGGUUGAAGCUAGCUCCGUGAACUGUGCGUGUGUGUUUGCUGCGCGUGGUGAGUGACGAAGGCCGUGACUCCGUGAGGCGUGAAUGAGCGUGGGACAGUGGGUUGGCUGCUGCCUGCUUGUGCUUGACGGCUGCUGGUUUCAGUGAUUUUUGUGUGACACUGUGACAGUGAGGGUUUGUGAAUUGUGAUAGUGAUACCGUGAGUGAGGGUUUGUGACUGUGAGUUGUUACUUGUUACUUUGCUUAAUUGCUUUGCUUGUGUUGUUUUCUUGGUGAAUUAUUGAAUUGUUUUGUAACUUUUGUUGCGGUGAAUACUGAAUAGUUUGGAGUGAAUUGACUGAAUUCCUGAAUUGUUUUGUUGCGGUGAAUACUUUGUGAAAUGUGAAUUAUUGAAUUGAAUUGUGAAUUACUGUAAAUCCGUGAGUCUGUACUCUGUACUGUGAUCUGUAUUUUGUUUCUGUGAGAGUGUGAGUUACUGAUUCAAUGCAUGUACUCGUGUGAGAUGUGAAUGUGCCAUGUGUGUGUCUGUGUGAUAUUGUAAGUGUAAAUCUGUAAUUUUUGCCCACUUUUUUUUUUUGUCUCAACCCGAUCGGGUUUUCGGAUCGGAUCGGGUGAAACCCGAUCCGAUCAUGAUCCGAUCGGGUUGAGACAAUUUCACCCGAUCGGGUUUUGUUGACCACCCGAUCCGAUCCGAAUCCGAAAUUUUUCGGAUCGGGUCGGGUCGGAUAAUUUGCCCACCCCUACUUCUAGUUCUAGAUGAAAUUGAGAGAGAGAGAGAGAGAGUGUGAGAGAAACUCUGAAAAGCUUCAAGAAUAAUAAAGCCUAUGUACAGGCUGCUGUUCAUUUAUUUGUACAUAAGCAGGGGAAAAGCCUAUGUAUAGACUGCUUCAAGUGAGGAAACUACACCUAACUACCCAGCAGGUAUAAUGAAGAAGACAUUGACGGAGGUUGGUAGCAGCAACUUUAAUUGUUCAAAGCAAACACGUACCUUUCGUUUCUCAUAAAACCUUGUGAGGUAAUGCUUUAGAUGACUGGCAUGCAAUAUUGUCAAUGACAAAAUUUAAUGUUGCAUCCUGCUGAUAUUAGGUUUAUUAAUAGUUGCAGCCUUAGGCAGGCAUAAUUUGGUCACGGAAACAAUAUAUCCAUCCAUUUUCAAAGGAUAGUAACUGUAACAAUAAAUCAAUUAAUAUAAUUUUUAUAAUUGGGAUAGCAUUGAGAAAGUCAAAAUUCAUUGUCCAGAUUUAGAUUUAAACUCGCCAUAGAAAGUUUUUACUUUCAUUCAAUAUCACAACUACAUUUGGGGACCACAAGACAGUCAAUUUUGAACAGAGUUAUAGUUAAUGAGUAAUUUAAAUUCAAACGCAUGAAACGUGAGGAUUUAAUUAUUGAUUUUUUAGUUUUAGUGUCAUUGAAGAUCAUAGAGGGAAAACGAUCGGUAAAAAGAUUGUAGCUUGUUUACAAGAUUGGGGGAUAGAGAGAUUGUUUGCAAUAACUGUUGAUAAUGCCAGUACAAAUGAUGUUGCUGUUAAUUAUGUGACUAUGCAAUUACUUGCUUGGAGGAAUGAUGAUGCAAUUGUAUUGGCGGGUCAGUAUAUGCAUGUGCGUUGUUGUGCACAUAUUUUGAACUUGAUUGUUGUUUCGGGGUUGAAUGAAUUGCAUGCUAGUGUUGCCGCCAUCCGGAAUGCUGUGAAGUAUGUGAGAUCCUAGCGGCAGCUAUGGUGGUACAAGUUAUUCUCCUUAUUUUACAACUGAUGUUGGUUUGCCGGAGGGUCCUAGUGGUGAUGGUGAUGACAUUUUCCGAGUUUCUCGCCCUUUCUUUGGGUAUGCUCAGAAAGUGUUUGUUCAGAAUGAGGGCAAGAGAGUAGUAUCUGAGGUGGAACGAUAUUUGAGUGACCCAGUUGAAGAUCCGAGCAAUCUUAAGCUCAAUGUUUUGCUUUGGUAGAAGGUUAAUGGAUCGAAGUAUCCGAUAUUAGAGAAAAUUGCAAGGGAUGUCCUCGUUGUUCCUGUUUCCACAAUGGCAUCUGAAUCUGCCUUUAGCACAGGGCGUCGCGUCAUUGACGAAUAUCGGAGUUCUUUGACCCCUUGUAUGGUUGAGGCAUUGAUAUGUACCGAAAAUUGGUUACAAGCUAAACUUUUUGCUAAUCUUGUCUACAACCUUCAGGAAGAUAUUAAAGAGCAGAUAUUCCAUAUGGAGCUACAAGAAGGUAAUAUUUUUCUCAUACUUUAUAAAGUUAAGAUGUAUUAUAACUUUAUAAAUAGCAUCUACAUGUACUUAAGUUACUUACUAAUUUCAUUUUUUUUUUGACAUUUUAAAGAGUUUGUAAGAUCACAAGCUUCAACGGUGGAAACAGUGAGCGUUGAUAUGGGUGUUAUGGAUAUUUGAAAGGUAAUUCUUAAUAUAUAUUAUUAUUUAUAAUUUCAUAUUAUAUGUUUAGGUUGUAAUUUACACUAUAAUAAUAGACAAUAGUUGUUAUAGUUUUAAUUUUUAAGUUUUAAUUCAAAUUGUAAUAUUAUAAUUGUUUUAUUUAUUUUAGACACAUUGAAAUUGAUGGAAUGGUAUUACUUGGGCAUAUUUUUUCAAUUUUUCCCUAGGGGAUAUAUGCUUCAAUUCUUCAACUUGGAGUAGAAGAAAUUGAAGUUAAAAGUUGUCAAAGUGCUUGCGAGGAAUGGUGGAGCCGUGGAGGAAGUUGAUCUAGAUUUACAUUUAAACUUUGUUGUGUUUUGGAUUUUGGAACUUUGUCAUUUGUGUUUUGGAAAAUGGAAACUAUUUAAUUAUGUUUAAUUUUGUGUUCUAAAGAUUAAUGUUUAGAUUUUAGAAUUGGAUAUUGCGCUUUGGAUGGAGACUAUUAAAUUUAAACUUUGUGUUAAUUUUAAUUUUAUGCUUUGUGUUAAUUUUUAAUUUUGAAUCAUUUGAAUUUAAUUCUAGAGUAGUUUUCUUUUUUUGUUGGUUGAAAUGAAUGGAUGGAUAAAUGAGGGAGGACAAGGAAGGUGGGAGAGAAAUGUCUUAGUUAGCAAGGUGACAAUAGUGGAAAAGAAACCAAUUGAAAAAUUUUGAGAAAAAAAGAAGAUUAGAAUCCAGCUUAGAUUAUUUGGAAUUUUGGUUAGAAUCCGUGCAUAUAUUAUUUGGAAUUUUGGAUACCAUGCAUAUAUUAUUUGGAAUUUUGGUUAUAGGAUGCACAUGAUAGUUCAACUUUUUUCAUUAUUAAAUGGCAGAGGUAUGAGUAUUUGUUAUAGCUUAAAGCAUUGAUGACAUACUCCAUUGAAGAUUUUUCUUUGUAUUGACAAGUUGGGUUGGUUUUAAUAGUCUGCAAGUGCACAAAUUCUGUUAUUGCCAGAAUGUGAGUAUUUCUUUGUAUUGACAAAUUCUGCAAGUGCACAAGCCACAAAUGCUUGUUUUACAAAUGACAUGCACGUUCAUGUUGUUAUUGCCACUUUGCCAGAAUGAAAAUGAAUCAAUCCCUUACGUUUGCUGUGUUUGUCUUUUGGAUUAGAUAAAUGUUGUCAAAGUUUGGUUAAUUAUUAUAACUAAGUAAUGAAUCAAUCCCUUGUUUUAUAAAUGUUGGGCAAUAAUGCAAAUCUUAUGUCCGUCUCUAUAAAUUUUUUUAUACAUGUUGUCAAAUUUUGGUUUCUUUUAAACGGUUGUACUAUGCCUGUAUCUCCCGAGGUCCCCAUGGCAAAAAGAAUAAAAAAAAGAAGAAAAAAUACAAUAAAAUUAUAAUAAAUUAAUUUCCUUAGUUAGAAUGUGACUUUCCAGCAUCAAAACCCCUUAGGAAAAAAUACAAUAAAAUUAUAAUAAAUUAAUUUCCUAAUUUCACCUCCCCAAUUGCCAAAUUAAUUAUAACCCGAAUUGACCCGAAUUGAUCCGAAUAACCCGAAUUUAAUCCGAACCCGAACUAAUCCGAAUCCGAUCCGAUUACACCCGACCCGAAUUAACCCGAAUUCAUCCGAAUAACCCGAAUUUAAUCCGAACCCGAAUUAACCCGAAUCUGAUCCGAUCCGAACUCCACCCGACUUUUUAACCCGAUCCGAUCCGAUCCGAAUUUAAUUCGGAUCGGAUCGGAUCGGGUUUUAAGUUCGGGUGGAGUUCGGAUCGAUUUUUAUCCAACCCGACUAACCCGAAACCCGAUCGGGUUGAUCCGAACCCGACCCGAACCCGAUUUUGCCCACCCCUAUCUAGAAGUCCCUCCGAAAGCAUCACCCAAGACAGUUUGUCAUCUUUUAUACUCUGUUUUAACAGUAAUUUGAACCGUCUUCAGAGUUAUCGUCAACAAACUCAUUCAUAAUUUGUCCAAUCUUACGGACGAUAUCAUAUGCUUAACUCGACACAAUCUAGAUUCAACCUCCUCCUAUCCAACAACGGAUUUCGAUUUGAGUUACUUUGUGCUCAAGCAAAUUCACAUCAUAGUUUUAAUUCUUUUGAUAUGAAUUCAUCACAUUACAUAUAUCAGAUUAAGUGUAACAAAAUUUUUAAUUUACUACGAAAAGAAUAUGCGCUAAAAAUUAUUUCAAGACUAUUUGAUUACCAAAAGCUGCUGUCAGAGUGCACUGAAAGUUUCUGUAGGAUACUUUGCGGUUGUUUAUUAUGUUAUGAUGGGCAUAUAAUUCUCAAAUUUUGACUCCUCUUAGCGAAAAAUAUAUCAAAGUUUAGAUUGAGUGCAGCAACUCCACAGGCCGAGUGGUACAACUACACCUUGGUCUUACUAGGAAUAUCGAUCUGGGAGAGUGGUAUCUGAAUGCUUCUCUAUUUACUUCCUUUCAACAACUUGGUAACAAAAUAGCCGGCUGCAUGCGUUGAGAAUGAAAGUCCUUCAUUUAAUUUAAUUUACUUAAUUUCUCCCUCCUAAUUAAUGUCUGUAACCAUUAGGAGGAACAAGGGAUUUUAUUAACUCAAAUAUAUGUAAUGGAGGAGCUCAUUCUUUGGUUUUACUAGCAGGUCUAGAAGCAGGUGUCAUCUAACAGCUGCUUUGAUAAUUUCCCACCCCUUCAUCUUUGAUGGAAAGAUGAAAUAAAAACAAAAUGGUGAAAAUGGUAUUGGUACCUGAGGCUAUGUAAUCUAAUUCAACAACUGCACCAUCAAAACGAUUACAUAAGUCCCAGAAGAAUCAAACAUUAGUUUGCAAAAUAUCAAUUGCUGGAGGUUAGAUUCUAACUUCCGCUCUUGGUUUUUAUGGGCAUGUUGUAUUGUACUUGCAUACGAAAAUCAUAUUUUAGUUUACUUACACCCAACGCUUGGAUUAAAGUUUCAGAUGGGGAAAAUUGAAGGAGACUAAAAUGACUCAAAAAAUAGUUGAAUGAGUGAGGGUUUUGUCUUCAUUUAAGGAGCUCUUUAUAAAUUUUAGGAUUUUUUUUCCCGAGAAAAUAUAUUUCAACUUAUUCUUUGCUUCUUUUCUGAAGGGACAAAUGCAACUGAAAGUGUAUUCUUGAAUUCUCCAGGAUAAGAGACAUACGUUUAAUUAGAUUCUCGAGCCUUCAAAACAAUAUAAAAUUUUAGAUUGAUAAAAUUUUAUAUAUCUGAGCAUGAUGGUGUUUGACAUGACUUAAAACUAUUUAAUUUACUCUCACGUACAAGAAUAUCUAGUUAUAUUGUAGCUCAGAGUUCGAGGUUAAUCCAUAGACAAAUGAUUUAAUUUCUUUAUUUAAGAUUAUCCCAUAAAUAAAAAUAAAAUUUAAAUAUAUGUAAUUUAAUUUGAAAAAAGUUAUGAAAUUAAAUUAUUUAGGGUCAUGGAUCCACUCUUAGUAAGUACAAUUUAAUAAAUUCUUUUUAUUUUUAUUUUAUUUCCCAAAAGAUUAAUUAUAUAAAUUAUAAUUAUUUUCCCAUUAAUUUUAUUAUGGAUUAAGUACUUAAUGUGCCAAAACUUAACUUGUUUACAAUAAGUCAAAAUACCAUUUUACCAUACUUUAUGCUAAGAUAUUAAGAAUUCAUGUGCCAAACUCCCAUGUUUGUCUACAAUAAAUCAAAAUUUCAAAACAUAAAAUAUGGAUCAAAUUAAAUAAAAAAUAAUUUAAUUUAUAUAAUUAAAAAUAGAAUUUGAUUAAAUCAUAUUUUUCUACUCAGAGUUUUACCUCACCCUAACUAUUAGUAUUUAGCUAAACAUAUUUGAAAUAAAUGAAAUUAUUAAAAUUGAAAAAUACAUAAUUAAAAAAUGGUAUUUGAAAAUUAGAAAUAAAACUAAUUUUAUUUAUUGAAAAUGUAUUACAAAGAAAGAUGAGAAUAAGAAUUUGAGGGGAAAGAAGAGAAGAAAAUUUGUGGAGAGGUGUGUGAAAUUAUAUUGUAAAGAUGUUACACAAACAAAUGAAUAAAAAAAAAACUAAAUGAAAAUUACACAAAUUAAAAAGAAAAUGAAAAUUAAAUAAAUAAGAUAAAUGUGCAAGAAAAAAAUGCGCAAUAAAAAUAAAUAAACUGAAAAGUAAUUAACUAAAAUUAAAAUAACUAAAUAGGCGGUAAACAAAGUAAAUGCCAAAAAUAAAAUAAGUGCGAAAAUUAAAUUACAUAAAUUAAAAGAAGAAAGAAAGAAAAAAAAUUAUCUCAAAGUGUAAACUCUUUUUCUUUUUCUUUUUCUUUUCAAAUUUUAAAUAUUACUAGUCAAUUAAGUGAUUAAUUCAAAUUAUUAGGCUUUAAUAGUAAUUUUUAAAAUCAAUAUUCAGUUUAUUGAGUCCAAAUAAGGUCCAAAGAAGUUCAAGUUGUUGGUCUAAAAUUGAGAAUUUUGGGAAAUAUUGGCAACGGACCUAUUCAAAAAGUUCUAUAAUUUUGUGGUCAAACUACAAUUAUGAGAAGAAUGAUCCAAAAAUUAGAAUUUUUGGGGUGAGUGAGAUUUAGAAAGAUUUUGUGGAUAUAACAUAAUUUAAGAAAGAAAAAGGAGGUAAAUGAAAAUUUACACAAAAAGUAAAAAAAGAAAAAAAAAAGAAAACAAAAUAAAUACCUCUCCCAGCAACGGCGGUAAAAACUUAACACGAAUUAAAAGUAUUUAAUUUACUCUAAAGUAUAAGAGUACCUAGUUAUAUUAUAUCGCGAGAAGUCUGAGAUCGAUCUACAGAAAAAUUAUUUAAUUAAUUUAUUUAAGUUUAUCUAAAAAAUAAAAAUAAAAUUAAAUACAUGCAAUUUAAUUUGAGAAAAAUUAUGAAAUUGAAGUAGUUAGGAUUAUGGAGCUCUUUAUAAAUUUUAGGAUUUUUUUCCUGAGAAAAUUUAUGCCACCUCAUUCUUUGCUUCUUUUUUGAAGGGACACAUGCAACCGAAAGUAUAUUCUUGAAUUCUCCAGGAUAAGAGACAUACGUUUACAUGCUGGAGCAUUUAAAACAAUGUCAAAUUUUAGAUUGCUGAAAUUUUAUAUCUCCGAGUAUGAUGGUGUUCCAAUUAUAAGCUCCAGGGUGCAACUUCACUGAGGUUUAGAAUGCCAUCCUUUAGAAUUGAGAAAUCUCCGUUUGCAUAAAUAUCUUUUGAAAAUACUGACAUCAGAUUUUGAAUUGGAGAACCUGAUUGGACUCAGCUUGCCUUGUAGUAAGGUUAAGCAAAUUUGGAAAAGAGAAAAGGUAUAAUGUAUUACUAUUACCAAAGUAUAUAUUUUUCUUUCUUUAAGUAUUUAUAAUGAAUAACUUUGAAAUUCAAUGAUGCUCAUUUAGUAUAGUUAUGUAUCUUUGGUUAUAGGAAGCUGUCAAGUUAAAAUCUAUAGACCUUCACCACCCCUCUAUCUCAAUAGGAUCCCAGAAAUACUAAAUCUUAAAAAAAUAAAUCUUUCAAAUUGUGAAAGCAUGCUUACGUUACCCCCGUAUAUCCACAAUUUCAACUAGCUGAGUAUGUUGUGUUUCAGGGAUGCAAAAUUCAUUUUGUUUCUCAUGAAAGGAUUGACUUGUCCGGAUGUAUUAGGGUUAAUAAACCAACUAAUCCCAUAAUUUGUUGAUGUAGGGUCCUAAAAAAUUAUUGCAGUAGAUUGUAGAUCAGUACACUAUUCGAAAAUGUAUUUGAUCCACACAGUGAAGUGGAUAUUGGACCAAUUUGAUGAUAAUGAAUUUCUUUCAAUCUCAAUCGUUUUUCCUUUUAGCAACAUGACUAGUCAUUGCGCAAAUUCAAACUCUGACAAUGAUUUCUCAAUCGGUUUCUAAGAUGAUGACCAUGCAUGUAUAUGUAUAUGCGUGUGUAUAUGUGUGUGUGUGUGUGUAGAGAGAGAGAGAGAGAUCACACGUGUGUGAUUUCCUUUUGCCAAUAGGAUAUGCAGAGAGCUUGAUCUUACCCAAUAGCGAAACAAACUUCCUAAUAAGUGAAGGUAUAGUAUAAAUACUUAUACUUUCAUGUUAUUUUUUUCAUCAGUAGCUUGAUUAUUUUAUAUGCGUCUUCGAUUUUAAUUUUCUUUCCCUAUAAUCGCUAUUAUCUUUGAACUGGUCAUGAUUUGCCUAUAAGAUUUCUCAUGUUGUUUUGAGGUGCAAUGGAUUUUGAAUUUAGUGACGAGCAGUGGAAGCCAGAAGGCAAAUUAUGAAUAUGGAUAAAGAUCUAUAAUUAGCUGUUAUGGGAUGUCACAUAUCAUAUUGAUGGUAACAUUAUACAUAUGUACAUAUAAUUAAUGGGGUUGGCUCACGAGCCCAUUAAUAAUCAUAUAUUAGCUUAAAUACUUCAAACAAUGUACCAUGAAGCAAUUUCACAAAUACUUGUUAGCUUAUGUUGAGCUUUAUUGAAUCAGUAGUUCACAGUUCAAUAAAAUGCAGGUUUGCUAUUUAACGUACAUGGUUAUGGUGUGUGCAUUCUUCAUAAGGCUAACUACAAAUUUAUCAAUGAAACUUGAAAAAUGUAACAGAGAGAUGUCGAUAACAACCGCAAAACACUGAGAUUGAAAAUCAGGGCUAGUAAAUUCUAUUAAAAGCUCUUAAAAUAGACAGCGAUCAUCCUUAACCGCAAAGUUAUGCACUAAUAGAACUAUUGACUACUUAUCUUUAGCAGAAGGUAUAUUUUUAACUACAGCUUUCUGCUUUGUUCUAAGAACUAGGCAAAAGUGGUAUAUCUUCAAUCCAAUCAACAUAUAUACCACUUAUCUUCCUCUUCACUUCUGUCUAUUUUGAUUUGCACUUUACAUCCUGCACUUGCUGCUUAGAAAUAGUCUUAGUCUGGACAUUGAAAGUAGAAAAAGUACUUGAAACUAUCAUUGGCACAGCUCGAGAUUCCAUUGAAUCGUGGACUCCAAGCUUUCAUAGUUCUAUAAAGAAAAUUACAUAACUUCAUACAACUGGCAUUCUGCUUUUAACAUUUGCACAACCUGAGCAAGUUAGCAAGCCCCUUGUCGCGUUCCCAUUGAAUAGACCUACUUCUGUUAUCCACAGAAGAUCCACCACUCAAAAUGUUUAUCACCAGGCUAUUCUUAAACUGAGCCUAAACUGAGUAGAAACUUCCGCACAUCUCUCAGCAUUUACAUGAAGAAAUCGACAACUAUCCUCAUCUCUCAGCACAUCUCUCAGCAUUCUACAAAGUUGCAUUUCACUAGGCAAUCUAUCCUCUCCAUUCCUAGCAAAGUGACAUUGAUUCUCGUAUUUGUAAUCUCCUAACUUGGGUUUUGGGCAUAGCGUGGUCUUAUAAUUACCACCCAAUACUUUGUUCAGUGCCACUGGCAUCCACAAGCUCUAGCCCUGUUAGCUGAAUCAUAUUCAAUGGGACAGUGAGGCAGCAUUUCACUAACAUAUUCAAUUUGACUACUUAUAUUGACGCAAAUAUUAGAAUUUGAAAUCACUUCUUUUCUUGGAAUAUUAUAUUAAAAUAACCCCAAAUGAAAGUUCUUGAAUGGAAAUGAUUUUUAUUUAAUCUUCCAACAGAUUCAAGAAAACCCAGAGAACACAAAAUUUACACAGUAAUAUGAUUAAGAGCUAAGAACGUACAUGUAGUAAAUGUCUAUCAAAAACACCAAAGGGUUUCUUUAAAAUUAGAAACUAGGUAAACUGUUAAGAUUUCGUUGGCUUCACUUGACUAAUUGAGAGAGAUUGUUUCCUUAUAUGUGGCUGAUUUGUAAUCCCUUUGAAUAUGGGAUCGUUAUUUACGUUCCUUUGUUUUGUGAAUAUUAGCUCUUUUAAACUUAUAUAUAAAUCCUCUAUAAUUCUACUGCAGAAAAAACAGAGAAGAAUAAAAUCAGUAUUCUUUUCAAAUAUCAUUUUUUCAUGGUAUCAGAGCAAUGGUUUUGAUUCAGUAAAACACUUUCGCUUCUCUUUUUUUUUUUAUGGAUGAUAUUGAUAGUGAUAGCAGUCACAAUCAUUCACCAAAUCAUAUAUCCUCUCAAACCUCUCAUCACAUUAUGUCUAUGUCUAUGGUUGAUUCCUCAUACCCUCUUUUUCUUCAUGCUUCUGAUCAUCUUGGCAUGAUUCUUGUUCCAAAAGUCUUAGAUGGAACAAAUUAUGCUAUGUGGAAGAGAUCUAUGCUAGUGAGUCUUAGUGCAAAAAAACAAACUGGGAUUCAUUAAAGGAACCAUUCACACACCAGAUGAAGAUGAUCCAAAACAUUCUUUAUGGCAGCGCUGCAACGAUAUGGUGCUUUCUUGGAUCCUUAACUCUCUAAAUCAGGAGCUUGCAAUAGUGUACUCUAUUUAGAGACACCCUCAGAGAUUUGGACUGACCUUCAAGAACGUUUCUCUCGAGGUGAUUUUUCCCACCAUUAUCAAACUCAGCAAUUUAUUGUUGAAUUGAAACAAAAUCAAGAUUCAAUUUUUUCUUAUUACACAAAGAUAAAAAUGUUGUGGGAUGAGCUAACUACUUGCAGUCCUUCAAUCACAUGCACAUGUGGAGGACAAAAAGACUUGAAAGAAAAAGAAGAAAAGAUUAGGCUGGGACAAUUCCUCAUGGGAUUGAAUGAAACAUACUCAGCUUUGCGAGGACAAAUAAUGUUAAUGUAUCCUCUACCAACUGUCAAAAGGCAUAUUCUCUUCUCUGUGAGGAAGAAAAGCAGCGAGGACUUACUGAAGCCAAAGGCAUUGAUCUCAUUCAUGCCAUGAGUAUCAAAGCUCGUGAUAAAUCUAGAGAAACACAAUUUGAUGCACAACAACAAACCAAACAAGGAUCAUCCUCUCAUCCCAAGCCACAAGGAAUGAAGAAAUCUUUCUUUCAUACUUACUGUGAGGGCACAACUCAUUCAGUAGAUUGUUGUUACUACUUGAAUGGAUUCCCAGUUGGUCAUAAGCUUCAUGGCAAAGACGUUCAGCCUCCAAAUCGAAGCAGAAAACCUGUUGUGCAUUAAACUAGUGCUGAAAUGAAUCAGAACUUAGCAAAGACACCAACUAAACAAACUCCCCAAUUUAUCUCUGAAGAGCUUGCCCAAAUAAAAGCUUUCUUUAGAAAUGGUAACAAUCCUGCUCGAUCAAACUACAUAGGUAUCCCUAUACCUUUCUGUUCAUCUUUCAAUACGCAAAAGACAGACUUGAAUCACUGGAUUAUUGAUAGUGGUUCAACAAAUCACAUAGCAACUUCAAUACCUAUUAAAACUCCUCUGUCAUCUCAAGUAACCUUGCCUAAUGGUGCCUAUUCUUAGAUAACUGGAAUUGGUUCAACACAACUCUCAAACCACCUACAUGUUAAUAAUGUAUUAUGUGCACCAUCAUUUCAUGUUAAUUUACUUUCAGUGAGUCAACUUACUGUUGCCAUGAAUUGUUCAAUCCAUUUUUUUUCCCACUUUCUGUAUAUUGCAGGACCUAGCUUCGAAGAAGAUGAUUGGCUUGGGGAAGCAGCUUAAUGGCUUGUACUACUUUGUUCCUCAAGUGAAGUCUACACCAACUUCUUUUUCAAUCACCCAUCAUGCUGAUUUUACUACACAUAUUACUUGGCACAAGUGGUUAGGACAUCCCUUAAAAGCACCUUCACAAUUUUUAAGCAAUAAUAUUCCUGCAUUUGUAUUUGAUUCUCAAUAUUCCUGUGAAACUUGCCCUUUGGCAAAGCAAACUCGUUUACCAUUUUCUUUAAGUUCUAUUCAAACUUUGCAUUCAUUUGAUCUUAUUCAUUGUGAUAUUUGGGGACCUUUUCGUACUGCAACUCAUACAGGGGCACAUUAUUUCAUGACUAUAGUUGAUGAUUACACUCGUUUCACUUGGAUUUUUUUAAUGAAAUUUAAAUUCGAAACCCAAGGAUUAAUAAAAACAUUUAUUUCUUUUGUGAACACUCAAUUUAAUUGUCAAGUUAAAUGUCUUAGAAGUGAUAAUGGCUCAGAAUUUCUUUCCAUGAAACCUUAUUUAUCCACCCUUGGUAUUUUAUUUUAAAACUCAUGUCCAUCUACAACUCAACAAAAUGGUGUCGUGGAACGAAAACACCGUCAUCUCUUAAACGUUAGUCGGGCUUUGAGAAUGGAUGCCAAUCUUCCUUUAAAAUUUUGGGGGGAGAGUUUACUUACUGUAGCCUAUCUUAUAAAUCGUCUUCAUACUCCCUUGUUGCAAUAUAAAUCUCCAUAUGAGUUGUUGUAUAAUAAGCCACCUAACUACACUCACUUACAAGUUUUUGGAUGUCUCUGUUAUGCAACAAAUCUACAGCCGUCCAAUAAGUUUGAUUCUCGGGCUCGACAAUGCAUCUUUGUUGGUUACCCUAUAGGCCAAAAAGCCUAUCGAUUAUAUGAUCUCCAUACUCACCAAUUCUUUUCCAGUCGUGAUGUCAUUUUUCAUGAGUCUAUUUUUCCUUCUCUUCGUAUUGAAAAAUCAUUAGAUAGCACUUUUCCUCAACUUGAGAUAUUAGAUUACAUCGAUAAUCUAUCUCCUCCUGCAACUCAUCCUGUCCCUCCAACAUUAGAGACCAUUAUUCCCUCUCCUAAUCUUUUAUUGUCAUCAACUCCUUCCCCUUCUUCCUCUAUAUCUUCUCCUGCCCCUCAUAUUCGUAAAAGUGAUCGUGUCAGGCAACCAUCUGUUCUUCUUCGUGACUUUCAUUGUGGACAGAUUAGUACAACACCAUCAACUGCAACUUCAAGUCAGUCAUUUUCAACUAAGUCAGGUACUCAAUAUCCUUUAAGCAAAUACAUUUCCUAUGAUUCUUUGUCUUCUACUCAUAAACACUUUGUUAACACCAUUUCAAGUGUCCUAGAACCAACCUCUUAUGCUCAUGCUAUAUUGGAUCCGAAAUGGCAAGAGGCUAUGCAAUGUGAACUUGAUGCUCUCAAAUCACAGAAGACAUGGUCCUUGGUCCCUUUACCCGCUGGCCAUCGCCCCAUUGGCAGCAAAUGGGUUUAUCAUAUCAAAUACAAUUCUAAUGGUACGAUUGAAUGUUACAAAGCUCGAUUAGUUGCCAAAGGAUUUUCUCAACAAGAAGGCCUGGAAUACACUGAGACAUUUGCUCCUGUGGCUAAAUUGACCGUUGUUCGUUGUUUACUUGUUGUGGCAACUGCAAGACAUUGGCCAUUGUAUCAAAUGGAUGUGACCAAUGCUUUUUUGCAUGGUGAUUUAGAAGAAGAAGUAUAUAUGACUCCACCGCCGGGACUUUGUCGACAGGGGGAGAAGCUUGUUUGUUGACUUCAUAAGUCCCUUUAUGGGCUUAAAUAAGCUCCUCGCAAUUGGUUUGCGAAAUUUUCUCAUGCUGUCAAGAAAGCUGGCUUUAUUCAAUCACAUUCGGAUUACUCGUUGUUUGUGAAGACAAAAGGCACAUCUAUAACCAUGGUUCUUAUUUAUGUAGAUGAUAUGGUGAUAACUGGAAAUGAUGCAGUCGCUAUACAUAAUCUCAAACAAUUUCUUCACUAGCAAUUUCAUAUCAAAGAUCUCGGUCAUCUUAAAUAUUUUCUUGGGCUGGAAGUUGCAAGGUCCAAAGCAGGUCUUGUUAUCUCUUAACGAAAAUAUACCUUAGAAAUCAUAGAUGAUGUUGUAUACUUGGGUGCUCAACCGGUAAAUUUUCCCAUGGAGAUGAAUUUGAAACUCACAAACCAUUAAGGUGAUUUGCUACAUAAUCCAACUCGCUACAGGAGAUUAGUUGGCCGACUAAUAUAUCUCACAAUUACGAGACCAGACAUUACAUACUCAGUUAACAUCUUAAGCUAAUUUAUGCAUGCUCCAAGAAAGCCUCACUGGGAUGCUGCUCUUCGUAUUAUGAAAUAUUUAAAGGGCAGCCCUGGUUUAGGUUUGUUAUUCUCCUCAAGCAAUUCCUUUACUUUAAAGGCUUACUGUGAUGCUAAUUGGGCAAAUUGUCGUAUAACAAGAAGAUCAACAACAGGUUAUUGUGUGUUCUUAGGGGAUUCUUUGAUUUCUUGGAAAGUAAAGAAGCAGAAAACAGUCUCAAGAUCAUCAUUAGAAGCUGAGUACAGGUCCAUGGCAGCAGCAACUUGUGAGCUCACUUGGUUUAGAUUUUUAUUCAAUGAUAUGCAAAUUUCCAUAGGACCAGCAAGGCUAUUAUGUGAUAACCAAGCUGCUCUUCACAUAGCAGCAAAUUCGGUAUAUCAUGAACGCACCAAACACAUAGAUCUUGACUGUCAUGUGGUAAGGGAGAAAAUGUACGAUGGUCAGAUAAUCACCAAAUUUGUUCCAUCUCAUUUACAGUUGGCAGACAUUUUUACAAAAGCUCUUGGAGGAAAGGUGUUUAAGAGACUAACAACCAAGUUGAACAUGCUAGAUAUACAUGCUCCAACUUGAAGGGGGAGUGUUAAGAUUUCGUUGGCUUCACUUGACUAAUUGAGAGAGAUUGUUUCCUUAUAUGUGGCUGAUUUGUAAUCCCUUUGAAUAUGGGAUCGUUAUUUACUUUCCUUUGUUUUGUGAAUAUUAGCUCUUGUAAACUUAUAUAUAAAUCCUCUAUAAUUCUACUGUAGAAAAAACAGAGAAGAAUAAAAUCAGUAUUCUUUUCAAAUAUCAUUUUUUCAUAAACAAAAAGAAAGAAUCAUUUUACAUUUUUAGCAAGUUUGAAUGAGUGAGAAAUUGAAACCCUAAAGUGAUGACAACAAUAAGAUUCAGUAUGAAGUGAAACCCCAAUUUGAAAUGUAGGCAUGAGUUGCUGAGUCAGUAGAUGAAGCUAUAAAUAGGCAUUCGGUUUCUUUCUUUUCGGUUUGGAGGGCCAUGGAAUAGUGUAUUGGAGUGGGCUCGAAGUAAUAGCCUUUAUCACUGAAUGACACGUUUGCAAAACGUGAUACAUAGGGAAGGAUUGAGCAUUAUACUCUUAGAUUAGCGCCUUAUUUAGGGUGUAUAUUAAGCAGAUUAUCUAUAUAUUACAUGGAGAUGGAGUUUAUGAAAUAGAUUAAAAAGAAAAGGAAAAUUAGUGUCUGGAGUUUGCCACUUGGAAUAUUUCGGUGUCUAAACAUUCACUCACCACUUAUUUCAUGUCUGAUCAUAUGUUGAAAAAAUAUUAAAGUAAUAUAACGCUAUUAAGGCUUAACGUAUAUUUUUUAUUAGUAGAGUGUAGAACUUUUAAGAAAUAAAUUAUUAAAUUACUAUAACUAGCAUAUUAUUUUAAAGUUGUGUUGUGAAAAAAAAAAUGAAAUAAAAACGUGAAGUAAAUUAGAGUAUUCUAAAACUUUUAUCUUUUUAAAAUUAGUUUUUAACAUAAGGUGAACUAUUUUUUUUUUAAAUCACAUACUCUAGUUAAAAUCAAAUAUGUAUUUAUAUGAAGCUUGUAAUUUUUUUUUCAGUACUGAUAUUUGAAUAUUAUCAAUAUUAUUUUUAUGGCCCACAAAAGGACAACACCGUUUAUGUUAUAAUACUAUCACCUCUGUUAUGAUAAUAUUUUUUUUGUGGCCAAAUAUCAUUUUUUUAAGUAAAAAGGUGGACAAAAUGCAAAUCAAUUUUUAAUCCUCAAACUCUCCCAAAAUUUAAAUUCGUAGUUAACAAAACACAAUUGUUGGAAAACCAUUAAGCUAGGUCCAUCGGUUGUUAAAACUAGGGAAAUUUAUAAAAAUAACUUAAAAACUUUUAUAAUUUCACAUUUUACCCUCCGAAAUUUUUCCUAUCAACAUUAGCAAAAAAUCCUUUCAAGUGCCGAAAAUACCCCUCCCAUUCUCAUCAAACUUCCUCUCUCUCUCUCUAACCAACGAUUUCUUUCUCAAGGUGGUCACUCAUCGCCGCCGGCUUUCCAGAGUCCAUCCUUGAUAGUCAACAUCACCAAAAUUUCAGUCAAGAUCUGAAAUCAAAGAUUAAUUUAAAAACCCUAGAUUUUGAAGCAUGUUCUAUUUCUAUUCUUCUUUUAUGUUGUGGUUUUGUUGUUGUGCUGGUGAUGGUGAGUGAAGAUUGAAGUGUUUGUGAUGUUGAUGGCAUGGGCGAAGUUGUUGGUGUAGUGCAUGGGUGAAGAUUGAAGUUGGCGUGGGCUUGGGGCCGGGAGAUAUCGUGCCUGAUCAGGCGCAACAACGCCCCUGUCGCACAAGAUCUGGGAGACAGGCACGCGCACCUGUCACUCACGCCUGUCGCGCGUGCUUGGUGCGACAGGCAGCAUGUUACAAUUUUUUUUUUUAACGUGAAGUUGGUGCGACAGGCGCAAUUUCGGUGCAACUCACACCUGUCGCACAAAUUUAGUACGACAGGCGCCUGUCGCACUAACAUACAAUCACACUGAAACUCUCUUGUCGCACGAAAUCAAGUUGACAAAACAUCUCUUAACACUCGGUGAUGCAAAAACAAAGUAUAAACAAUCAAAGAAACAUUUCAUCAAACACUUAAUACGCAAUAUUUUUACAAAACUAAUUUCCUUUUAAUUAGCUUACCUAGAUUUUGGGCUCUAUUUCACUUUGUUAGAAUUGUGUCCGAUUGGUGUUGGAUCCGAAUGGAUUUGGCUAUCUUUGAUCUUAGUUCACUUUUACCGUUCGCAGUCAUCGUUUGCCGUUGCCAUUUGCCUGUGAUGAUUUAAGAGUUCAAGGCUGCGUUUGGUUUGAUAAAGAGGGAGAAGAAAAGUUGCGUUUGGUUUGAUAGACAAGAGUAAUUUAGGGAAGAAACCUUAUGUUUGGCUGAUUAUGAUAGUAAAAACUUUAGAGGGCCAAUUGUAAAAAUUAUAAAAGUUUUUAGGUUAUUUUUAUAAAUUUCUCUUAAACUAUAGCUGACAAAAAGUUACUAACAAAAAGAGAAUGUCUAUUUUAUAACUUUCUUAAAAAACUUUCCUUAACUUUUUCAAAAAAGUAAUGAUAUAGUCACAAAUUCUUGUAUAAAUUUAUUUUGUACAAAUUAAUGUGAUAUGAUAAAAUUAGUUGAAUUAAAUAUCUUUUGGUCCACAUAAUUUAUUUUUAUUAUUUAUAUUUUCAUUCAACUAAUAAAUUAAUAACACGUAAGAGUUAUGACUGUAUCAUCAUUCUUUUUAAAAAGUUACUAACAAAAAGUUAUUUCCAAUUUUUAUUUUGUUAUAAUUUUUAAAACAAAAUUCGUAGUUAACUAAACUCUUCUUAAUUCCUAUGCCCUUUCUCAACUGCCAUACCCUACCCUGCUCCCCAUGUCCCCACUAAACCACGCUCAAUUCAGGCCAUCAGAUUCUCCCGGACCCACAUUAAUCCAACUGCUCACAGUGACCGACAGCCUCUCUAUCGCCAUUUCAAGCUCCCUCUUAAACUGGCUUCUGCUACCGUCGUACUCUUUCUCGGAUUCGGAGUCCGUAUUUGCUCGGCCGGUCCCACGCAGCUCCCUCUCACUCCAAUUGUCACCCAACAAGGCCAAUUGCUUACUCAAGGCACAGAACAAGAAGAGGAUGAGAAAUUGAAACAAGAAUUUGAGAAUUGGAAAUCGAAAACGUACGCAUUGACCGUGCCUUUGAGGGUUGUUUCUCUUCAGAAUUCAGUGCCUUAAUCUUGGGUUAAGGAUUUUAUGCGAAGUCAAGGAAAGACAUUGAUAAGUUUCAGAUGAAUUUGUUUGCUAGCAUUGAUGGGAUCUUUCACAAUUUAUCUAUGCCCUUUAACAAAGUUAAGGCUAAGUCAGCUUCAUAUAUGGCUGCUGAUUUGGUUAGUGUUGGUGAUUCAUGGCUCAGUUAUGCGAUUAUAAAGAGAUUGAUUGAGCCAAUAGCUGUAGCUGAAGAUCAAUAUUGGUUCAAAUGCUUAAGUCACAAAUGGAAGGUAACAUCUUUAUCUUUGCCCCGAUAAUUUUUAUUGUCUUACAUUGAAAUUUGGUAAUGUAAUUUGUUCUCUAUCUGUGUCACCCUUUGUAGUCAUUUUAUUUAUUUAUUGUUUUGCUUUUAUUUGCACUAACGAAUUCUCAGGCAUAUCUACCCAGGAAUGAUGCUGGAGAAAUUGAUCCUCGAGGUAAAAUAUGGGCGGCAGCAUACCGGUGGGGCACAAUGGGAUAGCUUACAAGAAAAGUAAAUUGCGAAAGCAUAUUUGGCUCCGAUUUAGGUAAUUGCCUUUAAGCUCAUUUAGUUUUAUAUGAAACAAAAUCAAGACUGCCUUUCUCUUCAAUAUUUUUGAUGAUAAUAUCUUUAGAAGCAUCUCAUUCACGGGUAAUCAUGGUAUCCCUUAAAGAGUCUAUAAACUCAAUGAUAUUAUCUUCUACAAAUGGUUCAUUAAACUUCUUAGUUGCAGUCAAAUGUACACUAAGAACAACGAGAAGCUAUGCCACUGUAGCAUGUAGUGAUGGCACUUAAUAAGUGACUUGCUAGGAUGUGAACUAGAUAAAUUAAAUAUUGUCUCCCUGGGCAUGCUAGCUCAUAAGUUGGGGUUAAUAUUAGCUAUUGACUGCCAAUUAAAAUAUCCAUUAAAAUGUCUAAGGAGUUACGAAGGUGGAGGUAUCUUCCAAUUUCUAAGGCCAAAUAGCAGACAUCAUCCAGGAUCCUGGGAAAGUGCAGUUAACUUCCUGCUUGAUCCUAAUGUGAAAACAAUUAAUAAAUUUGGUCAAUGCAACUGAAACCUGCUAACCGAUGUCACAAUGCGACAUCAGCACCUCAAAAUGGGAUAGAUGGUUAGUAGCACUAAAUUUUUCUGGCCUCAGAUUGAGCAAUUGGCCCAACGACUAACCCCGAUUGUGGGUUGAUGAUAAUUUUUUAAUUAUUUUCAUUUUGACCGAAAAAGUUACAGAAUCUUGAUCUGAAUAUUGUCACUGAACAGUGUCAAUAUCGUUUAGCAUAUCCAACUAACUUGAGUUUGGUGAAACAAACACAGAGUGUGUCUCUCAUGUCUCACCCUUCAAAAUUAUCAUCUGUAAUGAUGGAGAAUUUUUCUAAUGUAUGAACUAUGCUUCGAUAUAUGGGUUAGCUUGGAGAAGAUAUCUCAAGAUAAAGAAUAUGGGAAGCUAAUGGGAAGAAACAGGGGAUCUUCAUUCUUUUUCCUUUUUAUACCCAGAUAUCUCUCGACCUUUAUAUGAUCCCUACUGGAUAUUUGCUUCUAAUAACUAAAAUAAAAAUUUCACCCACCAAAAUGAAUACUGACCAAGCUUUAACAAUAAAAAGUAGCAUCUUUAGUCAAGUAAUUUGCAGUUCCUCAUCAUCUUAGUGUGAGUCUAUCAGUAUGAUCAAAAAACAUAAUAAAACUGGUUAGAUCCUGUUCAUUGAUGUUUAAAUGUUGUUCAGUGUGAAAUGUAGCAAUGAUGAGGUGAAGUUUCUUUGGUCAUCAAUUAGUAAGAUCUUGUAAUCUGGCAUUACUGGGAAACCAGGUACUCUUAAAGAAAUGAUAUCUGGUCAUUGCAUGUUAUUGCCUGACAACUGAUUUUGUUUGUAAAAGUCUGCUUCUUCAUACAUAUGAAUGCAUAUGUUAGUGUUGUCUUUUCCUUUUCCUACAUAUUAAUGCAUAUGUUGGUGUUCUCUUAUGAAAUGGAUGCAAUAAAGGCUUUUUCUCCUAAAUUUAGCUGAGGAAAUGGCAGGGGAUGUGAGAUUCUGUCUCAUUAAAUUAACAAAAACCCAAAACAAUAAAAACCCAUAAUAAUGUGGUGUGGGUAAAUUGGCGACAUUUGGCUCGUUACCCUGAUGUGAAUAUGCGAGCAAUGGAGACUAACAAAAUGAAGUGACGAUUCAGUGUCCUUUGAUGGAUGCAUUUUUAAGCAAAAAUAGGUUUGUAACUGACCAAAUUUGUCUGGCAUGCCAAUUUAAAAAAAUUAAAUUAUGUGGUUGUUAGCUGUAGUGAAGGGGGGGUAGUAGGUCCAAUCCGGUCGAUCCAGGAAAGUUCAACAAAGUUCUGGUAUGGUGCAGUGAAACUGGUUUGUGCAACUCAAGAGUCGUUCAGGUAAAAGAUGAUGUGUUUUGAUUUAAAAAUGUUAUAAAUUUACUGUGUAUAGUAUUCUAGUAGAAUCAUCUAUAAAUUUAAGUUUUUGAAAUUAUCUGCUUUUCCCAGUUUGAGUUAAGGGCACAUGUAAUAUGAAAAAUAGUUGUCGAAUGUUGUAGGUUACCUAACAUUUGAUCAAUCCUAUUAUGAUGGCUUCAAGAUGUCUAACAAUAUGUAGAAUGCCCCUGCUCCUCCCCAUUGUUUAUCUUAUACAAUAAUAUGUUGUGGAUGCUAAUAUCUUUGUCGAUACCUGUAACAGUAUUACAAAAUCUGCGUUCAUUGGGUUUUAUAUAGGUUCAACUGUCUGACAGUUCACACUGUCUGAAGGCAUUUGGAAUUGGAGAUGUAUGGGUUGCCGUUGAGGGGAGUAGUGAUGUUCUUCCUGCUGUCAAACGUAUGUCUAAUGUUGCAGUUUUUGUUCCCAAGUCUGGUGCUAGCUUAUGGGCCGAUCUUUGGGUUAUAACCAUGCCUGUCAUUCUACUUCGAUAUUCACUUUGUUAUCACCUUCAUAUUAGUGAUCAGUAAACAUGACAAUGUGACUAAUAAAUUUGUAUUCUCUUUAUAGGCAAUCCGAGCUGCCUCAAGACUUGAAACAAAACAAAUUGAAGGCAAGUCAGAGGUCCAUCUCCAUUAAUCCAUUAAUAGAUAGAGUUCCACUUGCAAACAGCAAGAGCAUUGCCUUUCAAGCAAAAGGUUAUCCCGGGUGCAACUCCCUCUGCCCUUGAAAGUACUCUGGUUAAGUUGCCUGAACAACUUCUGAAGGGUAAACCAAGUCUGGAUACUAACUUAACUGCUGGAGUACCUCCGGCUGAAAUUCUGGCCAGAUGUGGGUUUUUGGAGCCAUUAUCUGAAGCUACAUUGUCAAAUUAUGAGUGGCUGGUUGCUAAUCUACAAAAACCUGCUCCUGUCUUGAUGAAAAGGGUGCAACAUUACAUGUCAUCAUUAAUCCGAAGCUUUCUAGCAAAAGCUACAUUGAAAAGUUAAUGGCACCGCAUGCCAGUCAUUAUAAUGCUGUCAGGGCAAUUGGGUCAGAGCAUAACUUCAUUGGGAAAAGAGGAUUCAGCUAGGUUACCUAUUACAGGACGUACUGAGAUGGCUGAAGUUCUUGAGGUUUUAUGAGAAAUGAAAGAUGAGUGCUUGUUUGAACAAAGUUGUCACCAAUCUCGUAAAGUUCAAGAAGAAAGAUCACAGAGCUAAUGCCACCAAUUUCUUCAUUAUUGCAGCCUCCAUUGUUGAAGUUUCCUCAUUUGAAGCUGUUUAUGCAUAUGCUUCUUCCCUGCUCAAGUACAGGAAAUUGAAGAAUUAGCCAGAUAUGAUAUGAUGAAAGAGGGAAGUUUUCUUCCUUGAAUAUGGCCUUGUAAUUUGUAGUGAAGGAGUAGGAUGAUCACUAGCAAGAACCCUAUCAAGGUAGAUUUUAUGAUGUUAACAUAUUACUAAGCAUUUGUUUCUUUAGCAAUGAUACUUUCAUAGCAUGAAUUUAAUUAUAUGAUCCUGAUUAAUCAAUUAAUUUUCAUGAGUUUUAACCUAGUUAAAACGAAGUACAAUCAUCGUUAACAAAUACUGAAAUUGGGUAAAUAUGAUCUUGACAUUGAAGAAGAAUUUGAAAACACAACCCGCAGAGGAAAUUACCUAUUGCAUGGGGAUGGAGAUGUAUAUUGCAGCGAUAUAGAAUAUGUGCCAGGCGUUGUCUACUGCUCUUUGGGUUAUGGUGUGAUUUGCGAAUUCAAUGUUGCCCUGAAACAAUGGAAAAGAUUAACAUAUCCUCCAAUGAAUGAAAACGGCUUGACUAAUUUUGACUACCUACUUGACUCAGGAUCAGGUGACAAUAAUGGCGGUUUAUUAACAUUGCACGGCCCCAGUACUCUUCCAGGAUCAGAUACGAAGUAGUCUAAAGUUGAUAAUAAGAGUUUUAUUAAAUGACAAAUCAUUGUUGUUGGGUGUUGGUUAUAUACGUCAUUACAACUACAAGUUGAAGAUGAAGGUUAUGCAAGUGAUUUCAGAAAUACAAUACAUUCCAAGAGAUGCUGGUCUACAAUUGCAUGCCCCCAGAUAUAAGAAUCUUUUGAUUGGGGCAUUGAAAAUGAAGAAUUGAAAAUGAAGUUGCAAGUUGCCGCCUAUAGCUGCUGAGUAAUAAUAAAACGAGAUAAAUUAAUUAAUCUCAGACCUCUAUGUAUAUGUUAUCCUAACUUUACUUACCCUUAUUUGUUAUAUUCACUUAAAACUUGAUGCCUAAACCAUUAAAAUCAAAUGACCAUAGGGGUAUUUACAGUAUGUAAAAACAAACAAAAACACGUAAAAAAUUUCAAAAAAUUAAUAAUCACACUCUAAACUUACCACUCAACUCCUAAGAAUAGUCAUAAUCUAAAACAAUUUACAACUUUUGAAGGGAGUAGCUAUGAAGAUGGGGGAAAAUCCUUUUCUCAGUGGAGUGCCAUUGCCCAAGAGUUGCAAUGAAAACGGACCACAUACAGCUGUGCCGGAAGAUUCAACGAGGUAUGAAAAAGAUGAUAAUUUAAGUGAUAUGGGCAGUAAUUGUGAUGUCAGAAAGCAUUAGUAUUCUAUAUGUGAACCAUUAUUGACGACAUCAUUGGUUUUAUCUUAUUAAAAUGUGGAUGACUUCCAGUUACUAUUUUAUUAGAAACAAUCUUAUUCAAUUAACAUAUAGUUUAAAACUAUUAUGUAAAUCAAUCUAUUAAUUUUCAUGGUAUUUAACUGAGUUAAAACUAAGUGCAAUCAAUAAAUCUUUUUUUCUUUAAAAAACUGCUACGCUUUGAUUUUAUUACUUAAUAUUUAUUGAACUCUGGUACAGGAAAUUUGAAAUCAAACUCGUAACUACAGAUUAUCUAAUUGCGAGUUACUGUCCAUGGCUGCUGAUUUGUAGUGAUUGUCUAAUUGACUGAGGUGACAAUAUUUUUUUUUUAAUUUUCAAUAGCACAAUGUGAAAUUCAAUAAUUAAAUUCUCCUGUUUAAUUUGUUUCAAGUUAAAUUAUUAAUUACUUAAACUCUUUUUUAAGUCUUUAAUUUUACGUCAAGUGACUUGGACAUGACGUACAAUGAGAGUGACAGUAAACAAACAUUAAAACGUGUGGACUCCGGUAGCUGACCUACAAGUCUACAAUAAUAAAUUGGGCCGGGGUUAAGUUACAUGAUCACGUAACAAACAUUACAUGAAUGAGGGCCGUUAGAUGUGAACAGUAAAAUCGAAUGGAUGGGAAUGAAAUGAACAGAAAAAAAGAAGUGAUGGGAAACUGGGAAAACUGGUGAACGAAAACCGCUUGGGCCACCGGGUCAAAACAAGGGUUAUUGUUUGAAUUCGAUUCAGGAGGCAAGAAACCUGAUUUUUUGUAAUUCGAUUCAGCGCCAUUAAAGCUGGUUUUCACAGCAACUAUGAUUUUUUUUUUUUAUAAUAGCACCAACUCCUACCCUUAAUUUAUAAUCAAACAUUACAUCUUCAAGAUUUAAUUUAUACCAAUAUUCAGGGGCAGACGACCAUGAAAAGUUCCUUGGAGCUUCCAUUAAUGGAGUUAAAAAUUAAUAUCUCGUUGAUGACUACUCUCAGCACAAGCGGUGAAGUGGCUUUGGCUUUAGCAAAAACCUUCUAUGCAUCUUCAUCUUUUAAAAAGCACACCCUUUCUUGCUCCCCAGUUAGUCCACAUCAAAAUUACAAGCGAACAAGCGAUUCUUUUUUGAGUUAUUUGAUGAAGAGGCAGCAUAAUUCAUAAAAUCCAUAAGUUAUGUCCAGUCCUUUUAAUCAACUCAGGAAAAAAUUAGAAUGAAUCUAAUUAAACUUUUGAUUUUUUGCAUCCAAUACGAGCAGGACAUAAAACUGCAUCUUUCACCGGCUUCAGAUGGUCAGCAAAAACUUUCUUUUUUUAAGCGUUUGGGAGCAAAUCGGAUAAAGCUCUUCAUAAAAAUCAAAAAGUAACCCCAAGGAUCAUCCAGGUCAAUCUGCAUGAGUUUUGCUGUUCAUACAUGAGCCAUAGAAGCAAGUUGAACCGCCAAACCGGGCACUAUGGUAAGACGUGGAAACACCGGAUCCCAUUCGUACCUCGAUCUGUUCGUUUUCUCGUUCAGAACGGGCCGAUAUGCGCAAGUAAGAAGUUUCCUCAGCCUGAGAGUUCAAAGAAAUCAUGUCACUUUGGGUUGCACAGGCUAUAGGAGAAAUUAUUCUUUUCGACUUACUUUUUUCAACCGGCUACAAACCGCUUCAAUCGGUAAAAUUAGAAUUAUAAUAGUUACACGUGUUGUAAUGUUGUUGAUUUAUUUGUCAAUUUCUUUAAUGUUUGUUACAUGUUAUGUAAGGUAACGAGACCCAUAAUUGAGUGCAUAGAAUUUCAAUGAAUUUCUGCCCCGUUGAGUUCACCGACUAAACUUUUGUAAAAUUAAAAAAAAAAAAAGUACAUAAAAUUUCAGAAAGGCUAAUACUAAGUUAUAUGCAUGUAACUUACAACCCUCUUACAUAAAUAAUGAAUAAUAUGAGCCCACUCAUUAUUUAUGUAAGAGCAUUAUAAGUUACAUGCAUGUAACUUAAGGUGAUCCUUUCAGAAAAUACAAAACGCGCGGAAUUAACCAAAAUAUAAUUUAACAAAAAAGGAAAAAAAAAGUAAGAUUUUUAAAAUGUGUGGAAGGUAAUCCAUAUUUUAUUGAAAUGACUUGUCUCGAAUAUUAAAAUGAUUGAUUUUUUUUUUUAAUAAUAUCAACUUCCAUAUUUUCUACCCCAGAACAUGCUCACAUUCAAGUCAAUCUCGCUAAUUUGAAAUACAAAAUCAAAUCAACACCAAAGCAAUGAAAAGUAAAGCUUUUAAAUUUUAACUCCAGCUAGCAAACGUAUUCAGCGUUUUCAAAUUCUUCCCAUUGCAUCUUCCUCCAUCAAUGCAAUAUUUGAACGAUUAAGAAAGAGUUUGAGAACAUAAAAAAUCCCCAAGGCUUAUACGGUAUUAACAAAUUUAAAUUCUCAAUUAUAAUAGAUAAUAAUUAAACUAAUAAUUAUUUAUUUUUUUAUUUUAGUAAUUUCACCUAAGAAUAAUAUUGUAAUUAGAAAAAAAAUCUAAUAAGUAGGGUGGUCUUAUACAAAAUCAACUGCAUAUACAUAUAUAUAUAUAUAUAUAUAUAUGCAGAUGCAAAUGAUAAUUUUUAAUUCUUUUUUUUUAAUAAGAAAAUUGUGUAUUGAGAUGAAUGAGAUGUUUAAUUUAAUUAAUUUCCUUACUUUCAUAUACAUUGUCUUUCUAUCUAAAGAAAGCUUGGUGUUGAGAUCGACAUGAAGUUGCAAGUUGCUGCCCAUGCCUGGCUGCUGAUUAAUAAUAAAACGAGACAAACUAAUUAAACUCUGGCCUCCAUGCGUAUGUCAUCCUAACUUUACUUGCUCUUGUUUGUUAAUAUUCAUUCUUAGAGAGGUGAAAAAAUUACAAGUCUUGAAUAACAAGGAGUUUAAUUGCCUCUAACUUCACUUGGUCUAUCAAUUCCCCUGCAAUUUCGGAAGCCAAGCGCAAAAUCAUACAGAGAAUUAAUUAUCUUUUUAUUAUCAACCCAUCUUCAAGAAGAUUUUCCUCAAUUUGCCCCAGAGGAGUUGGAGCUGUGUUUCUGAUAAGCCAAAGAGAUAGUAGCAAUUAAUAUUGAUAUUGCCUACCCAAGAAAUAUGAGUGAAUUAAGUAUUAGCAAGACUUCAUUCAGAGGAGCAAUUAAACCACUUCCUUAUCAAUUGCGGCAGCCGUCUAUUAACUAAAAUGCCAAUCUAAUACAGGAAGAAACAACAUUUACAGAUUCGGCAAUUGAGUUCAUUAAGAAGUAGCAUCAUAUUCGGGUGAUGAGUUUCAUUUUUUUAAUAAUUUUAGUCUAAUUUCAAUUGUACUGUGACCGCUACUCAAGGGAAGUGAAAGUUACAGAUGUGGCAAAAUAAAUAAUUAAAUUAACAAAAAUGCUAACUAAUUUUCCUGAAUACCUAGGGUUGCACAAUUUCACCAACCUGGAAGAAUUGACAUUAGUGGACUGGUCUCCUCCCCAUAUAAUUAUAAUCCUUCUAGAAAGCUAAUUUUUAUUAAAUAUUUGCUUUUAAGUUAAUUUCAAUUAAAAAAUGUUUUAAGUUAUAUAUACUCUAAUGAGAUUCUGAAUUCCUUUCUUCCAAUAAUAAUGAAAACUUAUUAAAUUAGAAAUGAAAAAAUGGGCGUUGAUGAUUCAUCCUGAUUUGGAUAGAUUACUUGUAUAAAAUUGACAAUUUUGAUUUAAUUUUUGUUUAUUGUUAACUUUCAGGCUAUCUUAAUUUCAAGAAUUUAGAAUAUUAAUUUGGUCAUGGAUUUCAACCCGUGACUGUUAUAUUCUAUACUUAAUGGUACCAUUCUUGAUUGAGGGCAAUGACUCUCACUCCUCUUGUAAAAAAAUAUUUUCAACUAUUUUGAUGACUUAAAAAUUGAUAGAUUUAUUGUUGUCAUGACCAAAUUAUUCAUUCGGCAAAGCUUAUCUUACAUCACCUGUAACAAACAGCCAAUACAUAUGGGUGGUUAGAUUUUGAUAUUUCUUAAUCUAAUGGAUGAAAAUAAUUUUAACGCAAAACAAGGUAUGGGUGUAAUAGCUAUUUACAAAAAAAUUUAUUUUGAAUCACAUAUUACUUAUUUUUUCAAAUAAGUCCUCAUUAAUUUUUUAUAACUAAAUGAUUUUAUCGUCCAUCUCUUUUACAUCUAUUUUUAAAAAUUGUUAAAGUUUUUACUAAAUUUUUAUAAAGAUCUAAAUGAUUAUCAUGUUUAUAAAAAUCUACAAAUUCUAAAUAUAUAUUUGCAUUUACAUUUAUAAUUUUUUGUCUCUCUUAAAAUAUAAACUAGAUUUUUUUUUCUUUUAUAUAAUUCAAGAUGCUAAAUUUAGAUAAGAGAUAUUAUAUGUGAUAAAUAUAUUAUGACUCUAAUAAAUUACUAGAAAGAUGGUAAAAUGAAUAAAUUAUUGGAACCUCUAAUAAUUUCACAAAAUAUAAAAAUUAAUAAAUUAUCACAUUCUAGCUAUACACAAAGAGGAUUUUCGUAUGAAAGAUUAAAAUCCUUUGACCUAAUCAAUGAUUCAGACAUGCGGAGAAAUAAUCAAUUAAAUUAAAUUUCACUAUAUUUAUCAAAUAAAUUAGGAAAACCCAAAUUUAUCUAUAAAUGAUAUAAAAAAAAUGAAAUAUUAAAAAUUAAAAAUUUCAAUGAAGAAAACAUACAACAAAUUAAAAAGUUAGGAGUUCAAAUGAGUAAAAAGUCUGCGCUCUUACCAUUUGAGUUAGCCUUCGCCUCAACUUGAACUUUAUUAUUUUUUUGUAACCCUAAUUGACAUCAACUUUAACUUUAUUAUGUUAUUAUUUCAAUCCCCCAUUAUGCCUUUUUAAUACUCCAUUAUACCAUUUUUAUAGUGCAAAUUUAAUUGCACAUCUAAAUAAAUUGAUUAUUGUUACUCCACCACCAAUAUUUCGAAAAGUCACUAGACCAUUCCUGCCUUUAGUUUCCCUUAAGUUUAACCAUUGACUGUUUUUAGCAUCUUAAAAUAUACAUUUAUUCCUUGAUUAUGUGAUAAAUUUAUGAAAAUAUCCAUUUAACUUAAAUUAAUUGGAAUAACCAUGCGUAACAUAAAUUAAUAGAACAAAAUUAUCAAGUGUAUGUUCUAUCUUACUUUUUGAAGAAUUUAACAUAUAUAAUGCUAUACUAUUAAUUAUAUCCUGAUUUUCAUCGAUUAUAGCGAGAGUUUCUCCAAAUCAACUCCCUUAUUCAAAUAAUACAGAAAAAAUAGUAAUUUAAUUGUAAAAAAAACAGGUGUUGAUUAUAUAUCCUAAGUUUCGUCGAUUAUGUGAUCAAAGCGGCAUUGUUGAUUUAUUUCUUUUUCAAUGUUGAUUUUUAGGUUAUAUAAAUUUCGAGGAUUUAAAAUCUUUGGUCAUGGAUUACAUGCUUAUUAAUUUUUCUGCCAUUGACUGUCAUAUUCUAUACUUAAUGGUACCUUUCUUGAUCAAGGGUAAUUACUCUCUCUUCUCCUCUUAUAAAUUCCUCUUCCAUUAACAUCACUAGGAGUAUGUUGAUCUCUCAGACGUUAACUUGAGUGGAGAGUUUCCAAAUUGAUUGUUAUAAAACAACACAAAAACUAGACAUACUUGAUCUGUCUAAUAAUUCUCAUUCGGUAAAAUUAAUUAAUUUUAGGAGAAUAUUGGGCCAAACUAAUUGCACUCAAUAAAUCUCUUUUCCUUUAAAAAACUGCUACGCUUUGAUUUUAGUGCUUAAUAUUUGCUGAACACCGAUACACGGAAUUUGAAAUCAAACUCGUAACUACAGAUUAUCUAAUUGCAAGUUUCUGUCCAUAGCUGCUGAUUUGUAGUGAUUAUCUAAUUGACUGAGGCGACAACAAUUUUUUUUUUUUAAUUUUCAAUAGCACAAUGUGGAAUUCAAUAAUUAAAUUCUCCUUCAUAAUUUGUUUCCAGUUAAAUUAUUAAUUACUUAAACUCUGUUUUAAGUCUUUAAUUUUAUGUGUUUAUGCAGAAUUGGAUUCUUGAGCGUGUUGGACACGACCAACAAUGAAAUUGACAGUAAACAAACAUUACAACGUGUGGACUCCGGUAGCUGCCCUACAAGUCUACAACUUUACAAAUAAUACUUGAGUAAGCACCUUUGAUUCUCCGGACCCUUCAAUGAAUUUCUAGCCCCGUUAACUCCACCGACUAAAGUUUUGUAAAAUAAAAAAAAAAUACAUGGAAUUCCACCAAAUGCAAAACGCGUGGAAUUUAAUUUUCGGCCGUGUGGACCAAAACAUAAUUUAAUGAAAAAGGAAAAAAAUGAUAAGAUUUCUAAAAUGUGUGGAAGGUGAUCCAUAUUUUACUGAAACGACUUGUUAAAUUUUUUAAGAAUUUAGAAUAUUUGAUCAUAAAUUACAUGCAUGUUAAUUUUUCCGUCAUUGACCAUCAUAUUCUAGACUUACCUUUCUUGAUGAAGGGUACUUAGUCUCUCUUCUCCUCUUAUAAAAAUUAUAUUAAUUGAUUUCUUGUUAUAGUUAAUAGUCUUUAAGAACGUAUAGAUUUAUUGUUUUCAUGACCAAAUUAUGCCCGGCUAAGGUUGCGACUAUUAAUAAAAUUAAUAUUUAAUGUUUAUGUUAAAAGAUAUAAGAUUUUGUGCAUUCAUUUUGUGCAUUCAUUAAUUGUUAUUAGCUAAAGGAUGAAUUUUUUUUUCAACCCAAUCAGUUGAUACAUCUGCAAGAGUUUUUUCUUUCAUUGACCAUAAUUAUAUUCCGGGUACAACAAAUUGUCUUUGGUGCUUGGAAAAUAUGACUUCUUACUUCAAGUUUGAUACGUCUCUCACCAUAAGCGUACUGGAAAUAUAUCCUCAUCUUCUGUCAUUUAUCUAGGACCUUGCUACGUUACAGACUCUGUAUGUAACGCAGCAAAUGAGGAGCAUCCACGCGUUGCAGGAGAGAGGAAAAGUUGUUGGAAUUUAGCUGAUACAAGACUAAUUUCCAUUGAGCUGUUACAUACAGAGUCUGUAAGGUAGUUUUGUCCCAUUUAUCUAAUAUCAAUUGAAGAUCUCACUUUUUCAAACUAUCACUUCCAAGUAUCAUUGUCACUUGGCCAUUCUUGGACCAUUCAAAACCAAUCAAGUGUUGAAAUAAUCAAAUAUAUGCAAAAUUAGAGUCAUGAUUUUCGGUCCCCCAAAUUCUAAUUAUAUAACUUCUAUAUAUCUCAUUGUCAGGUCACGAACUUGUUGGCACAUUUUCCAAAUUCCUCUUCCAUCAGCUCUCACAUGUUAACUUGAGUGGAAAGUUUCCAACUUAAUUGCUAGAAAGCAACGCAAAAUCGGACACACUUGCUCUGUCCCAUAAUUCUCUUUUCUACGUUGAAAAAGAAAAAAAAAAGAAAAAAGAAAAUAUAUCUAUGUAAAAUUAAAUAAUAAACUGAGCAAAAGUACAUUUGUUUAAUUAACAUCUGAUCGGGGCAUUUUUGGUGUGAUUUCGUGCUGUGUAAGCCACAACUAAAAUCAAACAGCCCCUUAGCAUACUUCUUCCAUUUUAUCUGCUACUUUUGUGGAUCUUAUAGGGUGGGCAUGUGGACAGAAUUUAAAAGUUUUAAUAGUCUCAAAGAAUAAAAUAUGUUAAAGCUGAAGUUGAAAAAAUGGGUGUUGAUGAUUCAUCCUGAUUUGGAUAGAUUACGUGAAUAAAAUUGACAAUUUUGAUUUAAUUUUUGUUUAUUGUUAAUUUUCAGGCUAUCUUAAUUUCAAGAAUUUAGAAUAUUAAUUUGGUCAUGGAUUUCAAUCCGUGAGUAUCAUAUUCUAGACUUAAUGGUACCAUUCUUGAUUGAGGGCAACGACUCUCACUCCUCUUGUAAAAAAAUAUUUUCAACUAUUUUGAUGACUUAAAAAUUGAUAGAUUUAUUGUUGUCAUGACCAAAUUAUUCAUUUUAAUGAAAUAUAAUUAAUGCAUCAAAAUUAGCAGGUGUAUGUUCUAUCUUACUUUUUCAAUACUGCACCUUUUCAAUACUGUUUCUCUUGUAAUUUUCUUUUUCCUUUUUUCAAUGAAAAAAAAGGGAAGGUUUUUCCGAGUAAUCCAUUAUUUGAUUACCGUCAAUCAAGAAAACGACCAAAUUAAUUUCUCUCCAUGAGCUAGAAAAUUUUGUUAUUUGAAAAUAACAUCAUUAAUUAUAGAGUGGAUCAAACCGUGUUAUUGUCUUUCAUAAAAUUGAUGUCUUUUUAAGAGUCAAUACUUUUUAUUUACGCAAACCAGUCGACAUCAAUUUAAACUUCCAUAUUUUUAUUAUUAUUAUGUUAUUUAUUUUAUCAGCGGCUAUAUAUCAAGAAAGCGACAAAAUUUAUUUCUCAUGACUUCCAAAAACUAGAAAACAACAUCAUUAAUUGGGGUUGAUCAAACCGCAUUAUUAGUGUCACACUAUAUUUGUACAACCAAGUCAACAUCAAUUUUUUUAAAUUUUAUAAAUUAAGAAGAUCAUUUUGGCCUUACAGAGUCUGCGCUCUCACCAUUUGAUUUAGCCUUCGCCUCAACUUGAACUUCAUUAUUUUUUUGUAACCCUAAUUGACAUCAACUUUAACUUUAUUAUGUUAUUAUUUCAAUCCCCCAUUAUGCCUUUUUAAUCCUCCAUUAUACCUUUCUUAAAGUGCAAAUUUAAUUGCACAUCUAAAUAAAUUGAUUAUUGUUACUCCACCACCAAUAUUUUGAAAAGUCACUAGACCAUUCCUGCCUUUAGUUUCCCGUAAGUUUAACUAUUGAUUGUUUUUAGCAUCUUAAAAUAUACAUUUAUUCCUUGAUUAUGUGAUAAAAUUAUGAAAAUAUCCAUUUUAGCUUAAAUUAAUUGGAAUAACCAUGCGUAACAUAAAUUAAUAGAACAAAAUUAUCAAGUGUAUGUUCUAUCUUACUUUUUGAAGAAUUUAACAUAUAUAAUGCUAUACUAUUAAUAAAUUUAUCAUUUAAUAUAUAUGUUCAAAUAUUUUAUAUAUUUAUUAAUUGUUAUAUAGUCAAAGGAUGAAUGAUUUUUCAGGUCUACAUGAGUUGGUGCAUCUGCAAGACUCAAUUUUGACAACAAUGAUCUAAGGGGUAAUUUACCUUGCUGUUUGAAAAAUAUAACCUCUCUUCAUGAUUUACUUCCAAUCUACUUACUGUAAAUAUCUCCUCAUCUCCUCUAACUUAUAUGAUAACCCUUGAAGAUCUCACAUUUUCAAACGAUCAUAUUAGGGUUUUUAUUCUUAGCAUCAUCGUGUCAAUAAUAUAUGUUGCAGUAAGAUUUUUUCAGACCAAUUCCCUUCUUCAAAUAAUAAUGGAAAAGUAUUAAUUUAAAAAUAAAAUGAAUAUGCAUUGAUUAUAUCCUGAUUUUCAUCGAUUAUAGCGAGAGUUUCUCCAAAUCAACUCCCUUAUUCAAAUAAUACAGAAAAAAUAGUAAUUUAAUUGUAAAAAAAACAGGUGUUGAUUAUAUAUCCUAAGUUUCGUCGAUUAUGUGAUCAAAGCGGCAUUGCUGAUUUAUUUCUUUUUCAAUGUUGAUUUUUAGGUUAUAUAAAUUUCGAGGAUUUAAAAUCUUUGGUCAUGGAUUACACGCUUUUUAAUUUUUCUGCCAUUGACUGUCAUAUUCUAUACUUAAUGGUACCUUUCUUGAUCAAGGGUAAUUACUCUCUCUUCUCAUCUUAUAAAUUCCUCUUCCAUUAACGUCACUAGGAGUAUGUUGAUCUCUCAGACGUUAACUUGAGUGGAGAGUUUCCAAAUUGAUUGUUACAAAACAAAACAAAAACUAGACACACUUGAUCUGUCUAAUAAUUCUCAUUCGGUAAAAUUAAUUAAUUUUAGGGGAAUAUUCGGCCAACCUCUAUAAUUUCAUAGUGAUCAUUAAUUAAUUAAACGAUACAAAUAUCUAAAGUGAUUAGAUGUUUGCUGACAAUACAAGUUCAUGGCUUGAAAUUUGAUCUCUAUCGAUUGAUUUACAAAUGGAAGUACUUGUGCCUUUGUGGCGAUAAUUGAACCAGAGAUGUGAAGCUGUAAAGAUUUGGCAGUAGUAAAUUGUUAAUUAUAAAGACAUAAAGAAAAGUUCCCAUGAUUAUUAUUUUUCCAAAAACUUUUUUACAACAAAUUCAUCUCGCCAAAAAUUAUAUUUUGCUAACAAACAAUAAUUGAGUACUUGGCCGUAUUGACUUCACGUCUCCACCUGCUUUCUAAGUGAAAACAUGGAAAUGUGUAAUUUCCACAAAAUGCCAAACGUGUGGAAUUUAAUUUUUAGCCUUGUGGACUAAAAUGCAAAUGAAAGAAAAAGGGGAAAAAACAAAAAAGAGCCCAAAGACUUUUAAAACGUGUAGAAGUCUUUGGGCCCCAAAGACUUCUAAAACGUGUGGAAGUCUUUGGGCCUUUUUAUAAUGGUGGAUUUUUUUUUUUUUUUUUAAAUUGGAAACUUCAUUAAGAGGCAAAGAUUACAGAGAAGUCCCCAGUUCGAGUCGCAGGAAAGUCGCCUUUGUUGGGAGAACCUGUGCCUCUCGGUUCGAGUGGGGACUUCUAGUCUAGGUUGUGGUACGGACUUAAAGGUGUCUCCCACAGUUGGGGCCCUCCCCAGAAUACCUCGUGGUCAAAACAAAAAAAAAAAAAAAAAAAGAUUACAGAGAAGUAAAUAACCAAGGAGGUGGGACAUGACUCCACUCCUCAAAGCCUGACAAAGAACCCCCCACCCGAGCGGUAACAUGGGCGGCAGUGUUCAAAGACCUUCGAAUAAAAGAGAACUCAAUAUCUCCUAUAGACUUAGCUAAAGCUAGACAAUCAUCAAGAAUAAGACCAUACCCAUUCGGACAAGAAUAGCUUGCUGUGAGAGCUUUAAAAACCUGGAAGCAGUCCAUUUCUACUACAACACAAGACAAAUGCCGCUUCUUAAUCCAGCUGAGGAUCUCACGCACACCAAGCGCUUCAGCAUCCCUUGCACCAAAACUACCCAGGACAGAUGCACAGCAAGCUGCCACAAACAGCCCAUCAGAGUUGCGAAUGACCCCUCCAUAACUUACUUUUCCCUAAGCUGAAAAUGUUGCGGCAUCAACGUUACACUUAAGCCAACCUAACUGAGGAGGUGUCCAGCAAAUUGCCCCAUGACGGCCUUGGAAACAAGUAGCAUUAUUGACAUCAGAUUUCUGCCUCGCAAUUUGACAUUGAAACAAAUAAUUUCCAGCAGAGUUGAGGACAUGACGCACACUACAGACUUUGUUAUUCCAAACUUUGGAUUUUUUAAAAGAAAAAAAUAACAACACUUCUAUGGUUUGUUUUGAUAAUCAUAUUUACAUAUACUCUCUAAUUUUCAAAAUGGACAUAUAAUUUUUUUUUACAAAUAUAUAUUAUUCGUAUUUUUUAUUAUUUUUAUUAUCAUAUUUUUAUUUAUUAUAAAUGUUUAAAGUAAAUUUUUAGGUUGAAAUAUAAUAAAAGGGUAUAAUCGUUCUCUUAUUAAAGACACAUACUUUUAUUUUCUAUCCAUUUGUCAUCUCAAUCACUCUCAAUUAUUCUUUAUUGCUAGCUCAAAACGUGUUGCUGUUGCAAAUUAUAGCAAAAUGAAAAAUAUGGAAAAAAAAAAGGGAAGAAAAUUAAUGCAUGAAAGACUUGGAGAAAACAACCAAAUAAGUCAACUAUAAUCAAGCUGGGUGUAUAAAUUGUUUGAUGUGUCAUAAGCAAAUAGAGAGACGGACAGUGUGUGCGUUUUUUAAUAGUUAAAGAUAUAGAUAGAAUGGGUGGUUCAAAAUCAAAAUUGGUGAUAAUGUUUGUUCUGUUAUUAAUAAUAUUAGAAGGUGGGGGGAGUGAGAGAUGUUUGGAUCAAGAGAGAUUUGCUCUUUUGCGACUUAAACUUUUCUUUGAUGAUCCUUUUAAUUCGCUUCACCACUGGGUAGAUGAUGAGGGAGCUACUGAUUGUUGUCAAUGGGAAAGGGUUGAGUGCAGCAACACCACAGGUCGAGUGAUACAACUAGACCUUUCUUUCAUUGGGAAUUGGGAUUUGAAAGAGCGGUAUCUGAAUGCUUCUUUGUUUACUCCCUUUCAACAACUUGAGUCACUUUAUUUAAAAUACAACAAUAUAGCCGGUUGUGUUGAGAAUGAAGGUGCUUCGUUUAAUUUAAUUAAUUUACUUUCUCUCCCCUAAUUUAUGUUGAAUAUCAAGACCAAGCAAUUAUAUGCAUAUUCAUUCAGUUGACAAUUUUGACUAAUUUUUUUUAAAUGAUUAAUUUUGAAAUUACACGAGUACAAUUUUUAAAUGAUCUUUUUUUUUAUUUUACUUGCAGGUAUAGAGAGGCUAUCAAGAUUGAGCAACUUGAAGAUGCUUGAUUUAAGUGAAAACUUGUUCAACAAUAGCAUCUUAUCAUCUGUAGCUCAUCUUUCAUCAUUAACAUCAUUAUAUUUAUAUUCGAAUAGAUUGGAAGGAAGUAUUGAUGUUAAAGGUACAUAAUUAAAAUUUCAUCUCUUCUCCAAGCUCUUUCAUUAACUUGCUAAAAUAAGAUUCAAGGUUUUGAAUUCAAUUUUUUUUUAUGAUUAAUAUUGAAGAAAAAAAUAAUUUUAAGCAAUUCAUAAAUACAAGUUCUAAUGUUUCUCAUAAUUUUAUCUUGUACUUUUUCGUAUGUCUUGAAUUUAAGAUUAAAAAAAAACUCUAAUGGGGAACCAAACACAUCCACAACUUAUUAUUAUUAUUUUCUAAUUUUUCUGUGUGUUUUGAAACAUUCAACUCAAUUUGUACUUUUUACAGAAUUAGAUUCUUUGAGAGAUUUGGAGGAGCUAUACAUUGGUUGGAACAUGAUUGACAAAUUUGUGGUCCCAAAAGGUACUACAAAUACCAUUAAAAAAUUUAAAUUUUUACAAAUUAGGUAGAUUCUUUGCCAUUUGGUUCAUUAUUUUACAAAUUAGCUAGAUUCUCUGAAUUUAGACAAUGAAUUUUGAUUUUCUUAAAUCCUAUUAUAAUUACUAUUAAAAAACAGGUUACAGAGGUUUGAGGAAGUUGAAAAGCCUAGGUCUAUCGGGAGUUGGAAUUACAAAUGGAAGCAAGUUGUUACAGUCAAUGGGAUCAUUCCCAUCCCUCAACACUCUUCACCUUUCGUUUAAUGAAUUUACGGAAACAGUAACAACUACUACUCAAGGUAAGUAAAUGGUACAUAUGUCGCCAAAUUUAUAAAUAAACUGUUAAUUAAUUAAUUAAUUUUUUCGUAUUAUUAAGAAAGCUAAAUUCGUUGCUCCUUCCUUUUAAAUCUAAACAGAGUUGCACAAUUUCACCAACUUGGAAUAUUUGACAUUGGACUAUUCCUCUCUCCAUAUAAGCCUUCUGCAAAGCAUUGCAUCAUUCACUUCGUUAAAAAAUCUGUCGAUGUCUUAUUGUGAAGUCAAUGGCGUCCUAAGCGGUCAAGGUAAAAGAAAAGUGUUGAUUGUGAAUAAGCUGUUAAUUAAUUAAUGUUGUUGCUCCUUGCUUCUAAACAGAGUUGCGCAAUUUCACCAACUUGGAAUAUUUGAAUUGGACUCUUCUUCCUCGCUUGUCAAAUAUUGGACUCUUCCUCGCUUGCGCAAUUUCAUCAUUCACUUCUGCAAUUUCUUGAAGAAUGAAUUUAUUUAUUUAUUUAUUAUUGUUGUAGUUGUUGUUGUUGUUGAAGUGGGGUGGGCAAGCGUUCACUCAAUUAAUAUGUGGGGAAUUAAAUAUUAACAUCAACGUAGAAUUGUGGAAAAUUAAAGUAAAAUGAGAAAUAUGGAAUGAAAGGAAGAAAGUUAAGAGCAUGAAAGACUGGGAGAAGAAUAAAGACCACCAAAUAAGUCAACUGAAAACAAGCUGAGGCCUGGGUGUACAAAUUGUUAGAUGUGUUUAUUAUAAAUAACAUAGAGCCCUCUUGUUGGUUGCAGAGGCAGAGAGACAGAGAGUGUGCAUUUUAUUAAUUAAAAAUAUUUAUAGAAUGGGUGGUUGCAAAAUCCAAAAUGGUGAUAAUGUUAGUUUUGUUAGUAUUAAUAAUAUUAGAAGGGGGGUAGUGUGAGGGAUGUUUGGUGCAUGAGAGAUUUGCUCUUUCGAGACUUAAAACAUUUCUGCAAACCUCCUUAUAAUUUUCGUCACGAAUGACCGCUGUCAACACCACAGGCUGAGUGGUAUCUGAAUGCUUCUUGGUUUACUCCCUUUCAACAAUAUAGUCGGUAGUGUUGAGAAUGAAGGUGUUUCGUUUAAUUUAAUUAAUUUACUUUCUCCCUCCUAAUUUAAGUUGAAUAUCAAGACCGAGCAACUAUAUGCAUAUUCAUUUAGUUGACAAUUUUGACAUAUUUUUUUAAAUGAUUAAUUUUGAAAUUACACCAAACAGAUGCGAUCUCUGUUUUGAUUUUACUUGCAGGUCUAGAAAGAUUGGCCAACUUGAAGAUGCUUGAUUUAAGAGGAAACUUGUUCAAUAAUAGCAUCUUAUCAUCUCUAGCUCGUCUUUCAUCAUUAACAUCAUUAGAUUUAUCUUACAAUCGAUUGGAAGGAAGUAUUAAUGUUAAAGGUACGUAAUUAAAACGUCAUCUCUUCUCCCAACUCUUUCAUUAACAUGCUAAAAUAAGAUUCAAGGCUUUGAAUUCAAUUUUUUUAUGAGUAAUAUUAGAAAAAUAGUUUUAAGCAAUUCAUAAAUACAAUUUUCAAUGUUUCUCAUAAUUUCAUCUUGUACUUUUGUAUGUCUUGACUUUAAGAUAAAAAAAAAAAUUACUCUAACUAUGAAGCAAAUACCCCAUGACUAAUUUAUCAUUUUGUCCAGUUAAAAAUGAUAAAAUUUAUCAUUUUGUUUUUAUUGAUUAAUUAACUCUGUUUUAAGUCUUAAGUCUUGGCUUCUUGGCAUGUUUGCAGAAUUUGAUUCCUUGAGCAACUUAGAGGAGUUGGACAUGAGCGGCAAUGAAAUAGACAAUUUUGAGGUUCCUCAAGGUAAACUAUUAAAAUAUUAUUCAAUUACAUUAAUUUAAUUCGUUUGAUUAGGGAAGGCCCAAAAGGUACAGAAACAUAAUUGAAAAAAAAAAUAAAGAAACAGAGAAUUCAUAUUAUUUCAAAAAACAAAAGGUAAUACUAUUAUUUCAAAAAUAGAAUGUAAUAAAGAUUUGAUUUCGGUUCUUUAAUCUUUACAGCAAUUGAAAAACAAUGUUGCUCUAAAUAUGAAAUGACUCCAAAUUGAAUUAGUCAUUUAUUUCGUUUAGCUCUAAAUUUAGAAAAAAUGAAUUUUGAUUCUCUUCAAUUCUUUCAAAAUUAUUAUUAAUAAACAGGUUACAAAGGUUUGAGGAAGUUGAAAACUUUGUAUCUAUUGGGAGUUGGAAUUAGAGAUGGAAGCAAGUUGUUACAGUCAAUGGGAUCAUUCCCAUCCCUCAACAAUCUUGACCUCUCUUAUAAUAAUUUUACCGAUACAGUGACCACUACUCAAGGUAAGUAAAAGGUAUAGAUGUGGUCAAAUUCAUAAACAAACUCUUAAUUAAUUAAUUAAUUUUCCAUAUUAUUAAUAAAAGUGAAAUUUGUUGCUUCUUCCUUCUAAUUCUAAACAGAGUUGCACAAUUUCGCCAACUUGGAAUAUUUGACAUUGCACGGUUCCUCUCUCCACAUAAGCUUUCUGCAAAGCAUUGCAUUAAUGUUUCCUUCGUUAAAAAAUCUGUCGAUGCUUGAUUGUAAAGUAAAUGGUGUCGUACGUGGUCAAGGUAAAAGAAAAGUGUUGAUUGUGAACUCAUUGUUGUCCUACGUGUUCAACAUUUUAUUUAUUUAUUUUAUUGUUUAAUGUUUCUGCUAGGUUUUCCUCAUUUCAAGAGUUUGGAACAUUUGGACAUGGAUGACUUGCGCAUUGUACUCAACACCAGCUUUCUUCAAAUCAUCGGUGAAUCGAUGCCUUCUCUUAAGUACUUAUCACUGUCAUAUUCUAGUGCUAUCACUAACAGCAGUGGGAUUCUUCAAGGUUAAUAAGAUGCUCCCACCGUUCCCUCUUAAUCUAUAAUAUUAAUUUUUGAUUAAAUAUAUAAUUACAAAAACCAAUCACUUAUAAAAGAAUGCUAUGUAUUUGUUAAUUUUUUUAUUGUACUGAUGGAUAAAUUAAUAAAUUUUCAGGCCUCUGUUCGCUGGUGCAUCUGCAAGAGUUGCACAUGGCUGAUAAUGAAUUAAGAGGUAGCUUGCCUUGGUGCUUGGCAAAUAUGACAUCCCUCCGAAUAUUAGAUGUUUCUUCCAAUCAACUUACUGGAAGCAUCUCCUCAUCUCCCCUCUUUUACUUGACAUCCAUUGAAGAGCUGAGCCUUUCAAACAAUCACUUCCACAUCCCAAUUUCACUUGAACCACUUUUUAAUCACUCAAGACUCAAAAUUUUCUAUGCUGACAACAACCCAAUAAAUGCAAAAAUAACUAAGUCACAUACUUUGACCACCCCAAAAUUCCAACUAGCAUCUCUUUCAUUGUCUUCCAGUUAUGGAGAUGGUGUCACAUUCCCCAAAUUCCUUUACUAUCAACAUGACCUGGAGGAUGUUCAUUUCUCACGCAUACAAAUGAAUGGAGAAUUUCCAAAUUGGUUGUUGGAAAACAACACAAAAUUAAGACAACUUUCUCUCGUCAAUGAUUCUCUUGCAGGACCUUUUCGAUUGCCAAUUCAUUCACACAGGCAUUUAAGACUGUUGGAUGUCUCCAACAACAACUUCCAAGGCCACAUUCCAGUAGAAAUUGGAGAUAUUUUACCACGUUUAAUAUCCUUCAACAUUUCAAUGAAUGCUUUGGACGGUAGCAUUCCCUCUUCAUUUGGUAAUAUGAACCUUCUCCAAAUUCUGGACUUAUCCAACAACCAAUUGACUGGUGAAAUCCCCGAGCACUUGGCCAUGGGUUGCGUCAACUUGGAGUUUCUUGCAUUAUCAAACAACAGCUUAAAAGGUCAUAUGUUCUCCAGAAACUUUAACCUGAUAAACUUGAGAUGGUUACAAUUGGAAGGCAAUCACUUCGUAGGAGAGAUCCCACAAAGUUUGUCUAAAUGCUCCUCACUAGAAGGAUUGUAUCUUAAUAAUAACAGUCUCUCGGGUAAGAUUCCACGAUGGUUGGGUAAUCUCACAUGGUUAAUACAUAUUAUAAUGCCCAAGAAUCACCUUGAAGGUCCUAUUCCAGUGGAGUUUUGUCAUCUUUAUUCGCUUCAGAUUUUGGACAUUUCAGACAACAAUAUAUCUGGAAGUUUACCAUCUUGUUUCCAUCCUCUCUCUAUCACACAAGUUCACCUAUCGAAAAAUAUGUUACAUGGACAGCUAAAAGGAGGUACUUUCUUUAAUUGCUCUUCCCUUGUGACAUUAGAUCUUAGCUAUAACCUCUUGAAUGGCAGCAUUCCAGAUUGGAUUGAUGGGCUUUCUCAGUUAAGCCACCUUAUCUUAGGUAACAAUAAUCUUGAAGGUGAAGUGCCAGUUCAAUUGUGUGGAUUGAACCAACUACAAUUGUUAGAUCUUUCUAAUAAUAAUCUUCACGGUCUUAUUCCUCCUUGUUUUGAUAACACCAAACUUCAUGAAAGUUACAACAAUAGUUCUAGUCCUGAUGAGCAAUUUAAAAUAUUGUUUUCCAUCAAAGGCCAUCAGGGACAUGUAGAAAAGAAAAUCCAAGAAUUUUUUGAGUUCACAACAAAGAACAUUGCGUACAUUUUCCAAGGAAAAGUGCUUAGCCUCCUAUCAGGACUUGAUCUUUCUUGUAACAAGCUAAUCGGUCAUAUUCCUCCUCAAGUUGGAAAUUUGACAAGGAUUCAAACAUUGAAUCUAUCACACAACAACUUGACAGGAUUGAUCCCAUCAACAUUUUCAAACUUGAAGCAAAUCGAAAGUUUGGAUCUUUCCUACAACAAAUUGAAUGGGAAAAUCCCUCAUCAACUUGUGGAGUUAAAGGAAUUGGCUGUUUUCAGUGUGGCAUACAAUAACUUAUCAGGCGAAAUUCCAGAAUGGAAAGCACAAUUUGCAACCUUCAACGAGAAUAGCUAUGAGGGAAAUACUUUUCUUUGUGGACUGCCAUUACCCAUUUGUAGAUCACCAACAACUAUGUCGGAGGCUUCAAUCGAAAAUGAACGAGAUGAUAAUUUAAUUGACACGGACAGUUUUUUUAUCACAUUUACAACAUCGUACGUAAUUGUGAUAUUCGGAAUUGUUACUGUUUUAUAUGUAAAUUCUUAUUGGCGACAUAGAUGGUUUUACUUUGUUGAAAUGUGGAUAACUUCAUGUUACUAUUUUGUUGUAGACAAUCUUAUUCCAACAAGAUUUUGUCAUUGAAAUUAAUUAGUAGUUUAAUUACAAUUCUUUAAGUACUAAUCAAGUUUGCUUAGGAAAUAAAUUUAUUUUUAUUUUUAUUAAAAUUGUAGUAGUAUUUAGCAUUAUAUAGCUUCCAACUUCCAAGCACUUCACAUUUGUCUCUACACUUAAAAAGCUGAGUGAUCAUGUUUUACAGAUAUGGAUCUGGAGUAGGAUAGAUCCAAACACCAAACUCAUAUCUGUCCAUCAUAGCUUAUAGCUUCCCUAUACUGUGCAGCAUACUUAAAUAAGAGAAUCAUCUCCAAUGUUAAAAGCAGCCACUCUAUAACAUUCAUUUAGAAACUAUAUUCAGAAUAGUUUUAUAAUCAUACACAAGAAAUGAAACACCUAGAUGCACUUGAUCGCCUAUUUUACUCUGAAAAAGAACAAUUAUGGUGCUAUCAUCAUCUUCUCAAUUAGCAACAUUAACACUAAAUCCAGCGAUGGACCCAGACAUUUCAUCAAGAAAGGUAUAUAUCUAAUAAAGUUGAAGCUUGACAAAAAAUUCAGGAAGAUUAAUGCCUCGCCACAACAAGGGGCACAACAACAUCAAAGUAGAGAUAAAACAGUAUUCUCAAAGCUAAAACUCUCAAAUCCACCCACCAGAAUUUCAUAUCUCCUCAACAAUUUUAAAAACUAAAGGUAAUUAGGAUUUAACAUUAAUUUUUUAUAUAUUAGUUUCAUAAUUUACAAAUCAAUGAAGAUGAAGAUUAUGCUAAUGAAUUCAAAUUAUACCAUACAUUCUCUAGAUUUUACCAAAAAUUUCCAAGUCAAUCCCACAUAUUUCAUAAUUUUAAGACUGGAAAGUGUUAUGCCAAAACUCAGUAAAGAACUGACAAUGGCUCCCCAAGAUCCACUCAAGAAGGGUUCUUGUAUCUAAAACUAUUGUGAGCCCAAGCAAUCAAAGCAAGUCAAUGAAAGAAUUAAAAGAGGCAGAAAGAACAAUACACAGGAAAGCUUAUAGUGGUUCGGCUAUGGAAGCCUACAUCCACUGUGAAAGGGUGAAUCCAAGUUUGUAUUCAAUGAGUGUCUUACAGAGUACAAGCUUAUUAGAGAAGCUUAACCAUUCAUGAACAACAUGACAUAUUCCAGAAUACCCAGCUAUAUAUAUAAGCAAUGCUCGAUCAUCACCUGCAAGCUUCCCCUGUUAUCCGUGAAGAAGAACAGCAGCUUCCCGCGCUAAUUAACGGCUUAACAGACUCCUGAUAAGCCUCCCUCACACGUGUCUUCAUCUCUAUUAUCUUAAGUACUAAAACGACACUUCAAGCAGCCGUUUUGGUUAAGUGAAUCACGUGCAAACCACAAGCCUUCUUUGCGCACACAGACGACACAAUUUUCUUGUCAUAUAGCUAUCUCAGGACUGUCAACCAACGUGUAAUGGUGUUAACAAAUCUUCAACCGACUUGUCGCACUUGACUAUAAACUGAUUUGCAGUUCAUAUUCAACAUUCUCCACCUUGAGCUCAAAUCAUCCAUCCCUCAGGUUCACCCUUCCACUUCUUUCCUGCAGUCUAUAUCCUGCAGAUGCCAGCUGAGUUCAAACAGAACUCAAACUUGGCUCCUGGUACAGCUUUGGUAAGCAUGUCAGCAAUGUUGCUAUCAGUGUGUAUUUUAGCCAGCUUAAUCACACCCUUUGAUAUUUCCAAUCUGACAAAGUGAAGCUUGAUGUCAAUAUGCUUGGUUUUCUCGUGAUGUAUCUGGUUCUUACUCAGACAUAUAGCACUUUGGCUGUCACAGUGAAUUGUAAUUUGGUUUUGUUCAAAUCCCAGUUCUGUCACUAUCCCUCUGAGCCAGAUAGCUUCUUUGAUUGCCUCUGCAGCUGCUGUGUAUUUUGCCUCAGUUGUUGACAGAGCAACAACACUCUGCAGUGAAGCCUUCCAGUUUAUGGUGCAGCCAUUAAGCAUAAACAGAAAACCUGUUAAAGACCUUCUUUUAUCCAGAUCUCCAGCAUAAUCUGCAUCCACAUAACCCUCCACACUAACCUCUUCAUAUUUCUCAGCUCCAUAGAUCAGACCAUAACCAGUUGUACCAGCCAGGUAUCUUAAGAUCCAUACAACAGCCCUCCAAUGAUCUUUCCCUGGGUUUGCCAUGUACCUGCUUACCACACUCACUGCAUGAGAGAGAUCAGGCCUAGUCAGGACCAUUGCAUACAUUAAACAUCCAACAGCACUUGAGUAUGGAUAUUUAUUCAUUUCAGCCUUUUCAGUAUCAGAGUUUAGACACUGUUGGCAGGACAGUCUGAAAUGAGAGGGCAGUGGUGUCUGUACUGGUUUACAUUUAUCCAUAUUGAAUUUCUCAAGUACUUUCCUGAUGUAUUUGUGCUGUGUUAGGCUUAGGAUACCAUUCUUUCUGUCUCUCUUUAGCUGAACUCCAAGGAUCUUCUUUGCAGCACCCAGAUCCUUCAUCUCAAAUGUAUUGCUCAGCUGCUGUUUCAGUUCAUUGAUGAACUCCAUCUCCUUACAAGCUAUUAACAUAUCAUCUACAUAGAGUAGCAGGUAGAUCUUGUCACCACCUUCUAUGGUUUUAAAAUAGAUACAGCAGUCAAAACUGCUCCUUUGAAAACCAUGAUCUGACAUGAACCUGUCAAACCUUAGAUACCACAGUCUUGGAGACUGUUUUAAUCCAUAUAGUGACUUCCUUAGAUGACAUACAUGAUCAGUCUUUUCUGGAUCCUCAUACCUUUCAGGUUGUGACAUCACUAUCAUCUCAUCUAUUUCACCAUGCAAGAAGGGAGUCUUCACAUCCAUCUGUUCAAGAUGCAUGUCUUGUACAGCCACUAGAGAUAACAAGAUCCUCAGGGAGGCAUGUCUCACCACUGGGGAGAAAACUUUUGUAAAGUCCACCCCCUCUUUCUGAGUGAAGCCUUUUGCAACCAAUCUGGCUUUAUAUCUUUGUGGCUCAACAUCUGGUAUUCCCUCCUUAAUCCUGUAGAUCCAUUUGCACCCUACUACCUUCUUGUUUGCUGGUCUUUCAAUGAGAUUCCAGGUGUGAUUCUUUUUCAAAGACAUCAUUUCCUCAUCCAUGGCCUUGAUCCAUUCUUCUGCUUUAUCACUGUUAAUAGCUUCUGAGUAUGUUCUUGGUUCAUCUGUUGCUACUUCAUGUGCUGCUGUUAAUGCAAAUGCUAUUAGGUCUGCAUAUGCAUAUCUUCUAGGAGGUCUUAUUACUCUCUUUUCUCUGUCCCUUACUAACUGAUAAUCUCCACUUCUUCCCUGAUCACUUGCUGCUUCAAUCUCAGUGUCAUGCAUUUCCAUGUCUGCUAUGUCUCCAGCCUCUGAUCUUGGUUUCAGUUUCUAGUUUGAGUUUGACAGCUCCACCUCAAGAUAAGAUUUCUCAUCUUUUUCUUUCAUUUCUGCAUUUGUAGUUUUUAAGGAUGCUGAGUGUUGGAGCAUUUCAGCUUCAUUAAAAACUACAUCUCUGCUUAUGAUUGCUUUUGGUGGCUUCAUGUCUGUGCACCACAGUUUAUACCCUUUUACCCCUUCAGGGUAACCAAGAAAUACACACUUCAAUGCCCUAGGCUCUAAUUUGCCUUGUCUAAUGUGAGCAUAUGCUGGACAACCAAAUAUCUUCAAACUGGAGUAAUCUGCUGGUUCACCAUACCAAAGUUCAUAUGGUGUCUUGAAGUUAAUUCCAGUUGAAGGGCUUCUGUUCACAAUGUGACAAGCUGUUGACAGAGCCUCAGCCCACAAGGACAUAGGUAGCUUGGAGUGAAUGAGCAUACACCUCACUUUGUCAACUAAGGUUCUAUUCAUCCUCUCAGCUAAUCCAUUUUGCUGAGGUGUAUAUCUUACUGUUCUGUGCCUCAUGAUCCCAUGCUUGCUGCAAAACUCUUCAAACCUCUUGUUGCAGAAUUCUAAUCCAUUAUCAGUUCUGAGCUUCUUAACCUUCCUAUUGGUCUGAGUUUCAAUCAGUGUUUUCCAGUUCUUGAAAUGUUCAAACACUUCAUCUUUGUUCUUCAGCACAUACACCCAAACCAUUCUGGAAUGGUCAUCAAUUAGAGAUAGAAAAUACCUUGCCCCUCCUAAAGAUGUUGUUUGUGCAGGUCCCCACAGAUCAGCAUGUAUGUAUUCUAGAGUUCCUCUUGAAACAUGUGCACCUGUGCUGAAUUUGACUCUUGAUGAUUUGCCUAGGACACACUCCUCACAAAAUUUCAAGUACUCUAUUUUACCUUCACCCAAGACUCCCUGUUUUGAUAGUUCUCUCAAGCCUCUCUCACUCAUAUGGCCUAAUCUAAAGUGCCACAAUAAGGUUUUGUUUAGGUUCUGGUUUGAAACUCCAACAUCUCCUGUGACUUCAGACCCCUGGAGCACAUACAGGCCAUUGUCUAAGUUUCCUUUCAUCAACACCAUAGACCCUUUUAUCACCUUUAAAGUGCCUGACUCAAGCUUGAUUACACACCCCAUUCUGUCAAGCAUGCCAAGAGAAAUUAGGUUCCUCUUUAAAUCAGGGAUGUGUCAAGCAUUUGUUAAUUCUCUUAUUGUGCCAUCAAGCAUUUCCAGAAUACCCAGCUAUAUAUAUAAGCAAUGCUCGAUCAUCACCUGCAAGCUUCCCCUGUUAUUCGUGAAGAAGAACAGCAGCUUUCCGCGCUAAUUAACGGCCUAACAGACUCCUGAUAAGCCUCCCUCACACGUGUCUUCAUCUCUAUUAUCUUAAGUACUAAAACGACACUUCAAGCAGCCGUUUUGGUUAAGUGAAUCACGUGCAAACCACAAGCCUUCUUUGCGCACACAGACGACACAAUUUUCUUGUCAUAUAGCUAUCUCAGGACUGUCAACCGACGUGUAAUGGUGUUAACAAAUCUUCAACCGACUUGUCGCACUUGACUAUAAACUGAUUUGCAGUUCAUAUUCAACAGAAAGUUUCAUUAGUUAGAAGUUUCAUUACCUUCAAGUGGAAGAUGAAGAAGAACAUUAUGCAAGUGAUUCAGACUACAUCAUACAUACUCCAAAUGCAACUAGAAAUUAAGAAGUUCAUGCCCACAGAUUUCAAAACAUUAUGAUUGGAAAGUUUCACAAAUACAGACAAAUUUUAAAUUCAAUCUCUUACAUCAAGGUAGUUUGAUUGAUAUGAGUUACUUUCUGAUCAAACUACUAAUAUAACAUUCAAUUCAGGGAGAAAGUAAAUUAAAAUUGGGAAGAAAUGAUAGUAAAAAUUUGUUGCUAAACAUGAUGUGUAUUUGUUUUUUUUAGGCAAUUUGGAAACACAGUUGUUACUACAGAUAUUCUCCUCAACUUGGAGGUAAAUACAAAUAUUAAAAUGCAUAUGAUCACACAUAUUACUUGGAGCUUAGUAAGAUUUGAUUAAGAGAAGCAAUCAAACCGCAAUCAAAGCACUUAUCAAUUGCCGCAGUCGUUAUAUAAACUAAAAUGGCAAUAUAAUACAAGAAAAAGAACAUAUAGAUACUUGGCAAGAGUUCAUUAAGAAGUCGCAUCACAUUCGGGUGAGGAGUUUGCUUUUGAUAUCUUGCUAGCUGGGGCUUUUUCUUGUCUUUCUAUGUUUGCCGAGGGAAACCAACCAGCUUGGCCCUGGCAUUCACCUUCCGACCGUCCAGUAAGAGCCACCUUGAGAAGUUAUAACUAAAAAGGUGAAUUAAACAAAAGUUGACCGUUCAAAGACCUAAGGGGAAAACUAAUUCUUUUACGUAGGAGUGAAUUAGUUGUGAUUACUGAAAUUACAGCAUUAACCAUGAAAGCAUAACAAGAUAUAAAUUCAUAUAUCUAUAAAGGUAAACUGGGUGGUUUAGAAUUGAGCUAGCAACCCUACUAUAUUCUGAUUUGCACUUCAAUGUAAAAGGGAAUAUAUAGUAGGAAGAAAGAAAACCAACCAUUAUUUUUUAACUCAUUGUUUUUCAAUCAAAAUUUUAAGAACAAAAUGUCAUGUGCUUUGAACAUCAAAUAAGUAUAAGCAUUAGUUCUAAAUUCCACAUAUUAUAAGUUGUUAGAAGAAUAAGUUAAUAGCAUACUAGAAAAAUCUAUGUGUUGUUAUUUAGAGGGGAAAGUACCUGGCGAACCACAACAUAAUCAUCAAUUGAAAGACUUAGCUCCCCAUUUGCUUGAGCGUCAAAUGGAUUUAUAACUUGCAAGAUAAUGGGAUAAAUAGAACUUAAUCUUAAAAAAAACAUAACAAAAGCAGCAACAGUAGCAGCAGCGUUCAUUGUAACCACUAUGAUUAUGGCCAACAAAGAUAUAUUAGAAAAAAUUUCCAUUUUUACUACGACAUUAAUAUGUACUAUACGAUAUCAUGACGAUUGGGUUACCAAGAGCUAUCAAAGUUCAAUAAGUUCUGUAUAACUUUAUGUAGUUAUUUAAAUUAUGGAUCGGAUUUUAAAUUUGAAAUUUUGACUGCUCUCCACAAAACAUGGCCUAUGCAUAAGAAAGUCAUAGAUAAUGACGAUUACAAGUGUCCGACAUCUUUUGAGGGAUGGAUUUAACAUGACAGCUUAUGGUCAGUCAAUUUCCUCUGCCUAACAAUAUAAGCUUUCUCGGCCAGAUAUAUCAUCAAAUACAUAGAUUGCCCCCAAGUCACAUCCAUAUAAACAUAGUUUUUAUAGGUAAACCAAGUAAGGAGAAUCAUAAUUCAGACAUAAUCACAAAAAGGCCCAUCUAAAUUAAGAGAAAAUCUCAAAAAGAGGGAUGUUGAGCUAUCAGUCAUGUAUCUAUAAGCAAUAUCAAGACCUUACAUCACCUACUACAUCGUGAGUAUCUACACAACUUUCAGUGGUUUGUCUUUCUUUGGCAUGCCUAACUCAGCUUUGAUGUUGCUGAGAUAUUGAUGGUAGAGACACAUGAUACUUCUAGCUCAUGCAUUCUAUCUAGCUCAUCCGACAGCUUUCUCUUUUUUAAUUCAUUAGUGUUUGUUAAACCUCAUGCUUCAAAGUCUUGUUCUCUAAAACAAAGUUUCCUAAGAAUAACUUCCUCAGCACCACAUUUGGACACUUUUAGAGCAAUUUUAUUUUGUGGAAAAGAAUUUUCAAGGUGUUAACUAAUAAAUUUUAAAAAAUAAUUACAAUUUGUCCUACGAUCAUAUGAUAAUUUAUUUGGGAUGAAAGGAUACAGGCAGACAUCUUCCACUUUCAAGACUAAUCACUACUUCCGUAGAUGUUGUACAAUAAUACAAAUACUUGACCAGAUGGUAGUGAUAGAAGAAAAAAAUUUUAUUGCUCCAAAAUUAAAAUAAGGGUCAAUCUAUAAUGCCGUAACUAAAUUUACGACAUUGAUACCGUAAUGUACGUGGACCGUUAGAUUUGAAAAAAAAAUCUCUACCAUUAAUUCUAAAUAAAUAGGUAACCUGUUACCUAAGUAGCAGGUAAUUACUAUUUUUUGUUCAAGUUCCAUGUUACAUUUACCAAUUUUAUGUGUGAUUUACAAGUUUUAUGAAACUUUUACAAGUUUUAAGCAACAUUUACAAGUUUUAUGCAACAUUUACAAGUUUUUGUUUUAUUUACAAGUUCUUCUCACAAUUACAACUGUAACAUUAAUUUACCUAUUUUUCCAUUAAUUUAUUAGUUUUAUGUGUGGUUUACAUAUUUUAUGUUUUAUUUCACACUUAAUGUGAAUUUACUAGUUCUAUGUCAUUUUUCUAAGUUUUUGUUUUGUUUACAAAUUCUUCGUACAAAUUACAACUCCGGCAUUAAUUUACUCAUUUUUUCAUCAAUUUACUAGUUUUAUGUGUGAUUUACACAUUUUUUGUUUUAUUUCACAAUUAAUGUCAAUUUACUAGUUCUAUGUCAUUUUUAUAAGUUUUUGUUUUGUUUACAAGUUCUUCGUGCAAAUUACAAUUCCAACAUUAAUUUAUCAUUUUUUUCAUUAAUUUACUAGUUUUAUGUGUGAUUUACAUAUUUUUUGUUUUAUUUCACACUUAAUGUGAAUUUACAAGUUCUAUGUCAUUUUUCUAAGUUUUUGUCUUGUUUACAAGUUCUUCUUACAAUUUACAACUCGAAUAUUAAUUUACCAUUUUUUCCAUACAUUUACUAGUUUUAUGUGUGGUUUACAUAUUUUUUGUUUUAUUUCACACUUAAUGUGAAUUUACAAGUUCUAUGUCAUUUUUCUAAGUUUUUGUCUUGUUUACAAGUUCUUCUUACAAUUUACAACUCGAACAUUAAUUUACCAUUUUUUCCAAACAUUUACUAGUUUUAUGUGUGGUUUACAUAUUUUUUGUUUUAUUUCACACUUAAUGUGAAUUUACUAGUUCUAUGUCAUUUUUCUAAGUUUUUGUUUUGUUUACCAGGUUUUCGUACAAAUUACAACUCCAACAUUAAUUUACUCAUUUUUCCAUUAAUUUACUAGUUUUAUGUGUGAUUUACACAUUUUUUGUUUUAUUUCACAAUUAAUGUCAAUUUACUAGUUCUAUGUCAUUUUUAUAAGUUUUUGUUUUGUUUACAAGUUCUUCGUGCAAAUUACAAUUCAAACAUUAAUUUACCAUUUUUUUCAUUAAUUUACUAGUUUUAUGUGUGAUUUACACUUUUGUUUGUUUUAUUUCACACUUAAUGUGAAUUAACAAGUUCUAUGUCAUUUUUCUAAGUUUUUGUUUUGUUUACAAGUUCUUCGUACAAGUUACAACUCCAACAUUAAUUUACUCAUUUUUCCAUCAAAUUACUAGUUUUAUGUGUGAUUUACACAUUUUUUGUUUUAUUUCACAAUUAAUGUCAAUUUACUAGUUCUAUGUCAUUUUUAUAAGUUUUUGUUUUGUUUACAAGUUCUUCGUGCAAAUUACAAUUCCAACAUUAAUUUACCAUUUUUUAAUUAAUUUACUAGUUUUAUGUGUGAUUUACACUUUUGUUUGUUUUAUUUCACACUUAAUGUGAAUUAACUAGUUCUAUGUCAUUUUUCUAAGUUUUUGCUUUGUUUACAAGUUUUUCGUACAAAUUACAACUCCAACAUUAAUUUACUCAUUUUUCCAUCAAUUUACUAGUUUUAUGUGUGAUUUACACAUUUGUUGUUUUAUUUCACAAUUAAUGUCAAUUUACUAGUUCUAUGUCAUUUUUAUAAGUUUUUGCUUUGUUUACAAGUUCUUCGUGCAAAUUACAAUUCCAACAUUAAUUUACCAUUUUUUUAAGUAAUUUACUAGUUUUAUGUGUGAUUUACACAUUUUUUGUUUUAUUUCACACUUAAUGUCAAUUUACUAGUUCUAUGUCAUUUUUAUAAGUUUUUGUUUUGUUUACAAGUUCUUCGUGCAAAUUACAAUUCCAACAUUAAUUUACCAUUUGUUUAAGUAAUUUACUAGUUUUAUGUGUGAUUUACAUAUUUUUUGUUUUAUUUCACACUUAAUGUCACUUUACUAGUUCUAUGUCAUUUUUAUAAGUUUUUGUUUUGUUUACAAGUUCUUCGUGCAAAUUACAAUUCCAACAUUAAUUUACCAUUUUUUUCAUUAAUUUACUAGUUUUAUGUGUGAUUUACAUAUUUUUUGUUUUAUUUCACACUUAAUGUGAAUUUACAAGUUCUAUGUCAUUUUUCUAAAUUUUUGUCUUGUUUACAAGUUCUUCUUACAAUUUACAACUCGAACAUUAAUUUACCAUUUUUUCCAUACAUUUACUAGUUUUAUGUGUGGUUUACAUAUUUUUUGUUUUAUUUCACACUUAAUGUGAAUUUACAAGUUCUAUGUCAUUUUUCUAAGUUUUUGUCUUGUUUACAAGUUCUUCUUACAAUUUACAACUAGAACAUUAAUUUACCAUUUUUUCCAUACAUUUACUAGUUUUAUGUGUGGUUUACAUAUUUUUUGUUUUAUUUCACACUUAAUGUGAAUUUACAAGUUCUAUGUCAUUGUUCUAAGUUUUUGUCUUGUUUACAAGUUCUUCUUACAAUUUACAACUCGAACAUUACUUUACCAUUUUUUCCAAACAUUUACUAGUUUUAUGUGUGGUUUACAUAUUUUUUGUUUUAUUUCACACUUAAUGUGAAUUUACAAGUUCUAUGUCAUUGUUCUAAGUUUUUGUCUUGUUUACAAGUUCUUCUUACAAUUUACAACUCGAACAUUAAUUUACCAUUUUUUCCAAACAUUUACUAGUUGUAUGUGUGGUUUACAUAUCUUUUGUUUUAUUUGACACUUAAUGUGAAUUUACAAGUUCUAUGUCAUUGUUCUAAGUUUUUGUCUUGUUUACAAGUUCUUCUUACAAUUUACAACUCAAACAUUAAUUUACCAUUUUUUCCAAACAUUUACUAGUUUUAUGUGUGGUUUACAUAUCUUUUGUUUUAUUUCACACUUAAUGUGAAUUUACUAGUUCUAUGUCAUUUUUCUAAGUUUUUGUUUUGUUUACAAGUUUUUCGUACAAAUUACAACUCCAACAUUAAUUUACUCAUUUUUCCAUUAAUUUACUAGUUUUAUGUGUGAUUUACACAUUUUUUGUUUUAUUUCACACUUAAUGUCAAUUUACUAGUUCUAUGUCAUUUUUAUAAGUUUUUGUUUUGUUUACAAGUUCGUCGUGCAAAUUACAAUUCCAACAUUAAUUUACCAUUUUUUUCAUUAAUUUACUAGUUUUAUGUGUGAUUUACAUAUUUUUUGUUUUAUUUCACACUUAAUGUGAAUUUACAAGUUCUAUGUCAUUUUUUUAAGUUUUUGUCUUGUUUACAAGUUCUUCUUACAAUUUACAACUCGAACAUUAAUUUACCAUGUUUUCCAUACAUUUACUAGUUGUAUGUGUGGUUUACAUAUUUUUUGUUUUAUUUCACACUUAAUGUGAAUUUACAAGUUCUAUGUCAUUUUUCUAAGUUUUUGUCUUGUUUACAAGUUCUUCUUACAAUUUACAACUCGAACAUUACUUUACCAUUUUUUCCAAACAUUUACUAGUUGUAUGUGUGGUUUACAUAUCUUUUGUUUUAUUUCACACUUAAUGUGAAUUUACAAGUUCUAUGUCAUUGUUCUAAGUUUUUGUCUUGUUUACAAGUUCUUCUUACAAUUUACAACUCAAACAUUAAUUUACCAUUUUUUCCAAACAUUUACUAGUUUUAUGUGUGGUUUACAUAUCUUUUGUUUUAUUUCACACUUAAUGUGAAUUUACUAGUUCUAUGUCAUUUUUCUAAGUUUUUGUUUUGUUUACAAGUUUUUCGUACAAAUUACAACUCCAACAUUAAUUUACUCAUUUUUCCAUUAAUUUACUAGUUUUAUGUGUGAUUUACACAUUUUUUGUUUUAUUUCACACUUAAUGUCAAUUUACUAGUUCUAUGUCAUUUUUAUAAGUUUUUGUUUUGUUUACAAGUUCGUCGUGCAAAUUACAAUUCCAACAUUAAUUUACCAUUUUUUUCAUUAAUUUACUAGUUUUAUGUGUGAUUUACAUAUUUUUUGUUUUAUUUCACACUUAAUGUGAAUUUACAAGUUCUAUGUCAUUUUUUUAAGUUUUUGUCUUGUUUACAAGUUCUUCUUACAAUUUACAACUCGAACAUUAAUUUACCAUGUUUUCCAUACAUUUACUAGUUGUAUGUGUGGUUUACAUAUUUUUUGUUUUAUUUCACACUUAAUGUGAAUUUACAAGUUCUAUGUCAUUUUUCUAAGUUUUUAUCUUGUUUACAAGUUCUUCUUACAAUUUACAACUCGAACAUUACUUUACCAUUUUUUCCAUACAUUUACUAGUUUUAUGUGUGGUUUACAUAUUUUUUGUUUUCUUUCACACUUAAUGUGAAUUUACAAGUUCUAUGUCAUUGUUCUAAGUUUUUGUCUUGUUUACAAGUUCUUCUUACAAUUUAUAACUCGAACAUUAAUUUACCAUUUUUUCCAAACAUUUACUAGUUUUAUGUGUGGUUUACAUAUUUUUUGUUUUAUUUCACACUUAAUGUGAAUUUACUAGUUCUAUGUCAUUUUUCUAAGUUUUUGUUUUGUUUACAAGUUUUUCGUACAAAUUACAACUCCAACAUUAAUUUACUCAUUUUUCCAUUAAUUUACUAGUUUUAUGUGUGCUUUACACAUUUUUUGUUUUAUUUCACACUUAAUGUCAAUUUACUAGUUCUAUGUCAUUUUUAUAAGUUUUUGUUUUGUUUACAAGUUCGUCGUACAAAUUACAACUCCAACAUUAAUUUACUCAUUUUUCCAUUAAUUUACUAGUUUUAUGUGUGAUUUACACAUUUUUUGUUUUAUUUCACACUUAAUGUCAAUUUACUAGUUCUAUGUCAUUUUUAUAAGUUUUUGUCUUGUUUACAAGUUCGUCGUGCAAAUUACAAUUCCAACAUUAAUUUACCAUUUUUUUCAUUAAUUUACUAGUUUUAUGUGUGAUUUACAUAUUUUUUGUUUUAUUUCACACUUAAUGUGAAUUUACAAGUUCUAUGUCAUUUUCUUAAGUUUUUGUCUUGUUUACAAGUUCUUCUUACAAUUUACAACUCGAACAUUAAUUUACCAUGUUUUCCAUACAUUUACUAGUUGUAUGUGUGGUUUACAUAUUUUUUGUUUUAUUUCACACUUAAUGUGAAUUUACAAGUUCUAUGUCAUUUUUCUAAGUUUUUGUCUUGUUUACAAGUUCUUCUUACAAUUUACAACUCGAACAUUACUUUACCAUUUUUUCCAAACAUUUACUAGUUUUAUGUGUGGUUUACAUAUUUUUUGUUUUAUUUCACACUUAAUGUGAAUUUACAAGUUCUAUGUCAUUUUUCUAAGUUUUUGUCUUGUUUACAAGUUCUUCUUACAAUUUACAACUCGAACAUUACUUUACCAUUUUUUCCAUACAUUUACUAGUUUUAUGUGUGGUUUACAUAUUUUUUGUUUUCUUUCACACUUAAUGUGAAUUUACAAGUUCUAUGUCAUUGUUCUAAGUUUUUGUCUUGUUUACAAGUUCUUCUUACAAUUUAGAACUCGAACAUUAAUUUACCAUUUUUUCCAAACAUUUACUAGUUUUAUGUGUGGUUUACAUAUUUUUUGUUUUAUUUCACACUUAAUGUGAAUUUACUAGUUCUAUGUCAUUUUUCUAAGUUUUUGUUUUGUUUACAAGUUUUUCGUACAAAUUACAACUCCAACAUUAAUUUACUCAUUUUUCCAUUAAUUUACUAGUUUUAUGUGUGAUUUACACAUUUUUUGUUUUAUUUCACACUUAAUGUCAAUUUACUAGUUCUAUGUCAUUUUUAUAAGUUUUUGUUUUGUUUACAAGUUCGUCGUGCAAAUUACAAUUCCAACAUUAAUUUACCAUUUUUUUCAUUAAUUUACUAGUUUUAUGUGUGAUUUACAUAUUUUUUGUUUUAUUUCACACUUAAUGUGAAUUUACAAGUUCUAUGUCAUUUUGUUAAGUUUUUGUCUUGUUUACAAGUUCUUCUUACAAUUUACAACUCGAACAUUAAUUUACCAUGUUUUCCAUACAUUUACUAGUUGUAUGUGUGGUUUACAUAUUUUUUGUUUUAUUUCACACUUAAUGUGAAUUUACAAGUUCUAUGUCAUUUUUCUAAGUUUUUGUCUUGUUUACAAGUUCUUCUUACAAUUUACAACUCGAACAUUACUUUACCAUUUUUUCCAAACAUUUACUAGUUGUAUGUGUGGUUUACAUAUCUUUUGUUUUAUUUCACACUUAAUGUGAAUUUACAAGUUCUAUGUCAUUGUUCUAAGUUUUUGUCUUGUUUACAAGUUCUUCUUACAAUUUACAACUCAAACAUUAAUUUACCAUUUUUUCCAAACAUUUACUAGUUUUAUGUGUGGUUUACAUAUUUUUUGUUUUAUUUCACACUUAAUGUGAAUUUACUAGUUCUAUGUCAUUUUUCUAAGUUUUUGUUUUGUUUACAAGUUUUUCGUACAAAUUACAACUCCAACAUUAAUUUACUCAUUUUUCCAUUAAUUUACUAGUUUUAUGUGUGAUUUACACAUUUUUUGUUUUAUUUCACACUUAAUGUCAAUUUACUAGUUCUAUGUCAUUUUUAUAAGUUUUUGUUUUGUUUACAAGUUCGUCGUGCAAAUUACAAUUCCAACAUUAAUUUACCAUUUUUUUCAUUAAUUUACUAGUUUUAUGUGUGAUUUACAUAUUUUUUGUUUUAUUUCACACUUAAUGUGAAUUUACAAGUUCUAUGUCAUUUUGUUAAGUUUUUGUCUUGUUUACAAGUUCUUCUUACAAUUUACAACUCGAACAUUAAUUUACCAUGUUUUCCAUACAUUUACUAGUUGUAUGUGUGGUUUACAUAUUUUUUGUUUUAUUUCACACUUAAUGUGAAUUUACUAGUUCUUUGUCAUUUUUCUAAGUUUUUGUUUUGUUUACAAGUUCUUCGUGCAAAUUACAAUUCCAACAUUAAUUUACCAUUUUUUUCAUUAAUUUACUAGUUUUAUGUGUGAUUUACAUAUUUUUUAUUUUAUUUCACACUUAAUGUGAAUUUACAAGUUCUAUGUCAUUUUUCUAUGUUUUUGUCUUGUUUACAAGUUCUUCUUACAGUUUACAACUCGAACAUUAAUUUACCAUUUUUUCCAUACAUUUACUAGUUGUAUGUGUUGUUUACAUAUUUUUUGUUUUAUUUCACACUUAAUGUGAAUUUACUAGUUCUAUGUCAUUUUUCUAAGUUUUUGUUUUGUUACAAGUUUUUCAUACAAAUUACAACUCCAACAUUAAUUUACUACAUUUUCUAUCAAUUUACUAGUUUUUUUCUAUUUUUUAUUUUUUUUAAUUUUGUAGACCAAUUUACCACUGUAACGCUAAUUUACCCGUUUUACCUUCAAUGUACGAGUCAUACGUGUGGUUUAGAAAUUUUUUUUCUUAUUUCACAUUUAUUUGGAAUUUAGGUUAUUUAGUUUAAGUCAAUUGCCUCAACUUAAAUCCAACGUGAAAAUGGUUAAAGAGUUGGAUUAUUGACAUUUUAUGAUUUAGAUAGAAUGAUAUAAGGGUGGGCAUGAGUUGGGUUUGAUAGGGUUAGUGAAAUUCUAACAUGGUCUACUUUUUAAUGAGCUGAUAUAAAAUUCAUCCAAUUUAACUAAAUAAACUUGUUUAACUAAAUUCUACCCAAACCUUAUAUCGUCUGGUUAAGUUGAUUAGGUUGAAGCUCAAAUCAAAAUUUUAAAUUGAACAAUGAAAAUGAUAUUAAACUUAUUAAAAUCAAAUAUAAAUCUUUUAUAACAUGAAAUUUUCAUUCACUAUCUAGUGUACGUAAAGAAAGUUAAUAAAUUAACUAUCUUUAAAUUAAGAAAAUUUCCACAAAAAGCAUAUAGACUUUAUUUCUCUUGCAUCUCCUUUUCCAAUUCCAAAUUAAGACUUUUUAGAUAAUUAGCUAGCAUCAUAUACAAAAAUAAAAUGAAAGUGAUAUAUAAUUAUGUGCCGUUAAGUAUUCACUAAAAAAAUAAAAAAAAAUUAAAACCAACUUACUUUUAUAUUAAUCUUAUAAAAUAAUAAAUUUACUUAUAAGAGAGUGUGAUUUUGGUUUUGGAAUUGUAGUCUAAAGCAGCAGAUGCAAGAAUGAAAUAUCCUCUUGUAUUAAAAGAUUAAAAAGAAUAAAAAAUUAGAUAAACCAUUUAAGUCGUUAUAAUCUUGCAAUUGAGAAUUAACACAUUAUCAUUUUCCUUUUUCUUCUUCUUCUUCUUCUUCUUCUUCUUAUUAUUAUUAUUAUUAUAGAUUUGGUUGGGUUAGACUGGUUAAUUAUAAUUUAUCCAACCCAAACUAAUUAUUAAUUAGGUUUGAAAAAAACAGACCCAAUUAAACCACAAUAAUCUGCUCAUGGUGCAUUUACCAAUCAGUAAUCAUAACGGGCUACAAUCAGAAUCAAGAAUGUGAAUAAGAAUAAGUUAUUUAUUUGAGCUGUAGAAAUUGAAGUCGGAAUGAGAUUCAUUUCCAUCAAUGUGUUUAAUUUGUCUUGAAAUCGGAAUGAAUUAUCAUAAUUUCUUAAAUGCCCUUUGUUGAUUAUUGUCAAUUGGUGGUAAUAAUAAUCAUAAUAAUAAUAAUAAUAAUAAUAAUAAUCAUCAUCAUCAUAAUAUUUAUUAAAAUAGUAUUAUAAUUAUGAUUACUAAUUCAUUAUUGAUAUUAUUUAUUAAUUUCAUGAUUUUGUUUUAUGAUUAUUAUUUAUGAAAAUAUUAUUGUAAUCAAACUUUAUAAUAAUUAUUAUAAUAAUAAGUUAUUAUUAUUAUUAAUAUUUUAUUAUAUUAUUAUUUCGUAAAAAUAUUAUUAUAUUUAUAAUUUUAUUGUUAUUAUUAUUAAUAUGAAAUUAUUUCAUUAUUGUUUAUUAUAAUAUUAUAUUAAUUAUAAUUCAUUAUAAUUUAUUAAUCUUUCAUUAUUGUUCAUGUGCGUAGGAGUUAGAUUUGAGAUAAUGUUCUGAAAAUAACUCGGUUAAUGUUUGAAAUCUUGUUUAUAUUAGGUCUUAUUUUUCUAGCUAGGUUACUAUUAUGCUUGCAAUUUUAUUUUUCUAAAUAAUUAGAUUAUCAUCAUGCUAUCGCAGCAAGUUUGGACAGACAUGAUGGUUGCGUAAAACCUCAACUAUUUUUUAUUAUUGACUAGGCCUUGCUUGCUUCUUGUUUUUCAAUUUAGGCAGUGAUGGUAGUAAAAGCUUUUGGAGUUUUGGACAAUGAUGAUGGCAACUCACAGCUCACAAUGUCAGAACACAUUCAAUUUUACACAACAAUGAUAAGUAUUGACCAUGAGGCAGGAUACUGAAAAUUUGUUGUGUCCGUCAAUGGUAAAAUGAUUACAAUUGAGAUGGUGAUUACAAUUGAUUUUUUUUUAAUGAAACCAUAUGUUUUAAUUAUUUAUGCUUGUAUCCGUCAAUGGUAAAAUUAUUAUGGUAUAUUUGUGUUAGAAAUUAUAUUUAUUUCAUUUGUUGCUGUAACAACAUAAAUAUAAACUAUGCUGAUUAACUUGAAUAUUUCGUUUGGAGUCAAACAAUGAUAAAAACAAAAUAAUACAUAAAAAUUGGAGUGUUGUGGUUGAAAGCAAAUAAAGGCAAAGCUCACACACGGUACAACUGCAAUUAAAAGAAAAAGGCAAAGCAAAACGCACUGAUAUCAAACUUUAAUCACAUCUCGAAUUUACACAAUAAUCAAUAGCAGAUCCUAAAAAAUUCCAAAAGAAAAUCUUAAAACAAAUAGUCAACAAGAUAUUAGAAUCAUUAUAAAAAUAAAUAACCAAGAAUAAUACUAAUUUCAAAUAAAAUAUAUAGAAUGGUAGUAAAACAAAGAACUAUCGUUACUACUGCUCCCCAACAAAGAUGAUCCACUUUCCCACAAGAUGUUACUAAAGAGGAAAUUGUGAGCCACCUGGAGAAUAAAGGAAAACUUGCAUUAAACAUUGACUAUUUCCAGUCCACAUUCUGCUUAUACUCGGUACGCAAUUGCAAAUUGGAAAUUGUUUCUAAUUAAUUUUAUGUGAAACAACAAUUAUAAUUGCAAUAACUAAUAAAUAACUACUACAAAUCAUGAAAUGUAAUAGGAGCAAAAAAAAAGCAAGAAAGAAAUAGUUAAAGAGAACCUACUUUUAACAUGCUGCAAGCUUUUGGACUCUACUUUUUCUUCUUCAAAUUCUUUUGACCAUUAACUUUGUUCGUCACUUUGUUCGGUGGAAGAUUAUUCUUGUGCGAAUCAUAAAUUCUUCAGCCUUACAUCUGAUACUAUCUCUCACUUUAUUUGUAUCUCCGUUGACAAGGUGGAGUGCAAUGCGAUAUCUUUCUAUUGUUGAGUUAUACUAAAUAUAGUACGAGAAAAAAUAAAAAAGUGAGAAACAGAGUCAUCAUUCAUUUUAAAACUUUAAAUCAAUAUGAUAUAAAAUUAAUGUCACAUACAUGUUUUAUAGAUAAUAGAUCACAUUGCGUCUCCAUGAACUUGAUCACAAACAAACCGCAGUCAGUUCCAUUUGGUUGUACUGGGACAUUAUCUGGAUAUGAAAUUUUAAAACUAAAAAAAUCCCAACAUGAAUAAAAUUUUCCCAAAAAAUCAUCGAGGAAAACUUCAUUGAGUCCCUGUAACUGUGAUAAUGAUGAUAAUAGUCAGCAUACAUUUGCAUUUAUUGGUAAUAAUACAGGUGAAAUGCAAGCUUCACUUACAAUUGCUCUAACAAUUUCCUCUCGAUGUGAAUUCGAACUAUUACUAGGUAAAGAGUCCCAAAUUUCAACGGUUUGCGUUUUAACAAUCAACACCGCUAGAUACCAAUGUGCAGAGCCAUCAUUUAUAGGAACAUAGAUCUACAUGACAAAUGCAUAAUUUUUAAUAAUUACCAUUAAAUGUCUUAAACAAUGGCAUGAUUUAUUGUAAUUUUGCAUUUAAUUUCUUACCUUUUCACAUACUGCUAGUUCUGACAUGUAUUUAUCUCGAAUAUUAUGAUUUUUGACAAAAUCUUCGAUGCUUGAUUUCUUAUUGCAGGCCAUGUUUGCCACUAUUUUUUGCUGCAAAACUCAUAAAAUAAAUACAAAAUUAGUAUAUUAUCAACAUAUAGGGUCAACUGUCAAUAAAAAAAUUCACAGUAUAACAUUUACAACUUACCGAAAAGAUGGUGGGCAAAUACCAAAUACGCAUCUUUAGGCUCGUUUUUGCACGUUCUUUGUUUGUCAAGUAGUUGACGAAACAAUCUAUGACCUACGAAUAGAGCCAUUAAACAAGAAGACUUAAAUACUUAGAAAGAAAAUAAAUAAAUUGAAUGAUUAAACUAAAUAUAAAGAAGGUAUGCUUACUGUGUCAAUGAUCCAAGUAUUAGGAGCCAAAGAAAACAUCUCUUGGCGAGAGACGAAAAAACUAAUUCCAUCAACAAUAUGCUCACUAUAUUAAGAAUCCAAAAAUAUAAUUAAAACUAUAGCAGUGUUAAUGCAAAAAUAAUAACAUAUGGAAAGUGGGUCAUGAGAAAAUCUAAUUACUCCAUAGGCAAUUCUCCUUGAAAUAUAUAUUGCAGCAACUUCAUAUCUUCCUCUGAAAAUGAAUUUAGUAGAGUGAUUGAAUCAUGAAAAAAUUUUUGUUUGCUUCGUCUUUUGGGAAACUGAUUAUAAGGGGAUUUUUGGUAUGGACUAGGCUUUCGCUUUCGGGAGCGCAUAUCUUUAACCUCAAAUACACUAAGUUGGUUUGAUGAUUCCUCUUCAAUAGAACAAUCAUCAUUCGGGCCAUUAUCCUACAAAAAUUAUGAUUUAUAACUUAAUACUCAUCUAUGCACUAUUAUGUUUUACUUGUGCAAAAAAGAAGAUCACAGUUUAUUGCUAAAUACUUGUAUAGCUGCAUUGUAGAAAAUUUGCUUACGCUUUCCCUCAUUUAGGUCUGACUCACCCGUCAAAAUUCUCUCAUCAUGUUUCUCUUCAACAUUCUCCUCAUCCACUAAUUUCUUCUCAAGAAUAUCAUCUCCAUCUGGCCUUUCUUUGGCUCUCUUCAUUAGUUCCGCAAAAGUUAAAAUUUCAUGGCUUGAUUCAUCGUUCUUUUGUUGCUUUCGGGAAGGAGAAGUAAUUCCAACAGCAGCGCCAUUAUUCUCCUUUUUCUGCUCAACUUGCUUUUGUGUUAAGUUCUCUUUAAGGGUUUCCAUUACUUGUUGCAUUUGCUGCAUCCAGCUACCCAUUGAAUGCUUUAAACCAUCAAGCUCCAAUGCCAUACGGCCAAUAUCUUUUCGAACAAGUGAUAAUUCCUUCUGAUGUUGACAAUUAUGUAUGCAUUCUUCAUUCUUCCGACUUAUUCCAUCAAAUGUUUCAUGGGCCGUGUUUUGUUGAGGAUGGAUUUCUCGCAAAUUAACCUAAUAAAUACCACAUACUAUUAAAUACAUGUCAUUUCAAUAUGAUACGUUAAUAUUUAAUUAAUAAAAAGUAGAUGUCCUACCUUUGAGCUCCCAUAACCGCCAUUUUUCUUAACAAAACUCAAUAAGUUAGUUACAUCUCGAUUUGUCCAUGUUGUUAUUGGACUCAAAGAUUUAUCAAUAAAUUUUCGUGCAAAUGAUAUAGAAUCCAUGUAAAAAAGCUACAAUAUUAACAAAAUGAUCAAAACAAAGCAAAAACAAAAUAACACAAUAAAACUGAUGAAAUCAUUUUUAAAAAAAAUUACCUCCAAAAAUAGUACACAACCAUUAACAACUUUAUGUUGUCCUGCCUUGAACUUUUGUAUGCCCUCAACUAGCCCUUUAAAAGCCCACGUUGCCCAAUUUUUUUUAUUUAUGGCACUGGUGUCUUUCAAAAAAACCAAGUAAUACGGGGCUAAAUUCAACCCCGAUUUAGGAAAAAUAAUUGUAGCUAUAGCAAACAAAACAAAGCUUCUUUUAAAGUCAUCAUUCACCUCCCUUUGAUUCACCAAUUUUGACUCUAAAGUUUUCAGCUUAAUGUAUCCACUGUCAUCACAAUAUUCAUUCCUCAAUUUAUCUAUGUCAUCAAUAGCAAGAUCCACAUCAAUGUCGACUCCACCAUCUUUUAUUCCCAUAAUGUACUCAAAAUCUCGAGGCGACAGAUUGAUACUCUUACCAUGCAAAAAAAUACAUGAAGUAAAUGGAUCAAAAUUUUGAACCAACCAUGAACAUAAAUCUCGUUUCAGUCGACCACAUUUUAUGUGCAGAAGACUUUCAAAUCCUAACUCCACAACAACUUUUUUUUGAUUUUCUGACAAUUUUGCGACCAGUUUUGUAAAACGAUCUGGAGCGCAUCUAGUUUCCAUGGCUUUUUGAGUUCCCUUCACAAAAUCAUCUUCUUUGUCUUUAUUCUGUGCUAUAUCACUAUCAACCAUUCUAAAUUUAGCCUUUUCUUCUUCACUCAAAUUUUUUAAACAUUUCCCUAAUUUAAUUCUGUUCUAAAAAAUUAAAAAAAAAUAUGACAAUAAGUUAUUGCUUGUAACACAUCCCAAAUUUAAUGGAAAUUAAUUAUCGCACCUACACUCACCAUUUUUUUCCUUGUUCCCAUAAUAUUUUUGCUUCUUGCUUGCUGCAGUCAAUUAAAUAUUUUGAAAAAAAUAUAUAUAAUCAGUGCAUGUUAACAUUAUUAUGCUCGGCUUUACUAAAUAUUCAUAAAUUUACCAACAGUCAAACACAUAAUAUUUAAUGUAAGAAGACUUACAAAUACUCAAUGAAAGGCCGAUUUCUUCUUAAAUUUUCAUUUUCCUGGCUCACAUUAUCAUUCUCCUUGAAAUCAUUCUCAUUACCCUCAUCUACAUUUUCAGCCAUUUUCGAGUUUACAAGAACCUGUACAUGAAGAUUUAGCACAAAAAGAAAUGUCAAAUAUCACAAGUUUUGGAUCCUGUAAAACAACAGAAACUUUAACCCAAAAGCAGUAAUAAAUUUAUCCAGAAACAGCAAAAAAUGUAACUAAAAAACAGCAGUAAAUUUUACCCAAAAAUAAUAGAAAAUUUAACCCAAAUACAGCAGCAAAUGAAGCCCAAAACACCAAAAACAUUUACAUGUAAACAGCAAAAAAUUUAGCCAAAAAACAGUCGUAAAUUUAUCCAAACAGCAACAAAUUUACCCAGAAAUAGCAAAAAAUUUAACACAAAAAUAACAAUAAAUUUAUCCAGAAAUAGUGAAAAAUUUAACUGUAAAACAGCAGCAAAUUUACCUAGAAGCAACAGAAAAUUUAACCUAAAAAGAGUAGCAAAUGAAGCCCAAACACCAGAAAAAUUUACCUAAACACAGCAGAAAAUUUAACCCAAAAAUAGCAGUAUAUUUACACAGAAACAGCAAAAUAUUUAACCAAAAAACAGCAGCAAAUGAAGCCCAGAACACCAAAAAAACUUACCUGGAAACAGCAAAAAAUAUAACCCAAAAACAGCAGUAAAUUUAUCCAAAAACAGCAAACAAUUUAACUCAAACAAAAGCAGCCAAUUUACCCAAAAAUAGCAGAAAAUUUAACCUAAAAAUAGCUGCAAAUGAAGCCCAAAAUACCAGAAAAAUUUAACCAAAAACGGCAGCAAAUCAUCACAAAUGCAGCAGAAAAUUUAUUCAAAAACAGCAAAAAAUUUAAGUGAAAAACAGUAGUUUAUUUACCCAGAAACAGCAAAAUAUUUAACCCAAAACCAGCAGCAAAUGAAGCCCAAAACACCAAAAACAUUUACCUUAAAACGGCAGAAAAUAUAACCCAAAAACAGCAGUAAAUUUAUCAAAAAAUAGCAAAAAAAUAAACUAAAAACCAGCAGUCACCUUACCCAGAAACAGCAGAAAAUUAAAUCUAAAAAUAGCAGCAAAUGAAGCCCAAAACACCAAAAAAAUUUACCUUAAAACAGCAGAAAAUAUAACCCAAAAACAGCAGUAAAUUUAUCAAAAAACAACAAAAAAAUAAGCUGAAAAAUAGCAGCCACCUUACCCAGAAACAGCAGAAAAUUAAAUCUAAAAAUAGCAGCAAAUGAAGCUUUAUCAAUAGGAAAGUUUAAAAUAUUUUUUUUCUGAAGCCAAAGCAAGAAAUCUAUAAAGUCCUUGUGAUCUUCAACUUGAGAAUUGUUACUCAUCCUAUUCUCAUGUUCUUGAAUGACUACCUCAAGAAAAUUAUCAACUCCUUGGUCACUAAAUUUUUCUACUCUAACAUCACGAAAAGAAUAAUGAAUCCUUUUGUUACUUAAAAGUUGUACAACAAAUAAGAUUUGAACUUUUCUUAAGUACUCACCAUAAGGUGUCAUAGAGACAUCUACACAACCGUUUAAAAGUUUUACAAAUGGGGUUAAUUUUGGUUGAUUGCAAAGAUUACAUUUCUAACGAUCUCACAGGAUAGCUUGUCAAAGCGGAACUAGAUUAUCGUUACAAUAAAUUAAAAUGCAUUUAUGGUUUUAUGCAUUUUUGUCAUUUAUUGUGAAUAUUAUUUCAAAUUAUUUAUGCAUGGAUGUUUUAUUUUUCAGAAAAUGUCUUCCCUGAGCCCACUUACUAUUAUUCUGAGUCAAAACAAACUCACUGGAGAGAACUAUAUAGAUUGGAAAAGAAAUCUAUUCAUUGUCCUGACUGCUGAAAAUUAUAAAUAUGUCUUAACCCAGCCAUGCCCCCCAGUUCCAGCGGAUGAUGCUCAUAGAAAUCAGAGGAGGCUUUAUGAGAAAUGGCAAAAGGCCAAUGAAAUGGCAAAGUGCUACAUUUUAGCCUCGAUUUCUAAUAUUCUGCAGACCAAACAUCAGAACUUGGAGACUGCCACUGAAAUAAUGGAUAGUCUCCAACAGAUGUUCGGUCAGAGUACUCGCUCUGCGAGACAAGCAGCGCUGAAAGGAAUUAUGAACAGUAAAAUGGGGAAAGGCACAAGAGUUCGUGAUCAUGUCCUCAAAAUGAUGGACUAUUUGAAUGAGGCUGAGAUUCAGGGAGCACAAAUCGAUGAUAACUCAAAGAUUGACAUGGUGCUAGAAUCUCUGCCAGAAACAUUCAAGGAGUUUAAGGUCAAUUAUAACAUGAACAAAAGAAACAUGACCUUAACUGAAUUGAUGAACGAACUCCAUUCUGCUGAAGAGAUCUAUCGUGCUGAGAAAUCUCUGGGAAGCAUAAAUAUUACUGAAAAAAGUUCAUCUUCUGGGCCUAAACCGAAAGGCAAAGGUAAGAAGAAAGCUGGGAAAAAGAGACCGUCUACCAAGCAAGAUGGCAAGCCGAAAGGCAAAUGCUUCAAGUGUGGACAGAAAGGUCACUGGAAAAAGGAUUGCCCUAAGAUUGUGAAAUCAGGUAUGGGAAAUCUUUUUGUAAUUGAGGCCUGUUUAGUUCAAAAUCCUAUUGACACUUGGGUGUUGGAUUCAGGAGCAACUAAUCAUAUUUGUAAUUCACUUUAUUGGUUUCAGGAAACCAGGAAAAUAAGUGAAGGAAGCGUCAACCUGCAGUUAGGGACAGGACAGUUCGUGUCAGCAGUAAAGACUGGAUCUGUUUUAUUAUCUUUUAAUAAUAAGACUUUAGUUUUGAAUAAUUGUCUUUAUGUUCCAGACAUUAAGAGGAAUUUAAUUUCAGUAGCUUGUUUGUCAAAGCAAGGGUACACUGUAAAUUUUGGAUCCUCUGUUUCUAUUUUUCAUAAUAAGAGACUUAUUUGUUCUGGUACAUUGGAAGAUAAUUUAUAUCAUUUAAGUCCAAUGAUCCAUUCUAUGCAUGACACAGUGAUAAAUAAUGAUGAGCAUACACAUUUAUCUAAGAAAAGAAAUAUUUCUUCCAACCAAUGUUACCUCUGGCAUUUACGCUUGGGUCAUAUAAACCAAAAUAGGAUACAGAGAAUGAUCAAAGAUGGGCUCUUGGGUCCAUUAGAAAAUGAAUCAUUGCCACUCUGUGAAUCCUGUUUAGAAGGGAAAAUGACCAAAAGGCCAUUCUCGGCCAAAGGAGUACGUGCAACAGUACCACUUGAAUUGGUACAUACAGAUGUAUGUGGACCAAUCAAUGUACAAGCUCGAGGAGGUUAUGAGUAUUUCAUCACUUUUACUGAUGAUUACUCAAGAUACGGUUAUGUUUAUCUAAUGCGUCAUAAGUCUGAAGCUCUUGAGAAAUUCAAAGAGUAUAAGGCUGAGACAGAAAAGUAAUUAGAUAAGAACAUAAAGAAACUUCGAUCUGAUCGAGGUGGUAAAUUUCUCUCAGGAGAUUUCAAAGAGUAUCUGGUUGAAAAUGGGAUUAUAUCUCAAUUGACUGCCCCGGGAACACCACAACAAAAUGGGGUAGCUGAAAGAAGAAAUAGAACUCUUUUGGAUAUGAUGAGAUCUAUGCUUAGUUAUUCGUCAUUACCAAUCUCUUUUUGGGGACUAGCACUGGAAACUGCAGUUUACCUUUUGAACUUAGUUCCAUCUAAGUCAGUGCCUAAAACCCCAAUAGAAUUAUGGUCAGGUCGCAAACCAAGUUUACGACAUGUCCGUAUUUGGGGAUCACCAGCACAUGUGCUGAAACCAAAGGCAGACAAAAUGGAUUCACGUUCUGAGGUUUGUAUGUUUGUGGGGUAUCCCAAAGGAACAAGGGGAGGUUUAUUUUAUAGUCCUCAAGAUAGGAAAGUGAUCGUGAGCACACAUUUCACUUCCCUUGAGGAAGACUAUAUGAAUAACUUCAAACCUAAGAGUAAGGUAAUACUUGAAGAACUGUCAGGUGAUCAGGUUGAUGCUCAGCUUUCAAUGCCUAUUACAGAACAGGAAGAACAGCAACAACCAGAUGAUCAACACAGGAUUAACCCUGAACAACCAUCACUUUUAGAACCUCGUCGUAGUGGGAGGGUAACUAGGUUACCUGCGAGAUACAUGCUUUUGGGAGAAACCUAUACGGCUAUCUCAGAUGAACAUGUACAAGAUCCCACUAGUUACAACGAAGCUCUAAUAGAUAGAGAUGUUGAAUUUUGGAAAAAGGCCAUGAAUCAAGAAAUGGAAUCUAUGUAUUCCAAUCAAGUCUGGGAACUUGUAGAGGCACCAAAUGGGGUAAAACCUAUAGGAUGCAAGUGGAUCUACAAGAGAAAAAGAGGAGUAGACGGAAGGGUGGAAACAUUUAAAGCAAGAUUAGUAGCCAAAGGGUUUACUCAGAAAGAGGGAAUCGAUUAUGAGGAAACUUUUUCUCCGGUUGCUAUGCUUAAAUCCAUCAGGAUUCUGCUCUCCAUUGCUGCAGUGCUAGAUUAUGAAAUUUGGCAAAUGGAUGUCAAGACUGCCUUUCUCAACGGGCAUCUUGAAGAAAACAUCUACAUGCAGCAACCAGAUGGAUUUAUACAAAAAGGCCAACAACACAUGGUAUGUAAGUUGCAGAGAUCCAUUUAUGGAUUGAAGCAAGCAUCCCGGUCAUGGAACAUCAGAUUUGAUCAAGCGAUAAAAUCGUUUGGAUUCAUUCAGAACAUUGAUGAACCAUGUGUGGACAAGAAAAUUCAAGAAAAAUCUGUAGCCUUCCUAAUUCUUUAUGUAGACGAUAUUCUCCUAAUUGGAAACGAUAUAGGAGUACUGACUACAAUAAAGAGUUGGUUACCAAAACAAUUUGAUAUGAAAGACCUGGGAGAGGCAAGUUAUAUUCUUGGUAUCAAAUUACUACGAGACCGGAAGAAUAAAACUUUAGCCUUGUCUCAAGCGGUCUAUAUCGAUAAGAUAUUGGCUAGAUUUAGCAUGGAAAAUUCCAAGACUGGUUUAUUACCAUUCAGACAUGGAAUUACAUUCUCUAAGGAUCAAUCACCUAAAACAUCUGAAGAGAUAGAGAGAAUGAGACGAGUUCCCUGUGCAGAAGCUGUGGGAAGUCUUAUGUAUGCCAUGCUUUGCACUAGGCCAGACAUCUGUUUUGCGGUAGGGAUGGUUAGUAGAUAUCAAUCUAAUCCUGGACCUGAACACUGGACUGCGGUCAAGCAUAUAAUGAAGUAUCUGAAAAGAAAUAAAAAUUAUAUGCUUGUGUAUUCUGGUGUUGAACUCAUUCCAGUGGGUUAUACUGAUUCUGACUUUAUGUCAGAUAAGGAUUCUAGAAAAUCAACUUCCGGCUAUGUGUUUGCAUUGGGAAGUGGAGCUAUUAGUUAGAGGAGUGUGAAACAAUCUUGUAUCACAGACUCAACAACUGAAGCUGAAUAUGUGGCUGCAUCUGAAGCUGCAAAAGAAGCUGUAUGGCUCUGCAAGUUCCUACGAAAUCUUGAGGUGGUACCUGUUGUAACUGCACCCCUUAAACUAUUUUGUGAUAAUGGUGGUGCGGUAGCUCAAUCUAAGGAACCAAGGAACCACAAGAAACAAAACAUAUUGACAAGAAGUAUCAUCUUAUAAGGAAAUAGUGUAGAAAGGUUAUAUGACAGUACCCCAAAUGGCAUUAGAUGCUAAAUGGCAGAUCUUAUUACAAUGGCCAUUAGUGGGAAACCUUUAUAACUUGCACUUAGAGCCCUAGAGCAUGUGCAAUAUGCCAGAUAUGCUUUGAGAGCUAGUGGGAGAUUGUUGGGAAAAUAUGCUCUUUAAAAGCAUAUGUGUUUAUUUAAUUGUAAUAAACAAUUUUUCUGAUUAAUAAAAUAAAUGAGGUAUUUUAUUCAAAUAUCUUAAUUGCAUUAAUAUUUGUAUUAAAGUCCAUUUAAUCAUAUUAUAUGUAUUUAUGUGAUCACCAUGUGGAUUCACAGAAGACAUAAAUACAAGUUAUCUUAUGAUUAAAUAAAUUUAGUUCGCAGUUGAUAAAUAAAGUUGGGCACUUUAUUUAGGUAUAGACUGUAAUAAAUUCAUUGAAUGAUUUGUCUUAAUCAUGUAUGAAUUUAUUGAUGUAGUACGACUACAUUGAACAGGAUCACAUAUGAGAUUUAAUUAACUUUGUAAUAACUGUCAGACUUAUUAAAUCUCAUAGGCGUUGAUUUUACUGUAAUCUUAAUCUUGAGUUAAUUAUGAUUUCAUGAUUGUGAUUGUUAUUUCAUUUGAGUUACCAAUGGGCACGACACAUCCUUGUGGUCAAGAUUACCCGGUAUCUUGGUGGGAGCAAUUAUGAGUAUUGGAGUUAUGGAUUAACAAUAUAGAAUUUGUACAACACAUCUCUUGAUAGGUUUUCGGUACUUGAUCAUAGAAUUCUCUGGCCAGAGUGUGUCAACAUAUUUAGUAUGUUGAAAAUGAUCAUUAGAGAAAACCAGUAAGGAUCAAGGAAUAAGAUGUUAUUAAAUUGAUUGGACAGUUGAGAUAUCAAUUUAAUUAACGAUGUGGUACAAAGGAUUGUGCAGUAAAGAAAUCAAUGUGGCUUGGGACGAAUUAUUAUUCGAGCAUACAAUUAUGGAAGUCAGUUCUAAUCUUUUAGUGGAGUAGAUUUGGAAUUAAAUAAUUGGGCUAGUUUAAUUACAGGCCUAAUUAUUGUAGCCACUAUUGUAUGUUCCCAAAUGAUCCCCGGGUUAGCUCAUUUAAUUGACUGCACCACUACUGGACUAAUAAGUAAGAUAACUAGCUAUUUGGGUCAAAAGCCUAAAUAUAUCAUUUAGUGGGAGGCUCCAUUUAAUUAGCUUUUGUAUAAGGGGCCUUAUGUUAUUUUACAAGGUGGGUCCCCUAUUGAAAAAGCAAAUAAACGUGAGUUUUGUUUUUUGAUUAUUUGGAGCCCAGGGUUUUCACUAAAGGGUGAUAUAAAAGGCUUAUUUUUCCCUAAAGAAAAAAAGAGAAGCCAUUUUAUACAGAUCAGAGAAAAAGAUUUUUAUCUCCAUUGUUGAGAGAAAAAUUUUCUCGUGCUAGUUGCUUUGGUAGUGAUAAAGGCGCCCACACGUCAAGUGCAUAUCGAACCUGAGUCAUAACCUGGAAGAUCAUUGGAGACAGUUCGUGAUCUAACAAGCGUGGUGGUGACGGAUCGUGAUCUAACAGGAGUGGUGGUGGCGGAUCGUGAUCUAGGAGCCUAAAUCACUUCAACGGAAAAAGUCCAAUCGGAUUUUCAAGGUACGAUUUCUAGAAUACAAAUUCUUAUAUAUUAUAUGAGAGCGAUCUUCAAAAGGUUUUAUAAAAAUUUAAAAACCGAAUUUUUCCCCAACAUAAAUAUCCUUUGAAAAUAUUGCCAUCAGAUUUUGAAUUGGAGAACCUGAUUGAACUCAGCUUGCCUUGUAGUAAGGUUAAGCAAAUUUGGAAAAGAGAAAAGGUAUAAUGUAUUACUAUUACCAAAGUAUCUAUUUUUCUUUCUUUAAGUAUUUAUAAUGAAUAACUUUGAAAUUGAAUGAUGCUCAUUUAGUAUAGUUGUGUAUCUUUGGUUAUGGGAAGCUGUCAAGUUAAAAUCUAUAGAUCUUCACCACCCCCUGUAUCUCAAUAGGAUCCCAAAAAUACUAAAUCUUAAAAAAAUAAAUCUUUCAAAAUGUGAAAGCAUGCUUACGUUACCCGCGUAUAUCCACAAUUUCAACUAGCUCAGUAUGUUGUGUUUCAUGGGAUGCAAAAUUCAUUUUGUUUCUCAUGAAAGGAUUGACUUGUCCGGAUGUAUUAGGGUUAAUGAACCAACUAAUCCCAUAAUUUGUUGAUGUAGGGUCCUAACAAAUUAUUGCAGUAGAUUGUAGAUCAAUACACUAUUCGAAAACGUAUUUGAUCCACACAGUGAAUGUUUGAGGGUGCAUUUCUCGCGAACUAGCCAUACCCUAAACGAGGAGCCAGUCUCCUUGUAAUUGAGCAGACAGGUGAAGUCUGGUAGCAAAUAUCCAAGAGCAGGAAUUCUAUGCUCAAUCACAAGGACAUCCUCUUUUGGACUAUAAUUCGAACAUGGUUCCUACUAGGAGCCGAGAGCCUUUCCUGCUGGAGAUCGGGGUCGGCAGACCUAGUCUAUAACGGUUAACGAGACGUGCACUCCUAUUUGAGAAUCUAGGCACGAAACCAACUCAGCCGCAACUACGACAUUCAGGCAUCCACUUCCGUAAGCUGAGGGAGGUGAUGGACGUGGAUCGUGGGGCGUUGGAUUCGUAGGAAGGCUAUAAAACGGUAAUCAACGAAGGUAAAGGGGUUAGACACUUUUACACUAGAACUUAAGAAAUAAGAGCAUUUACUAAAAAAGGAGAGAAACACUCAUAGGUGUUCCACUGCCUAAGAGAUCAUGAGAGAGCCACGAGAUCAGUGGCCGAGUUUCCCAAAAAGUAAACUUAAAUUUUUGACUUGAGCGUAGGAGGAUUUUUCCUGCGUGCUCUGACCAGUUUUUGUGUGCGCAGGAGUCUGCUAAGUCAUACGAGGCAUAGCUCUGCUCGGUUAGAAGAGUUACGUGAAGUAUCCUAGGUUGGUCGUGAGUUCGGGAGUUGAGGAGAGAUCCUGGUUGCAGACGAGCAGACACCAGAAUCUCGCAUCAACAGUGAAGAUAGGGAUGGCAAAAGUCCGGGUCGGGUCCGGGUUUGGGGGUGCCCGAGACCGACCCGGAUUUCACACAUAACUGCCCGGACCCGGACCAUGCCCGGAUUUUUUCUAUGCGGGCCGGGUAUAUACCCGGCACUAUCCGGGCAUGGGUUUUUUCCAGGUUUUCUCUACCCGCAUUUUCAAAACUGACUAAAAAAAAAAAUUUGAUAAAAAAUGCUAAAUAAGUAAACAGGGCAGUGGAAAUUCACAAGGUUGAAAGCUUGCGCAAUUGGGCCUGAAAAUUCAUAACUUAUCCCCGAAUUAGCACUUAGCAGAAAACUCCCUUUCAAACUGUAAAGAGAUUUGAUGCCCAGGAAUCGAUUUGACGAAAGAAGAAAAAUGCCUUGGUCUUUUUGUUCUCUCUUCUUUUUCCACAGUGAAGAGGAAAGAAAAAUGCCCAGGAUUAUCUUGUGGACAGCAAAGUUGAUUUCAUGUGCUUUGUUGUCUUCUUAUUUUCAAAUCCCUUAGAAACAAAGUCAGAACCUGAAAUCACUAUCCUUAAACCUGCAAUUCCCUAUGUUGCAAGUCAUUUUCAGCUUCAUAGUUUUCGGUAUCAGCCUCCCUUUCCCCUUCUCCGUCAUCAUGGACGCUUCCAUUUUCUUCUUCCUCAUCUUCAUCUACUUCUACUUCAUCUUCCUCGUACUCCCCUUCUUCUAGUUCCUAGAUGUCAUCCAAGAAAAUAAUUAAGCAUGCUGCAUAUAUAUAUAUAACACCUAACAACAAUAAUGCCAAUUACUUAAUUUCUUCAUUUUUUUUUGAAAAAAACAGCCAAAAAAAAUUAAUAAUACCUCGUGGUCGUGGGUCGUGGCUGUGUUGGUGAAGUUGCAGCUGAACAAGAACAGCUGAUGCCGUCGCGUGGUGGCUGCUGCUGAGAAGAUGAACAAACGGUGAAGAGCCCUGUGACAGGACGGCUGUGCUUUGCGAGGAGAAAUAGAGUUGACUGAGGAAGGUAAGAGUUUCGGGGAGGGAGAGGCACGGUCAACACUGCAUCAGUGCCGGUGGGUGGUGGAGAGACGGAGAGAGGUGCCGCCGAUUUGGAGAUUUCUGGGUGGGUGCUGACUGCUGCAGUGCUGCAUUGUUCACUUGCAAAGUUGCAAUCGCGUUUUAGGGUUCAGUUUUGGGGGCAAUUAGGCAAAGCAAAUUUUAUUUUCGGUUUUAUAUUUUCCUUUUUUUUUUUACUUAAUAAAAAACCGGGCACAGGUCCGAGUUCCGGGUUCUUGGUGCUGUGACCGGACCCGUGCCCGGAAGCAUCCGGGCAUUGAAAAUCAAUGCCCGGAUUCGCUUUUUUCAUUCAUGCGGUCCGGGUAAAACCCAGACCGCACACACCGGGUCCGGGCCGGAUCCGGUCCGGACGGGUUUUUCUGCCACCUCUAAGUGAAGAUGAUUCAAUAUUAAGCAUGUCAUAUAAUCUAGAAGUGGAUAUUGGACCAAUUUGAUGAUGAAUUUCUUUCAAUCUCAAUCUUUUUCUUUUUAGCAACAUGACUAGUCAUUGUGCAAAUUUAAACUCUGACAAUGAUUUCUCAAUCGGUUUCUAAAAUGAUGACCAUGCAUGUAUAUGUGUGUGUGUAGAGAGAGAGAGAGAGAGAUCACACGUGUGUGAUUUCCUUUUGCCAAUAGGAUAUGCAGAGAGCUUGAUCUUACCCAAUAGCGAAACAAACUUCCUAAUAAGUGAAGGUAUAGUAUAAAUACUUAUACUUUCAUGUUAUUUUGUUCAUCAGUAGCUUGAUUAUUUUAUAUGCAUCUUCGAUUUUAAUUUUCUUUCCCUAUAAUCGCUAUUAUCUUUGAACUGGUCAUGAUUUGCCUAUAAGAUUUCUCAUGUUGUUUUGAGGUGCAAUGGAUUUUGAAUUUAGUGACGAGCAGUGGAAGCCAGAAGGCAAAUUAUGAAAAUGGAUAAAGAUCUAUAAUUAGCUGUUAUGGGAUGUCACAUAUCAUAUUGAUGGUAACAUUAUAUAUAUAUAUGUACAUAUAAUUAAUGGGGUUGGCUCACGAGCCCAUUAAUAAUCGUAUAUUAGCUUAUAUACUUCAAACAAUGUACUAUGAAGCAAUUUCACAAAUACUUGUUAGCUUAUGUUGAGCUUUAUUGAAUCAGUAGUUCACAGUUCAAUAAAAUGCAGGUUUAAUGUGACAGAGAGAUGUAGAUAACAGCCGCAAAACACUGAGAUUGAAAAUCAGGGCUACUAAAUUCUACUAAAAGCCCUUAAAAUAGACAGCGAUCACCCUGAAAUGUAUAUACUGAAACUAAGAAAUAUUAAUCGCAAAGUUAUGCAUUAAUAGAACUAUUGACUACUUAUCUUUAGCAUAAGGUAUAUUUUUAACUACAGCUUUAUGCUUUGUUUUAAGAACUAGGCAAAAAUGGUGUAUCUUCAAUCCAAUCAACAUGUAUACCACUUAUCUUCCUCUUCACUUCUGUCUAUUUUGAUUUGCACUUCAUAUCCUGCACUUGCUGCUUAGAAAUAGUCUUAUUCUGGACAUUGAAAGUAGAAAAAGUGCUUGAAACAAUCAUUGGCAUAGCCCGAGAUUCCAUUGAAUCGUGGACUCCAAGCUUUCAUAGUUCUAUAAAGAAAAUGACAAAACUUCAUACAAUUGGCAUUCUGCUUUUAACAUUUGCACAACCUGAGCGAGUUAGCAAGCCCCUUGUUGCGUUCCCAUUGAAUAGACCUACUUCUGUUAUCCACAGAAGAUCCACAACUCAAAAUGUUUAUCACCAGGCUAUUCUUAAACUGAGCCUAAACUGAGUAGAAACUUCCGCACAUCUCUCAGCAUUUACAUGAAGAAAUCGACAACUAUCCUCAUCUCUCAGCACAUCUCUCAGCAUUCUACAAAGUUGCAUUUCACUAAGCAAUCUAUCCUCUCCAUUCCUAGCAAAGUGACAUUGAUUCCCGUAUUUGUAAUCGCCUAACUUGGGUUUUGGGCAUAGCUUGGUCUUAAAAUUACCACCCAUUACUUUGUUCAGUGCCACUGGCAUCCACAAGCUCUAGCCCUGUUAGCUGAAUCAUAUUCAAUGGGACAGUGAGGCAGCAUUUCACUAACAUAUUCAAUUUGACUACUUAUAUUGACGCAAAUAUUAGAAUUUGAAAUCACUUCUUUUCUUGGAAUAUUAUAUUAAAAUGAACCCAAAUGAAAGUUCUUGAAUGGAAAUGAUUUUUAUUUAAUUUUCGAACAGAUUCAAGAAAACCCAGAGAACACAAAUUUUACACAGUAAUAUGAUUAAGAGCUGAGAACGUACAUGUAGUAAAUGUCUAUCAAAAAACACCCAAGGGUUUCUUUAAAAUUAGAAACUAGUAAACAAAAAGAAAGAAUCAUUUCACAUUUUUAGCAACUUUGGGGUGAGUGAGUGAGUGAGAAAUUGAAACCCUAAAGUGAUGACAAUAGUAAGAUUCAGUAUGAAGUGAAACCCCAAUUUGAAAUGUAGGCAUGAGUUGCUGAGUCAGUAGAUGAAGCUAUAAAUAGGCAUUCGGUUUCCUUCUUUUCGGUUUGGAGGGCCAUGGAAUAGUGUAUUGGAGUGGGCUCCAAGUAAUAGCCUCUAUCACUGGAACGACACAUCUGUAAAACGUGAUACAUGGGGAAGGAUUGGGCAUUAUAUUCUUAGAGUUAGAUUAGCGCCUUAUUUAGGGUGUAUAUUAAGCAGAUUAUACAUUACAUGGAGAUGGAGUUUAUGAAAUAGAUUAAAAAGAAAAGAAAAUUUCGGUGUCUAAAGUUUGCCACUUGGAAUAUUUCGGUGUCUAAAAAUUCACUCACCACUUAUGUCAUGUUUGAUUAUAUGUUGAAAAGAUAUUAAAAUAGUAUAAUGCUAUUAAGGCUUAACGUAUAUUUUUUAUUAGUAGAGUGUAGAAUUUUUAAGAAAUAAAUUAUUAAAUUAUUAUAACUAACAUAUUAUUUUAAAGUUGUGUUAUGAAAAAAAAAUAAAAUAAAAACAUACAGUAAAUAAGAAUAUUCUAAAACUUUUAUCUUUUUAAAAUUAGUUUUUAACAUAAGGUGAACUAUUUUUUUUUAAAUCACAUAUUCUAGUUAAAAUCAAAUAUGUAUUUAUAUGAAGCUUGUAAAUUUUUUUUUUAGUACUGAUAUUUGAAUAUUAUCAAUAAAAAAAAAAGGGUAAUGUUCAUGCUGCAUUAUUUUUGUAGCACACAAUAGGACAACACCGUUUAUGUUAUAAUACUAUCGCUUCUGUUAUGAUAAUAUUUUUUUGUGGCCAAAUAUCUUUUUUUUUUUUUUUAAGUAAAAGGGUGGACAAAAUACAAAUCAGUUUUUAAUCCUCAAUCUCUCCCAAAAUUUAAAUUCGUAGUUAACAAAACAAAAUUGUUGGAAAACCAUUAAGCUAGGUCCAUGGGUUGUUAAAACUAUAUAGCUGACAAAAAGUUACUAACAAAAACAGAAUGUCCAUUUUAUAACUUUCUUUAAAAACAUUCCUUAACUUUUUUAAAAAGUUACCAACAAAAAGUUAUUUCCAAUUUUUAUUUUGUUAUAAUUUUUAUAACAAAAUUCGUAGUUAACUAAACUCUUCUUAUUCCCUUUCUCAACUGCCAUACCCUAACCCACUAAACCACGCUCAAUUAAGGCCAUCAGAUUCUCCCGGGCCCACAUUAAUCCAACUGCUCACAGAGACCGACAGCCUCUCUAUCUCCGUUUCAAGCUCCCUCUUCAACUGGCUUCUGCUACCGUCCUACUGUUUCUCGGCUUCGGAGGCCGUAUUUGCUCGGCCGGUCCCACGAAGCUCCCUCUCACUCCAAUUGUCGCCCCACAAGACCAAUUGCUUAAUCAAGACACCGAACAAGAAGAGGAUGAGAAGUUGAAACAAGAAUUUGAGAUUGAAGUAAUUUGAGGAUAGACUGCCUAUCCUCUUUCUUUUCGGAAUUCAGUGCCUCAAUCUUGGGUUAAGGAUUUUAUGCGAAGUCAGGGAAAGAGAUUGAAGUUUCAGAUGAAUUUGUGUGCUAGCAUUGAUGGGAUCUUUAACAAUUUAUCUGUGCCCUUUAACAAAGUUAAGGCUAAGUCAGCUUCGUAUAUGGCUGCUGAUUUGGUUAGUGUUGGUGAUUCAUGGCUCAGUUUUGCAAUUAAGAUUGGUUCAAAUGCUUAUGUCACAAAUGGAAGGUAACAUCUUUAUCUUUGACCCGAUAAUUUUUAUUAUCUUUUUAAUUGCAAUGAGAAGAAAUGCCACUGUAGCAUGUAGUGAUGGCACUUAAUAAGUGAGUUGCUCGGAUGUGAACUAGAAAAAUUAAAUAUUGUCUCCUUGGGUAUGCUAGCUUGUAAGUCAGGGUUAAUAUCAGAGCUUAAGAUACUAUAACCGUGAGAAGCUAUUGACUGCCAAUUAAAAUAUCCAUUAAAAUGUCUAGGGAGUUAUGAAGGUGGAGGUAACUUCCAAUUUCUAAGGCCACAGAGUAGACAUCAUCCAGGAUCCUAGGAAAGUCCAGUUAACCUCCUGCUUGAUGCAAUUAAUAAAUUUGGUCAAUGCCACUGAAACCUGCUAACUGACGUCACAAUGUGACAUGAGCACUUCAAAAUGGGACAGACGGUCAGUAGCACUAAAUUUUUCUUGCCUAAGAUUGAGCAAUUGGUCUAACUACUAAUCCCUAUUGUAGGUUGAUCAUUAUUUUUUCAAUUAUGUUCAGUUUGACCCAAAAAGUUGCAGAAUCUUGAGCAGAAUAUUGUCACCGAACACUGUCAAUGUCGUUUAGCAUAGCCAACUAACUUGAUGUUAAAACAAGCACACAAUGUGUCUCAUGUCUCACAAAUCAAAUUAUCAUCUGUAAUGAUGGAGAAUUUUUCCAAUGUAUGAAGUAUGUUUUGAUACGUGGGUUACCUUGGAGAAGAUAUCUCAAAAUAAAGAAUAUGGGGAGAAAACAGUUCAGUAGUUUAUUAUUCUGUAGUCAAGUUUUGUCUUGAAAAUGGUCAAAAUUUAAAUGAAUAAGGACAGGGGAUCUUCAUUCUUUUUUCCCUUUUUUAUACCAAGAUAUCUCUCAACCUUUAUAUAAUCCCCACUGGAUAUCUGCUUCUAAUAAUUAAAAUAAAAAUUUCACCGCUCUAACAAUAAAAAGUAACAUCUUUAGUCAAAUAAUUUACAGUUCCUCAUCAUCUUAGUGUGAGACUAUCAGUACAUUCCAAAAACAUAAUAAAACUGGUUUGAUCCUGUUUAUUGAUGUUUAAAUGUUGUUCAUUGUGACAUGUAGAAAUGAUGAGGCAAAGUUUAUUUGGACAUCAAUUAGUAAGAUCUUGUUUGAAGUUGUUUUCUGAAAUGAACUGCCAAAUGGUAGUUUUUUGGGGACAUUUGAUGGCUCUUUUUUUUUCCUCAUUUUCAACAUGCGCCUGCUUGGAACAGGAAGAAUUAGGCUGCAGAGUUGUUAUAUAUUUUGAGAUGCUCUGGUCAUUGCACAAUUUGUUCACACUGGAAAUUAGAAUGAGAAAUUUGUUGAUGCUGUUUUGAGAGAUCUGCAUUCUAUGCACAAUAACAUGAUUAAUGAAAAUGCAUUGUAGGACUGGAAAGAUCUGUGGCAGCCUGAGCUCGCAAGAAGAAUUUCAAUGGUUAAUUCUCCCCGAGAGGUUAUUGGUUCAGUUUUGAAGUAUAGGGGAGCAUCAUACAAUUCAAAUGAUAUUGAUUCACAAGUUGCUGGUGGGAAGAUUGCUGUUCAGCAGAAUCUGGCAUUACUGGCAAACCAGGUACUCUUACAGAAAUGAUAUCUGGUCAUUGCAUGUUAUUGCCUGACAACUGAUUUUGUUUGUAAAAGUCUGCUUCUUCAUACAUAUGAAUGCAUAUGUUAGUGUUUUCUUCUCCUUUUCAUACAUAUAAAUGCAUAUGUUAGUGUUGUCUUUUCCUUUUCAUACAUAUUAAUACAUAUGUUGGUGUUCUCUCCUGAGAUGGAUGCAAUAAAGGCUUUUGCUCCUAAAUUUAGCUGAAGAAAUGGCAAGGGAUGUGAGAUUCUGUCUCUUUAAAUUAAAAAAAACCCAAAACAAUGAAAAUCCAUAAUAAUGUGGUGUGGAUAAAUUGGCUCCAUUUGGUUCGUUUCCUUAAUGUGAAUGCGCGAGCAAUAGAGACUAACAAAAUGAAGUGACAACAAGAAGUCAGUGUCCUUUGAUGGAUGCAUUUUUAGGCAGAAAUAUGUUUGUAAUUGACCAAAUUUGUCUGGCAUGCCAAUUUCAAAAAAAUUAAAUUAUGUGGUUAUUAGCGGUAAUGAAGGGGGAUAGUAGGUGCAAUCAGGUGGAUCCAGGAAAGUUCAACAAAGUUUUGGUAUGGCGUAGUGAAAUUGGUUUGUGCAACUCAGGAGUCUUUCAGGUGAACGAUGAUAGGUUUUGAUUUAUGAAUAUUAUAAAUAUACUGUGCAUAGUAUUCUAGUAGAAUCAUCUAUAAGUUCUAGUUAUUGAAAUUGUAUACUUUGCCCGGUUUGAGUUAAGGGCACAUGUAAUAUGAAAGAUAGUUGUCGCAUCUUUUAGGUUACCUAACAUUUGAUCAAUCCUAUUAUGGGGGCUUCAAGAUGUCUAACAAUAUGUAGAAUGCCCAUGCUCCUACCCAUUGUUUAUCUUCUACAAUAAUUUGUUUUAGAUGCUAAUAUCUUUGUCGAUACCGGUAACAAUAUUACAAUAUCAGCGUUUAUUGGGUUUUACAUAGGUUCGACUGGUUGACAGUACACACUAUCUGAAGGCAUUUGCAAUUGGAGAUGUAUGGGUUGCUGUUGGGUGGAUCAGUGAUGUUCUUCCUGCUGUCAAACAUAUGUCUAAUGUUGCUGUGUUGUUCCCAAGUCUGGUGCUAGCUGCCUGCCAUUCUACUUCGAUAUUCACAUUGUUAUCUCCUUCAUAUUAGCGAUCAGUAAACACGAUAAUGUGACUAAUAAGUUCGUAUUCUCUUUAUAGGCAAUCCCUGCUGCCUCAAGACUUGAAACAAAACAAAUUGGAGGGCGAGUCAGAGGUCCAUCUCCAUUAAUCCAUCAAUGGAUAGAAUUCUGCUUGCAAACAGCGAGAGCAUUGCCUUUCAAGCAAGAGGUUAUCCUGGGUGCAUCUCCCUCUGCCCUUGAAAGUACUCUGGUUAAGUUGCCUGAAGAACUUCUGGAGGGUAAACCAAGUCUGGAUACUAACUUAAUUGCUGGAGUACUCCCGGCUGAAAUUCUGGCCAGAUGUGAGUUUUUGGAGCCAUUAUCUGAAGCUACUUUGUCAGAUUAUGAGUGGCUGGUUGUUAAUCUGCAAAAACCUGCUCCUGUCUUGAUGAAAAGGGUGCAACAUUACUUGUCAUCAUUAAUCCAAAGCUUUCUAGCAAGAGCUACAUUGAAAAGUUAAUGGCGCUGCAUGCCAGUCAUUAUAAUGCUGUCAGGGCAAUUGGGUCAGGGCAAUUAGGUCUGAGCAUAACUUCAUUAGGAAAAGAGGCUUCAGCUACGUUAAAUAUUACAGGAUGUACUGAGAUGGCUGAAGUUCUUGAGGUUUUAUGAGAAAGAUGAGUGUUUGUUUGAACAAAGUUGUUGCCAAUCUUGCAGAGUUCGAAAACAAAGAUCACGGAGCGAAUGCCACCAAUUUCUUCAUCAUUUUAGCCUCCAUAGUUGAAGUUUCCUCAUUUGAAGCUGUUUAUGCAUAUGCUUUUUCCCUUCUCAAGUACAGGAAAUUGAAGAAUUAACCAGAUGUGAUAUGCUGAAAGAGGGAAGUUUUCUUCCUUGAAUGUGGCCUUUGUGAUUUGUCUUGAUGGAAUAGGGUGAUCACUGGCGAGAACCCAAUCAAGGUAGAUUUUAUGAUGUUAACAUAUUAUUAAGCAUUUUGUUGCAUCAGCAAUGAUGCUUUCAUAGAAUGAAAGUGUUUAAAUUUAACUGAAUGAUCUUGAUUGAUCAAUUAUGAGUUUUAAUCGAGUAAAAACUAAAUACAAUGAUCGUUAACAAAUAUUGAAAUUGGGUAAAUAUGAUCUUGAUAUUGAAGAAUUUGAAAUCACAACCCACACAGGAAAUCACCCUUCGCGUGGGGAUGGUGAUGUUUACUGCAGCGAUAUUGAAUAUGUCCGCUGCUCUUUGGGUUAUGGUGCGAGUGCGACUUGCGAUUUCAAGGUUGCCAUGAAACAAUGGAAAAGAUUAACAUGCCCUCCAAUGAAUGAAACUAUUAUGUUAUUAACAAUGCACAGUCCGAGUACUUUUCCAGGAUCAGAUACGAGGUGGUCUAAUGUUGAUAAUAAUAGAUUAUCAAAUGACAAAUCGUUGUUCUUGGGUGGUGAUUUCAGAAAUAAAAUACAUUCUGAGAGAUGCUGGUUUACUAUUGCAAGCCCCCAGAUUUAAGAAUCUUUUGAUGAUAAUUUAUCACCUGCAGCUGUGCCGGAAGAUUCAAGUAGCACUGAAAAAGAUGAUAAUUUAAUUGAUAUGGACAGUUUUCAUAUCACUUUUAAAUCAUCUUAUGUAAUUGUAAUGUUAGGAAGCAUUAGUGAUCUAAAAGUGAACUAUUAUUGGUGUAAUUGGUGGUUUUAUCUUGUUAAAAUAUGGAUGACUUCCUGUUACUAUUUUAUUAUAGACAAUCUUAUUCAAUUAACAUAUGGUUUAAAACCAUUAUGUUUUAUGUAAAUCAAUCUAUUAAUUUUCAUGAUACUUAACUGAGUUAAAACCAAGUGCACUCAAUAAAUGUCUUUUCCUUUAAAAAACUGCUACGCUUUGAUUUUAGUGCUUAAUAUUUCGUAACUACAGAUUAUCUAAUUGCGAGUUGCUGUCCAUAGCUACUAAUUUGUAGUGAUUAUCUAAUUGACGAAGGUGACAAUAAUUAUUUUAUUUUCAAUAGCACAACGUGGAAUUCAAUAAUUAAAUUCUCCUGUUUAAUUUGUUUUAAGUUAAAUUAUUAAUUACUUAAACUCUGUUUUAAGUCUUUAAUUUUCUGUGUUUAUGCAGAAUUGGAUUCUUGAGCGUGUUGGACAUGACCAACAAUGAAAUUGACGUAAACAAACAUUACAACGUGUGGACUCCGGUAGCUACCCCGCAAGUCUACAACUUUACAAAUAAUAAUUGAGUAAGCACCUUUGAUUUCUAGCCCCGUUGACUCCACCGACUAAAGUUUUGUAAAAUAAAAAAAAAAUGCAUAGAAUUCCACCAAAUGCAAAACGCGUGGAAUUUAAUUUUCGGCCGUGUGGAUCAAAACAUAAUUUAAUGAAAAAGGAAAAAAAAUGAUAAGAUUUUUAAAAUGUGUGGAAGGUGAUUCAUAUUUUACUGAAACAACUUGUUAAAUUUUUCAAGGAUUUAUAAUAUUUGGUCAUAAAUUACGUGCAUGUUAAUUUUUCCGCCAUUGACUAUCAUAUUCUAGACUUAAUGGUACCUUUCUUGAUGAAGGGUACUUAAUCUCUCUUCUCCUCUUAUAAAAAUUAUAUUAAUUGAUUUCUUAUUAUAGUUAAUAGUCUUCAAGAACGGAUAGAUUUAUUGUCUUCAUGACCAAAUUAUGCAUGCCUAACGUUGCAACUAUUAAUAAAAUUAAUAUUUAAUGUUUAUGUUAAAAUAUAUAAGAUUUUAUGCAUUCAUUAAUUGUUAUUAGCUAAAGGAUGAAUUAUUUUUUCCCAAUCAGUUGAUGCAUCUGCAAGAGUUUUUUUUUUCUUUUAUUGACCAUAAUUAUAUUCCGGGUACAAUAAAUUGUCUUUGGUGCUUGGAAGAUAUGACAUCUCUCUGUCAACUUACUGGAAAUAUCUCCUCAUCUACUCUCAUUUAUCUAAUAUCAAUUGAAGAUCUCAUAUUUCCAAACUAGGACCUCCAAAUCUCAUUAUCAUUUGAGCAUUCAAAACUAAUCAAGUGUGGAAAUAAUCAAAUAUAUGCAAAAAUCGAGUCACAAUCUUUGGCCCCUCAAAAUUCUAAUUAUAUAACUUCAUAUCUCAUACAUUUUCCAAAUUCCUCUUCCAUCAACAUCACUAGGAGUAUGUUCAUCUCUCACACAUUAACUUGAGUGGAGAGUUUCCAAAUUGAUUGUCAGAAAACAAUACAAAAGCUAGACACACUUGAUCUGUCUAAUAAUUCUCUUUCGGUAAAAUAAAUUAAUUUUAGGGUAAUAUUCAGCCAACCUCUGUAAUUUCAGAGUGAUCAUUAAUUAAUUAAUUAAACGAUACAAUAUCUAAAGUGAUUAGAUGUUUGCGGACAAUAUAAGUUCAUGGCUUGAAAUUUGAUCUCUAUCGAUUGGUUUACAGAUGGACGUACUUGUGCCUUUGUGGUGAUAAUUGAACCAGAGAUGUGAAGCUGUAAGGAUUUGGCAGUAGUAAAUUGUUAUAAAGGCAUAAAGACAACUAUUUUACAACAAAUUCAUCUCGCCAAAAAUUCUAUUUUGCUAACUAACAAUAAUUGAGCACUUGACCGCAUUGACUCCACGUCUCCAGCUACUUUCUAAGUAAAAACAUGGAAAUGUAAUCUCCACAAAAUGCCAAACGUGUGGAAUUUAAUUUUUGGCCUUGUGGACCAAAAUGCAAAUGAAAGAAAAAGAAGGAAAAAAACAAGGCCCAAAGACUUCUAAAAGAUGUAAAAGUCUUUGGGUUUUUUUAUAAUGGUGGAUUUUUUAAAAGAAAAAAAAUAACAACACUCCUAUGGUUUGUUUUGAUAAUCACAUUUACAUAUACUCUCUAAUUUUCAAAAUGGACACAUAAAUCUUUUUUUUUCCUACAAAUGUAUAUUAUUCGUAUUUUUUAUUAUUUUUAAUAUCAUAUUGUUAUUUAUUAUAAAUGUUUAAAGUAAAUUUUUAGGUUGAAAUAUAAUAAAAGGGUAUAAUCGUUCUCUUAUUAAACACCCAUACUUUUAGUUUCUAUCCAUUUGCCAUCUCAAUCUCUCUCAAUUAUUCAUUAUUGCUAGCUCAAAAUGCGUUGCUGUUGCAAAUUAUAGCAAAAAGACAAAUAUGGAAAAGAAAAAACGGUAGAAAAUUAGUGCAUGAAAGACUUGGAGAAAACAACGAAGUAAGUCAACUAUAAUCUAGCUGGGUGUAUAAAUUGCUUGAUGCUUUAUAAGCAAAUAACAUACAGAGACAGACAGUGUGUGUUCGUUUUUUCAUAGUUAAAGAUAUAGUUAGAAUGGGCGGUUCAAAAUCAAAAAUGGUGAUAAUGUUUGUUAUGUUAUUAAUAAUAUUUAAAAGUGGGUGGAGUGAGGGAUGUUUGGAUCACGAGAGAUUUGCUCUUUUGCGACUCAAACAUCUCUUCGAUGAUACUGGUAGUUAUCCUUACGACUGGGUAGAUGGUGAGGGAGCUAUUGAUUGUUGUCAGUGGGAAAGGGUUGAGUGCAGCAACACCACAGGCCGAGUGAUAGCGCUAGACCUUUUUGAAAUGUAUUCGGGAGAGUACAGCUGGUAUCUGAAUGCUUCUUUGUUUACUCCCUUCCAACAACUUGAGUCACUUGAUUUAACUGACAACAAAAUAGCCGGUUGUGUUGAGAAUGAAGGUGCUUCGUUUAAUUUAAUUAAUUUACUUUCUCCCCCCUAAUUUAAGUUGAAUAUCAAGACCGAGCAACUAUACGCAUAUUCAUUUAGUCGACAAUUUUGACUUUUUUUUAAGUGAUUAAUUAAUUUUAAAAUUACACCAAUAUCUAUGAUCUUUUUUUUUUUUUAAUUUUGCUUGCAGGUCUAGAGAGGCUAUCAAGAUUGAACAACUUGAAGAUGCUUAAUUUAAGUGAAAACUCGUUCAACAAUAGCAUUUUAUCAUCUCUAACUCAUCUUUCAUCAUUAAGAUCAUUAAAUUUAUUUUGGAAUAGAUUGGAAGGAAGUAUUGACUUUAAAGGUACAUAAUUAAAACUUCAUCCCUUCUCCAAGCUCUUUCAUUAACUUGCUAAAAUAAGACUCAAGGCUUUGAAUUCAAUUUUUUUUAUGAUUAGUAUUAAAAAAAACAGUUUUAAGCAAUUUAUAAAUACAAGUUUUAAUGGUUAUCGUAAUUUCAUCUUGUAAUUUCAUAUGUCUUGAAUUUAAGAUUAAAAAAAAACUCUAAUAGCGAACCAAACACCUCCACAACUUAUUAUUAUUAUUAUUAUUAUUAUUAUUUAUGGUGAGGUUGGAAACAUUCAACUUAAUUUGUACUUAUUACAGAAUUUGAUUCUUUGAGAGAUUUAGAGGAGCUAGACAUUGGCGCGAACAAGAUUGACAAAUUUGUGGUCUCAAAAGGUACUACAAAUACCACAAAAAAUGUAAACUUUUACAAAUUAACUGGAUUCUUUGCCAUUUGGUUUAUUAUUUUAUAGGUUUGAGUAAGUUGAAGUCUCUUGAUUUAAGUGGUAUCAAACUCAACCGUAGUAUCUUAUCUUCUCUAACUGUCUUUUCUUCAUUAAGAGAAUUACAUCUACGUGAUAUCGGAUUCAAAGGAACAUUUGAUGUUCGAGGUAAGCCUAAGCCUUGCUUUCUCAUUUUCUAUAUGCCAACUAGAUUUGUGUAUCAUCGACAUAAUUUAAUAUUUAAUUUGAUAAGUCUGAAGGAAUUACAUGCUAAUUUAAACAUACUUUUAUUUACUUUGUCAAUUAAUUAAUUAAUUAAUUACUAUUUGACAUUGGACGGUUCCUCUCUCCAUAUAAGCCUUCUGCAAAGCAUUGCAUCAUUCACUUCGUUAAAAAAUCUGUCGAUGUCUGAUUCUGAAGUCAAUGGUGUCCUACGUGGUCAAGGUAAAAGAAAAGUGUUGACUGUGAAUAAGCUGUUAAUUAAUUAAUGUUGUUGCUCCUUGCUUCUAAACAGAGUUGCGCAAUUUCACCAACUUGGAAUAUUUGAAUUGGAUUCUUCCUCGCUCCAUAUAAGCCUUCUACAAUUGCUUGAACAAUUUAUUUAUUUAUUUAUUUAUUAUUAUUGUUGUUGUUGUUGUUGUUGAAGUGGGGUGGGCAAGCGUUUACUCGGUUAAUAUGUGGGGAAUUAAAUAUUACAAUCCAAGGUAGAAUUGUGGAAAAUUAAAGUAAAAUGAGAAAUAUGGAAAGAAAGGAAGAAAGUUAAGGGCAUGAAAGACUAGGAGAAGACUAAAGACCACCAAAUAAGUCAACUGAAAACUAGCUGGGGCCUGGGUGUAAAAUUGUUAGAUGUGUUUGUUAUAAAUAACAUAGAGCCCUCUUGUUGGUUGCAGAGGCAGAGAGACAGAGAGUGUGCAUUUUGUUAAUUAAAAAUAUAAAUAUAUAAAAUGGGUGGUUCAAAAUCCAAAAUGGUGAUAAUGUUAGUUUUGUUAGUAUUAAUAAUAUUAUAAGGGAGGUGGCGUGAGGGAUGUUUGGUGCAUGAGAGAUUUGGUCUUUCGAGACUUAAAACAUUUCUUCAAUUCUCCUUCUAAUUUUUGUCACGACUGACCGUUGUCAAUGGGAUGGGGCUGGGUGCAGGGUUGAUUUACGUUAGAACAAUAUAGCCGGUAGUGUUGAGAAUGAAGGUGUUUCAUUUAAUUUAAUUAAUUUACUUUCUCCCUCCUAAUUUAAGUGGAAUAUCAAGACUGAACAAUUAUAUGCAUCUUCGUUCAGUUGACAAUUUUGACAUAUUUUUUUAAGUGAUUAAUUUUGAAAUUACACCAAACAUUAUUUGUGAUCUCUGUUUUGACUUUACUUGCAGGUCUAGAAAGAUUGAGCAACUUGACGAUACUUGAUUUAAGUCAUAACUUGUUCAAUAAUAGCAGCUUGUCAUUUGUUGCUCGUCUUUCAUCAUUAACAUCAUUAGAUUUAUCUUACAAUGGAUUGGAAGGAAGUAUUAAUAUUAAAGGUACGUAAUUAAAACGCCAUCGCUUCUCCCAACUCUUUCAUUAACAUGCUAAAAUAAGAUUCAAGGCUUUGAAUUCAAUUUUUUUUAUGAGUAAUAUUAGAAAAAUAGUUUUAAGCAAUUCAUAAAUACAAUUUUCAAUGUUUCUCAUAAUUUCAUCUUGUACUUUUGUAUGUCUUGACUUUAAGAUUAAAAAAAAAAAUUACUCUAAAUGUGAAGCAAAUACCCCAUGACUAAUUUACAAUUUUGUCCAAUUAAAAAUGAUAAAAUUUAUCAUUUGUUUACAUUGAUUUAUUAACUCUAUUUUAAGUCUUAAGUCUUGGCGUCUUGGCAUGUUUGCAGAAUUUGAUUCCUUGAGCAACUUAGAGGAGUUGGACAUGCGCGGUAAUGAAAUAGACAAUUUCGAGGUUCCUCAAGGUACACAAUUAAAAUAUUAUUUAAUUACAAUAAUUUAAUUCGUUUGAUUAGGGAAGGCCCAAAAUGUACAAAAACAUAAUUAAAAAAAAAUAAAGAAACAGAGAAUUCAUAUUAUUUCAAAAAACAAAAGGUAAUACUAUUAUUUCAAAAAAAGAAUGUAAUAAAGAUUUGAUUCCGGUUCUUUAAUCUUUAUAGCAAUUGAAAAACAAUGUUGCUCUUUUCCUAAAGCAUAAAAUAUGAAAUGAGUCAUAAUUGAAUUAGUCAUUUAUUUUGUUUAGAUAUAAAUUUAGACAAUAAAUUUUCAUUUUUUUUUCAAUCCUAUCCUUAUUAUUAUUAUUAAACAGGUUACAGAGGUUUGAGGAAGUUGAAAAGCCUCUAUCUAUCGAACGUUAAAAUUAGAGAUGGAAGCAAGUUGUUACAGUCAAUGGGAUCACUCCCAUCCCUCAACACUCUUUACCUGAAGCAUAAUAAUUUUACCGGUACAGCGACAACUACUACUCAAGGUAAGUAAAAGGUACAGAUGUGGCCAAAAUUAUAAACAAACUGUUAAUUAAUUAAUUUUUCCGUAUUAUUAAUUAAGCUAAAUUUGUUGCUCCUUCCUUCUAAAUCUACACAGAGUUGCACAAUUUCACCAACUUGGAAUAUUCGACAUUGUCCGGUUCCUCUCUCCAUAUAAGCCUUCUGCAAAGCAUUGCAUCAUUAUUCCCUUCAUUAAAAAAUCUGUCGAUGUCUUAUUGUGAAGUCAAUGGUGUCGUACGCGGUCAAGGUAAAAGAAAAGCGUUGAUUGUGAACUCACUCAAUGGUGUCCUGCGUGUUCAACAUUUUUGUUUAUUUAUUUUAUUGUUUAAUGUUUCUGCUAGGUUUUCCCCAUUUCAAGAGUUUGGAACAUUUGAACAUGGAACGCGCGCGCAUUGCACCCAACACCAGCUUUCUUCAAAUCAUCGGUGAAUCGACGCCUUCUCUUAAGUACUUAUCACUGUCAGAUUUUACUCUCAGCACUAACAGCAGCAGGAUUCUUGAUCGAGGUUAAUCAGAUGCUCCCACCCUCCCUUCUUAAUCUAUAAUAUUAAUUUUCAAUUAAAUAUUUAAUUACACAAAUGAAUCACUUAUUAUAAAAGAAUAAUACGCAUUCAUUAAUUUCUAUAUUGAAUUAAUUGAUGAAUUUAAUAAAUUUUCAGGCCUCUGUUCGUUGAUGCAUCUGCAAGAGUUGUACAAGGUUAAUAAUGAUUUAAGAGGUAGCUUGCCUUGGUGCGUGGCAAAUAUGACAUCCCUCAGGAUAUUAGAUGUUUCUUCCAAUCAACUUACUGGAAGCAUCGCUUCAUCUCCCCUCGCUCAUUUGACAUCCAUUGAGGAGUUGCAUCUUUCAGACAAUCACUUCCGGAUCCCAAUUUCACUUGAACCACUUUUCAAUCACUCAAGACUCAAGAUUUUCGAUGCUGAAAACAACGAACUUAAUGCAGAAAUAACUGAGUCAUAUUCUUUGACCACCCCAAACUUCCAAUUACAAUAUCUCUUGUUGUCUUCCGGUUAUGGAGAUGGUGCCACAUUCCCCAAAUUCCUUUACCAUCAACAUGACUUGGAGUAUGUUGAUCUCUCACACACAAAGAUGAAUGGAGAAUUUCCAAAUUGGUUGUUGGAAAACAACACAAAAUUAAAAACUCUUUUUCUGGUUAAUGAUUCUCUUGCAGGACCUUUCCGUUUGCCAAUUCAUUCACACAAGCGGUUAAGACAGUUAGAUGUCUCCAACAACAACUUCCAAGGCCACAUUCCAUUAGAAAUUGGAGAUAUUUUACCAAAUUUAAUAUCCUUCAACAUUUCAAUGAAUGCUUUAGACGGUAGCAUUCCCUCUUCAUUUGGUAAUAUAAACUUACUCAAAAUUCUGGACUUAUCCAACAACCAAUUGACUGGUGAAAUCCCUGAGCACUUGGCCGUCGGUUGCGUCUACUUGGAUUUUCUUGCGUUAUCAAACAACAGCUUAGAAGGUCAUAUGUUCUCUAGAAACUUUAACCUAAAAAACUUGAAAUGGUUACAAUUGGAAGGCAAUCGCUUCGUAGGUGAGAUCCCACAAAGUUUGUCUAAAUGCUCCUCACUAAAAGGAUUGUACCUUAACAAUAAUAGUCUUUCGGGUAAGAUUCCACGAUGGUUGGGUAAUCUCACAUGGUUACAAUAUAUUAUAAUGCCCAAUAAUCAUCUUGAAGGUCCUAUUCCAGUGGAGUUUUGUCAACUUUAUUCGCUUCAGAUUUUGGACAUUUCAAACAACAACAUAUCUGAAAGUUUACCAUCUUCUUUCCAUCCUCGCUUUAUCAAACAAGUUCACCUAUCGAAAAAUAUGUUACAUGGACAACUAAACAGAGGUACAUUCUUUAAUUGCUCUUCCCUUGUGACAUUAGAUCUUAGCUAUAACUGCUUGAAUGGCAGCAUUCCGGAUUGGGUUGAUGGGCUUUCUUAGUUAAGCCACCUUAUCUUAGGUCACAAUAAUCUUGAAGGUGAAGUGCCAGUUCAAUUGUGCGAACUGAACCGAUUGCAAUUGUUAGAUCUUUCUAAUAAUAAUCUUCACGGUCCUAUUCCUCCUUGCUUUGAUAACACCACACUUCAUGAAAGUUACAGCAAUAGUUAUAGUCUUGAUGAGCAAUUUGAAAUAUUUGUUUCCAUCGAAGGCUCUUGGGGAUCGGUAGAAAAGUAAAUCCAUGAAAUUUUUGAGUUCACAAUAAAGAACAUUGCGUACAUUUACCAAGGAAAAGUUCUUAGCCUCCUAUCAGGACUUGAUCUUUCUUGCAACAAGCUAAUCGGUCAUAUUCCUCCUCAAAUUGGAAAUUUGACAAGGAUUCAAACAUUGAAUCUAUCACACAACAACUUGACAGGAUUGAUCCCAUCAACAUUUUCAAACUUGAAGCAUAUCGAAAGUUUGGAUCUUUCCUACAACAAAUUGAAUGGGAAAAUCCCUCAUCAACUUGUGGAGUUAAAGACAUUGGAGGUUUUCAGUUUGGCAUUCAAUAACUUAUCAGGCGAAAUUCCAGAAUGGAAAGCACAAUUUGCAACCUUCAACGAGAGUAGCUAUGAGGGAAAUACUUUUCUUUGUGGAUUGCCAUUGCCCAUUUGCAGAUCACCAGCAACUACGCCGGAGGCUUCAAUUGGCAAUGAAAGAGAUGAUAAUUUAAUUGACAUGGACAAUUUCUUUAUCACAUUUACAACAUCGUACGUAAUUGUGAUAUUUGGAAUCGUUGUUGUUUUAUAUGUAAAUCCUUAUUGGCGAUGUAGAUGGUUUUACUUUGUUGAAAUGUGGAUAACUUCCUGUUACUAUUUUGUUGUAGACAAUCUUAUUCCAACAAGAUUUUGUCAUUGAAAUUAAUAAGUAGUUUAAUUAGGAUUCUUUAAGUACUAAUCAAGUUUGCUUAGGAAAUAAAUUUUUAUUAAAAUUGUAGUAGUAUUUAGCAUUAUAUAGCUUCCAACUUUCAAGCACUUCACAUUUGUCUCUACACUUAAAAAGUUGAGUGAUCAUGUUUUGCAGAUCUGGAUUUGGAGAAGGAUGGAUCCAAACCCAAAUCUGUCCACCAUAACUUAUACCCUACACUGUGUAGCAUACUUAAAUAAGAGAAUCAUCUCCAAUGUUAAAAGCAACCACUCUAUAACAUUCAUUUAGAAACUAUAUUCAGAAUAGUUUUAUAAUCAUACACAAGAAAUGAAACACCUAGAUACACUUGAUCGCCUAUUUUACUCUAAAAAAGAACGAUUAUAGUGUUAUCAUCAUCUUCUUCACUAGCAACAUUAACACCAAAUCCAGCGAUGGACGCAUACAUUUCAUCAAGAAAGGUAUAUAUCUAAUAAAGUUGAAGCCUGACAAAAAAUUCAGGAAGAUUCAUGCCUCGCCACAACAAGGGGCACAACAACAUCAAAGUAGAGAUUAAGCAGUAUUCUCAAAGCUAAAACUCUCAAAUCCACCCACCAAAUUUUCAUAUCUCCUCAACAAUUUUAAGAACUAAAGAUAAUUAGGAUUUAACAUUAGUUUUUUAUAUAGUAGUUUCAUAAUUUACAAAUCAAUGAAGAUGAAGAUUAUGCUAAUGAAUUCAAAUUAUACCAUACAUUCUCUAGAUGUUACCAAAAAUUUCUAAGUCAAUCCCACAUAUUUCAUAAUUUUAAGACUAGAAAAUUUCAAUAGUUAGAAGUUUCAUUACCUUCAAGUGGAAGAUGAAGAACAUUAUGCAAGUGAUUCAGGUUAUAUCAUACAUACUCCAAAUGCAACUAGAAAUUAACAAGUUCAUGCGCACAUAUUUCAUAACAUUAUGAUUGAAAAGUUUCACAAAGAGAAAUUCUAAAUUCAAUCCCUUGCAUCAAGGCAGUUUGAUUGAUUUGAGUUACUUUAUGAUCAAGCUACUAAUAUAACAUUCAAGUCAGGGAGAAAGUAAAUUAAAACUGGGUACAAAUAACAGUAAAAAUUUGUUGCUAAACAUGAUGUGUAUUUUUUUAAGGCAAUUUGGAAACACAUUUGUUACUAGAUAUUCUCCUCAACUUGGAGACAAAUACAAAUAUUAAAAUGCAUAUGAUCGCACAUACUACUUGGAGCUUAGUAAGAUUUCAUUAAAAGAAGCAAUCAAACCACUUAUCAAUUGUCGCAAUCGUUCUAUAAACUAAAAUAGCAAUAUAAUACAAGAAAAAGAACAUAUAGAUACUCGGCAAGAGUUCAUUAAGAAGUCGCAUCACAUUAGGGUGAGGAGUUUGCUUCUGAUAUCUUGCUAGCUGGGGCUUUUUCUUGUCUUUCUACGUAUGCCGAGGGAAACCAACCAGCUAGGCCCUUGCAUUCACCUUCCGACCAUCCAGUAGGAGCCACCUUGAGAAGUUAUAACUAAAACGGUGAAUUAAAAAAAAGUUGACAAUUCAAAGACCUAAGGGGAAAACUAAUUCUUUUACGUAGAGGAAGUGAACUAGUUGUGAUCACUGAAAUAAAAAAAUAACUAUGGAAGCAUAACAAGAUAUAAAUUCACAUGUCUAUAAGGGUAAACAGGGUGGUUUAGAACUGAGCUAGCAACCCUACUAUAUUCUGAUUUGCACUUCAAUGUAAAAGGGAAUAUAUGGUAGGAAGAAAAAAAACCAACCAUCAUUUGUUAACUUAUUGCUUUUCAAUCAAAAUUUUAAGAACAAAAUGCCAUGUGCUUUGAACAUCAAAUAAGUAUAAGCAUUAGUUCUAAAUUCCACAUAUUAUAAGUUGUUAGAAGGAUAAGUUAAUAGCAUAGUAGAAAAAUCUAUGUGUUGGUAUUUAGAGGGGAAAGUACCUGGCGAACCACAACAUAAUCAUCAAUUGAAAGACUUAGCUCUCCAUUUGCUUGAUCAUCAAAUGGAUGUAUAACCUGCAAGAUAAUGGGAUAAAUAGAACUUAAAAAAAGCAUAACAAAAGCAGCAACAGCAGCAGCAGCAUUCAUUGUAACCACUAUGAUCAUGGCCAACAAAGAUAUAUUAGAAACAAAAUUCCAUUUUUACUACGACUUUAAUAUGUACUAUACGAUAUCAUGACGAUUGGGUUAUCAAGUGCUAUCAAAGUCUAAUAAGUUCUGUAUAACUUUAUAUAGUUAUUUUAAUUAUGGAUCAAAUUUUAAAUUUGAAAUUUUGACUGCUCUCCACAAAAUAUGGCCUAUGCACAAGAAAGUCAUAGAUAAUGAGGAUUACAAGUGUCCGACAUCUUUUGAGUGAUGGAUUUAACAUGAGAGCUUAUGGUCAGUCAAUUUCCUCUGCCUAGCAAUAUAAGCUUUCUCGGCCAGAUUUAUCAUCAAAUACAUAGAUUGCCCCCAAGUCACAUCCAUAUAAACAUAGUUUUCUAGGUAAACCAAGGAGAAUCAUAAUUUAGACAUAAUCAUAAAAAGGCCCAUCUAACUUAAGAGAAAAUCUCAAAAAGAGGGAUGUUGAGCUAUCAGUCUUGUAUCUAUAAGCAAUAUCAAGACUUUACAUCACCUGCUACAUCGUGAGUGGCUACACAACUUUCAGUGGUUUGUCUUUCUUUGGCAUGCCUAACUCAGCUUUGAUGUUGCUGAGAUAUUGAUAGUAGAGACACAUGAUACUUCUAGCUCAUGCAUUUUAUCUAGCUCAUCCGACAACUAUUUCUUUUUUAAUUCAUUAGUGUUUGCUAAACCUCAUGCUCAAAAGUCCUGUUCUCCUAAACAAAGUUUCCUAAGAAUGACUUCCUCAGCACAACAUUUGGACACUUUUAGAGCAAUUUUAUUUGGAGGAAAAGAAUUUUCAAGGUGUUAACUAAUAAAUUUUAAAAUAUAAUUACAAUUUGUCCUACGAUCAUAUGACAAUUUAUUUGGGAUGAAAGGAUACAGACAGACAUCUUCCACUUUCAAGACUAAUCACUACUUCCGUAGAUGUUGUGCAAUGAUACAAAUACUUGACCAGAUGGUAGUGAUGGUAGAAAAAAAUUUAUUGCUCCAAAAUUAAAAUAAGAAUGCAAUAUGUUAAGCAAAAGACUGUGCAACAUCAAAUUAAUUGAUGAGUUUGUAAUUCAGUAAAUUAACAACUUUCAUGGUAAAAUACAACAAGUUUCUUUUAAAAAAAAUAAAAAAAAUAAAUCUUAAAAGACAGCAUUCAUUUUUGUGCGCAUGUUAUUUCUUAAGAUUUUUCAGGAGGAGGGCAAUAGAGGGACUUUCACCUAUGCAAGAGAGCAGAAGCCUUACUUUUGCUAUAAAGUAGACGUCAUUCUGAUUAAUAUGCGUUUGAAUCAGCUCCGUUUGCUAUAAAGUAGACGUCACACAUGAGGCAUUUACAUCCAUUUCCAAAGUCACAUGUUGCGAGGAGGACUCAUUUGAUUGCUCCUCUAGGAUCAUCUAAUGCAAGUAGUAAGGGUUGGAAGAAAAUAAAAAGUCACAAUUAUUCUUUUGCGUAAGUGAGACGAAAAUGAUAAAUGCAAUAUUAUCAGCAGUAAACAAGAAGAGAACGCUCCAAGGAAUAGAUAGAUGCAGACAAGCAAGUUAAAAUGCAUAGUCCCAAACCUCCGCAUACAACUUCUCUAAAAUAGCAAUAACGUGUUGAUGAUAUGUUUUCUCAGCAUCUACCUGCAAAGGCCCGAGACCAGGAAAACGGCAAUAAAACCACUAGCUAAAGGAGAAAGUAAAGAAAGAAAUACACUUGACAUAAAUCUUGACAAGAAGCACAGUUUAAACCCCAAUCAUAUUGUUUAGAACUACCAUUCGUUAUUGUAACAUUUCGAACAAGUGUUGACUUAAUUCAACAUUGUUGGAAAGAUAGGCUUUUAAAAGCGGAAGAAAGCCACUCAAACCAAAGUGAUUGUCCUUGUAUUGAUCAAGGGAUGUAAACAUAUUACAUUUGCAGGAUAAGUUUUAAUUAAUCACUCCCCUGAUUUAUUUGGGUUGCAGUUUAAUUUGUGAAUUUUUUUCUAUAGACAUGUUAGUUCUUGCUAUUGAAAUGUUAAAAGCAUUGAAAAAUUAUUCAAUAAAUUAUGCAUAACAUUAAAAUAGAGGACAUAUUAAAAAGUUUCUAAUUACAAUGUUAAUAUUUCCUAUAUUUUAGCAUUUGCAUAUUUUAAUUUAUUUAAAAGCUACGUCGAUCAACUGUGGGCAUGAAGAUUUUAGCUUCUACGAGACUUGAUUGGAAUAUGCAUAAGGAAGAGUGUUAAAAUAUGAUGCAUCCAACGAAAGACAAACCACGUGUAGUCUUUUAAUUAAGCCAAAGUAGCAGCUCAAACAAAUGACACUUGGACCAACAUGCAAUCAUGAAGUGGCCGGAAAAAGGACAAAUGCAACUUUGGCUUAAAUAAAAAAUAACAUGUGACUUGACUUUUGCUGGACAUGCAUCAUGUUAUUACAAGACAACAGAAAUCAGUAUGAUAGUACUAAAAGUUGACAAUAACAUGAAGAUAAGAGGCAGAAUGUCAACACAUGCAUAGGCACACACAAGAAAGUAUUAACUUAUAUACCAUAGCAAAAAGUCUUUGAUAUGUCAUCUGUUGCUGCUGUGAUUCAACUGACAGCAUGGCAGCUGUUGCUUCUCUACCAAGAGCCAUUAUUGUAGAUUUAAGCUCGGUCAAUCUUGCUUCUGCAUUUCGAAGCUUCACAGCACUCUCUGCUGAUAUAUCAGAUUCCCUAAUCUUUGAUCGGCGCCUAAAUACUUCAGCUGCCUGGUGAAAAUAUUCAAUAUAAAUCUAACAUAAUUCUAAUCUUACCUGGGCUUCAACUUCAUGUCGAAGUUUGUCAUAACGAUGAGUCAGGUGUCGAGCAUCUUCCAAAGGUGCUCCGUUGAUUAACGCCCGUAGUGGCUCAGAUACCUACAUGUCCAAAAACCUGUAACAUAGUUAGAAAAAUGAAAAGAAAGAGCGAAACCUCAAUUAAAAAGUUCCUCCAACAUAAUCAUGGAAUUUGGGCCUACUUCAAGGAUAUAUAUAUAUAAGGAUAAUUUAUGCAAUUUUGGGUCUUAGGAUGAUUCAUAUUAGGUUAGUGUUCUUCUCUUCUGUAUUUAAGGUUAAAAUAGAAAUAAACCUAUGCAAAUAUAUAAAUUAGGGCUGUAAGACUUCCACAUGCAUCCUUCAGUCUCAUGGAUUUGAUUUUACUAUAGAUGCAAGUGUCUUUAUCGAAAAUGCUUGGAGUCAAUUGAGAGAACUCACGGCCAAUAACUUGUCAGACGCUAGUCUUUGCUAGUGAUGUAAGAAGUCACAAGGUCUCUUCAGCAUUUGAACCAAUAAAAUUAUUAAGUCAUGGAUGUCACUAGCAAUGAUUUUAAUAUAAAACAUUAAAUAUUUCAGAGUUGUAACUUUAAAAUGGAUUCUUUUAUUCAAUAUCUUAGAACUAAGUUUCCUUAUGAGAAGAUAAUAGUUUCAGUAGUAAUUUACAUAUAAUUUUCUAUAUUUGAAUUAUUUUCUAGUUAGGGAUGAACUAACCUGAUCACCAAGAAUCCCAAGCAAAGUUUCCCUCUCAUUUUCCAUCAAAUCAUGUGAAGUGCCAAAUUGAAGAGCAGCUCUUGCAACGCAAGAAUUGUCACUUUGAUUCUCCGCUCCAUACUUGCAACAAUCUUCAGCCAACUUUCUCGCUACAAUAUUUGAAUACAAAAAUAUUGUGCACAAGAACUAGUCAAGAAAAAAAAAAUCAAAUAUUAUAACGAAUGCAAGAGCAAACAAACAACCUAUUUCCAUUUGUUUCAAGCUUACUGCAACAAGCCCUUCAAUGCCACGAACAAUAUUCCUCUGAAAAUGCUGCGCUACAGAGCAUAUAUUCCAAAUUAUUGUUCAGAUAAAACCAUAGAAACCAUCAUAAUUAUUCAACAUACAUUAAGCUCCGUUUGGUAAAUACUUGCAACUUCAGUCUAGAGAAUACAGUUCUAUAUAUGUAGCAGUCUAAAGGAGGAUGGUGCCUUAGCUGCCCUGGUGGAAUUGUAUAGAUUUUGAAGUUGUUGGUGACACUCAAUUUCAGCUUCAUCAACUGCCUGUACAAAUCAUAAAAAACUAAUGAAAAAAAUAAAUAAAAUCGAGAAAUUUCACUAAUUAAAAGUCUAAAUAUAAUUUUAAAAAAGAAAGAAACGCACUUGGUGCUGCUUGGCGACUUGUUCUCGGAGCUUGAUUGCCUGUUUCUUGAUAGCUUCCAUACUGUUUCUUUCAAAAAGCGGCGACGGCUCAGCUCAUGGAAGUUGGGGAAAAAAAAAAGUGUGAUCAAGAAAAUAAAAAGGCAUAUUAUUGUUGACAAAAUGUGAAAAUAAAAAAGAAAAAAGAAAAUUAUAAGUUUGAAAGGAGAAGAUGAUAGUGGAAGAGUGCGGCGUGGCUGCCAGCUACUUGGAUUGUAUUGUCGGGUAAGGUAAUUGUAGAAAAUUAUAAGUUUGAACAGAGCAUGUUAGACUUUUGUUGACCAAAUUCAAAAGGCAAAUGGCACGGCCCAGAAGCUUUGGAAUACAGUAACUUACAAGAAAGCUCCAUUUAUUCUUCUUAUACUUUACGCUUGCAUCAGCUUAAAUCACUUCUUAAUCGCUUGCUUUAACUGCGCCGCUUUGUACUGUUCUAUAUAUGUAGCAGUUAUGCGGAUGUAGUUCACGGCUGAGGGUACGUGUUUGUUUGACGUGGUAGUUACGUUACGACGUUACGAGAGUAUUAUUAGUUAUUUCACAGGGAUAAAUAAGAUUAGUCACAAUAAACCCACUAGUUUUAUAAAAUUCGAGUAAUAUAGAAUAAAAUAAAAAAUGAAUACAAAAUUGACUUUUAUUUUUUAUGGUUGACUAUAUUUUGUGUUCUCUUCUGGUACUACUACAAUUGUUCCCUGUAUAUCACUCAUACCCAUAUAUCAUUGACACAAGAAAUGAAAUCUAAUGUCAGAUGUUUAGUUAAAGAAUCACUUAUGAAAAAAUUUUACCAUUUUGAUUUGAGGAUCCCUAUUUUGAACUGCAAGCUAAUGUUCAUCAAGAACAGAGUAUGGCAGUUGAGUAGAAAAACUAUUUUUGGACAAAUUAUUUUUAUUGAUAGAAGAAUUUCUCAAGGGACUACUAAAAUUAUUAAAAAAAAAUGUCAAACACGCCCAUAUAUCAUCAACACAAUUGGUUUUGAGAAUCCAUACUUUAAACUGCCGCCUAAUAUUCAUCAAGAGCAGAGCAUGGCUUGUGAGUAGAAAAUUUUCUGAUUUUGGCCCCAAAUAAUCCAGCACUUUCUCAUGAAGAAAUGCAUACAAAGCAUACCAUGGUACCAUACAAUACAAGGAGUCUCCGUUCUCUAGUUUUUCAAACUCUAAAGGGGCCAAUACUCCCUAAUUCCCCCUCGAAAAUUCUGAUUAUGACAUUAUUCAUCCCUCGAUGCAAUCAAAGUAGUGACAAAGUUAGGAAAAAUAUGAGUCCUAAGUAAUUGCUAGGCAGGGCUCCUGUGAGCAAAAUUGUCCUAAGCAUUAUAUGCAUACAUGGUGUGGUACAUAAAGCACAAUGAAUUCCACACUAUAACACAAACCCAGAAAGAGAAGAAACAACUUAAUUGAUGUAAAGACAAAAAGAAGAUAAAAUGAUAUAGAAAAAAAAAUUCAAAGAGAUAGCAACAUACUAUAGACUGAAGCCACUUGAUCUGCUCAUUGAUUGCAGCCUUAAACUUGCAAAUAGUUACCGUAAGCUAGUGCUAUAAGAAGUGAAAAUGAUGCACACCCUGAUUCCCUUCGACUUCCAUUUACUGUCAAACAUUCUAUUAAUACAAAAAAAUUGUUCAAAUAUCUUGCCAUAAAUAUAGCCGUUUGACUGGCUUAAUAAAGUCACAAAUAACCAUUCAUAUUGAUCCACAGUGUCACACCGCCUGCUUUAUGCAUACAACAGCUGUAUGUAUACCAACUCCUAACCUUAUCAAUACAUUUGGCAAAAACUUAAGAAGAAAACUAUUUCUCCAUCUCUUUUUUGAAAUUUCACAAUAAACCAGCAUAUUGUAAACGUUAUGUUGUAACCUUAUGAUAAAUGCUCUAGACUCCAAAUGAAUUUUAUAUAUGAGGGUUUGUUGCAGCAGAUAUAUUGACUUAUCAAGUAUGAAUCAUUGUCUAGAAGAACUAUCUUUAGAUAAAAGAAUAUUAGAACCAUUCUAGAAUAUCUUUAGGUUGCUAGUUCUAACAGGAAUCUGCAUGUGGCAACAGUUGCCAGAUCCACAAUUCCCCAACUUGAAAUACAUAGUUGCACACCGUGAGAUAGUGCUGCAAUCUACUGAGAUCUAACUUAUAUGAUACUUUAAGCUACUAAUGUUUGCAUAUUUCUACAUGUUAAAUUGACACUACCAUCUAUAAUCACUCUAAAACGACAGAUGAUAAGCAGCUUUUGGCUACUUAUUACUAGCAUCCACAAUUAAUUUUUGUUCAGCAAUCAGCUUAUUUUAUAGAAAUUGAUUUAGUCAGCAACAAACACUAUAAUCCUUGAAAUUAGUUCUUGUUCUUUGUAAUUUUCUAUGAUUUUUCAUACAUCAAUUAAUCUGCAGUGCCAAGAUGAGGUUUGGUUUUUCAAACUAAAUAAUCAAGUAGCAAAAAUACAAAUUUAGAGAUUAGGGGGUGAACUAGCUAGGUGGUUUACAAAUAUUCCUAUUUGUAAGGUGAAUUAAUUGAAUCAUGAGAAAACAAUGUGACCAUAGCUCAAUAUGAGAUGAUUUCGGAGAGGCAUAUUGUUUUCAAGUGAAUUUGAUCCAUUAAGAGAUGAAGUGGAUUGAAGUGGAAAGUUUAAAUAACAAAUCCUUGUUCUUGAGUUUUACGACGUUGUUACUCCUUCAGGUGGCAGAUUAUGCAAGUGAAUUCAAAAACACAAUGCAUCAAUCACGGGGAUGCUACACCAAAAGACGGGAUCAUAGUCUAUGCAUUGAACAGUUACAGUUGCUGCUACCAAUUGACUCGGCAAAGAUCAAGAAGACUGAACGGGAAGUUAAUGCCAUCAAUGUCGUCUUCACUAUAGCUGCUGGGAAUGUAGGUGAACUUUCCUCAUUUGCGGCUGUCUAUACAUAGGCUUUUCCCCAGCUUAAGUACAAAUAAAUGAACCUGCUUUGAAGGCUUUAUUAUUGACCACAAUAAGGAUUACUAAUUGAAGAAGACUAUACGGAGUUAAUCCCACACUUUCGUUCUCUCAAUUUCUUUCAGAAGUGCCUCUGAAAAUAGCUGCCAAACCGUUAGUCAGCUUGUUAGACUCUGUUUUCUGGAAACAGAGCCCUAACUAACUGACUGUACAGAGUAAGUCAACAUAGCAUAUUUAAUCGUUUUAAUUGAAUUGUCUUCGUAGCGAUCAUCAACAAACUCAUCAUGAGAUUUUUGAAGCACCCAAGGACUAUCACUGGGUUUCUCUUCUGGUUGAUUAAUUAAUUAAUCAAAGAACGGUUGGAUACCCAAGGACAAUUAAAAUUAUUCGACUUCUGGAACUGGGAAUGAAGUGCAAUGAUGGAGCAAAAUUUACAAUGUCUCCGGUUUCUCCUACCAUCGGACUUUUGCAGUGAGAACAUAUAACAAAAAGGCCUUCAUCAAAAUUUGUAGACUCCGGGUAUGGAUUGGAUCGAUUUUUUUGUUUGAUAUUGAAGAACCUCUUUACUAUCGCGAUAUAGAUUAUGUGCAAGGAGUUGUCUACUGUUCUUUGCCUUGUGCUAUGAUCGGUGCUCUUGAGGCUGCCCUGAAACACAGGAAAAUACUUCGAUAUCCUCCGUUCGAUGAUGCAAAGAACCGGUUAAUGUAUGAUUACCUAAUUGACUCAGGAUCAGGUAACAACAACAACAAUUUAUUAAUAUCACAAACGAAGAAGAUCGCGGAGAGGGAGAUGUAUGCCUAUACUGUUUACAGGUUUGAUCCAUUGGGGAUGAAGUGGUCUCAAGUCGAAAGUGAUUUAUUAAACAACAAAUCAUUGUUCUUGGGUUAUACCUCAUGAUGUCAUCAAGUGGAAGAUUAAGAUUAUGCAAGACGAAGAUCGUUUGAUAUUGAAGAAUUUGAACAGAAAGCCCAUAGAAAGUACUUAAAAAAGCAUAUUCUUGUUGGGGUAGAAUAUUGAGAAAGGAGUUGUCUACUGUGUGUUGCGUGAUUAUGCUAUGAUCUGUGCUUUGAACAUUGCCCUGAAAACAGUGGAAAAUACUUCAUAUCCUCGACAUGAUGAUAAAAAAUUGGUUACCGAUUACGUAACUGACUCAGGUGACAACAAUCCAUUAAUAGCACAAUUUGAGGUGAUGCCGUUUAGGUAUAUGGUUAACAGGUUUGAUUCAUCAAUGAUGAAGUGGGCUUAAAUUAAAAGAUCAUAUAAUAAGUCGUUCUUCUUGGGCAUAUCGUCAUUACUACUUCAAGUGAUCAAAGAUGAAGAUGAAGAUGAAAAUUGUGCAAGUGAGUUCAAGAAUACCAUACAUCGUUACUUGGGAUACUUCUUCAAAUAUGGAUGGGGUCAUAAUUUACUCCCACGAAUUUCAACCCAAUUUUAUGAUUGGAGUGUCCCACCAUGACUCAGAAAAAUUUUGAUUCAACCUCCUCCACCAAUGGAUUUUGAAUAGUCACUUUGUGAUCAAGCAACUUAAUUAAACUCAGAGAGUCAGAGUUCGAUUUUGCUGGCACCGCAUUUUCUUUAAAAUGUGGCCAUGUAAGGAGAGCGGCACAUAAUGUCACUUCCUUAUCAAGCACUUUAAAGAGGGAUUUUAGAAGAAGAUACAACUGCAAUUGUUUUCGUAUGUAUAUAUAUAAACAACAGCACACAUUCAGUUCAUAAAAGAAAUUUUUGCUAACCAUGAUAUGUGGUAGUGCUUUUUAGGCAAUUUAGAAACAGAGUUGUUCAACUUACAGCAGGUAUUCUCCUCAAGUUCGACGUAAAUACAAAUAUUAAUUAGAAUCCAUAUUAUAAUGACACACAUAACUUGCUUCAAAAUUAUCAGAAAUUAAAAUUGCUGAUUCAUAAUGCAGAUAACUUGGAUGAAUUGAUGUUAAAGGAAAAAUCACACGCAUAACUUGGAGAGCAAUUGCGACAGCAGCCAAGUAUAUAUUUUUAUUUGAGAGUUGAGAAGAAUAUAUUUAAUGAAGCUUGAUAACAUUUGAUGGGAUAGCAAGUAAGGGUAAAUAAGAUAUUUUUAUUUGUUAUUUAUUUGAAUUAUAUCUAUUUUGUUCAAGUUAAAAUACUAAAUAUAAAUUGGAGGUAGACAUUUUAACAGAUCAUCUAAGCUCUCAAAUCUGAAAUUUUGUGUAGAUUUAAAUUCAUAAUUUUAGUUAAUUUUCAUUCAUUCAUAUAAACAAAUUUAUGAGAUUUUUCUUUUCAGCAUGUUAUAUUUUGAAACUUUCAAUGUAUUAUUCUAGCUUUAUUUAAACAAUUAAUUUAUUUAAUUUUGAAUUUGAUCAGUAGUAAAAUUAUUUUUAUAUCAAAUUUUUUUUAUUUAAAUAGUUCGUGGAUUGGACAAAAUUAAAAAAUUUUAAUCUACAAAAUGGUGGAUUAGAUAUGAAUUGGGUUAAAUCCACAUUCGAUUUGCAGUCGUAUGAAUUUGAUUUGGAUUGAAUUUCAUCAAUCCAUGGAUUAGAUUGGAUUGAAAAUUUAUUAUCCGCAAAAUCGUGGAUCGAAUAUGGACUGAUGUCCAAUCAGCAAAAUCCGAUCCCCGAACACGCCUCUAUCAAAAUUUUCAAGAAUAUGUUUUAUCUUACAAAUUUUUUUUUAAAGUCAUAAUCUAAUGGCAGCCCAAUUUUAUAAAGUCACACACAACCAUUCUUAUUAAAUUAGAAAGAUCAAACACUGCACUGGAUCUUGAACAGAUCAACACAAGUUGCACAACUUGCGAUUGAAUCCGGCCUGAAACAAUCAACUCUUUAGCAAGAACAAUUAAUCAGAGUCAAGAAACAAGUUUAAUGAAUAUAAACCUAUAAUUGAAACAAACAUAGCAAAGAAAAAAAAUACAGAUUUUACACGGUUCAGUUGUACCUAGGAUGGCACAACCUACACCACGAGAGAAGCUUUCUGGUGAGAUUUUAUUGAUGAUCAAAGAAGAAUCUUUUGACAAAGCUAAUAAUAGAGAUUUCAGAGAAUAAGCUAUAACCUCUCUCCCUCUUCAAUCUCUCUCUAUUUUGUUCCCAUUGAUGACCCCAAUCUGCUUAGUUAGCCAGCUUUAUAGCUGCAUCAGUAACAAACCAGCAAACCCAGAUUGAGCAGAUUGACGACACGUGGAUAACGGCUUUAACGAACCUGGUUAAGAACUGCUCACAUGUUCGUCACGCGUACUGCUUAAAUGAUGGCCAAAACGACUUCAAACAAAUGUCGUUUUGAGGCUUAUGAAUUACAAGUGAUAACACGAGAUUGUCUCAUGACUUUUAAAUGCAACAACGUGCCCAAAACGCUGUCGUUUUACUCUGUUGAGUUUGAUUCAUUACUAAGCUUUACGACUGGCAAUGGAGAAGAUGAUAAUUUAAUUGAUAUGGACAGUUUUUAUAUCACUUUUACAAAAUCCUAUGCAAUUGUAAUAUUGGGAAUUAUUGAUGUUUUAUAUGUGAAUCCUCAUUGGCAAAAACUAGUGGUUUUAUCUUUGUUGAAAUGUAGAUUACCUCUCGUUACUAUUUUAUUAUAAACAUAUAGUUUCGUAAGUGAAACUAUAUAUUUAUAAUAAAAUUAACAUAUAGUUUCGUUACAUUUCUGCCUCAUUAAGAUUCUCAAAUACCAGUCAGGUUUGCUUAAGAAAUAAAAUUUUUCCAUUAAAAUUGCAGUAGUAUUUCCAAGCAUAUCGCAUUUUCUAUGAUUUUUCAUAAAUUAAUUAAUCUGCGGUGCCAAUAUCAGAUUUAGUUUUUCAAACUAAAUAAUCAAGAAAGCAAACAUACAAAUAUACAGUUUAGAGGGGUAAACUAGGUAGGUGGUUUAGAUUUUAGAACUAAGCCAGCUACCUCACUAAAUUCCGAUUCGUACAGUGAACUGCAAGAAAUUGAGAAAACAAUGUAUUUAUAAUUUAAUAGAAUCAUAAGAAAACAAUGUAGUCAUUGCUCAAUAUAAGAUGAUUUCGGAGAGGCACAUUGUUUUCAAGUUAAUUUGAACCGUUUAUAAGAGAUGAAGUGGAAUGAAGUUGAAAGUUUAAAUAACAAAUCCUUGUUCUUGAGUUUUACGACGUCGUUACUCCUUCAAGUGGCAGAUUAUGCAAGUGAAUGCAGAAACACAAUGCAUCAUCCGCGGGGAUGAUACAUCAAAAGGCGGGGUUUGUUUAUGCCUGCAGAUUAGCAAUUUCACUCAUAUCGAAAAUUAAUUUUUUAUAUAUACUAAUCAACACUAAAUUGAUUAUGUGUUGUAUGUUUAUAUGCUAAUCAACACGAAAUUAUAUUGAAUUAUUAACAUUCAUAUUCCUAAUAAAAAUUAUUUUCCAUCAGUAUUCAAAAUUUUCACUUAUAGAAAAUGCGUUUUACGUGAAUACUAGUUAUUGUGUAAAUUUGAAUGAUAGCGAAAAAUAAACCUAUUUGAAAACUGUAAGGGUGUGUUGGGAUAUUUUACAACUGUCGGAAUCUGGUAGGAUAUUGCACCAUUUGCCCAAUAUUUUUAGACGUACUCCAACCGGUAUUCAAGAUAAGUAAAAUUUACAAGCGUGGCAAAAUAAAAAAAAUUAAAUUCGUAAUUUGUAAACGAAUUUUCCUGACAUGUAUAGUAGAUGAAGUUGUUGACCCUUUCUUUGGAUUAUUUCAGCUCUGGUUGUUGGUCACCGAUGAGCCGAAGUCUUAUUUUAAUUCUAUUUAAACUCAUCAUAAGAUUCGUGGAGCACCUAACUAACUUAACUGACUGUGCAGAGCAUCUCAACAUGGCAAAUUUAACCAUCAUUCAAGUGAUGGGUUUAAUAAGACUGCUUUUGUUCUACCAAGUUCCUCCGCCUCUAAGCAGAAUUACUAUUGAAGGGCCAAAUGGAAAAUGAAAACGUGUGAACAACAACAACCACCCCACAAAUUCAAUGACGAUGCUCGGAGAGGGUUAGGUUGGGCCUCUGAGAAAAAAAAAAAUUAUUUAGUUAAAAAGUUACCCUUAUUGAAACCUGUAUAAAAAUUUUAUAUUAAUUAGUUAUGUUGCCUCUUCAACUAUGAUCAAAUUUUUAUCUGAGCUCAUCAUUUAAUGAGUAAACAUGUAUUUUAAUGAUCUCAAUUAAUAUUUAGAACAAAUAUUUUAAGAAGUAAAGCUCAUUAUAUCCCCCAUUAUUAUGUAUCUCUGUAAUGUAUUGAAUUAGAAGAAAAAAAAAAUUCAACUCACUCAAAAAAAAAAAAAUGCUGGUAGCUUCGUAAUAAUUACUGUCUUGACUGCACCAGAUAAAGUUUUGUAAAAGAAUUCUGAUAUUUACCCCGGGUCAAACCCCGAAAAUAACUUAAACGGUGUCGUUUUGAUUUUUUUUUUUUUUAUACUCCAAAACGUUCUUACCAUUUCCGUUUCACUUACCAUUUAAUGCUCACAACUCAAAUAAAAAGCCCAGAAACUAGAAUCAAACUUUACAGAAACUAGAAUGCCCAGAAACGUUGUAUAGCAGGAACGUAUGUAAAGAGAGUAAACAAGAGGGAUUAAACAGAACAUACGUUUUCUUCACUUAUUAUUAGCAACAAACACCCUACACAACACACAUUUAAUGCUCACAACUCAAAUAAAAAGCCCAGAAACUAGAAUCAAACUUUACAGAAACUAGAAUCAAACAAUACACAUUUCAUUUCUUCAAGGUUAGGGAGAGACUCAGGGGAGUGAUUAAUUAACAAAAAUAAGAAUAAUAAUACCAACAUUUGUACAGGUCAAAUAAGAAUAAUAAUACUCAACCUAAUACCCAGUAUAUACAAACAAAUGCCCAGGCCAUCGUUCCUAUUUUGCCAUAACCUAAAGAGGAAAAAGCGAAGCACUACCUCAGGCUGUGAACUUUGCCGCUUCGUGAGUUUAAUUUCCCGAACAAGUUUCGGCUACCAGCGUUACCAGUGUUGACGGUGACCGUGGCUGUCAGCGUUGACGGUGACCGUUGGUGGAUCCCGAAUGCCUGGACCUUGGUCGAGGAAGGAAAGUAACGAAUUUUUUGAACAAACGAAGAAACGAAGCACCGAAGAGAUUUACGGUCAAACGGAACAAGACCAACUUGCUCUUCUAUCUAUGGCUUUCCCAGUUGAAACGAAGAAACGAAGAGGAAGAGGUUUAAUUCUUCUCAAAAUCGUCCAUCAGAAACGGCAACGUUUUGGAGUAUAAAAAAAGAAAAAAAAAUCAAAACGACGCCGUUUAAGUUAUUUUUCGAGUUUGACCCAGGACAAACAUCAUUUUCCUUUGUAAAAUAAUAAGUUCUCAUUAGUGGUUUUUAAUUUUUAAUUUUUUUUUCGGCACACCUGAUCAAGAAUUCUAUUUUGUUAACUAAUAAAUUGCAAAGCAUAAGUGUUGAACGGUACAAAAAAAUUUGAAAAAAAAACACUUAAAACGUAGGGAAAUGAGAAAUAUAGAAAGAAAGGAAGAAAGUUAAGACAUGAAACUGAUCUGCCGUGAAAUUGAUAAUCAUGUUUCUAUUUCGUUAACUAAUCAAACGGAAAACUGGAACUGUAAACAAACAUUAACACGUGUGGACUCUGCUAGCUGCCCUACAAGUCUACAAUAAUAAUUGAGUACCUUUGAUUCAUCCUUCUAUGAAUUUCUAGCUGUAUUGACCCCAACUGCUAAAGUUUUGUAAAAUUAAAAAAAAAAAAAAAAAAAAAAACUGGAAUUUCAACAAAAUUCAAAACGUGAGAAAUUUAAUUUUUGGCCAUGUGGAACAAAAUGUAAAUUACGGAAAAAGUAUAAAUCUCAAUUGCUUAGUAUGGUUAGGUUUUGUGAGCAUCACUAGAAAGUGAAAACUAUGAAUGAUAGGGGUGAUGUUUGCAACAUGAAUAAACGAUGAACUGAUUCAAUUGAUGAUCGUAAUUAUAUAAUGAGCAAAAUUUACAAAAUCAACAAAAGUUAAUAAAAAUUUAUUUUAAUAAUAAAACUUAUUAUUUAACGGCGCUCUAACCAUGGAGUACCAUAAUCAUAUUCUUCUUUUAAGAAAAUUAUAACUUAUUUCAAAUAGCACCAUAACAUAAUUCUAGAUAUUUAAAAGAAAAGCAUUAUUCACCUGAAAUGACUUGGAAGUCUAAAGAAAAAGAGGGAGUGGCUCCCCACAAUUUUCUUGUUUUCAGUAUAUUUUCUUUUUAAAAUCUUUUGACUCAUACAUAAUCUACCCUCGUUCAUUAUCUCUAUUUUGCUCUGUUCAAGUCCCUUUUUUUUCAAAUCUUAGUUUAAAUAAGAAAAUUGAAUAAAAGUACAUUUGUGUAAUUAAUUAGUAUCUGCGGGGGAUAUUUGGUGUAAUGUUUUGCUAUGUAAGACUCAGCUAUUAUUAAAUAGUUCCUUAACCUGUUUCGCAGUUUAUUUGCUAUCUUUGUGGAUCUCAUAGGCGUUGCAGAAUUUAAUAAUUUUAUUCGUCAGAAGAAUAGGAUAUUGGCUUCAAUAAAUUUAAUUUAAACCAACUUUUAUUUACUCCAUCAAUUAAUUAAUGCCAUUUGGUUUUGAAAAAUUCAAUAAUUAAAUUCUCACGUUUCAUGUGUUUGAAGUUAAAUUAUUCAUGGGUAAUUAUCACAAACCUCCCCUGAAGUUUGAUGUAUUAUCAAUUUGAUAGAUUGUAUUCGCGUAUUCUCAGCCACCUCCCCUUAAGUUAGUACACCGUUUAGUAUAAGUUUAGUGAGUGAGGGCAAGAUAGUAAUAGAACUCGUUAAUAAUAAAAAAUUCAAACAAACUUAAAAAUAUCAAAUUGGAUUCUGAAAUUGAUUUGAAUUUUGUUAAUAUUCCAAUGGGUAAAAACAAAAACAUGAUUUUAACCAACAGACAAUAUUAUAACAAAAAAAUGAGAAAGGAAAAUGGCAUCUUCUUGCUCCAUUCAGACAAGAGCUAACAAGAACAACGCCCCUUUCAUCUCUACUAUACUUUAAUAGAAAAAGGGUGCCACGAUCGGGAGACCAUGACGAUGAACUCGAAGACGCCGAUAGCAGGGACGACCGAAUCACGAACGCCAGGUGGAAGAAUGUUGACCAGUGAGUUUCCAUGUUGACCCACAGACAACCUCAGUUUGUUCGAGCCGCGAAUGAGGUAUGAAAAUGCUUAUUACUGUGCAUGUCAGUUUUAUUAGAUGGAAUUAAUCAAUUUGGUAAAAAUGAGUAAUGGGUCUCGACAAUUUUUUGAGAGUAUCUAUGUUGCUUCCAUUGUUUUCCAUCGAUUGGGUUAGUUGUAGGUUAAUGAUUGUUGUAAAUGCAUGUUCACCUGAUUUUGAUUGAAGAUGGCUUCAGCUACAUUAUGCUGCCUUGUGAAUGAUUGAAGAUGGGUAUGAAAAUUUUUUAAUUGUUUAAGCUAUUGCCACUGAUUGUUUGGAUUCAUGCUAGUUUUUAUUAAAUUACAGAUGUAAUUAAGUGUUGGAGAUUCCUUGUGCCGCAAUAUUAAUAUUUUGAGGAUACUUGAUUUUGUUUUUUUUUCUUUUUAUCACGAUAUGUACAUGUCUUGGUUGAAAAAAUGUCAUGAUUUGCUGCAUUCUCUCACACUGGAGCAGUGAGUUUAGUGGUUUUAAUUCUUUUCUUCUCUUUGACUAUGGCUCUACUUCACUGCAUUCAGAUGUCUUUAUUUGUCCAGCGUCAAAUGAUAAAGGAACAUAGUCUCCUUUUGAUUUCAGUUUGUCUUUCUGUUUUGCAGCCAAGAGGUUCUAACUACCAUCGAGAGUGAAAGGCUCUCCAAGUCAAGGCACAUAGCUCCUGCUGCUCUUGUUACUUUCCCUGAAGAUUUUGAUAAUGGGCUGGUGAUUAUUUAGUUUGGUUUCAAAUUAUGUUCUCGACAUUGUAUUUUGAAAUAUUUGGUUGGUGAGAUAAAGUUUAUUAUUAUAUCUCUAAUAUGUGAGAUGGGAUAUUUCAAGAUGGUAUUUUGGUUACAAUGUUUUAUUUGGUAUUUACAAUGUAAUCACAGCUCUUGGCGCUAAAACGGAUAUGACUAGCCAACAAUUCUUUGAUUUGUGUGAACGAAGUAUUUUUUUUCAACACAAGGGUAUUUUGGUCAUUUUGUCAAGUAACAAACAGUCAACUAAAUGGUAUACUAACGUUAGGGGAGGUGGCUGAGAAUACACAAAUACAAUCUAUCAAACUGAGAAUACGCUAAACCUCAAGGGAGGUUUCUGAUAAUUACCCAAUUAUUCAUUAACUAGAACUCUGUUCAAAAUUGACUGUCUUGUGGUUCCCAAAUGUAGUUGUAAUAUUGAAUGAAGGUAAAAACUUUCUAUGCGAGUUUAAAUCUAAAUCUGGACAAUGAAUUUUGACUUUCUCAAUGCUAUCCUAAUUACAAAAAUUAUAUUAAUUGAUUUAUUGUUACAGUUACUAGCCUUUUAAAAUGGAUGAAUUUAUUGUUUCCGUGACCAAAUUAUGCCUGCCUAACGGUGCAACUAUUAAAAAAACUAAUAUUUAAUGCAUAUGUUAAAAGAUUUAAAAUUUUAUGCAUUUAUUAAUUGUUAUAAUCUAAAAAAAAAUAAUUAAUUCAGGUCAAUCUGAGUUGGUGCAUCUGCAGGAGCCUUUUUUUUAAAUUUUUUUCCCCUUAUUGACCAUAAUGACAUCUCCUUCAACAUGACUAUUGACUAGGAGCAUGUAAAAACAUGGAAACAGAAUUUCCACAAAAAUGUCAAACGUGUGGAACUUAAUUUUUGGCCAUGGGGAACAAAUGCAAAUGAAAGAAAAAGGAAAAGACGCCUCUAAGAUUUGUUUCAAUGGUUUACAUUGACUCUUUAAUUUAAUUUAUAGUAACACAAUUUUUUUUUGUACAAAUAUAUAUUAUUCAUGUUUUGUAUUAUUUUUUAACAUCAUAUUUUUAUUUAUUAUAAAUAUUUAAAAUUAAUUUUUAGGUUGAUAUUUAAUAAAAGGGUAUAAUCGUUCUAUCCAUUUCUCAUCUCGCGAUCUCUCUCAAUUAUCCUUUAUUGAUAUCUCAAAGCGCGUUGCUGUGGAAAAUUGUAGCAAAAUGAAAAAUUGGAAAGAAAGGGAAGAAAAUUAUUGCUUGGAGAAAACAACCAAAUAAGUCAACUGGUCUUUAGUGAGAACAUAUCAUUUGUUUUGAUAUUGAAGGACCUACUUCUCUGCCGCGAUGUAGAAUAUGUGAAAGGAGUUGUCUACUGCUCUUUAGGUCAUAAUAAUGUGAUUGGUGCAUUCAACGUUGCCCCGAAACACUGGAAAGUACUUCCAUAUCCUCCGAAUGAGAACUGAUUUAUAUAUGAUUUCCUAAUUGACUCAGGAUCAGAUGACAACAACAACUUAUUAAUAGUUAUAUCAAAACGGCAGAAGACGUGUUUUGUUUACAGGUUGAUCCAUUUGGAAUGACGUGGUCUCAAGUCGAAAGUAAUUUAUUGCAUGCCUGUCGUCUAAAGCAUUACCUCACAAGGUUAUAUCAAAGGGUGUUUUACCUCAUCACGUCUUCAAGUAGAGGAUGAAGUCAGCCACUCGGCCUUUGGCCGAGUGGUGAGAGCUGCUCUCCAAUUUGGAGAGCAGCAGUUCGAACCCCCACAAUGUAUUGUGGGGGUCUUCCUUUCUUCAAUUAAAUUUGAGUGAAGGCAGUCUGUUUUUUUACCCAAGUGUGAGUAGCAGACAUCCCUUGAAAGUGUGAGUAGCAGACAUCCCUUGAAAGGAAUGAAGUUAUAGUCUGAUUUGUAAAUAUCAGUUAUAUUCUCAUGUAAUAUGAGUUGUAGUUUGAGCAAUAGUCUCAUGUAAUCAAAAAAAAAAAAAAAAAAAGUAGAGGAUGAAGUCUAUGCAAGUGAAUUCAGGAAUAUUGCAUGCCUGUCGUCUAAAGCAUUACCUCACAAGGUUUUAUGAGAGACGAAAGAUGUGUUUGCUUUGAACAAUUAAAGUUACUGCUACGGACCUCCCCAAAGGUCAAGAAGACAGAACAGGAAGCUAAUGCCAUCAAUGUCUUGUUCAUUAUAGCUGCUGGGUAGUUAGGUGUAGUUUCCUCAUUUGAAGCUGUCUAUACAUAGGCAUUUCCCCUGCUUAUGUACAAAUAAAUGAACAACCUUGAAGCUUUAUUAUUCGCAACAAAAAGGGAUUACUAAUUGGAGAAGACUAUACAGAGUUUCUCUCACACUUUCUCUCUGUCAAUUUCAUCCAGAAGGUCCCUCUGAAAGCUUCUCCCAAAACAGUUAGUCAUCUUUUAUGCUCUGUUUUCUGAAAGCAGAGUCCUAACUAAAUUAAUUGACUGUACAGUGCAUUUCAACAUAGCAUAUUUAACCGUUUUAACAGUUAUUUGGACCGUCUUCAGAGCUAACAUCAACAAACUCAUUCAUAUGCUUAAUAAUGAACGAAUAGUCUUGGAUCGAUGUUUUGCAGCAAGAGCAACUCGACACAAUCUGGAUUCAACCUCCUCCUUUCUAACAGGGGAUUUCGAUUUGAGUUACUUUGUGCUCAAGCAAAUUCACAUCAUAGUUUUGAUUCUUUAGAUAUGAAUUCAUCACAUUACAUGUAUCAGAUUAAGUGUAACAAAAUUUGUAAUUUACUGCGAAAGAAUAUGCACUAAAAAAUGAUUUCAAGACUAUUUGACUAUAAAAAGCAGCUGUCAGAGUGCACUAAAAAUUUCUGUAGGAUAUUUUGUAGCUGUUUAAUAUGUUAUGAUGGGCAUAUAAUUCUCAAAUUUUGAUGCCUCUCAGUGAAAAAUAUAUCAAAGUUUAGAUUAUGUGUUCGAGCUUUAAUAAAUGGUCGGAAAAAAAGCUGCUGUCAGAGUGCACUGAGUUAAUAAUAAUAACAACAAUAAUAAUAAACUAAAAAGCAGAAUUAAUUACUAUUGAAUGGUCGGAAAAAAAAUUGAAAACGUGUGAACUCCAAUAAUCACCCCACAAAUUCAGUGGCGAAUUUUGGCGAGGGCAAGGCCGGGCUUCUCAGAAAAAAAAUUAUUUAGUUACAAAAUUAUCUUUAUUGAAACCUAUAUAAAUUUUUUUUAUAUUAAUUAGUUAUGUUAUCUCUUCAAUUUGGUGAAUAAAUGUGUGUCUAAAUAAUUUCAAAUAACAUUUAGAACAAAUGUUUUGAGAGGUAAAGCUUAUUUUGUCUCGCAUUAUUAGGUGCAUCUAUAAUUUCUUAUUUACAAAAUUAUAUUGUACGAUAAAAAUGUAUUGAAUUAGGGGGAAAAAAGGUCAGCUCACUCAAAAACAACAAAUGGUAUUAGCUUCGCCACUGCACAAAUCUAGAAUAAUAAUGAUUCCUUAUCAUGCUGGGGGAUCCUUUACUUUCUAGCCGUAUUGACUGCACCAGGUAAAGCUUUGUAAAAUAAUAAGUUACUCAUUAGUGGUUUUUAAUCUUUUUAAUUCUUUUUACCGCACACCUGAUCGAGAAUUUUAUUUUGUUAACUAAUCAAUUGCAACGCAUAUACCGCACACAAGAUUGGAAAAAAAAAUCUUAAAAAACGUGCGGAUUCGGUAGCCACACCAGAAAUCUAUUACAAUAAUUCCUGGCCGUAUUGAAGUUUUUAAAAUAACAAGUUCCCCUUCUUGUUUUUUUUUUUUAAAUAUAUAAGCUUAUAACAAUUUUAGAAUAAUGACUCAUUUGUAGAAGAAUUUAUGAUUUCAUAUUAAUAUUAAUAUUGAAGUGGGGUGGGUCAAAUCUCAAUUGCUUGAAGAAUUUAUUUAUUAUUAUUAAUAUUAUUAAUAUUGAAGUGGGGUGGGUAACGGAUAAGCGGUUCACUCAGUUCGUGGCGAAUUAAAUAUUACCAUCCAAGGUAGAAUUGUGGAAAAUUAAAGCAAAAUGACAAGUAUGGAAAGGAAGGCUGAAAGUAAGGCAUGACGAAAGGCUUUGAGAAGGCUGAAGACUACCAAAGAAGACAACUGAAAGAGAGAAUGUGUGUUUUUUAAUAGUUAGAGAUAUAGCUAGAGUGGGUGGCUCAAAAUCCAAAAUGGUGACAAUGUUAGUUCUCGUAUUGGUAAUCUUGGGGGGGGGGGGGGGGGGGGGAACUCAGGGGAGGUCGAGUGAGGGAUGUUUGGAGCAUGAGAAAUUUGAUCUUUUGCGGCUUAAACAUUUCUUCAAUUCCCCUUAUACACUUCAAAACUGGGUAGGUGAACAAAGGGAAAGGGUUGAGUGCAGCAACUCCACAGGCCGCGUGGUACAACUACACCUUGGUCUUACUAUAUCGAUCUGGGAGAGUGGUAUCUGAAUGCUUCUAUAUUUACUUCCUUUCAACAACUUGGUAACAAAAUAGCCGGCUGCAUGCGUUGAGAAUGAAGGUCCUUCAUUUAAUUUAAUUUACUUAAUUUCUCCCUCCUAAUUAAUGUCUAUAACCAUUAGGAGGAACAAGGGAUUUUAUUAACUCAAAUAUAUCUAAUGGAGCUCAUUCUUUGGUUUUACUUGCAGGUCUAGAAGUAGGUGUCAUCUAACAGCUGCUUUAAUAAUUUCCCACCCCUUCAUCUUUGAUGGAAAGAUGAAAUAAAAACAAAAUGGUGAAAAUGGUAUUGGUACCUGAGGCUAUGUAAUCUAAUUCAAAAACUGCACCAUCAAAACGAUUACAUAAGUCUCAGAAGAAUCAAACAUCAGUUUGCAAAAUAUCAAUUGCUGGAGGUUUGAUUCUAACUUCCGCUCUUCAUUUUUAUGGGCAUGUUGUGUUGUACUUGCAUCAGAAAAUCAUAUUUUAGUUUAUUUACACUCAACGCUUGGAUUAAAGUUUUAGAGGGGGGGAUUGAAGAAGACUAGAAUGACACAAAAGAAAGAGUUGAGCGAGUGCCGCUUUUGUCGUCAUUUAAGGAGCUCUUUAUAAAUUUUAGGAUUUUUUUCCUGAGAAAAUUUAUGCCAACUCAUUCUUUGCUUCUUUUCUGAAGGGAUAGAUGCAACCGAAACUAUAUUCUUGAAUUAUCCAGGAUAAGAGACAUACGUUUAGAUUCUCGAGCCUUUAAAACAAUAUCAAAUUUUAGAUUGCCGAAAUUUUAUAUUGCCGAGUAUGAUGGUGUUCCAAUUAUAAGCUCCAGGGUGCAACUUCACUGAGGUUUAGAAUGCCUUCCUAUAGAAUUGAGAAAUCUCCAUUGGCAUAAAUAUCUUUUGAAAAUACUGCCAUCAGAUUUUGAAUUGGAGAACCUGAUUAAACUCAGCUUGCCUUCUAGUAAGGUUAAGCAAAUUUGGAAAAGAGAAAAGGUAUAAUGUAUUACUAUUACCAAAGUAUCUAUUUUUCUUUCUUUAAGUAUUUAUAAUGAAUAACUUUGAAAUUCAAUGAUGGUCAUUUAAUAUAGUUAUGUAUCUUUCAUUAUAGGAUGCUCUCAAGUUAAAAUUUAUAGACCUUCUCCCCCUGUAUCUUGAUAGGAUCCCAGAAAUCCUAAAUCUUAAGAAAAUAAAUCUUUCAAAUUGUGAAAGCAUGCUUACAUUACCCCCGUAUAUCCACAAUUUCAACCAGCUCAGUAUGUUGUGUUUCAUGGGAUGCAAAAUUCAUUUUGUUGCUCAUGAAAGAAUUGACUUGUCCGGAUGUAUUAAUUUUGCAGAUUUUCCACAGAUUAUGGGAAUAUAACAAAGCUAGACUUAAGCGAGACCCCAAUAAAAGAAGUUCCCUCAUCAAUAGAGUGCCUAGCUGAUCUGAAAACGUAGCGUUCGAGUAAGUGCACGAGGCUGAAGAGGCUUUCCAACAAGCAUUUGUAAAUUGAAAUCUCUUCUUGAGUUUUAUCUUUAUAACUACUCAAACCUUGAAUGUUUUCCAGAAAUCAUGGAGAAAAUGGAACGUUGAAAGAUAUAAAUCUAGCAAGGACGGCCAAUUACAGAGCUACAAUCGUGAUGGUCUUCUGGAUAACAUUAGCAAUUUAAAAUCUUUGAGGUACAUCUCGGCUAAUGGAUCGGCCAUUAGUCCUCUGUCGGAGAUUUGGCUGUACUUAAAUAUCUAUUGUUUUCUCGAUGCAGAGGUUUUGUAUCAUUGCCUCCAAUAUUAUUUUCAGGUUCAGGUUUAUCGAAUUUCGUACAACUAACUUUAAGAGACUCUGCUGUAGUGGAAAUUCCCCAAAACAUUGUUUGGCAAUCCUCAUUGAAAAUUUUAAAUCUAAAGGCUUGUUUGUUAACUACUUGAAGUAUGAAACUAAUGAUUUUUUUUAAUUUAUAUUUGAUUUUGAGAUAUUUGUAUCGGAAUUAAAAAAAUGAACUUUUGUGACAUUUAUCUAAAUAAAAAAAAGCUUAAUGAGAAGUAAAUAAUCCCCUUUUUCGUUUUGACUUACAAAAACAUAAUGUUAACUAACCAUGUUUAAGAUAUUUUUUAUUUAUAAAAACAAAUUAGAUGCUACUUAUAUUUAUUAUCGAAAAUUGAAAAACAAACAUGUUAUUCAUACAUUUAUAUUCAAACUUAUUCAGUCUUCAGCUAAAUACAGAUACAUUUAGAUUUCAGAGAAAAAAAUAAAUACUUCCUAAGUGGGAAUAACUUUGAGAGUUUACUUGCAAAUGUCAAGCAACUUGCAAGGCUAGAAUAUCUUGACUUGAACGGUUGCAAUAUGCUUCAGUCAUUAACAGAGCUUCCAUUGUUUCUAUAUUUUUCAGAAGUAAGGAAUUGCAAGCGCUCCAAUCUUUGCCAGAGCAUAGAUUUCAUGUUUACCAAUUGCCUGAAACUGAAUGAAAACGCAAACAACAGCAGUUUGGCAGAUUCAGAACAAAGGACUCAACAUAUGGCAAAUGCACCACUGAGACUAUUCCAUGAAAAGGUACCCCUACUCACUUUCUCUGUCCAAUCUUUGCAUCUGAUCAUCUGGGAUUCAAAUCCUCUACUCAUCUUGCUACUUGGCCUGCCAUUUUAACAUCCACUGACUGGUCGUUACCAAAAAUCAAAAACAGUAAAAUGAUACAUCUAAACCAUGCAUACAUAACCAAUAAUGUAUAUGUGUUGCAAGACUUUAGAAAGGCAAGAUGAGUAGAGUAUCGGCUUUGGUCUAAAAUUGUGGUUUUUAUAUGACAGCAGAAGCCUCAGGUACAACGUCAUGUCAGCAUUUGUUUACCUGGAAGUGAAAUUGCUGACUGGUUUAGCAAACAAGGUUUUGGAUCUUCAAGAACUAUCCAACUUCCACCACAUUGUUGGAACAGAAACUUAAUCAAAUUUGCUCUUUGUGUUGUUAUUGAACUUGAGGAAGGUUUUGAUGCUAAUGUUGAUGAAUUUUUUGUCCACUGUUUCUGCCAUUUUGAGAUAAGGGAUACUCCCUCUGAAACUAAACAUGAUCACUUUUGCGUUAUGAAAGCCGUAAACGUCCAUUGACUCGGAUCAUAUCAUAUUUGGAUUUCAUCCCUGUUGGAAUGUUGAGUGCAUUUAAGUCCAACCCUGUUACUAUAAAGUUUUUUGCCAACAGUGAAGAGGAAUGCACUCAAAGUGUUCCUCAAAUCUGAAAAAGAUGAAUUGGAACCGACUCCCAAGAGAAUUUAAAGAAAGCAAGUUGGUUUCUCAAGUUCUGAUUUCUUAUCUAAGUCCAACUCUCCAAUUACACUUUCUAUUUAUUUAUCAUUGUGCUUUAUCAUCAUCAAUAUUAAUAUUAAUAAAAUAAAAAGCAGUUGAGAGCCAAAUAAAGCCACUUGAAAAUCACUCAGUCACGCUUUUGGGACAUCAUUCUGCUCAUUACUUUUAAUCUGUAUCUCCGUUGUUUUAUUUGGUAUUUAUUACCAUUAGCAAAUAAAGGGAUUAGUUGAUUAUUGUGAGCUCACUAGAUGGAGCUCACCCUUAAAUGUCGGCUUGUACCAAGGAGGUGCCUUAGGGUUAAUAAACCAACUAAUCCCAUAAUUUAUUGAUGUAGGGUCCUAACAAAUUAUUGCAGUAGGUCAGUACACAGCUCGAAAACGUAUUUGAUCCAUACAUUGAAGAUGAUUCAAUAUUAAGCAUGUCAUAUAAUCUGGAAUAGGAUAUUGGACCAAUUUGAUGAUAAUGACUUUCUUUCAAUCUCAAUCUUUAUCUUCUUCGCAAUAUGACUAGCCAUUGCAAACUCAAACUCUGACAAUGAUUUCUCAAUCGCUUUCUAAGAUAUUGAGCAGGUAUGUAUAUGUAUGUGUGUAUGUGUGUGUGUGUGUGUGUGUGUGUGUGUGUGUGUGUUUGUGUAUAUAUAUAUAUAGAGAGAGAUCACGAGUGUGUGAUUUCCUUUUGCCAAUAAGGUAUGCAGAGACCUUGAUGUUACCCAAUAGCAAAAAAGCUUCCUAAUAAGUGAAGGUAUAGUCUAAAUACUUACACUCUCAUAUUAUUUUGUUCAUCAGCAGUUUGAUUAUUUUAUAUGCAUCUUUGAUUUUAGUUUUCUUUCCCUAUAAUUGCUAUUAUCUUUGAACUGGUCAAGAUUUGCCUAUAAGAUUUCUCAUGUUGAUUUUAGGUGCAAUGGAUUUUGAAUUUAGUGCAGGUGCAGAAGCUCGAAGGCAAAUUAUGAAAAAGGAUAAAGAUCUAUAAUUAGCGGUUAUGGGAUGUCAUAUAUCAUAUGGAUGGUAAUGGGGUCGGAUCACGAGUCCAUUAAUAAUCAUAGAUUGGCUUAUAUAUUUCAAACAAUGUACCAUGAAGUAAUUUCACAAGCACUUGUUAGUCUAUGUUGAGCUUUAUUGAAUCAGUAGUUCACAGUUCAAUACAAUGCAGGUUUACUAUUUGAAGUAAAUGCUUAUGGUGUGCAUUCUUCAUAAAACUAACUACUGAAUUUUUCGUUGAAACUUGCAGAAUGUAACAGAGAGAUGCAGAUAGCAGCCACAAAACACUAAGAUUGAAAAUCAGGACUACUAAAUUCUAUUACAAGCCCUUAGAAUAGACAACGAUCAUCCUCGAAUGUAUAUACUGAAAGUAAGAAAUAUUAAUCGUAAAGUUAUGCAUCAACAGAACUAUUAACUACUUAUCUUUAGCAGAAGAUUUAUAUUUUUAGUUGCAGCUCUCUACUUUGUUCGAAGAAUUAGGCAAAAGUGGCAUAUCUCCAAUCCAAUCAGCAUAUAUACCGCUCAUCUUCUCCAGUUCUUUCCGCUUUGAUUUGCACUCAUACCCUGCACUUGCUGCUUAGAAAUAGUCAUAGUUUGCACAUUGACAGUAGAAAAAGUACUUGAAACAGUCGUUGGCACAGCAUGAGAUUCCAUUGAGUCAUGGUCUCCAAGCUUUCGUAGUUCUGCAAAGAAAAUGACAAAACAUCAUGCUAUUGGCAUUCUACUUUUAACAAUUUUCCACAACCUGAGCUAUUUCAUAUCUCUCUAUAAAUUAUGAUCCAUGAGUGGACCACUGACGGAUGCAAGUUUAUUAUCACUUGUAACUGCUGGUUCAACCUUCAGAUAAGUUUGUGAUAAAGGCAUUUACGAGUACAAUGGCAAAAUUACAUGAACUUAUGUUAUCAAUCAUUGUUUUGCCUUCUCAUGAUAGAAUUCAAUGCAACAUAAAACAUUGAUAUAUUUGUACCUUGCCAUGCCGUGUUGUGAACCUAGAAGCAAUGCAAAGUGGAAGGAACAUAUCAAGCUAUCUACUGUAUAUAACAAAUUCUUACUAGCCCACAAUGCUGUGCCGCCACAUUGAUCAAGUAACACUACUAUUUCAUUUCCAAACUGGCAUAUAUAAUCUAAUGUUGAACAAACCAAAUUGGGAAUCAUCAUUCCUUACAUUAAGCUGACAUUCGUACCUGCUAGUCCAUGGGCAAAGUUGCAUAUAUUUUCAUACAGGCAGCUUCCCCUUAUCUCUCAGUUCCAACAGAGAUUUGGUUUCCCAUCACCAGCCUUUGAUUCAUUCGAUCAUAGAUACUCCGAGUUAGCAAGCCCCUUGUUGUGUUCCCAUUGAACAGACCCACUUCUGUUAUCCACAGAAGAUCCACCACUCAAAAUACUUAUCACUGAGCUAUUCCUAAACUGAGUAGAAACUUUCGCACAUCUCUCCGCAUUUACGUUAAGAAAUCGACACCUAUCCUCAUAUUUGCAAGUUUUCUGAUAAUAGAACGGUCUACAAAGCUGCAUUUCGUUAGGCAAUCUAGUCUCUCCAUUCCUCGCAAAGUGACAUUGAUUCCCGUAUUUGUAAUUGCCUAAUUGGGGUUUUGGCAAUAGCCUGAUCUUAAAAUUAGCACCCAUUACUUUGUUCAAAGCCACUGGCAUCCUCAGAUUAGGAACAACAUUUUCAAAUUUUUUAGCCCUGUUAGUCGAAUCACAUUCAACAGGAUAGUGAGGCAGCAUUUCACCAACAGAUUCAAUUUGACUACUCAUAUUGAUGCACAUAUAAGAAUUUGAAAUCACUUUUUCUUGGAAUAUUUAAUGACCAGACGAAAGUUCUUGAAUGGAAAUUAUUUAAUUUGAUUUGAUUUCCAACAAAUUCAAGAAACCCCAGAUAGUAACUAAACAAAAAUCAAACAAUAAUACGCAAUGGGUUUCUUUCUUUUUGCUUUUGGAGGGCCAUGGAGAUCUGGAGUGGGCUGUAAGUAAAUUAUGCCUUCAUCACUGGAAUGACAAAUUUGUAGAAGAUGAUAUAUGGGGAAGGAUUGAAGUAUUGAACAAAUUAAAUUACGUCCAUUGUGAUGAAUUAAAAAUAAAAUAACAAUUUUAACUUUAUAAUAAAAUUUGAUGUUAUCAUUACAUCUUUUAUUAAAAAAUUAAAUUAAUCAAGAAUGAUAUUAUUUUCUUUUAAUGUUAUCAAACUAAUCAACCUAUAAAAAUUAUAAAUUGUGAAGAAUAAAUACAUACACCACUUAAAAUGAUAUUUAUAUCAAAUUACUAGUUUUUAAGUUUUUCUUUUCAGAUGUUGAAAAAGAAAAAACAAACAUGUCAUUUAGAUAUUUUCAUUCAGACCUAUUCAGAUUUAAACUAAAUACAGACCUAUUCAGAUUUCAAAUAAAAAACAAACACAACCUUAGUAUAGCACAGAGCUUUUUUAGUGUAGCAUUUUAUAAGCAGAUUUUUUUUAAAAAAUUAUUAUUUAUUUGGUUGUUUUGCAUAGGAGAGCGUUUAAAGCUCCAAAAUCUUUGAUCAGUCAAUUUUUUUUUUUUUUGUUAGUAAAACUUUCAACAAAAAUUUAUUAUUCAUUUGAUCGUAUAUGAGAGUUUUUAUUAGUAAGUUAUAUAAAGUUCUUUAAUUUUUUUUUUAUUAGUGCAACUUUGUACAAGUACAAUUUUUAUUUUCUAAAAAAAAUUAAUUCAAUAAUAUUAGGAAUUUCAAUAUUUAAAUCCUAAUAUCAUCUGUCACUCAUUUAUUAAAUGACUAAUUUCAUAACUUAUAAAUUUAUUUAACUAACACCCAAUGAGUGAAUAUUACUAUGAUGAAGACUCAAAUUGAAAUUUAGAUGUUAGGUUGCGUAACGUUGCUCUUAUUUGGUUAUUUAUGAGAGCUUUCUUAUACAAACUUAUUUGUAUACAAAUUGAUAUAGUCUAAAUUCAUUAACUAGAUGAAAAUAUAAAAUAAUAAAAAUAAAUCAUAUGUACUAAGAAUUGUUUAAUUCAUCAAAUUGAAUUAUCCUACUUAUGUUUGUACCAAAUAAAUUUAUAUAAGAAUUUAUAAUUCUAUUUUUAAAUGUCCAACUAAAUUUUUAGUCCUUUAUUCUUUGUAAAAUUCAAAUUCAAAUGGCUCAUCAAAUAAAAUUAAAACUAUUGGCUAAUCAAAUAAAAUUAUUUGAAACCAUUGGGUAUGGUAGCUGGACCUCUUGGAACUAUCUAAGCCAUGAAAUUAACAGCGAAAAGAGUUUUAAAUGUCUAUUUUAUAAAUUUUUUAAUUAUUUUUUUAUUUACCAUUUUACCACCCAUAGUGAAAGUGUCUCAUCGACAGUUGAACAGUCAACAUAUCAGUCCUUAGGAAUUUACGUUUGGGGUAUUUUUGUAAUUAUAAGAAGGUAAACUAAUCGCAAAAUUCAUUUGGCUUGAACUUGCUCGCCUUCGCCCUGUGUAUGGUCGUGGCGUUAUCAAUAUCACCUUCUCCACUCGUACUGACACCAAACCUUAACCGUUCAGAUUCCCUUUCUCGAUUGUCAUACCCUAGGCCCCGUCUACGUGUCUCCGAUAAACAGUGCUCAAUUAAGGCCAUCAGAUUAUCCCGGACCCACAUUGAUCCAACGGCUCACAAUGACCGACAACCUCUAUAUCUCCAUUUCAAGCUCCCUUUUCAACUGGCUUCUGCUUCCGUCGUACUCUUUCUCGGAUUCGGAGUCCGUAUUUGCUCGGCCGGUCCCGCACAGCUCCCUCUCGCUCCAAUUGUCACCCAACAAGACCAAUUGCUUAAUCAAGGCACAGACCAAGAAGAGGAUGAGAAAUUGAAACAAGAAUUUGAGAAUUGGAAAUCGAAAACGUACCCAUUUGUGAUAAGGAAUUUAUGCGAAGUAAGGGAAAGAGAUUGAAGUUUCAGAUGAAUUUGUGUGCUAGCAUUGAUGGGAUCGUUAACAAUUUAUCUGUGCCCUUUAACAAAGUUAAGGCUAAGUCAGCUUCUUAUAUGGCUGCUGAUUUGGUUAGUGUUGGUGAUUCAUGGCUCAGCUUUGCGAUUAAAAAGAGAUUGAUUGAGCCAAUAGCUGGAGCUGAAGAUCAAGAUUGGUUCAAAUGCUUAAGUCACAAAUGGAAGGUAACAUCUUUGUCUUUGACCCGAUAAUUUUUAUUGUCUUACAUUGAAAUUUGGUAAUGUGGUUUGUAGUCAUUUUAUUUAUUUGCUUUUAUUUGCACCAACGAAGUCUCAGGUAUAUCUAUGCAGGAAUGAUACAGGAGAAAUUGAUCCUCGAGGUAAAAUAUGGGCGGCACCAUACAGGUGGGGCACAAUGGUGAUAGCCUACAAGAAAAGUAAAUUUCGAAAGCAUAAUUUGGCUCCAAUUGAGGUAAUAAUUGUCUUUAAAUUUUAUAUGAAACAAAAUCAAGACUGCCUUUCUGUUCAAUAUUUUUGAUGAUAAUAUCUUUAGAAGCAUCGCAUUGACGGGUAAUAAUGGUAUCCCUGAAAGAGUCUAUAAACUCAAUGAUAUUAUCUUCUACACAUGGUUUAUUAAACUUCUUCGUUGUAGUCAAAUGUACACUAAGAACAAUGAGAAGCUAUGCUACUGUAGCAUGUAGUGAUGGCGCUUAAUAAGUGAGUUGCUAGGAUGUGAACUAGAAAAAUUAAAUAUUGUCUCCUUGGGUAUGCUAGCUUGUAAGUCAGGGUUAAUAUUAGAAUUUAAGAUACUAUAACCAUGAGAAGCUAUUGACUGCCAAUUAAAAUAUCCAUUAAAAUGUCUAGGGAGUUAAGAAGGUGGAGGUAUCUUCCGAUUUCUAAGGCCACAUAGUAGACAUCAUCCAGGAUCCAAGGAAGGUGCGGUUAAGCUCCUGCUCGGUGCAAUUAAUAAAUUUGGUCAAUGCCACUGAAACCUGCUAACUGAUGUCACAAUGCACCAUGAGCACUUCAAAAUGGGAUAGACGGUCAGUAGCACUAAAUUUUUCUUGCCUAAGAUUGGGCAAUUGGUCUAACUGCUAACCCCUAUUGUAGGUUGAUCAUUAUUUUUUCAAUUAUGUUCAGUUUGACCCAAAAAGUUACAGAAUCUUGAUCUGAAUAUUGUCACCGAACACCGUCAAUGUUGUUUAGCAUAGCCAACUAACUAAAGUUUGGUAAAACAAACACACAUUGUGUCUCAUGUCUCACAAUUCAAAUUAUCAUCUGUAAUGAUGGAGGAUUUUUCUAAUGUAUGAAGUAUGCUUUGAUACGUGGGUUAGCUUGGAGAAGAUAUCUCAAAAUAAAGAACAUGGGGAGCGAAUGGGAAGAAAACAGUUCAGUAGUUUAUUAUUCUGUAGUCAAGUUUUGUCUCAAAAAUGGUCAAAAUUUAAAUGAAUAAGGACAGCGGAUCUUCAUUCUUUUUCCCUUUUUUAUGCCAAGAUAUCUCUCAACCUUUAUAUAAUCCCCACUGGAUAUCUACUUCUAACAAUUAAAAUAAAAAUUUCACCCACACAAAUAAAUACUGACCAAGCUCUAACAAUAAAAAGUAACAUCUUUAGUCAGGUAACCUCUUUACAGUUCCUCAUCAUCUUAGUGUGAGACUAUCAGUACGUUCCAAAAACAUAAUAAAACUGGUUUGAUCCUGUUUAUUGAUGUUUAAAUGUUGUUCAUUGUGACAUGUAGAAAUGAUGAGGCGAAGUUUCUUUGGUCAUCAAUUGGUAAGAUCUUGUUUGAAGUUGUUUUCUGAAAUGAACUGCCAAAUGGUAAUUUUUUUGGGCAUAUGAUGGCUCCUUUUUCCUCAUUUUAAACAUGUGCCUGCAUGGAACGGGAAGGAUUAGGCUGCAGAGUUGUUAUAUAUUUUGACAUGCAAUGGUUAUUACACAAUUUGUUCACACUGGAAAUUAGAAUGAGAAAUUUGUUGAUGCUGUUUUGAGAGAUCCGCAUUCUAUGCGCAUUAACAUGAUUAAUGAAAACAGAUUAUAGGACUGGAAAGAUCUGUGGCGGCCUGAGCUCGCAGGAAGAAUUUCAAUGGUUAAUUCUCCCCGAGAGGUUAUUGGUUCCGUUUUGAAGUAUAUGGGAGCAUCGUACAAUUCAAACAAUAUUGAUUUGCAAGUUGCUGGUGGGAAGAUUUCUGUUCAGCAGAAUCUGGCAUUAUUGGCAAACCAGGUACUCUUAAAGAAAUGAUAUCUGGUCAUUGCAUGUUAUUGCCUGACAACUGAUUUUGUUUGUAAAGUCUGCUUCUUCAUACAUAUGAACGCAUAUGUUAGUGUUUUCCUCUCCUUUUCAUACAUAUGAAUGCAUUUGUUAGUGUUGUCUUUUCCUUUUCAUACAUAUUAAUACAUAUGUUGGCGUUCUCUCCUGAAGAAAUGGCAAGGGAUGUGAGAUUCUGUCUCAUUAAAUUAACAAAAACCCAAAACAAUGAAAACCCAUAAUAAUGUGGUGUGGGUAAAUUGGCGCCAUUUGGUUCGUUUCCUUAAUGUGAAUACGCGAGCAAUAGAGACUAACAAAAUGAAGUGACAACAAGAAGUCAGUGUCGUCUGAUGGAUGCAUUUUUAGGCAGAAAUAGGUUUGUAAUUGACCAAAUUUGUCUGGCAUGCCAAUUUCAAAAAAAUUAAAUCAUGUGAUUAUUAGCUGUAAUGAAGGGAGACAGUAGGUGCAAUCAGGUGGAUCCAGGAAAGUUCAACAAAGUUCUGGUAUGGCGUAGUGAAAUUGGUUGUCCAACUCAAGAGUCUUUCAGGUGAACGAUGAUGGGUUUUGAUUUAUAAAUGUUAUAAAUCUACUAUGAAUAGUAUUCUAGCAGAAUCAUCUGUAAGUUCUAGUUAUUGAAAUUGUCUACUUUGUCCAGUUUGAAUUAAGGGCAAAUGUAAUAUGAAAAAUAGUUGCCGCAUCUUUUAGGUUACCUAACAUUUGAUCAAUCCUAUUAUGUGGGCUUCAAGAUGUCUAACAAUAUGUAGAAUGCACAUGCUCCUACCCAUUGUUUAUCUUAUACAAUAAUUUGUUUUAGAUGCUAAUAUCUUUGUCGAUCCCGGUAUCAAUAUUACAAUAUCUGCGUUUAUUGGGUUUUACAUAGGUUCGACUGUUUGACAGUACACACUAUCUGAAGGCAUUUGGAAUUGGAGAUGUAUGGGUUGCUGUUGGGUGGAGUAGUGAUGUUCUUCCUGCUGUCAAACGUAUGUCUAAUGUUGCAGUUGUUGUUCCCAAGUCUGGCGCUAGCUUAUGGGCCGAUCUUUGGGUAUACCCAUGCCUGCCUUUCUACUUCGAUAUUCACAUUGUUAUCUCCUUCAUAUUAGUGAUCAGUAAACACGAUAAUGUGACUAAUAAGUUCGUAUCCUCUUUAUAGGCAGGCCCUGCUGCCUCAAGACUUGAAACAAAACAAAUUGGAGGGCGAGUCAGAGGUCCAUCUCCAUUAAUCCAUCAAUGGAUAGAAUUCUGCUUGCAAACAGCGAGAGCAUUGCCUUUCAAGCAAGAGGUUAUCCCGGGCGCAUCUCCCUCUGCCCUUGAGAGUACUCUGGUUAAGUUGCCUGAAGAACUUCUGAAGGGUAAACCAAGUCUGGAUACUAACUUAAUUGUUGGAGUACCCCCGGCUGAAAUUCUGGCCAGAUGUGAGUUUUUGGAGCCAUUAUCUGAAGCUACUUUGUCAGAUUAUGAGUGGCUGGUUGCUAAUCAGCAAAAACCUGCUCCUGUCUUGAUGAAAAGGGUGCAACAUUACUUGUCAUCAUUGAUCCAAAGCUUUCUAGCAAAAGCUACAUUGAAAAGUUAAUGGCACUGCAUGCCAGUGAUUAUAAUGCUUCAGGGCAAUUGGGUCAGGGCAAUUAGGUCAGAGCAUAACUUCAUUAGGAAAAGAGGCUUCAGCUACAUUAAAUAUUACAGGAUGUACUGAGAUGGCUGAAGUUCUUGAGGUUUUAUGAGAAAUGAAAGAUGAGUCUUUGUUUGAACAAAGUUGUUGCCAAUUUUGCAGAGUUCGAGAAGAAAGAUCACGGAGCGAAUGCCACCGAUUUCUUCAUCAUUGUAGCCUCCAUAGUUGAAGUUUCCUCAUUUGAAGCUGUUUAUGCAUUAAGCUUAUUCCCUGCUCAAGUACAGGAAACUGAAGAAUUAACCAGACAUGAUAUGCUGAAAGAGGGAAGUUUUCUUCCUUGAAUGUGGCCUUGUGAUUUGUAGUGAAGUAAUAGGAUGAUCACUAGCAAGAACCCUAUCAAGGUAGAUUUUAUAAUGUCAACAUAUUAUUAAGCAUUUGUCAAUUUAGCACUUUCGCAAUGAUACAUUCAUAGCCUGAAAUUAAUUAUAUGAUCCUGAUUAAUCAAUUAAUCUUCAUGAGAUUUAACCUAGUUAAAACUAAGUACAAUCAUCGUUAACAAAUACUGAAAUUGGGUAAAUAUGAUCUCGACAUUGAAGAAUUUGAAAACACAACCCACGGAGGAAAUUACCUGUUGCAUGGGGAUGGAGAUGGUUACUGCAGGGAUAUAAAAUAUGUGCAAGGUGUUGUCCACUGCUCUUUGGGUUAUGGUGUGACUUGCGAUUUCAAGGUUGCCCUGAAACAAUGGAAAAGAUUAACAUAUCCUCCAAUGAAUGAAAACGGCUUGUCUAAUUCUAAUUACCGAAUUGACUCAGAAUCAGGUGGCAAUAAUAACAGGUCAUUAGCAUUACACAGUCCGAGUACUUUUCCAGGAUCAGAUACAACGUGGUCUAAUGUUGAUAAUAAUAGUUUAUUAAAUGACAAAUCAUUGGUCUUGGGUGUUGGUUAUAUACGUCAUUACUACUUCAAGUAGAAGAUGAAGGUUGUGCAGGUGAUUUCAGAAAUAAAAUACAUUCUGAGAGAUGCUGGUCUACCAUUGCAUGCCCCCAGAUAUAAGAAUUUUUUGAUUGGGGCAUUUGGCAAGAUUCGACAAAUUCUAGAUUCAACCUCCUCCACCAAGGGAUUCCAACUGAGUUAUCAAUUAUCGUAGCAGUUCUAUUAACUAAAAUUAGCAAAUAUAAUAUAAGAAAAAGAACAAUAAAUACACACUGAAGUUGAAUUGAAAAUGAAGUUGCAAGUUGCCGCCCAUAGCUGCUGACUAAUAAUAAAACGAGACAAAUUAAUUAAACUCAGACCUCUUUGUAUAUGUUAUCCUAACUUUACUUACCCUUGUUUGUAAUUUUCACUUAACACUUGAUGCCUAAACCAUUAAAACCAAAUGACCAUAGGGGUAUUUAAAGUAUGUAAAAAUAAACAAAAACACGUAAAAAAAUUCAAACAAUUAAUAAUUACACUCUAAAUGCACCACUCAACUCUUAAUAAUAGCCAUACUCUAAAACAAUCUACAACCUUUGAGGGGAGUAGCUAUGAGGAAAAUCCUUUUCUCAGUGGAUUGCCAUUGCCCAAUAGUUGCAAUGAAAAGAGACCACCUGCAACUGUGCCGGAAGAUUCAACUAGCUCUGAAAAAGAUGAUAAUUUAAUUGAUAUGGACAGUUUCCAUAUCACUUUUAAAUCAUCUUAUGUAAUUGUGAUGUUAGUAAGCAUUAGUGAUCUAUAUGUGAACUAUUAUUGGCGCCAUUGGUGGUUUUAUCUUGUUAAAAUAUGGAUGACUUCCGGUUACUAUUUUGUAGUACACAAUUUUAUUCAAUUAACAUAUACCUUAAAACCAUUAUGUAUGUGCUUUAUUAAGAUUCUCAAGUACCAAUCACGUUUGCUUAAGAAAUAAAAUUUUACCAUUAAAAGCGUAGUAAUAUUUCCAAGCGCUUCGCAUUUAUCUCAACAUUUUGAAGGAAUUUCGAGAAAUACACGGGUCCAAAAGUCUAGUCAUCAUCCUUAUUCUUGGUAUGAGUUGAUUUUUAGUGAUUAUCUAAUUGACUGGGGUGACAACAAUAGCACAACGUAGAAUUCAAUAAUAGAAUUCUCCUGUUUAAUUUGUUUUAAGUUAAAUUAUUAAUUACUUAAAACUCUGUUUUAAGUCUUUAAUUUUAUGUCUUGGCGUAUAUGCAGAGUUGGAAUCUUGAGUGAGUUGGACAUGACCUACAAUGAGAGUGGCAGUAAACAAACAUUAGAACGUGUGGACUCCGGUGGCUGCCCUGCAAGUCUACAACUCUACAAGAAUAAUUUCUAGCCCCGUUGACUCCACUAACUAAAGUUUUUUAAAAUUUAAAAAGGUACAUAGAAUUCAACAACAAGCAAAACGUGUGGAAUUUAGUUUUUUGCCGUGUGGAACAAAAUACAAUUUAGCAAAAAAGGACAAGAAAAAUGGUAAGAUUUCUAAAAUGAGUGGAAGUUGAUCCAUAUUUUACUGAAACGACUUGCCCCGAACAUCACGACGAUUGAUUUUUUUUAUUUAUUUUUUGAAUAACAUCAACUUUCAUAUCUUUCUAACCCCCAGAAUAUGCUCACGUUCUAGUCUAUCUUGCUAAUUUAAAAAAAUAAAAUCAAAUCAACACCAAAACAAUGAAAAGUAAAGCUUUUGAAUUUCAACUCCAGCUAGCAAACGUAUUCAGCGUUUUCAAAUUCUUCCCAUUGCAUAUCUUCUUCCUCCAUCAAUGCAAUAUUUGAACGAUUAUGAAAGAAUUUAAGAACAUAAAAAAUCUCCUAGGUUUAUACGGUGUAACAAAUUUAAAUUCUCAAUUACAAUAGAUAAUAAUUAAACUAAUAAUUUUUUAUGUACUUAUUUUAGUAAUUUCACCUAAGAAUAAUAUUGUAAUUAGAAAAAAAAAAUCUAAUGAGUAGGGUGGUCUUAUACAAAAUCAACUGCAUACAUAUAUGCAGAUGCAGAUAAUAAUUUUUAAUUCCUUUUUUUAAUAAGAAAAUUGUGUAUUGAGAUGAAUAAGAUGUUUAAUUUAAUUAAUUUCCUUACUUUCGUAUACAUUGUCUUUCUAUCUAGAGAAAGCUUGGUGUUCAGAACGACAUGAAGUUGCGAGUUGUCGCCCAUGGCUGCUGAUUAAUAAUAAAACGAGACAAAUUAAUUGAACUCAGGCCCAUAUGUAUAUGUUAUCCUAACUUUACUUGCUCUUGUUUGUUAAUAUUCAUUCUUAGAGAGGUGAAAAAAAUUACAAGUCUUGAAUAACGAGGAGUUUAAUUGCCUCUAACUUUACUUGGCCAGGCCUUCUAUAAUCUCAUUAAUAAUACAGAGAAUUAAUUAUCUUUUUAUUAUUAAACCAUCUUCAGGAAGAUUUUCCUUAAUUUGCUCCAGAAGAGUUGGAGCUGUGGUUCUGAUAAACCAAAGAAUUAGUAGCAAUUAAUAUUAAUAUUUCGCCCAUGGCUGCUGAUUAAUAAUAAAACGAGACAAAUUAAUUAAACUCAGGAGCAUUUAAACCACUUCCUUAUCAAUUGCGGCAGCCGUCUAUUAACUAAAACGCCAAUCUAAUACAAGAAGAAAGAACAUUUACAGACUUGGCAAUUGAGUUCAUUAAGAAGUAGCAUCGCAUUCGGGUGAUGAGUUUCCUUUUGUUAAUGAUUUUAGUCUAAUUUCAAUUGUACUGUGACCGCUUCUCACUCAAGGUAAGUGAAAGUUACAGAUGUGGCAAAAUAAAUAAUUAAAUUAACAAAAUGCUAACUAAUUUUCCUAAAUACCUAGGGUUGUACAAUUUCACCAACCUGGAAGAAUUGACAUUAAUGGACCGGUCUCCUCCCCAUAUAAUUAUAAUCCUUCUAGAAAGCUAGUUUUUAUUAAAUAUUUGCUUUUAAGUUAAUUUCAAUUAAAAAAUGUUUUAAGUUAUAUAUACUCUAAUGAGAUUCUGAAUUCCUUUAUUCCAAUAAUAAUGAAAACGUAUUAAAUUAGAAAUGAAAAAAUUGGUGUUGAUGAUUCAACCUAUUUGGAUAGAUUACGUGAAUAAAAUUGAAAUUUUGAUUUAAUUUUUGUUUAUUGUUAAUUCUCAUGCUAUCUUAAUUUCAAGAAUUUAGAAUGUUAAUUUGGUCAUGGAUUUCAACCCGUGAGUAUCAUAUUCUAGACUUAAUGGUACCAUUCUUUGAUUGAGGGCAAUGACUCUCACUCCUCUUGUAAAAAAAUAUUUUCAACUAUUUUGAUGACUUAAAAAUUGAUAGAUUUAUUGUUGUCAUGACCAAAUUAUUCAUUUUAAUGAAAUAUAAUUAAUGCAUCAAAGUUACCAGGUUUAUGUUCUAUCUUACCUCUGUUUCAUUUUUUUUUUUUCAGUUAUCAGCUAUGCCCCUGAGGCAUUUUGUAGAGUAUAGCUUCUGCUUACCUCUGUUUCAUUUUUUUUAAUAAAAAAACAAGGGAAGGUUUUUCCGAGUCAUCCAUUAUUUGAUUUCCGUCAAUCAAGAAAACGACCAAAUUAAUUUCUCUCCAAAAUUUCCAAAAGCUAGAAAAUUUUGUUAUUUGAAAAUAACAUCAUUAAUUAUAGAGUGGAUCAAACCGCGUUAUUGUCUUUCAUAAAAUUGAUGUCUUUUUAAGAGUCAAUACUUUUGAUGUACGCAAACCAGUCGACAUCAACUUAAACUUCCAUAUUUUUAUUAUUAUGUUAUUUAUUUUAAUCCCCGAUUAUUUGAUUAGCCACUAUAUAUAUAUCAAGAAAGCGACAAAAUUUAUUUCUCAUGACUUCCAAAAACUAGAAAACAACAUCAUUUAUUAUUUUUUUGCAACCCUAAUUGACAUAAACUUUAACUUUAUUAUGUUAUUAUUUCAAUCCCCCAUUAUGACCUUUCUAAUCCUCCAUUAUGCAUCUUUUAUAGUGCAAAUUUAAUUGCACAUCUAAAUAAAUUGAUUAUUGUUACUCCACCACCAAUAUUUCAAGGAAAAUUCUAUGAUGCCGUGAUUAAAAUUACGGUAUUAAUGCCGUAGUUAUUAUGUACCGUUAGAUUAGAUCAACGGCACAUAAUAAUUAUAAUUAUAUAAAUUUUAUUUUUUCAACAGGUUACAACCCGGUUAACAUUUUUUUAUAAGUAAAAGUUAACCGAUUAAAAUUAAAAAUAAUUAUUAUAUUUUUUUAGAAAAUUAUUAUAACUGAUUUAUUUUAAAAUCGCUCAUUCACGUUAAUUAGGGAUUAUGAUAGGACCGAAGUAAAACUUCAGCCGAUUCAUAUUGAGAGGAAAAGAGCAACUGAGUCUUUCUCCACUACCAGUCUUUCUCCACUACCAACUCCACGUCAUCGCCGUUCCGCCGUUUUGUUUCAUCAUGUGUUGGGAAAGGGCAGAGGUUGUUUCCCAGUGGCCAACUCGAAGAAGCUAAAGUUCGUUAAAUUCCAAAACACAUAAUCCUUGCAAACUAGAACGGGCAAAGGCUAUCUUUGAAUUGUGCUUUUUUUUCCUGUUUUUCGAGCCAGACUGCCCACCAAGUUAGCCAAUUCUUGGUACUAAUUUUGUCUUUUAGUAUUGAUUUUUGGGGAAUUCCUUUUUUCACCUUGAUUUUCUUUUGAAUUGUUUUAUAUCUGCUUGAUUUUCUUUCUUUCACUCUUUUGUAUUCUUUGGUUUUCUUCAUCAAAAUUUACUAUUUUCACAUGUUAUCUUGAUUAUUUCCUGCUAAUUAAUUUUGUAUUGUAAAUAAUCUAUUUGUUGGACUUCCAGAGUGAGCAAGUUAAUUUGAUUUAAUUAGGUGCCUAUUAUAAUAGCUUUUCUGGUUUGUUGUAGGCAAUUCUAACUGUAUUCUAAAUAAACUUCCAUAUGAUUAGAUCUUGAUAAAUGCAAAGGAUAACAAUGUUAUAAGCCAUUGGCCUAAGAAAAUGUGUAAAUCCUCUAUUUGAGGUACAAAUUUUCUCUCAUAUGUUUUUUUUUUUAUUUUGUAUUUUUUCACAAAGAACUGGUUGUUAAGAUCCUAUUUCAUUAGUUGAAACUGAUUAAAAGGAGAUUACCCUUCGGCAGUUGGUGGGAAAGAUUUAAGUUCAUCUUUCUGGAUCUUCUACUUUAGACUUAUCAUUCAAGAAAGUGUCAAAACUCGAAUGGCUGUAAAACUUUGAACAGAUUAUUAAUUAAUUUAGGUGCAAGAUCUUUUAUAACACUUUAAUAAGUUAUUACCAUUGCAUUCUUUUUUUCUUUUCUUUGAGAAGAAACCAUUUAACUUUAGACUAACUUCCAAAUUUACCUUUGUAAUUUAGCUAAAUAGGUAAAUUUAUUCAAAAGUUGUCCUCCUCGCAAGCUUAAGGUAUUUCAACUUUGCCUACAACUACAAGUUAAAGAGAAAUUAUCGUGAAAACCAUGCCACGGCCGCAGUAUUUAAAAUGUGCACAAGGAGCUUAGAGAACUGGGCUUUGUUUGAUUACAUGAAAGGAAAUGGACAAAAUUUAUGUUACAAAAGAAGCUUGGAGCUGAUAAAUGAUGCAGUAUGAGUGAACUUUUUGUCGCUCUUUGAGGAAUUUUUCUACAAAUUUUGAUGUAGCUAUUAUUUUGGUGAAUGAUUUAUUCUUUUCUUUUUUCUUCAAUAUUAUGAUUUUGUUUCCAUAUUUUAAUAGAAAUUAUUAAAAUUCUAAGGAAAUUGCACUAUUUAUCUCAAGAAAGUGGCUUAAUUCUACAUAUAUGAGUAAUGUUUCCAUAAUUACAAGCAUAAUAGUGGCUUAACUCCAUAAUUCUACAUAUAUGACAUCAAACCCAACUCAUGCUCACCCUUAUAUCAUUCUAUCUAAAUCAUAAAAUGACAAUAAUCCAACUCUUUAACAAUUUUCACAUUGGAUUUAAGUUGAGGCAAUUGACCUAAACUAAAUAACCUAAAUUCCAAAUAAAUGUGAAAUAACACAAAAAAUUUCUAAACCACACGUAUGACUCGUAAAUUGAAGGUAAAACAUGUAAAUUAGCGUUAGAGUGGUAAAUUGGUCUACAAAAUUAAAAAAAAUAAAAAAUAGAAAAAAACUAGUAAAUUGAUAGAAAAUGUAGUAAAUAAAUGUUGGAGUUGUAAAUUAUAAGAAGAAAUUGUAAACAAAACAAAAACUUAGAAAAGUGACAUAGAACUUGUAAAUUGACAUUAAGUGUGAAAUGAAAAACAAAACUUUGUAAACCACAUAUAAAACUAGUAACUUGAUGGGAAAAUGGGAAAAUUAAUGUUGGAGUUGUAAAUUGUAAGAAGAACUUGUAAACAAAACAAAAACUUAGAAAAAUGACGUAGAACUUGUAAAUUGACAUUAAGUGUGAAAUGAAACAAAAUAUUUGUAAACCACACAUAAAACUAGUAAAUUAAUGGAAAAAUGGGUAAAUUAAUGUUGGACUUGUAAUUGGCAAGAAUAACUUGUAAACAAAAUAAAAACUUAGAAAAAUGACAUACAACUAGUAAAUUGACAUUACGUGUAAAAUGAAAUAAAAAACUGUGUAAAUCACACAUAAAACUAGUAAAUUGAUGGAAAAAAUGGUAAAUUAAUGUUGGAGUUGUAAAUUGCAAGAAGAACUUGUAAACAAAACAAAAACUUAGAAAAAUGACGUAAAACUUGUAAAUUGACAUUAAGUGUGAAAUGAAACAAAAAAUUUGUAAACCACACAUAAAACUAGUAAAUUAAUGAAAAAAAUGGUAAAUUAAUAUUGGAGUUGUAAUUUGCACGAAGAAGUUGUAAACAAAACAAAAACUUAGAAAAAUGACAUAGAACUUAUAAAUUGACAUUAAGUGUGAAAUGAAAUAAAAAAUUUGUAAACCACACAUAAAACUAGUAAAUUAAUGGAAAAAUAGGUAAAUUAAUGUUGGAGUUGUAAUUGGCAAGAAGAACUUGUAAACAAAACAAAAACUUAGAAAAAUGACAUACAACUAGUAAAUUGACAUUACGUGUGAAAUGAAACAAAAAAAAUGUGUAAAUCACACAUAAAACUAGUAAAUUGAUGGAAAAAGGGUAAAUUAAUGUUUGAGUUGUAAAUUGCAAGAAGAACUUGUAAACAAAAUAAAAACUUAGAAAAAUGACAUACAACUAGUAAAUUGACAUUACGUGUGAAAUGAAACAAAAAAAAUGUGUAAAUCACACAUAAAACUAGUAAAUUGAUGGAAAAAGGGUAAAUUAAUGUUGGAGUUGUAAAUUGCAAGAAGAACUUGUAAACAAAAUAAAAACUUAGAAAAAUGACGUAGAACUUGUAAAUUGACAUUAAGUGUGAAAUGAAACAAUAAAGUUGUAAACCACACAUAAAACUAGUAAAUUAAUGAAAAAAAUGGUAAAUUAAUGUUGGAGUUGUAAAUUGCAAUAAGAACUUGUAAACAAAACAAAAACUUAGAAAAAUGACGUAGAACUUGUAAAUUGACAUUAAGUGUGAAAUGAAACAAAAAAUUUGUAAACCACACAUAAAACUAGUAAAUUAAUGAAAAAAAUGGUAAAUUAAUAUUGGAGUUGUAAUUUGCACGAAGAAGUUGUAAACAAAACAAAAACUUAGAAAAAUGACAUACAACUUGUAAAUUGACAUUAAAUGUGAAAUGAAACAAAAAAUUUGUAAACCACACAUAAAACUAGUAAAUUAAUGGAAAAAUAGGUAAAUUAAUGUUGGAGUUGUAAUUGGCAAGAAGAACUUGUAAACAAAACAAAAACUUAGAAAAAUGACACACAACUAGUAAAUUGACAUUACGUGUGAAAUGAAACAAAAAAAAUGUGUAAAUCACACAUAAAACUAGUAAAUUGAUGGAAAAAGGGUAAAUUAAUGUUUGAGUUGUAAAUUGCAAGAAGAACUUGUAAACAAAAUAAAAACUUAGAAAAAUGACGUAGAACUUGUAAAUUGACAUUAAGUGUGAAAUGAAACAAAAAAUUUGUAAACCACACAUAAAACUAGUAAAUUAAUGAAAAAAAUGGUAAAUUAAUAUUGGAGUUGUAAUUUGCACGAAGAAGUUGUAAACAAAACAAAAACUUAGAAAAAUGACAUAGAACUUGUAAAUUGACAUUAAGUGUGAAAUGAAACAAAAAAUUUGUAAACCACACAUAAAACUAGUAAAUUAAUGAAAAAAAUGGUAAAUUAAUAUUGGAGUUGUAAUUUGCACGAAGAACUUGUAAACAAAACAAAAACUUAGAAAAAUGACGUUGAACUUGUAAAUUGACAUUAAGUGUGAAAUGAAACAAAAAAUUUGUAAACCACACAUAAAACUAGUAAAUUAAUGAAAAAAAUGGUAAAUUAAUAUUGGAGUUGUAAUUUGCACGAAGAAGUUGUAAACAAAACAAAAACUUAGAAAAAUGACAUAGAACUUGUAAAUUGACAUUAAGUGUGAAAUGAAACUAAAAAUUUGUAAACCACACAUAAAACUAGUAAAUUAAUGGAAAAAUAGGUAAAUUAAUGUUGGAGUUGUAAUUGGCAAGAAGAACUUGUAAACAAAACAAAAACUUAGAAAAAUGACAUACAACUAGUAAAUUGACAUUACGUGUGAAAUGAAACAAAAAAAAUGUGUAAAUCACACAUAAAACUAGUAAAUUGAUGGGAAAAGGGUAAAUUAAUGUUGGAGUUGUAAAUUGCAAGAAGAACUUGUAAACAAAAUAAAAACUUAGAAAAAUGACGUAGAACUUGUAAAUUGACAUUAAGUGUGAAAUGACACAAAAUAUUUUUAAACCACACAUAAAACUAGUAAAUUAAUGUUGGAGUUGUAAUUAGCACGAAGAAGUUGUAAACAAAACAAAAACUUAGAAAAAUGACAUAGAACUUGUAAAUUGACAUUAAGUGUGAAAUGAAACAAUAAAGUUGUAAACCACACAUAAAACUAGUAAAUUAAUGAAAAAAAUGGUAAAUUAAUGUUGGAGUUGUAAAUUGCAAGAACUUGUAAACAAAAUAAAAACUUAGAAAAAUGACGUAGAACCUGUAAAUUGACAUUAAGUGUGAAAUGAAACAAAAAAUUUGUAAACCACACAUAAAACUAGUAAAUUAAUGAAAAAAAUGGUAAAUUAAUAUUGGAGUUGUAAUUUGCACGAAGAAGUUUUAAACAAAACAAAAACUUAGAAAAAUGACAUACAACUAGUAAAUUGACAUUAAUUGUGAAAUGAAACAAAAAAUGUGUAAAUCGCACAUAAUACUAGUAAAUUGAUGGAAAAAUAGGUAAAUUAAUGAUGAAGUUGUAAUUGGCCAAAAGAACUUGUAAACAAAACAAAAAUUUUAAAAAAUGACAUAGAACUUGUAAAUUGACAUUAAGUGUGAAAUGAAACAAACAAUGCGUAAAUCACACAUAAAACUAGUAAAUUGAUGGAAAAAUGAAUAAAUUAAUGUUGGAGUUGUAAAUUGUAAGAAGAACUUGUAAACAAAACCAAAACUUAGAAAAAUGACAUAGAACUUGUAAAUUGACAUUAAGUGUGAAAUAAAACAAAAAAUUUGUAAACCACACAUACAACUAGUAAAUUAAUGGAAAAAUAGGUAAAUUAAUGUUAGAGUUUUAAAUUGUAAGAAGAACUUGUAAAUAAAACAAAAACUUGUAAAUGUUACAUAAAACUUGUAAAUCAACAUUAACUUGUAAAAGUUUCAUAAAACUUGUAAAUCACACAUAAAAUUAGUAAAUGUAACCUGGAACUUGAACAAAAAAGAGUAAUUACCUGCUAUUUAGGUAACAGGUUACCUAUUUAUUUAGAAUUAAUGGUAGAAAUCUUUUAUUCAAAUCUAACGGUCCACGUCCAUUACGGCAUCAAUGCCGUAAAUUUAGUUACGGCAUUAUAGAAUGACCCAUAUUUCAAAUAGUCACUAGACCAUUUCUGCCUUUAAUUUUCCCUUAAGUUUAACUAUUGACUGUUUUUAGCAUCUUAAAAUAUACAUUUAUUCCUUGAUUAUGUGAUAAAAUUAUGAAAAAAAUCCAUUUUAGCUUAAAUUAAUUGGAAUAACCAUAAACAUAACUUAAAUUAAUAGAACAAAAUUAUCAAGUGUAUGUUCUAUCUUACUUUUUGAAGAAUUUAACAUAUAUAAUGCUAUACUAUUAAUAAAUUCAUCAUUUAAUAUAUAUGUUCAAAUAUUUUAUAUAUUUAUUAAUUGUUAUAUAGUCAAAGGAUGAAUGAUUUUUCAGGUCUACAUGAGUUGGUGCAUCUGCAAGACUCAAUUUUGACAACAAUGAUCUAAGGGGUAAUUUACCUUGGUGUUUGACAAAUAUAACCUCUCUUCAAGAUUUACUUCCAAUCUACUUACUGUAAAUAUCUCCUCAUCUCCUCUCAUUUAUAUGAUAACCCUUGAAGAUCUCACAUUUUCAAACAAUCAUAUUAGGGUUUUUAUUAUUAACAUCAUUGUGUCAAUAAUAUAUGUUGCAGUAAGAUUUUUUCAGACCAAUUCCCUUCUUCAAAUAAUAAUGGAAAAGUAUUAAUUUAAAAAUAAAAUGAAUAUGCAUUGAUUAUAUCCUAAUUUUCAUCGAUUAUAGCGAGAGUUUCUCCAAAUCAACUCCCUUAUUCAAAAAAUACAGAAAAAAUAGUAAUUUAAUAGUAAAAUUAACAAGUGUUGAUUAUAUAUCCUAAGUUUCAUCGAUUAUGUGAUCAAAGUGGCAUUGUUGAUUUAUUUCUUGUUCAAUGUUAAUUUUUAGGUUAUCUAAAUUUCAAGGAUUUAAAAUCUUUGUUCAUGGAUUACACGCUUAUUAAUUUUUCUGCCAUUGACUGUCAUAUUCUAGACUUAAUCGUACCUUCCUUGAUCAAGGAUAAUUACUCUCUGUUCUCCUCUUAUAAAUUCCUCUUCCAUUAACAUCACUAGAAGUAUGUUGAUCUCUCAGACGUUAACUUCAGUGGAGAGUUUCCAAAUUGAUUGUUACAAAACAACACAAAAACUAGACACACUUGAUCUGUCUAAUAAUUCUCUUUCGGUAAAAUUAAUUAAUUUUAGGGGAAUAUUUGACCAACCUAUAUAAUUUUAGAUUGAUCAUUAAUUAAUUAGACGAAAAAAGUACUUGUGCUUUUGUGGCGACAAUUGAACCAGAGAAGUGAAGCUGUAAAGAUUUGGCAGUAGUAAUUAUAAUUUUUUCAAAAAACUUUUUUACAACACAGGCACCUGGCCAAAAAUUUUAUUUUUCUAACUAACAAUAAUUGAGUAGCUGACCGUAUUGACUCCACCUACUUGCUAAAGUAAAAAAAUAGAAAUAGAAUUUCCACAAAAUGUCAAACAUGUAAAAUCUAAUAUUUGGCCGUGUGGAACAAAAUACAAAUGAAAAAAAAUAGAAAAAAAGGCCUAAAGACUUUUAAAAUGUGUGGAAGUCUUUCGGCCCUUUUAUAAUGGUGUGUUUUUCAAAGGAACAAAUAAUAAUAAUGACACUUCUACGGUUUGUUUUGAUAAUCACACAUAUACUCUUUAAUUUGAUAAAUGGUUACACAAAUUUUGUUUACAAAAAUAUAUUAUUCAUGUUCUGUAUUAUUUUUUAACAUCAUAUUUUUAUUUAUUAUAAUUGUUUAAAGUUAAUUGUUAGGUUGAUAUAUAACAAAAACGUAUAAUCGUUCUCUUACUAAACAAACAUACUCGUAGUUUCUGUUCAUUUGUCAUCUCAAUCUCUCUCAUUUAUCCUUUAUUGAUAGCUCAAAACGCGUCACUGUGGAAAAUUAUAGCAAAAUGACAAAUAUGGAAAAAAUGGGAAGAAAAUUAAUGCAUGAAAGAGUUGUAGAAGACAACCAAAUAAGUCAACUAUACGCUAGCUGGGUGUAUAAAUUGUUAGAUGUGUUAUAAACAAAUAGCAUAGAGCCUUGGUUGGUUACAGAGAUAGAAAAAGUGUGUGUGUUUUUUAGAACUUAAAGAUACAGUUAGAAUGGGUGGUUCAAAAUCAAAAAUGGUGAUAAUGUUUGUUCUGUUAUUAAUAAUAUUUGAAGGUGGGUGGAGUGAGGGAUGUUUGGAUCAUGAGAGAUUUGCUCUAUUGCGACUCAAACAUUUCUUCAUUAAUCCUUAUAAUCUUCUUUACAACUGGGUAGAUGAUGAUGGAGCUACUGAUUGUUGUCAGUGGGAAAGGGUUGAGUGCAGCAACACCACAGGGCGAGUGAUAGCACUAGACCUUUUUGACGCGCAUGGGGGAGAGUACUGGUAUCUGAAUGCUUCUUUAUUUACUCCCUUUCAACAACUUGAGUCACUUGAUUUAAGUUGGAACAAUAUAGCCGGUUGUGUUGAGAAUGAAGGUGCUUCGUCUAAUUCAAUUAAAUUACAUUUCGCUCUCCAAAUUUAAGUCGAAUAUCAAGACUGAGCAGCUAUAUGCAUAUUCAUUCAAUUGACAAUUUUUACAUAUUUUGUAAAAUGUUUAAUUUUGAAAUUACACCAAACAUCAUAUGUGAUCUUUGUUUUGAUUUUACUUGCAGGUCUAGAAAGAUUGAGCAACUUGAAGAGGCUUGAUUUAAGUCAUAACUUGUUCAACAAUAGUAUCUUAUCAUCUGUGGCUCAUCUUUCAUCACUAACAUCAUUAGAUUUAUCUGAAAAUAGAUUGGAAGGAAGUAUUAAUGUUAAAGGUACGUAAUUAAAACGUCAUCGCUUUUCCCAACUCUUUCAUUAACAUGUUAAAAUAAGAUUCAAGGCUUUGAAUUCAAUUUUUUUUAUGAGUAAAUAUUAGAAAAAUAGUUUUAAGCAAUUCAUAAAUACAAUUUUCAAUGUUUCUCAUAAUUACUCUAACUGUGAAGCAAAUACCCCAUGACUAAUUUAUCAUUUUGUCCAGUUAAAAAUGAUAAAAUUUAUCAUUUGUUUAUAUUGAUUUAUUAACUCUAUUUUAAGUCUUAAGUCUUGGCGUCUUGGCAUGUUUGCAGAAUUUGAUUCCUCGAGCAACUUAGAGGAGUUGGACAUGAGCUACAAUGAAAUAGACAAUUUCGAGGUUCCUCAAGGUAAACAAUUAAAAUAUUAUUUAAUUACAUUAAUUUAAUUCGUUUGAUUAGGGAAGACCCAAAAUGUACAAAAACAUAAUUAAAAAAAUAAAGAAACAGAGAAUUCAUAUUAUUUCAAAAAACAAAAGGUAAUACUAUUAUUUCAAAAAAAGAAUGUAAUAAAGAUUUGAUUCCGGUUCUUUAAUCUUUAUAGCAAUUGAAAAACAAUGUUGCUCUUUUCCCAAAGCAUAAAAUACGAAUUGACUCCCAAUUAAAUUAAUCAUUUAUUUCGUUUAGGUCUAAAUUUAGAAAAAUGAUUUUUGAUUCUCUUCAAUCCUAUCCUUAUUAUUAUUGUUAAAUAGGUUACAGAGGUUUGAGGAAGUUGAAAAGCCUCUAUCUAUUGGAAGUUAAAAUUAGAGAUGGAAGCAAGUUGUUACAGUCAAUGGGAUCAUUCCCAUCCCUCAACACUCUUGACCUUUCGUGGAAUAAUUUUACCGAUAUAGCGACAACUACUACUCAAGGUAAGUAAAAGGUACAGAUGUGGCCAAAUUUAUAAACAAACUGUUAAUUAAUUAAUUUUUCCGUAUUAUUAAUUAAGCUAAAUUUGUUGCUUCUUCCUUCUAAAUCUAAACAGAGUUGCACAAUUUCACCAACUUGGAAUAUUUGACAUUGGACGAUUCCUCUCUCCAUAUAAGCCUUCUGCAAAGCAUUGCAUCAAUAUUCCCUUCGUUAAAAAAUUUGUCGAUGAUUGGUUGUGAAGUCAAUGGCGUCCUACGUGGUCAAGGUAAAAGAAAAGUGUUGAUUGUGAACUCGCUCAAUGGUGUCCUACGUGUUCAACAUUUUUAUUUAUUUAUUUUAUUGUUUAAUGUUUCUGCUAGGCUUUCCUCAUUCCAAGAGUUUGGAACAUUUGGAGAUGGAUGACGCGCGCAUUGCACUCAACACCAGCUUUCUUCAAAUCAUCGGAGAAUCAAUGUCUUCUCUUAAGUACUUAUCACUGUCAUAUUAUACUCUUAGCACUAACAGCAGCAGGAUUCUUGUUCGAGGUUAAUCAGAUGCUCCCACCCUCCCUUCUUAAUCUAUAAUAUUAAUUUUCAAUUAAAUAUUUAAUUACACAAACCAAUCACUUAUUAUAAAAGAACAAUACGCAUUCAUUAAUUUUUAUAUUGUAUUAAUAAUUGAUGAAUUUAAUAAAUUUUCAGGCCUCUGUUCGUUGAUGCAUCUGCAAGAGUUGUACAUUUAUAAUAAUGAUCUGAGAGGCAGCUUGCCUUGGUGCAUGGCAAAUAUGACAUCCCUCAGAAUAUUAGAUGUUUCUUCUAAUCAACUUACUGGAAGCAUCUCCUCAUCUCCCCUCGUUCAUUUGACAUCCAUUGAAGAGCUGUAUCUUUCAAACAAUCAUUUUCGGAUCCCAAUUUCACUUGAACCACUUUUCAAUCACUCAAGACUCAAGGUUUUUUGGGUUAAGAACAAUGAAAUAAAUGCAGAAAUAACUCAGUCACCUUCUUUUACCGCCCCAAACUUCCAAUUAUCACGUCUCUCAUUGUCUUCCGGUUAUGGAGACGGUGUCAUAUUCCCCAAAUUCCUUUACCAUCAACUUGGUUGUUGGAAAACAACACAAAAUUGAGACAACUUUCUCUCGUCAAUGAUUCUCUUGCAGGACCUUUUCGGUUGCCAAUUCAUUCACACAAGCGGUUAAGACUGUUGGAUAUAUCCAACAACAACAUCCGAGGCCACAUUCCAGUAAAAAUUGGAGAUGUUUUACCAAGUUUAUACGUUUUCAACAAUUCCAUGAAUGCUUUAGACGGUAGCAUUCCCUCUUCAUUUGGUAAUAUGAAAUUCCUCCAAAUUCUGGACUUAUCCAACAAUCACUUGACAGGUGAAAUCCCCGAGCACUUGGCCGUGGGUUGCGUCAACUUGCAGUCUCUUGCAUUAUCAAAUAACAACCUACAAGGUCAUUUGUUCUCUAGAAAUUUUAACUUGACAAACUUGAAAUGGUUACAAUUGGAGGGCAAUCGCUUCGUAGGUGAGAUCCCACAAAGUUUGUCUAAAUGCUCCUCACUAGAAGGAUUGUAUCUUAACAAUAAUAGUCUUUCGGGUAAGAUUCCACGAUGGUUGGGUAAUCUCACAUGGUUACAAUAUAUUAUAAUGCCCAAUAAUCAUCUUGAAGGCCCUAUUCCAGUGGAGUUUUGUCAGCUUGAUUCGCUUCAGAUUUUGGACAUUUCAGACAACAACAUAUCUGGAAGUCUACCAUCUUGUUUCCAUCCUCUCAAUAUCAAACAAGUUCAUCUUUCAAAAAAUAUGUUACAUGGACAGCUAAAAAGAGGUACAUUCUUUAAUUGCUCUUCCCUUGUGACAUUAGAUCUUAGUUAUAAUCGCUUGAAUGGCAGCAUUCCGGAUUGGAUUGAUGGGCUUUCUCGGUUAAGCCACCUUAUCUUAGGUCACAAUAAUCUUGAAGGUGAAGUGCCAGUUCAAUUGUGCGAAUUGAACCAACUACAAUUGUUAGAUCUUUCUAAUAAUAAUCUUCAUGGUCCUAUUCCUCCUUGCUUUGAUAACACCACACUUCAUGAAAGUUACAGCAAUAGUUCUAGUCCUGAUGAGCAAUUUGAAAUAUUUUUUUCCAACGAAAGCUCUCAGGGAAAUGUAGAAAAGCAAAUCCAUGAAAUUUUUGAGUUCACAACAAAGAACAUUGCGUACAUUUACCAAGGAAAAGUGCUUAGCCUCCUAUCAGGACUUGAUCUUUCUUGCAACAAGCUAAUCGGUCCUAUUCCUCCUCAAAUUGGAAAUUUGACAAGGAUUCAAACAUUGAAUCUAUCACACAACGACUUGACAGGAUUGAUCCCAUCAACAUUUUCAAACUUGAAGCAUGUCGAAAGUUUGGAUCUUUCCAACAACAAAUUGAAUGGGAAAAUCCCUCAUCAACUAGUGGAGUUAAAGACAUUGGAGGUUUUCAGUGUGGCAUACAAUAACUUAUCAGGCGAAAUUCCAGAAUGGAAAGCACAAUUUGCAACCUUCAACGAGAGUAGCUAUGAGGGAAAUACUUUUCUUUGUGGAUUGCCAUUGCCCAUUUGCAGAUCACCAGCAACUAUGUCGGAGGCUUCAAUUGGCAAUGAACGAGAUGAUAAUUUAAUUGACAUGAACAGUUUCUUUAUCACAUUUACAACAUCAUACGUAAUUGUGAUAUUCGGAAUUGUUAUUGUUUUAUAUGUAAAUCCUUAUUGGCGACGUAGAUGGUUUUACUUUGUUGAAAUGUGGAUAACUUCAUGUUACUAUUUUGUUGUAGACAAUCUUAUUCCAACAAGAUUUUGUCAUUGAAAUUAAUUAGUAGCUUAAUUACGAUUCUUUAAGUACUAAUCAAGUUUGCUUAGGAAAUAUUUUUUUAUUAAAAUUGUAGUAGUAUUUAGCAUUAUAUAGCUUCCAACUUCCAAGCACUUCACAUUUUUCUCUACACUUAAAAAACUGAGUGAUCAUGUUUUGCAGAUCUGGAUUUGGAGCAGGAUGGAUCCAAACCCAUAUCUGUCCACCAUAACUUAUAGCUUCCCUAUACUGUGCAGCAUACUUAAAUAAGAGAACCAUCUCCAAUGUUAAAAGCAUUCACUCUAUAACAUUCAUUUAGAAACUAUAUUCAGAAUAAUUUUAUAAUUAAACACAAGAAAUGAAACACACAGAUACACUUGAUCGCCUAUUUUACUCUAAAAAAGAACGAUUAUUGUGCUAUCAUCAUCUUCUUCACUAGCAACAUUAACACCAAAUCGAUGGACCCAUACAUUUCAUCAAGAAAGGUAUAUAUCCAAUAAAGUUGAAGCCUAACAAAAAAUUCAAGAAGAUUAAUGCCUCGCCACAACAAGGGGCACAACAACAUCAAAGUAGAGAUUAAGCAGUAUUCUCAAAGCUAAAACUCUCAAAUCCACCCACCAGAAUUUCAUAUCUCCUCAACAAUUUUAAGAACUAAAGAUAAUUAGGAUUUAACAUUAGUUUUUUAUAUAUUAGUUUCAUAAUUUACAAAUCAAUGAAGAUGAAGAUUAUGCUAAUAAAUUCAAAUUAUACCAUACAUUCUCUAGAUGUUACCAAAAAUUUCUAAGUCAAUCCCACAUAUUUCAUAAUUUUAAGACUAGAAAAUUUCACUAGUUAGAAGUUUCAUUACCUUCAAGUGGAAGAUGAAGAACAUUAUACAAGUGAUUCAGAUUAUAUCAUACAUACUCCAAAUGCAACUAGAAAUUAACAAGUUCAUGCGCACAUAUUUCAUAACAGUAAAAAUUUGUUGCUCAACAUGAUGUGUAUUUUUUUUCAAGGCAAUUUGGAAACACAAUUGUUUCUACAGAUAUUCUUCUCAACUUGGAGAUAAAUACAAAUAUUAAAAUGCAUAUGAUCGCACAUAUUACUUCGAGUUUAGUAAGAUUUCAUUAAAAGAAGCAAUCAAACCACUUAUCAAUUGUCGCAGUCGUUCUAUAAACUAAAAUAGCAAUAUAAUACAAGAAAAAGAACAUAUAGAUACUUGGCAAGAGUUCAUUAAGAAGUCGCAUCACAUUCGGGUGAGGAGUUUUCUGAUAUCUUGCUAGCUGGGGCUUUUUCUUGUCUUUCUACGUAUGCCGAGGGAAACCAACCAGCUUGGCCCUUGCAUUCACCUUCCGACCAUCCAGUAGGAGCCACCUUGAGAAGUUAUAACUAAAACGGUGAAUUAAACAAAAGUUAAUCGUUCAAAGACCUAAGGGGAAAACUAAUUCUUUUACGUAGGAGGAGUGAAUUAGUUGUGAUCACUGAAAUAACAGCAUAACUAUAGAAGCAUAACAAGAUAUAAAUUCACAUGUCUAUAAGGGUAAACUGGGUGGUUUAGAACCGAGCUAGCAGCCCUACUAUAUUCUGAUUUGCACUUCAAUGUAAAAGGGAAUAUAUGGUAGGAAGAAAGAAAACCAACCAUCAUUUGUUAACUCGUUGCUUUUCAAUCAAAAUUUUAAGAAAAAAAUGCCAUGUGCUUUGAACAUCAAAUAAGUAUAAGCAUUAGUUCUAAAUUCCACAUAUCAUAAGUUGUUAGAAGGAUAAGUUAAUAGCAGAGUAGAAAAAUCUAUGUGUUGGUAUUUAGAGGGGAAAGUACCUGGCGAACCACAACAUAAUCAUCAAUUGAAAGACUUAGCUUUCCAUUUGCUUGAGCAUCAAAUGGAUGUAUAACCUGCAAGAUAAUGGGAUAAAUAGAACUUAAAAAAAGCAUAACAAAAGUAGCAACAGUAGCAGCAACGUUCAUUGUAACCACUAUGAUCAUGGCCAACAAAGAUAUAUUAGAAACAAAAUUCCAUUUUUACUACGACAUUAAUAUGUACUAUACGAUAUCAUGACGAUUGGGUUACUAAGAGCUAUCAAAGUCUAAUAAGUUCUGUAUAACUUUAUGUAGUUAUUUAAAUUAUGGAUCAGAUUUUAAAUUUGAAAUUUUGACUGCUCUCCACAAAACAUGGCCUAUGCACAAGAAAGUCAUAGAUAAUGAGGAUUACAAGUGUCCGACAUCUUUUGAGUGAUGGAUUUAACAUGAGAGCUUAUGGUCAGUCAAUUUCCUCUGCCUAGCAAUAUAAGCUUUCUCGGCCAGAUUUAUCUUCAAAUACAUAGAUUGCCCCCAAGUCACAUCCAUAUAAACAUAGUUUUUCUAGGUAAACCAAGUAAGGAGUAUCAUAAUUCAGACAUAAUCAUAAAAAGGCCCAUCUAACUUAAGAGAAAAUCUCAAAAAGAGGGAUGCUGAGCUAUCAGUCUUGUAUCUAUAAGCAAUAUCAAGACUUUACAUCACCUGCUACAUCGUGAGUGGCUACACAACUUUCAGUGGUUUGUCUUUCUUUGGCAUGCCUAACUCAGCUUUGAUGUUGCUGAGAUAUUGAUAGUAGAGACACAUGAUACUUCUAGCUCAUGCAUUCUAUCUAACUCAUCCAACAACUAUCUCUUUUUUAAUUCAUUAGUGUUUGCUAAACCUCAUGCUUAAAAGUCCUGUUCUCCUAAACAAAGUUUCCUAAGAAUGACUUCCUUAGCACCACAUUUGGACACUUUUAGAGCAAUUUUAUUUGGGGGAAAAGAAUUUUCAAGGUGUUAACUAAUAAAUUUUUAAAAAAUAAUUACAAUUUGUCCUACGAUCAUAUGACAAUUUAUCUGGGAUGAAAGGAUACAGAUAGACAUCUUCCACUUUCAAGACUAAUCACUACUUCCGUAGAUGUUGUGCAAUAAUACAAAUACUUGACCAGAUGGUAGUAAUGGUAGAAAAAAAUUUUAUUGCUCCAAAAUUAAAAUAAGAAUGCAAUAUGUUAAGCAAAAGGCUGUGCAACAUCAAAUUAAUUGAUAAGUUUGUAAUUCAGUAAAUUAACAACUUUCAUGGUAAAAUACAACAAAUUUCUUUUGAAAAAAAUAAAAAAAAUAAAUCUUAAAAGACAGCAUUCAAUUUUGUGCGCAUCUUAUUUCUUAAGAUUUUUCAGGAGGAGGGCAAUAGAGGGACUUUCACCUAUGCAAGAGAGCAGAAGCCUUACUUUCCCUAUAAAGUAGACGUCAUUCUGAUUAAUAUGCGUUUGCAAAUCAGCUCCGUUUGAAUCAGUAUUCUGAUAGACACACGAGGCAUUUACAUCCAUUUCCAAAGUCACAUGUUGCGAGGAGGACUCAUUUGAUUGCUCCUAUACGAUCAUCUAAUUCAAGUAGCAAGGGUUGGAAGAGAAUAAAAAGUCACAAUUAUUCUUUUGCAUAAGUGAGACGAAAAUGAUAAAUGCAAUAUUAUCAGCAGUAAACAAGAAGAGAACGCUCCAAGAAAUAGAUAGAUGCAGACAAGCAAGUUAAAAUGCAUAGUCCCAAACCUCCGCAUACAACUUCUCUAAAGUAGCAAUAACGUGUUGAUGCUAUGUUUUCUCAGCAUCUACCUGCAAAGGCCCGAGACCAGGAAAACAACAAUAAAACCACUAGCUGAAGGAGAAAGCAAAGAAAGAAAUACACUUGACAUAAAUCUUGACAAGAAGCACAAUUUAAGACAUAACAAACCCCAAUCAUAUUGUUUAGAACUACCAUUCGUUAUUUCGUUAUUGUAACAUUUCGAACAAGUGUUGACUUAAUUCAACAUUGUUGGAAAGAUAGGCUUUUAGAAGCAGAAGAAAGCCUCUCAAACCAAAGUGCUUGUCCUUGUAUUGAUCAAGGGAUGUAAACAUAUUACAUUUGCAGGAUGAGAUUUAAUCACUCCCCUGAUUUAUUUGGGUUGCAAUAAAACUAAGCGAGCAACUGUUUGACUUUCAAGCAACAACUAAAUCAGCUAUUAAAAUUCAAAUAAAAUCAUAAUAGAAUAAUAACAGGCCAUCUUGCAUCAAAAAUUAAGUUUAAUUUGUGAAUUUUUUUCUAUAGACAUGUCAGUUUCUGCUAUUGAAAUGUUAAAAGUAUUGAAAAAUUAUUCAAUAAAUUAUGCAAGCAUUAAAAUAGAGGAAAAAUUAAAAAGUUUCUAAUUACAAUGUUAAUAUUUCCUAUAUUUUAGCAUUUGCAUAUUUUAAUUUAUUUAAAAGCUACGUCGAUCAACUUUGGGCAUGAAGAUUUUAGAUUCUACGAGACUUGAUUGGAAUAUGCAUAAGAGUGUUAAAAUAUGAUGCAUCCAACGAAAGACAAACCACGUGUAGUCUUUUAAUUAAGCCAAAGUAGCAGCUCAAACAAAUGACACUUGGACCAACAUGCAAUCAUGAAGUGGCCGGAAAAAGGACAAAUGCUACUUUGGCUUAAAUAAAAAAUAACAUGUGACUUGACUUUUGCUGGACAUGCAUCAUGUUAUUACAAGACAACAGAAAUCAGUAUGAUAGUAAUAAAAGUUGACAAUAACAUGAAGAUAAGAGGCAGAAUGUCAACACAUGCAUAGGCACACACAAGAAAGUAUUAACAUAUAUACCAUAGCAAAAACUCUUUGAUAUGUCAUCUGUUGCUGCUGUGAUUCAACUGACAGCAUGGCAGCUGUCGCUUCUCUACCAAGAGCCAUUAUUGUAGAUUUAAGCUCGGUCAAUCUUGCUUCUGCAUUUCGAAGCUUCACAGCACUCUCUGCUGAUAUAUCAGAUUCCCUAAUCUUUGAUCGGUGCCUAAAUACUUCAGCUGCCUGGUGAAAAUAUUCAAUAUAAAUCUAAUAUAAUUCUCAUCUUGCCUUAUACAUGCAUAUGUUACCUCAAAGCUUACCUGGGCUUCAACUUCAUGUCGAAGUUUGUCAUAACGAUGAGUCAGGUGUUGAGCAUCUUCCAAAGGUGCUCUGUUGAUUAACGCCCGUAGUGGCUCAGAUACCUACAUGUCCAAAAACCUGUAACAUAGUUAGAAAAAUGAAAAGAAAGAGCGAAACCUAAAUUAAAAAGUUCCUCCAACAUAAUCAUGGAAUUUGGGCCUACUUUAAGAAUAUAUAUAAGGAUAAUUUAUGCAAUUUUGGGUCUUAGGAUGAUUGGUAUUAGGUUAGUGUUCUUCUCUUCUGUAUUUAAGGUUAAAAUAGAAAUAAACCUAUGCAAAUAUCUAAAUUAGGCCUGUAAGACAUCCACAUGCAUCCUUCAGUCUCAUGGAUUUGAUUUUACUAUAGAUGCAAGUGUCUUUAUCGAAAAUGCUUGGAGUCAAUUGAGAGAACUCAUGGCCAAUAACUUGUCACACGCUAGUCUUUGCUAGUGAUGUAAGAAGUCACAAGGUCUCUUCAACAUUUGAACCAAUAAAAUUAUUAAGUCAUGGAUGUCACUAGCAAUGAUUUUAAUAUAAAACAUUAAAUAUUUCAGAGUUGUAACUUUAAAAUGGAUUCUUUUAUUCAAUAUCAUAGAACUAAGUUUCCUUAUGAGAAGAUAAUAGUUUCGAUAAUAAUUUUACAUAUAAUUUUCUAUAUUUGAAUUAUUUUCUAGUUAGGGAUGAACUAACCUGAUCACGAAGAAUCCCGAGCAAAGUUUCCCUCUCAUUUUCCAUCAAAUCAUGUGAAGUGCCAAAUUGAAGAGCAGCUCUUGCAACGCAAGAAUUGUCACUUUGAUUCUCUGCUCCAUACUUGCAACAAUCUUCAGCCAACUUUCUCGCUACACUAUUUGAAUACAAAAAUAUUGUACACAAGAACUAUAAAAAACGAAUGAAAAAUAAAUAAAAUCGAGAAAUUUCACUAAUUAAAAGUCUAAAUAUAAUUUUUGAAAAAAGAAAAGAAACGGACUUGCUGCUGCUUGGCGACUUGUUCUCGGAGCUUGAUUGCCUGUUUCUUGAUAGUUUCCAUACUGUUUCUUUCAAAAAGCGACGACGGCUCAGCUCAUGGAAGUGGAAAAAAAAAAGUGUGAUCUAGAAAAAUGAAAAGGCGUGAAUAAUUUUUGACAAAAAGCGAAAAUCAAGGAAAGCCGGCUCUUUCCAGAAAAUAAAAAAAAGAAAAUCAUAAGUUUGAAAGGAGAAGAUGAUAGUGGAAGUAUGCGGUGUGGCUGCCAGGUACUUGGAUUGUAUUGUCGGGUAAGGUAAUAGUAGCGAAUUAUAAGUUUGAACAGAGCAUGUUGGACUUUUGUUGACCAAAUUCAAAAGCCCAAUGGCACGGCCCGGAAGCUUUUGAAUAGAAAAACUUGCUAGAAAGCAUCAGUUUAAAUCACUACUUAAACGCUUGCUUUAACUGCACCGCUUUGUACUGUUUUAUGUAUGUAGCGGUUGUGUGGUUGUAAUUCACGGCUGACGCUAUGUGUUUGUUUGUACUGUUCUAUUCGGUGAUUGGGUAUUAUUAGUUAGGCCAAAACUAUGUUGCAAUAGUGGUAUUUCAGUCAUUGAAUCUAUAGUUGUACAGUUACAUUAAUAAGAUCUAAUGGCUGAAAGCAACAGUGGUACCGUACCACUGUUGCAAUAUAACUGGACCCUAUUAGUUAUUUCAAAGGGAUAAAUAAGAUUGCUUACAACAAACCUACUAAUUUUAUAAAAUUCAAGUAAUAUAGAAUAAAUUAAAAAAAUAAAUACAAAAUUGACUUUUAUUUUUUAUGGUUGACUAUAUUUUGUGUUCUCUCUGCUACAAUUCUUCCCUAUAUAUCAAUUACACCACAUACUAUCGACACAAGAAAUGAAAUCUAAUAUCACCCGUUUAGUUAAAAAAUCACUCAUGAAAAAAUUUUACCAUUUUGAUUUGAGGAUCCAUAUUUUAAACUGCAAGCUAAUGUUCAUCAAGAAUUACUGAUGGCCGUUGAGUAGAAAAAUUAUUUUUGGACAAAUUAUUUUUGUUGAUAGAAGAAUUUCUUUAGGGACUACUAAAUUAUUAAUAAAAAUGUCGAACACACCCACAUAUCAUCGACACAAUUGAUUUUGAGGAUCCAUGCUUUGAACUGCAGCCUAAUGUUCAUCAAGAAUAGAGUAUGGCUUGUGAGUAGAAAAUUUUCUUAUUUUGGCCCGAAAUAAAAAGAAAUUAAAUUGGAUGAGAAUCUGCCACUUUCUCAUGAAGAAAGGCAUACGGAGCAUACCAUGGUACCAUACAAUAUAAGGAGCCUCUAUUCUUUGGUUUUUCAAACUCUGAACGGGCCAAUAUUGCCAAAUUCCCCCUUGAAAAUUCUGAUUACGACAUUAUUCAUCGCUUGAUGCAAUCAAAGUAGUGACAAAGUUAGGAAAAAUAUGAGUCCUAAGUAAUUGCUAGGCAGGGUUCCUGAGAGCAAAAUUGUCCUAAGCAUUAUAUGCAUACAUGGUGCGGUACAUAGAGCACGUUAAAUUCCCCACUAUAUCACAAACCCAGAAAGACAAGUAAUAACUCAACUGAUAUAAAGACAAAAAGAAGAUAAAAUGAUAUAGAAAAAAGAAUUUCAAAGAGACAGCAACAUACGAUAGACUGAAGCCACUUGAUCUGCUCAUUGAUUGCAGCCUUAAACUUGCAAAUAGUUACUGUACGCUAGUGCUCUAAGAAGUGAAAAUGAUGCCAGCCCUGAUUCCCUUUUGACUUCCAUUUACUGUCAAAC